AGAAAUAGAGUUGAUAGAUAGGGACACCUUGGUGAAUAGCUGGAAGGAAUUUCUUUGAUAUUGUUUUGCAUUAGUGAGACUCUUGUGAGAUUCUCUGUCCACUCCUCUGCAUCUGGCAACUCUUCUAAUUGCGCACCUGCUUUAACCAUGACUUGAGAGUCGUCUUGCAGUAUUUGGAUGGCCAUGUCCCUAAUCAAGUCAUGCAUCUUGACAAGUCCAUAAUCCAUUUGAGCACUUUCCAAUAGGCAGACAUUUUCAAGUCUAUUAAGCAUCGUGUGGCCCUCAUCAAAUGCAUCUCCCCUGCUCCUCUUUCCUUUAAUUAUUCCCUCAUCGAUCAAAUAACCUAUCAACUCCUCCCUUGCAAUCAUAUCAUCUUCAGGAAAUAAUGCACAGUACAAGAGACAUUGCUUUAGUGCUAAAUCACCUAACCGAUCAUAACUAAACCUCAAUAACCUGAAUACUUUCUCAUCUAUGUCCCUAAAUUCUGAUUCUCUCAAUUUGUUCAAUGUGUUUCUCCACUCAUGUGGAUCAUCCACUCCCCUCAAGCUUCCUGCCACUGCAAUAAUUCCCAAUGGCAAACCAGCACAUUCCCUAGCAAUAUCUUUCGCAAUUCCUUCCACUUCUGGUGAAAGUGCUAUGUCACGUCCAAGUUUCUCCAUGAACAAAUUCCAAGCUUCACCCUCAGAAAGUGGCUUCACUUUGAUUUUGUGGUGGCAAGCCAUCCGAUGACAAACCGUUUCUGAUCUAGUUGUCAUAAUCAGCUUGCAUCCUUUCGACAGCACAGGAAUUCCCACUUCAUCAAGCUCAAAAUUGUUCCACAAAUCAUCUAAAAUGAGGAUCCAUUUUUGUUUCGUCCUUAAUUCUUCUGACAAUUUGGCAGCUCUAUGCACAUCAUCAUCUUCGUUUGCAAGGUCUAGAUCAAGACAUUUAGCUAUGAGAUUCUGCAAUCUAGUAAUGCUGAAAUCUUGAGACACAGUCACCCACCAAAUAUUUGGUUUUUGUAGAAGCUCAUUAUGGAUAUGUUUGAGUAUUGUCGUUUUACCAAUCCCCCCCAUGCCAUAAAUGCCAAUGGUUGGGACUUUAUCAUCCAUUAACAAAGACCAUAUCUCCUUCGUUUUCUCUUCAAAUGCUUGACCCACUGGCUUUGUGGAGCUAGUAGGUAAUGGAACUCCUCUAGUCUUGUUGUAUUUCAGACUUUCAGAAGAUCUUGCUCCUGCGCUAGCCUCCUCCAUUGGUUCUGUCCUCACUCUAACCAUGUCCAGCGCAUCAUUGUUUACUGAUGGAGCACAAGGUUGAUCAUAACAUCCUCCAAUGUCAGGACAAAAUUGGGAUGAAUCUCCUCGAGGCUCCAGAAGCUGCACUUGCUCUGUUCUUGGAAUAGUCUCAAAUGCAUCAUGCUGAAAAGAUCCUUCACCUUGAACUCCCACUUGUACUGCUUGUAAAUGCGACUGAAUUCUCUCUUCUCCGGGACCUUGUUCCACGCCUUGAACUCCCACUUGUACUGCUUUGCUCUGUUCCAACACUCGAUCCACGGGUUCUGUCCUCGUUCUGCUCUCGAGUGCCCCUUCGGAAACUCCAUCUUCUUGUGCUCUCAUUCCGGUCAUGCUUGCUACGUCGUUUCCUGCUAUUGCAUGAGAAGAAAUCCUCUCUUCCCCUACCCCGGGUUCUACAACCUGAACUUCUCUUUGUACCCUUCCAAUACCUCCUACCAUUGUUGAGAUUGAACUUGCUGUGAUUUUAUGUCUUUUGUUGCCACCACGCAUAGCUAGAAAGGCUGCUUCUUGAACUUCUUUAGGCACCCCAAGACAAAUGGCAACAUUAUGCCCUUCCUCUCCUGAUAAAUGCCAUUUGAUCCUUGAAAUGGAGGUUUUAUUGGCAAAUGUACGUUGACAAAACUUACACUUCAUCCUACCCUCAUCACUUUCUUCAACAUGAUUCCAAAACGGAUCAUUUGAUCCAACCUUUUCGACCUAUAGAAAAAAGAAGUCAAAGUAUAGAACAAAAAUCAGUUAAAAUAUGGAAUAAAAAUUGACGGAUCAAGUUACAGAACAGAAGUUUCCGGAUUGAGAAACUAUUUUGCUAUCAAAAUUGAUAGUUAGUUUAUAGCACAAUCAUAGGGGAAAAAAGACUACGAUAAUUCAGUUAGACUUCUUACUUGUUGAGUAUUUAAACCCCUAUUUUGACUUUGGAAGGAAGUGUCAGGGCCAGGAUUAGAGGCAUUUGGCAUAGCAGUUUGAUUUUGCAAUCCUCCGGCUUGGAAUUUAUCCAUCUGUGACCUAUAUAUAAAUGAAAUGAUCAUAUUAUAAAAAUUUUCGAUAAUUGGUAGUCUCUCUUAAGCACUAAAAAUCAACGGUGUAUCUAAUUAUCGAAAAAGGUAUUAAUACUAUGCAGAAAAACUAAUUGUUUUUUUUACAGAAAAUACUAAAAAUGAAAAAUUGGAUACCAGGGAGCAGGAGAAGAAGGUCCAGGUUGAUUGAAGCCACCAUGUUGAGAAGUGGUUGCGUUCGGUGUCAUAUAGCCAUGUCCCGGCUGAGGUUGAUGAAUAAAGGAGUUCUGAUGCCUGAAUAAUAUUCAAAUAGUUAAACAUAGAACUGUUAUUCUCACAAAAAAGAGAGAUAGAGAGCUCAAAAAGACUUGAAAGAUCCACGUCAAUUUUGGUCAAGUUCAUUGUUUUCAUGAUUAAAAAAGUGUAUAUUCGAGGUUAAUACCUUUGAUUCAUUGGAGGUUGAGGUCCAGGUAGCAUCGUAGGCACUUGAUUGCUCAUUGGUAACUGAUAAUCAGUCCAUUGUUGGUCCCUAAAUGAGCAACAUUUGUUGGUGAUUUCUUUAUACAUAUGCAUAAUUCUUUGCUAUUAAUCCACUAAGCAUUUGAUAUCAUUUUAGCUUACCUCAAAGGCAUUGAUGGUCCAGGUAACAUGGGAUUGGCACAUUGAGGAUCAAAUAAAUUGGGAUUAGACUGAUACCUAUAUUCAAACAUAAUGAAUUCACUGAUAAGUACAACAACAAGAGGAAGAAGAAGAAGAAGUUAAAUAAUGAUUGAAAAACUUUUUUUUUUUUUCAGAAAAUACUAAACAUGAAAAAUUGGAUACCAGGGAGCAGGAAAAGAAGGUCCAGGUUGAUUGAAUUCACCAUGUUGUGAUGUGGUUGCGUUCGGUGUCAUAUAGCGAUGUCCCGUCUGUGGUUGAUGAAUAAAGGAAUUAUGAUGCCUAAUUCAAUGGACAUUGUAGCAAAUUGGAGUAAGCAUGAGUUCUCACCAUGGUUUCAGGAAAUGAAGUUGGAAACUGAGUUGUUUGUUGAAUACUAUCGUUGAUCACAAUGUUCUGUCCACCUUGAUCAUUGCAUAAUAUGGAGCCUUGGUUGACGUCAGCCGGCCUGCUUCCAUGGAAUAAGAUAGAGGAUAAACAGAAGAAUAACUAAAUUGCAAGCAAUCAUCUUCUGAUAAAAUAUGCUUAAGAAUGACGUACGGUGUCAUAUAGAGAAGUGGUGAUUGAAGACCGAAAAGAUCAUCAUCCAUAGAAGAUGGUGGGAACCCUUCCAUCUGACCAAAAGUACAAGAUGAUUAGUACAUACUGAGGUGAAAAAUGAACAGAAAGCACGUAGCAAAGGAAAAAAAAGAGUAUAUAUAUAUGAGUGGAUUACUGGGUACACACGUUACGUAAGUCAAAAUAAAAGAAAAACAAAUAAAUGGUGAAAAGCAUGUUUUAAUGGCAGUCCCAUUAAUUGGAAAAGAAAAGGGUGAAUCUAAGAAAAGAAAAGCCUAUUUUUUUUAUUUUUAAUAUUAAUAUAUCAAAAAAUAUUAAUUUAAUAGUUUUUUUUCAAAAUAAACAGAUUUUCAAAUGCACUCAAACAUAAUUCUAAGUACAAAAACAAAUUAUAUUUUGCUUGCGGGCAUAACAAUCCUGGCAGUACCGUUGCCGUUUUUUAGUUUACACAUUCUCUGGAGUGUCGAUUCCACAUUGAAGCAAAUUAAAAGAAUAAAAGCAAAUAUUAAAUGAUUUAAUAAAAGUGACUAAUGAAAAAGGUGCUUAAAUUCUACAAACAGCAGAUGGAUAGUCGGAAUCCCUUGAACACAUUUGAUAUUUUAAUUAUUCUUAUUUUGUUUAAUGUAAGGUAAUUACCAAUCAAGUUAAUUCAUUGAAUCAUUGUAAGGAAAAAAAAAGUUGAAAAAUACUGAAUAAAAAUGAAUUGCAGUCCCAUUAAUUGGAAAAGAAAAGGGUGAAUCUAAAAUGAGUUAAAAACACUACUUUACCUACCCCAAUUAUGAAGCUUAUAAGAAGAUGCCUAGAAAAUGUAAACACGUGAAUAUGAGAACCAAUAAUAUACUUUUCUUUUUAAAAAAAUUUUAUUUAAAAAAAUUAAAAUAAUAAUUUUUUUUAAAAAAAUUAUUUUUAAUAAAAAAAUAAUAAUUAAAAAAGAAAAAAAAUUCAAAGUUUUUGAAAAGCAUGUGCUCUAACAAUAACAUAUUAAAUAUGUGAUUAAUAGCAUGUGAUUAAAGGUUUUCAGUCGAUGCCAUUACAUGCAGUCAAAGACUCCAUCCUUACUUUUAAUAAACAAAACCUACACUCAAUAAUAUGUCCUAGUUUUUUUGGCCAGUGUUUUUCCGUGGUUUGAUUAAUUUUUUUAAAAUAUAAAAAUAAAAUGUUAAGAGUGAAGAAAGUUUGCGAGCGAUAUUAUUAAACCUAGUCAGGGAAGUUAAUAUUAAAAUCUUCUAACCUAAUUUUUUAUUUAAUUUAAAUUUUUCGAAGGACGAAAUUAAAAAAAAAUCAAUUACAAAAAUUAAAAGAAAAGAAAAAAAAAACAUAUUCGAUCAAUGAGUAAACCUGUCAAACUUGUGAAUCAAGUAAUUUGGGUUAGUACAUCAAACCCAUGAACCAGGUUAUGGACUUAACUAAGAUUAUAAUUAUUAAAUUUUUUUUUUUUUUAAUAAUAUGAUAACAAAAAUAGAUAAUUGUAAAAUUAAACACCAACCAUACACAUACACACACACUAAUUCGGCAAAACUAUGAAAUAGACAAAAAAAAUAAUUUAAAAAAAAUUAAAAAAAAGGGAAAAAAACAAAAAAAAGUAAAACACUGUCAAUUACUAUUAUAAUUCAUAAUGAAAUGAGUGUGGGUGAAUAGUGAUUCUCUUACACCUUUUAGUUUUUCUUUUAAUUAAUAAAUAAAAAAAAUAUCUCACCAAACCUAAAAUCUAGUAUAAUUUGAAUUAUUUUAACAAACCUGUAAAUCAGGUUAAUCUUAUAAAAAAAAUAGAAUAAAAAUUAAUAAAUUGAAGCUGAAUUAUAACCUGCCUAUAAUAAAAUAAACAAAAACAAUUUUUUUUUUUUUAAAAAGGGCAAAACACCUUGAAUUACGUACUAUUGUAAUUUACAAUGAAAUAGGUGUGGAUAUAUAGUGAUUCUCCCAAGUCUCUUAGCUUUUCUUUUAAUGAAAAUUAAUAACCGUAUAAUAUACUUUCUUGUGGAUGCUCUAUCGUUGCUAAAUUAAAACAUAUAUAUAUUUUUUUAUCUACAUCUAUGUGAAACUUUUUUAAAAUAAAAAUAUUUAAAAAGAUAAUGUUAAAAAAAAACAUUGUUAUUUUAUUUUUAUUUUUAAUAAAUACCAUCAUAAUAUGAUAUGGUUUUCUUUUUUACUCAGGUUAUUCAGUUAAUAUGUGAGUCAACCAGUAAACUAAACUUUGGAAUACGUUUCUUAACUAUUCGUAAGCUUCUUAUUUAUUCUUAGUAAUUAAAAUAUUUUUUUAUUUUUAAUAUUAAUAUAUUAAAAAAUAUUAAUUUAAUAUAAUUUUUAAAUAAUCAGAUUUUUUAAUAAACAUAACUCUGAGUACAAAAACAAAUUAUGUUUAGAUUGCGGGCAUAAGCAUAACAAUCUUGACAGUACCGUUGUUGUUUGGACUUUGAGAAUGAUAAAACAAAAGAGUUAGAAUAAAUUUAAAAUAAAAAAUUAAUUUUCUAAAAAUACUUUUAAAAUAUAAAAACAAACUAAUGAUAAAAUAGACUUUCAUACACUUAUCAAAAUCGCAGGAACGCAACAAUCAGGCAUUAGCUUCAAGCAACCAGAGGGAGCUUCACUGCAGUAGAAAACUUCAACAUAGCUUGAUUUGCUAUCCAAUCUGCACACCAUUGGAUAGCAAUUUCUUUUCAUAACAUUUACCUUUGUAAAAAAUUUCUACUUAUUUUUAGUUUUAAUAUCAAAUUCAGUCUUUAAUAUUUAUCUUCAAAAUUUUAAUAUAAAAUUUGACGGUCAAAAUUUCACUUAUUUUUAAUCAAUUAAAUUGAACAAAAUUUUGUUAAGUCAAACAUCAACUCUACAUUGAAUUGUUUUUAGUUUUAAUAUCAAAUUCAGUCUUUAAUAUUUAUCUUCAAAAUUUUAAUAUAAAAUUUGACGGUCAAAAUUUCACUUAUUUUUAAUCAAUUAAAUUGAACAAAAUUUUGUUAAGUCAAACAUCAACUCUACAUUGAAUUGUUUUUCUUCUUAGACCACAAGAGCUCCAUAACAAGUUUAUUGAAAUAAAUUAUCAAAUGAAAUUAAAGGAAUUAUGAUGCCUUGAUGGAGUUUGAGGCCAAUUUUAUAUGAAACUUAAUGAUAAAAAAAUGUCUAAAUCUCCCAAUUGUUGUCUGUUUGUUUAACAGUAAAGAAUUUGAAGAUGCUCGAGAUCGAUACACUAAACAUAAAACUUUUUGUAUAAUACAAACACUUGCUAAUUCAUUGGACAUUGUAGCAAAUUGGAGCACUCACCAUUGUUUCAGGAAAGGACGUUGAAAACGGAGUUGUUUGUUGAAUACUAUUGUUGAUCACAUUGUUCUGUCCACCUUGAUCAUUGCAUGAUAUGGAGCUUUGGUUGACUGGAACCUCCGGUGGUGGCCUGCUUCCAAGGACAGUGACGACAUUAUAUUGUUUUUUGGCAAUAAUAGGAUAAACCGAAGAAUAACUAAAUUGCAAGCAAUCAUCUUCUGAUAAAAUAUGCUUAAAAAUGACGUACGAGAGAAGCUCAAUGUCGGGCAAUAGUGAUUGAAAAUCGAGCUCAUUCCACAUCAUGUUGACAUCCUCCUCUAUAGAAGAUGGUGGGAACCCUUCCAUCUGACCAGAAAAGAUCAGAAAAGAGAAAAAGAACAGAAAGCACGGAUCAGAAAAGAACAUAUAUAUGACUUACUUGUUGGUUAAAGAAAUUCGGAUGAAAAAUAUGAAAUAUAAAUGUUGUUGUUAAUGAUUUAAUCCUGUCUUUUAAGCUAAAUUAUCAUACUCAAAUUCUUUUUAUGAUAGAUAGAAAGAUGCAGGAUAACUGGUGAACAAAAACCUCUUUCAACUCCUCUUUAUUCAUAAUUUGGGGAGCAAAACAAAUGCAAGAUUCAUUGUUUACUGUUAAACAAACCUCUUUCAACUCCUAUUUAUUCUUUUUUAAUUAUUCUUAUUUUGUUUAUUGAAAGGUAAUUACCGAUCAAGUUAAUUCAUUGAAUCAUUGUAAGAAAAAAAAAAGUUGAAAAAUACUGAAUAAAAAUGAAUGGCAGUCCCAUUAAUUGGAAAAGAAAAGGGUGAAUCUAAAAUAAGGAGUUAAAAACGGCAAAGAAUCUUGAAAAGACGAAAACAAUGAAUUUAGUAUUGAUUUAGUAUGAACUCUCUCCACAAGGCAUGGAUUAUAAAAUCCGAGAAAAAGAUCAAUUUAUUUAUCAUGGAUUCCUUUAAAGAUUCAAACCAUACUUACAUAUAUAAAAACAAAAACACCAACAAGAUGAAGUACAAAUAAUUUACCAACAAGAUUCAGGUGCUGGUUUGCUUGAGCAGUAUUCAGCCAAAAAAAAAAGGAAGAGAAAUCACAGAUCACAGAAGAAUAUAUGGUUUAGAAAAAUAAUAAAGUUGCAGCAUACAUAAAUCUAGUUCGCACUGAUCAUGAGAUGUGGAAAGGAAAAUACGGAAUUGUAUAAUGAGAUGAGAUGUGGAAAAGAAUGUUACAGCAGCCGGCUAGAGCGUAUUUGGUAGUGUAGUAACAGUUGUUUUUCAAAUAGUUUUACAUGCUGAAAUACAUGCAAAUGAUAAUAAUAAUAAGUAAUUAACGUAUUGUUUGAUAGGAAGGAAGUUGCCAGGAAGCAACCCAAACAUAUUACAUUACAAGAUAUAGAAAGUUAACGUGUGGACCCGCCUCCAUGUUCACACUUCGAAGAAGCUGCCAAGAAAAUGUAAACACAUGAAAAUGAGAAAGAAUAGCAUAUUUCCGCUUUUGAAAAAUCAUUCAUCACUUUUAAAUACGCAAAUGAUUAUUAAGAAAAUUCAACGACAACAAUACACUCAAGAGCAAUAUUACAGUAAAGAAAUUAAAUCAAUACAGAUAAAUAAAUGAUCCAAAUAUAAUUAAAGAAUCAAUCCAUUUAAUCGAAAAAAACAUGACUGAAUCCAUAAACUACAUGCCCCUCUUUUUCUAAAGGAGGCAGCCCCACUUUUUCAUCACGUCGCCAUGGUCCCCGUGUCCCACACGUUUUUCAGUGACUUUUUGUCAGUUAAAAUUAUUAAAUGAUUUUUGUGGUGAUUUUAGCCCAGCUUUGGGGUAUCAAGUUUCCACGGAGACAAAUUAAAAGAAUAGAAAAAAAUAUUACAUGGAGACAAAUUAAGAGAAUUGAAGAAAAUAUUAAAUGAUUUAAUAGAGAUUAAAAUUUAAUUUUAAAUACAAAUUAAAAUAAAGCAAGGUGACUAAUGGAGAAAGUAGUGGAAUUCUACAAACAGUAGAGCGUCGGGAAUCCUUGCACUUCGCUUUUGAAAAAUCAUUCAUCACUUUUAAAUACGCAAACGACAACAAUAUACCCAAGAGCAAUAUUACAGUAAAGAGAUUAAAUCAAUACAGAUAAAUAUAUGAUCCAAAUAUAAUUAAAGAAUCAAUCCAUUUAAUCGAAAAAAACAUGACUUUUUCAUCAUGUCGCCGUGGUCCCCGUGUCCCACACGUUUUUAAAUGCGUCCAGGCUGGUUCAAAGUGAAUUUCACGACUCCUGAACCUUGACUUGUCUGUGAGAGCUUCAACUCUACAUUGAAAUGCUUUUUCUUAAACUGUGAGACUCAUAAUAAGCUUAUUGAAAUAAAUUAUUAUAAUGAAAUUAAAAACAAAAAUGCUUUAAAAAAAAACAGAGAGACGCCGUGUUUUCUCUAUUGCUACAUGGUAAAAGUCUGAGCAUAUUUAUUAUUAUUAUUAUUAUUAUUAUUAUUAUUAUUUUAAUAAUAUUACUGUUCUAUCUACCGCCUAGAAAUCAAGAACGCUAGUUUCAUUUAAAAGAUUCUAAAGUUCAUAAAUUAGCAGACAGGACGAAAACACAACAAAUCAUACCCAGAGAAGCAAAAGCCAGAAACAAGCUACCUCAAUUCCUGCUCCACCUGGCUAAGAAAUGCAGCGUGCCCACUUGGAAUUACACAUCAUCCAAAUUCCAGGGCAAAUAAUUGGUUGGAAUUGUUUUCUGAGGAGUCAUCUCAAAUUUGAAAAAUAAAAACAGAAAAUAGAUCCAGCAAAUGAUUCCAAAUAUCUUCUAAAAAGAACAAUGAAAUAUGUUUUUUUAUUUACUGUAAGGAAAGAUAUUAAUGGAAAAAAUAAAAAAAUCAAUUUAAAAAAUAUAUAAUAAGUCAAAAUCUAGACUUAAAAUCUAACUAGGUUCCUAGUUGAAUUGAAUAAUUGAGAGUGAAACGUGUCAAGACUGACACGAGUUCAGAAUAGACUCCACAACAGAAAAAACAAAAAAAAACGAUCCAUAUUGUGGCCCGUAGUAGUAUUCCGGAGGAGAGGGUCAAAGAUGGCGGCUGGUUCAAAGGACGAGCUUAAUCUCAUGAAUCAUUUUUAAACCUUUAUAGUAGGAAUUGACACGUGUCCUCUAAACCCUCCUGUCCAUGGUUGUUAAAAUUGCGUUUUAACUUGUAAAAUUGUAUGAUUUUACGAGUCAAAACAUGCAUUACAGGUUGAAUCGCUUGAAAAAAUCAAAAAUGGAUAAAAUCGGGUUGAAAUCAAGUGAAAUCGCGCAACAUCGUGAUUUCAGGACCGAUUUUGCGAUUUUGACAAAAUUAGGCACUGAAACAAAAUUCCCUCCCUCAUGUCCAGCUGUCUUCACUUUUUUUCAGCCUAUUUGGUCCUUGGACUUUAAUUUUCUAGCAAUGUUUCUUUGUAUGAGCUCCAAACUUUGGUGUUUUUUCAAUUGAACCCCCGAUUCCUUUAAUUAAUUAAAUCAAAGUUUAAUUAAGUCCUCAAACUCAUCAAUUCCUUAAUUAAGCUCAUGAUUUCAUUAAUUAAACUAAUCCAAAUUUUAAUUAAAUUCUCAAAGUUAUUAAUUCUUCAAUUUCUAACAAAUUGACUCUCAAAUUUUAUUUGAAUCAUGUAUUUUAAGAUGCUUGAACUAUGUAUGAAUUUUUAUUUGAAGGCUUGAAAUAUGUAUGAAUUUUUAUUUGAAGCAUGAAUUUUUUUUAAUGUAUUUUAAAAUUCCUUACGAUUUUACGAUCCGAGUUUAUGAACGGCUUUCCGUGUCGUGUUAAAAUCGUGAUUUUAACAACCUUGCUCCUGUCCCUCUUCCGAUCCUUGCUAAACCCCUUGUUCUGGUUGUAAUCAUCCAUUAGCGUAAACCUAUGCUUCUCUUGACUUUGAUCCCAAUAAACCAACCCAUAGAGUUGGUGGUAAUGUAAAUGAUAUUACUUUUUAAAUUAUUUUUAUUUUAAAAAAUAUGAAACUAAUUUUAGGCCCCGUUUAUUUGCUGGAAAGUAGUUUAUUUGCUGGAAAAUAGUUUCUUUUUGGAAAGUGAAUUCCGAGGAAAGUGAAUUAUGAGAAAGUAUUUUUCGAUGUUUGGUAGUGUAAUGAAAAAUAAGUUGGAAAACACUUUCCAGUGUUUGGUUAUGUCAUGAAAAAUGAGCUGAAAAAUAAUUUAUUAAUAUUUUAUUUUUCUCAAGUUUAUUAAAAUAAUGAGGAACAAAUCUUACAAAUUAAAAAGUUGAAUGAGAAUGAAAUUGAAAAAACAAAAUCUAAUUUCAUGAAUUAUCUCAAAUAAAAUAAAUAAUAAUCAAAAUAAUAGAGAUCAAAUCUAAAAAAUUAAUAAAAAAUAAAAGAUGAAGAAAUUAAAAUAAUAAUAAUCAAUAUUUCAUAAAUUAUUUCAAAUAAAAUAAGUAACAAUCAAAAGAAUGAGGAUCAAAUUUGAUAGAUAAAAAAUUUCAAUAAAAAAAUGAUAAGGAAAAAGCAAAUAGCAAUUAUAAAAAUAAGGAUCAAAGUUAAUAUAAAAAUAAAAUUUUAAGAGAUGAAAUUAAAAAAUAAAUAUUUAAAACAAAAUAUAUAUAGCAAUCAAAAGUUUGAGGAUCAAAUUUGAUAUAAUCAGCAAAUAAUGAUAUUUUUAAAUUUUUUCCCAACUUCCGGAAAGUGUUUUCCCUCCAAAUUUUUCAGGAAAAUAUUUUCCUGAAAACCAAGUUAAAUUUUUCUUUUACUGGAAAGUGGUUUCCAUUGACCAACUUUACUAUUGGCAAACAAACACAAGAAAGUUUGGGAAGUGAUUUUCCGGAAAUCACUUUCCGGAAAACAAACAUAGCUAAAGGGAAAACACUUUUCUGAAAACCAAGUCAAAUGUUUCUUUGACUGAAAUUAACCGGAAAGUGUUUUCCGUUGACCAACUUUCCUAAUGACAAACAAACACAUGAAAGUUUGGAAAAUGGUUUCCCGGAAACUACUUUUCGAGAAACAAACAUGACCUUAAUGCGUUGGUAUUAACAAAAAUUUUAAAAAUAUUAUAUUAAUAUAUUUUUAUUUGAAAAAUAUUUUAAAAAAACCGUAUGUAGAAUUACUAAACACCCUUAAGCCAGUGAACAAAGACACUAACGACAAAAUACAAAGGAAAAGGGAUAAAAGCAUAUAUUUGGAGAUGACAAAAGGGCUUUGAGAUCAAAGAGGAUAAGUUUUUUCUUUUUUAAUUUUAAUAAUACUUCUGUUCUUUCUAUCCCAAGAAAUAGAGAAUGCUAGUUUCAUUCAUCAAGAUUCUAAAUCUUAUAUUUAGAUAAAUUAGUAGAAAGGACAAAAACCCUAACAAAGAAAUGCAGCAUGCCCGCUUUGAAUUAUAGAUCAUCCAAAUUCCAGGGUAAAUAAUUCGAGAGUAAUUUGAUAGUGUUUAUAGAUUAAUUAAUGAUAUUUUAUUACUUUUUUAUAUUUAUUUUAAAAAAUAAAGAGAUACAACUAGAAAAAGAAAAAUUCAAGAUGAAAAUAUUCUUAUUAUUUUUUAUGAGUCAUGAAUUAUAUAUAUAUAUUUUUAAAUGAAUCUAGAUAAUAACUAAUAAUAUAUCCCUAGUGAUUCCCCUAAUCAUUAUAAAAUAUUGCGUGGGAAAUGCAGGUGAAGAAUUAGAAACAAGGAAAAAUGUCGAGACAAUGAAAAUUAAUUGUUAUAUAAUUGUACAUGGCAUACACUUUAAAGCUCCGAACCUCAGUAAAUGAUUUAAUAGAGAAUAAAAUUUAAUUUUAAAUGCAAAUUAAAAUAAAGCAGAGUGACUCAUGGAGAAAGCACAACUGGAAUUCUACAAACAGUAGAGCGUCGGGAAUCCUUGCACACCUUUGGUAAUUUAAUUAUUCUUAUUUCGUUUAAUAACUCAAAUAUAAUAAAGAAUUAAUCCAUUUAAUAGAGAAAACAUGACUGAAUCCAUAAACCACAUAAAUCCCUUUUUCUUAUCUGGUGCAAUUCCCAUGCGUCUUCUUUAUUCCAAAUGCCCCUCUUUUCAAAUUAGGCAUCUUCAAUUCAAUCUCCUUUUUCAUCACGUCUCCAUGAUCCCCGUUGUGUCACAAACAAAUUGCCUAAAGUUUAGGACUUUUUAUUGACAGCCACGUACAUGCUUUAGGAGUUUCUUUUUUGAAAUCCUCAUUAGAGGCUAAUUUAUAGCCUUUCAAGAUACCUUUCCAACACGUCAAGAAUCACAGCAAUCCGAUAUGUGAGUGAAAAGUUAUGAUUAAAAUACUAAAAUGUGUGGAAAAGAUACCUUUCCUACGACUUUGCUAAAAUUAUCUGACAAAUUAUCAGGCUUAUAAAAAAGCUUAAUAAAAUCAGAAAAAAAAAUCAUUUUUAUUCAAUAAAAUAAAAAAGAAAACUCAGGUAAUAAAUGUUCAAUUCACUUUCCAGCCAACAAUAAAAAAUGAAAGUAUUUUUAUUCAAUAAUACUUCUUGGCUUACAAAUAAGCUGCCAACAAUUAUAUAAGAAUCAAAUCUCUCCGAUCACAUGAUCGUUUAAAAUGCUCAACACUUAGAAAGCAAAUUUACAGAAUAAUAAGUCUAGCAAACUUCUUGAUAUAUAUAUAUUAUUCAACCAAAUAAUUGCUUGUGACAUAUAGGUGGCGAGCUUCCUAGUAUUAAAAAUUUAAGAUCAUCAAAUAAUUAAACUUUUUAUCCAAAGCAAUAAAUUUUAUGUGUCUAUUUUAAAAUUUGGUUUUCGAAAGAAAAUCAAAAUGACAUAUCAAACAAUACCUAUAAAUCUUUUAUAUUACAGAUUAACUAUAACACCUAUUUAUCAUUCUUAAGGUCAAUAUUUAGGAAUAAAUGAAUAAAAGCUACGUAUCAAUAUUUAAUUUAAGUAAUCUCAAAGACUACUAAUUUAGCUUUUGAUAUUAAAAGGGCGUAUGUCGUUACUCUCUGCCUAGUUGAUGGGGAAAAUAUCAGGUCUUCUAUCUCCACCACUCCCUGCUAACUCUUUUCCUCAUAUCUUACGUUAUAUCUAUCAAGUUUGCUUAAUUAAGAUGGAAUAUUUAUGACUUUUAUAUGUAUUAAAUCAAUUUAAUUGUUUUGACUUAUCAUGAUCAACAUGAAGUCAUCAUAUUAUAAAACCAAAAAUCAAUGGUGUAUCUAAUUAUCAAAAAGGUAUAAAUAUUGCUAUGAAGUUAACGUGUGGACCACCCCAAUUAUGAAGCUCGGAAGAUGCCUAGAAAAUGUAAACACGUGAAUAUUGAAAACAAUAACAUACUUUCCUUUUUAAAAUGUUUUUUAUUUUGAAAAAAAAAAUUUAAUAAAAAAAUUAAUAAUUUAAAAAGUAAAAAAAAUUCAAUUUUGUUGAAAAACAUUUGCUUUAACAAUGACAUAUUAAAUAUGUGAUUAAUUAAGAGCAUGUGAUUCCUUUUGUUUUUAGUUGUUUUUUCAAAAAAAGAUAUAUAGAUUUUUUUAAUGUUUUUUUUUAUAUAAUUUUAAUGUAUUAAUAUUAAAAAUAAAAUAAAUAAAUAAAUAAAUCAUGUAGUCUAUUUCCAAACCAAUCUAAUAUUGGAGGUCGAAAUUAAAAAAAAAACCAAUUAAAAAAAUUAAAAGAUAAAAUUAAAAAAAAAAAACAUAUUCGAUCAGUGAAUAAAUAUAUUAAACCUGUAAAUCAGGUAACUUGAGCUAACACAUCAAACUUAUUAACAAGGUUAUGGAUACCAAUUGAGUUACUUUUAGGAUAUUUUUUUGGCAGCCACGUAUAUGCUUUAGGAGUUCUUUUUAUUAAAUCAAUAUUAAAGUAAAAAAAUUAAAUCAAUACAGAUAAAUAAAUGAACUAAAUGUAAUCAAACAAUUAAUCCAUUUAACAGAAAAAACAUUACUGAAUCCAUAAACUACAUUAAUCCCUUCCUUUUCUUGUUUUUUUUUUUUUCUCUGGUGGAAUUCCCACACGUCUUCUUUAUGGGCAGCCCCACUUUUAAACCCUCUUUUUCAUCACGUCCCCAUGGUCCCCGUGUCCCACACCUUUUCAUCAAAAACCUAAAUUUUAGGACUUCUUUGGCAGCCAUCUAACAAUAUAUAAAAAUAAUAUUUUUAUUUUUAAAAAAUUAUUUUUAACAUCAAUACAUUAAAUAAUCUAAAAAUAUAAAAAAAAUAUUUAAAAAAAUCAAAAUUUUUAAAAACACAAGCAUUCCCAAACAAGAUAACGCGUCAAGAAUCACAACAAUCUGACAUGUGAGUGGAAAGUUGUGAUUAAAACACAUUACUACUUUUAGAUUGAUUUUGACAGCGUAGCAGGAAACGUCAUUAUUGUUAUUUUUAAAAUAUUUUUUUUAUUUAUAAAUAUAUUAAAAUAAAAGUUGUUAAUUUCGUUUCGUUUUAUUUGUAAUGAUUUCAUACUAAUUCAAAAAAUGAAAUAAAACAAAAUAAUUUUUAUCUUAUUUCAAAUAUCAGUCCCUUCCAAAUUUUUCAGCUAAAUUCCGUUUAGAAUGUUCCGGUUUCAUUCCACAUGUUCUGUUCUGGUCUUAAAAAGCUAUUGAAUCAAAUUGAACCUGGUUCAAUUAAUUAAUUAAACCAUCAAAGUAUAAAAAGCUCUUUUUCAUUACUAUUUUCAUUAACUAUGAUAUUAAUUUUUUGAAAUUUGAUUUAUCACUAAUAUUUAUGGUUUAUAUUCAUGUUGUUUUUUUUCAAGUUUAUACUUUGUAGGAAUUUAAGCAAAAAAAAUAGAUGUUUUAGAUCUCAUUAGCCUUGAUAACAUUGACCUAGCUUUAUAUUUAAAAUAUUAGUGUUAAAAUAUUUUAAUUUCAUAAUAUUUUGAUAUUUUAUUGAAGUUGAAUUGUUUUAAGUUAAAAAAUUAUUUAAUUUUAACUAUUUAAAAAUAUUUUAAAUUUUAAAAUUAUAUUUCAUCACGUCUCCAUGAUCCCAGUUGUGUCAAAAACAAAUUGCCUAAAUUUUAGGCUUUAGCAGUUCCUUUUUUGAAAUACUCAUUAGUGAAAUUUCACGACUCCAGCUGGGCCUUGACUUGUCUGUUUAAUUUCUAUUAUUUUUAUUCCAUUUUAGCAUUUUAGCAUUUAAUACUCAUCAAAACCACUAAAACGAAAUCAAGCUCUAGCUUCAAACAACCAGAGGGAGAUUUUAUAGGGAUAAAAUUUUAAAAAUCACGCCUAUGCUACUUUCUAGUUUUAGUAUUAAAUUUAAUAUUUAAAAAAUGUGUUUAUGAAUAUGGGAGUUUCAGGUUUAGAAACCAAAACUGUCAUAUUCAUACUCUCUCUUAGACAUUUUAAAAAUGUGUGUAGAAGAAUACUUUCACUGAUGAUUUAUAAUAUUAGGUUAGUUUAAUGAUAAAUCAAUAUAGUAUUUUUUUUAUUUCUUGGAUUUUCAUCUUGGAGAAAUUCAAUAGGAUGAAAAUAUAAUAUUAAUCAAACUUCAAAUUAUAAUUGUUUAUCUAUCGAGUUAAAAAAAAAUAUGACAAUUCAGUAGUCUUUAAUGAAAUAAAACAAAAUGAAAAAUGUUAUUUAUGUAAUUGUAAGCAUACUAUAUUAUAUUACUUUUACAAAGGGACGAAGGACAUCCUUUGCGUUAGGAUGCUCCCACUCCACUACUGACUCCCACCAUUCUUCUGGAUAUACCACAAUUUCUUUAAGAGAAGGGGGAGGAGAUGGCUGGCCAUUUUCAAGCAACGGAAGACAAAUUGGCAUCCUCUUCAGCUUCUCACAAGACAUUACACUAAUAUCUUCAAGAGAAUUGCAAAUCAGUUUUGCACUGCAAAUGCUUUUCAGUUCUGGUAAGUAAAUCAAUUCCAGAGUUUUUAACUUUGGGAGAAUGACUUCCGUGAUGGAAUUGGAGGUGCUGCUUUCUUCAUCUGUUGUUCCUAUUAUCUCCUCCAUUUUCUCACAGCACCUCACAUCAAUCCUUUCCAGGUUUACGAGGAUUGGCAGCAACACAAGUGGGAACAGCUUCUUCAUACUUUUACACCAUCCACAAUUAAACUCUUUAAGACCAGAAAACGUACCGUUACAUGAUGGCAAUCGUGGUGGAGCAGAGCAGAACCAAGAAGAUGAAACCAAGCUCUCCAUGUUAUCGCAUUCCCGAAUGCUGAUGCGCUCCAGUUCAGUUGCAUUCUCUAAUGACAAAACAUCACAUAAACUUCUUGCAUCGAUGCAUUCACAAAUCAGUCCUUGAAUGCCAUUUAAGAACUUGACCUGAAAAUCUCUAUCUCCUUUGAUACUCAAAUUACCCAACCCAACUGUUUUACUUGGAAAACGUUCAAUGCGUUGCUCUAAAUAUCUAUCCACCUCUGCUACUAAAAUCUUGCAUGUGCUUAAUGAUAGGAUCCCAUCCCGAGAUCUGAGAUACUCCACGAAGUCAGAAAAACCUUCGAAAUGGCACUCCAAAGUUUCCAAAUUUCUCAAGGAUCCUACUUCCUUUCCUUUAACUGUUAUCGGAGCAUAACAUUCCCCUAUAAACUCUUCUAGUACAAAGACUUGCAGGUGAGAGAGUUUUGGUAAUAUCCCACUAGGAAACUCCUUUUCACCAUAUCCAUUCAUUCUAAGAUACCUCAGGUUGGUUAGGCAUUCCAUUCCUUGCGGUAUCUUUUCAAGUGCAGUAUGAGAGAGACUCAAUCUCUUCAGUGCCUGGAGCUUCUCUAAUGAUGGAACACGUCUUAAUUUCUCACAAUGAUUGAGCAAUAAUGCUGUGAGGCUCACCAAAUCAGAAACAGAGUCUGGCAAAUUUCCAAUAUUUGUCCAAGACAGAUCAAGGACCUUAAGCCCAUGCAAUUGCUUGAAAAAUGAAUCCGCAAUAAAUCCCAACCAAUGAUUUUGACAUAGCAAUAGAGUUGAUAGAUAGGGACACCUAGGUGAAUGACUGGAAGGAAUUUCUUCGAUCAUGUUGUCCAUUAGUGAAACUCUCGUCAGAUUCUCCGUCCACUCCUCUGCAUCUGGCAACUCUUCUAAUUGUGCACCUGCUUUGACCAUGCCUUGAGAGUUCUCUAGCAGUAUUUGGAUAGCCAUGUCCCUAAUCAAGUCAUGCAUCUUGACACGUCUAAUAUCAUCAUACUUCCUUGUAGCACUUUCCAAUAGGCAGACAUUUUCAAGUCGAUUAAGCAUCGUGUGGCCCUCAUCAAAUGCAUCUCCCCUGCUCCUCUUUCCUUUAAUUAUUCCCUCAUCGAUCAAAUAACCUAUCAACUCCCCCCUUUUAAUCUCAUCAUCUUCAGAAAAUAAUGCACAGUACAAGAGACAUUGUUGUAGUGUUAAAUCACCUAACCGAUCAUAACUAAACCUCAAUAACUUGAAUACUUCAUUGUCCUUAAAUUCUGAUUCUCUCAAUUUGUUCAAUGUAUUUCUCCACUCAUAUAGGUCAUCCACUCCCCUCAAGCUUCCUGCCACUGUAAUAAUUCCUAAUGGCAAACCAGCACAUUCCCUUGCAACAGCUUUCGCAAUUCUUUCCACUUCUGGUCAAAGUGCUACAUCACGUUGAAGCUUCUCCAUGAACAAAGUCCAAGCUUCUCCAUUAGAAAGUGGCUUCACUUUGAUUUUGUGCUGGCAAGCCAUCCGAUGACAAAUCGUUUCUGAUCGAGUUGUCAUAAUCAGCUUGCAUCCUUCCAACUUUUCAGGAAUUCCCACUUUGUGUAGCUCAAAAUUGUUCCACAAAUCAUCUAAAAUGAGAAUCCAUUUUUGUUUCUUCCUUAGUUCUUCUGACAAUUUGGCAGCUCUAUGCAGUUCAUCAUUUUUUCUUGAAAGAUCUAGAUCGAGAUGUUCAGCAAUAAGAUUCUGCAAUCUAUUAAUGCUGAAAUCUUGAGACACGGUCACCCACCAAACAUUAUCACAAAUAUCUGGUCUUUGUAGAAGCUCAUUAUGGAUAUGUUGCAGUAUUGUGGAUUUACCAACUCCCCCCAUCCCAUAAAUGCCAAUGGUUGAGACUUUCCCAUCCAUUAACAAAGACCAUAUCACCUUCGUAUUCUCUUCGAAUGCUUGACCCACCGGCUUUGUAGAGCUAGUAGGUAAUGGAACUCCUCUAGUCUUGUUGUAUUUCAGACUUUCAGAAGAUCUAGCUCCAGCACCAACCUGCACUGAUCUUUGACUAUUCUCCACAUCCUCCUCCACUGGUUCUGUCCUCGCUCUAACCCGAUUAAUUCUCUCUUCCCCGGCACCUUGUUCCAGCACCCCCUGAACUCCAACUUGUAUCCUUCCAGCACCCCCCGCCAAAUUGCCAAGUACUGCAUUGCUUUGUUCCAACGAUCGAUCCACUGGUUCUGUCCUCGGUCUGCUCUCGAGUGCCCCUUCGGAAACUCCAUCUUCUUGUGCUCUCAUUCCGGUCAUGCUUACUGCGUCGUUUCCCGCUAUUGCAUGUGAAGUAAUCCUCUCUUCCCCUACUCCAGGUUCUACAACCUGAACUUCUCUUUGUACCCUUCCAAUUCCUCCUACCAUUCUUGAAAUUCCACAAUCAUUAACAUUGAUUGAACCUGCUGUGAUUUUAUGUCUUUUGUUGCCACCACACAUAGCUUUCCAGGCUGCUUCUUGAACUUCUUUAGGCACCCCAUGACAAAUGGCAACAUUAUGCCCUUCCUCUCCUGAUAAAUGCCAUUUGAUCCUUGAAAUGGAGGUUUUAUUGGCAAAUGUGUGUUGACAAAACUUACACUUCAUGCUACCAUCAGUCCUAUCUUCAAUAUAAUUCCAAAAUGAAUCCUUUGAUCGAACCAUUUCAACCUAUAUAAAAAAUGUAGAAAUGUAAAGAACUAUAAAGAGCUGCCCUGCAUUUACUGAUGAAGGAAAAGAACAGUGAACUUAGUUCACGAUUGAGAAGAACAAAUGCUUAAGUAAAACACAGAGCUUUGAUUAUCAAAUGUAAAGAACAAAGAGCAGAAUUGAGUUAGUUGGUUACUGCCAUCCCAAGUCUUUAUUUAUAAAGGGAAAGAAACAGAAUUUGAAUGGAAAACAAUAACUAGAAACGUGCCUGCCUUCUUCUCCUUUAUUUAAGGAGAUGAUUACAAGUUAAUUCAAUCCUAGAUAAUCUUAACAAAGAAAUCAAAAACAUAUCCUACACUAGAUAAUAGUCUCAGCUAAAAUAAAGAAAUAAUGCAGCAGUGAAUUACUGCUAAGUCUUCUGCUUCUGCUAGCUUAGGUACCAAGCUUCAACACUCCUCCUUGGUUCCAAAGCUAGUCAUUCCAAUUCUUGCCCUUAGAUCUUCAAACCUGGUUUUACCCAACGGUUUGGUGAAAAGAUCUGCUAGUUGAUCUUCAGAAGUGCAGUAGCACAGUUCCAGUUCUCCUUCUUGUUGAAACUGCCUGAGUGCAUGAAACUUGAUCUUCAUGUGCUUGGUUUUAUCAUGGAAGACAGAGUUUUUAGAAAUGGCUAUAGCUGAUGUAUUGUCACAAAACAAUGUUGUGGGAUUGUGUUGAUUGCAGUCUAAGUCACUUAGCAUCUUCCUCAGCCAUAUCAGUUGUUUUGCUGCUACAUAAGCAGCUAUAUAUUCGGCUUCUGCAGUAGAAUGUGCCACCACCGAUUGUUUCUUUGAAUUCCAGCAAAACAUACUCUUUCCCACAGCAAAACAGUAGCCUGAUGUGCUCAUCAUUCCUUCAUCACUUCCUCCCCAAUCACUGUCUGAAAAACCAACAAGAUUAAUUGAGCCGGACUUCACAAAGUGUAUGCCAAAACCUGCAGUCCCUCUUAGAUAUCUUAAUACUCUCUUAGCUGCCACAAAGUGAUUUUGACUUGGCUCUUGCAUGAACCUGGAAAGAUAAUUCACAGCAAAUUGAAUGUCAGGACGUGUGGCUGCUAAAUACAGCAAACUCCCAAUUAGACUCCUGUAGAUUUUCCCAUCAGCUUUUGGUGAGCCAUCCUCUUUCAUUAGCUUCUGCCCCUGUAUCAUAGGAGUGCUUACUGGCUUGCAAUUGUUCAUUGCAAAACUGUCCAGUAUUUUCAAAGAAAAACGUUGUUGACAAAGAAAAUAACCUUGAUCAGUUUGAGUUACUUCCAUUCCUAAAAAAUAAGUCAACAAACCAAGUUCAUUCAUCUCAAACAUGUCUUUCAUAUUGGUUUUGAAUUCCUCUACAAGCUGCUCCUUAUCCCCUGUGAUUAGUAAAUCAUCAACAUAAACUGAUACAAUUAGUUUAUGUCCAGCAGCAUGCUUCACAUAUAAAGUUACCUCAUUCAUGCUCCUGUUAAAUCCCAAGCUUAAGAGAUGAUUAUCCAACCUGCUAUACCAAGCUCUAGGAGCUUGUUUCAAUCCAUACAAUGCUUUCUUCAGUAAAUAAACCUUGUUUGUUGAAUUAGAUUUUUCAAAACCAGCAGGCUGCUCAACAUAAAUCUCUUCAUCUAGCACCCCAUUCAAAAAUGCAGAUUUAACAUCCAAUUGAAAUAUAUACCAACCGUUUUGUGCUGCUAGAGCAAGCAGGAGUUUCAUUGUUUCAUGUCUGGAAACUGGAGCAAAAGUUUCUGUGAAGUCGAUCCCUGCCUCUUGUGAAUAUCCUUUCACUACAAGUCUGGCCUUAUGCUUGUUGAUCUUUCCAUCUGCAUUUACUUUUGUUUUGAAAAUCCAUUUCACUCCAAUCACCUUCUUAUGAGCUGGUCUGUCAACUAGCAUCCAUGUUUGAUUCUUGUCUAUCAUUGCAAGCUCCUCCUUCAUUGCUGCUAUCCAAACUUGAGAGUUCAUGCUUCUUCAACAUUUACUGGUUCUGCCUCGCUACAUUGCACCUGCUAUAGAUAUCUGAUAGAGAUCUUGUCCCUCUUACUGGUUGAUCAUCACUGUUUUCUGCAGCAUCCAAGUCAGUUUGUUGCUCAAUAUUCCCAGCAACAUCUGUUUGUUGAUUAAUCAUGUUUGCAUCAUCCAACUCAUCUUGUUGCAUCGGUUUUGAUUCUUCAUUUGAUGAAUUUUUCCAGUUCCAAGCUGCAUUUUCUACAACUUUGACAUCUCUAGCAACCACCACUUUGUUAACAUUCAAAUCAUAGAUUUUAUAAGCUUAGAAUUUGUACUAUAGCCUAUAAGAAUCCCUAUAUCAGCCUUUUGAUCAAGUUUCCUUCUUCUGACUUCAGGUUUCAGAACAUAACAAAUACUUCCAAACACCUUUAAAUGAUCAAUACUGGGUUUAAAACCAUACCAGAGUUCAUAAGGAGUUUUAUCUGCCAAAACUCUUGAAGCCAUUCGGUUUAUAAGGUAUGCUGCUGUGUUUACUGCUUCUGCCCAGAAAUUCAAUGGCAACUUCUUCUCAUAGAGCAAGCAUCUAGCCAUCUCCAUCAAUGUUCGGUUUCUUCUUUCACUUACACCAUUCUGCUGUGGUGUGUAGGGAACAGUCAGCUGGUGUUUAAUCCCUUCUUUAGCAAGGUAUGCUUCAAAUUGUCGAGAGGUAUACUCUCCUCCAUUGUCAGAUCUCAAAGUCUUCAAUUUGUUUCCUGUUUCUAGUUCAACUGCUGCCUUGAACUUAACAAACUCAGCAAACACAUCAGCUUUGGAUUUUAGAAAAUAAACCCAGCAAUACCUGCUAAAAUCAUCAAUAAACAGAAGAAAGUACUUUGAACCAUUUAAUGAUUCAUUGUGCAUAGGUCCACACACAUCUGUGUGUACAAGCUGAAGUUUAGAUACUGCCCUGUAUGCAUUUUCUGGAAAAACAGUUCUGGUUUGUUUUCCCAGCUGACAAGCCUCACAUAUAGUUUGCUGCUCCUGAAUAUUUGGCAACCCGUGAGCCAUCUGCUGGUCAGCCAUUCUUUUUAAAGUAGCAUAAUUGAAGUGUCCCAGCCGUUUGUGCCAAAGAACAGAUUCCUUGCACUCAUAAGUAUUAGCACUUAAACACACUUCAUUCCAAUUAACAUUAAAGCUUCGGUUCAUCAUUUUUGCAGACAGUAAAAGCAUUCCAUUUCUAUCUUUAAUGUCACACACUCCAUCAUUAAAAACUAUUGAAUAUCCAGAUUCAAUCAAUUGACCCACACUAACUAGAUUUGGUUGAUCUUAGGCACAUAAAGAACAUUUUUAAGAAUUUUUGUACCUGACAGUGUUUCUACUGCAAUUGCUCCUUUUCCUUCAACUUUCACAAGUCUCCAUUGCCAAUUCUGACUUUAGACAGGUAGCUUCUAUCCAAGUCUCUGAAUAAGCUUAAGUCUGCUGUCAUAUGAUUAGUGCAGCCGCUAUCAAUGAGCCAUGAUGAGUCCUUUGUCUCUGCUGAAUUACAUAUGUCCUGAACUGUGACCAUGAAUAGAAGUUCUUCUUUGACUUCUGAACAAUCGGCUACUUGUGCUUGUUGUUCAGUUUCUGUUUUAUUUUUGCAGAAUCUUUGAUGUGACCAAAUUGCUUGCAUUUUCGGCAUUGAGCAUUCUUGAGCCAACACCAGGCUUCAAGAUGAUUGUUUUCUGACAGUAUUUGCAAGCAGGAAAAUGUUCUUUCUUCUCUUUCCCCCUCAUGAAACUGUUAUUGUUGUUCUGUUGCCAGUUAGCAGAUUUCCAGUCUCUCCCUUUUUCUCUUUUUCCUUCUUGAUUAUUUCUGAAGAUGUUCUUAGCCCGACCCUUAUCCUUGUAAACUGCAACAAGAGCUCCUUCACUUGAUCCUUCUUGUCUAUAUGCUUGCCUUUGCUCCACAGCUUGCAAUGCAUUCACCAAUUCUUGCAGCUUAUCUCAGAAAAAUCUUUAGAAUCUUCUAAAGAACAGAUUUUAUGUUCAAAUUUUCUGGCAAACUCACCAGGACUUUCUCUACAAUUCUAGAGUCUGGAAAAUCUUCUCCCAAGAGUCUUACUUGAUUCACAAGUUUUGAAAUUUGAGAAGAGAAAUCUUUGAUGCUCUCAUUUUCUUUCAUCUUCAGACCUUCGAAUUGUCUUCUCAGAUUCAGAAUCUGCAUCCUUCUUGAUUUCUCAUCACCAUGGAACUCUGCUUUUAAUUUAUCCCAUGUUUCCUUGGCAGAUUUGCAUGCCAUGAUCCUCGUGAAGAUGUCUUCACUUACAGCAUUAUGAAGACAAGAAAGAGCUUUGAAUCUCUUUGCCUUUUCUUCAUUAAAGAACUUCAUCUGUGCAAUUGUGGGAUUGUUACCUAGAGGAGUAGGUUGCCUAUCACUUUCCACUAUCUCCCAUAAAUCAAGAGCUUUGAGAUAGGUUUCCAUUUUUACAGCCCACACACCAAAAUUCUGCCCUGCAAACAAUGGUGUUUUUGCUGGAAAAUUUGCAGAAUCCAUUGCUUAAAAAAAAACUCACUCAAUCUCUCGUGUAUCACUCACCAGCCCUCAAAGUAAAACUUUGAUUUAUCCUCACAGUACUCUCGUGUUUCUCACUCACAAAGAAUCCCUUCAAAGAUCAAAAAAAGCUCUGAUACCAAUUGUAGAAAUGUAAAGAACUAUAAAGAACUGCCCUGCAUUUACUGAUGAAGGAAAAGAACAGUACUUAGUUCACGAUUGAGAAGAACAAAGGCUUAAGAAAACACAGAGCUUUGAUUAUUAAAUAUAAAGAACAAAGAGCAGAAUUGAGUUAUUGGUUACUGCCAUCCCAAGUCUUUAUUUAUAAAGGAAAGAAACAGAAUUUGAAUGGAAAACAAUAACUAGAAACGUGCCUGCCUUCUUCUCCUUUAUUUAAGGAGAUGAUUACAAGUUAAUUCAAUCCUAGAUAAUCUUAACAAAGAAAUCAAAAACAUAUCCUACACUAGAUAAUAGUCUCAGCUAAAAUAAAGAAAUAAUGCAGCAGUGAAUUACUGCUAAGUCUUCUGCUUCUGCUAGCUUAGGUACCAAGCUUCAACAAAAAAAAGGUAAGUCAAAAUAAAGAAUAAAAAUUGAUGCAAGUUACACCAUAUCCAGAUGGAUGAGAAACUACUUCUUCAGUGUUGUUACCCUUAUUUUGCUAUUAAAAUUGAUAGUUAGUUUAUUGCACAAUCAUAGGAGGGAAAAAGACGACGAUAAUUCAGUUAUACUUCUUACUUGUUGAGUAUUUAAACCCCUAUUUUGACUUUGCAGGGAAGUGCCAAGGCCAGGAUUUGAGGCAUUUGGCGUAGCAGUUUGAUUUUGCAAUCCUCGAACUUGGAGGUUAUCCAUCUGUGACCUAUAUAUAAAUGAAGUGAUCAUAUUAUAAAACCUUUCCAUAAUUGGUAGUCUCUCUUAAGCAGUAAAAGUUAAUGGUGUUAAAACACAACAGCUAGAAGUCAAUCAGUACCUAGGCACGAAGUUCUCUUGUUGGACAUUGUCUAUGUUAGGAAUUACAGGUCGAUCGACUUGUCCUUGAUUACAAAAAUAUUGACUCCUGAAUCCAAAACCAUUUGCAAACAAUAUGUUUAGCUUGUUGGGUUCAUGUUCAAGCCAUGAUGUUUCUUUCCUGAUUGAAAAACUAAUUUUUUUUUUAUAUAGAAAAUACUAAACGUGAAAAAUUGGAUACCAGGGAGCAGGAAAAGAAGGUCCAGGUUGAAUGAAGCCACCAUGUUCUGAAGUGGUUGCGUUCGGUGUCAUAUAGGCAUGUCCCGGCUGAGGUUGAUGAAUAUUGGAGUUCUGAUGCCUGAAGAAUAUUCAAAUAGUUAAACUUAGAACUGUUAUGCUGACUUGGUUGAUUUUCUAGUUCCAUUAUGUGCACAAAAAAAGAGAGAUAGAGAGCUCAAAAAGACUUGAAAGAUCCUCGUCAAUUUUGGUCAAGUUUAUUGUUUUCAUGAUUAAAAAAGCUUAAAUUCAUUCAUUGAUUUAAUCAUUGAUUCAUUGGAGGUUGAGGUCCAGGUAGCAUCACAGGCACUUCAUUCAUUGGAGGUUGAGGUCCAGGCACUUGAUUGCUCAUUAGUAACUGAUAAUCAGUCCAUUGUUGGUCCCUAAAUUAGCAACAUUUGUUAGUAAUUUCUUUAUACAUAUAGCAUGGGAUUGGCACAUCGAGGAUCAGAUAAAUUAGGAUGAGGCAGAUACCUAUAUUCAAAUAUAAUGAAUUCAUUUAGUGUAAUACAUUGGCAUCACUGAUAAGAAUAUUAGGCAGAUAAGUAGAACAACAACAAGAAGUUAAAUAAUUAUGAAUAUUAUGUACAAGAAGAAUUUAAAUAAUGAUUAUUCUCACUUAGUUGAUUUUCUAGUUUCAUUAUGUGAAGCAAAUCAGGAGACAGGGGAAACAUGGGGAAGGCAAGGACUCUUGAAAGCUGAUUAAAGCUUAUUAGCUGUAGUUAUUAUUUCCUAUUUAGCUGAUAGGUUCCUAGUCAGAUUAGUAUUAGAUUUCAAUUACGUAUUAGAUCGUAAUUCCUUAGCUGUAGGGUAUUUAAGAGGGGAACAGAACAAAAGAUGGGACAUUAUUUGUAUUCUUGGCAAUUACUUUCUUUAAAUACAAAUUGGAGUGAUUCAUCUACAUAGAUAUUCUGUAUUAAAUUAUUUAUUGUUCUUACUGGGAGCAACGAGAGGUUGUACCGGAGGGCAUUUACAUUAAUAUGUGCAUAAAAAAAAAACAGAGAGAGAGAGAAAGAGAUAGAGAGCUCAAAAGAAGUUAAAUAAUGAUGAAUACCUUGAUGGAGUUUGAGGCCAAUUUGGUUCAUUUUGGUUGAUCCGUGAUGAUAUCGAGCUUUGGUUGUCUGGAACCUCCGGUGGCAGCCUGCUUCCAUGGACAGUGACAUUAUUAGGAUAAACGGAAGAAUAACUAAAUUGCAAGCAAUCAUCUUCUGAUAAAAUAUGCUUAAGAAUGACGUACGAGAGAAACUCAGAAAUAUUGAAUGUAUCUUCAAUGGUGUAUCUAAUUAUAAAAAUGAAGUGAUCAUUGUUAAAUAAUAUUUAUGUAGUCUUAUUUAUUAAGGGUAGAAUAGUACUUUCAGUUUAACCUAUAUAUACUUUAUUUGUAUUUAGGUUAAGACUAUGCAUUCAUAAUAAACAGAUUAUUCAGAAUUGUAGCCUCCUUUUUGUGUUUGAUCUCAAUAAGUUUAACAUGGUAUCAGAGCUGGUUUUAUGAAACGAGGCUUAAUCCCAAAUACAGCUUCGCGGAUCCAAUUUUUUUUUGAAGUGAUAUUUUGUCUUCCGCUUCUACAAAAUUGGGUAUUUCGACAGUUUCUAUAAUUAUUUUGGUAUUUCGACAGUUUCUGCAAUUAUUUUGGUAUUUGCAUUCAGUUUUUGCAAAUUUAUUUUGUGUUUUGGAGUAAUCGUAUAAUUUCGAGAAGAUAUUUGUUUAGUUUUUUGCAAUCUCUAUUCAGUUUCUACAAAUUGGUAUUUAGUUUUCCGCUGCUUUUGCAUUCUGGUUCUUUGUGACUGUUGGUUAUGGCUACUGAAAGAGAUGAUUCGCUUCAAUUUGUGAGUGUGAGGUUGGAUGGGAAGAACUAUUCGUAUUGGAGUUAUGUAAUGCGAAAUUUCCUUAAGGGUAAGAAGAUGUGGGGGUAUGUUAGUGGAACUUAUAUAAUACCUAAGAAUAUUGAAGAGGGGGAUGUUGUUUUGAUAGAUACAUGGGAAGCAAAUAAUGCAAAGAUUAUUACUUGGAUCAACAAUUCUGUUGAGCAUUCGAUAGGUAUGCAGUUGGCGAAGUAUGAGACAACAAAAGAGGUUUGGGAUCAUCUGCAAAGGUUAUUCACACAAUCAAAUUUUACAAAACAAUAUCAAUUAGAGAAUGACAUACGAGCUCCUCAUCAAAAGAAUAUGAGUAUUCAAGAGUUUUAUUCUGCUAUGACAGAUCUUUGGGAUCAAUUAGCUCUUACAGAAUCGGCAAAAUUAAAGGCAUGUGGUGCCUAUAUUGAGCGUAGAGAGCAGCAGCAAUUGGUACAGUUUUUAACAGCACUUCACAGUGAUUUUGAAGGACUUAGAGGUUCAAUUCUGCAUCGUUCUCCACUGCCUUGUGUUGACUUUGUUGUUAGUGAGUUAUUGGCUGAAGAAAUACGUCUUUAGUUUUAUUCUGAAAAGGGAAUUCUUUCUGCUUCAAAUCCUUCAUUAUUAGCAGUGUCUUCUAAGCCAUUCUCUAAUCAUCAGAAUAAGUCUUACACAAGGGUUGGCUUUGAUGAGUGCAAUUUCUGUAAGCAGAAAGGUCAUUGGAAAGCUCAGUGUCCUAAGUUGAGACAGCAUAAUCAAGCUUGGAAGUCUGGCAAUCAAUCACAAUCUAAUGCUCAUAGACCACCUCAGGGUUAUAAACCACCACACCACAAUACUGCAGCAGUAGCUUCCUCAAGCUCUAUUACCGAUCCUAAUAUUUUGGUUGAGCAAUUUCAGAAGUUUCUCUCCUUGCAGCCACAAGCAAUGUCCGCUUCUUCUUCCAUAGGUCAGUUGCCUCAUAGUUCCUCAGGUAUGUCACACUCUAAAUGGGCCUUGGAUUCUGGUACUUCUCAUCAUAUGUCUCCAGAUUCCUCAUCUUUUACCUCUGUGCCCCUUUUGUCCUCCAUUCCUGUUAUGACUACUGAUGGCACUCCUAUGCCCUUAGCAGGUGUUGGUUCUGUUGUCACACCUCACUUGUCUCUCACUAAUAUUUAUCUUAUUCCAAAACUCAAAUUAAAUCUUGCGUCUGUUGGUCAAAUAUGUGAUUCUGGUGAUUAUUUAGUCAUGUUUUAUGGUUCGUUUUGUUGUAUACAGGAUAUGCAGUCUCAGAAGCUGAUUGGGACAGGCCGUAGAGAGAAUGGACUAUAUAUUUUGGAUGAGUUAAAAGUGCCAGUUGCUGCUGCCGCCGCUGCUACUACUACCGUUGAUUUGUCUUCCUUUCGUUUGAGUCUUUCAUCUUCUAGUUUUUAUUUAUGGCAUUCCUGUCUAAGUCAUGUUUCAUCCUCUUGUUUGAGAUUUUUGGCAUCCACAGGAGCUUUAGGAAAUUUGAAAACUUGUGACAUUUCUGAUUGUAGUGGAUGUAAAUUGGCAAAAUUUUCCGCCUUACCUUUUAAUCGAAGUAUUUCUGUUUCUUCUUCACCAUUUGAUUUGAUUCAUUCUGAUGUAUGGGGACCUUCUCUUGUUGCCACAAAAGGAGGGUCUCGAUAUUAUGUCUCUUUUAUUGAUGAUCAUACUCGUUAUUGUUGGGUUUAUUUAAUGAAACAUCAUUCUGAAUUCUUUGAGAUAUAUGUAGCUUUUCGAGCUCUUAUCAAAACUCAAUAUUCUACUAUGAUUAAAUGUUUUAGGUGUGAUUUGGGUGGGGAAUACACCUCUAAUAAAUUUUGCCAAUUGCUUGCCUUAGAUGGAACCACCCACCAAACUUCUUAUUGCUGAAAAAAAAACAUAGGCACAUUGUUGAAACUGCUCGUUCUCUCUUGUUGUCUGCCUUUAUUUCUAGUGAGUUUUCGGGAGAAGUUGUUCUUACUGUUGUAAGUUUAAUUAAUACAAUUUCAUCUUCUCAAGUUCGGGUCUGUCUCCUUUUGAAAAGUUAUAUGGGUAUGUUCCUGAUUAUUCCUCAUUUAGAGUCUUUGGUUGUACUUGUUUCGUUCUUCGUCCUCAUGUAGAACGAAGUAAGUUAUCCUCUCGAUCCGCUAUUUGUGUUUUUCUAGGCUAUGGUGAAGGUAAAAAGGGUUAUCGUUGUUUUGAUCCAAUAACUCAGAAACUUUAUGUGUCUCGUCAUGUUGUCUUCCUUGAGCAUAUACCUUUCUUUUCUAUUCCAUCCACUACUCAUAACCUGACUAAAUCUGAUGUUAUUAGUAUAGAUCCGUUUUCUGAGGAUUCUAAUAAUGAUAUCUCUCCCCAUGUUCGAUCAAUUGGUACUCAUAACUCUGUAGGUACUGGUACUUUACUUUCUGGCACACCUGAAGCUCCAUUCUCAUCUACAGCCCCUCAAGCUUUAUCUGAGAUUGUGGAUCCACCUCCAUGUCAGUCCAUCCAUAUUCGUAAGUCUACAAAACUACCAGAUUUUGCUUAUUCUUGUUAUUCUUCAUCAUUUACUUCCUUUUUAGCUUCUAUUCAUUUACUUCCUAUUCGAGCAAUUUUUUUUGUUUCAACUUAGGCUCUGAUUCUGACUUAGUUUCGUACGAUAUGACCAUCCUGGGUAUAUUCUGUCACUCAUUACAUAUUGAAAAAUUGACGUACACCUUUAAUAGGUCCUAUGGAUCAUUGUUCUUAGAGCAGUUUCUCAGUCAGAUUUGGAUGCUCAACAUUGUCGGAUCAAGAACCUUUUUGACCAACUAGAUUACUGCUAGAUUCUGUUCUCUAAAACAAUUUUAUCUCACUUCAACUCUUUCAUCAAAGAUGUAGUCCUGGACGUGUAGAUAAAUUUGGACUUUUGAAUCGCUUGAUUUCAAUAUCAUAAGCUCAAAAUAUUCUUGUUUGAAUAUCUAACGUGAAGGCAGAGAAUUCUGCCGCGAGAAGGAUAUUGACUCGAGUCUGCUCUAAAAAAACUCUAUUUUUGGCCUAGUUUUUGUGAUUUUUGUUCUUAUUUCAUACUCUCAGUCAUAUCAGGAUUCUCGGCAUUCGUCAGUUUUUGAGUUAGACCUGGAGAUCCCUUUUGACCAACUAAAUUACUGUUAGAUUCUGUUCUGUAAAACGAUUUUAUCUCACUUCGACUUCUUCAUUAAAGUUGUAGUCCUCGAUGUGUAGAUGAAUUUGGGCUUUUGAAUCACUUGAUUCCGAUACCAGAAGCUCAAGAUAUUCCCAUUUGAAUAUCUAACGUGAAGGCAGAAAAUUCUGCCGCGGGAAGGAUAUAGCCCAAGUUCGCGGGGCUGAUUCGAAGGAUUUUUUUUGGACCAAGGACUGAAUCAAAAAGUUUUAAAAUGAGGGAUUGAAUUGAAGAAGGAUAUUGAAAGCUGGAGAGGGAGGAUGGAUCAUCAUAAAUGAUAGGAUUUUUUCCACACCAAUAAGGAAAAUGAGACCUUGCAGCUGCACCAUCCAGCUGAUUUUCUUUCCUUUUUCGCUGCAAAUUCUUGCUGUUUUUCCUUUAUCAUCAUGUCUGAUUUUGGGAGCUGCAACCACGUUUUUUCUGGCCUCAUUUCAAAGGGAGCAGCUGACCCUAUGGAAGGAAAGAAAACAACCACACCCUCCUCUAAAACUAGAAAGAAAUCAGACGUAAAGAACCAGCAUAAAGUCAGAAUAUUGCAGCUUCCUUUUGCAUUUUUUUUUACUGCAAAUCAGUAGGGAUUUACGUCCUAGGAUUAAUGCAUUGAAUCCUUCUUAAAUGGAGACAUUUUUAGACUAUAUAUAAGCCCUCUAAUGACCUAACGGGGGCAGAAAAAGAGAGAGCCGAAAGAGAGUAAAAAAUAGCAGAAAGAGAGCAGAAAAAAUAAACGAAAAACGCAAGAGAGGCAGGGAUUGAAAAAACAUAGAUAACAGGGGAACAUUGAGAGUUUGUUUUUUUCUUUGAUCCUUUUCGUCAAAAAGAGAAAGGAGAAUAGGGAGGCAGGCGACAGUAAAACCAGAAAAGCCAAUAGAACAAAAGAGGAAGUCUUUCUUUGGUUUUUUAGAGGCAAAACGCAGGAGCUUUUCUAUCGGGUUGUGUCUCAUCUUUUGCAUUUGAAACGUGCAGGAUCUGCAGGUAUGAGUCCCGACUUCCUUCAUCUUUGUCAUAUUUAAAGCUUUGUUUGGUUUUUGUUUUUCUGUUUGUUGCUUUUUGUUUUGGGGACGUUUAUUUUCAUCUUAGCAACAAAGUGGCUUGCUUGCAUACUGUCCAUCCCAUGUCUUUGAGUUUAGUUUAUUAUCACUGUUAGAGCUGCGUUUUUUUUUUUGUUUUACUCCCUAGUGAUGAGAAACUGUAAGCUUUAAACAUCCCUUUCUCCCGUCGCUCAAUCGUUCUUUUGCAAUGGAACGCUAAUUAGAAGCAAGUGUUUAAUUAGGUGCAGAAGAGAGGGUUGAAAAAAAAACGUGAGGGAGAGUCCCUUUCUUCAGUUAAUGCCGAUUCUGGGUUCACACCGUUUUCUUUCUUUCUUUUCUUUUCUUUUGUUUUUUGAGUUUGCAGGGAGGGGUCAUGGUUCAUGUUGUAAUUUUAUUUAGCUUGAGGACCUCGUUUUUUUUAUAUGUUUUGUGCACACUGACUUGUGUUUUUUUUUAAUUGGUGUGCCGAAACUUGUUUAUUUGAGAUGAAUUGUUUUAAGCUUCUUGCAAAUUUUGGAAUAGGUGAAUAUUUUUUGUGAUGUUUGUUUAAUCAUGUUAUUCAUUUUUUUUUAAGAAAAAAAAUGGUUUUUUCUUGUGUGUUGCAUACGGCCAUUACCCUAACAUGCUUUGAAUUUUUUUUUAUAUAUAAAAAAAUAUUUGAAGUUUCGAAAAAGGUGUUUUCGCAUGGAUUUCGUAAACAUAACAAAAAUUAUUUUCUUGCAUUUCUGGAUUCUACAACAUGUUUGUAAAACUCCAAAGGGUAUUGGCCAAUAUUUCAAAAAAAAAAAUCCUUUUUUUUUGGGGGGGGAAUUCAUCUAUUAUUCACCGCUAAUGUUUGGAUAAAGAAAUUCUCAAAGGAUGAAUAUCCAAAAUAUUAUUGGGAGUAAUAAAUCCGCACACAUCCUUGAAAGAAGCCUUGAUUAUAAUCGAGGACAUUUCAAUUUUUUUACUCCAAGGUUUAUGAGCCGUGAGAGUAUAAAACAUUAAAAAAUAUAUCUAUAUAUAGGUUUUUUUUUAGCGCCCUAGAUUUCUAAGAUUUUUGUCCCUCCUCCUUGCGAUUUACGAGUGCAAACUUUUGAAAUACUAAGGGAAAAAUGAGCUUUCAAAGCACAUGGAAUCUCCUUGGAUUUCUAUCCUAAUAAAUUUAGUUUGAAUCAAAUCUAGAAAAACAGAUGGGAUUAGAAAACACCAACACUAUAGCAAUUAUAGCGCAAACCAAACACCAAGCAGCUUACCUUAGGUAGGGCGUACUAGGGGUGCUAAUACCUUCCCUUUACGCAACCAGUCCCUUACCUUAGAAUCUCUGAAAGACUAGUUAGGGUUCCUAGUGACCAAAAUACUAGGUGGCGACUCUCAUAUUCACAAUAAAACAAAAGACCCUGAAAUAAAUCGAAAGUCGUCGCUCCGCCACGAGGGUGCGACACUCCUAUUGAGGUUAAUGCAAGGUACUCUUCUUCUGAUGGUUUACCUUUGAUAGAUCCUACUUUAUACCGCACUAUUGUUGGGAGUUUGGUAUAUCUCAUCAUUACUCGUCCAGAUAUUGCAUAUGUUGUUCAUGUUGUUAGUCAGUUUGUUGCUUCUCCUACUAUUGUUCAUUGGGUAGCUAUUCUUCGUAUUUUGCGAUAUCUUCGAGGUACAGUUUUUCAGAGUCUUUUACUCUCAUCCACCUCUUCCUUGGAGUUGCGUGCAUACUCUGAUGCUGAUCAUAGUAGUGAUCCCACAGAUCGCAAGUCUGUUACCGGGGUUUUGUAUCUUUUUAGGUGAUUCUCUUAUUUCUUGGAAGAGCAAGAAACAAUCUAUUGUUUCUCAAUCAUCCACCGAAACAAAAUAUCGUGCCAUGGCAUCUACCACAAAAGAGAUUGUUUAGUUACGUUCGUUACUUGCUGAUAUGGGAGUUUCCUUUUCUCAUCCUACUCCUAUGUAUUGUGACAACCAGAGUUCUAUUCAGAUUGCUCACAACUCGGUUUUUCAUGAGUGAACUAAGCACAUUGAGAUCGAUUGUCAUCUUACUCGUCAUCAUCUCAAGCAUGGCACCAUUACUUUGCCUUUUGUUCCUUCUUCCUUGCGGAUUUCUUUACCAAGGCGCAUUCCAUCUCUCAUUUUCGUUUUCUGGUUGGCAAACUCUCGAUGCUUGUAGCUGCCGCAUCGUGAGUUUGAGGGGAGAUGUUAAAUAAUAUUUAUGUAAUCUUAUUUAUUAAGGGUAGAAUAGUACUUUCAGUUUAACCUAUAUAUACUUUAUUUAUAUUUAGGUUGAGAUUAUACAUUCAUAAUAAACAGAUUAUUCAAAAUUGUAGCCUCCUUUUUGUGUUUGAUCUCAAUAAGUUUAACAAUCAUAUUAUAAAACCUUUCAAUAUUUGGUAGCAUCUCUUAAGCAGUAAAUAUCAAUGGUGUAUCUAAUUAUCAAAAAGGUGUUAAUACCGUGUUAAAACACAACAGCUAGAAGUCAAUCAGUACCUCGUAGAGUUGCCAGAGUUUCGAGGCACGAAGUUCUCUUGUUGCAUAUUGUCUAUGUCAGGAAUUACAGCAGCUUGAUCGUCUUGUCCUUGAUUAGAAAGAAAUUGAAUCCUGAAUCCAAAAUCAUUCGCAAGCAUUAUGAAGCAUUACAAACUUAUGAUUAUCUAGCUGGGUUCAUGUUCAAGCUAUGAUGUUACUUUCCUCUUUGAAAAACUAUUUCUUUUUUUUUUUUACAGCAAAUACUAAAUAUGAAAAAUUGGAUACCGGGGAGCAGGAAAAGAAGGUCCAGAUUGAUUGAAGCCACCAUUUUGUGAAGUGGUUGCAUUCGGUGUCAUAUAGCCUUGUCCCGGAUGAGGUUCAGGAAUAUUGGAGUUCUGAUGCCUGAAUAAUAUUCAAAUAGUUAAACUUAGAACUGUUAUGCUCACUUGGUUGAUUUUCUAGUUCCAUUAUGUGCACACAAAAAAAAGAGAGAUAGAGAGCUCAAAAAUACUUGAAAGAUCCUCGUCAAUUUUGGUCAAGUUUAUUGUUUUCAUGAUUAAAAAAGUGUAUAUAUAUUCGAGGUUAAUACCAUUGAUUUAUUGGAGGUUGAGGUCCAGGUAACAUCGCAGGCACUUGAUUGCUCAUUGGUAACGGAUAAUUAGUCCAUUGUUGGUCCCUAAAUUAGCAACAUUUGUUAGUGAUUUCUUUAUACAUAUGCAUAAUUGUUAGCUAUUAAUCCACUAAGCAUUUGAUAUCAUUUUAGCUUACCUCAAAGGCAUUGAUGGUCCAGGUAGCAUGGGAUUGACACAUUGAGGAUCAAAUAAAUUAGGAUUAAGCUGAUACGGUGAUACCUACAUUCAAACAUAAUGAAUUCACUGAUAAGUACAACAACAAGAGGAAGAAAUGAAGAAGUCAAAUAAUGAUUGAAAAACUUCUUCUUCUUUUUUUUAACAGAAAAUACUAAAAAUGAAAAAUUGGAUACCGGGGAGCAGGAAAAAGAAGGUCCAGGUUGAUUGAAACCACCAUGUUGUGAAGUGGUUGCGUUCGGUGUCAUAUAGCUAUUUCCCGGCUGAGGUCGAUGGAUAAAGGAAUUAUGAUGCCUUGAUGGAGUUUGAGGCCAAUUUUAUAUAAAACUUAAUGAUAAAAAAAUAUCAUAAAAAAGUCUAAAUCUCCCAAUUGUUGUCUGUUUGUUUAACAAUAAACAUUUUGAAGAUGCUCGAGAUAAAUUGAUAAACGAAAACAUAAGACUUUUUGAUCCAAUGGGUGAUACAAACACUUGCUAAUUCAAUGGAAAUUGUAGCAAAUUGGAGUAGGCAUGAGCACUCACCAUGGUUUGAGGAAAUGAAGGUGGAAACUGAUCAGUUGUUUGCUGAAUACUAUCGUUGAUCACAUUGUUAUCCACCACCAUGUUCUGUCCAUCUUGAUCAUUGCAUAAUAUGGAGCUUUGGUUGCCUGAAAACUCCGGUGGCGACCUGCUUAAUUUGUUAUUAGGAACAUUAUUCUUUUUUGGGAAUAAUAAGAAAAACUGUAGAAUAACUAAAUUGCAAGUAAUCAUCUUCUGAUAAAAUAUGCUUAAGAAUGACGCACAAGAGAAACUCAGAUAUAUUGAAUGAAUCUUCUUGUGAUUGAAAAUCGAACUGAUUCGAUGUCAAGUUGACAUCAUCCUCAUUACAAGACGGUGGGACUCCUUCCAUCUGAGGUUUAAAAAAGAACAGAAAGCACAGAUUAGAUAAGAAUAUAUAUAUAGACACACACACACGACUUAUUUAUUUGUUAAAGAAAUUCGGAUGAAAAAUAGGAAAUAUAAAUGUUGCUGUUAAUUAUUUAAUUCUUUGUUUUAAUGCUAAAUUAUUUGUCACUUGUUGUGAACAAGUUUAAUGAAAGAUAAUUAAUACUGAUCAAGUUAAUUCAUGAAUCAGUAAAAAACAACUUCAUUGAAUCAUUAUGUCAGAAAAAUAUUGGAUAAAAAUAAUUAAUGGCAGUCCCACAGGGCAUGGAUUACAAAAUCUAGUAUUGGAAAAGAAAUCCCAUAUAUAAGGAGUUAAAAACAGCAAAGAAUUUUGAAAAGACAAAAACAAUGAAUUCAAGGUUUAGGGUUAAUUUGGUAUGAACACCACAAGGCAUAGAUUACAAAAUCUGAGAAAAAGAUCGAUUUAUUUAUCAUGGAUUACUUUAAAGAUUCAGACAAGAUGAAGUACAAUUAAUUUACCUGGAUUCAAGAUGUUCUUCAAGUGCUAGCUGGUUUGCUUAAGCAGUGAUCAGCCAAAAGAAAAGGAAGAGAAAUCACAGAUCAGAGAAUAAUAUAUGGUUUAGAAAAAUAAUAAAGAUGCAGUAUACAUAAAUCUAGUUCGCACUGAUCAUGAGAUGUAGAAAGGAAAAUAGGGAAUUGUACAAUGAGAUGAGAUGUGGAAGAGAAUGUUACAGCAGCUAGCUCUUUUACAUAAUAUUAUUUAUUAGUAAGGUCGCCUCAAUAAUAAUUAAUUAACGUAUUGUUUGAUAUAUUAUAAGAUAUAUAAAGUUAACGUGUGGACCAGCCCCAAUGUUGAAACUUCGAAGAAGCUGCCAAGAAAAUGUAAACAAAUUAAGGUUCCAUUUGUUUGCUGGAAAGUAUUAUUUUUUUUGAAGUAAAUUUCGAGUAAAGUGAAUUCCGGGAAAGUAUUUUCCGAUGUUUAGUGUAAUGAAAAAUGAGUUGGAAACACUUUCCAGUAUUUGGUUAUGUCAUAGAAAAUGUGUUGGAAAAUAAUUUAUUAAUAUUUUAUUUUUCUCAAGUUUAUUAAAAUAAUAAGAAACAAAUCUUACAAAUUAAAUGGUUGAAUGAUAAUGAAAUUGAAAAAAAAAUAUAAUUUCAUAAAUUAUCUCAAAUAAAAUAAAUAAUAAUCAAAAUAAUAGAGAUCAAAUCUAAAAAAUUAAAAAAUAAUAAAAGAUGAAGAAAUAAAAAUAAUAAUAAUCAACAUUUCAUAAAUUAUUUCAAAUAAAAUAAGUAACAAUCAAAAGAAUAAGGACCAAAUUUGAUAGAUAAAAAAUUUCAAUAAAAAUAUGAUAAGAAAAAAGCAAAUAGCAAUUAUAAAAAUAAGAACCAAAGUUAAUAUAAAAAUAAAAUUUUAAAAGAUGAAAUUGAAAAAUAAAUAUUCAAAACAAAAUAUAUAUAGCAAUCAAAAGUUUGAGGAUCAAAUUUGAUAUAAUCAGUAAAUAAUGACAUUUCUAAAUUUUUCACAACUCCCGGAAAGUGUUUUCCCCCCAAACUUUUCAGGAAAACACUUUCCUGAAAAGCAAGCCAAAUUUUUCUUUUACUGGAAAGUGUUUUCCAUUGACCAACUUUUCUACUGGCAAACAAACAAAAGAAAGUUUGGAAAGUGAUUUUUCCGGAAAUUACUUUCCGGAAAACAAACACAGCUAAAAAGAAAAUAUUUUCCUGAAAAUCAAGUCAAAUUUUUCUUUGACUGAAAAGUGUUUUCCGUUGACUAAAAAGUGUUUUCCAUUGACCAACUUUUCUAAUGAUAAACAAAUACAGGUGUAACUGGACGACAAAACAGAGUGACCAUUUCUUUUUCUAACAACAGGAAAGUUUGGAAAAUGGUUUCCCGGAAACUACUUUCCGGGAAACAAACAUGGCCUAAAUUUUCUAAAAAGAACAGCAUAUUUCUGCAUGCUGUGAAUUUUUUAAAAAAAUAUUUUUUAUUUAAAUAUAUAUUAAAAUAAUUUUUUAAUUUUUUUUUAUAUUGUCACAUAAAUACAAUUCAAAAAUAUUAAAUACAAACAGUCACUUGAUAUAAUUUUACAGAUUUUUAAUUAGUCUCCCUCAUUUGAGCCAUGUCAUGGUUAAUAGUUAUCAGAAGAACCAACACCCCGACAAAAAUAAUAAUAAUUUCACAGUUGAACAAUGUUUUUUAAAAAACUUGAUAUUUUUUUAUUUUAAAUUAAAAUUUUUAAUAUUUUUAGAUUGAUUUGACAUUUUAAUAUUCAAAAUAAAUUUUAAAAAAUAAUAAAAAUUAUUAUUAAUAUAUUUUUAAAUAAAAAAUAAUUUAAAAAAUAAUUAUUAUCACCAUCAAACAUUAUCUUAUUCCAUGAUAGCAUACCUGAACUUUUCCACAACAAUGGAAAUUAUUAUUUUUUCCAACACCCUUCUACAGAUUUAUAUUCUUAGCCCUCGACCUAUAAAGUAUGAUUUGCUAGCCAAUCUGCACACUAGUUUCUAAUUAAUACAAAGAUGAUCGUGUUUUUUUGUUGCCAAAAUUGUGGGCCAAUAAUUUUCCAUUUUUUUCCGAGUUUUUUAGUGAUUUUUUUUUAUCUCAAAUUCAUAAAUUAAAAAAUUAAUAAAAUAAAAUUUUGAAUUAAAAUUAAAAACCAAAAUUAAAAUGCAAAAUGCAAAAACUCCAGGGAACAGAAUUUUGAAAAACACACCAAGCUACUUUUUUAUUUCAGUAUCAUAUUUGGUGUUCAAAGUUUCAAUUAUUUUUAAUGAAUUAAAUUGAAUAAAAUUUUAUCAAAUCAAAUACCAACUUAAAUUAAUCGUUGAAGCUUUUUUUUUUUUUUUACCUUGAGAACUUCAUAAUUAAUUAAAAUAAAUUAUUAACCUCAAAUUCCCAUGAAUAUAAAAUUAAAAAUAAAAUAAUCAGCUCAAAUAAUAAUUAAUUAACGUAUUGCCUGAUAGUAAGGAAGUUGUCCGGAAGCAACCCACCGCUCACCUACCAAACAUGAGAGUGUUCGGAGAUUAUUUGGUUUUUUGUUUUUUAUGGCCAUAUAAAAAAUAUAUAUUUUUAAUUUUAAAAAAUAUAAUGUAUAUUUUAAAAAAUUAUUUUUUUAAUAAAAAAAUUAUCACAUCUCCGUACCAAAUACACAUAUUAUAUUAUAAGAUAUAAAAAGUUAACAUGUGGACCCCCACCAAUGUUUAAACUUCGAAGAAGCUGCCAAGAAAAUGUAAACACAUGAAAUUUUCAAAAAAGAAUAGUAUAUUUAUGCAUGCUGUAAAUGUUUUUUUAAAAAUAUUUUUUAUUUAGAAAUAUAUUAAAAUAAUAUUUUUAAAUUUUUUACAUUUUAUAUCAUAAUAUCAAAAUAAUUAAAAAUAUUUAAAAUAUAUUUUUAAAAAAUACAUUGGGAUUGUAAAGUUAAACCAGUUCUAACGUUUAAAUUGUUUUAAAAAUAUUUUAAAAAUAUAAAAAUAAACAGGGUUUAAGGUGCAUUUGAAUGUGUCUGCCUUUGAGUGUGUCUAUCAGAGCCGAGUGAUUUUACUUAACCAUGAAUUUUUUGUGAGACAAAUUAUAAUGAAUUUUUUUCUAUUUUACUAAUAUACCCAAGGUGUUUAUAACUAGAUGCUACUUGCUGAGGUGGAUAUUAGCAAUAUCAAAAUUAACUGUAAUGUUAAAACUUUGGAAAGCUAUUUGAGGCAACACCAUGCCCACCAACAUCACCCCAACAAAAAAAGAUGAAUUUUUGUACCUCCCAUAAAGAAAAUAGAUAGAGGUAUGAAAUUUUAUUCUAAAUAUAUUCUUAUAAAAAUUUUAAAAUUCCAAAUCAUGUACAUAUUCUGCACAUCACACAUAAUGACAUCUUUGUUUAGCGAUGGAGCACAGAGUUGAUCAUAAUAUAUAUCUUCCAUGGUCAAGACACAAUGGAUCUGUUGGUUGAGAUGGAUCUCCAUCACAGCCCAACAUCAUUAGCGCUUAUCAAAAGAAGAAGAUUUCGAAUCAGUCCAUUCAUUUCCAUCUGUAGGCAUCUUUCUCAAACAUCAAGGAGAAUUACUUCUAGAUUCUGAGUUGCCACUAAAAAACAAAAAACCCUUACGAACUAGUUCGUCUUCCAAUCCUUAAAUUAGUUUCCUCGUUGUUUUUCACAAUUUUUUAAGAAAAAAAAAUAAAAAAGGAAAAAUAAAAAUAUGAUCAUAAGCUAUAUAUCUAACACUCAUUUUAAAGAAAUUGAUAAUCCAAGAAUUUAAACCUAGCCAGUUAGCUAUAGGACACACAACUCGCUAGGGAUACGAUGAACCUUUUUUUGAUGGCCUUGUAACCCAGCAGAUUGGAAAAAAUAACAACGCUCCUAGGCCAAGCCCGCGAACAUCACCCCCAGCAUAUUGGAAAAAAUGCUCAUAACCAUUUCGGAAAAAACACACCUAGGCUACCAUGGUAUGCUAGAAAGUGGAAAUAAAUCGAUAAUAAUCAUGAAAUAAAUCGUAAGCAGAAAAGAAAAAUAAAUAAAAAUUGUUCAUACUACUCCAUCUUGAUUGAUGGGAAUGACUUCUGACUUGCAUACAUAUGUAAUAUGUAAGACUCCUGCUAAAAUUAUCUGAUAAAUUUUCGUGAAAAAAAAUAAUAAAGUCAGAGAACAACCAUGAAAUGCUUCUUAAAUUAAAUCAAAUGGAGAAGAAAACUCAGGUAAUAAAUGUUUAAUUCACUUUCAAGUGACAAUAAAGAAUGAAAGCAUUUCUAUUCAAUGAUAUUUCUUGGCUCACAAAUAAUCUAUCAACAAUUAUAUGAGAAUCAAAUCUCUCCAAUCACAUGCUCAACACUUAGAAAGCAAAUUUACAGAGUAAUAAGUCUAAUAAACUUCUUGAUGUAGUGCAACAGAUAAUUCUAAAUUUAUUAAAUAGACUCAUUAACAUUUUUUAUGUAUUUAUUGACAUAAAUAAUUCCAAAUUUAUCUAAUUAAAUAUAUACAAAACGUGGUUAGUAUAACUAAACACACUGACUUUUGGCUACCAAACUAGUUUUGGCAUUAAGUGGCUUGUCCCCAGAACCUGGGUCCCAAAUGCCAGCAACCGAACAUAAAAAGGUUUCAACCCCAUGGUGCCUUUUCCCUUGUUGUAAAUAUAAAAUAAAAUUUAAGUCAAGGAGGUCCAGUCUUAAAUGCUCCAAACAUUAUCCUUGUAUCAAGCUUAUGUGAUCCAAGAAUUCAUAUUUAUUAUAAAAUUAUAAUUUAAUAUGAGUUUUUAUCUUAUGAUUCAAGAAGUUUCUAUUGUAUAUUCAAGAAUUUUAAGUUUGUAGUCAAUUUUAUAAUUCAUAAAAAUAUUUGAUCCCUGAAUUAGUUUUCUAAAUGCCUUGCAUAAAUUCUUAAGAGUAAAAAUAUUUUAACAAUAGUUGUCGUGCUAAAAAUGAUACUCUAUUGAACUUUUAUUUCUAAUUCUAUUUUUUAAGUUUUUGAUUUUUGUAAAAUUGAUUGGAAAAAAAAAUCAGGUCAUGUGGGCGCUUAACUCGAAUCAGCAAAAUCAAAGAAUCAAGUGAAUAAUAAAUUUCAAUAUUCAGAGUUGAAGACCGGUGGAGCAAAAUCCGACUCUAGUCUAGAGCGUGUUUGGGAACGUCGUGCAAAUCGUAUUGCUUCAAAAUUAAAAUUUUAUUUGUUUAAAAUUAAUUUUUUUAUGUUUUGAAAUCGUUUUGAUGUGUUGAUAUCAAAAAUAAUUUUUUUAAAAAAAUAUUAUUUUGAUGUAUUUAUAAGGAAAAAACACUUUCAACCGCAAACCGCUCGUUUGAGAUUGUGGUAGUGAUUGUGGUUCAAAGUGUUUUUCGCUUAGAAAUACAACAAAAUUAUUUUUUUUUAUUUUAAAAAAUUAUUUUUGAUAUCAACACAUCAAAACGAUCUAAAAACAUAAAAAAAAAUUAACAAAAAAGAAAUUCAAAGUUUAAGUAAACAUGAUUUCCAUGGCAUUCCCCAAUAUGCCCGAAUCAAAGACAUUCUAAUCUCGUUACUUUUUAGAGAUCUCUUAAUUUUCAAGAGAACCUUAACCAUCCCUUUAUGCAAGUGUAUGCUUUGCCAAACAAUCCUUCAGGAGAAUGGGUUCUCAAACAUGCCAAAUUGUUUUUCAAAUAAUUCAAAAUUCCUAAAACAAACACUAUAUUAAAUUCAUCUAUAUCGGCAUGGGUUGAUCUAUCCAACCUAGUAAUAUGUCAUAGGAUUGGAAUCUGAUUAUGUAACAAUAGGGAAAAAAUGUCAGAUUUUUGUUUUUUUUAUUGGAUUUACUUUCUAUGUGGUCAAUCUUGCCAUUAUCAUGAGUUUCUAAAGUUAACAUAGGCUGAUUUUAAUAUUUUUCAGGUUUUUUUUUUAUUUUUUUAAUAUUAUUUUUUUAGAGUUGAUCUUUAUGAUUUUUUUAUGGAACAAUAGGGAAAUUUUUUUUAUAAAUUAUUUAUUUAAUUAUAUGAUAAAAAUAAAUGCUCCUCAAAUUGAGUAUCAUUUUUAAAAUAAUUCUAUAAAAAAUAAAUUAUAUUUAUUUAAGAUUAUAAUAAUUCUAUAAAAAAUAAAUAAAAAUAAAUCAUAUAGUUUAUUUACAAAGCAAUCUAAUAAUAUUAAAGAAUAACAUAAAAAAAUAAAAAAAAAUAUAUCAGAGAAAUCACAUAAGUUUGAUAGCAAGGAAGGAAGUUGCUGAGAAGGAACCCGCCGCUUACCUAACAAACAUUAUAUUAUAAGAUAUAGGAAGGUAACGUGUGGACCCCCUAAUGUUGAAACUUUGAAGAAGCUGCCUGUAAAAUGUAAACACGUGAAUAUGAGAAAGAAUAGCAUAUUAAGGUAGUAGAUAUCUCUUCCAUUUUUUUCCUCUUCAUAAUGCAUGGAUUUAAGUUGCUUGGAGAUUUCAUUAAUGAAAUUAUUAUUUUUUUAUUUUUAAUAUUAGUAUAUUAAAAAAUAUUUUUUCAAGAUAAAUAAUUUUUAAAAAUAUAUUCAAACACAAUUUUAAAUAUAAAAAUAAAUUAUGUCUUGAUUCUAUCGUAACAAUCUUCAUCUUCAAAGAUAAAUUAUUAAGAUCGUGACCUAUGUUCUCGAUUGAACUAGGAAGGUAUGGACUCUAAAUCCUAUAUAUAUAGAUAAAUUAGUAGAAAGGACAAAAACCCUAGUGCAAAAGUCCUAUAAACUAGCCAAACAAAUCAUACCCAGAAAAUCAAAAGCCAGAAACAUUCUAGCUCAAUUUUUGCUCCCCCUAGCUAAGAAAUGCAUAAUGCCCGCUUUGAAUUAUAGAUCAUCCAAAUUCCAGGGUAAAUAAUUGGAGAGUAAUUUGAUAGUGCUUAUAAAUUAAUUAAUGUCAUUUUAUUAAUUAUUAUUUUAUAUUUAUUUUAAAGAAAUAGAGAGAUAAACUAGAAGAAGAAAAAUCCAAGGUAAAAAUAUUCUUAUUAUUUUUUGUGUUUGUUUUUUUAAGUGAAUCCAAAAAAUAACCAAUAAUAAAUGACUAAUUACAUCCAAAGAAUAAUGCGGUGACGGUAGCACAGCAUUGAUUCUACAUGGGGACAAAUUAAAAGAAUAGAAGAAAAUAUUAAAUGAUUUAAUAGAGAAUAAAAUUUAAUUUUAAAUGCAAAUUAAAAUAAAGUAGAGUGACUAAUGGAGGAAGUACUGGAAUUCUACGAACAGUAGAGCGUCGGGAAUCCUUGCACACCUUUGGUAUUUUAAUUAUUCUUAUUUCGUUUAAUAACUCAAUAGGAUGAAAAAAAAAUAUUAAUCAAACUUCAAAUUAUAAUUAUUUAUCAUUUGAGUUAAAAAAAAAUAUGACAAUUCAGUAGUCUUUAAUGAAAUAAAAAAAAAUAAAAAAUGUUAUUUAUGUAAUUGUGCUUAACUUUACAAAGGGACGAAGGACAUUCUUUGCAUUAGGAUGCUCCCACUCCACUACCGUCUCCCACCAUUCUUUUGGAUAUACUAUGAUUUCUUCAAGAGAAGGGGGAGGAGAUGGCUGGCCAUUUUCAAGCAACGGAAGACAAAUUGGCAUCCUCUUCAGCUUCUGACAACGGAAUACAUUAAUUUCUUCAAGAGAAUUGCAAAUCAGUUUUGCACUACAAAUGCUUUUCAGUUCUGGUAAUUCAAAUAAAUUCAGAAUUCUUAACUUUGGGAGAAUGACUUCCGUGAUAGAAUUGGAGGUGCUGCUUUCUUCAUCUGUUGUUCCUAUUAUCUCCUCCAUUUUCUCACACUCAUUAACUUCAAUCACUUCCAGGUUUACCAGGUUUGGCAGCAACACAAGUGGGAACAGCUUCUUCAUACUUUUACAUCUAACAUAAUAAAACUCUUUAAGACCAGAAAACAUACCAUUAUAUGAUGGCAAUGGUGGCGGAUCAAAGCAGAAACAAGAAGAUGAAACCAAGCUCUCCAUGCUAUUGCAAUCCACAAUGUUGAUGUGCUCCAGUUCAGUUGCAUUCUCUAAUGACAAAACAUCACAUAAACUUCUUGCAUCGAUGCAUUCACAAACCAGUCCUUGAAUGCCAUUUAAGAACUUGACCUGAAAAUCUCCGUCUCCGUUGAUACUCAAAUUACCCAACCCAACUGUUUUACUUGGAAAAUUCAAUGCUUGCCAAAUACACCCACCUCUCCUACUAAAAUUUUGUAUGUGCUUAAUGAUUGGAUCCCAUCCCGAGAUCUGAGAUACUCCACGAAGUCAGGGAAACCUUCGAAAUGGCAUUCCAAAGUUUCUAAAUUUCUCAAGGAUCCUACUUCCUUUCCUUUAACUGUUAUCGGAGCAUUCGUAAAAUUUUCUAGUACAAAGACUUGCAGGUGAGAGAGUUUUGGUAAUAUCCCACUAGGAAACUCCUUUUCACCACAUCCAUGCAUUCUAAGAUACCUCAGGUUGGUUAGGCAUUCCAUUCCUUGCGGCAUCUUUGCAAGUGCCCGAGUAUCAGAGAGAUCCAACCUCUUCAGUGCCCUGAGCUUCUUUAAUGAUGGAACAUAUCUUAAGUUCUCACACAUUUUGAGCAAUAACGCAGUGAGACUCACCAAAUCAGAGACAGAGUCUGGCAAGUUUUCAAUACCUGUGCAAGACAGAUCGAGGACCUUGAGCCCAUGCAAUUGCUUGAAAAAUGAAUCCGCAAUCAAUGCAACUUUAUUUCACAUAGAAAUAGAGUUGAAAUGGACACUUGGUGAAUACUGGAAGGAAUUUCUUGAUCUUGUUUUUCAUUAGUGAAACUCGUCAGAUUCUCCGUCCACUCCUCUGCAUUUGGCAGCUCUUUUAAUUGCGCACCUGCUUUAACCAUAACUUGAGAGUUGUCUUGUAGUAUUUGGAUGGCCAUGUCCCUAAUCAAGUCAUGCAUCUUGACACAUCUACGACCAUCGUCCAUUUUAGCACUUUCCAAUAGGCAGACAUUUUCAAGUCUAUUAAGCAUCGUGUGGCCCUCAUCAAAUGCAUCUCCCCUGCUCCUCAUUCCUUUAAUUAUUCCCUCAUCAAUCAAAUAACCUAUCAACUCCUCCCUUUCAAUCUUACCAUCUUCAGGAAAUAAUGCACAGUACAAGAGACAUCGUUGUAGUGCUAAAUCACCUAACCGAUCAUAACUAAACCUCAAUAACUUGAAUACUUUCUCAUCUAUGUCCCUAAAUUCUGAUUCUCUCAAUUUGUUCAAUGUAUUUCUCCACUCAUGUAGGUCAUCCACUCCCCUCAAGCUUCUUGCUACUGUAAUAAUUCCCAAUGGCAAACCAUCACAUUCCUCUGCAAUAGCUUUUGCAAUCCCUUCCACUUCUCGCGAAAGUGCUUUGUCACGUCCAAGUUUCUCCAAGAACAAAUUCCAAGCUUCUCCAUCAGAAAGUGGCUUCACUUUGAUUUUGUGAUUGCAAGCAAUUCCAUGACAAACCGUUUCUAAUCGAGUUGUCAAAAUCAACUUGCAUCCUUCCAACUUCUCAGGAAUUCCCACUUUGUCUAGCUCAAAAUCAUUCCACAAAUCAUCUAGAAUGAGAAUCCAUUUUUGUUUCUUCAUUAGUUCUUCUGACAAUUUGGCAGCUCUAUGCAGAUCAUCAUCUUCGCUUGAAAGGUCUAGAUGAAGACGUUUAGCAAUAAGAUUCUGCAAUCUAUUAAUGCUGAAAUCUUGAGACACAGUCACCCACCAAACAUGAUCACAAAUAUCUGGUCUUUGUGGAAGCUCAUUAUGGAUAUGUUGCAGUACUGUGGAUUUACCAACUCCCCCCAUCCCAUAAAUGCCAAUGGUUGGGACUUCAUCAUCCAUUAACAAAGACCAUAUCACCUUCGUAUUCUCUUCGAAUGCUUGACCCACCGGCAUUGUAGAGCUAGUAGGUAAUGGAACUCCUCUAGUCUUGUUGUAUUUCAGACUUUCAGAAGAUCUAGCUACAGCACCAACCUGCACUGAUCUUCGACUAUUCUCCACAUCCUCCUCCACUGGUUCUGUCCUCACUCUAACCCGAUUAAUUCUCUCUUCCCCGGCACAUUGUUCCAGCACCCCCUGAACUCCCACUUGUAUCCUUCCAGCAGCCCCUGCCAAAUUGCCAAGUACUGCAUUGCUUUGUUCCAACGAUCGAUCCACUGGUUCUGUCCUCGGUCUGCUCUCGAGUGCCCCUUCGGAAACUCCAUCUUCUUGUGCUCUCAUUCCGGUCAUGCUUACUACGUCGUUUCCUGCUAUUGCAUGUGAAGUAAUCCUCUCUUCCCCUACUCCGGGUUCUACAUCCUGAACUUCUCUUUGUACCAUUCCAAUUCCUCCUGUGAUUUUAUGUCUUUUGUUGCCACCACACAUAGCUUUCCAGGCUGCUUCUUGAACUUCUUUAGGCACCCCACGACAAAUGGCAACAUUAUGCCCUUCCUCUCCUGAUAAAUGCCAUUUGAUCCUUGAAAUUGUGGUUUUAUUGGCAAAUGUAUGUGGACAAAACUUACACUUCAUGCUACCAUCAUCAGCCCUUUCAACAUAAUUCCAAAAUGAAUUCUUUGGUCCACCCAUUUCAACCUGUAGGAAAAAACAAAAGGGGAGGGGGGGGGUUUAAAAUAUAGAAUAAACAUAAGUCAAAAUAAAGAAUAAAAAUUGAUGCAAAUUACAGCAUAUCCGGAUGGAUGAGAAACUACUUCUUCAGUGUUGUUAUUUUGCUAUUAAGAUUGAUAGUUAGUUUAUUGCACAAUCAUAGAAGGGAAAUAUACGAGGAUAAUUCAGUUAGACUUCUUACUUGUUGAGUAUUUAAACCCCUAUUUUGACUUUGCAGGGAAGUGCCAAGGCCAGGAUUUGAGGCAUUUGGCCUAGCAGUUUGAUUUUGCAAUCCUCGGACUUGGAGGUUAUCCAUCUGUGACCUAUAUAUAAAUGAAGUGAUCAUAUUAUAAAACCUUUCCAUAAUUGGUAGUCUCUUUUAAGCACUAAAAGUUAAUGGUGUUAAAACACAACAGCUAGAAGUCAAUCAGUACCUAGGCACGAAGUUCUCUUGUUGUACGUUGUCUAUGUUAGGAAUUACAGCAGCUCGAUCGACUUGUCCUUGAUUAGAAAAAUAUUGACUCCUGAAUCCAAAAUCAUUUGCAAACAAUAUGUUUAGCUUGUUGGGUUCAUGUUCAAGCUAUGAUGUUUCUUUCCUGAUUGAAAAUCUAUAUUUUUUUUUUUGGAGAAAAUACUAAACAUGAAAAAUAGGAUACCGGGGAGCAGGAAAAGAAGGUCCAGGUUGAAUGAAGCCAUCGUGUUCUGAAGUGGUUGCGUUCGGUGUCAUAUAGCCAUGUCCCGGCUGUGGUUGAUGAAUAUUGGAGUACUGAUGCCUGAAUAAUAUUCAAAUAGUUAAACUUGGAACUGUUAUUCUAACUUGGUUGAUUUUCUAGUUCCAUUAUGUGCACAAAAAAAAACAGAGAGAUAGAGAACUCAAAAAGACUCGAAAGAUCCUCGUCAAUUCUGGUCAAGUUUAUUAUUUUCAUGAUUAAAAAAGUGUAUAUUCAAAGUUAAUACCAUUGAUUCAAUGGAGGUUGAGGUCCAGGUAGCAUCGCAGGCACUUGAUUCCUCAUUGGUAACUGAUAAUUAGUCCAUUGUUGGUCCCUAAAUUAGCAGCAUUUGUUAGUAAUUUCUUAUACAUAUACGCAUAAUUCUUUACUAUUAAUCCACUAAGCAUUUGAUAUCAUUUUAGCUUACCUCAAAGGCAUUGAUGGUCCAGGUAGCAUGGGAUUGGCACAUCGAGGAUCAGAUAAAUUAGGAUGAGGCAGAUACCUAUAUUCAAAUAUAAUGAAUUCAUUUAGUGUAAUAAAUUGGCAUCACUGAUAAGAAUAUUAGGCAGAUAAGUAGAACAACAACAAGAAGUUAAAUAAUUAUGAAUAUUAUGUACAAGAAGAAUUUAAAUAAUGAUUAUUCUCACUUAGUUGAUUUUCUAGUUUCAUUAUGUGAAGCAAAUCAGGAGACAGGGGAAACAGGGGACUCUUGAAAGCUGAUUAAAGCUUAUUAGCUGUGGUUAUUAUUUCCCAUUUAGCUGAUAGUUUCCUAGUCAGAUUAGUAUUAGAUUUCAAUUACGUAUUGGAUCGUAAGUCCUUAGCUGUAGGGUAUUUAAGAGGGGAACAGAACAAAAGAUGGGACAUUAUUUGUAUUCUUGGCAAUUACUUUCUUUAAAUACAAAUUUGAGUGAUUCCUCUACAUAAAAAUUCUGUAUUAAAUUAUUUAUUGUUCUUACUGGGAGCAACGAGAGGUUGUACCGGAGGGCAUUUACAUUAAUAUGUGCACAAAAAAAAAAGAGAAAGAGAGAGAGAUAGAGAGCUCAAAAGAAGUUAAAUAAUGAUGAAUACCUUGAUGGAGUUUGAGGCCAAUUUGGUUCAUUUUGGUUGAUCCGUGAUGAUAUGGAGCUUUGGUUGUCUGGAACCUCCGGUGGCCUGCUUCCAUGGACAGUGACAUUAUUAGGAUAAACGGAAGAAUAACUAAAUUGCGAGCAAUCAUCUUCUGAUAAAAUAUGCUUACGAAUGACGUACGAGAGAAACUCAGAAAUAUUGAAUGUAUCUUCAAUGGUGUAUCUAAUUAUAAAAAUGAAGUGAUCAUAUUAUAAAACCUUUCAAUAUUUGGUAGCCUCUCUUAAGCAGUAAAUAUCAAUGGUGUAUCUAAUUAUCAAAAAGGUGUUAAUACCGUGUUAAAACACAACAGCUAGAAGUCAAUCAGUACCUCGUAGAGUUGCCAGAGUUUCGAGGCACGAAGUUCUCUUGUUGCAUAUUGUCUAUGUCAGGAAUUACAGCAGCUUGAUCGUCUUGUCCUUGAUUAGAAAGAAAUUGAAUCCUGAAUCCAAAGUCAUUCGCAAGCAUUAUGAAGCAUUACAAACUUAUGAUUAUCUAGCUGGGUUCAUGUUCAAGCUAUGAUGUUACUUUCUUCUUUGAAAAACUAUUUCUUUUUUUUUUACAGCAAAUAGUAAAUAUGAAAAAUUGGAUACCGGGGAGCAGGAAAAGAAGGUCCAGAUUGAUUGAAGCCACCAUGUUGUGAAGUGGUUGCAUUCGGUGUCAUAGAGCCAUGUCCCUUCUGAGGUUGAUGAAUAAAGGAGUUCUGAUGCCUGAAUAAUAUUCAAAAUAGUUAAACACAGAACUGUUAUUCUCACAAAAAGAGAGAUAGAGAGCUCAAAAAGACUUGAAAGAUCCUCGACCUCGUCAAUUUUGGUCAAGUUCAUUGUUUUCAUGAUUAAAAAAGUGUAUCUUCGAGGUUAAUACCAUUGAUUCAAUGGAGGUUGAGGUCCAGGUAGCAUCGCAGGCACUUGAUUGCUCAUAAUUGGUAACUGAUAAUUAGUCCGUUGUUGGUCCCUAAAUUAGCAACAUUUGUUAGUGAUUUCUUUAUACAUAUGCAUAAUUCUUUGCUAUUAAUCCACUAAGCAUUUGAUAUCAUUUUAGCUUACCUCAAAGGCAUUGAUGGUCCAGGCACCAUGGGAUUGGCACAUUGAAUAUCAAAUAAAUUAGGAUUACGCUGAUACCUAUAUUCAAACAUAACGAAUUCACUGAUAAGUACAACAACAAGAGGAAGAAGAAGAAGGAAGUUAAAUAAUGAUUGAAAUUUUUUUUAUUUUUUUUUCAGAAAAUACUAAACAUGAAAAAUUGGAUACCAGGGAGCAGGAGAAGAAGGUCCAGAUUGAUUGAAUUCACCAUGUUGUGAUGUGGUUGCGUUCUGUGUCAUAUAGCGAUGUCCCGUCUGAGGUUGAUGAAUAAAGGAAUAAUGAUGCCUAAUUCAAUGUAGCAAAUUGGAGUAAGCAUGAGUACUCACCAUGGUUUCAGGAAAUGAAGGUGGAAACUGAGUUGUUUGUUGAAUGAUAUCGUUGAUCGCAUUGUUCUGUCCACCUUGAUCAUUGCAUGAUAUGGAGCCUUGGUUGACUGGAACCUCCGGUGCCGGCCUGCUUCCAUGGAAUAAUAUAGAGGAUAAACUAAAGUAACUAAAUUGCAAGCAAUCAUCUUCUGAUAAAAUAUGCUUAAGAAUGACGUACGAGAGAAGUGGUGAUUGAAGAUCGAAAAGAUCAUCAUCCAUAGAAGAUGGUUGGAACCCUUCCAUCUGACCAAAAGUACAAGAUGAUUAGUACAUGCUGAGGUGAAAAAAGAACAGAAAGCACAUAGCAAAGAAAAAGAAAAAGUAUUAAUUAAAUAACUCUAAAACGCGUGGUGUUUUCACUGUAGCCAUCAUUGUAUUUUUUUUUUUAACAGUUUUUCUGUAGCAUUUUUUUUUCUGCUUUUUUUUCCUACUUUUGUUUCUUCUUCAUUUUUUUUACAUUUUUUUUUUUUUUUUUUACCCAAAAUUUUCUUUUUUUUUUCUUUUUCAAAUUUUUUUUUCAAAAUUAUCUUUGCUAAUUUUUUUAAAUAUUGAGCUGGUUGAAAAUUUAACUAUAUAUCUUUUUUCAUUAAAACAUUCUGGAUUGCUAUAAUGUAUUCAUACAUUGUUUUUUUUUUCUUUCUGAUUUGUUUAUUCUUUUUUUAAAAUGGUCUUUGUAGAUUUUUUUUUAUAUUAAGUUGGUUGAGAAUUUAGCUUUGUAGUUUUUUUUUUUUUAAAAAAAAAACAAUAUGGAUUGCUACAGUGUUUCCCUACAUAGUUUUGUUUUGCUGUAGUGUUCCCCACAUAUUUUUUAAAAAAUUAUCUUUAUCGAAUUUAUUUUUUCAAUAUUGAGUUGUCUGAUAAUCUAGCUUUACCUUUCCCCACAUGGUUUUUUUUUAUGUUUUCAUUUCUUUUUCUUUUUUUCCUCAAUUGUCAUUUUUUACAUGUUUUUUUUUGUUUUUUUCAGAAUUAUUUUUGUUGAUUUUACUUUUUUUGCUAUUGAGCUGGUUGAAAUUUUAGUUUUUUUGGUUUUUUCUUUAAAACACUGUAGUUUUCCCCGUGUGUUUUUUUUCUCGCCUUUGUUUCCUUUUUUUUACAUGUUUUUUUUUCAUUUCUUUUACCCAAAAUUGACUCUUUUUUUUUUUUUAAAUAGUCUUUGUCAGGUUUUUUUAUAUAUUGAGCUGGUUGAGAACUUAGCUUUUUAGCUUUUUUUUUUAAAAAAAAAAAACACUAUGGAUUGCUACAGUGUUUCCCUUACAUGGUUUUUGUUUGGCUGCAGUGUUUCCCCCACGUGUUUUUUUUUUAAAUUAUCUUUGUCAAAUUUAUUUUUUCAAUAUUGAAUUGGUUGAGAAUUUAGCUUUAGCUUUCCCCAUGUUUUUUUUUUCAUUUUUUUAAAUUUUUCCCAAAAUUGUCUUUCUUCUUUAUAUUUUCUUUUUUUUUUCAUAGUUAUUUUUGUUGAUUUUUUUUUUUACUAUUGGGCUGAUGUAUAAUUUAGUUUUUUUUAUUUUUUUUCUUUAAAACACUAGAUUGCUGCAGUAUUUCUCUACAUGGUUUUUUUAUUAAAUAAUUUUUUUUUUAGAAUUAUCUUUGUCGAUUUUAUUUUUUUCAUAUUAAGCUGAUUAAGAAUUUAGCUUUGUAGUUAUUUAAAACACUGAAGAUUGCUACAGUGUUUUCCCACAUAAUUUUUGGCUUGCUACAGUGUUUCCCUAUACAUUUUUUUGUUGAUGUUUUUUUUUUUCAAAUAUGUUUUUGUCAAAUUUAUUUUUUUCAUACUGAACCGGUUAACAAUUUGGCUUUUUUUCCUUAAAACAUCGUUGAUUGCUACAGUGUUUUCCCAUAUGCUUUUUUUCCUUAUGUUUUUUUUUUUUAAAAAAAUUGUCUUUGUCGUUUUUAUUGUUUUUGAUAUUGAGCUGGUUAAAAAUUACAACUGUAGAUUUUCUCAUGAAACACUAUAGAUUGUUAUAGUGUUUCCCUGGAUGUUUUUUUUCCUUUUGUUUUUUUUUAUAUAUUUAUCAAAAUUAUCUUUAUUGAAUUUUUUUUUAAUAUUGAGCUGGUUAAGAAUUAUAGUUGUAUAUUUCCUCACAAAACACUACAGAUUGCUACAGUGUUUUUUUAAAUGAUUUUAACAUUUAGCUGGUUGAAAAUUUAGCUUUAACUUUCCCCACAUGUUUUUUUUUCUAUUUUUUUAUUAUUUUCUUUUUGCUUUUUGUUCUUCCAAAAUUGUCAUCUUCUUUUUUUCAUUGUUUUUUUUUCAUAAUUGUUUUUGUCGAUUUUUUUUUUAAUAUUGAGCUGGUUGAGAAUAUAGCUUUAUAGUUUUUUCCUUUAAAAUAUUGUGGAUGGUAACAGUUUUUUUUUAUAUGAUUUUUUUCACAAAUCCACAAUAAUGCACAAGCAUGCUACAAGCCCGCGGCAUUGCGCGAGCAUGUCACGCCUUUUAAUAAUAUAUUUACUUAUUAAUAUAUUAUAUUAUUAUAAUUAUAAAUAUAAAUAUUAUUAUAUUGUGUUAUAUUAUAUUGUAUUAUAUAACUAUUUUUUUUAAUGAAUUUUUUUUGUUUGAUUUAGUUUGUUAAUGUUAAAAAAAUUUUAUUUAGUUAUCAGAUUAUCAGAUUUAGUAUUAUAUAACAAGUUAUUUUUUUUAUUUAGUUUAGUUUGUUAAAGUUAAUUUUCUUUCUAUUUAAUUAUCAGACUUUCAUACUUUCAUGACAGGUGUCUUGGGCUUGACGGGUUAACUUGGUUUGAUGGGUUAACCCAGUUAAUUCUGAGUAAAUCCGUCAUUUGUUUUUCUAUUUAGUUAUCAAACUUUCAUGAUGUGAAUCCCAAGUUUUACGGGAUAACCUGGUUUAAAGAGUUAACCCAAUUAAUUCAUUUUUUUUUUCUUUUUCUUCAUUAGUUUUUUCCUUUAAGUUGAUUUUUUUUCUUUGUUUUUUUUUAAUUAAUCUAUUUAAUUAUCACACUUUUAUGACACGACUUUAUAGCUAGACCCACAUCCAAUAUUCUUGAGUCCGGUGUUGCAGUCAGGCUCACUUAAUCUUGGGUCAUGCAAGUUUAAUUUUAUUAUUAAUAUUAUAAAUAUUACUCAUAGGUCAGGCGUUGUAGUCAAACUCAAGAUUCUUGGAUAUAGCUUUGCAAAAAAACCCAAAAUUUUUAAAUUUUUAUUUGUUUUAAUAUUUUUUAUGCAAAAAAUAGACCCGCGGCAUCGCGCGCGGGUCAAGUAUCUAGUAUAUAUAUAUAAAAUGUUAAGAGUGAAGAAAGUUUGUUGGCGAUAUUAUUAAACCUCGUCAGGAGAGUUAAUAUUAAAAUCUUCUAACCUAACUUUUUAUUUAAUUUAAAUUUUUAAUUAAAUUAUAUGAGAAUUAACUCAGUUUAAAUCGAUCAAUAUCUAAAUACAACUUAGAAAACUAGUAAAACAUGGCUUAGCUUUUAAAAAAAUUUUCUAGACAAUAACUUUUAAAAAAACAAAUAUUGAAACAAUGACAGAUUUGAUCGAUCCCAGUCCCUCGCGACCUGGGUCAUGGAUUCUAUUGGGUUUGGUAAUUUUUUAUAAGCUUUUUUUAUUUAAUUAUAUGAUAAAAAUAGAUGCUAUCAUCCUAAAAUAAAUAUUUAUUUAAGAUUUUGAUAACCCUAUAGAAAGCAAACAAAAAUAAAUCAUUUAGUCUAUUUCCAAAUCAAUCUAAUAUUGAAAGACAAAAUUGAAAAACAAAAAUAAAAAAAAAUAAAAAAACAGAAACAAAAAAAAACAUAUUCGAUCAAUGGGUGAACCUGUCAAAUUUAUGAAUCAGGUAAUUUAGGCUAGCACAUCAAACCUAUGAACCAGGUUAUGGACUUAACUAGGAUUAUAAUUUUUUUUUUAAAUUAUUUUUAUUUAAUAAUAUCAUAACAAAAAUAAAUAACUGUAAAAUUAAAUACCAACCCAAUAUAUAUAUAUAUAUAUGCUAAUUUGGCUCAUAUAUGAAAUAGACAAAAAACGUUUUUUAAAAAAUGAUAAUAAAAAGGAAAGAAAAGGCAAAACAUUAUCGAUUACUAUUGUAAUCCAUAAUGAAAUGAGUGUGGGUGAAUAGUUAUUCUCUUACAUCUUUUAGUUAUAUAUAUGCUAAUUUGGCCCAUAUAUGAAAUAGACAAAAAAAGUUUUUUAAAAAAUGAUAAUAAAAAGGAAAGCAAAGGAAAAAUAAUAAAAAAGGCAAAACAUUAUCGAUUACUAUUGUAAUCCAUAAUGAAAUGAGUGUGGGUGAAUAGUUAUUCUCUUACAUCUUUUAGUUUUUCUUUUAAUUAAUAAACAAAAAAAUAUCCCACCAAACAAACUAGUGUAAUUUGAGUUAUUUUAACAAACUUGUAAAUCAAGUUAAUCUUAUAAAAAAAUAGAAUAAAAAUUAAUAAAUUAAAGCUGAAUUAUAACCAGCCUAUAAUUAAUAAAUUGUAAAUCCCGGCUGAGGUUGAUGAAUAAAGGAAUUAUGAUGCCUUGAUGGAGUUUGAGGCCAAUUUUAUAUAAAACUUAAUGAUAAAAAAAUAUCAUAAAAAUUGUGUAAAUAUCCCAAUUGUUGUCUGUUUGUUUAACAGUAAACAAUUUGAAGAUGCUCGAGAUCGAUACACUAAACAUAAAACUUUUUGAAUAAUACAAACACUUGCUAAUUCAAUGCACAUUGUAGCAAAUUGGAGCACUCACCAUUGUUUCAGGAAAGGAAGUUGGAAACGGAGUUGUUUGUUGAAUACUAUUGUUGAUCACAUUGUUCUGUCCACCUUGAUCAUUGCAUGAUAUGGAGCUUUGGUUGACUGGAACCUCCGGUGGCGGCCUGCUUCCAUGGACAGUGACGACAUUAUAUUGUUUUUUGGCAAUAAUUGGAUAAACCGAAGAAUAACUAAAUUGCAAGCAAUCAUCUUCUGAUAAAUAUGCUUAAAAAUGACGUACGAGAGAAACUCAAGCUCAGACAGUGGUGAUUCAAAGUUGUCAACCUCCUCCAUAAAAGAUGGUUGGAACCCUUCCAUCUGACCAGAAAAGAUCAGAAAAGACAAAAAAAAACUGAGGUCUAAAAGAACAGAAAGCACAGAUCAGAAAAGAAUAUAUAUAUAUAUAUGACUUUCUUGUUUGUUAAAGAAAUUCGGAUGAAAAAUAUGAAAUAUAAAUGUUGUUGUUAAUGAUUUAAUCCUUUGUCUUUUAAGAUAAAUUUUCAUACUCAAAUUCUUUUUAUGAUAGAUAGAAAGAUGCAGGAUAACUAUUGAAGGUAGAAGAGCUGAUUGUUUUGACGGGGUGAACAAAAACCUCUUUCAACUCCUCUUUAUUCAUAAUUUGGGGAGCAAAACAAAUGCAAGAUUCAUUGUUUACUGUUAAACAAACCUCUUUCAACUCCUAUUUAUUCUCUUUUAAUUAUUCUUAUUUUGUUUAUUGAAAGGUAAUUACCGAUCAAGUUAAUUCAUUGAAUCAUUGUAAGAAAAAAAAGUUGAAAAAUACUGAAUAAAAAUGAAUGGCAGUCCCAUUAAUUGGAAAAGAAAAGGGUGAAUCUAAAAUAAGGAGUUAAAAAAGGCAAAGAAUCUUGAAAAGACGAAAACAAUGAAUUCAGUAUUGAUUUAGUAUGAACUCUCUCCACAAGGCAUGGAUUAUAAAAUCCGAGAAAAAGAUCAAUUUAUUUACCAUGGAUUCCUUUAAAGAUUCAAACCAUACUUACAUAAUAAUUUACCAACAGGACUCAAGUGCUGGUUUGCUUGAGCAGUAUUCAGCCAAAAGAAAAGGAAGAGAAAUCACAGAUCACAGAAGAAUAUAUGGUUUAGAAAAAUAAUAAAGUUGCAGCAUACAUAAAUCUAGUUCGCACUGAUCAUGAAAUGUAGAAAGGAAAAUAGGGAGUUGUAUAAUGAGAUGAGAUGUGGAAGAGAAUGUUACAGCAGCAAGGUCGCCUCAAUAAUACUAUUUAUUAGUAAGGUCGCCUCAAUAAUAAUAAUUAAUUAACGUAUUGUUUGAUAGGAAGGAAGUUGCCACGAAGCAACCCAAACAUAUUACAUUAUAAGAUAUAGAAGCCCCCAUGUUCACACUUCGUAGAAGCUGCCAAGAAAAUGUAAACACAUGAAAAUGAGAAAGAAGCAUACCCCAUCUCGUGAAGUUCUACGUGUACGUAUUUAACUUUACAAUAUUCUUUGCUGUGAAAAUAUAUCAUGUAUAAUUAAUAAAUAAUAUAAGUGCUUAUACAUCUUCUUUUCUUUUCUUUUUUUAACUUUAAACAGAGAGGUGGCUGCCCCAAUACAUUCGGCCUGCCGACACUUAUUUUUUUGGGAGUAUUAAUUCCGUGAUGGAAUUGGAGGUGCUUCUUUCUUCAUCUGUUAAUCCUGUUAUCUCCUCCAUUAUCUCACAAUCACUAGCAUCAAUCAUUUCCAGGUUUAUGAGGUUUGACAGCAACACAAGUGGGAACAGCUUCUUCAUACUCUUACAUCCAUAACAAUAAAACUCUUUAAGACCAGAAAACAUACCGUCAAUGCUACGGGUUGUUGCAAAGUAAAUAGGAAACUUCAUCCAUAGACAAAUCUUUUCUGAUCGGGUUGCAAGAAUAUCUAGACCAUCUAAAAUCAGAACCAAUUUCUGUUUCUCCAUUAUUUCCUUUUUCAAUUCUACCACCCUAUGCAGCUCCUCAUCUUCAUUAGAAAUAUUCAGACCAAUACGUCUUUCAUUUCCACCAUGUUCUGCACAUCACACAUAAUGACAUCUUUGUUUAGCGAUGGAGCACAGAGUUGAUCAUAAUAUAUCUCUUCCAUGGUCAAGACACAAUGGAUCUGCUGGUUGAGAUGAAUCUCCAUCACAACCCAACAUCAUGAGUGCAAAUAAUGGUGGAGCCAGAAUAAAUAAAAAGCAAAGAUUUGCAUGUGGCUAGUGAAGGAGAAUGAUGCUGGCAAAGCAGGACCGACAAUGGAACUCCAUGAAGAACAGCAAAAAAAGCAUGGGAUUUUGACGGUGCCGCUCAAAAGUGUGGAUGCGGUUUACGAGGUUUGACAGCAACACAAGUGGGAACAGCUUCUUCAUACUCUUACAUCCAUAACAAUAAAACUCUUUAAGACCAGAAAACAUACCAUUAUAUGAUGGCAAUGAUGGUGGAGCAUUGCAGAACCAAGAAGAUGAAACCAAGCUCUCCAUGCUAUUGCAAUCUUGAAUGUUGAUGUCCUCCAGUUCAGUUGCAUUCUCUAAUGACAAAGCAUCGCAUAAACUUCUUGCAUCGAUGCAUUCACAAACCAGUCCUUGAAUGCCAUUUAAGUACUUGACCUGUAAAUCUCUCUCUGUUGAUACUCAAAUUACCCAACGCAACUGUUUUACUUAAAAAAACUCAAUCCUACCUAAUUUAUUUUAAAAAAAAAUUAUGUUUUUUUUAUUGCGGCAUAACAGUGUUGGCAGUACCGUUGUUGUUUGGAGUUUGGAGUUUGGACUUUGAGCAGCAGUAGAUAUCUCCAGCGUACUGUUACCUGCCGGCUAGAAAAGGUAUGUUGCUGUUUUUAAGUUUACUAGAGAGAGGGCAGAAAGCCUUGAGAAAAUAAUUUCACAUUCUGUGUGGUAGAAACCUGAUUCCACCCAAAAAAAAAAAAUAACACGGUAAUUGAAGCAAAUUAAAAGAAUAAAAGAAAAUAUAAAAUGAUUUAAUAGAGAACAAAAAUUAAUUUUCAAUGCAGAUUAAAAUAAAGCAAAGUGACUAAUGAAAAAGGUACUUAAAUCCUACAAGCAGCAGAUAGAUAGUCGGAAUCCCUUGCGCACACAUUUGAUAUAUAGAUAAUUAAAUCAACAUUAAACCAAAUUAAUGUAACCCUUUUGAAAAAUCAUCCACUCCUUUUUCAUCAGAGACUAACUUGUAGCCCUUUACGAUACCUUUCCAACGUAUCAAGAAUCAGAGCAAUUCGAUAUGUGUGUGGAAAGUUACGAUUAAAAUACUUUAAGUGUAUCUAGGUUAUUUCUAAGAAAAAAAACAUUACUUUAAGUUUAUCCAAGCUGCUGUUUAAAAAGUCAAGAAAAUAAAGUUUUCGAUUAAAAUAAAAUAAAAUAAAAACUUUGAGGGGAAAAAAAAGCACGCCUAUGAAGCUUGAUAGUAUAUCAAAUUAGAGGCUCGAUUAAAAAAUGCCCUUUAAUUUCUAUUAUUUCUAUUCACAUUUUAGCAUUUUAUUCCAAUGACAGAGCAUUUGGAAUGCACUUUCAUAGACUCAUCAAAACCCCAGGAACGCCAUCAAGCAUUAGCUUCAAACAACCAGAUCGGGAGCUUCAGUGCAGUAGAAAACUUUAACAUCUGCUAUGAAGCUUGAUUUGCUAUCCAAUCCACACACAAGUUUUCCAUUGAUACAAAGAUACUGUAUUUUUAACCAUCUAGUAAGUGAUCCAGUGGUAAGAGUUAAGGACCAAAAAGUUUGUUUUUUCUUGUGAUUUCAGGUUCAAGCCUUAUUGUUGCCAAUAUUAAUGGUCACGGGAGACUUACUUGGUCAUUAACUUUAAAAUCCGUGAGAAUUAUUCAAGGUGCGCGUAAGUUGGCCUGGAUACUGUAUUUUUAACCAUCUAGUAAGUGAUUUGCUAUCCAAUCCACACACAAGUUUUUCAUUGAUACAAAGAUACUGUAUUUUUAACCAUCUAGUAAGUGAUCAAGUAGUAAGAGUUAGGGACUAAGAGGUUUGUUUUUUCUUGUGAUCUCAGGUUCGAGCCUUAUUGUUGCCAAUAUUAAUGGUCACGGGAGACUUACUUGGUCAUUAACUUUAAAAUCCGUGAGAAUUAUUCAAGGUGCGCGCAAGUUGACCUGGAUACCCCCAAUAAAAAAAAAUAUUGUAUUUUUGUUGCUGGGAAAUUGUCAACCAAUAACUUUUUAUCUUGUUUCCAAGUUUUCUAGAUGACUUUUUUCUUUCAUCUCAAAAUCAUAAAUAAAAAGUAAAUAAAAUAAAAUUUUGAAUCAAAAAUAAAAAUAAAACAAUAAAACAUGCAAAAAGUCUAGGGAUCAAGAUUUUAAAAACCAAGCCUAUGCUACUUUCUUGUUUUAAAUAUUCAAAACAAGGCUCCAUUAUCAUAUAUUCAUAGAGACAUAUAUACCAAUGUAGCUUUUGAUGUUUACCGGUUUGGAUGUCUAUAUGCUUUUAAAUAUUUUUUAAAAUUUAUAUUUGUUUUUAAAAAAUAUUAAAUUAAUAAUUUUUUUAGUUGUUCUUAAUGAUUUUGAUGUAUUGAUAUUAAAAAAAAUCUAAAAAAUUAUUUUUAAAAAAUACUUAUAUAACAUUAUCAAACACAUGAUAACCUUGUCCAAAAGCUUUCUACCGAGCAUAAAAUGGUUUUCAACCCAAUCAUACUUUGUCCUCAUUAUAAAUAUAAAAUAAAGUUCAAGUGAAGUAGGGUCCAAUCUUAAAUGGUUCAAACAUUAUUGUUAGAACGUGACAGUGUCCCAUCAUUAGUAGUGUAGCACGUGCCAUGUCUUAAGCUUAUGUGAUCCGAAAACAAGGCAAUUGGUGUUUGAUGAAAUUAGCUCACUAAAAAUAAAAUAAAAUAAAAUCCUCUGUGAACUAAUUAAUUACUCAAUUAAUUCCUAAAUUAGUUUUUUUUAUUGUUUUUCACAAAAUUUAUAAAAAUAAAAAUAUUUUAUUAGAUAUUUUAGAUACUCCACUAUUAUAAUAUUUUAUUUAAGUUUAGAUUUUUAUUUCAAAAUUGAAUUUUAUUUAAUGUAACAAGUAUUAUGAUGUUUUAUUUUAUCUGAUAAAUUUUGAAGUAUUAUUUGAUUUUAUUAAUUUUUAAAAAAUAUAUUUUAAAAAAUUAUGAAAUGAUGUGCAAAAUUUAUAUGUUCCAAAACUUAACAUAAAUAUGAUGUUUUUAUAGCACUGCUUUUACAUUGUCGGUCAUGUACCCUAAAGUCGUUUCAUCACAAUAAUGAACAAUACAACAAACAUUGUUGCUAUGCCUAACUCUUGAUUGUCUCCGGUCCUCCAAGGCAUUCCUCCACUCCUUGGUUAACUAUCUCAUGGAGGUUAACUCCCUCCAACUCUCCUACCGAUAAAGUAAGGAAGCCAUUUACACUUCAUAAGAAACCCUAAUAUAACAAACAGAGGAUCUGUAAGUUUCAGAGAACGACAUCAAUUUAAUUACGCGAAGUUCAAUCUUUUUUCCUCUACAAAUUAAAUCAUGUACGUAAACCUGUUACCUACAUUUUGUAAUAUUUCUGGAUCUGCUCUUUGAUUCAUCAAGGACAGAGUUGAUUGCAGCUUCGUCAUAGAAAAGUUCGUCUUCUUCAUCUUCUUGGUUGGCGAGGAAAUAUAAGUGGACUCUUCUCCAGUUUAAGGAUUCCAACCUAGCACAUGAAUGAUAAAGGGCAGAGUCAUCAUUUAAAUAAUAAAGGGACGAAGGACAUCCUUAGCAUUAGGAUGCUUCCAUUCCACCACUGACUCUCACUAUUCUUUUGGAUGUACUCCAUCACUCUAAGAGAAGGGGGAUGAGAUAGCUGGCCAUUUUCAGCAUCUGACAAUUUGUUAUCCCAAUUUAUUGGAGAGAGUCGCAGAUCAAACUCUUUAAAAAUAGAAAUAUACCAUGAUAAGAUGGAGAUGAUGGUGGAGCGAAGCGGAGCAGAGCCAAGAAGACGAAAUCAAGCUCUCCAUGUUAUAGCACUUCCAAAUGUUGAUACUGGCAUUUAUUGAAAUGAAACUUAAAAUCAACUGUUUUGAAGCCAUUUGAUAGCUAAGAACUCAGAAUCCAUGAGAUGAAGUAUUUGGCAAAGCCUUCCCCGUGAUUGGAGCAACCUCACUAAUUUAUCGACGAAAUGGCUAAAAUUGUCUACCUCUUAACUAAUCUUUAGCAAAUUAUCUGAAUUAGGUUUUACCGAAACGAAAAUAAUAAAUUUGUUCUAUUACUAUCAACUGCCAGAACUCCUGACAAGUAAUUACGACCAGUUUUUUAACAUCCAAGCUCUUGUAAUCUCACAAACGCUUGAGACCCAAACCCAAUCAACAGAUCAGAGAACCUUCAUUUGUUAAGGCUCCAUGCACCAGAACCGGAGAAGGAGCUAGGCUGCGGGGUGUUCGAUGGUUGAAAAGGGAACGUGAAUUGUGCUGGAGAGCAUGCCGGUGGCGAUGUGUUUGGAGCUUAGCCUGGUGCUCUCCAAAUCCUUACUAAAUUAUUAGAAAGUAACAUUAUAACAUUUUUAAAUCUGUUUAAAUUUUUUGGUUUAAGAUAAUUUUUUAAUAUUAUAAGUCAUUUAUUAAGUUAAUUCAAAUUAAUUAUUUUUAUUAAAAUAAUAUCAUUUCAUUUUUUUAAUUAAUCUGGUCAGAUAUAAUAACUAGGUUUGAUUGAAUCGGUCAAAUUUUACAAAUCAAUAUCUUAUAUGGUUUAAUUAUAAACCCAAUCUAAGUUAAAUUUUGGCUAAAGAAUACAUUUUGGAGAGUUGAAUCAAUAAUAUUGCUUUAUAUCACAGCUAGGCAGAUAGCAGAAGGCUAGUGACUGCUGGGCAGAAAGCCUUAAUUAGGAAAUAACUUCAUAUUCUGGGGGUAGAAACCCCACGAACGCAAUCAAGCAUUUGCUUCAAACAAUAAGAGGGAGCUUCAUUGCGGUAGGAAACUUCAACAUCUAUUAUAAAAAUGCAAUCAAACAUAAUUCUGAGUACAAAAACAAAUUACGUUUUGAUUGCGAGCAUAACAAUCUUGGCAGUAAGUACCAUGAUCUUUUCCAAUUGAGUUAAUCCCACAUUGAAAAGAUACUAUGUUAUCUUUUUAAGUUGAAGUAUUUAAACCAAAAGGUUUUUUAUCCCACAUUGAAAAAACAUGAUGUUUUUCCUUGGAAACAUAGAGUUUAUAUGCUAAUGGGUUUCAAAUCCCACAUUGAAAAAACAUAACUUUUUUCAUGGGAAUAUAGAGUAUAUAUAUGAAAGUGCUUCAAAUCCGACAUUGAAAAGAUAUUAUGUUAUCAUUUUAAGUUGAAGUAUUUAAAUCAAAAGGUUUUUUUAUCCCACAUUGAAAAAACAUGAUUUUUUCCUUGGGAACAUAGAGUAUAUAUACUAAUGAGUUUCAAAUCCCACAUUGAAAAAACAUAACUUUUUUCAUGGAAACAUAGAGUAUAUAUAUGAAAGGGCUUCAAAUCCCACAUUGAAAAGAUACUAUGCUAUCCCUUUAAGUUGAAGUAUUUAAACCAAAAUGUUUUUUUAUCCCACAUUGAAAAAACAUGAUUUUUUCCUUGGGAACAUAGAGUAUAUAUACUAAUGGGUUUCAAAUCCCACAUUGAAAACAUAUAAGUUUUUUCAUGUGAACAUAGAGUAUAUAUAUGAAAGGGCUUCAAACCCCACAUUGAAAAGAUACUAUGUUAUCAUUUUAAUUUGAAAUAUUUAAACAAAACAUUUUUUAUCCCACAUUUAAAAAAAAAAACAAAAAACAAGUCUCGUCUGGGUUCGCCCGGGUUUGGCCGGGCUGUUGCCACAACCGGUCUUUUAUUAAACCCGGACAGGUCCAGCCACCGGGUCCCGGGUCGACCCGUCGGGCCGGGUUUAAUAACACUGCUUUUAAACCCUCUUUUUCAUCACGUCCCCAUGGUCCCCGUGUCCCACAUGUUUUCAUCAAAAACCAAAAUUUUAGGACUUCUUUGGCAGCCAUCUAAAAAUAUAUAAAAAUAAUAUUUUUAAUUUUAAAAAUUAUUUUUAAUCAAUACAUUAAAAUAAUCUAAAAAUAUUAAAAAAAAUCAAAAUUUUAAAAGCACAAGCAUUCCCAAACAAGGUAAUGCGUCAAGAAUCACAACAAUAUGACAUGUGAGUGGAAAGUUGUGAUUAAAAAGCAUUACUACUUUUAGAGUGAUUUUUGACAGCGUAGCAGGAAAUGUCAUUAUUGUUAUUUUUAAAAUAUUUUUUUUAUUUAUAAAUAUAUUAAAAUGAAAGUUGUUAAUUUCGUUUUGUUUUAUUUGUAAUGAUUUCAUACCAAUUCAACAAAUAAAAUAAAACAAAAUAAUUUUCAUCUCAUUUCAAAUCUCGGUCCCUUCCAAAUUUUUCGGCUAAAUUCCGUUCAGAAUGUUCCGGUUUCAUUCCACAUGUUCUGUUCCGGUUUUAAAAAGCCAUUGAAUCAAAUUGAACCUGGUUCAAUUAAUUAAUUAAACAUCAAAGUAUAAAAAGCUCUUUUUCAUUACUAUUUUCAUUAACUAUGAUAUUAAUUUUUUAAAAUUUGAUUUAUCACUAAUAUAUAUGGUUUAUAUUCAUGUUGUUUUUUUUUCAAGUUUAUACUUUGUAGGAAUUUAAGCAAAAAAAAUAGAUGUUUUAGAUCUCAUUAGCCUUGAUAACAUUGACCUAGUUUUAUAUUUAAAAUAUUAGUGUUAAAAUAUUUUAAUUUCAUAAUAUUUUGAUAUUUUAUUGAAGUUGAAUUGUUUUAAGUUAAAAAAUUAUUUAAUCUUAACUAUUUAAAAAUAUUUUAAAUUUUAAAAUUAUAUUUCAUCACGUCUCCAUGAUCCCCGUUGUGUCAAAAACAAAUUGCCUAAAUUUUAGGCUUUAGCAGUUCCUUUUUUAAAAUCCUCAUUAGUGAAAUUUCACGACUCCAGCUGGGCCUUGACUUGUCUGUUUAAUUUUUAUUAUUUUUAUUCCAUUUUAGCAUUUCAUACUCAUCAAAACCACAGGAACGCAAUCAAGCUUUAGCUUCAAACAACCAGAGGGAGAUUUUAUAGGGAUAAAAUUUUAAAAAUCACGCCUAUGCUACUUUCUAGUUUUAGUAUUAAAUUUAGUAUUUAAAAAAUGUGUUUAUGAAUAUGGCAGUUUCAGGUUUAGACAUUUUAAAAAUGUGUGUAGAAGAAUACUUUCACUGAUGAUUUAUAAUAUUAGGUUACUUUAAUGAUAAAUCAAUAUAGUAUUUUUUUUUUAUUUUUUGGAUUUUCAUCUUGGAGAAAUUCAAUAGGAUGAAAAUAUAAUAUUAAUCAAACUUCAAAUUAUGAUUGUUUAUCUAUCGAGUUAAAAAAAAAUAUGACAAUUUAAUAUUCUUUAAUGAAAUAAAAAAAUGAAAAAUGUUAUUUAUGUAAUUGUAAGCAUACUAUAUUAUAUUACUUUAUAAAGGGACGAAGGACAUCCUUUGCGUUAGGUUGCUCCCACUCCACUACUGACUCCUACCAUUCUUUUGGAUAUGCGUCGAUUUCUUUAAGAGAAGGGGGAGGAGAUGGCUGGCCAUUUUCAAGCAACGGAAGACAAAUUGACAUCCUCUUCAGCUUCUCACAAGCCAUUACACUAAUUUCUUCAAGAGAAUUGCAAAUCAGCUUUGCACUGCAAAUGCUUUUCAGUUCUGGUAAACCAAACUUUGGGAGAAUGACUUCCGUGAUGGAAUGAGAGGUGCUGCUUUCUUCAUCUGUUGUUCCUAUUAUCUCCUCCAUUUUCUCACAAUCAUUAACUUCAAUCCUUUCCAGGUUUACGAGGUUUGGCAGCAACAUAAGCGGGAAUAGCUUCUUCAUACUUUUACAUCCAUAACAAAAAAAAUCUUUAAGACCAGAAAACGUACCAUUACAUAAUGGCAAUCGUGGUGGAGCAGAGCAGAACCAAGAAGAUGAAACCAAGCUCUCCAUGUUAUGGCAUUUCCGAAUGCUGAUGCGCUCCAGUUCAGUUGCAUUCUCUAAUAACAAAACAUCACAUAAACUUCUUGCAUCGAUGCAUUCACAAAACAAUCCUUGAAUGCCAUUUACGAACUUGACCUGAAAAUCUCCAUCUUUGUUGAUACUCAAAUUACCCAACCCAACUGUUUUACUUGGAAAACUUCAAUGCAUUGCUCUAUAUCUACCCACCUCUCCUACGAAAAUCUUGCAUGUGCUUAAUGAUAGGAUCCCAUCCCGAGAUCUGAGAUACUCCACGAAGUCAGAAAAACCUUCGAAAUGGCACUCCAAAGUUUCCAAAUUUCUCAAGGAUCCUACUUCCUUUCCUUUAACUGUUAUCGGAGCAUCAUCUCCAUAAACUUUCUAGUACAAAGACUUGCAGGUGAGAGAGUUUUGGUAAUAUCCCACUAGGAAACUCCUUUUCACCACAUCCAUUCAUUCUAAGAUACCUCAGGUUGGUUAGGCAUUCCAUUCCUUGCGGCAUCUUUUCAAGUCGAGUACGAGAGAGAUCCAACCUCUUCAGUGCCCUGAGCUUCUUUAAUGAUGGAACAUAUCUUAAGUUGUCACACUUACGGAGCAAUAACGCAGUGAGACUCACCAAAUCAGAGACAGAGUCUGGCAAGUUUUCAAUACCUGUCCAAGACAGAUCGAGGACCUUGAGCCCAUGCAAUUGCUUGAAAAAUGAAUCCGCAAUAAAUCGCAACAUAUGAUUUUUACAUAGCAAUAGAGUUGAUAGAAAGGGACACCUUGGUGAAUAGCUGGAAGGAAUUUCUUCGAUCUCGUUUCUCAUUAGUGAAACCAUCGUCAGAUUCUCCGUCCACUGCUCUGCAUCUGGCAACUCUUUUAAUUGCGCACCUGCUUUAACCAUGACUUGAUAUUCGUCUUGCAGUAUAUGGAUGGCCAUGUCCCUAAUCAAGUCAUGCAUCUUGACACGUCUAAUAUCAUCAUAAUCCAUUUUAGCACUUUCCAAUAGGCAGACAUAUUCAAGUCUAUUAAGCAUCGUGUGGCCCUCAUCAAAUGCAUCUCCCCUGCUCCUCUUUCCUUUAAUUAUUCCCUCAUCGAUCAAAUAACCUAUCAACUCCUCCCUUUCAAUCUCAUCAUCUUCAGGAAAUAAUGCACAGUACAAGAGACAUUGUUGUAGUGCUAAAUCACCUAACCGAUCAUAACUAAACCUCAAUAACUUGAAUACCUUCUCAUCUAUGUCCCUAAAUUCUGAUUCUCUCAAUUUGUUCAAUGUAUUUCUCCACUCAUGUGGGUCAUCCACUCCCCUCAAGCUUCCUGCCACUGCAAUAAUUCCCAACGGCAAACCAGCACAUUCUCUAGCAAUAGCUUUUGCAAUUCCUUCCACUUUUGGUAAAAGUGUUAUGUCACGUUCAAGUUUUUCCAUGAACAAAGUCCAAGCUUCUCCCUCCGAAAGUAGCUUCACUUUGAUCUUGUGGUGGCAAGCCAUCCGAUGACAAACCGUUUCUGAUCUAGUUGUCAUAAUCAGCUUGCAUCCUUUCAAUAGCAUAGGAAUUCCCACUUCAUCAAGCUCAAAAUUGUGCCACAAAUCAUCUAAAAUGAGAAUCCAUUUUUGUUUCGUCCUUAAUUCUUCUGACAAUUUGGCAGCUCUAUGCACAUCAUCAUCUUCGUUUGCAAGGUCUAGAUGAAGACAUUUAGCUAUGAGAUUCUGCAAUCUAGUAAUGCUAAAAUCUUGAGACACUAUCACCCACCAAACAUGAUCACAAAUAUCUGGUCUUUGUAGAAGCUCAUUGUAGAUAUGUUUGAGUAUUGUCGUUUUACCAAUCCCCCCCAUCCCAUAAAUGCCAAUGGUUGAGACUUCAUCAUCCAUUAACAAAGACCAUAUCACCUUUGUAUUCUCUUCAAAUGCUUGACCCACUGGCUUUGUGGAGCUAGUAGGUAAUGGAACUCCUCUAGUCUCACAAGAGCUACCUCUCUCCAGAUGCUGCACUUGUUCUGUUCUCGGUAUAGUUUCAGAUCCAUCAUGCAGACGCUCCACAUCCUCAUCUUCCUGCAUUAAAUACGUAGAGAUUUCAUUCAGCUGCUGCUCCUUUGAAAGGGCAGAGUGUAUCUGAACCCAAGUGCCAUCAGCAAAUUGAUCCACUACAUCUGUUCCUGGUGUUGCUUCUCCUCUAUUCUCAUAAGGAGAGACACUUCUGUCAACAUGCUGAAAAGAUUCUUCACCAGUGUACUCCAUGCCUUGAACUCCCGCUUGCAUCCUUCCAGCAUCCCCUGCCAAAUUAACAAGUACUGCAUUGUCUUGUUCUUGAGGACAGGUGGAAAUGGCAUAAUCAUUAACAUUGCUUGAACUUGCUAUGCUUUUAUGUCUUUUGUUGCCACCAUUCAUAGCUAGAAAGGCUGCUUCUUGAACUUCUUUAGGCACCCGACCACAAAUGCCAACACCAUGCCUUCUCUCUCCUGAUAAAUGCCAUUUGAUCCUCGAAAUGGAAGUACCAUUGGCAAAUACAUGCCUACAAAACUUACACUUCAUGCUUCCAUCAUUCAUAUCUUCAACAUGAUUCCAAAACGGAUCAUUUGGUCUAACCAUUUUGUCCUAUAGAUAAAAAGGGUCAAAAUAUUGAAUAAAAAUUAAUGGAAGUACAUUAAUUGGAAAAGGAAGGUUGAAACUAAAAUAAUAAGUUACAAACGGCAAAGAAACUAAGAAGGAAAAAAAAUGAAUUCAAGGUUAACUUGGGGUCAAUUUAGUAUGAACUCCAUAAGGCAUGGAUUGUUACAACUGAGAAAGAUCAAAUUAUUUAUUUUUGGAAGCUUUUGAUGAUCCUAACUCCAAAGUUUCUCAUUAGAAUUUCUACAACUUGUGUUUUACUUGAAAGAUUCAAACCAGAGUUACAUGUGAAAAACAAAAUGAAGAAGAUGGAGUAUAAAUAAUUUACCUGGAUUCAAGUAGUUCUUCAAGUGCUGGUUUGCUUAAGUAGUAUUCAGGAAGAAAAACAAGAUCAGAGAAGAAUAUAUGGUUUAAAAAUAACAAGGAAGUUGCAAGAUGAUGAGCUCCAGAUGAUCAUCGGAAAGGUUUAAGAAAUUUGAUGAGGGAAAUUGGAAAUCAAUGGUAUAAUGAGAUGAGAUUUGGAAGAGAAUGUUACAGUAGCAAAGAUUCUUUUAUUGUUUGACAAGAAGUUGCUAGGAAAAAAGCCAUAACUUUCCUACCAAAGAUUAUAUUACAAGAGACAACAAGUUGCUGUACACCUCUAUUUCGCUUUUCAUUUGUCUACCGCUGCAUAUAAUUAAAAUCUUCAACAAAAGAAUCAGAAGAUAAAAAUUAUUUAAAAAAAAAACAUUUCUGACAAUAAUGCCAAACACUUUAACUCGUGGACCCACCCCAUUGUUGAAACUUUGAAAAAGCUGACCAAAGUCUAGGACUUCGAUGAUACUUAAAUAAUGUUCCUACCGUUACAUAACUUAAAGAAUAUAUAUAUACAUAACUUAAAGAAUACACACACACAAAGCAGCACAAACAAUAAUAAUAAUUUUGGAUGCAAAACAAGGUUUUUUUAAAAUUUUAAUCAAUUUUUUUUAUAAUUUAAUUUUUUCAAUUAUUUUUUAUUUCAAUUUUCUCGAUUUUUGUCUCAUCCCUACCCAUCAGUGUAUUAAUUAGCCAUUCCUUUCCUUGCAUGUUCUCCUUUUUUUUUUUUCUUUUUUUUUUUCUAUGGCGCAAUUGCCAAAAAAUACCUCUUUUUGUAAAGGAGACAGCCCUCCUUUUUCAUCGCGUCUCCAUGAUCCCACAUGUUUUCAUCAAAAACCUAAAUUAUAAGAAUUCUUAGGCAGCCACGUACAUGCUUCAGGAGUUCUUUUUUCAAAAUCCUCAUUAGAGAUUAAUUUAAAACAAAUUAAAAUAAUUAUGAUUAAAAUUAUUAAAAUAAUUUAAAAAUAUAAAAAAUUAUUUAAAACAAAUUAAAUAUUUUAAAAACACAACAUUCUCAAACAAGAUAACACGUCAAGAAUCACAACAAUCCGUUAUAUGAGUGGAAAGUUGUGAUUAAAAUACUAGAGUGAUCACUUUUAGAAUGAUUUUGACUAUGUGAAAGUGAAUGUGAUUGUUGUUAUUUUUUUAAAAUUUUUAAAUAUUUUUAUUUAAAAAUAUAUUAAAAUAAUAUAUUGUAUUAUAGAAUAACUCAAAAAUUAAUUCUAUGUAUUCAAUCUUCACAAACUUUAAUAUGUAUUAAGUUAGAUUUGUGUAAUUGAUUUAUCAAGUUUGCUUAAUCAAGAUGGAAUAUUUAUGAUUAUUUUAAUCUUUAGUGUCUUCUCUCCUGGUACAUGGUAAAAGCCUGGGCAUUUUUUUCUUUUUUAAUUUUAAUAAUAGUUCUGUUCUUUCUAUCCCAAGAAAUCAAGAAUGCUAGUUUCAUUCAUCAAGAUUCUAAAUACUAUAUACAGAUAAACUCAAGAAUGUAUCUUCUCUCUCUCUCUCUUUAUUUUUAAUCCAUAUUAUAUAUAUAUAUAUAGUUAAAUAAUUUAUUUAUAAUUAAUGAUAUAAGAUGAUUUAUAAUAGUGAAUAGAUCUAUUAUUUUUUUAGGUUACUUUAAUGGUAAAUCAAUAUAGUAUUUUUUUGGAUUUUCAUCUUGGAGAAGCUGAAUAGGAUGAAAAUAUAAUAUUAAUCAAACUUUAAAUGAUAAUUAUUUAUCUAUCGAAUAAGAAUAUCCUUGUUGAUUUAAAGGACUAUUUUCAUAUCAAAAAUAAUUAUGUUUUGCACCUGAUUUUUAACAAAAAUGAUUGAAAAAAUGAUAUAUUAUUGAAUAUGAGCAAAUUUAAGAUUACAAAAAUGAUUAGUAUUUUUACAGAUGCAUAAAAUUGAUAAAUGAUGCAACAAAUUAAGAAGGAUACGUAUUAUUACAUUUAACGCAGUAAUUAACCAUUCUACAUAUUAAUUGUUUCAAGAAAAAAAGGUCCUUUGGACAAUACCUUGGAAAUACAAUUCAAAAAUACCCUUUAAUUUCUAUUUUUUUUAUUUAGCAUUUUAUCCCAAUGAUAGGACAUUUAGAAUGCACUUUCAUACAACCAGAGGGAGCUUCAGUCAGUAGAAAACUUCAACAUCUACUGUGAAGCUUGAUUUGUUAUCCAAUCUGCACACCAGUUUUUAUCCCACUGCAGUAGAACUUUUUAUCUUUUUCCAAGUUUUUUUUUGGGUGAAUUUUUUUCUUUCAUCUCAAAUUAACUUGUGAAUAAAAAAAAUAAAAUUUUAAACCAAAAUAAAAAAUAAAAAAUAUAAGAUGCAAAAAAUUAUAGGGAUCGAAAUUUUAAAAAUCACGCAUAUGCUUCUUUCUAGUUUUAGUAUUAAAUUUGUUCGUAGAAGUUUCAUUUAUUUUUAAUCAAUUAAAUUGAACAAAAUCUUGUCAAGUCAAACAUAAACUCUUUAUUGAAUCGUCUUUUCUUUUUGGAUAAUAAGAGCUUCAUAAAAAGCUUAUUAAAAUAAAUUAUUAAAUGAAAUUAAAAACAAAAAUGCUUUUUUUAUUUAAAAAAAAAACAAAACAGAGAGACAUCUACCGUGUUUUCUCUAUUGGUACAUGAUAAAAGUCUGAAAAGAUUUUUUAUUAUUAUUUUAAUUUUAAUAAUAGUACUGUUAUUUCUACCGCCAAGAAAUCAAGAAAGCUAGCUAAUUUUAAUACAAUGCUAGAGUUCUUAACUUUGGGAGAAUGAAUUCCGUGAUGGAAUUGGAGGUGCUGCUUUCUAUUAUGCACUGAUCAUGAGAUGUGGAAGAGAAUGUUACAGUCGCUAUCUCUUUUACAUAAUAUUAUUUAUUAGUAAGGUCGCCUCAAUAAUAAUUAAUUAACGUAUUGUUUGAUAUAUUAUAAGAUAUAUAAAGUUAACGUGUGGACCCGCCCCAAUGUUGAAACUUGGAAGAAGCUGCCAAGAAAAUGUAAACACAUGAAAUUUUCUAAAAAGAAUAGCAUAAUUAAAAAAUAUAUUUUUUAUUUAAAAAUACAUUAAAAUUAUUUUUUUUAUCAGCACAUCAAAAUAAUUUAAAAAUAUUAAAAAAUAUAUUUUUAAAAAAAUCAAAAAUUUUAAAAAAAACAUUAUGACUGUAAAGAUAAACCAGUCAAUAUUCUCAAGGUAGCAAUUACUAAUUGGGAUAAAAAGAAAUUAAAAGAAAAAUUAAAGGUUUUGAGUCAACGCCAUUACCAAUAUUCGCUUGCAGGUGUGUAUGGUAGUUCUUAUGCUUCUGCCUUUGAGUGUGUAUAUUAGAGCAGAGUGAUUUUAUUUAACCAUGAAAUUUUGUGAGACAAAUUAUAGUGAAUGUUUUUCUAUUUUACCAAUAUACCCAAGGUCUUUAUAACAGAGUGAUGCUACAUGCUGAGGUGGAUAUUAGCAACAGAGGAAAGCAUACAAAAGUAACAAAAAAAAAACAUCAAAUGAAAAAAAAAAAAACAACCUUUAGAAACACGCGUCUUUGGAUUAACAUUCUUUUAGUUUAUUUUUUAUGUUGUUCAUAAAGACAGAAAAAACUUUAAAAUACAAAUUAAAAAAUCUUGAGGAAUUGAUUAACCAAUCCUGUUAGUUUUUUUUUUUUCUAUGAAGACAGAAAAAACUUAAAAACACAGAUUAAAAUAAAGAUUUAAUAGAGAAUGAAAUUUAAUUUUAAAUGCAAAUUAAAAUAAAGCAGAGUGACUAAUGGAGAAAGUACUUGGAAUUCUACAAAGAGUACAGCGUCGGGAAUCCUUGCACACGUUUGGUAUUUUAAUUAUUCUUAUUUCGUUUAAUAACUCAAUUGGAAGUUCAAUUCCCAGAAUUUCUGCUUUUGAAAAAUCAUUCAUCACUUUUAAAUAACGCAAAUGAUUAUUAAGAAAAUUCAACGACAACAAUAUACUCAAUAGCAAUAUUACAGUAAAGAAAUCAAAUCAAUACAGAUAAAUAAAUGAUCCAAAUAUAAUCAAAGAAUUAGUCCAUUUAAUAAAAAAAACAUUACUGAAUCCAUAAACUACAUAAUUCCCUUUUCUUUUUUCUUUUUUCUUCUUCUUCUCUGGUGCAUUUCCCACACGAAAUACUCAUUUCAAAUUAGGCACCCCCCUUUUUCUAAAGGAGGCAGCCCCCAAUUUUCAACCUCGUUUUCCAUCACGUCUCCAUGAUCCCCGUUGUGUCACAAACAAAUUUUCUAAAUUUUAGGCUUUAGGAGUUCCUUUUUUGAAAUCCUCAUUAGAUGCUAAUAUCUAGCCCUUCAAGAUACCUUUCCAACGCAUCAAGAAUCACAGCAAUCUUAUAUGUGAGUGGAAAGUUAUGAUUAAAAUACUAAAGUGUGUGGAGGCUGUUUCCAAAAAAAAAAAAGAACAUUACUACUACUUUAAGUGUAUCUUUUGAUGUUUCCGGUUUAUAUUGAUAUAUUAUUCAUGUGAAUAAUAUAAGAGAAUUGCACUUAAAAAAUAAUGAACAAUUUUUUUUUUUAGUAUGUUAAUUUUUUCAAUAUUUUUUUUUAAAAAACACUAGUUUAGAGUGAAUUAAAUUCACCCGCAUUGUAACAUCAAUUUUAUACUUGAUAAUAUUUUAUCUAAUUUUAUUACAUGUUCAAAAAAUUAUGAAAACUGUAGUUCUUGUCGGAUGUAUUUCGUACAUAAUGGAAUUGUAGAUGGUUUCAUAGAAUAAUAAAAAAUAUUUUAUAUAAAGUAUAAUUUAUUUCAUGAUUUAAUAGCAAUAGUUAAAUCUACAAUAUUUAAAUUAAAAAUCAUCAAUAUUAAUAUAUAUUUUUUAAAAUUAUUUUAUAAUUUCAAUUUCAAAAACAUUCUUAACCAAACACAUUAAAUUACUUUUUUUUCAACUUCAAUUUCAAUCACAAUACUAAACACACUAAAAGUUUUAGUUAUAAACUAGCCCAACAAAUCAUACCCAGGGAAGCAAAAGCCAGAAACAAGCUACCUCGAUUCUUGCUCCACCGGGGUAAGAAAUGCAGCAUGCCCACUUGGAAUUAUAGAGCGUCCAAAUUCCAUGGCAAAUAAUUGGUUGGAAUUGUUUUCUGAGGGGUCUUUUCAAAAUCUGAAAAUAAAAACAGAAAAUAGAUCCAGCAAAUGAUUCCAAAUAUCUUCUAAAAAGAACGAUGAAAUAUGUUUUUUUAUUUACCGUAAGGAAAGAUAUUAAUGAAAUUUUUUUAUAAAAAAAAUCAAUUUAAAAAAUAUAUAACAAGUCAAAAUCUAUACUUAAAAUCUUUCUCGUAUUAAAUUCUUAAUUCAAUCAAAUAAAAUAUUAAUUUAAUAAAACAUAGUUAAGUUUUUGAUAGUUGAAUAUUUAGUAUAACGGUGACGUACUACUUAUUAUUUCUAUUAUUUUUAUUCCAUUUUAGCAUUUUAGCAUUUCAUACUCAUCAAAACCAUUGGAACACAAUCAAGCUUUAUCUUCAAACAACCAGGGAGAUUUUAUAGGGAUAAAAUUUUAAAAAUCACGCCUAUACUACUUUCUAGUUUUAAUAUUAAAUUUAGUAUUUAAAAAAUGUGUUUAUGAAUAUGGCAGUUUCAGGUUUAGAAACCAAAACUGCCAUAUUCAUACUCUUUUAGACAUUUUAAAAAUAUGUGUAGAAGAAUACUUUCACUGAUGAGUUAUAAUAUUAGGUUACUUUAAUGAUAAAUCAAUAUAGUAUUUUUUUUUAUUUUUUGGAUUUUCAUCUUGGAGAAAUUCAAUAGGAUGAAAAUAUAAUAUUAAUCAAACUUCAAAUUAUAAUUGUUUAUCUAUCGAGUUAAAAAAAAAAUGACAAUUCAGUAGUCUUUAAUGAAAAAGAAAAAAAAAAUGUUAUUUAUGUAAUUGUAAGCACGCUAUAUUAUAUUACUUUACAAAGGGACGAAGGACACCCUUUGCAUUAGGAUGCUCCCACUGCACUAUUGUCUCCCACCAUUCUUUUGGAUAUGCAUUGAUUGUUUUAAGAGAAGGGGGAGGAGAUGGCUGGCCAUUUUCAAGCAACGAAAAACAAAUUGGCAUCCUCUUCAGCUUCUCACAACCCAUUACAGUAAUAUCUUCAAGAGAAUUGCAAAUCAGUUUUGCACUGCAAAUGCUUUUCAGUUCUGGUAAGUCUACCAAUUCCAGAGUUAUUAACUUUGGGAGAAUGACUUCCGUGAUGGUAUUGGAGGUGCUGCUUUCUUCAUCUGUUGUUCCUAUUAUCUCCUCCAUUUUGUAACAGAACCUCACAUCAAUCCUUUCCAGGUUUACGAGGUUUGGCAGCAACACAAGCGGGAACAGCUUCUUCAUACUUUUACAGCCAUGACAAAAAAACUUUUUAAGACCAGAAAACGUACCGUUACAUGAUGGCAAUCGUGGUGGAGCAGAGCAGAACCGAGAAGAUGAAACCAAGCUCUCCAUGUUAUUGCAAUCCCGAAUGGUGAUGCGCUCCAGUUCAGUUGCAUUCUCUAAUGACAAAACAUCACAUAAACUUCUUGCAUCGAUGCAUUGAAAAAUCAGUCCUUGAAUGCCAUUUAAGAACUUGACCUGAAAAUCUCUAUCUCCGUUGAUACUCAAAUUACUCAACACAACUGUUUUACUUGGAAAAUCUUCAAUGCAUUCAUAGAAAUGUCUACCCAACUCUCCUACUAAAAUCUUGCAUGUGCUUAAUGAUAGGAUCCCAUCCUGAGAUCUGAGAUACUUCACGAAGUCAGAAAAACCUUCGAACUGGCACUCCAAAGUUUCCAAAUUUCUCAAGGAUCCUACUUCAUUUCCUUUAACUGUUAUAGGAGCACCAUCUUGCCUAAACUCUUCUAGUACAAAGACUUGCAGGUGAGAGAGUUUUGGUAAUAUACCACUAGGAAACUCCUUUUUACCAAAUCCAUUCAUUAUAAGAUACCUCAGGUUGGUUAGGCAUUCCAUUCCUUGCGGUAUCUUUUCAAGUGCAGUAUGAGAGAGACUCAACCUCUUCAGUGCCUGGAGCUUCUCUAAUGAUGGAACACGUCUUAAUUUCUCACAAUUAUUGAGCAAUAAUGCUGUGAGGCUCACCAAAUCAGAGACAGAGUCUGGCAAAUUUCCAAUAUCUGUCCGAGACAGAUCGAGGACCUUAAGCCCAUGCAAUUGCUUGAAAAAUGAAUCCGCAAUAAAUCCCAACCAACGAUUUUCACAUAGCAAUAGAGUUGAUAGAUAGGGACACCUAGGUGAAUGGCUGGAAGGAAUUUCUUCGAUCAUGUUUUCCAUUAGUGAAACUCUCGUCAGAUUCUCCGUCCACUCCUUUGCAUCUGGCAACUCUUUUAAUUGUGCACCUGCUUUGACCAUGCCUUGAGAGUUCUCUAGCAGUAUUCGGAUGGCCAUGUCCCUAAUCAAGUCAUGCAUCUUGACAUGACUAAUAUCACUUUCCAAUAGGCAGACAUAUUCAAGUCGAUUAAGCAUCGUGUGGCCCUCAUCAAAUGCAUCUCCCCUGCUCCUCUUUCCUUUAAUUAUUCCCUCAUCGAUCAAAUAACCUAUCAACUCCUCCCUUACAAUCUCAUCAUCUUCAGGAAAUAAUGCACAGUACAAGAGACAUUGUUGUAGUGCUAAAUCACCUAACCGAUCAUAACUAGACCUCAAUAACUUGAAUACCUUCUCAUCCAUGUCCCUAAAUUCUGAUUCUCUCAAUUUGUUCAAUGUAUUUCUCCACUCACGUAGGUCAUCUACUCCGCUCAAGCUUCCUGCCACUGUAAUAAUUCCUAAUGGCAAACCAGCACAUUCCCUUGCAACAGCUUUCGCAAUUCCUUCCACUUCUGGUGAAAGUGCUACAUCACGUUGAAGCUUCUCCAUGAACAAAGUCCAAGCUUCUCCAUUAGAAAGUGGCUUCACUUUGAUUUUGUGCUGGCGCUGGCAAGCCAUCUGAUGACAAACCUUUUCUGAUCGAGUUGUCAUAAUCAGCUUGCAUCCUUCCAACUUUUCAGGAAUUCCCACUUUGUGUAGCUCAAAAUUGUUCCACAAAUCAUCUAAAAUGAGAAUCCAUUUUUGUUUCUUCCUUAGUUCUUCUGACAAUUUAGCAGCUCUAUGCAAUUCAUCAUUUUUUCUUGAAAGAUCUAGAUCAAGAUGUUCAGCAAUAAGAUUCUGCAAUCUAUUAAUGCUGAAAUCUUGAGACACAGUCACCCACCAAACAUCAUCACAAAUAUCUGGUCUUUGUAAAAGCUCAUUAUGGAUAUGUUGCAGUAUUGUGGAUUUACCAACUCCCCCCAUCCCAUAAAUGCCAAUGGUUGAGACAUCCCCAUCCAUUAACAAAGACCAUAUCACCUUCGUAUUCUCUUCGAAUGCCUGACCCACUGGCUUUGUAGAGCUAAGAGGUAAUAGAAGUCCUCUAGUCUUGUUGUAUUUCAAACUUUCAGAAGAUCUAGCUCCAGCACCAACCUGCACUGAUCUUCGACUAUUCUCCACAUCCUCCUCCACUGGUUCUGUCCUCACUCUAACCCGAUUAAUUCUCUCUUCCCCGGCACCUUGUUCCAGCACCCCCUGAACUCCCACUUGUAUCCUUCCAGCACCCCCUGCCAAAUUGCCAAGUACUACAUUGCUUUGUUCCAAUGAUCGAUCCACUGGUUCUGUCCUCGGUCUGCUCUCGAGUGCCCCUUCGGAAACUCCAUCUUCUUGUGCUCUCAUUCCGGUCAUGCUUACUCGUCGUUUCCUGCUAUUGCAUGUGAAGUAAUCCUCUCUUCCCCUACUCCGGGUUCUACAACCUGAACUUCUCUUGUACCCUUCCAAUUCCUCCUCCCAAAUUUUCAAUCUCAUUGUUUUGUUCUUGUGGACAAGUUGAAAUUCCACAGUCAUUAACAUUGACUGCACUUGCUGUGAUUUUUUGUCUUUUGUUGCCACCACAGUACAUAGCUAGAAAGGCUGCUUCUUGAACUUCUUUAGUCACCCCACGACAAAUGGCAACACCAUUCCCUUCUUCUCCUGAUAAAUGCCAUUUGAUCCUUGUAAUGGCAGUUUUAAUGGUAAAUGUAUGUGGACAAAACUUACACUUCAGUACUUUAUUGAUUAAUGAUCCAACCAUUUUAUCCCUCUUUUCAACAUAAUUCCAAAACCGAUCAUUUGAUUCAACCUAUAGAAAAAAAAGGGGGGGGGUCAAAAUAUAGAAUAAAAAUCACAUCUGGAUGGAUGAGAAACUACUUCAGUGCUAUUACCCUUAUUUUGCUAUUAAAAUUGACAGUCAGUUUAUUGGAAAAAGACGACGAUAAUUCAGUUAGAAUUCUUACUUGUUGAGUAUUUAAACCCCUAAUUUGACUUUGCAAGGAAGUGUCAAGGCCAGGAUUUGAGGCAUUUGACCUAGCAGUUUGAUUUUGCAAUUCUUGGACUUGGACGUUAUCCAUCUGUGACCUGUAUAAAAAUGAAGUGAUCAUAUUAUAAAACCAAAAAUCAAUGGUGUUAUUAUAAAACCAUUCAAUAUUUGGUAGUCUCUCUUAAACAGUCAAAAUCAAUGGUGUAUCUAAUUAUCAAAAAGGUUUUAAUACCGUGUUAGAACACAACAGCUAGAAGUCAAUCAGUACCUCGUAGAGUUGCCAGAGUUUCGAAGCAGGAAGUUCUCUUGUUGCAUAUUGUCUAUGUCAGGAAUUACAGCAGCUUGAUCGACUUGUCCUUGAUUAGAAGGAAAUUGAAUCCUGAAUCAAAAACCAUUCGUAAGCAAUAUGAAGCAUUACAUACUUAUGAUUAUCUUGUUUGGUUUAUGUUCAAGCUAUGAUGUUACGGAAAAUACUAAAAAUGAAAAAUUGGAUACCGGGGAGCAGGAAAAGAAGGUCCAGGUUGAUUGAAGCCACCAUGUUGAGAAGUGGUUGCGUUCGGUGUCAUAUAGCCAUGUCCCGGCCGAGGUUGAUGAGUAUUGGAGUACUGAAGCCUGAAUAAUAUUCAAAUAGUUAAACUUAGAACUGUUAUUCUCACAAAAAAGAGAGAUAGAGAGCUCAAAAAGACUUGAAAGAUCCUCGUCAAUUUUGGUCAAGUUCAUUGUUUUCAUGAUUAAAAAAGUGUAUAUUCGAGGUUAAUACCUUUGAUUCAUUGGAGGUUGAGGUCCAGGUAGCAUCGCAGGCACUUGAUUCCUCAUUGGUAACUGAUAAUUAGUCAAUUGUUGGUCCCUGAAUUAGCAACACUUGUUAGUAAUUUCUUUAUACAUAUGCAUAAUUCUUUGCUAUUAAUCCACUAAGUAUUUGAUAUCAUUUUAGCUUACCUCAAAGGAUUGGCACAUUGAGGAUCAAAUAAAUUAUGAUUAGGCUGAUACCUAUAUUCAAACAUAAUGAAUUCACUGAUAAGUACAACAACAAGAGGAAGAAGAAGAAGAAGUUAAAUAAUGAUUGAAAAACAUUUUUUUUUUUUUUCAGAAAAUACUAAACAUGAAAAAUUGGAUACCAGGGAGCAUGAGAAGAAGGUCCAGGUAGAUUGAAUUCACCAUGUUGUGAUGUGGUUGCGUUCGGUGUCAUAUAGCCAUGUCCCGUCUGAGGUUGAUGAAUAAAGGAAUAAUGAUGCCUAAUUCAAUGGAAAUUGUAGCAAAUUGGAGUAAGCAUGAGUACUCACCAUGGUUUCAGGAAAUGAAGUUGGAAACUGAGUUGUUUGUUGAAUACUAUCGUUGAUCACAUUGUUCUGUCCACCUUGAUCAUUGCAUAAUAUGGAGCCUUGGUUGUCUGCCGGCCUGCUUCCAUGGAAUAAUAUAUAGGAUAAACUGAAGUAACUAAAUUGCAAGCAAUCAUCUUCUGAUAAAAUAUGUUUAAGAAUGACGUACAAGAGAAAUAGUGAUUCAAGAUCGAACUCUGUCAAGUCAUCCAUAGAUGGUUGGAACCCUUCCAUCUGACCAAAAGUACAAGAUGAUUAGUACAUACUGAGGUGAAAAAAGAACAGAAAGCACAUCUGAGUGGAUUACUGGGUACACACGUUACAUAAGUCAAAAUAAAAGAAAAACAAAUAAAUGGUGAAACGCAUAUUUUAAUGGCAGUCCCAUUAAUUGGAAAAGAAAAGGGUGAAUCUAAGAAAAGAAAAGCCUUUUUUAUUAUUUUUAAUACUAAUAUAUCAAAAAAUAUUAAUUUAAUAUAUUUUUUUAAAUAAACAGAUUUUAAAAAACAAAUUAUAUUUUGAUUGCGGGCAUAACAAUCCUGGCAGUACCGUUGCCGUUUUUUAGUUUACACAUUCUCUGGAGCGUCGAUUCCACAUUGAAGCAAAUUAAAAGAAUAAAAGCAAAUAUUAAAUGAUUUAAUAAAAGUGACUAAUGAAAAAAGUGCUUAAAUUCUACAAACAGCUGAUAGAUAGUCGGAAUCCCUUGAACACAUUUGAUAUUUUAAUUAUUCUUAUUUUGUUUAUUGAAAGGUAAUUACCGAUCAAGUUAAUUCAUUGAAUCAUUGUAAGAAAAAAAAAAGUAGAAAAAUACUGAAUAAAAAAGAAUGGCAGUCCCAUUAAUUGGAAAAGAAAAGGGUGAAUAAAAAAUGAGUUAAAAACACUACUUUACCUACCCAAUUAUGAAGCUUAGAAGAAGAUGCCUAGAAAAUGUAAACACAUGAAUAUGAGAAACAAUAAUAUACUUUUCUUUUUAAAAUAUUUUUUAUUUAAAAAAAUCAAAGUUUUUGAAAAGCAUGUGCUCUAACAAUAACAGAUUAAAUAUGUGAUUAAUAGCAUGUGAUUAAAGGUUUUCAGUCGAUGCCAUUACAUGCAGUCAAAGACUCCAUCCUUACUUUAAAUAAACAAAACCUACACUCAAUAAUAUGUCCUAGUUUUUUUGGCCAGUGUUUUUCCGUGGUUGGAUUAAUUUUUUUAAAAUAUAAAAAUAAAAUAUUAAGAGUGAAGAAAGUUUGUUGGGCGAUAUUAUUAAACUUGUUCAGGGGAGUUAAUAUUAAAAUCUUCUAAUCUAAUUUUUUAUUUAAUUUAAAUUUUUAAUUAAAUUAUAUGAGAAUUAACUCAGUUUAAAUCGAUCAAUAUCCAAAUACAACUUAGAAAACUAGAAAAACAUGGCCUAGCUUUUAAAAAAACUUCUAGAUAACUUUUUUUUUUAUAUAUAUAUAUGCUAAUUCGGCCCAAAUAUGAAAUAGACAAAAAAAAAAUUAAUGAUAAAAAAAAGGAAAGAAAAGGAAAAAAAACAGAAAAAGCAAAACACUAUCGGUUACUAUUGUAAUCCAUAAUGAAAUGAGUAUGGGUGAAUAGUGAUUCUCUUACACAUUUUAGUUUUUCUUUUAAUUAAUAAAAAAAAAUAUCCCACAAAACCUGAAAACUAAUAUAAUUUGAAUUAUUUUAACAAACUUAUAAAUCACGUUAAUCUUAUAAAAAAAUAAAAUAAAAAUUAAUAAAUUAAAGCUGAAUUAUAACCAGCCUAUUAUUAAAUAAACAAAAAAGGCAAAACACCUUGAAUUACAUACUAUUGUAAUUUACAAUGAAAUAGGUGUGGAUAUAUAGUGAUUCUCCCAAGUCUCUUAGCUUUUCUUUUAAUGAAAAUUAAUAACCGUAUAAUAUCUUUCUUGUGGAUGCUCUAUCGUUGCUAAAUUAAAACAUCUUUUUUUUCUUUAUCUACAAUUAUGUGAAACAUUUAAAAAAAAAAAACAUUGUUAUUUUAGUUUUUUUUUUAAUAAAUACCAUCAUAAUAUGAUGUGGUUUUGUUAUUUACUCAAGUUAUUCAGUUAAUAUGUGAGUCAACCAGUAAACUAAACUUUGGAUUACGUUUCUUAACUAUUCGUAAGCUUCCUAUUUAUUCUUAGUAAUCAAAAUAUUUUUUUUAUUUUUAAUAUUAAUAUAUUAAAAAAUAUUAAUUUAAUAUUUUUUUAAAAUAACCAGAUUUUUUAAUAAACAUAACUCUGAGUACAAAAACAAUCAUGUUUAGAUUGCGAGCAUAAGCAUAACAAUCUUGACAGUACCGUUGUUGUUUGGACUUUGAGAAGGAUAAAACGAAAGAGUUAGAAUACAUUUAAAAUAAAAAAUUAAUUUUUUAAAAAUACUUUUAAAAUACAAAAACGAACUAAUAAUAAAAUAAACUUUCAUACACUUAUCAAAAUCCCAGGAACGCAACAAUCAGGCAUUAGCUUCAAGCAACCAGAGGGAGCUUCACUGCAGUAGAACACUUCAACAUAGCUUGAUUUGCUAUCCAAUCUGCACACCAGUUGGAUAGCAAUUUCUUUUCAUAACAUUUACCUUUGUAAAAACUUUCUAUUUAUUUUUAGUUUUAAUAUCAAAUUCAGUCUUUAAUAUUUAUCUUCAAAAUUUUAAUAUAAAAUUUGACGGUCAAAAUUUCACUUAUUUUUAAUCAAUUAAAUUGAACAAAAUCUUGUUAAGUCAAACAUCAACUCUACAUUGAAUUGUUUUUUCUUCUUAGACCACAAGAGCUCCAUAACAAGUUUAUUGAAAUAAAUUAUCAAAUGAAAUUAAAGGAAUUAUGAUGCCUUGAUGGAGUUUGAGGCCAAUUUUAUAUAAAACUUAAUGAUAAAAAAAUAUCAUAAAAUUUCUAAAUCUCCCAAUUGUUGUCUGUUUGUUUAACAGUAAACAAUUUGAAGAAGCUCGAGAUCGAUACACUAAACAUAAAACUUUUUGCAUAAUACAAGCACUUGCUAAUUCAAUGGACAUUGUAGCAAAUUGGAGCACUCACCAUUGUUUCAGGAAAGGAAAUUGGAAACGGAGUUGUUUGUUGAAUACUAUUGUUGAUCACAUUGUUCUGUCCACCUUGAUCAUUGCAUGAUAUGGAGCUUUGGUUGACUGGAACCUCCGGUGGCGACCUGCUUCCAUGGACAGUGACGACAUUAAUUGGAAAAGAAAAGGGUGAAUCUAAAAUAAGGAGUUAAAACAGCAAAGAAUCUUGAAAAGACGAAAACAAUGAAUUCAACGUUUAGGGUUAAUUUAAUCAGUAUGAACACCACAGGGCAUGGAUUAUAAAAUCUGAGAAAAAGAUCUAUCUAUUUAUCAUGGAUUACUUUAAAGAUUCAGACAAGAUGAAUGACAAAUAAUUUACCUGGAUUCAAGAUGUUCUUCAAGUGCUAGCUGGUUUGCUUGAGCAGUGAUCAGCCAAAAGAAAAGGAAGAGAAAUCACAGAUCACAGAAGAAUUUAUGGCUUAGAAAAAUAAUAAAGUUGCAGUAUACAUAAAUCUAGUUCGCACUGAUCAUGAGAUGUGGAAAGGAAAAUAGGGAAUUCUAUAAUGAGAUGAGAUGUGGAAAAGAAUGUUACUGCCGCUAGCUCCCUUAAAUAAUACUAUUUAUUAGUAAGGUAUUGUUUGAUAGGAAGGAAGUUGCCAGGAAGCAACCCAAACAUUACAUUAUAUGAUAUAGAAAGUUAACGUGUGGAACCGCCCCCUUUGAAGAAGCUGCCAAGAAAAUGUAAACACAUGAAUAUGAGAAAGAAUAGCAUAUUUCUGCAUUGUGUGAAUUUUUUUUUUUUAAUUAUUUUUAUAUUGCAAUGUAAAAACAAUUCAAAAAUAUUAAUUACAAACGGUCACUUGAUAUAAUUUUACAGACUUUUAAUUAGCCUCACUCAUUUGACCCAUGUCAUGGGUUAAUGGUUCUCAGCAACUCUCCAUUCCGUGACCUUUCUGGCCCUACCUAGAACAACCAACACCCCGACAAAAAUAAUAAUAAUUUUACAGUCGAAUCAUGUUUUUUAAAAACUUGAUAUUUUUUUAUUUUAAAUUAAUUUUUUUAAUAUAUUUAGAUUAUUUUAACAUUUUAAUGUUAAAAAUAAAUUUUAAAAAAUAAUAAAAAUAUUAUUUUAUUAUAUUUUUAAAUUAAAAAAAAAACAAUUAUUAUCUCAAUAUCAAACAUUAUCUUAUUCUAUGAUACUAUCCUUGGAACUUUUCCACACCAAUGGAAAUUUGUUUUUCCCAAACACCCUUCUACAAAUUUAUAUUUUUAGCCCUCAGACCUAUAAAGUAUGAUUUGCUAGCCAAUCUGCACACUAGUUUCCCAUUAAUACAAAGAUGAUCGUGUUUUUUUGGUGCCAAAAUUGUCGGCCAAUAAUUUUCCAUUUUUAUCCGAGUUUUUAAUGAUUUUUUUAUCUCAAAUUUAUAAAUUAAAAAAUUAAUAAAAUAAAAUUUUGAAUCAAAAUUAAAAAUCAAAAUUAAAAUGAAAAUGCAAAAACUUAGGGAACAGAAUUUUGAAAAACACGCCAGGCUACUUUUUGAUUUCAGUAUCAUAUUUGGUGUUCACAGUUUCAAUUAUUUUUAAUGAAUUAAAUUGAAUAAAAUUUUAUCACAUCAAAUACCAAUUUAAAUUAAUCUUCUUCUUUUUUACCUUUUUACCUUGAAAACUUUAUAAUUAAUUAAAAUAAAUUAUCAACCUCAAAUUCCCAUGAAUAUAAAAUUAAAAAUAAAAUAAUCAGCUCAAAUAAUAAUUAAUUAACAUCUUGCCUGAUAGCAAGGAAGUUGUCAGGAAGCAACCCACCGCUCACCUACCAAACAUGAGAGUGUUUGGAGAUUAUUUUGGUUUUUUUUUUUAUGGCCAUAUAAAAAAUAUAUAUUUUUAAUUUUAAAAAAUAUAAUGUAUAUUGAAAAAAAUUAUUUUUUAAUAAAAAAAAUUAUCACAUCUCCAUACCAAACACCCAUAUUAUAUUAUAAGAUAUAAAAGUUAACGUGUGGACCCCACAAAUGUUGAAACUUCGAAGAAGCUGCCAAGAAAAUGUAAACACAUGAAAUUUUCAAAAAAGAAUAGUAUAUUUAUGCAUGCUGUAAAUGUUUUUUAAAAAUAUUUUUUAUUUAUAAAUAUAUUAAAAUAAUAUUUUUAAAUUUUUUACUUUUUAUAUCAUAAUAUCAAAAUAAUUAAAAAAUAGUAAAAAUAUAUUUUUAAAAAACACAUUAGGAUUGUAAAGAUAAACCAGUUCUAACAUUUAAAUUGUUUUAAAAGUAUUUUUAAAAUAUAAAAAUAAACAGUGUUUAAGGUGUAUUUGGUAGUUUUUAUCCUUCUGCCUUUGAGUGUGUCUAUCAGAGCAGAGUGAUUUUACUUAACCAUGAAAUUUUUGUGAGAUAAAUUAUAAUGAUUUUUUUUUCUAUUUUACUAAUAUACCCAAGGUGUUUAUAACUAGAUGCUACUUGCUGAGGUGUAUAUUAGCAACAGAGGAAAGCAUACAAAAGUAACAAAAAAAAAAAUGGAUAGUAAAGACGAAAGCAUAUCAAGCUAACAAAAUCAACCCCACCAAUUCUCAAAUAUUCAGAUUUUAAAAAACAGAAGGAAAUAAUAAUUUAAGAAGAAACAUGUUUUCAAGCUGUGUCAAAUGCAGAAUGCUUUAAUUAAUACGAGGAAAAUCUUGUUGAUAAUAUAGUUCGGUAUAGCGCACUGCCAGUUUAAAAUUACAAUCAUUAUUGAUUUUUAAAGUAUUUUUUAUUUAAAAAUAUAUAAUAAUUUCAGAAUCAUGUUUUUUAAAAAAUUAAAAUUUUUAAUAAUUUUAUAUUAUUUUAACAUUUUAAUGUUAAAAAUAAAAUUUAAAAAAUAAUAAAAAUAUUAUUUUAAUAUAUUUUUAAAUAAAAAAAAUAAUUUUAAAAAAAUUAUUAUCACAUUAUCAAACAAUAUCUUAUUUUAUGAUAGUAUACAUGAACUUUUCCCCACCAAUGGAAAUUUUUUUUCCCAACACUCUUCUACAUAUUUAUAUUUUUAGCCCUCGAUCUAUAAAGUAUGAUUUGCUAUCUAAUCUGCACACUAGUUUCUUAUUAAAAAAGUUGGUAUUCCGCUAAUUGUUGUGGUUGUGAUUUGAAAAAAAUUAUUUUAUAAAAAUUAUUUUUAAUUGAGGUUGGUUUAAAAAAAAUAAAUGUUUGGUUAAAAUUAUGGUUGAAAUUAAGGUUGAACAAAAAAUAGUUAGUGUUUGGUUAAAAAUGCUUUUGAAAUUGAGGUUAUAAAAUAAUUUAAAAAUAUAUAUAUUAAUAUUGAUGCCUUUUAAUUUAAAUAUUAUAGAUUUAACUAUUUCUAUUACAUCAUGAAAUAAAUAAUAUUUUAUAUAAAAAUAUUUUUUAUUGUUCCAUUAAACUAUCUAUAAUUCCAUCAUGUAUGAAAUACGUCUAACAAGUACUACAAUUUUCAUAAAUUUUUUAAGAGCGUAACAACAUCAGAUAAAAUAAAAUCAGGAACAAAAUUGAGAUUGCGAUCAAUUUCUGUAAAUGCGGCAUCAUAAAGCGAUCUCCGUUUAAUUUAUGUAGUCAUUGAAUAAUGUUUAACACUAGUUUUCUGAAUAAAAUACAAUUAAAAAUUAAAUUUUUUUUUAUUUUUUUUUAUUUUGUUGGGUCAGACUUGAUUUAAUAUAUUUUUAACGUUGAACUGGAUUGGUCCAAUCGAAACAGUGGAACAUGCUCCACUGUUCCAUGCAUAAAACCCAUGACCAGGGAUUACAAGAAGCAACAACGAGCUGCUUUUUGCAACUUAUAGCUGUGCCACAAUUAAUAGUGGAACCCACUGGCAUAACUGUGGCAGGAGAAUUACCAAAUAAUAAAAAUUGUGGUUGCGGGUCAACUUUAUCUACAGCUACAAUACCAAAAUUAAGAACCAAUAAUAUUUAGUAAUUUUUUCUAUCUUAAAUUUAUAAAUUAACAAAAUAAAGUUUUAAAUUAAAAUUAAAAACCUCCAGUAAACAGAAUUUUGAAAAACACACCAGACUACUUUCGAUUUCAAAGUUUCAAUAAUGAUAGGAAGGAAGUUGCCAGGAAGCAACCCACCGCUCACCUACCAAUGAGAGUUAACGUGUGACCCGCCCCAAUGUUCAAACUUCGAAGAAGCUGCCAAGAAAAUGUAAACACAUGAAAUUUUCAAAAAAGAAUGGUAUAUUUAUGCAUGCUGUGAAUUUUUUUUAAAAAAAAUAUUUUGGCAUUUUAAUGUUAAAAAUAAUUUUUUAAAAAUUUUUUAGAUUAUUUUUACAUUUUAAUGUUAAAAAUAAAUUUUAAAAAAUAAAAAAUUAUUAUUUUAAUAUAUUUUUAAAUAAAAAAAUUAUUAUCACACCAUCAACCAUUAUCUUAUUCUAUGAUAGUAUACCUGAACUUUUCCACACCAAUGGAAUUUUUUUUUUUCCAACACCCUUCUACAGAUUUAUAUUUUUAGCCCUCGACCUAUAAAGUAUAAUUUGCUAUCCAAUCUGCACACUAGUUUUCCAUUAAAAAAUUACUAUUUUAAGUGCGUCCAGACUGGUUCAAAGUGAAUUUCACAACUUUUCUGUGAGAGCUUCAACUCUACAUUGAAAUGUUUUUUCUUAAACUGUGAGAGCUUCAUAAUAAGCUUAUUGAAAUAAAUUAUUAUAAUGAAAUUAAAAACAAAAAUGCUUAAAAAAAAACAGAGAGACGCCGUGUUUUCUCUAUUGCUACAUGGUAAAAGUCUGAGCAUAUUUAUUUAUUUAUUUUUAUUUUUAUUUUAAUAAUAUUACUGUUAUAUCUACCGCCUGCAAAUCAAGAACGGUAGUUUCAUUUAAAAGAUUCUAAAGUUCAUAUUUAGAAAAAUUAGCAGAAAGGACGAAAACACAACAAAUCAUACCCAGAGAAGCAAUAGCCAGAAACAAGCUACCUCAAGUCUUGCUCCACCUGGCUAAGAAAUGCAGCGUGCCCACUUGGAAUUACACAUCAUCCAAAUUCCAGGGCAAAUAAUUGGUUGGAUUUGUUUUUCGAGGAGUCAUCUCAAAUUUGAAAAUAAAAACAGAAAAUAGAUCCAGCAAAUGAUUCCAAAUAUCUUCUAAAAAGAACAAUGAAAUAUGUUUUUUUAUUUACGGUAAGGAAAGAUAUUAAUGGAAAAAAUAAAAAAAAUCAAUUUAAAAAAUAUAUAAUAAGUCAAAAUCUAGACUUAAAAUCUAACUCGUAUCAGGUUUCUAGUUGAAUUGAAUAAUUGAAUAAGAAGGUGGGAAUGGGAGACAGCAAAAGGUGUCAAACAGAAAAAAAGAAAAGAAAAAAAAGAUCCAUAUUCCAAAGGAGAGGGUCAAAGAUUGCGGCCGAUUCAAAGGACGAGCUUAAUCUCAUGAAUCAUUUUUUAACUUUAUGUAAGACUUGACACGUGUCCUCUAAACCCUCCUGCCCUCCGAUCCUUGCUAAACCCUUGUUCUGGUCGUAAUCAUCCAUUAGCGUAAACCUAUGCUUCUCUGACUUUGAUCCCAAUAAACCAACCAUGGAGUUGGUGGUAAUGUAAUUGAUAUUACUUUUUUAAAUUAUUUUUAUUUAAAAAAUAUCAAAUAAUUUUAAUGUGUUGGUAUUAAAAAAAUUAAAAAAUUAUUAAUAUAUUUUUAUUUGAAAAAUAUUUUUUAAAAACCAUAUGUAGAAUUACUAAACACCCUUAAGCCAGUGGACAAAGACACAAACGAAAAAUACAAAGGAAAAGGGAUAAAAGCAUAUAUUUGGAGAUGAUAAAGGGCAUUGAGAUCAAAGAGGAUAAGUUUUCCAGUGAUGGGAUUGGAUGUUGAUGAAAGAUUGUGUGGAUAAGAGCAUAGUAAUUAAUUUUACUAAAAAGUUCUUCAGUGACCUAAUUCUGGCCCAACAAAAUUAUCAUUAUCCAAUAACAAUUUGAUUAAUUCAGUGUUGCUUAAUCCCAGUUUGCUAUUGCGUUUUAAAUGGUAUUGGUUAAAUUUUAUUUUUUUAUAUAUUAUUUUGAUGGGUUGAUAUAAAAAUAAUUUUAAAAAAAUAAAAUAAUUUUAAAAAUAUUAUUAUAACACCAACUUAUGAAAUUUUCUUUAUUGAUUAGUGAAUUUGAUUAGACUAAGAAUCUCCAUCACAGCCCAACAUCAUUAGCUUAUCUGCCAUCCCUUUCAAGAGAAGAAGAUUUCGAAUCAGUCCAUUCAUUCCCAUCUGUAGCAUCUUUCUCAAGCGUCAAUGGAGAAUUACUUCUGGAUUCUGAGUUGCCAAUAAAAAACAAAAAACCCUUAUAAACUAGUUCGUCUCCCAGUUCUUAAAUUAGUUUCCACAUUGUUUUUCACAAUUUUUAAGAAAAGAAAAAAAAAAUAAAAAAUGAUCAUAAGCUAUAUAUCUAACACUCACUUGAAAGAAACUGAUAACCAUGCAAGCAUUUUACAUGGCAGUAUUUGAUAUGGGGUAAGAUUUUGGAGACAAAUUAGAGUACUCAAAUUGAAUGUACUAGGUGAAUUGCCUGCGCGGUGCUGCGGGUUAUAACAUGAACUGAGCAAAAUCUAAAGGCACUGAGAUCAAACUGAGCAACCACACAGAGUAAAUCUGAAAACAUUGUAACCAUUGAGAUCGAAACUGAGCAACCAUUUUGGAAAAAAUAAAAUUUAAAUUAUUUUUUUAAAUGUUUUUUAAUCAUUUUAAUAUUAAUUAAAUAAAAUUUUAAAAAAAAUUAUUUUAAUAUAUUUUUAAAUAAAAAAUAUUUUGCAACGCAACUUUUACCUCACUUAAAUAAAUCCUUAUUCUAUUGCACAUAAACAUAUGUUUUCAUGUAUAGUGGAUUAACCAAUCUUUUUAGUUUUCUUAUAUUAUUCAUAAAGAUCGAAACGCUUAAAAAUAAAAUUUUAAUAAUCAAGAGAAAAAAAAAUAGUUGAAUUUUUGUACCUUCCACAAGAAAAAUAGAUAGAUGUGUGAAAUUUUAUUCUAAAUAUAUUCUUAUAAAAAUUUCAAAAUUCCAAUUCAUGUUACUCGAUUAUUAUUCUUUUUUUAAGUUUCUUCUCUCUCUCUUUUUUUUUCUUUUUAAUCUGUAUUAUGCAUUUUUAAAAUAUAAUUUAUUGCUAGUUAAUGAUAUAAGAUGAUUUGUACUAGUGAAUAGAUCUAUUAUUUUAUUAGGUUACUUUAAUGAUAAAUCAAUAUAGUAUUAAUUUGUUUUUGGGAUUUUCAUCUUGGAAAUACUCAAUAGGAUGAAAAUAUAAUAUUAAUUAAACUUUAAAUUAUAAUUAUUUAUCUAUCCAGUUAAACAACUAUGACAGUUCAAUAGUCUUAAAAGAUAAUGAAAUAUAUAAAAAAAUGAAAAAUAGUAUUUAUGUUAAUUGUAAGCACACGAUAUAAAUAAGGAAUAUUUCAUAUUAAUAAACGCUUUACGAGUCCAAUCAAUCAGAUGUUAAUUAACAUAAAGAAAUUAACAUGGUGUUUGCAGAGAAUGAAUUGUAGAAAGAGAGAUUGAGAGUGUGAGCAAUAAAAGAUGAUGCUUACCCUUUAUUCUAUAUUAUAUUAUAAUAUAGAUCGAGAAGAUAACCUUACAGGAAAAAGACAUCCUUUGCGUGAGGAUGCUCCCCUCCAUUACUGUCUCCCACCAUUCUUUUGAACUUACAUAGAUGUUUUUAAGAGAAGAAUAAAAGAAUAAAAGAAAAUAUAAAAUGAUUUAAUACAGUACAAAAAUUAGUUUUCAAUACAGAUUAAAAUAAAGCAAAGUGACUAAUGAAAAAAGUACUUGAAUCCUACAAACAGCAGAUAGAUAGUCGGAAUCCCUUGCGCACACAUUUGAUAUAUAGAUAAUUAAAUCAACAUUAAACCAAAUUAAUAUAACCCUUUUGAAAAAUCAUCCACUACUUUUAAAUAAUUAAUUAUCCCUAUUAAGAAAAUCCAAUGACGACAAUGUAUUUAAGGAGCAAUAUUAAAGCAAAGAAAUUAAAUCAAUACAGGUAAAUAAAUGAUCCAAAGAUUAAUCCAUUCAAUAGAAAAAAACGUAACUGAAUCCAUAAACUGCAUAAAUUCGGAGAAGAAUACUUCUCAACAACAAAUUGAGAAUGAUAAAACAAAAGAGUUAGAAUAAUUAGAAAUCUGAUCAAUUUAGUUACCCAUCACUGUAUUAGUCAUUCCUUUCCUCAUCUGUGCUCUCUUUUUUUCCCUCUCUCUAGUGCAAUUCCCACACGUCUUCUUUAUGCCAAAUAGCCCUCUUUACAGAGGAGGCAGCUCCCUUUCUCAAAAGCAGGCAGCCCUCUUUUUUAAUCAGAGACUAACUUGUAGCACUUUACGAUACCUUUCCAACGCAUCAAGAAUCAGAGCAAUCCGAUAUGUGUGGAAAGUUAUGAUUAAAAUACUUUAAGUGUAUCAAGGCUGUUUCUAAGAAAAAGAACAUUACUUUAAGUUUAUACAGGCUGCUGUUUAAAAAGUCAAGAAAAUAAAGUUUUGGAUUAAAAUAAAAUAAAAUAAAAACUUUAAGGAAAAAAAAAAAGCACGCCUAUGAAGCUUGAUAGUAUAUCAAAUUAAAUAGAAGCUCGAUUAAAAAAUGCCCUUUAAUUUCUAUUAUUUCUAUUCACAUUUUAGCAUUUUAUUCCAAUGACAGAGCAUUUGGAAUGCACUUUCAUAGACUCAUCAAAACCCCAGGAACGCCAUCAAGCUUUAGCUUCAAACAACCAGAGGGAGCUUCAGUGCAGUAGAAAACUUCAACAUCUACUAUGAAGCUUGAUUUGCUAUCCAAUCCACACAUCAGUUUUCCAUUGAUACAAAGAUACCGUAUUUUUAACCAUCUAAUAGUAAAAGUUUGUAAUCAAGGGGUUUGCUCCCUCUGUGACCUUAGGUUCGAGCCUUGUGGUUAUUAAUAUUGAUGAUCAUUAACUUCAAGAUCUAUAAGAACUGGAAGCUUACUUGGUCAUUAACUUCAAAAUCCGUGAGAAUUAGUUAAGAUGCGUGCAAGUUGGCCCGGAUACCCUCAAUUAAUAAAUUAAAAAAAGCUGUAUUUUUGUUGCCGGAAAAUUAUCCACCAAUAACUUUUUAUCUUUUUCCAAGUUUUAUAGGUGACUUUUUUCUUUCAUCUCAAAAUCAUGGAUCAAAAGUGAAUAAAAUAAAAUUUCGAAUCAAAACUAAAAAUAAAAAAAUAAAACAUGCAAAAAGUCCAGGGAUCAAGAUUUUAAAAAUCACGCCUAUACUACUUUCUAGUUUUAAUUAUGCGAAGUUCAAUCUUUUUUCCUCUACAAAUUAAAUCAUGUACGUAAACCUGUUACCUACAUUUUGUAAUAUUUCUGGAUCUGCUCUUUGAUUCAUCAAGGACAGAGUUGAUUGCAGCUUCGUCAUAGAAAAGUUCGUCUUCUUCAUCUUCUUGGUUGGCGAGGAAAUAUAAGUGGACUCUUCUCCAGUUUAAGGAUUCCAACCUAGCACAUGAAUGAUAAAGGGCACAGUCAUCAUUUAAAUAAUAAAGGACAUCCUUAGCAUUAGGAUGCUCCCAUUCCAUCACUACUCUCGCUGUUGUAACCCAUUUUUGGGUCCCCACAUAUAAAAUAAUAAAAUAUAAAAAAAUUCAAAAAAAUAUAUUACAAAAAAAAUAUAACAGUGAAAAAUGCCAGAGCGUCAUAAACAUGCUAAAAAAAUUGUUUGAAGAUUUUCAAAAAUAUAAAAAUUAUUUUUUGAUAGUAUAUCAUUAACUGAUGAGAGCCCCGAUGAUAAAGAAAAUUCAAUUUGUGGAAGAAAAAUGCAAAAUCAGAAGUUUAUGGACUCAAUUAAAUUUUAUUGAAGGUUUAAUUGAAUUUAUGGAGAUUUUAAUUGCAAGAAAAAUUGAUUUGGAGUUAAUUUGGGCUUUAAUUAGGAAGAAAUUAAUUUUCUGGGGUCAAAUUAUAAUUUUGGAAGUUAAUUUGGUCAAAUCAGGGGCUUAAUUGCAUAAAUUAUUGAAGUUUAUGGCCAAUUAGGGACUUAAUUGAAGAAAUCCGAGACCAAGGACUACAUUGUAAAAACGCGCGAAAAUGGAGGGCCGAAAUUUGAAUCUGAUGCUUUUGGCGCCUUUUCCUAUUAAAUGAAACGGCGCCGUUUCAUUCACUGUUGCAAAAAAAAAAAAAAACAGAAGCCCAAAACGGUGCCGUUUUGACGGCACUGUAGCUCUUCUUCUUCCCCUGGACACACGAGGCAGGGGAAGAAGAAGAUUUUUUUCUUCCCCUUUUCGCCUAAUUACUUUCCUUCUGCUCAAAAAGACGCCGAAACAAGGACACCACUUGCCGACCACUUUCCACGUGUUGGACGGGCGUUGGACGGGCGGCAGCACACCGGCCACCACCAUGACGUCCCCCCCCUGUUUUUCGCCUAUAAAACAGGGGAGGAAGAGAAGAAAAAAAAAAAAAACAGAGGGAGAAGGAGAGAGAGGAGAGAAGAGAUAGAAGAGAGAGAAGAGAAGAGGAGAGAAGAAGAAGAAGAAGAGAAGCAGCAGAAGAAAACGAAGAAAACAGAAGAGAGAGAGAGAGAGAGAGAGAGAGAACCACCGCCGGCCUCCGCCACCAUCGCCACCGUGCCUACGCCGCCAGCAGCACCGCCACGACGCACCGCAGGUAAUCUCUCGCCGCCCUGUCGCCUUCUCCUUUGCUGCCUCCCCGUUUGCAUGCAGAACGUGAAUUAAUUCACGUUCUGCAGCUGAAGAGGCUGGUUACUGUGCUUAGCACAGUAACCAGCCCAUUUGGUAAUGGGCCGGUUGGCCCAGCCCACUGAUAUGGGCCGGACCCGGCCCAUUUCAAAUUUUUUUUUCCAGAAGUUUUACAAUUUUUCCAGCACAUUUUUUUUUAAUCAAUUUUGCUUAAUAUCGGUAUGUAUUUUACAUUGUGAAAAUAUAAAUUCGGUAUUAAAAUACCCGGUUUUCGUCCCGCGGUACUGUUCACACGUCACUAUUCAUACGGUACUGUUCAUACGGUACUGUUCACACAUGCAUAAAAAAAAAAAAUCAUGAAAUAAUAUUUUACACUAGUUUUCUGAAACACAAUUAAAAAUAAAAAAAUAUUUUUUUUAUUUUAUUAGAUUUAAUAUAUUUUUAGCGUUGAACCGGAUUGGUCCAGCCAAUACCGUGGAGCCAUCAAUGCAUAAAACCCAUGAACAAGGAACCAAUUCUCUAUUGUUCAUGUGAAGAGUGAAUCAUGACUUCACUGUUCAUGGGUUGUCUCGUUACAAGAAGCAGCAAAGAGUUGCUUCUUGUAACCCAUGGCUAUACCACAAUUAAUGGAGGAAUCCACUAGCAUAAAACUAUGCCAAGAGUAUUAUCAAACAAGAAAAAUUGUGGUUACGGGUAAACCUCGUCCACAGUCACAAUAUCAAAAUUAUCGGCCAAUAAUUUUUCGAGUUUUUAGUAAUUUUUUAAUUUUAAAUUUAUAAAUUAAUAAAAUAAAAUUUUAAAUCAAAAUUAAAAAAACUCCUUGAAACAGAAUACACCAGACUACUUUUUGAUUUCAAAGUUUCAAUAAUGAUAGGAAGGAAGUUGCCAGGAAGCAACCCACCGCUCACCAACCAAUGAGAGUUAACGUGUGGACCAGCCCCAACGUUCAAAUUUCGAAGAAGCUGCCAAGAAAAUGUAAACACAUGAAAUUUUCAAAAAAGAAUAGUAUAUUUAUGCAUGCUGUGAAUAUUUUUUUAAUAUUUUUUAUUUAAAAGUAUAUUAAAAUAAUUUUUUAAAUUAUUAUUUUUUUAUCCACCCAUCAAAAUAAUUUAAAAUAUUAAAAAAUUAUUUAAAAAAAAAUCAAAAUUUUUAAAAAACACAUUGUGUGUGGUAAAGAUAAACCUGUUCUAGAUUAAAAGAGUGUUUGGUUGUGCGUUUCAACCUGCGUUUCACCAAAUUUUGAAUUUUUUUUUUGCUAAAAUUGAGUGCGGUUUGUACUUUUUGGAUCGUUUUGAUGUGCUGAUGUUAAAAAUGUUUUUUAAAAAAUAAAAAAACAUCAUUGGCAUGUAUUUCAGCACAAAAAACUAUUUGAAAAGUAACCGCUACCACAUUACCAAACACACUCUAAAUGUGCAAAUGAGAGUGAGACUCAAAUCUAAUUACGUAACAAUUAUUAAUUGGGAUGAAAAGAAAUUAAAAGACAAAUAACCAAUAUUCUCAAGGUGUAUUUCGUAGUUCUUAUGCUUCUGCCUUUGAGUGUGUAUAUUAGAGCAGACUAGCAGAGUGAUUUUACUUAACCAUGAAAUUUUAGCGAGACAAAUUAUAGUGAAUGUUUUUCUAUUUUACCAAUAUACCCAAGGUGUCUAUAACAGAGUGAUGCUACAUACUGAGGUGGAUAUUAGCAAUAGAGGAAAGCAGUGUUGUAAAAUCUAGACCGGGCUAGCAGGUCAACUAGAGAACUAGACUAGUCCGGGUAGGAUAAAAAACCGGCCAAAAAAAAGAGGUAUAUAUAUUAAUUUUAUUGAACGAUCACCCGAGUAGGAACAUACAAAUGUAACUAAACAAAAUAAUAGCAAAGACGAAAGCAUAUCAAGCUAGCAAAAUCAACCCGCCAUUUCUCAAAUAUUCAGAUUUUAAAAAACACAGGCAUAAUAAUUUAAGAAAAAACAUGUUUUUCAAGCUGUGUCAAAUGCAGAAUGCUUUAAUUCAUGCGAGGAAAAUCUUGUUGAUAAUAUAGUCUGGUAUAGUACAAUGACAAUUUGAGAUUAGAAAGGAUUUUUUAUUUAAAAAUAUAAAUAAUAUUUUUUUAUUUUUUUAAAAUUUAUUUUUAAUAUUAACACAUCAAAAUAAUCUAAAAACACUAAAAAAUAAUAAUUUAAAAUAAAAAAAUAAAAAAAUUAACUUUUUUUUUAAAUACAUUUACAAUAUAAAAUAAAAAAUGAUCGUAGUAUUUGCCUGGUGGCCUCCCUCGGGACACAACGCUGCACUUCCUUAAAUGAAAAUAUUUAAGUCGGUAGCUGCAUGAGGUUUUACCUCAGGGUUUAAAGCAUCAGACCUCAUCCUCAAUGAACAUGAACCCACUCUGUAGAUUAUUAGUUUUUAUUUUUAUUUUAUUUUUCAAUCCAAGUACUCCAUGGCUGGACCUUAUCGUCUUGAUCCAGAAAUUGAUUGCCAAGAAUCACUUCGUACAGUAAACAGACUUUGUACAGUAAAUAUAAUUUUAUCUUUAAUUAAUUGGUUGGAAUUGUUUUCUGAGGAGUCAAUUCAAAAUUUGAAAAUAAAAACAGAAAAUAGAUCCAGCAAAUGAUUCCAAAUAUCUUCUAAAAGAACAAUGAAAUAUGUUUUUUUUAUUUACUGUAAGGAAAGAUAUUAAUGGAAAAAAUAAAAAAAUCAAUUUAAAAAAUAUAUAAUAAGUCAAAAUCUAACUCGUAUCAGGUUCCUAGUUGAAUUGAAUAAUUGAGAGCGAAACGUGUCAAGACUGACACGAGUUCAAAAUAGACUCCACAACAGGAAAAAAAAAAAAAAAAAGAUCCAUAUUGUGGCCCGUAGUAGUAUUCCGGAGGAGAGGGUCGAAGAUGGCGGCUGGUUCAAAGGAUGAGCUUAAUCUCAUGAAUCAUUUUUUAACCUUUAUCGUAAGACUUGACACGUGUCCUCUAAACCCUCAUGUCCCUCUUCCGAUCCUUGCUAAACCCUUGUUUUGGUCGUAAUCAUCCAUUAGCGUAAAGCUAUGCUUCUCUUGACUUAAUUUGAUCCCAAUAAACCAAUCCAUGGAGUUGGUGGUAAUGUAAUUGAUAUUACUUUUUAAAUUAUUUUUAUUUAAAAAAAUAUCAACAUAAUUUUAAUGUGUUGGUAUUAAAAAAAAUUAAAAAUAUUCUAUUAAUAUAUUUUUAUUUGAAAAAUAUUUUUUAAAAAACCGUAUGUAGAAUUACUAAACACCCUUAAGCCGGUGGACAAAGACACAAACGACAAAAUACAAAGGAAAAGGGAUAAAAGCAUAUAUUUGGAGAUGAUAAAAGGGCAUUGAGAUCAAAGAGGAUAAGUUUUUCAGUGAUGGGAUUGGAUGGUGAUGAAGGAUUGUGUGGAUAAGAGCAUAGUAAUUAAUUAUUUACUAAAAAGUUCUUCAGUGACCUAAUUCCGUGGCCCCACAAAAUUAUCAUUAUCCAAUAAACUAUUUGAUUAAUUCAGUGUUGCUUAAUCCCAGUUUGCUAUUGCGUUUUAAAUGGUUACUGGUUAUUAUAACACCAACUUAACUUAUGGUAAUUUUCUUUAUUGAUGAGUGAAUUUGAUUAGAUUUAAGAAUCUCCAUCACAGCCCAACAUCAUUAGCUUAUCUGCCAUCCCUUUCAAGAGAAGAAGAUUUCGAAUCAGUCCAUUUAUUCCCAUCUGUAGGCAUCUUUCUCAAGCAUCAAGGAGAAUUACUUCUGGAUUCUGAGUUGCCAAUAAAAAACAUAAAACCCUUAUAAAGUAGUUCGUCUCCCAGUCCUUAAAUUAGUUUCCUCAUUGUUUUUCACAAUUUUUAAAGAAAUUUUACGACUGCUGGGCCUUGACUUGUCUGUUUAAUUUCUAUUAGUCUUAUUCACAUUUUAGUAUUUUAUGCCAAUGAUAGAAUGCACUUUCAUAGACUCAUCAAAACCACAGGAACGCAAUCAAGCUUUAGCUUCAAAACAACCAGAGGGAGAUUUAGUGCAGUGGAGAACUUCAACAUCUACUAUGAAGCUUGAUUUGCUAUCCAAUCUUCACGUUAGUUUUCCAUUGAUACAAAGAUACUGUAUGUGUUUUUGUUGCCAGAAAGUUGUUCGAUCAAUAACUUUUUAUCUUCUUCCAAGUUUUUUUUUUUGUGUGAUUCUUUUUUCCUUUCAUCUCAAACUCAUGAACUAAAAGUUAAACAAAAUAAAAUUUUAGAUAAAAAAAAAAAAUAAAAAAUAUAAGAUGCAAAAAAUUAUAAGGUAAACAAUAAACUAAAUUUAGAAUAUGUCUCUUACUAUUCGUAAGCUUCCUAUUCCUUUUUAGUUUUUCUUAAAGUUAUUCUAUUUGAUGUCAUGAGUGUUCCAUUGAGAGAUAAAAAAGAAGACAAAUUCCCAUCCUCUUCACCUUCUUACAAUGCAUUACAGUAAUAUCUCUAAGAGAAUUGUAAAUCAAUUUUUGCAUUGCAAAUACUUUUCAGUUCCGGUAAAUCAAACAAUUUCAGAAUUUUCCAAGAUAAACAGAUUUUUAAAUACACUCAAACAUAAUUUUAAAUAUAAAAACAAAUUAUGUUUUUUUGAUUGCGGCAUAACAGUGAUGGCAGUACCGUUGUUGUUUGGACUUUGAGCAGCAGUAGAUAUCUCCAGCGUACUGUUACCUGCCGGCUAGAAAAUGUAUGAUGCCGUUUUUUAGUUUAAUAGAGAGAGGGCAGAAAGCCUUAAGAAAAUAAUUUCACAUUCUGUGUGGUAGAAACCUGAUUCCACCCAAAAAAAAAAAAUAACACGGUAAUUGAAGCAAAUUAAAAGAAUAAAAGAAAAUAUAAAAUGAUUUAAAAGAGAACAAAAAUUAAUUUUAAAUGCAGAUUAAAAUAAAGCAAAGUGACUAAUGAAAAAAGUACUUCAAUCCUACAAACAGCAGAUAGAUAGUCGGAAUCCCUUGCGCACACAUUUGAUAUAUAGAUAAUUAAAUCAACAUUAAACCAAAUUAAUAUAACCCUUUUGAAAAAUCAUCCACUACUUUUAAAUAAUUAAUUAUCCCUAUUAAGAAAAUCCAAUGACGACAAUGUAUUUAAGGAGCAAUAUUAAAGCAAAGAAAUUAAAUCAAUACAGGUAAAUAAAUGAUCCAAAGAUUAAUCCAUUCAAUAGAAAAAACAUGAAUGAAUCCAUAAACUGCUUAAAUUCGGAGAAGAAUACUUCUCAACAACAAAUUGAGAAUGAUAAAACAAAAGAGUUAGAAUAAUUAGAAAUCUGAACAAUUUAGUUACCCAUCACUGUAUUAGUCAUUCCUUUCCUCAUCUGUGCUCUCUUUUUUUCCCUCUCUCUAGUGCAAUUCUCUCACGUCUUCUUUAUGCCAAAUAGCCCUCUUUACAGAGGAGGCAGCACCCUUUUUCAUCAGAGACUAACUUGUAGCCCUUUACGAUACCUUUCCAACGCAUCAAGAAUCACAGCAAUCCGAUAUGUGUGUGGAAAGUUACGAUUAAAAUACUUUAAGUGUAUCUAGGCUGUUUCUAAAAAAAAGAACAUUACUUUAAGUUUAUCCAGGCUGCUAUUUAAAAAGUCAAGAAAAUAAAGUUUUAGAUUAAAAUAAAAUAAAAUAAAAACUUUAAGGAAAAAAAAAAAGCACGCCUAUGAAGCUUGAUAGUAUAUCAAAUUAAAUAGAAGCUCGAUUAAAAAAUGCCCUUUAAUUUCUAUUAUUUCUAUUCACAUUUUAGCAUUUUAUUCCAAUGAUAGAGCAUUUGGAAUGCACUUUCAUAGACUCAUCAAAACCCCAGGAACGCCAUCAAGCAUUAGCUUCAAACAACCAGAUCCGGAGCUUCAGUGCAGUAGAAAACUUUAACAUCUACUAUGAAGCUUGAUUUGCUAUCCAAUCCACACAUCAGUUUUCCAUUGAUACAAAGAUACCGUAUUUUUAACCAUCUAAUAUUAAGAGCGUGUGAUAAAGGGGUUUGCUUCCCCUAAUAUUAAGAGCGUGUGAUAAAGGGGUUUGCUUCCCCUGUAGUUUCAGGUUCGAGCCCUGUGGUUAUUAAUAUUGAUGACCAUUGAAGGCUUACCUGGUCGUUAAUUUCAAGAUCCAAGAAAAUUAAUCGAGGUAUGGACAAACUGGCUUAAACACUCAAGUGAAUAAAAAUAAAAUAUUUUAUUUUUGUUACCGGAAAAUUGUCAACCAAUAACUUUUUAUCCUUUUCCAAGUUUUUUAGGUGACUUUUUUCUUUUAUCUCAAAAUCAUGGAUAAAAAAUGAAUAGAAUAAAAUUUCGAAUCAAAACUAAAACUAAAAAAAUAAAAAAUGCUAAAAGUCUAGGGAUUAAGAUUUUAAAAAUCAUGCCUACGCUAACUUCUAGUUUUAAAUAUUUAAAACAAGGCUCCAUAUAUUAUCAUAUAUUCAUAGAGACAUACCAAUGUAGCUUUUGAUGUUUACCGGUUUGGGUAUGUCCAUAUGCUUUUAAAUAUUUUUUAAAAUUUAUAUUUGUUUUAAAAAAAUAUUAAAUUAAUAAUUUUUUAGUUGUUUUUAAUGAUUUUGAUGUAUUGAUAUUAAAAAAAAUCUAAAAAUAUAUUUUUAAAAAAUAUUUUAUAUAACAGUAUCAAACACAUGAUAACCUUGUCCAAAAGCUUUCGACCGAGCAUAAAAUGGUUUUCAACCCAAUCAUACUUUUUCCUCAUUAUAAAUAUAAAAUAAAGUUCAAGUGAAGUAGGGUCCAAUCUUAACUGGUUCAAACAUUAUUGUUAGAACGUGACAGUGUCCCAGCAUUAGUAGUGUAGCACGUGCCAUGUCUUAAGCUUAUGUGAUCCGAAAACAAGGCAAUUGGUGUUUGAUGGAAUUAGCUGUCACUAAAAAUAAAAUAAAAUAAAAUCCUCCGUGAACUAAUUAAUUACUCAAUUAAUUCCUAAAUUAGUUUUUUUAUUGUUUUACACAAAAUUUAUAUAAAUAAAAAUAUUUUAUUAGAUAUUUUAGAUACUCCACUAUUAUAAUAUUUUAUUUAAGUUUAGAUUUUUAUUUCAAAAUUGAAUUUUAUUUAAUGUAACAAGUAUUACGAUGUUUUUUUUAUCUGAAAAUUUUUGAAAUAUUAUUUGAUUUUAUUAAUUUAAAAACAAAUAAUAUUUUAAAAGAGUACGAAAUGUUGUAUAAAAUUUAUAUGUAUUUAUUUUCUGAUAUACGUGUUCCAAGAAUUAGCAGGGAUACGAUGUUUUUACAGCAGUGCUUUUAUGUUAUCGGUCAUGGACCCGAAACACGGUUCAUGACAAUAACGCAAAACACAACAAACAUUGAUGCUAUGCUGAAUCCUUGAAGUGCGUCUAACAAAAUCUCAAUAUCCGGAAUGCCUCUUCUUCCAUGGCAUCUUGCCUAACUCUUGAUUGUCUCAGGUCCUCCAAGGCAUUACUCCACUCUUUUUUUUUUUUUUUUUUUAUUAAUGUGGAUGUCUGGACCAGCUUGCACACACCUCGACUAAUCACACGGGCCUUGAAGUUAACAACCAUGUAAGCCUCUAGUGGCUAUUAUAUGAAUAUCCAUAGAGCUCGAACCUGAGACCACAAAAAAAAAAAAACUCUUAAUUUCAAACUCUUAUCACUAGACCACUUUCUAGAUGGUUGCAUUCCUCCACUCCUUGGUUAACUAUCUCAUGGAGGUUAACUCCCCCCAACUCUCUUACGGAUAAAGUAAGGAAGCCAUUUACACUUCAUAAGAAACCGUAAUAUAACAAACAGAGGAUCUGUAAGUUUCAGAGAACGACAUCAAUUUAAUUAUGCGAAGUUCAAUCUUUUUUCCUCUACAAAUUAAAUCAUUUACGUAAACCUGUUACCUACAUUUUGUAAUAUUUCUGGAUCUGCUCUUUGAUUCAUCAAGGACAGAGUUGAUUGCAGCUUCGUCAUAGAAAAGUUCGUCUUCUUCAUCUUCUUGGUUGGCGAGGAAAUAUAAGUGGACUCUUCUCCAGUUUAAGGAUUCCAAUCAAGCACAUGAAUGAUAAAGGGCAGAGUCAUCAUUUAAAUAAUAAAGGAUCGAACAUCCUUAGCAUUAGGAUGCUCCCAUUCCACCACUGACUCUCACCAUUCUUUUGGAUGUACUCCAUCACUCUAAGAGAAGGGGGAUGAGAUAGCUGGCCAUUUUCAAGCAACGGAAGAUGAAUUGCCAGCCUUUUCAGCAUCUGACAAUUUGUUAUCCCAAUUUGUUGGAGAGAAUCGCAGAUCGAACUCUUUAAAAAUAGAAAUAUACCAUGAUAAGAUGGAGAUGAUGGUGGAGCGGAGCGGAGCAGAGCCAAGAAGACGAAACCAAGCUCUCCAUGUUAUAGCACUUCCAAAUGUCGGUACUGGCAUUUAUUGAAAUGAAACUUAAAAUCAACUGUUUUGAAAGCCAUUUGAUAGCUAGGAACUCAGAAUCCAUGAGAUUAAGUAUUUGGCAAAGCCUUCCCCGUGAUCGGAGCAAUCUCACUAAUUUAUCGACGGAAUGGCUAGAAUUGUCUUCCUCUUAACUAAUCUUUAGCAAAUUGUCUUAAUAUGGUUUUACCAAAAAGAAAAUAAUAAAUUUGUUCUAUUACUAUCAACUGCCAGAACUCCUGACAAGUAAUUACGACCAGUUUUUUAACAUCCAAGCUCUUGUAAUCUCACAAACGCUUGAGACCCAAACCCAAUCAACAGAUCAGAGAACCUUUAUUUGUCAAGGCUCCAUACACUUUCUCGACAAGAACCGGAGGAGGAGGCUGUGGGGAAUUCGAUGGUUGAAAAAGGAACGUGAAUUAUGCUGGAGAGCAUGCAGGUGGCGAUGUGUUUGGAGCUUAGCCUGGUGUUCCUCCAAAUCCUUACUAAAUUAUUACAAAGUAACAUUAUAAUAUUUUUAAAUCUGUUUAAUUUUUUUGGUUUAAGAUCGUGUUUUUUUGUUGUUGAAAAAUUAUCCUUACAAAGUAACUUUUUAUCCUUUUCCAAGCUUUAUGGUGAUUUUUUUAAUCUCAAAUUCAUGAACAAAAAAAGGUAGCAGCGUGAAGCCUCGCCAAAAGCCCAAGAUUAAAAUAACCAUGCUCCUAGCCCAAGCCCGCCAACAUCACCCCCAGCAGAUUGGAAAAAUGCUCAUAACCAUUCCGGAAAAACACACCUAGGCUACUAUGGUAUACUAGAAAGUGGAAAUAAAUCGAUAUUAAUCAUCAAAUAAAUCGUUAGCAGAAACCAAAAAUAAAUAAAUAAAUUGUUCAUGCUACUCCAUCUUAUUGAUGGGAAUGGCUUUUGACCAGCAUACAUACGACUCUGCUAAAAUUAUCUGACAAAUUAUCAGGCUUAUAAAAAAACUUAAUAAAAUUAGAAAAAAAAUUAUCAUUUUUAUUUAAUAAAAGAAUAUUAAAAAUAUUAAUUUAAUAUUUUUUUUAAAAUAAACAGAUUUUUAAAUGCAAUCAAACAUAAUUUUGAGUACAAAAACAAAUUACGUUUUGAUUGCAAGCAUAACAAUCUUGGCAGUAAGUACUUUUAUGAUUUUAUUUUUGCAGCCACGUACAUGCUUUAGGAGUUCUUUUUAUUAAAUCAAUAUUAAAGUAAAAAAAAUUAAAUCAAUACAGAUAAAUAAAUUAACUAAAUAUAAUCAAACAAUUAAUCCAUUUAACAGAAAAAACAUUACUGAAUCCAUAAACUACAUUAAUCCCCUUUCUUUUCUUUUCUUGUUUUUUUUUUCUCUGGUGGAAUUCCCACACAUCUUCUUUUUUUUUUCUCUGGUGAAAUUCAAUAGGAUGAAAAUAUAAUAUUAAUCAAACUUCAAAUUAUAAUUGUUUAUCUAUCGAGUUUAAAAAAAUAUGACAAUUCAGUAGUCUUUAAUGAAAUAAAAAAAAAUAAAAAAUGUUAUUUAUGUAAUUGUAAGCACACUAUAUUAUAUUACUUUACAAAGGGACGAAGGACAUCCUUUGCAUUAGGGUGCUCCCACUCCACUACUGACUUCCACCAUUCAUCUGGAUAUGCCUCGAUUGUUUUAAGAGAAGGGGGAGGAGAUGGCUGGCCAUUUUCAAGCAACGGAAGACAAAUUGGCAUCCUCUUCAGCUUCUUACAAAAAAAUACCUUAAUAUUUUUAAGAGAAUUGCAAAUCAGCUUUGCACUGCAAAUGCUUUUCAGUUCUGGUAACCUAUCCAGUUGCAGAGUUGUUAACUUUGGGAGAAUGACUUCCGUGAUGGAAUUGGAGGUGCUGCUUUCUUCAUCUGUUGUUCCUAUUAUCUCCUCCAUUUUCUCACAAUUGGAAACUUCAAUCCUUCUCAGGUUUACGAGGUUUGGCAGCAACACAAGCGGGAACAGCUUCUUUAUACUUUUACAGUAAUAACAAAAAAACUCUUUAAGACCAGAAAAUGUACCGUUACAUGAUGGCAAUCGUGGUGGAGCAGAGCAGAACCAAGAAGAUGAAACCAAGCUCUCCAUGUUAUGGCAUUCCUGAAUGCGGAUGUGCUCCAGUUCAGUUGCAUUCUCUAAUGACAAAACAUCACAUAAACUUCUUGCAUCGAUGCAUUCACAAAUCAGUCCUUGAAUGCCAUUUAAGAACUUAACCUGAAAAUCUCUAUCUCCGUUGAUACUCAAAUUACCCAACCCAACUGUUUUACUUAAAUUUCCAAACAAUUUCUCUUUCAAACUAAGCACCUCUCCUACUAAAAUUUUGUAUGUGCUUAAUGAUUGAAUCCCAUCCCGAGAUCUGAGAUACUCCACUAAGUCAGAAAAACCUUUGAAAUGGCACUCCAAAGUUUCCAAAUUUCUCAAGGAUCCUACUUCCUUUCCUUUAACUGUUAUCGGAGCAUCUUCGAUAAACUUUUUCUUCAGUACAAAGACUUGCAGGUGAGAGAGUUUUGGUAAUAUCCCACUAGGAAACUCCUUUUCACCACAUCCAUUCAUUCUAAGAUACCUCAGGUUGGUUAGGCAUUCCAUUCCUUGCGGCAUCUUUUCAAGUCGAGUACGAGCGAGAUCCAACCUCUUCAGUGCCCUGAGCUUCUUUAAUGAUGGAACAUAUCUUAAGUUCUCACACAUUUUGAGCAAUAACGCAGUGAGACUCACCAAAUCAGAGACAGAGUCUGGCAAGUUUUCAAUACCUGUGCAAGACAGAUCGAGGACCUUGAGCCCAUGCAAUUGCUUGAAAAAUGAAUCAGCAAUAAAUCGCAACCAAGGAUUUUUACAUAGCAAUAGAGUUGAUAGAUUGGGACACCUUGGUGAAUAGCUGGAAGGAAUUUCUUCGAUCUCGUUUCUCAUUAGUGAAAGCAUCGUCAGAUUCUCCGUCCACUCCUCUGCAUCUGGCAACUCUUUUAACUGCACACCUGCUUUAACCAUGACUUGAUAUUCGUCUUGCAGUAUAUGGAUGGCCAUGUCCCUAAUCAAGUCAUGCAUCUUGAUAUAUCUAGUAUCAUCAUAAACCAUUUGAGCACUUUCCAAUAGGCAGACAUAUUCAAGUCUAUUAAGCAUCGUGUGGCCCUCAUCAAAUGCAUCUCCCCUGCUCCUCAUUCCUUUAAUAAUUCCCUCAUCGAUCAAAUAACCUAUCAACUGCUCCCUUUGAAUCACACCAUCUUCAGGAAAUAAUGCACAGUAUAAGAGACAUUGUUGUAGUGCUAAAUCACCUAACCGAUCAUAACUAAACCUCAAUAACUUGAAUACCUUCUCAUCCAUGUCCCUAAAUUCUGAUUCUCUCAAUUUCUUCAAUGUAUUCCUCCACUCAUGUAGAUCAUCCACUCCCCUCAAGCUUCUUGCCACUGUAAUAAUUCCUAGUGGCAAACCAGCACAUUCCUUUGCAAUAGCUUUCGCAAUUCGUUCCACUUCUGGUGAAAGUGCUACAGCACGUCCAAGUUUCUCCAUGAACAAAGUCCAAGCUUCUCCAUCAGAAAGUGGAUUCACUUUGAUUUUACGGUGGCAAGCCAUCCGAUGACAAACCGUUUCUGAUCGAGUUGUCAUAAUCAGCUUGCAUCCUUUCAACUUUUCAGGAAUUCCCACUUCGUGUAGCUCAAAAUUAUUCCACAAAUCAUCUAAAAUGAGAAUCCAUUUUUGUUUCUUCCUUAGUUCUUCUGACAACUUGGCAGCUCUAUGCAGUUCAUCAUUUUUUCUUGAAAGAUCUAGAUCAAGAUGUUCAGCAAUAAGAAUCUGCAAUCUAUUAAUGCUGAAAUCUUGAGACACAGUCACCCACCAAACAUUAUCACAAAUAUCUGGUCUUUGUAGAAGCUCAUUAUGGAUAUGUUGCAGUAUUGUGGAUUUACCAACUCCCCCCAUCCCAUAAAUGCCAAUGGUUGGGACUUUAUCAUCCAUUAAGAAAGACCAUAUCAUAUUUGUAUUCCAUUGGAAUGCUCGACCCACUAGCUUUGUUGAGCUAGUAGGUAAUGGAACUCCUCUAGUCUUGUUGCAUUUCAGACUUUCAGAAGAUCUAGCUCCUGCGCCAGCCUCCUCCAUUGGUUCUGUCCUCACUCUAACCAUGUCCAACAACGCAUCAUGCCUAUUUACAUCAUUGUUUACUGAUGGAGCACAAGGUUGAUCAUAACAUCUUCCAAUGUCAAGACAAAAUUGGGAUGAAUCUCCUCGAGGCUCCAGAAGCUGCACUUGCUCUGUUCUUGGAAUAGUCUCAAAUGCAUCAUGCUGAAAAGAUCCUUCACCAGUGUUUUCCAUGUCAUUUUCUGCUUGUAAAUGCGACUGAAUUCUCUCUUCUCCGGGACCUUGUUCCACGCCUUGAACUCCCACUUGUACUGCUUUGCUCUGUUCCAACACUCGAUCCACGGGUUCUGUCCUCGUUCUGCUCUCGAGUGCCCCUUCGGAAACUCCAUCUUCUUGUGCUCUCAUUCCGGUCAUGCUUACUACGUCGUUUCCUGCUAUUGCAUGAGAAGAAAUCCUCUCUUCCCCUACCCCGGGGUUCUACAACCUGAACUUCUCUUUGUACCCUUCCAAUACCUCCUACCAUUGUUGAGAUUGAACUUGCUGUGAUUUUAUGUCUUUUGUUGCCACCACGCAUAGCUAGAAAGGCUGCUUCUUGAACUUCUUUAGGCACCCCAAGACAAAUGGCAACAUUAUGCCCUUCCUCUCCUGAUAAAUGCCAUUUGAUCCUUGAAAUGGAGGUUUUAUUGGCAAAUGUAUGUGGACAAAACUUACACUUCAUCCUACCCUUAUCACUUUCUUCAACAGAAUUCCAAAACGGAUCAUUUGAUCCAACCUUUUCGACCUAUAGAAAAAAGAAGUCAAAGUAUAGAACAAAAAUCAGUCAAAAUAUGGAAUAAAAAUUGACGGAUCAAGUUACAGAACAGAAGUUUCCGGAUUGAGAAACUAUUUUGCUAUCAAAAUUGAUAGUUAGUUUAUAGCACAAUCAUAGGGGAAAAAAGACUACGAUAAUUCAGUUAGACUUCUUACUUGUUGAGUAUUUAAACCCCUAUUUUGACUUUGGAAGGAAGUGUCAGGGCCAGGAUUAGAGGCAUUUGGCAUAGCAGUUUGAUUUUGCAAUCCUCGGACUUGGAAGUUAUCCAUCUGUGACCUAUAUAUAAAUGAAAUGAUCAUAUUAUAAAAAAUUUCGAUAAUUGUUAGUCACUCUUAAGCACUAAAAAUCAAUGGUGUAUCUAAUUAUCGAAAAGGUAUUAAUACUAUGCAGAAAAACUAAUUGUUUUUUUUACAGAAAAUACUAAAAAUGAAAAAUUGGAUACCGGGGAGCAGGAGAAGAAGGUCCAGGUUGAUUGAAGCCACCAUGUUGAGAAGUGGUUGCGUUCGGUGUCAUAUAGCCAUGUCCCGGCUGAGGUUGAUGAAUAAAGGAGUUCUGAUGCCUGAAUAAUAUUCAAAAAGUUAAACAUAGAACUGUUAUUCUCACAAAAAAGAAAGAUAGAGAGCUCAAAAAGACUUGAAAGAUCCACGUCAAUUUUGGUCAAGUUCAUUGUUUUCAUGAUUAAAAAAGUGUAUAUUCGAGGUUAAUACCUUUGAUUCAUUGGAGGUUGAGGUCCAGGUAGCAUCGUAGGCACUUGAUUGCUCAUUGGUAACUGAUAAUCAGUCCAUUGUUGGUCCCUAAAUGAGCAACAUUUGUUGGUGAUUUCUUUAUACAUAUGCAUAAUUCUUUGCUAUUAAUCCACUAAGCAUUUGAUAUCAUUUUAGCUUACCUCAAAGGCAUUGAUGGUCCAGGUAACAUGGGAUUGGCACAUUGAGGAUCAAAUAAAUUGGGAUUAGACUGAUACCUAUAUUCAAACAUAAUGAAUUCACUGAUAAGUACAACAACAAGAGGAAGAAGAAGAAGAAGAAGUUAAAUAAUGAUUGAAAAACUUUUUUUUUUUUUUCAGAAAAUACUAAACAUGAAAAAUUGGAUACCAGGGAGCAGGAAAAGAAGGUCCAGGUUGAUUGAAUUCACCAUGUUGUGAUGUGGUUGCGUUCGGUGUCAUAUAGCGAUGUCCCGUCUGUGGUUGAUGAAUAAAGGAAUUAUGAUGCCUAAUUCAAUGGACAUUGUAGCAAAUUGGAGUAAGCAUGAGUUCUCACCAUGGUUUCAGGAAAUGAAGUUGGAAACUGAGUUGUUUGUUGAAUACUAUCGUUGAUCACAAUGUUCUGUCCACCUUGAUCAUUGCAUAAUAUGGAGCCUUGGUUGACGUCAGCCGGCCUGCUUCCAUGGAAUAAUAUAGAGGAUAAACAGAAGAAUAACUAAAUUGCAAGCAAUCAUCUUCUGAUAAAAUAUGCUUAAGAAUGACGUACGGUGUCAUAUAGAGAAGUGGUGAUUGAAGACCGAAAAGAUCAUCAUCCAUAGAAGAUGGUGGGAACCCUUCCAUCUGACCAAAAGUACAAAAUGAUUAGUACAUACUGAGGUGAACAAAGAACAGAAAGCACGUAGCAAAGAAAAAAAAAAAGUAUAUAUAUAUGAGUGGAUUACUGGGUACACACGUUACGUAAGUCAAAAUAAAAGAAAAACAAAUAAAUGGUGAAAAGCAUAUUUUAAUGACAGUCCCAUUAAUUGGAAAAGAAAAGGGUGAAUCUAAGAAAAGAAAAGCCUUUUUUUUAUUAUUUUUAAUACUAAUAUAUCAAAAAAUAUUAAUUUAAUAUUUUUUUUUCAAAAUAAACAGAUUUUAAAAAACAAAUUAUAUUUUGAUUGCGGGCAUAACAAUCCUGGCAGUACCGUUGCCGUUUUUUAGUUUACACAUUCUCUGGAGUGUCGAUUCCACAUUGAAGCAAAUUAAAAGAAUAAAAGCAAAUAUUAAAUGAUUUAAUAAAAGUGACUAAUGAAAAAGGUGCUUAAAUUCUACAAACAGCAGAUGGAUAGUCGGAAUCCCUUGAACACAUUUGAUAUUUUAAUUAUUCUUAUUUUGUUUAAUGUAAGGUAAUUACCAAUCAAGUUAAUUCAUUGAAUCAUUGUAAGGAAAAAAAAAAGUUGAAAAAUACUGAAUAAAAAUGAAUUGCAGUCCCAUUAAUUGGAAAAGAAAAGGGUGAAUCUAAAAUAAGGUGUUAAAAACACUACUUUACCUACCCCAAUUAUGAAGCUUAGAAGAAGAUGCCUAGAAAAUGUAAACACGUGAAUAUGAGAAUCAAUAAUAUACUUUUCUUUUUAAAAAUUUUUUAUUUAAAAAAAUUAAAAUAAUAAUUUUUUUUUAAAAAAAUAAUAAUUAAAAAAGAAAUAAAAUUCAAAGUUUUUGAAAAGCAUGUGCUCUAACAAUAACAUAUUAAAUAUGUGAUUAAUAGCAUGUGAUUAAAGGUUUUCAGUCGAUGCCAUUACAUGCAGUCAAAGACUCCAUCCUUACUUUUAAUAAACAAAACCUACACUCAAUAACAUGUCCUAGUUUUUUUGGCCAGUGUUUUUCCGUGGUGGGAUUAAUUUUUUUAAAAUAUAAAAAUAAAAUGUUAAGAGUGAAGAAAGUUUGUUAGCGAUAUUAUUAAACCUAGUCAUGGAGUUAAUAUUAAAAUCUUCUAACCUAAUUUUUUAUUUAAUUUAAAUUUUUAAUUAAAUUAUAUGGAAAUUAACUCAGUUUAAAUCGAUCAAUAUCCAAAUACAACUUAAAAAACUAGAAAAACAUUAAAAAAACUUAUAGAAAACAACGUUUUUUAAAAAAAAAAUAUUGAAACAAUGAAAGAUUUGAUUGAUCCCAGUCCCUCACGACUGGAGUCAUAGAUUCUAUUGAGUUUAGUAAUUUUUUAUAAGUUUUUUUUAUUUAAUUAUAUGAUAAAAAUAGAUGCUUAAAAAAUUGAGUAUCAUCCCUAAAAUAAAUAUUUAUUUAAGAUUUUAAUAACCCUAUAGAAAGCAAACAAAAAUAAAUUAUUUAGUCUAUUUCCAAAUCAAUCUACUAUUGAAGGAUGAAAUUAAAAAAAAAAUCAAUUAAAAAAAUUAAAAGACUAAAAAAAAAAAAAACAUAUUCGAUCAAUGGGUAAACCUGUCAAACUUGUGGCUAGUACAUAAAACCUAUGAACCAGGUUAUGGACUUAACUAAGAUUAUAAUUAUUUUGGCUAGUACUGUCAAAAUUAUUUUUUUUUAUAAUUAUAAUCUUAGUUAAGUCCAUAACCUGGUUCAUGGGUUUGAUGUACUAGCCACAAGUUUGACAGGUUUACCCAUUGAUCGAAUAUGUUUUUUUUUUUUUUAGUCUUUUAAUUUUUUUAAUUGAUUUUUUUUUAAUUUCAUCCUUCAAUAGUAGAUGAUAAAAAAAAUAUAAAAUAAAUAAUUGUAAAAUUAAACAUCAACCAUACACACACACACUAAUUCGACCAAAAUAUGAAAUAGGCAAAAAAAAAAAAAAUAAUUAAAAAAAAGGAAAGGAAAGGGAAAAAAAAACAGAAAAGGCAAAACACUAUCAAUUACUAUUAUAAUCUAUAAUGAAAUGAGUGUGGGUGAAUAGUGAUUCUCUUACACCUUUUAGUUUUUCUUUUAAUUAAUAAAUAAAAAAAAUAUCCCACCAAACCUGAAAACUAGUAUAAUUUGAAUUAUUUUAACAAACCUGUAAAUCACGUUAAUCUUAUAAAAAAAUAGAAUAAAAAUUAAUAAAUUAAAGCUGAAUUAUAACCCGCCUAUAAUAAAAUAAACAAAAACAAAUUUUUAAAAACAAAAAAAAAGGGCAAAACACCUUGAAUUACGUACUAUUGAAAUUUACAAUGAAAUAGGUGUGGAUAUAUAGUGAUUCUCCCAAGUCUCUUAGCUUUUCUUUUAAUGAAAAUUAAUAACCGUAUAAUAUACUUUCUUGUGUUUGCUCUAUCGUUGCUAAAUUAAAACAUAUAUUUUUUUUUUAUCUACAUCUAUGUGAAACUUUUUUAAAAUAAAAAUAUUUAAAAAGAUAAAUGUUAAAACAAAAACAUUGUUAUUUUAAUUUUUUUUUUAAUAAAUACCAUCAUAAUAUGAUAUGGUUUUCUUUUUUACUCAGGUUAUUCAGUUAAUAUGUAAGUCAACCAGUAAACUAAACUUUGGAAUACGCUUCUUGACUAUUCGUAAGCUUCCUAUUUAUUCUUAGUAAUCAAAAUAUAUUUUUAUUUUUAAUAUUAAUAUAUUAAAAAAUAUUAAUUUAAUAUUUUUUUAGAAUAAUCAGAUUUUUUAAUAAACAUAACUCUGAGUACAAAAACAAAUUAUGUUUAGAUUGCGGGCAUAAGCAUAACAAUCUUGACAGUACGGUUGUUGUUUGGACUUUGAGAAUGAUAAAAUAAAAGAGUUAGAAUAAAUUUAAAAUAAAAAAUUAAUUUUUUAAAAAUAUUUUUAAAAUACAAAAACAAACUAAUAAUGAUAAAUAGACUUUCAUACACUUGUCAAAAUCACAGGAACGCAACAAUCAGGCAGGCAUUAGCUUCACUGCAGUAGAAAACUUCAACAUAGCUUGAUUUGCUAUCCAAUCUGCACACCAGUUGGAUAGCAAUUUCUUUUCAUAACAUUUACCUUUGUAAAAACUUUCUACUUAUUUUUAGUUUUAAUAUCAAAUUCAGUCUUGAAUAUUUAUCUUCAAAAUUUUAAUAUCAAAUUUGACGGUCAAAAUUUCACUUAUUUUUAAUCAAUUAAAUUGAACAAAAUCUUGUUAAGUCAAACAUCAACUCUACAUUGAAUUGUUUUUUCUUCUUAGACCACAAGAGCUCCAUAACAAGUUUAUUGAAAUAAAUUAGCCAUGUCCCGGCUGAGGUUGAUGAAUAAAGGAAUUAUGAUGGCUUGAUGGAGUUUGAGGCCAAUUUUAUAUAAAACUUAAUGAUAAAAAAAUGUCUAAAUCUCCCAAUUGUUGUCUGUUUGUUUAACAGUAAACAAUUUGAAGAUGCUCGAGAUCGAUACACUAAACAUAAAACUUUUUGCAUAAUACAAACACUUGCUAAUUCAAUGGACAUUGUAGCAAAUUGGAGCACUCACCAUUGUUUCAGGAAAGGACAUUGGAAACGGAGUUGUUUGUUGAAUACUAUUGUUGAUCACAUUGCUCUGUCCACCUUGAUCAUUGCAUGAUAUGGAGCUUUGGUUGACUGGAACCUCCGGUGGCGACCUGCUUCCAUGGACAGUGACGACAUUAUAUUGUUUUUUGCGAAUAAUAGGAUAAACUGAAGAAUAACUAAACUGCAAGCAAUGAUUUUCUGAUAAAAUAUGCUUAAGAAUGACGUACGAGAGAAGCUCAGAAAUAUCUUCUAGUGAUUGAAUACCCAGCUGAUCCCAUGUCAUGUUGUCAACCUCCAUAAAAGAUGGUUGGAACCCUUCCAUCUGACCAGAAAAGAUCAGAAAAGACAAAAAAAAACUGAGGUCUAAAAAGAACAGAAAGCACAGAUCAGAAAAGAAUAUAUAUAUAUAUAUAUAUAUAUAUGACUACUUGUUUGUUAAAGAAAUUCGGAUGAAAAAUAUGAAAUAUAAAUGUUGUUGUUAAUGAUUUAAUCCUUUGUCUUUUAAGAUAAAUUAUCAUACUCAAAUUCUUUUUAUGAUAGAUAGAAAGAUGCAGUAUAACUGUUGAAGGUAGAAGAGCUGAUUGUUUUGACGGGGUGAACAAAAACCUCUUUCAACUCCUCUUUAUUCAUAAUUUGGGGAGCAAAACAAAUGCAAGAUUCAUUGUUUACUGUUAAACAAACCUCUUUCAACUCCUAUUUAUUCUUUUUUAAUUAUUCUUAUUUUGUUUAUUGAAAGGUAAUUACCGAUCAAGUUAAUUCAUUGAAUCAUUGUAAGAAACAAAAGUUGAAAAAUAUUGAAUAAAAAUAAAUGGCAGUCCCAUUAAUUGGAAAAGAAAAGGGUGAAUCUAAAAUAAGGAGUUAAAAACAGCAAAGAAUCUUGAAAAGACGAAAACAAUGAAUUCAACGUUUAGGGUUAAUUUAAUCAGUAUGAACACCACAGGGCAUGGAUUAUAAAAUCUGAGAAAAAGAUCUAUCUAUUUAUCAUGGAUUACUUUAAAGAUUCAGACAAGAUGAAUGACAAAUAAUUUACCUGGAUUCAAGAUGUUCUUCAAGUGCUAGCUGGUUUGCUUGAGCAGUGAUCAGCCAAAAGAAAAGGAAGAGAAAUCACAGAUCAGAGAAGAAUAUAUGGUUUAGAAAAAUAAUAAAGUUGCAGCAUACAUAAAUCUAGUUCGCACUGAUCAUGAGAUGGGGAAAGGAAAAUAGGGAAUUCUACAAUGAGAUGAGAUGUGGGAGAGAAUGUUACAGCAGCAAGGUCGCCUCAAUAAUAAUAAUUAAUUAACGUAUUGUUUGAUAGGAAGGAAGUUGCCCGGAAGCAACCCAAACAUAUUACAUUAUAAGAUAUAGAAAGUUAACGUGUGGACCCGCCCCAUGUUCACACUUCGAAGAAGCUGCCAAGAAAAUGUAAACACAUGAAAAUGAGAAAGAAUAGCAUAUUUCUGCAUUGAGUGAAUUUUUUUUUUUAAAAAUUAUUUUAUAUUUAAAAAUAUAUUAAUUUUUUUUUUAUAUUGCCACGUAAAAACAAUUCAAAAAUAUUAAUUACAAACGAUCACUUGAUAUAAUUUUACAGACUUUUAAUUAGCCUCACUCAUUUGAACCAUGUCAUGGGUUAAUGGUUCUCAACAACUCUCCAUUCCAUGACCUUUCCGGCCCUACCUAGAACAACCACCAUCCCGACAUAAAUAAUAAUAAUUUCACAGUUGAAUUAUGUUUUUUAAAAAACUUAAUAUUUUUUUAUUUUAAAUUAAUUUUUUAAAUAUUUUUAGAUUAUUUUGACAUUUUAAUGUUAAAAAUAAAUUUUAAAAAAUAAUUAUUUUAAUAUAUUUUAAAUAAAAAAAUAUUAUCACACCAUCAAACAUUAUCUUAUUCUAUAAUAGUAUACCUGAACUUUUCCACACCAAUGGAAUUUUUUUUUUCCAACACUCUUCUACAGAUUUUAUAUUCCUAGCCCUCGACCUAUAAAGUAUGAUUUGCUAUCCAAUCUGCACACUAGUUUUCCAUUAAUACAAAGAUGAUCGUGUUUUUUUGUUGCUAAAAUUGCCGGCCAAUAAUUUAAGAGGUGCGUUUAUUUAAGAGGUACAUCAGUUAAUGAGUUUGGAGUACAAAUUUAUAUUUUCCAUUUCUAUAAAGAGAUAGUGUUUUUUUUUUCUGCCAAAAAUUAUCAACCAAUAAUUUUCCAUCAUUUUCCGAGUUUUUCAGUGACUUUUUGUCAGUUAAAAAUAUAAAGAUUUUUGUGGUGAUUUUAGCCCAACUUUGGGGUAUCGAGUCUCCACUGAGAAAUUAAAAGAAUAGAAAAAAAUAUUACAUGGAGACAAAUUAAGAGAAUAGAAGAAAAUAUUAAAUGGUUUAAUAGAGAAUAAAAUUUAAUUUUAAAUGCAAAUUAAAAUAAAGCAAGGUGACUAAUGGAGAAAGUAGUGGAAUUCUACAAAGAGUAGAGCGUCGGAAUCCUUGCACACAUUUGAUAUUUUAAUUAUUCUUAUUUCGUUUAAUAACUCAAUUGGAAGUUCAAUUCCCAGAAUUUCCGCUUUCGAAAAAUCAUUCAUCACUUUUAAAUACGCAAAUGAUUAUUAAGAAAAUUCAACGACAACAAUAUACUGAAGAGCAAUAUUACAGUAAAGAAAUCAAAUCAAUACAAAUAAAUAUAUGAUCCAAAUAUAAUAAAGAAUUAAUCCAUUUAAUCGAAAAAAACAUGACUGAAUCCAUAAACUACAUGACCCCUUUUUCUAAAGGAGGCAGCCCCACUUUUUCAUCACGUCGCCGUGGUCCCACACAUUUUUAAGUGCGUCCAAGCUGGUUCAAAGUGAAUUUUACGACUCCUGAGCCUUGACUUGUCUGUGAGAGCUUCAACUCUACAUUGAAAUGUUUUUUCCUAAACUGUGAGAGCCUCAUAAUAAGCUUAUUGAAAUAAAUUAUUAUAAUGAAAUUAAAAACAAAAAUACUUAAAAAAAAAACAGAGAGACGCCGUGUUUUCUCUAUUGCUACAAGGUAAAAGUCUGAGCAUAUUUAUUUAUUUAUUUUUAUUUUUAUUUUAAUAAUAUUACUGUUAUAUCUACCGCCUAGAAAUCAAGAACGCUAGUUUCAUUUAAAAGAUUCUAAAGUUCAUAUUUAGAUAAAUUAGCAGAAAGGACGAAAACACAACAAAUCAUACCCAGAGAAGCAAAAGCCAGAAACAAGCUACCUCAAUUCCUGCUCCACCUGGCUAAGAAAUGCAGCGUGCCCACUUGGAAGUACACAUCAUCCAAAUUCCAGGGCAAAUAAUUGGUUGGAAUUGUUUUCUGAGGAGUCAUCUCAAAUUUGAAAAAUAAAAACAGAAAAUAGAUCCAGCAAAUGAUUCCAAAUAUCUUCUAAAAAGAACAAUGAAAUAUGUUUUUUUAUUUACUGUAAGGAAAGAUAUCAAUGGAAAAAAAAAAUCAAUUUAAAAAAUAUAUAAUAAGUCAAAACCUAGACUUAAAAUCUGACCCAUAUCAGGUUCCUAGUUGAAUUGAAUAAUUGAGAGCGAAACGUGUCAAGACUGACAAGAGUUCAGAAUAGACUCAUGAAUCAUUUUUUAACCUUUAUGGUAAGACUUGACACGUGUCCUCUAAACCCUCCUGUCCCUCUUCCGAUCCUUGCUAAACCCUUGUUCUGGUCGUAAUCAUCCAUUAGCGUAAACCUAUGCUUCUCUUGACUUUGAUCCCAAUAAACCAACCCAUAGAGUUGGUGGUAAUGUAAUUUGUAUUACUUUUUAAAUUAUUUUUAUUUAAAAAAUAUAAAAUUAAUUUUAAUGUGUUGGUAUUAAAAAAAAUUAAAAAUAUUUUAUUAAUAUAAUUUUAUUUGAAAAAUAUUUUAAAAAAACCGUAUGUAGAAUUACUAAACAUCCUUAAGCCAGUGGACAAAGACACAAACGACAAAAUACAAAUUAAAAGGGAUAAAACUUAAAAGCAUAUAUUUGGAGAUGAUAAAAGGGCAUUGAGAUCAAAGAGGAUAAGUUUUCCAGUGAUGGGAUUGGAUGGUGACGAAGGAUUGUGUGGAUAAGAGCACAGUAAUUAAUCAUUUACUAAAAAGUUCUUCAGUGACCUAAUUCUGUGGCCCAACCAAAUUAUCAUUAUCCAAUAAACUAUUUGAUUAAUUCAGUGUUGCUUAAUCCCAGUUUGCUAUUGCGUUUUAAAUGGGUAUUGGUUAAAUUUUAUUUUUUUAUAUUUAUAUAUUAUUUUGAUGUGUUGAUAUAAAAAUAAAUUUAAAAAAAUAAAAAUAAUUUUAAAAAAUAUUAUUAUAACACCAACUUAUGAUAAUUUUCUUUAUUGAUUAGUGAAUUUGAUUAGACUUAAGAAUCUCCAUCACAGCCAACAUCAUUAGCUUAUCUGCUAUGUUAGAGAAUAAUAUAAAUCAUAUUCUGGGACCUCAUCUAACAGCUUAAGCUAUUAGGUUGAGAUGGUUCUUUGACAUGGUAUUAGAGCCUUGAUGACCAAGCGGUCACGAGUUUGAAUCUCACCAUCCCCAUUUAUUUGAUAAAAAUUAAGCACAAGACAAUGUAGACCUGUGCAAGUUUUAAGCCCAAAGAGCUUUCACUUGAGGGGGUUUGUUAGAGAAUAAUAUAAAUCAUAUCCUGUAACCUCACCUAACAACUUAAGCUAUUGGGAUGAGAUGAUUCUUUACAUGCCAUCCCUUUCAAGAGAGAAGAUUUCAAAUCAGUCCAUUCAUUCCCAUAUGUAGGCAUCUUUCUCAAGCAUCAAGGAGAAUUACUUCUGGAUUCUGAGUUGCCAAUAAAAAACAAAAAACCCUUAUAAACUAGUUCGUCUCCCAGUCCUUAAAUUAGUUUCCUCAUUGUUUUUCACAAUUUUUUAAGAAAAAAAAUAAAAAAAGGAAAAAUAAAAAAAUGAUCAUAAGCUAUAUAUCUAACACUCAUUUUAAAGAAAUUGAUAACCAUGCAAGCAGUUUACAUGUCAGUAUUUGAUAAGGGGUAAGAUUUUGGAGACAAAUUAGAGUACUCAAAUAGAAUGUACUAGGUGAAUUGCCCGCGCGGUGCUGCGGGUUAUAACAUGAACUGAGCAAAAUCUAAAAGUACUGAGAUAGAACUGAGCAACCACAGAGAGUAAAUCUGAAAACAUGGUAAGCAUUGAGAUCGAACAGGGCAACCAUUUGGAGUAGGCUGUUAGCACGCUGCCAGAACAAUUCAAAAAGGGCCUAAGAUUAAACAUCCUGAGUGCAAAUAAUGGUUGAGCCAGAUGAAAUAAAAAGCAAAGAUGCUGGCAAAGCAGGACCGACAAUGGAACUCCAUGAAGAACAGCAAAAAAAGCAUGGGAUUUUGACGGUGCUGCUCAAAAGUGUGGAUGCGCGGUCUAAGCCCAGAAGGUCUCCUGUUGCGAGGAAAUAGUGUUAGCUUUCAUCUAAAAGAUGAUAGGUAUUGCCAGGCCAACGCUUAGGGAAAGCAAGGUAAUGUGCAAAAGAAUUGGAGCAAUUAACUGUAAUGUUUAAAACUUUGGAAAGCUACCUGAGGCAACACCAAGCCCACCAACAGAUUGUAAAAAUGCUCAUUACCAUUUUGGAAAAAAUAAAAGUUAAAUGAUUUUUUGUUUUUGUUUUUCAAUCAUUUAAAUAAGAUGAUAUUAAAAAGAAAUUUUAAAAAAUAAAAAACAUUAUUUGAAUAUAUUUCUAAAUAAAAAAUAUUUUCCAAUACAACUUCUAUCACUCUUAAACAAACCCUUAGUCUAAUGCAGAGAACAUGUCUUCAUAUACAUUAUACAGUGGAUUAAUCAAUCUUUUUAGUUUUUUUAUAUUGUUCAUAAAGAUAAAAAAAAAUAGUAUCUAUUAUUUUAUUAGUGAUGAUAUAAGAUAUAAGAUGAUUUGUAUAUAUAUAUUUUUUCCAAUACAUGUCUUCCUUUUUUUUCUUUUUAAUAUAUAUUUUUAAAAUAUAAUUUAUUGCUAGUUAAUGAUAUAAGAUGAUUUGUAUUCGUCAAUAUCAAUAGAUCUAUUAUUUUAUUAGGUUACUUUAAUAAUAAAUCAAAAUAGUAUAUAUAUAUAUAUUUGUUUUUUUUUUCUGGGGGGGAGAUUUUCAUCUUGGUGAUACUCAAUAGAUGAAAAUAUAAUAUUAAUUAAACUUCAAAUUAUAAUUAUUUAUCUAUUCAGUUAAAACAAAUAUGACAGUUCAAUAGUCUUAAAUAAUAAAUAUUUCAUAUUAAUAAACGCUUAACGAGUCGAAUCAAUCAGAUGUUAAUUAACAUAAAGAAGUUAACAUGGUGUGUGCAGAGAAUGAAUUGUGGAAAGAGAGAUUGGGAGAGUGUGAGAACUAAAAGAUGAUCCUUACCCUUUAUGGCUUUAUUCUAUAUUAUACUAAGGGACGACUGACCAUAACAUUACAAGGGGACGAAGGACAUCCAUUGUUUUGGGAUUCUCCCACUCCACCAGUGUCUCCCACCGUUCUUUUGGAUAUGCUCGGAUGUAUUUAAGAGACGGGGGAGGGGAUGGUAGGCUAUUUUCAAGCAACGGAAGAUAAAUUGGCAUUCUCUUUAACUUCUCACAAUACUUUACAUUAGGGGUGUUCAAAAAAAUCGAUUAACCAAAAAAACCGAGAAAACCGAUAAAAAAUUAACCAAGAAAACCGAACCGAGAUAGAAAACCGAUUAAACUGAUUGUUAAAACCAUAAAAUCUUGCCAGGUUCGGUUCGGUUCCGGUUUGACCUCUUAAACCGAUGAACCGAACUGGUAGUAUAAAUACCACGCACACAGUCACACACAAACACAGUCACUUGACACUCAGUAACCCUAAAUCUAAUUAACAUUCUGAACUGAAGAAUGAAGCCGCUGCCCACACCAAAAACUCAAAGAGCAAAGAGCCAAAGACUCUUCCUUCUGCCCACAGAGCCCCACACCAAAGACGAUUUAUCGUCUUCUCCCUUCUGCUGUUCUGCAUCUGUCUUGCCCUUCACCAUCAAAUUUCAUCCUUCCUCUUCUCCCUUCCGCAUCUGUCUCUUCCAUCGAUUUGCAUCCUUCCUUUGUCUUCCCUUCUGCAUCUGUCUUGCCCCCUGCUUCUCUCUUCACUUGCAGGUUGCAGCAGAACGACAGGGCUCCUCCAUUGGUAAGAUUAUCUUCGUGUGCUUAACUGCUUAUAAGUCCAACAUAAUUAUUUUCAAACUUUGAUGCUUCUCAGUUCUCUGACCUUUGCUUCUCUUUUUUUUAUCCUCAGGUUCACCCCCUUUUCCAUUUAAUCAAGAACUAGGGUUUUUGCUUCUUUCUUCAGGUUAGUCCCUCCUUCCCUGCCCUAUCUUCUUUUUGUUAAUUUAUGUUGGUAUUGAAAUAUGCUUGUUCAUUUAUGUUGGUAUUGAAAUAUGCUUGUUAAUUGUUAUAGUUUUUUUGUUAGUUUAUCAAUUAGUCAAAUACUCAAAUGUGUUUGUCACCUGUUACAACAUUUUUUUUUUCAUGUUUGUCGCCUGUCGGGUGAAUGAGUGAAUAACUAAAUAUGUUUUUUCAUGAUUAUCGGGGAAUCGGGGAUUGGGUUUUUUCUAAACCGAAAAGAAUUGGGUUUUUUCAUGACUGUUCCUUCAUUUUUGGUUCCCAUAGCAUGAAUGUCAGACCGAUUAGUAGGGAGAAACAUAUUCACUCAUUCCCAUAGCAUAAAUACUAAUCUGACAUUCAUGCUUAUUUAUUUUAAAAAAGAAUUAUGAUUCUCAGACCGAUUAAAGUCCAAUUUGCUGGUUCAAACAAUUUUCUCCCUACUGCCACUGCCAGCUUCUCAUAUGAAGUUAUUGAUGGUUAUUUUGAGGAUUCAGGUGUAUCAUCUACUUGAAGUAUUUUAAUCUAGAAUCCCAAACUAUUCACAUUUUUCUAGGGGAUGGUAAAUGAGAGUUGGCAUUAUACAUAAUACUAAACUCCUCCAAUGCUACAGUACAGCUAAAAAAGUAGAAUUUGUUGCAGCAGUGAUAAAUUUUAAAUUCUACACAUAAUUUUAAAGAGACUAACAAACAAAACUAGUUCAUUAAUAGCUGCACAGACAAAUAUACAAGGCAUCUUUCUCAAUUAAUUUUUUUAGAUCACAAAACACACUUUCAGUUUCAGUUCCAGUUCAAUUAAUAGCUGCAAAUAAUGUUUUUUUUCAUUAUUUUAUAAUCUGUUUUAAUUUCAGAUGGAUAAUCGGGAAGAUCAUACACCAAUUGAAUCAAAUCCUUCAAGUUCAGAACCCCAUUCUUUUCCUAUUCCAGCUCCAGUCCUAGUUGCUACUUCUAGUACAAAUAGCAACGCUGAAAGUGAAGGUAAUCCAGCUUCUAGAUCUAAUAAAGAAAACACAUCUCAGAUUUGGGAUCACUUUAAAAAAAUUAGAUGGUAAUGUUAAGCGCUCCUAGGGCUGCAUGUAUGUAUUGUGGAAAAGAUUAUGCAUGCCAUACUAUACUUAAUGGGACUAGUAACAUGUGGAGUCAUCUAGGUGUAUGCAAAAAAGUUUCCUUUUGUGAUUGACCGAAAACAAAAACUUUUAGUCUUACAACCUAGCCUAUAAUAAAAGGGGGUAAUAUGGAGAGGAAAAUCUGGUGACUAUUAAGGCGGUGGGUUAUAGUUAUGAAGAGUGUAGGAAAGCCCUAGGAAAAAUGAUUAUACUUGAUGAGCUACCUUUUAACUUUGUUGAAAACCAAGGAUUUAAAUCAUUUUGUCAAGUAAUGCAACCUAGAUUUGAUGUUCCUUCUCGUUUGACGAUUUGGAGAGAUUGUUUAAAAAUUUAUGUAGUUGAGAAGGAAAAAUUAAAGAAAGCUCUUAAGGAUCAACGUGUAUGUUUAACAACCGAUACUUGGACAUCAAUCCAAAAUAUUAAUUAUAUGUGUUUGACUGCCCAUUGGAUUGAUGAAGGUUGGAACUUGAAUAAAAGAAUUCUAAACUUUUGUCAAGUUUCUAAUCAUAAAGGUGAAACAAUUGGCCAAACAAUUGAGAGUUGUUUGUUAGAAUGGGGAAUUGAUAACAUUUUAACAGUUACAGUAGACAAUACAAGUUCAAAUAAUUUGACAAUAAAAUAUUUGAAGAGAGUAACAAGUAAUUGGGCAACUAAUAUAUUGUCAAAUGACUUCAUGCAUGUUAGAUGUUGUGCACAUAUUGUUAAUCUUAUUGUAUGUGCGGGAUUGAAAGAUAUUGAUGAUUCAGUUGUUAAGAUUAGGAAUGCAGUGAGGUUUGUUAGAUCUUCUCCUUCUAGACAACUUGUUUUUAACCAAUGUGCGGAGAGGUUGAAAAUUGGGAGUAAAAAAUCUGUUUGCUUGGAUGUUGCAACUAGAUGGAACUCUACAUAUAUGAUGCUAGAUGGCUGUAAAUUUGAUGUGGUUUUUAUGAGGUUAGAAGAAACGAUCCUAGGUAUUUGAGUUACUUUGAGGUUGAUUCAAAAGGAAAACAAAAAAACUUAGGUCCUCCUGCUUUAGAAGAUUGGGAAAAGGCUAGAUCUUUUGUCAAGUUCUUGAAACUAUUUUACACGGUUACAUUGAAAUUUUCUGGCUCAUUGUAUGUGACAUCUAAUUCUUUCUUCAUGAAUUGAUUUCCAUGCACACAAGCAUAUCUCAACUUUGUAGAAGUGAAGAUGUUUAUGUAAGUAAAAUGGCCAAGAAUAUGAUGGCAAAGUAUAAAAAAUAUUGGGGGGAUCAAGAUACACAAAACUUUUUGUUGUAUGUGGCGUUGUGUUAGAUCCACGUUUCAAAUUGAAGUAUGUGAGAUUUUGUUUUGGAAGAUUGUAUGAUGUUGAAGAGGCUGAAAAUUUUACAAUUAAGGUUAAAGAUACUUUGCUAAGGUUGUUUGAGCAUUAUAUGAAUGUUGAUGAGAAUGUUGAGGUGUUCAGUGUUGGAACUAGUAUAAAUGAAAAUGUUAAUGUUGAUUUAAUGGUGGUAAAUGAUGAUAUGUUGGAUGACUUUCUCAAUUCAAAAAACAUUUAGAGGAAGAAGGGGUGUCAAAAAAAAAAUGAGGUUGAGAGGUAUUUGGGUGAUGAUUGUGAGGAUCCUAAUGAUUUUAAAUUAGAUAUUUUGGGUUGGUGGAGGUGUAAUGCUACAAAAUACAAGAUUCUUUCUAAGGUGGCACAACACGUGUUAGCUAUUCCGGUAUCUACAGUUGUUUCUGAAGUAGCUUUCAGUACUGGUGGUCGUAUUUUAGAUCCAUUUCGAAGCUCUUUAUCUCCAUCGACAGUGCAAGCACUGGUUUGUUGUCAGAAUUGGUUGAGUUUAGCAUCAAUUCCAAUCAACAUCAGCAAUUACAUGGAUUAUAUUGAAAAUUCUGAGAUGAUUGAGUCAGGUAAUUUCUUUUACAAAUUUAAAUGUAGUUAUUUUAUAAUAUCAUUUAUUUACAUAUGUUUAAUCUAACUUUUUAAUUUAUGUUUUUGUAGAAUUUGGUGAAAGUUUAAAAAUCUCAACUGAUUGUUUGUAAGCAGUAUUGGUGGCUUGGUGCAAUUUUGGAAUAUAAUUAUUCUGGGUAAUUAAUUUACUUUACCUUGUUAAUUCCCUUUAACAUUUUUCAUACUUAAAUUAAUUCUUUCAAUAGUUGAACUCUAAUAUGUUGCUGAUUUGCUAGUGUUUUUUUUUAUAUAUAGCAUUAUCCUUACUAGAAUUUUUGGAUACCCAUGCUGCUGUUGCUGGAAUUUUUGGAUGCUAGUCUUGUGUUUUUUUUUUUCAAUUUAUGCCGGAUGUUUAUGAUAAUUUAUUGAUGGUUACUAAUGUAUUCGCUUGUUAAUGUUAACUUUUCUAGUGCGAACAAACUUUUAAUUUGAGGUGUUCAAAUUUGAUCAUGCAUCUUGCAUAUUGAAAUUGAUUUAUUGCAUUGCAUACAUAUUGAAAUUGAUUUAUUGCAUUGUAUCUGUCAAAUUAAAUUCAUGUCUAAAUUCAUGUGAAGAAUUAAAUGGUUUACAUUCCUUGGAUAUAUGAUUUUCUCAGCAUAGCUCAUUGCCUGCCUGUAAAGUGUAAAUCAUUUGAACAACUUCAGGCUUAUAAACCAGGAAACAAAACAUGAAAAAUAAAUUUAUUUGUCAUCAGUCUUGGGAUGCCCCUUGAAUUUGAAGUUGUCUGCAUAAGUGCAUAUGCAUUAACCUGAAAGGAGAAGAAAAUUCGGAGUGACCAGGAGAAGAAGAGCCUUGCAGAUGGCACUUCCACAUUGCAUGCAUAUUGAAAGAUAAGUGUUCACUGUUCAGUAGGGAAUUCCUGUUUAUGGCAGCCAAGCUGUGAAUUAAUUCAGGUUUCUGUAACUUUUAAAACUCAAUUUACUGUAAGGCUAAGUGAAUUUUAAAAAAACUGAAAAAAAACCCGGAUUUAAUGAAGGGAUUAGGUUUCCCGGUUUUUUCCAAAAAAAACCGGAUUCAACCGAACCAGACCGGCUCGGUUUGAACCGGUUUCCGGUCCGGUUCGGUUAAAAUUUAUCUAAAAUAUUGAAAUUCGGUUCGGUUGGUUUUUUAAGUCUAAACCGAACCGAAUCGAACCGUGAACACCCCUACUUUACAUCAAUAUCUUUAAGAGAAUUGCAAAUCAAUUUUGCACUGCAAUUGCUUUUCAGUUCUGGUAAAUAUCUCAAUCUUAGAGCUCUUAACUUUGGGAGUUUUAAUUUUGUGAUGGGACUCGAGGUGCUGCUUUCUUCAUCUGUUGUUCCUAUUAUCUCCUCCAUUUUAUCAUAGUACCUCACUUCAAUCCUUUCUAGGUUUACGAGGUUUGGCAGCACCACAAGUGGGAACAACCUCUUCAUACUUUUACAUCCAACACAAUAAAACUCUUUAAGCCCAGAAAACAUACCAUUAUAUGAUGACAAUGGUGGUGGAGCAGACCAGAACCAAGAAGAUGAAACCAAGCUCUCCAUGCUAUUGCAAUCCUCAAUGAUGAUUUCCUCUAGUUCAGUUGCAUUCUCUAAUGACAAAACAUCACAUAAACUUCUUGCAUCGAUGCGUUCACAAUCCGGAACUUGAAUGUCAUUUAAGAACUUGACCUGAAAAUCUCCAUCUUUGUUGAUACUCAAAUUACCAAACCCAACUGUUUUAUUUGGAAAAUCAUCCAUGUCUACCCAACAAUCCACCAUUCCUACUAAAAUUUUAUAUGUGCUUAAUGAAAUGGCAUUUCAAAUUUUCCAAAUUUCUCAACUGUUAUCGGAGCAUAACUAGUCCCCAUAAACUCUUCUAGUGCAAAGACUUGCAGGUGAGAGAGUUUUGGUAAUAUCCCACUAGAAAACUCCUUUUCACCACAUCCAUUCAUUCUAAGAUACCUCAGGUUGGUUAGGCAUUCCAUCCCUUGCGGCAUCUUUUCAAGUGCAGUACAAGAGAGAUUCAACCUCUUCAGUGCCUUGAGCUUCUUUAAUGAUGGAACAUGUCUUAAGUCCUCACACUUUCUGAGCAAUAAGGCAGCGAGACUCACCAAAUCAGAGAUAGAGUCUGGCAAUUUUCAAUACCUGUGCAAGACAGAUUGAGCCCAUGCAAUUGAUUGAAAAAUGUAGUGAUUGUCAAUUAUUUUAUCUUGACCACUGGCAAAAAUUUGUUAGUACAUGAUUUCUUGUAACAAAUUGCCACGUAUCACCAUACUCCCUGUUUUUUUCCUGCUGAAAUAAGUCUUUGGAUCUGUUUUGGUGGGACUAAUAUCAACAUAAAAUGAGUAUCCCUAUUUUUCAGGCAUCAGAAUAUUAUGCUCACUUGGUUGAUUUUAUAAAGGAGUUCUGAUGCCUGAAAAAUAUUAUGCUCACUUGGUUGAUUUUCUAGUUCCAUUAGGUGCAUAAAAAAGAGAUAGAGAGCUCAAAAAGACUUGAAAGAUCCUCGUCAAUUUUGGCCAAGUUCAUUGUUUUCAUGAUUAAAAAAGUGUAUAUUCGAGGUUAAUACCAUUGAUUCAAUGGAGGUUGAGGUCCAGGUAGCAUCGCAGGCACUUGAUUCCUCAUUGGUAACUGGUAAUUAGUCCAUUGUUGGUCCCUAAAUUAGCAACACUUGUUAGUAAUUUCUUUAUACAUAUGCAUAAUUCUUUACUAUUAAUCCACUAAGCAUUUGAUAUCAUUUUAGCUUACCUCAAAGGCAUUGAUGGUCCAGGUAGCAUGGGAUUGGCACAUCGAGGAUCAAAUAAAUUAGGAUGAGGCAGAUACCUAUAUUCAAAUAUAAUGAUAUUAGGCAGAUAAAUAGAACAACAACAAGAAGAAGUUAAAUAAUGAUGAAUAUUAUGUACAAGAAGAAUUUAAAUAAUGAUUAUUCUCACUUAGUUGAUUUUCUAGUUUCAUUAGGUGAUGCAAAUCAGGAGACUCUUGAAAGCUGAUUAAAGCUUAUUAGCUGUAGUUAUUAUUUUCCUAGUUAGCUGAUAGUUUCCGAGUCAGAUUAGUAUUAGAUCGUAACUCCUUAGCUGUAGGGUAUUUAAGAGGGGAACAGAACAGAAGAUGGGGCAUUAUUUGUAUUCUUGGCAAUUGCUUUCUUUAAAUACAAAUUGGAGUGAUUCCAUAGAGAUUCUGUAUUAAAUUAUUUAUUGUUCUUACAGAGAGCAACGAGAGGUUGUACCGGAGGGCAUUUAGAUUAAUAUGUGCACAAAAAAAGAGAGAGAGAGAGACGGAGAGCUCAAAAGAAGUUAAAUAAUGAUGAAUACCUUGUUGGAGUUUGAGGCCAAUUUGGUUCAUUUUGGUUGAUCCAUGAUGAUGAUGUUCCAUCUGAACCUCCCAUUGUUGUCUGUUUGUUUUAUAAUAAACAAUUAGAAGAUGCUCGAGAUAAAUAUUAUGUAGCAAAUUGGAGCACUCACAUUGUUCUGUCCACCUUGAUCAUUGCAUAAUAUGGAGCUUUGGUUGUCUGGAACCUCCGGUGGCGACCUGUUCUGUCCACCUUGAUUAUUGUUUUGUUGGGGAAUAAUAGAAAAAACUGAAGAAUAACUAAAUUGCAAGGAAUCAUUUUUUGAUAAAAUAUGCUUAAGAAUGACGUACGAGAGAGGCACAGGUAUAUUGAAUAUAUCUUCUAGUGAUUGAAGAUCGAACUCAUUUGAUGUCCAGUUGAUCAUGACAUCAUCCUCCGCAGAAGAUGGUGGGAACCCUUCCAUCUGAGGUUUAAAGAAGAACAGAUAAAACAGAUAAUAAAUAUAUAAGUGGGUACACCUUGUUAUAUCUAAGUCAAAAUAAAAGAAAAACAAAUAAAUGGUGAAAAGCACCUUGUUCUAUCUUAUAAUAUAAUAUUUGAUGGGGGUAUAUAUUAUAUUAUUACAAAUUACAAAUAUAACGAUCAUAACUAAGCCUCAAUAACUUGAAUACUUCCUUGUCCCUAAAUUCUGAUUCUCUCAAUUUGUUCAAUGUAUUUCUCCACUCAUAGGUCAUCCACUCCCCUCAAGUUUCCUGCCACUGUAAUAAUUCCCAAUGGCAAACCAGCACAUUCCCUUGCAACGUCUUUCGCAAUUCCUUCCAUUUCUGGUGAAAGUGCUAUAUCACGUCCAAGUUUCUCCAUGAACCAAGUCCAAGCUUCUCCUUUAGAAAGUGGCUUCACUUUGAUUUUGUGCUGGCAAGCCAUCCGAUGACAAACCGUUUCUGAUCGAGUUGUCAUAAUCAGCUUGCAUCCUUCUAACUUUUCAGGAAUUUCCACUUUGUGUAGCUCAAAAUUAUUCCACAAAUCAUCUAAAAUGAGAAGCUAUUUUUGUUUCUUCCUUAGUUCUUCUAACAAUUUGAGAGGUCUGAGAUGAACAUCAUCUUCACUUGAAAGGUCUAGAUCAAGAUGUUUAGCAAUAACAUUCUGCAAUCUAUUAAUGCUGAAAUCUUGAGACUUAGUCACCCACCAAACAUGAUCACAAAUAUCUGGUCUUUGUAGAAGCUCAUUAUGGAUAUGUUGCAGUAUGGUUGUUUUACCAACUCCCCCCAUCCCGUAAAUGCCAAUGGUUGGGACUUCAUCAUCCAUUAACAAAGACCAUAUCACCUUCUUAUUCUCUUCAAAUGCUUGACCCACUGGCUUUAUAGAGCUAUUAGGUAAUGGAACUCCUCUAGUCUUGUUGUUUUUCAGACUUUCAGAAGAUCUAGCUCCUGGGCCAGCCUGCACUACUGAUCUUCCACUAUUCUCAACGUACUCUUCCUCCACUGGUUGUGUCCUCACUCUAACCAUGUCCUGUGCAUCAUGCCUAUUUACAUCAUUGUUUACUAAUGGAGCACAAGGUUGAUCAUAACAUAUUCCAAAGUCAAGACAAAAUUGGGAUGCAUCUCCUUGAGGCUCCAAAAGCUGCACUUGCUCUGUUCUUGGUACAGUCUCAAAUGCAUCAUGCCAAAAAGAUCCUUCACCAGUGUUUUCCAUGCCAUUUUCCGCUUGUAGAUGCGAUUGAAUUCUCUGUUCUCCUGGAUCUUGUUCCAUGCCCUGAACUCCCACUUGUAUCCUUCCAAUACCUCCUCGCCAAAUUGCCGAGUACUGCAUUGCUUUGUUCCAACGAUCGAUCCACUGGUUCUGUCCUCAGUCUGCUCUCGAGUGCCCCUUCAGAAACUCUCUCUUCUUGUGCUCUCACUCCGGUCAUGCUUACUAUACGUCGUUUCCUGCUAUUGCAUGUGAAGAAAUCCUCUGUUCCCCUACUUCGGGUUCUAAAACCUGAACUUCUCUUUGUACCCUUCCAAUACCUCCUCCCAAAUUCCACAGUCAUUAAAAUUGAUUGAACUUGCUGUGAUUUUAUGUCCUUUUUUGCCAUCAUUCAUAGCUUUCCAGGCUGCUUCUUGAACUUCUGUAGUCACUGUUGCUACCCAAUUUUUGACCCAUGUUUUGAUAAUUUUUCAGAAAAAUCCAAAAAUAGAGAAAAACAUCGAAAAGCCAAAAAAAUACUUUUUUAAUAUAUUUGCGUUGUUUUUAGCUGUUGCUACCCAAUUUUUGACUCAUGUUUUGAUAAUUUUUCAGAAAAAUCCAAAAAUAGAGAAAAACAUCGAAAAGCCAAAAAAAUACUUUUUUAAUAUAUUUGCGUUGUUUUUAGCAUUUUCAGCGUCGUAAAAAAAAAUUUAAAUUUUCAAAGGUUUUUCGAACGCGUGCAACUUUUCACGCGUCAUUUUUAAUCAUUGAUUUUCCUCAUUGAGUCGACGUUGAUAUUGCUCAUUUUAAAAAAAUACAAACAAAUUAAGAAAAAUCAAAUUUACAAAAAGAAAGAAGUUGAGGGACCAAUUUUGAAAACCUAGCAAUAUUUUUGCCUAUAAAUACUGGUCUUCAACACACACAAAAGAGGGGGGGACAAUUUUGCACAUUCAGAAAAAACACAAAAAAACCUAACCCUAAACCUAAACCUAUCUCUAACCAAAAAAAAAAGAAGCCGCCGGCCCCCCAGGCUUUUGAUUUUUCCUUCCCCACAACAGCUAACCGAAAUCUCUAGCCUUCCACCAACUCCUCCUCCCUUGCCCUCUGCCAAACGGACAAACUCUCAGCCCCUCACCCCACACAAACCAGCCGCCCCACCCAUUCAGUUGGCCACUCUCUUUUCUCCAGCCAAAGCCAUCGCCCCCUUCUUCCUCUGGUCUCCCGACAAACCCAACAAUACCCUUUCUUCUCCGGACGACCGACCGCAACAACCCACACCGCCUCUCCGUCCGAUCUAUUCACUUCACAACCCGGAAGAAACCCACUAUCAGGCCCAAUCUUCCCCUCAAUAGCGUCUUCUUCGCCUUCGGUCUCUUCAACAGCAAUGGCCACAGACCAGCCAAGACCGAACAUCUAUUUCAACCGGUCGGUCGCAGAUCCACCCAUCAUCAACGACCUAGCAACGGCCACAGAAGACCAUCACUGCUAGAUCGGCCAUCAACAGAAGCCUAGUCGUCGGUGACCCCUUGGUCUUGCCGCCGCUGAAAUAGAGAAGGGAGAAGGUAGAGAAAUUGGAGUGAGCUAAAAAAGGAAAACUUAAACAGAUAGAAAAAAGAAAGAAAAUUAAAAUCGAUUGCCUUUUGUGUUUUUUUUUUUUGCAGAUAACGGUGGUUGUCACCACUGGCGAGGAAAAGAAGAGGGGAAGAAUUCGAUCCAGAUCCCCCCUGUUGCUGGGUUUUUCUCGUGGCAGUGGCACGUGGAGCAACGCGCCGCCACUGUUCCGGCCCUGCACUGUUCCUGAUUUUGUUUGAGAGGUUGUUUUUUUGUAACUUUAAGUUUGUUUAAUGUAAUAUAUUUUUAUUUUUUAGUUUUUUAUAAUUUGUACUUUGUAAAUGUGGAUUAAAAGAAAAGGAAAAGAAAAGAAACGAAACAAAAAAUAUAUAGUAAAAGUGAGUGUGUGUUUGGAUUUUCAUUUAUUUAUGUAUGUAUGUAUGUAUGUAUGUUUUUUUUUUAUGAUAAAAUCGCAAAGAUUAAAUAAGAAUUUAAUAUUUUGAUUUGCUCACAGUCUAGAAUUAUUAACUUAUACGUAAGUUGUAUUUCUAAUAUCUGAUGAAAAGACAAAAUUUUAAAACUUCUUUAACACGUCAAAGCCACGAAGCAACUUACCUCAGGUAGGGUGUGUGUUAGGGGUGCUAAUACCUUCCUUAACCACAACCAGUCCCUUACCCGUGAAUCUCUGACAAGACCAUUACACCCGGGUUUCCUAGUAGCCCUCAAUUAAAUACAAGGUGGCGACUCCAACGAACCAAAUCAAAGCAAACGCAUAACGAGAAAAAAUUGCCAGCCGACGCCGUGCGGGUGACGUGUGGCAGUCACCCCAAGACAAAUGUCAACACCACGCCUUCUCUCUCCUGAUAAAUGCCAUUUGAACCUUGAAAUGCAAAUUUUACUGGACCAUGUACGCUGACAAAACUUACACGUCAUGCUACCAUCAACCCUAUCUUCAACAUAAUUCCAAAAUGGAUCCUUCGAUCCACCCAUAGAAAAAGAAGGGGGGGGGGAGGGUCAAGGCUAGGAUGGAUGAGAAACUACUUCAUUGCUGUUACCUUAUUUUGCUAUUAAAAUUGAUAGUUAGUUUAUUGCAUAAUUAUAGGGGGGGAAAGACGAUGAAAAUUCAGUUAGACUUCUUACUUGUUGAGUAUUUAAAUCCCUAAUUUGACUUUGCAGGGAAUUGUCAAGGCUAGGAGUUGAUGCAUUUGGCAUAGCAGUUUGAUUUUGCAAUCCUGGGACUUGGAGGUUAUCCAUCUGUGACCUGUAUAAAAAUGAAGUGAUCAUAUUAUAAAACCUUUCGAUAAUUGGUAGUAUCUAAUUAUCAAAAGGGUCUUAAUACGUACUGUAUUAAAACACAACAGCUAGAAGUCACCUAGUAGAGUUGCCAAAGUGCCGAGGCCCGAAGUUCUGUUGUUGCAUAUUAUCUAUGUUAGGAAUUACUGCAGCUUGAUCGUCUUGUCCUUGAUUAGAAAGAAAUUGACUCCUGUAUCCAAAAUAAUUCGCAAGUAAUACAAUACGAGAUUUAAUAGUUUUACUGACGGAAUUUUUUCAUCGGCGUAAGACACAUAUUCCGUCGGUAAUUAAUUUACCAACGAAAUCACCAACAGAGAAUCUUUCAUCGGUAAUUUUUUGUCCGUCGGUAAAUCUAUUGGUAAUGAAAAAAAUUUAUUACUGAUGGAUUUACUAAUGGAACAUAAGCGUCGGUAAUAAUAUUUUUUUAUUACCAACGAAUUUACCAACGGACAAAUUAUAAAAUAUUUAAAAACAUUUUAAAAAAAAUCAUUUUAUAAAAUUAUACUCAAAAUGCUUGGAAAAAAAAACAAGAAAAUCAACUCAAACAAAUUUGCAACAAAUAAAUAAAAUGAAAAAAAAAAUUCAACUAAAAAAAUUCAUAUGAAAAAAAUGAAGUUGCAAUUGCUAAAAAUUUAAAAAUCCUAUAAAUAUAUCAACAAAAAUUGAUCUCAUAUGAAAAAAUAAAAUCUCACAACAACAUUUAUACAAUUAUUAAGAACAAAAACAAUUAAAAAUAAAAUAAAAGGCAAAUAUAGUGAAAACAAUCAUGAAAAAAGAAGAAAAAAGAAAAAUCUUACCUUAAUGUAGUUGCAAGUGAAGCUAAGGAGAGAUUUUUUUUUCGUAAAGCAUAUUAAUUAAAAAAAAAACUAAGAGGAUAAAAGAAGAAAGAAGAAGAAGACAUACCUGAGCAUGGAGGAAAAGAGAAGGAGAUGAGGAGAGAAAAGAAGACAAAGAAAUAGAUAUUGAUGUUUUUUACAUAUAGUGAAGAAGAAGAAGAAAUGAGUUUCUUUUUUGUGAAAUAAGGGGAUUCAGAUUUUUUAUUGGGGCACAUUAGCGACGGAUUUAUUGACGAAUAAUUGAAUAUUAAUAUUUUUUAAUUAUUUCGUCAGUAAUUCCAUCGGUAAUAUUUAAUAUAAAUUUUUAAUUUCGUAAAAAGCUUUCAGAAACCGCCAACAAUUAUCGAUGAUUUUUCAAUCCUUCGGUGAUUCCGUCUGUAAUAUUUAAAUGAAAAUUUUGAAUUACUUGAAUUUUUUCAGAAAACCGCCAAAUAAGACCGACGACUUUUCAAUUCGUCGGUGAUUUUGUCUGUAAAGAACAAGAAUUAACAGUGCAAUUGAAAAAGUGAACAGUUCUGGAGCUCUCUGGAAAAUACUGACGAAAAAUUCUGUUAGUGAUUUCCUUCGUAAUUGACAUGAUGAACAGUGUUCACAGUUUACCAAAGAAUUUACCGACGGAAUAAAUUCUGUCGGUAAUUACGUUGGUAAAAAUGACAUAUCAUCAUUUAUUGUUUUACUUUGUUUUAAUUUUUUUCCCCACUGUAAUUCCCUCGAUAUAUACCGAGGGAAUAUUUCCGUCAGUAAAAUCCCUCGAAAAUAUUUCCUUUGUAUUUAUCGAUUUUCUGGUAGUGAUAUUAAGCAUUACAAACUUAUGAUUAUCUUGCUGGGUUGCUGGGUUGAUGUCCAAGCUAUGAUGUUGCUUUCGUAAUUGAAAAACAAAUUUUUUUUAAUAGAAAAUACUAAAUAUGAAAAAUUGGAUACCGUGGAGCAGGAAAAGAAGGUACAGGUUGAAUGAAGCCACCAUGUUGUGAAGUGGUUGCGUUCGGUGUCAUAUAGCCAUGUCCCGGCUGAGGUUGAUGAAUAAAGGAAUUAUGAUGCCUUGAUGGAGUUGGGGGCCAAUUUAGUUCAUUUUGGUUGAUCCAUGAUGAUGAUGUUCCAUCAAAACCUCCCAUUGUUGUCUUUUUGUUUAACAAUAAACAAUUAGAUAAAUAUUUUUGUAUAAUACAAACACUUGCCAAUUCAAUGGACAUUGUAUCACAUUGGAGUAAGCAUGAGUACUCACCAUGGUUUCAGGAAAUGAAGUUAGAAACUUAGCUGUGUCACACGUGUGCGACAUCGUGGUGAAAACAUUCACUCUCGAAUUCUAUUUUUUAUGGAAAAUGUGUGGAGACAAGGAAUUCUUGCUCAAAACUGUCAUUUUUUAUCAAAACCGAGUCCCCCGGGUCAAUACGGGUCAAACCAUAUUGACCAGGGUAAAAAAUGAGUUUCCAUGACGUUUCGGGUCAAAACCGUCAUUUUCGAUCAAAAUCGUCAUUUUGGAUCAAAACCGAGUCCAUCGGGUCAAUAUGGGUCAAACCAUGUCAACCGGGAUAAAAAAUGAGUUUUCAGGUUGUUUCGGGUCAAAACUAUUAUUUUUCGGUCAAAACCCGGUUCACCGGGUUGAUACCCCUCAAAUGUUGUUUUCUGUGUUUCAAUAUAUAUUUUUUUUUUUUGCGGUUGAAAUGGGCUUUUUCUAAUACUGAUUUAAGUUUUUCAGUUUUAUUUAUAUAAUUAUUUAUUAUUAUAUAUAAUAAAACAAAAUUAAUAAUACAAAAAUUUAUUAUAGCGUCAGUUGCUGCGGUGCAUUAUUUUCCUUCGAAAUGAAUUCAUUGUCCCCUGCUCAUUGGCUAUAAAUAGCCACGACAUCAGAGGGAAAAAAAAAGAAAAAAAAAAGAAAGAAAGAAAAGAGAGUAUUACUAUUUGAAUUGUUUUUAGUUUUUCUUCACGAUAGUAAGAUAUUGUUUUUUAUUAAAAACAAGUUGAAAAAUAUCAAAAAUAUCCUAACCAUUUGAUCUAAUAGUGUUAAUUCUGGACCUUUGAUUUAAUAGGAUACAAUAGGGUUUACCAUACUAGAUUAAAACCCAAAUCCAUCUAAGCCUUUGAAAUAAUCUGCCUAUUGAUUCUAUCGUGCCAUGUCACCCGGUGUACCGAGCUUUCAGUGCAUCGCGCCACAACAGAUCAACGCUCAGCUCAUCCAGACCGUCUGAUCAACUUGCAGAUAAAGCCAAUCACAGCUGAAGGAUCAGUUCAUCCGCGAUCCAAUGGCUCACAACCUUCAGCUGCACCGGUGUCCCAUACUCGCGUUCACACCGAGCACAAUCUCGGAGCCUCUCUCUCCUCUCGACGGUGAUUCUCUCUCUCUCAUCCGAUCUCCCAUUUCCGGUCGUGUGAAGCUUUCAAACCACCACAGAAAGGUUGCUACCUUGCUAUAAAGCAAAACCCCGGCGGUUUUCAGCGUUUUCUCCGCCUCAUCUAGCCGGAAAACGACCGCGAUUUCGUCAACCACCCGAAACUUUAAACCGACGAUUCUCCCUCGUCAGCCAUCAACAGCCGUCGAAACCACCUUCAUCAGAAUACUCUCCAUCAGAUCUACUAGAAUCAACCAUUCGUUGGUUGGAAAUCUUGCCGGAAAAUUUCGCCGCCUCCAACAGUAACCGCGCGUGAGCCACACGCGCCACCAGGGGUAUUUUCAUAAUUUUCCAAGAAAUCCAAGGGUAUUUCAGUCUUUUACCUAUACAGUGGCACUCAAGUAAUUUUUUGAAAUUCCUAACAGUUUUUAUUUUAUUUUUAUAUAUAAGUAUUUGUAAAUUCUCUUGCAUGUAAAAAAAACCAAAAAAACCAAAAAUAAAUAUAAAAGGAAUAACGACGCGGGUCCAACACCCAUCUUAUCAUGUCAUCGUUCAUGGGUCCAAAGCCCAAUUAUCAAGUAUGGUUAUACCCAUUUCUCAACGAUAUCAAAAUAUUUUUUGUUUUAUAAAUGAAUAUUGUUUGUCGGCAUGUCUCUUUUUACAGAAAAGGACUGAUGUCAAGGAUAUUUAUACCAAAUAUGGAUUAUGUCCAUUAUUUCCUUUUGAUAAUCCAGACGUAACUCUCCUUUUUAGGGUCAAAUGUCAAUAUUUUAGACAAAUCUCCUAUUUUUAGGGACUAAUGUCAUUUUUAACGUGUCUCCUAUUUUUAGGGACCGACGUUAACCAUUUAAAAAAAAAACAAAAUUGCAAAUAAGCUCAAAAUAUAAUAGCAUUUGAAUCAAAUAAAAAACACACAAGUAAGGGUAACCUUUCUUUUGAAAGGAUGUUUUAAGGGUGGUGUCUACCUUCCCUUAAUCAUAACUAACCCAGUACCUGAAUCUCUGGGACCAGUGUCUAAUUUGGGAUUUCUAGUUCCCUCAUAUUACUAGAUGGCGACUCCAAUAAAAUAUUCAUUUCCCCCAAUCAAAAAAAAAAAUCUUUUUGUUAAAUAAACAAAAAAGCGGAGCCGUCGCCCGACGUCGUGUAUCGAUAGAAUGGCGACUCCGCUGGGGACCUAGGGUUGAACCAACUACUUGUGUGUGCUUUUCAUUUGUUUUUUUAUUAUUGUUAUUUAUUUUUUGAGCAUUUAUUUUAUUUGCACUAUUUAUUUUAUGCAAUAUCAAUUGUAAAUCAUUUCAUUUUUUAAUUACACAUGCAUGCAUGUUAUUUAUUUGUGUAUUCACACACUUCAGUGAACCCAUAAAAGCUCUGGACCCGAGCUCGUCCUUUUUAAGAUUAGAAAAGAAAGAUUCAGGUGGCAAGUGUGACUUAUGUCCACUGAUGCUCAUUUGGACUUUCGCUUGGAUUGUAACUCACCCUAUACAACGGGUAUUGUGGAAUUUUCUUCCCAUACUCAUGUUGUAUAAGGUUAAGAGGCCGACUACCCCAUGGGUAAUUCGGGCAAUCUAAGAACCAAAAAAUAUCUUUAGGGAUAGACUAAAUUGAGCCAAAUCUUAUGAGCUAGAUCCUAUCAAUUAGAUAUACCUUUUAGGACACAAACAAAUGUCAAUGCAUUAACAUACAUGUUUAUAUACAUUUCAUAUUCUCAUUAAAUCUCCACCGAUCCUUAUAGGAAGUGUGAGAAAAAAAACAUUACUAUUGAGGAAUUUUUGACCAGAUCAGAAUUGAACCAACAUGAUGAAGGGGAUUGUUUGCCAUCAGAAUAUAGCAUCAUAUUUCUCCCCUAAAUCGGUUCAAGUCCCUGUAGGUUUGGAGUCCUCAGUGAGAACUUUCUUAAGAGAAUCUGAUCUGGUCUGUUCCUCGUCAUAAGUUUAAAAAAAAAAAAAAUUUGAAACCAAUAACACACAUGCAUAAACCAUAUGGCAUUUUUGCAUCCAUUUGUGCAUUUCAUUUAGUUUACUUGCAUUCACUCAGGUUGAAAUAUAGGUCCCCCAAAAGGCCGUAAAAUUCAUUACACUCGACAACGAAGGAAGAUAAUGGAGAACGAAGAAAGGGCACACCUAGAGGCUCAUUAUCAAAGAGAGUUGGAGAACAUGAAAAAUGAUAUAGCACGACUUACAAGUCUACUCGAGCAGACCCUAGUAUCCAAGUCUGGGGAAGGUACCUCUACUCAGCCGGCAGUUGCAACUCCAUCUAUAUCUAUGCCAUCAGCUCCCUUUGUAUUCCCGCCUCAAAAUUUAGGGGCAAAUCCCUCUUCAUUUGAACAACAGUUCACUGCCAAUGUUCCACCAGCACAAGUGCCAGUUACUAUAAACCUGGCAACUGAUGACCCACAAAGGAUGAAAUUCUCUGAAAAUGUCGAUUAUGAUAAAUUGACCGCUCUAGAAGAGAGAUUGAAGGCAGUAGAAGGGGCAGACUUAUAUGAUCCUGUUUAUGCUGCAGAAAUGUGUUUAGUUCCAAAUGUAGUUGUACCCAGAAAAUUUAGGGUACCAGAAUUCAUCAAGUAUACUGGAACUGAAUGCCCAGUCACUCAUCUUAAAUCUUAUUGCAAUAAGAUGGCAGAAGUAGUGAAUGAUGAGAAACUUCUCAUCCAUUUCUUUCAAGACAGUCUUUCUGGAUCGGCAUUAAGCUGGUAUACAAGGCUGGAUAACACCAAGAUCAGAAAGUGGAAAGAUUUGGUAAAAGCCUUUGUGGAGCAGUAUAAAUUCAACAUGGAGGUAGCCCCGGACAGGUCAAGCUUGUUAGUCAUGGAAAAGGGCAGCAAAGAGACUGUAAGAGAAUACGCUUUGAGAUGGCGUGAAAAAGCAUCUCAUGUACAACCCUCUUUGUUAGAAAAAGAAAUGGUCACUCUUUUUUCUAACACUUUUAAAUCUCCCUACUUUGAACACCUGGUGGGUAGUUCGCUCAGCAUUUCUAUGAUGCUGUAACUAUCGCUGAGAGAAUAGAACAAGCGAUAAGAGCGGGGAGAAUGUCAGAGCCUACUGAGAAGAAAGGCUUUAUUGGGAAAAAGAAGGAUUCUGAGGUGAACAAUGUGGAAGGAGUGUAUAAGGGUAAGAAAACAAAUUACCACCAUUAUAACUUCCAAAUGCCUACCCAACAAGUUGCAAGUGUAAACUUCACUAAACCUUUCCCUACCAACCAACAAAACCAACCACUGACCAACAAAGUAACCAGAUCGUUAAUCCUCCAAGAAGGAAUUUUCAAAGAACCCAAGAACGACUGCCACCAUUACCACUUCCUUUGGGAAAUGUACUCAAAGUUGUUGAGUAUUGGGCAAGUAGCUCCCGUUCCCUUAACCCCACUGCAACCUCCAUACCCAAAUUGGUAUAAGCCAGAUCUGAAAUGCGAGUAUCAUGCUGGCGUGGCAGGGCAUAACAUUGAAAGUUGUAAUGCAUUUAAAAACAAGCUUCUACAAUUGAUAAAAGCUGGAUGGAUAACUUUUGAUGAUUCACCGAAUGUAAAUUCCAAUCCUUUGCCCAAUCAUGCCACAAGCAGUGGAGGAGUGAAUGCUGUAGGAAUGGAGGGUAAGAAGGAAAGAGUUUUGAAGGUUUCCAUGGAAAGACUGUAUGGUAUGUUGGUACAGUCUGGUUAUUUAUCUGAGUUUGAACCAGUGAUGAAUGAAAAUAACUACUGUAAGUUUCAUGGCAAGGUGGGACAUCACAUUGAUGAUUGUGAAGAAUUUCACCAAGAAGUGAAAAGGAUGCUGACUUUCGGCAUGUUAAGGAUAGAGAGUGAAGAAGAGAGUAGUGAAGUUGGGAUGAUAGGCCGUCAGGAGACAAAAAUGGAAGUUUGUAGACUCCAACCAACUGUGGGUGGUCCACCAAAACUAAUCCUGACCAAGCCUGUAUGCACAAAUAGUGAAAGUUAUGGCUCAAUGCCUUACAAUUAUGGGUAUUCUUUCAACAUUAAGAACCCUACUCCCAUCUUUCAUCCUGAAAUCGGUGGUUUAACUCGAAGUGGUCGGUGUUUUACACCAGAAGAAUUAGAAAGGCAGAGGAAAGCCAAAGGAAAAGAGAUAGUUGAUGCUUUUAAAGGCAUGGAAGUGAACAAGCCUAUAAGUGAAGACGAGUCUAAUGAGUUUCUGAAGUUGAUGAAGCAUAGUGAGUAUAGUGUGGUGGAUCAAUUGAAGAAAACUCCUGCUAGAAUCUCUUUAAUGUCACUUAUCUUGAGUUCUGAGUUACACCGUAAAGCAUUGCAAAAGGUGUUGAAUGAAGCAUAUGUGCCACAGGAUAUUACUCAAGAUACAAUGGAACAUUUGGUGGGAAGAAUUCAAGCCUCUAAUUACUUAUACUUCACAGAAGAUGAGCUAGACUCGGAAGGGACUGGGCAUAACAAGCCUUUGUACAUCACCGUGAAAUGUAAAGACUAUUUGAUCGGCAAAGUGCUUGUGGAUAAUGGUUCAGCGUUGAAUGUGCUACCAAGGCAUAUAUAGAUGAGAUGCCAAUUGAUGCUACUUACAUGAGACCAAGCACAAUAACAGCUAGAGCAUAUGAUGGUUCUCCUAGAAGGUGAUAGGGGCCAUUGACAUUGAAUUGUUUAUAGGGCCUCAGAUGUUUUUAUAACCUUACAAGUGAUGGACAUCCAUCCUUCGUAUAGUAUGUUAUUGGAAGGCCAUGGAUACAUGCCGCUGGGGCUGUGACAUCAUCUCUACACCAAUGUUUGAAGUACAUUAUCAAUGGUACUCUAGUGAAAGUUAAGGCAGAAGAAACCUUAUCCACGAUAAGGAAUGUGUCGGUCCCUUAUAUUGAAGCAGAAGAUUGCAAAGAUGGAAAUCUCCAUGCUUUCGAGAUUGUGAACACUGAAUGGGUACCAGAGAAUACAUGGUGUUAAGAAGACCAAUUAUUUCUGAUACUGCCAGAAUGAUAGCUAAAUACCUUUUGAAAUAUGGGCUACCAUUCUAGAAUGAUCCAAUUGCUGGAAAUCUUAAGAGAGUCAACAUAAUGAAAAUUAAGGCUGCUGAUCAGAAUUUUGGGCUUGGCUUCAAGCCUAAGAAAGAGGAUUGUUGCUACCCAAUUUUUGACCCAUGUUUUGAUAAAUUUUCAAAAAAAAAAAAAUAAUAAAAAAAUAAGGGUUUACAUGUGGCGAUAACAUAGAGCAUCAGGGCUAAUAUUAAGGGAGCAAUAUGUUUAGGAGAUAAUUACUGAAUCAUAUAUAAUUACUGCAAUAUAAAAUACCAUAGAUAUAUGAUUUGAUUUGUGCUUGUUAGGGAAAAUAAUCACUGCAAUAUAAAAUACCAUAUAUAUGGGAUUUGUUGGUGCUGAUUAUAGAAGACAAUCUCUGCAAUAAGUAUUGCAAUAUUUCCUUAAAUAACACGUGUAGAGAUUUUCUGUAUAAAUGAACAUCCAGUCAUAAUAAAAGAGAGGAGGAGAAAAUUUAGAAGGGGAGCAAUUUUAAAAAACAAAAAAAAAGGGGCAAGCCACAAAAGAGAAAACCUAUUUUUUUUCCUCCUGGCCGAAGCCAAGCCGUGCCUCCACCUUUGGCCUUGCGAUUUUGUUUUUUUUUUUACACAGAGACCAACCCCUCUCCCUUGGAAACCGACCAAAACCAGAUCCCCCUUAGCUGCCACUUUCUCCCCUUGGCCAUUUCAUUUUCCCUCUUCAGCCGACCAUUAGAGCAGCAGCCCCUCUCCUUUUGCAACCAAAACCAAAUCUCCUCCCUCACUUCUUCUUCUUCUCCCAGACCCACAGACACUCGGACACAAGCCUCUUUUCCCCUGUCUCAGCCGACUUAGAGCAUCCGGCCACCACCUCCUCAUCUCUCUCUAUCAGUUGCAGCCCCUUCGCUAGACCUUAAUACCCCAGCCUGCAACCACCGUAAACACCAUUUACAAGCCUUCCCUCUCUGUCAACACAGCCCACAUAGCCCCCAGAAACGACUCUCCACUCAUCUUUUUUUUUCCCCUCAGUUCAACCCCGCUUGAUAACAUUCACUACCAGAAAAUCGCUAAAUACCAACGGACAUACCGACGGAAUUUUUUCUGUCGGUAUUUUUCGGCCGAAAUCACCGACGGACAAUAUUCGUCGGUAAUUCAGUCGGUCAUUACCGACGAACUCCGUCCGUCGGUAAUUACCGACCGAAUUACCGACCGAAAAUUCAGAAUUAAUGAAAAAAGGGCGGGCAGUGGCGCGGAGGUUUUGGCGGGUGAUGUUUCCGACGGAAUCACCGACGGAAUUAAAAACUGGGGCCCGUACGCGUGAUGGGACCUAUUCACCGUCAAAAAAUACCGACGGAAUCACCGACGGAUUUGAAAUGCCAGAUCCGUACCGGUGAUGUGACGGGUGCACCGUUAAAAAUACCGACGGAAUCACCGAGGGAUUUGAAUAGCAGGUCCGUGCGGUGACGUGUCGAUUGCCCGUUAGAAUUACCGACGGUUUGCCGACGGAUUCACCGACGGAAUCCGUCGGUAAGUCCGUCGGCAAAAGUGAAUAUAUGGCACUCUGCCGACACUCUCCUCCCCCAUUUCUCCUUCUUCUUCCUAAUCCUAACCCUCCCCAUCUGCAAAAUAACCAGCCCCCCCUCGCCCCAAAACAAAAAUUUCCUCAUCUCAGCACAACAAGUUGUUUUGUUUUGUGGUCACAGCAUCCGUGUUCUGAUUUACCGACGGAUUUUAUCAUUUUUUGUAAGUAAUUCUAUCUUUUAAAAUUUUAACAUUUAAAUGUCAAUUUUAUUGUUUUUUUAGUAUAUGUAUUAUUUUUUUUUAGUAGAUGUACAUGUUUUAUUGUUAUUUCUCAAACAAACUUGUAGUAUAUGAAUGUAUAAUUUUAUACUUGUUAUGGUUUGUUUUAGAUUUUGUAAGAUUGUAUUUGUUUGAAAAUUGUUAAAACUUAAUUUGUAGAAUUACCGAAUUACAUGUUAUGUUUUGAAAUAAUUAAGAGCUUGCUUAAUUAAUGGGUCCUUUUUAUAGAGGUUCGAUAGAAGUCAUGGAUGAUCGUUCAUGGAUGUAUCUAGAUUCACCCCAAGGAUUGCGGAGGAUGGAUUAUUGUAACGGGGUUCAGGGUUUUAUUAAUUUCGCAACAUCUAUUCCCAGAAAUUUUACUGGAGGCGGUAUUAGGUGUCCAUGCAGGAAGUGUCAAAAUAAAAAGUAUCUGCAUCCAGAUGUUGUAAUGAUGCAUCUUCUACACAAAGGGUUUGUGGAGGAUUACGAGUGUUGGUAUGCACAUGGAGAGGUAUUUGUUAGUAAUAGGAGAAUGGGAGAAACGGUGGUUGGGUCAACUUCUAGUGCUAGCAACGUGCAUGAAGCGGCAAAUGACAACACUAAUCCUUACAGAAACAUGGUUAUGGAUGCAAUGAGAAUGAAUCAAGAUAAUGUCAAUCAAUGUCCAAUCGUAGAAGAAGAACCUAAUGCAGAGGCAGCUAGGUUUUUUGAUUUGUUGAAAGAUUCUGACGAACCAUUAUGGGAUGGCUGCACAAACCACAGUAAAUUAUCGGCUGUGGCACAGGUGUUCACCAUCAAGUCAGAUCACGGGUUGAGUGAGGCCGGGUAUGACAAAAUUAUUGAUUGGGCAAGAAGCAUUUUACCAGAAGGGAACAGGCUCAAAGAGAACUUCUAUGCUGCGAAGUCCAUGAUGAAACCCCUCGGUUUAGGAUACCAGAAAAUUGACAUGUGCCCUAACUUCUGCAUGUUAUACUACCUUGAAAAUGCUGUGAUGACCGAGUGCAUGACAUGCGGGCAUUCCCGUUACAAACCCAGAACUGGCAGGGGGAAGACUCUAGUGGCAUAUAAAAAACUUAGAUAUUUCCCGAUCACACCUAGACUGCAGAGGUUAUUUAUGUCACCAAGGACUGCUGAGCACAUGACAUGGCACCAAACACACGAUGUCGUUGAUGGUGUGAUGGUGCAUCCUUCUGACGGCGAAGCGUGGAAACGCUUUAACAGUGUUCAUCCUGACUUUUCUGCUGAAUCAAGGAAUGUUCGACUUGGGUUGUGUACAGACGGGUUCAACCCAUUUGGGUCAUUUGCUGCUCCCUAUUCUUGUUGGCCGGUCAUUCUCACAGUUUAUAACUUGCCACCGGGAAUGUGUAUGAGGCCGGAGUUCAUGUUUCUAUCUACUGUCAUACCCGGUCCAAGCAGCCCGGGGCGGAAUAUAGAUGUUUGUCUUCGACCGUUGAUAGAUGAGCUGGCGCAGUUGUGGUCCUCCGGAUCUCUGACUUAUGAUAUAUCGAGGAAACAAAAUUUCCUUAUGAGGGCGGCUUUGAUGUGGACUAUCAGUGAUUUUCCAGCUUAUGGAAUGCUUUCUGGUUGGAGCACGCAUGGGAAACUCGCAUGUCCAUACUGCAUGGAAAACAACAAGGCAUUCACGCUAGCAAACGGAGGUAAAGCUUCUUUUUUUACUGUCACCGUCGCUUCUUGCCACUUAAUCACAGGUUCAGAAAGAACAGAAAAGAUUUCUUUGUUGGUAGAGUUGAAAAAGAUGUUGCAUCCCCGCGUCUUUCUGGUGAAGAAUUGCAUCAUGUUGUAUCAGAGUACGGUGACAUUGUGUUUGGCCUUCAAUCAGGUAAGCAAAAGUUUCCUGGUUUUGGUUUGACCCAUAAUUGGGUAAAGCGAAGUAUCUUUUGGGAGCUUCCGUAUUGGAAGACUAAUCUUCUCCGCCAUAACCUUGACGUCAUGCACAUCGAAAAGAACGUGUUUGAGAAUAUUUUCAACACCGUCAUGGAUGUGAAGGGGAAGACAAAGGACAACAUGAAGGCUAGAUUGGAUAUAGCUUUAUACUGUAACCGUAAAAAUAUGGAGUUGGUUUAUGACGAGUCACGGGUUGCAAAACCAAGGGCAAGCUUCGUGUUAGAGAAAAACGCACAACUGCUAGUCUACAAAUGGCUUAAGAGUCUGCGUUUCCCGGAUGGACAUGCAUCGAACAUAUCAAGGCUUGUUAACAUAGAGGACUGCAGAUUGUAUGGAAUGAAGAGCCAUGACUGCCACGUGUUUAUGCAAACACUCAUCCCAUUAGCUUUUCGUGAUUUGUUGCCAAAGGGAAUAUGGGAUGCACUAACGGAGAUCAGUCAUUUCUUCAGAGAUAUAUGCUCCAGCAAGAUGAAUGUUGAGCACAUUGAGAUGCUUCAAACGAAUAUCAUCGAGACACUAUGCAAACUUGAGAUGAUAUUCCCUCCUUCAUUUUUUGACUCAAUGGAGCAUCUCCCUAUACAUCUACCGUUCGAGGCAAAAGCUGGAGGACCGGUCCAGUAUAGAUGGAUGUACCCAUUCGAACGGUGAGAUAUUACAGUUGCAAUGGAAUUCAUAUCUUAAAGUAUUUUCUAUGUUUUUCUUAUUUGAAAAUACUUGAAUUGUACUUCAAUGCAGGUACUUGUUUAAUCUAAAAAAAAAGGUUAAGAACAAGGCGCAUGUUGAGGCUUCGAUAUCUGAGGCCUAUAUUGUUGAAGAGAUAUCAACAUUUAUCUCGUACUAUUUCGAACCUCAUCUGAGAACAAGAAUCAAUCGCGUUCCACGGCAUGACGAUGGCGGUGAAGUGCCUUCCAGUGGGAACUUGUCAAUAUUCUCCAAUACUGGACGACCCACACCUAAAAAUGCCGUAAGAGGAAGAUAUUUGUCGGAAAUAGAAUUCAAACAAGCACACAACUAUGUUCUAUUUAACUGUGAUGAGCUGAGACCAUUUAUUCAGUAAGUCUAUAUAUGUGUAAUAGUAAUUAAACUUUGUCAGUAAUAUACUGUUAAUUAUAUAUUGUAAUAUCAUACACUCAUUAUCACUUGCAGGCAACAUCGACAAUAUUUGCUCUCCAAUAACUCGCAGCUGACCGAAUCCCAGAUCUUUCAAUUACAAGAUGAACAAUUUGCCACAUGGUUCAGAACACAUGUAAGCACUAUCACAAACUCAUUCUAACGUAUGCAUGUCAUUACGAGAUUCUCGUUCAUUUACCGUGUAUUGAUGUACAUUUAAUUACAUAUAUUUACAAGGUUUAUCAAAUGGGAAGGAGUGCGCCCAAGUCAUUGUCUUCACUAAGCCUCGGCCCUGAAAGAAAAGUUAAGUGCUACAACGGGUAUUUUGUCAAUGGAUAUGUUUUCCAUACUGAAGAAUACGGGCAAGGAAGAAAGACAUACAACUGCGGUGUUUGUGUUAAGGGAUCCACAAGUAGCCAGUUAGAAGUUGACUACUAUGGUAGAUUAGAAGAGGUCGUCGAACUGCAAUAUCAUAGCGAGCAGAAUAAAGUGUUUUUAUUCAAAUGCUAUUGGUAUGACACGACGGACAGAGGAAUCAGAGUUGAUCCGCACCAUGGUCUGGUCGAAAUCAACUCAAAAGCUAGACUCCGCAACAUAAACGAUGUCUUUGUUUUCGCAAAGCAAUGUCAACAAGUUUAUUACACAUACACCCCUUCAUUUAGAAAGGAUCGUUCAAGAGUUGAUUGGUUGUCCGUUUUAAAAACGAAACCACGGGGUCGUGUCGAGGUUGUUCAGGAUGAGAACGAAGACACAAGUGUGCGAGAUGAAGUCUUUCAAGUUCGUGAGUUGGUUGAACCAUAUCGAGUUGCUCCUUCGAUUGAAUUGGAAGAAAAUUCAAAUUUUCGAGUUCUCGAUGAUAGUCUUGUUGAUAUUGACGGAGAGGAGUUGAAUGUUGUUCUCAGCUCUAGCGGACAAGCAAAUGUCGAUGAAGAAGAUGAUAUCCAUAUUGAAGAUUGCGAUGAAGAUGAUGACAAUUCAAUUGAGGAAGAAGAAGAAAAUUCCGACUAAUUAUGAAAAUGAAGCCCUAUGUAAAAACAUUUGUCUCAUGUAAUUUAGAUUAUUGAUGAUGUAUUUUGUAAAACAAAAUAUUUUGUUUAAGCAAUGUGGUUUUGUUUUAUGUGAUGGACAGUUUAUCAGUUAAGUUUUGCAGGAAGGUAAACAGGCAAUACAAAGACAACCUUUCCUGCAUAAUGCAAUACCGACGUCCAUGCCGACGGACUCACCGUCCGUCGGUAUCUCACAGAGAGUUCGAAAAUAUUUACAACAAAAUGCCACAAUGACCGACGGCCAUGCCGACGGAAUAACAUCCGUCGGCAUCUCACAGUAAGCUCGAAAACAUAAAACCACCAUCGACGGUAUUACCGACGGCGUAGCUCCGUCGGUAAUUUGUCGGUUACCCAUUUUACCGACAGAAUUACCGACGGACCGCGCGUUUCCCAAAGUGCGUUAAUUAAUGCGCCCCUGAACUUGUCAGAUUACCGACGGAAUCACCGACGGACUUCGAAAAUUUUGGAGGGCUUUUAAAAAUUCGGGGCGAAAUUCGAAAAAUACCGACGGAAUUUUGACCUUUUACCGACGGAUUUGUAACCUGUUACCGACGGAUGUUAAUUCCGUCGGGGAGUCCGUCUGUAAAAUUGACCUAUAAGUUCCACCCCCGCCACUUCGCCUCAUUUUUUCUUCUUCUCCCCGCCGCUUCUUCUCUUCUCCUGCGUUUUUCAGCCUAGAUUUUUCAUUUUUUCCCCCUCAAUCCUUAAACACUUUCACCUUUAAUCUCUAGCAAGAUUUGGUGUUGUAAAUCUUCAUUAUAUUAAAAGGUAUGUGUUUUUUUUCUAAUUUAUUUUAUUUUAUUUUUAGUUGUUUUUAUUUUUGUUGUGUUGGUGUUUUUUGUUGCAAUGUAGAUAAAGUUUUGAAUUUGACACAUUAUUAAGGUAUGUAUAUUUCGUUCCUUUUUUUUUUGAAUAUUUUUUGAAUUUGUUGAAUAUUUGUUAAUUUAAUUGUUGAAUAAUUGAAUUUAAUUGUUGAAUUUCUUGAAUAUUUUUUGUUGUUGUGUUGUUAGAAUUUUUAUUAGGUAAUUUAACUUAGAAUUAGUUAAAGUUGAAUUUUUUGAAUAUUUUUUGAAUUUUUUGAAUUUGUUGAAUAUUUGUUAAUUUAAUUGUUGAAUAAUUGAAUUUAAUUGUUGGAUUUAUUGAAUAUUUUUUGUUGUUGUGUUGUUAGAAUUGUUAUUAGUUAAUUUAACUUAGAAUUAGUUAAAGUUGAAUUUUUUGAAUAUUUUUUGAAUUUGUUGAAUAUUUGUUAAUUUAAUUGUUGAAUAAUUGAAUUUAAUUGUUGGAUUUAAUUGAAUAUUUUUUGUUGUUGUGUUGUUAGAAAUGUUAUUAGGUAAUUUAACUUAGAAUUAGUUAAAGUUGAAUUUUUUGAAUAUUUUUUGAAUUUGUUGAAUAUUUGUUAAUUUAAUUGUUGAAUAAUUGAAUUUAAUUGUUGGAUUUAUUGAAUAUUUUUUGUUGUUGUGUUGUUAGAAUUGUUAUUAGGUAAUUUAACUUAGAAUUAGUUAAAGUUGAAUUUUUUGAAUAUUUUUUGAAUUUGUUGAAUAUUUGUUAAUUUAAUUGUUGAUAAUGAAUUUAAUUGUUGGAUUUAUUGAAUAUUUUUUGUUGUUGUGUUGUUAGAAUUGUUAUUAGGUAAUUUAACUUAGAAUUAGUUAAAGUUGAAUUUUUUGAAUAUUUUUUGAAUUUGUUGAAUUUGUUAAUUUAAUUGUUGAAUAAUUGAAUUUAAUUGUUGGAUUUAUUGAAUAUUUUUUUUGUUUGUGUUGUUAGAAUUGUUAUUAGUUAAUUUAACUUAGAAUUAGUUAAAGUUGAAUUUUUGAAUUUUUUGAAUUUUUUGAAUUUGUUGAAUUGUAAUUGUUAAUUUGUUGAAGUAUAAUUUGUUGAAUUUAUUGAAUUUAUUUUUUGUUAUAUUUUUUAUUGUUUUGAAUAUAAUUAUUGAUUAAUUUGUGAAUUGUAAUUGUUAACGUUGAAUUUAUCUUAGGAUUAAUAGUUGAAUAUGUUGGAAUAAUUAGUAUAGAUUGGUUCGAUUGGUUGUGGCUAUUGUUAAUAUUUGCAGGUUUGUGGAUUUGGGUAGUAUCUUUUUUAACUUUUGAAUUUUAUUUUACAAUUAUUAAUAUAAAAUUGUUUAGAUGCGCAAAAUGAAAACCAGAGCUGGUCGUCAAGUCGAAUCAAGUUCGUCUAGCAGCGAUGAUGAUGUUUCCUUAGGUGCCUCUCAAAAAGAGGCACCUACACCACCUGCGCCGUCAACCGAUGCUGCCUCUUCCAGCAAUGUUUCACAUCGCAGACGCGGCAUGCCUUCGUAGCGGAAUCAAUUUACCCGCCAGUUCGAGGCACAGUGGAAGGACGAUCUUUCAAUGUAAGUUUGUUAAUGUUUUAGUUUUUUUUAUAUAAAAAAAACAAAUUUAAAACAUAAUUUAUGAAGUAAUCACAAAUUAAUUUCAUUUCUUUUCAGGUUCACAAACAUUGAGGCCGCCCGAUUAAUAUCAUCGGCGUUUAAAGCGUCGAUGGAGAUUCCAUUGUUUCAAUGGAGUCAGAUAUCCAGACAUCCUGAAUGGAUGCCUCAAAUCAAUGCAUGGUUUCGUAGAUUUGAGGUUCGUGUUAAUAUAUAAUUUUCAGCUUAUUUGUAAUUAUAAAUUCAUGUUAUAAUUGUAAAUAAAUUAUUAACAUUUUAAAAAAUUAUUUUUUUAUAUACAGCAUCGAUUCUGCUGGGACGAUGAACAUGACAGUGUUGUGAGGAGGGUGUGGGAAAAUCACGCGGCAAUUAGGUAACAUCGAAAACAAUACGACUUUUUUUUACAUAAUUAUUUAUGUUUUGAAAUGUAAUUUUUUCGUGCGUGAAUUAGGUUGCGUGAUUUUUGGUAUGACGCCCAGAAAAAAGCAAAAAAAACAGCGAGGGAUAAGGGGUUACAAGGCUGGAACGAUGUUGCGGUUUGGAGGGAUUUCAAACCAAUAUACAUCCCGGAAGAUAUAUGGCCGCACUAUCUUCAGCACGUGACGUCUGAGCGGUUCACUCGACGCUCACAGUCCGGUGCCGGCAACCGGAAUCGGCAAAUUCAUGGCUCGGUUACAACGCACACCGGCGGCUCCGUUCCGUUUGCUGCACAUGCAAAACGGAUGGUAAGAUUAAUUUAAAUGAAAUAUAUCGUUCAAUUAAUUUGUUGUUAAUACAUUUUUUUCAUUAUAUAUAGGCUACGUCUCUUGGACGUGAGCCGAGCCCUAUGGAGCUGUUUGUGGAGACGCACGUGCGGAGUCAUGACCGCCAAAAGGGGACGCAACAGUUCGUUGACAACCGUGCUCAAUAGUUUGUGGUGUGUUUGUUUAACCAUUUUAUUUUGUAAGUUAUUAUUAUGUUUAUUGAAUUGAAUAUGUUUUUUUUUUUUUCAGGAGACCUAUAAUAAUCGGUUGAGGGAGAGAUACGGGGAUGAUCCUUCGACCCAUCCGGAAUUCGAUCCGGAUUUGUGGAUGGAGGCUGGAUCGUCAGGUGGACCCGAUAAAAAUCGGGUUUACGGGCUCUCCAACACUACCGCUGCCAAGUUGCGGUCGACCGGUACUGCUUCAACCGGUGGGAGCUCCCAAUCUGUAUCGAGCUCCCAAUCUAAGGAGUUUGUGGCCUUGCAGCAAAGGUGCGACCACCUAUCAGAGGCGUACACACAACUCAAAGAAGAGCAAAGAUUGGAACGAACAACGCAGAGCAGAGUCUGAACAACAAAGAGCGGCCUAUGAAGAGCUUCGUCAAAUGGUCAUGAACAUGACACAAGCGGAACAUGUGCGCCUAAUCCUUUUUGGCCGCCUAACCCCCACCCUCCUCCUCCUCCUCCUCCUCCUCCUCCUCCACCUUUAUAUUAAUUGUUUUUUUUUUAAACACAUUCAUUUUGUAAUGAAUAUUAUUUAACUUUGAGUUUUUGUUGCUUAAUAUAAUUUUAUUUGCAUAAUUGGUUUGUAUUACUAUUAAUUUAUAUUAUUUUUUCUAAUAAUUAAAAAAAAAAAUUACACAGGGAUUUACCGACGGAAUAAAUCCGUCGGCAUUGGACAGUGUCUGAGGUAUGCCAUCCCAUCACCGACAUACUCACCGACGGAAAUAAUCCGUCGGUAUAAAAAUACCGACGAAUUUACAGACGGAUUUAUUCGGUCGGUAUGAAAUAUCACCGACACUUUUGCCGACGGAGUUAGUCCGUCGGUAUUUACAUAACACCGACGGAAUGUAUUCCGUCGGUUAUUCCAAGCGGGAAACUUUUUUUUUGGCGCGCACAGGCCGUCGGUAAAACCGUCGGUAAAUGUGUUUUUUUUUAUUACCGAUGGAUAUAGCGACGGAAUGUGGAAUCACCGACAAAAGGUAUUCCGACAGGAGUAUUCCGUCGGUAAUAUAGUCGGUAAAUAAUUUACCGACGAACGUUCUGUCAAACACCGACGGAAAAUUUCCGUCGGUAAAACUGUGAAAUCUUGUAGUGGAAUCUCUGAAAUACCAGUUAGGUUUCUUAGUGACCAAAAUACUAGGUGGUGACUCCAAAGAACCAAAUCAAGCAAAAACGCAUAACGAGAAAAAUCGCCAUCGGAAGCCGCGCGGGUGACGUGCUUGUUUGAUCAAAAUUUAAUCAACAAUGCUUGUUUGAUCAUGAUAUUGUGUUGUUUUCCUUUUUCAACUUUUUAAAUCGAGGUUCCAAAUGUCAAUGGGAUUUUAUCUUUUUUUUUUUAGCCAAACUUUUCCCUUUAAUGAGAUCAUGCCUUUUCAAAAGUUCAUCUUGGUGGUUUUACACAUCACUUUCUUUUUCAAAGCGAAUCUUCCAUAACUACACCUGCACUUUACACUGAGAAUGAAUGGCCGGACUUUAAAGAAUCCAUAUUAGUUAUAGAGGAGGAGGAAUGAUAGGAAAAUAACAUUAGGGGAUUCACAAAAAUUAAUAACAUGAACAAGCUUGAAAACCUGCUAGAGAGGAGCUUGAAACCAUAGAUGUGGGUGAUGAAGAAAUCAAGAGAGAGUUGAAGAUACGGACUUUGAUCACCCUUAAAAAAAGAGAAGAGUUAUGUAGAUGUUUUUGCUUGGUCCUAUAAGGAUAUGCCUGGUUUGUAUAGGGUACCACUAGUAGAAGGAUGGAAGUUGGUUAAGCAAAGGUUGAGAAGGACUAAUCCGAAUAAAGGCAGAAAUUGAAAAACAGUGGAACGCCGAUUUUCUAGAAGUAGUCAAGUAUCUGCGAGUGUGUCCAACAUAGUGGUAGUAUCUAAAAAGGAAGAUAAAAUCAGAGUUUUUAUGGACUUUAGAGAUUUAAAUCGGACUAGCCCUAAAGACAAUUUUGUCUACCACACAUAGAUAUGUUUGACAAUGUAGCACGUAGCUCCACAUAUUCCUUUAUGGAUGGAUUUUUGGGCUACAAUCAGAUAAAAAUGACUUGAGGAUAAUGAGAAGAAACCUUUGUAACACCAUGAGGAACCUUUUACUAUAAAGUCAUGCCAUUUGGGUUAAAGAACAUUGGGGCCACCUACCAAAGGGCCAUGGUAACUUUAUUACACAACAUGAUGCAAAAAGAGGGUUAAAGUAAACGUGGAUGACAUGAUCUAGAGAGGGAGAGAAUCAUGUCCAAAUAUUGAAGGAAUUAUUUGAAAAAACUAAGGAGGUACAAAGUUGAGGCUUAACCAUGCAAGGUGUUUAUUCGGGGUGAAAUCUAGGAAGUUGGGAUUUAUGAUGAGUGACAAAUGGAUAGAAGUGGACCUUGAUUAAGUAAAGGCUAUUCAAUCUAUGCCAACUCCCAAUACUAAGAAGGAUGUAAGGAGGUUAUUGGGAAGGUUGAAUUACAUUGCUCGGUUUAUAUCCCAAUUAACCAUGACUUAUGACAUCAUCUUCAAUUGUUAAGGAAGAAGAAUCUUGGAAUUUGGAAUAAGAGUGUGAAGAAGCUUUCGCAAAAAUCAAGCAAUACCUACCGAAUCCACCCCUAUCUAUCAAGCUAAAUUGCAAAAUGGCAAGUUCUACUAGCUGAGUACGACAUAGUAUAAAUGACAAGGAAAGCCAUGAAUGUCAUCACCAAUCACCUAGCUGACCAUGCUGUGGAAGAUUUUGAGCCGUUAAAAUUUGAUUUUUCUGAUAAAGAUGUGCUUUCAGUUGAGGAAGGGAAAUCAGAUUGGUGGAUUAUGUACUUUGAUGGUGUUGUGGUAACGAAGUGGGGGCAGUGCUAAUCUCUCUUGAUAAGAAACAUUAUCCGGUUUCAGUUAAGUCGCAGUUUGGGUGCAAUAAUAACAUAGGAGUAUGAAGCUUGCAUUCUCAUUUUAGAGGUGGCAUUGGAGCAGAAUAUUAGAAAGAUAGAUAUGUAUGGAGACUCGAUUUUGAUUAUUACUAAGAGAAAGGAAAAUGGCAAACCAAGGAUGAGAAGUUAAGACCUUACUAAGAAUACAUGUCUAAAUUGGCUAGAGAAUUUAAGGAAAUAAAGUUCACCCAUCUAGAAAAGGAAAGAAACCAUUCUAACGCUUUGGUCACGCCAGCUUCUAUGGCUAGAAUAGACUUUGGGCACAAGGUACAACCGGUACACAUUGAUAUAAGAAAUAACUUAGCUCAUUGUUGCUCCGUUGAAAGAGAAAUAGAUGGAAACCCUUGGUACUAUGAUAUCAAGAAUUUCAUCCAAAACCAGACAUAUCCCAUGGGGGCAUCCAAAAUCAACAAGAAGACUUUGAGGAGAUUGACAAUGGAUUUUUAUCUUGGUGGGGAAACUUUGUAUAAGAAAUCAUAUGACGGAACUUUGUUGAGAUAUUUGGAUGACGUAGAGGCAAAAGGUGUUAAAGAAAUUUAUGGAAAGAGAUUUGAUAUGUCGAUAUGGUCCACUAGAAAAUAUUAUAACUAAUAAUGCGCAUAACUUCAAUAGCAAGAUGAUAAUAGAACUCUGCGCUAAAUGAAAAAUUAAGCAUUCCAAUUCCUCGCCAUAUAGGCCAAAGAUGAAUGGUCCAAAAAUGUCAAGAAGAUCAUUUAGAAGAUGGUAGUCACUUACAAGGAUUGGCAUGAGAUGUUGCCAUUUGCCCUUCACGCAUACCGCACCAUAAUCUGAACUUCAACAGGAGCCACCUCGUACACUUUGGUAUAUGGAAUGGAGGCGGUGAUGCCUUUAGAAGUGAAAACCCCCUUAUUAAAAAUAUUGGUAGACUUUGAGUUUAAAAGAGUUGGACUGGGUAAAAGUUAGAUAUGAAUAGUUGAAUCUGAUCAGUGAAAAGAGGAUAGCUGCAAUUUGUCAUCAUCACGGAUGGCCAAAUCAUAUGAUAAGAAGCUUCGACCUCGAGGAUUCCAUAAAGGAGAUCUUGUACUGAAGAAAAUAUAGCCUUUAUCAGGAGAAGAUCAGAGUAAAUGGGAAGCAAACAAUAAGGGCCCUUACAUGGUGAUUAGUACUUAAAAGUGCAUAUUUAUCAAGGUUUUGUAUCAUCAUUUUGCACUUAAAGUAUCAAUAACUCCUUAAUUAAAGCAUGUUUUAUAAUAACAAGUCUAAUACUAUAAAAUGCCCUAAUAUAUGGUAAAUGUUCAUCUUAAAUGCAGGCUUAUCACAUAAAUCAAAGGAUUGAUUGAUGAAUUCAACUACUGAAAUUUUGAAGAUAAAGAAGAGUGAAGCUUAGAAAAGAGAUAUUGGUGUAGUCCAAACUGGAACACUAUUCGGUAUUUGGGUCAUAUCUCGAGUUCUAGAUGUAAAAAUGAUCUCAAAUUUUUACAAAACCUUGGUGAGACAUAGGCCUACAACUUUCAUGUGAACAUAAAAAUCUAACAAGGCCGUUUUCAAGUCCAAAUCAAAGCAACAACGGAGAAGUCCGAAUCUGUCCUGUAGCCCGUACACUGUUCAGUGUUUGGCCCAUAUCUGGAGUUCUAGAAGUCCAAAUUACCUCUACUUUUUUUUCCUGGAAAGCUGUGUCAAUUUUCUACAACUUUCAUGUUUUCCAGUGGACCCAGUUCGGAUGGUAGCAUUUUUGUUUUAUUUAGAAAAGAAGAUAAGGAUUUUCACCAAGUCAAAAGUUGGCACCCACUCAACAAUUAGUCAUCAAAUCAAUAAUUCCGAAUUUUGGCCUAUAAAAGGAGGCAUUUGCCAUGUAUUUGGUGGCUUGGUUGUUCAGAUCAAGCUCAUGCUCUUUAUUUCUCUCUUUAUAUUUUUUUUUGUAAUUCUUAAGUUUUGUUUUCAUUAAUUUCUUGUUUAUGCUUUUCAUUUCCUUUCCUUUCCUUUCCUUAGUUAACUUGUAUCUUAUUUAUGUUCUUGUUUUGUUUAUUUAUGUUUCUCUUCUUCAUUAUGUUUAGCUAAGUUUAUUAUGUCAAGGUGAAAAGGUUACACUAAUGGUGUAAGAACAAGUAUGGUGUAAACUCAAUAUGGAUCUUAAUGUUUAAUAUUAACAUGUCUUAUCUUUUUAUCUUACUAAUUCUUAAUACCUUGCUUGUUAAAUGGUUAAUCUAGAUUUGUGUUGUAUAACAUUUGAUACAUCAAAUGCUUGGCACUCUCAUAGCCCAACAGUAUGGUAUUACCUACACCUGGGCUAUGAAAAUAACUUGAUUUGUUGUUAACAUCAGUUAAUAUCAUGAAUUCCUGACAAUAUUUAAAAGUUUGGUGUUAUGUAAUUAAGAUAAUUAAUAUGAUCAUGUUAAUAAUUUAUAAUGAGCUAUUAAUGAGAAAUCAUUCGAUUGGAACCUCCUUUGUGUGUGGUUUCCAGUUGAAUCAUAAGAGUUUAUACUAUACUUGUUUGAAAUACCAUUGGUGGAUUCUCUAACCUUGACAUUUGUUUUUAUCAUUGUUAAUCCUUACAUUAAUCUUUCAUCUCAAAGUUCUCAUUAAUUUCUUCAUCAUCUUCUUCUUCUUCUUUUAUUAUUAUUAUUAUUAUUAUUAUUACUACUACUACUACUACUACUAUUAUUAUUAUUUACAUUCUGUUUAUAUUAUAUAAUAUAUCUCUUUGAUCUUUUCAUAAACUUAGUAUAUAGGCUGGAAACCUGUGACCCGAUCUUUUAGAUCAUUCUCAGGUAUAACAACGCCACGUACUGAGUAUUAUUAUUAUUGUCAUUAUUAUUAUUAUUAUUAUUACUAUUACUAUUAUUAUUACUAUUACUAUUAUUGUUAUUAUUAUUGUUAUUAUUGUUAUUAUUGUUAUUAUUGUUGUUAUUAUUAUUGUUGUUGUUGUUGUUAUUGUUGUCUUGUUAUUUAUAAUUUAUACAAUUAACCUCUCUGUGGUUCGACCCCGGUCUUGCCGGGUUAUUUAUUACUUCGACACUCCUGCACUUAAGAGAAGACAUCAAUCUUUUGGUCGUGUCAAGUUUUUGGCGGCCAACUUUUGACUUGGUGAAAAUCCUUAUUUUCUUGUCUGAAUAAAACAAAAAUGCUACCAUCCGAACUGGGUCCUCUGGAAAACAUGAAAGUUGUAGGAAAUUGACUCAGAUUUCCAGGAAAAAAAAAAAACAUGGAGGUGAUUUGGACUUCUAGAACUCCAGAUAUGGGCCAAACACUGAACAGUGUUCAGGCUGCAGGACAGAUUCAGACUUCUCCGUUCUUGCUAUGAUUUGGACUUGAAAACGGCCUUGUUAGAUUUUUAUGUUCACAUGAAAGUUGUAGGCCUAUGUCUCACCAAAUUUGUGUAAACAUUUGAGGUCAUUUGGACAUCUAGAACUCGAGAUAUGACCCAAAUACCGAAUAGUGUUCCAGUUUGAACUGCACUAACAUCUCUUUUCUAAGUUUCACCCUCUCUUUAUCUUCACAAAUUUCAGUAGUUGAAUUCAUCAAUAAAUCCUUUGAUUUAUGUGAUAGGCCUGCAUUUAAGAUGAACAUUUACUAUAUAUUAGGGCAUUUUAUAGUAUUAGACUUGUUAUUAUAAAACAUGCUUUAGUUAAAGAGUUAUUGAUACUUUAAGUGCAAAAUGAUGAUAUAAAACCUUGAUAAAUAUGCACUUUUAAGUACUAAUCACCUAACCACACACAGAGUUUAGCUUUGGUUAAAGGGAAUCGCCAAAUGGGAUUUCAGGUUAACUAAGUUACACACCGACUUUGCUUUAGAUUAAAAGAGAUUGCCAGAUGAAAUCUCAGGUUAACCCAAUCAAAAGGGUAGGUUGCCCGUGAAAAUAGACCAGCGUGCGUAUGUGGGCAGGUCGCCAUUGAAAAUAGACUAGUUUUGAGUGUGUAUGAACAAGUCAUCUAUGAAAAUAGGCAAAAUUUUCUUUAAAAAGUGAAGUCCUUAAAUGAGUGGAUCACUCAGCAAUCAAAGAAGACUUUUUUUUUCCCUUUCUUCUUUACAAGCUUACUAUGCAAAACAUUAAGGAGUUUUGCUUCGUAAGCAUUGUAAAGAGGGGGCAUCUGUUGCUAUCCAAUUUUUGACCUAUGUUUUGAUAAAUUUUCAAAAAUAAAAAAAAUAAGGGUUUACAUGUGGCGAUAACAUAGAGCAUCAGGGCUAAUAUUAAGGGAGCAAUAUGUCAAGGAGAUAAUUACUGAAUCAUAUAUAAUUACUGCAAUAUAAAAUACCAUAGAUAUAUGAUUUGAUUCGUGCUUGUUAUGGAAAAUAAUUGGGAGAUUGAAGAAGCCCAGUUGUUUUCAAGAAGUAAUGAAUAAGCGUCUGCUUAUAUUUGCUUUUAUGUGCUUUGUGUGCUUUGCUUUGUGUUUUUGUACCUAGUUGAAAAUCUUGGCUCAAGAUGUCAACAUAAGGUCUUUUCAUAAUUAUUGAGUCAGCUUUUAAAAUAAUAUUGAGAUCCUGUAUUUUCUUCAACAAUUGUUAUCUUCUUUUGUUUUGUUUGGCUAUAAGAUACGCAUUUACACUAAAAACACCUUCUGCUUUCAGGAAUUCUGAAAGUGAAUCCUCCAUAAAUCCACAAACAUAUUGCAUUGAAAAUGAAUGGCCAAACUUUGAUAAAGAUGAGAUUGCAAUGGACGAAGAGGAAUGGAAUGAAGAUUAUAUGAAAGAGUUUCCUAGAUAGGUAGAACAGUCUGAGCAUGCUUGGAAACCUACAAAAGAAGAAUUAGAGGUGAUAAAUGUAGGCACCGAGCAAGAUAAAAGAGAGCUAAAGAUUGGAACUCUGAUUACUACAGAAGAAAGAUGCAGUUUAACCUCAUUACUACAAGAGUAUAUGGAUGUGUUUGCCUGGUCUUAUGCAGAUAUGCCUGGUUUAGACAUUGAUAUUGUAGUACACAGAGUGCCUUUGAUAGAAGGAUGUAAACCUGUCAAGCAGAAAUUGAGAAGAAUUCGCCCGGAUAUUCUACUCAAGGUCAAGGCAGAGAUAAAGAAGCAGUGGGAUGCUGGUUUUCUAGAAGUCAUUAAAUACCCUCAAUGGGUAUCGAACAUAGUGGUUGUACCAAAGAAGGACGACAAAAUCAGAGUAUGUGUAGACUUCAGGGAUCUAAACAAAGCUAGUCCAAAGGAUAAUUUUCCUUUGCCUCACAUAGAUGUCUUGGUAGACAAUGCUGCUAGAAGCUCAACUUAUUCCUUCAUGGAUGGAUUCUCCGGGUAUAACCAGAUUAAAAUGGCUGAAGAAGAUAAAGAGAAGACCACUUUUGUCACACCAUGGGGAACAUUUUGCUACAAAGUGAUGCCAUUCGGGUUAAAGAAUGCUGGAGCCACAUAUCAAAGGGCAAUGGUGACACUUUUUCAUGAUAUGAUACACAAAGAGAUUGAAGUGUAUGUGGAUGACAUGAUUGCCAAGUCUACGAAUGAAGAAGAUCACGUUCAGAUUCUAAGAAAAGUAUUUGAUAGACUAAGGAAGUAUCAUUGAAAUUGAAUCCUGCAAAUGCUCAUUUGGGGUGAAGUCUGGAAAGUUGCUAGGGUUUGUAAUAAGCAAUAAAGGAAUAGAGGUCGAUCCUGAUAAAGUGAAAGCAAUUCAAGCAAUGACAGCUCCUAAAACCGAAAAAGAAGUAUAUUGCACGAUUCAUAUCUCAGUUAACAGCAACAUGUGAGCCAAUUUUUCGAUUGCUUCGAAAAAAGAAUCUUGGUACUUGGGACAAAGAUUGUCAAUAAGUUUUUGAUAAAAUAAAGCAAUACUUACAGAAUACACCUUUAUUAGUGCCACCUGUGCCUGGAAGACCUUUGAUCUUGUAUUUGACAGUAACUGAGGAAGCAAUGGGUUGUGUGUUGGGACAACAUGAUGAGUCUGGAAGAAAGGAGCAAGCUAUCUAUUAUCUGAGUAAGAAGUUUACCGAUUGUGAAUCCAGAUAUACUAUGAUUGAGAAGCUAUGUUGUGCUCUUGUAUGGAGCACGAAGCGUCUUCGACAAUAUAUGUUGUAUUAUACCACUGGUUGAUCUCAAAAAUGGAUCCUCUUAAAUACAUCUUUGAGAAACCUUACUUGUCAAGUCGAAUAGCAAGGUGGCAAGUAAUGUUGGCCGAGUAUGACAUUGUAUACAAGACAAGAAAAUCCGUAAAAGGAAGUGUAAUUGCUGAUCAUUUGGCAGAUAAUGCUAUCAAAGAUUAUGAGCCUUUGAAAUUUGACUUCCCGGAUGAGGAUGUGUUGAUAGUAGAAGAAGACAAAGAGAAGAAUGAUUGGUGGAUUAUGUAUUUUGAUGGGGCAGUGAAUGUAUCUGGCAAUGGAGCAGGGGCUGUGAUAAUCUCACCUGACCAGAAGCAAUAUCCCAUCUCAAUCAAACUACAAUUUGAAUGUACCAACAAUACUGCUGAAUAUGAGGCUUGUAUCCUUGGGUUAGAAGCUGCUUUAGAGAUGAAAAUAAAGAAGCUUGAUGUCUAUGGGGAUUCAAUGUUAAUAAUCUGUCAAGUGAAAGGCGAAUGGCAGACCAAAGAAGAAAAAUUGAUCCAUAUCAACAAUAUCUCUCAAAACUAACUGAGGGCUUUGAUGAGAUAGAUUUACCCAUAUGGGAAGAGACAAAAACCAGUUUGCUGAUGCUUUGGCAACCUUAGCUUCUAUGGCCAAAAUUGAUUACGGAAUCAGGGUACAACCAAUCCCAUUGAGAUUAAAAAUUUUCCAGCUCAUUGUUGUUCACUUGAAGGAGAAAUAGAUGGGAACCCAUGGUUUUAUGACAUCAAGCGGUUUAUCCAAUAUCGAGAAUAUCCCUUGGGGGCAUCUAAAGCAGAUAUGAAGACCUUGAGAAGGUUAGCCAUGGAAUUUUACCUGGAUGGAGAAAUUCUAUAUAAAAGAUCAUUCAACAAAACUUUACUAAGAUGUCUAGAUGAAAUCGAAGCUAAGGUAGCAUUGCAAGAAAUUCAUGAAGGAAUUUGUUCAACUCAUGCAAGUGGGCACAUGAUGACUAGACAAAUGCAACGAUCUAGGUACUUCUGGAUGACCAUGGAGAAAGAUUACAUCGAUUAUGUCAGAAAAUGCCAUAAAUGUCAAGUGUAUAGUGAUAAGAUAAAUGCACCUCCAGCUCCUUUGUUUAAUAUGACAUCAUCAUGGCCAUUUGCAAUGUGAGGAAUAGAUAUGAUUGGUCCAAUCAACCCAAAGGCCAGCAAUAGGCAUCAAUUUAUCUUAGUAGCCAUUUAUUACUUCACAAAGUGGGUGGAGGCCAGCUCUUAUGCUCAUGUAACUCAAAAAGUGGUCAAGUGCUUCAUUGAGAAAGAUUUGAUAUGUCAGUACAGUUCACCUGAGAAGAUAGUGACCGACAACGCCUAAAAUUUGAAUGGAAAAAUAAUCAUAAAAUUAUGUGUGAAGUGGAAAAUUAAACAUUCAAACUCAUCUCCUUACAUACCAAAGAUGAAUGGUGCUGCCGAAGCUGCAAACAAGAAUAUCAAGAAGAUUAUCCAGAAGAUGAUAGUCACUUAUAAGGAUUGGCAUGAGAUGCUUCCUUUUGCUCUGCAUGCAUAUCGUACAGCAGUAAGGACAUCCAUUGGAGCUACACCUUACUCAUUAGUAUUUGGGAUAGAAGUAGUGAUGCCUUUGGAAGUAGAAAUUCCAUCUUUGAGGGUAAUAAUAGAAUCUAAACUAGAAGAAGCUGAAUGGGCUAAAGUGAGAUAUGAGCAGCUAAACAUGAUAAGUGAGAAAAGGUUGGCUGCAAUUUUCCAUCACCAGUUAUACCAAAGAAGGAUGGCCAAAGCAUAUGACCGGAAAGUCCGACCAAGAGAAUUCAAAGAAGGGGAUCUUGUACUAAGAAAAAUCUUACCAUUACCAAGUGAAGACCGAAGCAAGUGGGCACCAAACUAUGAAGGCCCAUAUGUAGUGAAGAAAGCAUUCUCCGGAGGAGCUCUGUUGUUAACUAGGAUGGAUGGAGAUGAUUUACCUAGGCCUGUGAACUCUGAUUCUGUGAAAAAGUAUUAUGUAUGAUGUGUUUCAUCCAAUCAAAUCAAUGAAGUUUUGGCCAGGAAAUUCUCUUUGCAUAUACCUCACCAAAAAGCCCAUGCAUGAUCUCAAUGGCUCAACAAUUUGAUCUUUCAAACUUUUUUACAGGAGAAUCCAUUCUUCUUAAAUGAGGUUUUAAAAGAACUGAUUUUGUUUGUGAUUUCAAUGAAAUAAAUCAAUGAUUUUGUUUGGAAUAAUGUUCAGAACAAUUCCCUUGAAAGAGAUGACCAAACAAGUCAAAAACAUGCAAUUGGAACAACUAUCACCCAAAUUAUGUCUUGGAUCCACAUUUUAUCAGCAUGAAUAAUGGUUGGUAGUACAUUAGUUUGUCAUGGACUCCAAAACAUGGUAUCUUACAAAUCCAAAGCAUUACGGGAUGUGGACAAAGUUUAUUGGUUUUAACUGAUCUUACUUGAAAUGAGGAAAGGCCAUCUUUGAUAUUCCUUUCACUUUCUUUAAAAUUAUCCUUUGCAGUCCCAAUUUGAGCCGAGUCUAUUUAAAGUUUUUUUCUUUCACAAGAACCUUAACUAAGAUCACACCCUACACUAGGGGGCAAAAAGAGAAAUAUGAUUAAGAAAUUGUCUUGAAGGCAUGUGAGCUUAUAAAGAAAGUCUGACAACAAAGAAUUCAAUAAAAUUCCAAACAAUUGAGAGAAUUCCUAACAAAUAUGGGAAUAACAAAAAAAAACAGAAGUUCCUCAUUUGGAAUAUUUAGCAUCAUUUUUGUUGUCAAGGUAGCAAAAAAAAUGCCAAGACAAGAUAAUAGUGAUCUAUAGUUUAUAAGCCCUUAAACACUUUUUUGAGCUUAUGGAAUACUCUUUCUUUUAUAGCCUUGAGCCAUAAAAUACAUUACGUGCCUUUGAAGUCCUUUCUAAUCAAGUAAGCAACCUGGAUCAAUAAACGGCGUUCUCAAAAUAUAAGAGACUUUUCCAUAAAGAGUCAUGGCGUAGCAAAUAAUUACUCGUUAUUAUUCAUGCUGUUAAAAAGAGUGUUUCUAAAAUAAAGGCAAAUUGUUUCUUUUCUCUCACCUUCAAGCAAUCGCUUGAACACUUUGAAAACCAAAGCAGAAGUCAUCUCAUCACUUACCUUCAUCUUAGAUUACUUUUACUAAGAGAUUUGACAUAAAGCCCAGAGUUGCCUGAACAUUGUUAUAAACAGACAUUGAGAGUUUCAGUUUUCGAGAACAAAACAGAUCUUUUGAAAAAUCAUUUUUGAAAAAAGGUUUUCUUUGUAAGAAAAAUGAAUAUAUGGCACACUACGGCACCAUUAGAAAAUCAGAGAUUCUAAUGACAAACAAGAGCAAAGGAGGAAAUGAAUGAGGCAGUUAAUUCUCCCAGGGGGUAGAGAAGCAGUUACCAGAUCCUUAAUGGCACAAAGAAAUUUGCUUCCCUAGUGGAAAAUACACAUGAUAAAACUGUGGACUUCUUCCAGCAUGAGGACUGAAAUAGUAUGAUUUGCAGUAUCUAUGAAAGGAGAUUGUUGACUCUCACAAUAUGAUCAGUUAGACAACAAGAUAACUGAUACAUCUUCAGUAAGAGAAAUGCAGAUGAAAUCCCAGGUGAAGCGGGAUAAUCCUCAUAUAUUGACCAUAUGAAUUGGUUAAAGAAUCUUCAAUAAUGGGAAUGUUGCCUAUAGAACAAUGUCGGGCCAGGGAGAAGCUAAUUCUUCAGUGAAGUUACCAAUAGAGAAAAGUGCAGUGACUGUUGGGAAACUCAAACAAAGCUUAUCUUAGAAAAUGAACAACAUGGGUCGGCUUGAGUAGAUUUGAAGUACGCGUAAUCAAAAGAGCUCACUAAAAAUCAAGAUCCUUAAACAAGAUGAACGGGGAUCUAUAUUUCAAAAACAGGUAAGAUGCACUGCAUAUCUUCUAACUUCAUGAGAAUUGCACAUUUGUUUUGCAGAUAUUUCACGAAACAAAAUUCCUAACGGGAUCCAACGAGAUUCAGAUGAAAUGAAGUUCUUCUAAAUCACAUCAAAUAUGACAAUGCCACAAAAGCAAAAUUCAUGAAUGUAGACAAGAAACAUGGAUUUUUAUUCAUGGAAAAAGGGUUUACAAGUACAAACGUUAAACACUGCGAGGACGAUUAGGGAUAUUUUCAUCUUGAUGAUUAAGCAUUACUCGAAAUUCCUCAAAUUGGUUAAUUAUGCGCUCCAUCCUUUCCUCGAACUCGAGGUGUCGUGUGUUAACAUAGUCCCUCCAAAAGUCAGCAAGUGCAUUGAGCUCUUGGUUUCUCCUCUCCAAUUCGUUUUUGUGACGUCUCUCAUCACAUAGUCUUUUCCUUAAAUUCUCAAUUUGAUUAUGGAGCUCAGGAAUUUGAGUAUUCAACUCAAGUUUUCUGGCAUGAAGACACUCCGCAACGUUCACCAAAGACGAAGUUGCUCUGAGACUGAGAGCAAGUGACUGAUUCACUACUUCAAUAUCGGUCCUGGCUGCCAGCAUCAUUUCAUCACGAGGAAGGGUCAUGUCUCUAGCCACGGCUAUAGCAAUAUCUUCGUUGUCCAUUACAGUAUCCGCUAUUGUAACUGGACGACCAUUCACUUCAAAGGUAGUACGCCAAACUACAGGCUCUACAGCAGGAACAAGGUCUGGAUUAGCAUUGGAAGAAGAGGAAGACAUGGUUAAAACUUCAAAAGUUAAGAACUUUGAAAUUAUUGAAAAUGGGAGAAGUUGAUGAUGUCUUUUGCCAAAUACUACGUGAUUUAUAAGGAAUUUGCUCCUACCAUCAUUUUGAAUAGAAGCUCAAAUCUUAGUAGUACAUAUAAGACUUUUUGAAGAAGCUUUCAUCAUUUCUGAGAUCGAUUUGCAAAUCAGAUCUCAGCCGUACAUAUAAGACUUCCUUAAGAAGCUUUCAUCAUCUUUGAGAUCGAUUUGCAAAUCAGAUCUCAGCCGUACAUAUAAGACUUUCUUGAGAAGCUUACAUCACCUUUGAGAUCAAUUUACAAAUCGGAUCUCCACCGUGCAAGUAUGACUUCCUUUAGAAGUUUUCAUUAACCCUGAAACCAAUGCUGAAAUCACUUUCAUGUAUUUCACAAAAUCAAUGCUGAAAUCACUUUCAUGUAUUUCACAAAAUCAAUGUUGAAAUCACUUUCAUGUAUUUCACAAACAGGUUGGUCACCUAGAAAAUAAGACCAAUGCUGAAAUCACUUUUAUGUAUUUCACAAAAAUAAUGUUGAAAUCACUUUCAUGCAUUUCACAAAUAGGUUGGUCACCUGGAAAAUAAGACCAAUGUUGAAAUCACUUUCAUGUAUUUCACAAGAACAAUGUUGAAAUCACUUUUAUGUAUUUCACAAACAGGUUGGUCACCUGGAAAAUAAGACCAUUGUUGAAAUCACUUUCAUGUAUUUCACAAAACCAUUGUUGAAAUCACUUUCAUGUAUUUCACAAACAGGUUGGUCACCUGGAAAAUAAGACCAAUGCUGAAAUUACUUUCACGUAUUUCACAAAAUUAAUGUUGAAAUCACUUUCAUGUAUUUCACAAACAGGCUGGUCACCUGGAAAAUAAGACCAAUGUUGAAAUCACUUUCAUGUAUUUCACAAAAUUAUUGCUGAAAUCACUUUCACGUAUUUCACAAACAGGUUGGUCACCUGAAAAAUAAGACCAAUGCUGAAAUCAUUUUCACGUAUUUCACAAAAUCAAUGUUGAAAUCACUUUCAUGUAUUUCACAAACAGGCUGGUCACCUGGAAAAUAAGACCAAUGUUGAAAUCACUUUCACGUAUUUCACAAAACCAUUGUUGAAAUCACUUUCAUGUAUUUCACAAAAUCAAUAUUGAAAACACUUUCAUGUUUUUCACUUGGGCAGGUCGCCUAGAAGAAUAGACCAACUGAAAAAUCUGUGUAUUUUUCAACACCUACAUCGUUUUUCUUUACAAAACUUACUAUGCAAAGUCAAAAGAAAAUGAAUUUUCCAAUGUCUUUGCACCGUAAGCAUUGUAAAGAGGGGGCAACUGUUGUAACCCAAUUUUUGAUUCACUAAGAUUUUCUUGAAUGUUAUUUUAUUUCUAUUAUUAUUCAUGAAAUAAAAAAAAUUUAAGAAAAAGUUUAAUAUUCAUUUUUCUCGAGUCAACCGCAUCUUUCCAUAAAAAAAACACCGAUUUCACAGGGUCAAUACAGGUCACACCAUGUCAAUCAGGGUAAAAAAAGAAUUUUCAUGACGUUUCGGGUCAAAACCGUCAUUUUUGGUCAAAACCAUCAUUUUUUAUCAAAAACCGAGUCCACCGGGUCAAUACGAGUCAAACCAUGUCGACCAAGGUAAAAAAUAAGUUUUCAUGACAUUUCGGGUCAAAACCGUCAUUUUUUAUCAAAACCGAGUCUACCGGGUCCAUACGGGUCAAACCAUAUCAAUCGGGGUGAAAAAUGAGUUUUCAUGACGUUUUGGGUCAAAACCAUCAUUUUUUUAUCAAAAUCGAGUCCCCCGGGUCAAUACGGGUCAAACCAUGUUGACCAGGGUAAAAAAUAAGUUUUCAUGACGUUUCGGGUCAAAACCAUCUUUUUGGUCAAACCCCUUAAAUGUUUUUUUUUUGUGUUCCAAUAUAAAUUUUUUUUUUUUUGCGGUUGGAACAGGUUUUUUCUAAGACUGAUUUAAGUUUUUUUGUUUUAUCUAUAUAAUUAUUUAUUAUUAUAUAUAAUAAAACAAAAUUAAUAAUACAUAAAUUUAUUAUAGUAGGUGGGUUAGUUGAUGCAGUGCAUUAUUUUCCUUCGAAAUAAAUUCAUUGUCCCCUGCUUAUUGGCUAUAAAUAGCCACGACAGAGGAAAAAAAAAAGAAAAAAGAAAGAAAGAAAGAAAAGAGAGUAUUACUAUUUGAAUUUUUUUUGUUUUUCUUCACGAGAGUAAAAUAUUGUUUUUUAUUAAAAACAAUUUGAAAAAUACCAAAAAUAUCCUAACCGUUCGAUCUAGUAGUGUUAAUUUUGGACCUUUGAUUUAAUAUGAUACAAUAGGGUUUACCACACUAGAUUAAAACUCAAAUCCAUCUUAGCCUUUGAAAUAAUCUGCCUUUUGUUCCUGUCGUGCUACGUCACCCGGUGUACCGAGCUUUCGGUGCACCGCGCCACAACAGAUCAGUGCUCCGCUCAUCCAGACCGUCCGAUCAACUUGCAGAUCAAGCCAAUCACAACCGAAUGAUCGGUUCAUCCGCGAUCCAACGGCUCACAACCUUCAGCUGCACCGGUGUCCCAUGCUCGUGUUCACACCGUAGCACAAUCUCAGAGCCUCUCUCUCCUCUCGACGGUGAUUCUCUCUCUCUCAUCCGAUCUCCCAUUUUCGGCCGUAUGAAGCUUUCAAACCACCACAGAAAGGUUGCUACCUUGCUAUAAAGCAAAACCCCGGCGGUUUUCAACGUUUUAUCCGCCUCAUCUAGCCGGAAAACGGCCGCGAUUUUGUCGACCACCCGAAGCUUUAAACCGACGAUUCUCCCUCGUCAGCCAUCAACAGCUGUCGAAACCACCUUCAUCAGAAUCCUCUUCAUUAGAUCUACUAGAAUCAACCAGUCGUUGGCUGGAAAUCUCGCCGUCUCCAACAGUAACCGCGCGUGAGCCACACGCGCCACCAGGGGUAUUUUCAUAAUUUUCCGAGAAAUCCAAGGGUAUUUCAGUCUUUUACCUAUACAGUGGCACUCAGGUAAUUUUUUGAAAUUCCUAACAGUUUUUAUUUUAUUUUGAUAUAUAAGUAUUUGUAAAUUCUCUUGCAUGUAAAAAAAAACAAAAAAAAACCAAAAAUAAAUAUAAAAGGAAUAACGACGCGGGUCCAUAAAACAUAUUAAAUUCUUCUUUAAUCCUUGCAAUUUUAUCAUAAAUAAUAAUAAUAAAAAAACAUCCAUAAAACAAAUACCAACACACAAAUAAAAAUUCAAUACUAAACAAAAAAAUUACAUCAACCAAUUUAAAAUUACAAAACAGCCCCUAAAACAUCCUAGGGAUUCUGGAUCAGUGCACGGGAAUAGUGGCGCGGGUCUUCCCACACGCCGUCGCGAAUAAGGCCGGAAAACGGGUGGAUCUGGCUCAGCUUCCUUUCUUUUUCCCUUCUCUGCUGGUGGUGACACCCACCGUCACCUGCAAACGAAGAAAAGAACACAGGCAGUCGAUUUUAUAUUUUUUGUUUUUGUUUUGCAGAUCUGCUUCUCUGGUUCGGUUUUUUUUUUCUGCAUCUCAGUGUCUUUUCGUUUCCCCUUGUUCUCCAUUUCAAACGACCGGCAGUGUGACCAUAGGGCUGCUGGCCUUUGGGUUUUGUCCGAUCUGCAACUGUUGGUGGCCGGUGAAUCUGUGGACGGUGUUGUUAUGGCUGACGGAAGAAAGCGGACCGAUUUGGGAUCUGUGGGUGCCGCUGCCGGGCUGCUAUCAGACGGUUGAAGGGGAGAAGGCUGGGUCGGCUGAGAGAGAUGCGAACUUGUGGGGGAGAUGGAGGCAGGUUCAGGAGCUGCUAUGGGUGAAGAAGAGUUAGUGUGGGUUUGUGAGGGAGAGGGGGUUGUGAGCCAGGAAGAUUUGGUGUGGUGAGGGGCUGAGAAUUUGUGUCUCUAGUAAGGAGGACCGGUUGAGAGGAGAAUGAGGUGACUGGUCUGUGGGGCUGAGACGAAGAAGGGGUUGCGGUGUGGCUGCUAGGUGAGGGAGAAGAAGCUUUGGUCGGGUCUGUCAGAGAAAAACAAGUCAAGCCAGGGGAGGGGGGCGGUCGGCUUGGUUUUGGGUAAAAAAAAUCAAACUCUGGGGGGCGGCUGUGUUUGGGAUUUCUUAGGGUUUUUUUGUGGUUUAGGGUUUUUUUUUUUUUUUUUGUAUUUUCCUGAUGUUUCAAAAUUGCCCCCAUUUUGUGUGAGUUGAAAACCAGUAUUUAUAGGCAAAAAUGUUGCUAGGUUUUCAAACUUGGUCCCUCAACUUCUUUCUUUUUGUAAAUUUGAUUUUUCUUGUAUUUUUUGAAAACGAGCAAUAUCAACGUCGACUCGAUGAGGAAAAUCAAUGAUUUAAAACAUAACGCGUGAAAAGUCGAACGCGUUUGAACGACCCUUAAAAAUUUUAAUUCUUUUUAGACGACGCUAAAAAUGCUAAAAACGACGCAAAUAUAUUAAAAAGGUAUUUUUUGGAUUUUCAAUGUUUUUCUCUAUUUUUGGAUUUUUCUGAAAAUUUAUCAAAACAUGGGUCAAAAAUUGGGUAGCAACAGAUGCCCCCUCUUUACAAUGCUUACAAAGGAAAACUCAUCAAUGUUUUGCAUAGUAAGCUUUGUAAAGAAAAACUUGUCUUCUUAUCUUCAUAACUUGCUCAAUAUCCACUCAUUUAAAGACCUUACUUUUUUCUUUUUCUAUUUCUUUCUGUCUCUCUCUCUCUCUCUUUUUCAUUAACUUGAGAUCCCAUAUGGCGACCUCCUUUACCAAAACCAAAGAAUGUUGUAGCUCGGUUAACCUGAAAUCCCAUAUGGAGAUUCCCUUUAACCAAAGCUACAUGAGAUCCCAUCUAGUAACCUCAUUUAAUUGGAACUAAAAAAUGUGUGUAGCUCGGUCAACCUGAAAUCCCAUCUGGCGAUUCCCUUUAACCAAAGCCUCAUGAGAUGAUCUGGAUGCCUGGAUAUCUGACUCCAUUGAAACAAUGGAAUCUCCAUCGACGAUUUAAACAUCGAUGAUAUUACUCGGGCGGCCUCAAUGUUUGUGAACCUAAAAAGAAAUGAAAUUAAUUAAAUAGUGACUUCAUAAAUUAUGUUUUAAAUUUGUUUUUUUUUAAAAAAACAAACUAAAACUUUAACAAACUUACAUUGAAAGAUCGUCCUUCCAUUGUGCCUCGUACUUGCGCUGUGAAGGCACGCCGCUUCUGCGAUGUGAAACAGCGCUGGAAGAGGCAGCAUCAGCUGAUGGCGCAAGUGGUGUAGGUGCCUCUUCUUGAGAGGCACCUAAGGAAAUAUCUUCCUCGCUGCUAGACGAACCUGAUGCGACCGGACGUGAAGCUCUAGUUUUCAUUCUGUGCAUCUAACCAAUUUUAAUAAUUAUAUAAUUAAAUUAAAAUGUUAAAAAAAAUUCGGCAGCACCUCCCCUAUACUUAGAUACUACCCAAAUCCACAAACCUGCAAAUAUUAACAAUAGCCACAACCAAUUGACCCAAUCUAUACUAAUUAUUCCAACAUAUUCAAUUACUAAUCCUAAGGUAAAUUCAACAUUAACAAUUACAAUUCAACAAAUUAUUCAAUAAUUAUGCCAAUACAACAAUAAAAUAUAUUCAAUAAAUUAAAAAAGAAUUAUAAACUAACAAUUAAAAUCAAUGGAAACAAUUAAACACAAAUUAUGCAAUAAUAGAGUAAAAUUACUAAGUAUUCCAACAUAUCCAAAUACUAAUUCUAAGGUAAAUUCAACAUUAACAAUUAUAAUUCAAAAACUUAUUCAAUAAUUAUGGCAAUACAACAAUAAAAUAUAUUCAAUAAAUUAAAAAAAAUUAUAAACUAACAAUUAAAAACAAUGAAAAUAAUUAAACACAAAUCAUGCAAUAAUAUAGUAAAAUUACUAAUUAUUCCAACAUAUGCAAUUACUAAUUCUAAGGUAAAUUCAACAUUAACAACAAAUAUUCAACAAAUUAACUAACAACAAUUAUGCCAAAACAACAAUAAAAAAUAUUCAAUAAAUUUAAAAAAAAACUAUAGACUUUAGGGAAGAAAUAUGCAUACCUUAAUAAUGUGUUGAAAAAAAAAAUUUAUCUACAUUACAAAAAAAUACAACAAAACAAAAAACAUAAAAAGCAUAAAAAUAACUAUAAAUAAAAUAAUAUAAAAUAGAAAAAAACACAUACCUUUUAAUGUGAUGAAGAUUCACAACCAACCUUGCUAGAGAUUCAACAAAGCUUGAAGGCUUGAAGAUUUGAGAGGAAAAAAAUCAAAAUUUUAAGUUAAACCUUAGAAACGGAGGAGAAGAAAAAAUGAACUGAAGGGGCGGCCGGAUGAACUUAUAGUGCAGUUUUACCGACGGAUUCACCGAUGGAAAUAUAAAAUUAUUAUUAUUUAAAUUAAAUCCGUCGGUAACACGCUAAAAAUCCGUCGGUAAUUUUUGGAUUUCGCACCGAAUUUUUUAAUUACCCUCCAUAUUAAAAUCCGAAUUUUUAAAUCCGUCGGUAUUCUGACAUGGUUAAAGGUGCAUUCAAUCCACACCCUUUGGAAUUCGCACAUUCCGUUGGUAUUUUUGUCGGUAAAAUUGCCCACCGACAACUUACCGACGGACCUAUUCCGUUGGUAUAAACGUCGGUGAUUGUGGCAUUUUGGUGUAAUUAUUUUCAAACUCUCUGUGAGAUGCCGACGGACGGUGGGCCGUCGGUAUGGACGUCGGUGAUUGUUCAAUGUACAAGAGAUGUUGUGUUUGUAUUUUCUAUUUACCUUCCUGUAAAAAAUUCAAUGAUAAAUUGUCCAUCGCACAAAACAAUAGCAACAGUUCUUAAACAAUAAAUAUAUAUUUCAUGCUACAAAAUAUAUCAUCCAUAGUGUAAAUUACAUGAAGAAAAGGGUUUUACACAGGGCCUCGUUUUGAUAGUUACUCAGAAUUAUCUUCUUCUUCGUCAUCAAUUGAAUAGUCAUCACCUUCAUCGCAAUCUUCAAUAUGGAUAUCAUCUUCUUCAUCGACAUUUGCUUGUCCGCUAGAGCUCAAAACAACGUUCAACUCCUCUACGUCAACAUCAACAUCAACAUCAACAAGACUAUCAUCGGAAACAUGAAAAUUUGAAUUUUCUUCCAAUUCAAUCGAAGGAGCAACUCGAUAUGGUUCAACCAACUCACUAACUUGAAAGACUUCAUCCUGCACACUUGUGUCUUCGUUCUCAUCCUGAACAACCUCGACAUGACCCCGUGAUUUCGUUUUUAAAAUGGACAACCAAUCAACUCUUGAUCGAUCCUUUCUAAAUGAAGGGGUGUAUGUGUAAUAAACUUGUUGGCAUUGCUUUGUGAAAACAAAGACAUCAUUUAUGUUGCGGAGUCUAGCUUUUGAGUUGAUUUCGACCGGACCAUGGUGCUUAUCAACUCUGAUUCCUCUGUCCGUCGUGUCAUACCAAUAGCAUUUGAAUAAAAACACUGUAUUCUGCUCGCUAUGAUAUUGUAGUUCGACGACCUCUUCUAAUCUACCAUAGUAGUCAACUUCUAACUCGCUACUUGUGGAUCCUUUAACACAAACACCGCAGUUGUAUGUCCUUCUUCCUUGCCCGUAUUCUUUAGUAUGGAAAACAUAUUCAUUGACAAAAUACCCGUUAUAGCACUUAACUUUUCUUUCAAGCCCGAGGCUUAGUGAAGACAAUGACUUAGACACACUUCUUCCCAUUUGAUAAACCUUGUAUACAUGUAAUGUACAUCAAUAAACAGUAAAUGAACGAGAAUCUCGUAAUGACAUGCAUACGUACAGUAAUUUUGCAAGUUAGAAUGAGUUUGUGAUAGUGCUUACAUGUGUUCUGAACCAUGUGGCAAAUUGUUCAUCUUGUAAUUGAAAGAUCUGGGAGUCGGUCAGCUGCGAGUUAUUGGAGAGCAAAUAUUGUCGAUGUUGCCUGCAAGUGAUAAUGAGUGUAUGAUUUCACAAUAUAUAAUUAGCAGUAUAUUACUGACAAAGUUUAAAUAGUAUUACACAUAUAUAAACUUACUGAAUAAAUGGUCUCAGCUCAUCACAAUUAAAUAGAACAUAAUUGUGUGCUUGUUUGAAUUCUAUUUUCGACAAAUAUCUUCCUCUUACGGCAUUUUUAGGUAUAGGUCGUCCAGUAUUGGAGAAUAUUGACAAUUUCUCACUGGAAGGCACUUCACCGCCAUCAUCAUGUUGUGGAACACGAUUGAUUCUUGUUCUCAAAUGAGGUUCAAAAUAGUAAGAGAUAAAUGUUGAGAUCUCUUCAACAAUAUAGGCCUCAAAUAUCGAAGCCUCUACAUGCGUCUUGUUCUUAACCUUUUUCUUGAGAUUAAACAAGUACCUGCAUUGAAUUACAAUUCAAGUUUUCCAAUUAAGAAAAGCAUAUAAAAUACUUUUAGAUAUGAAUUCCAUUGCAACUGUAAUAUCUAACCGUUCGAAUGGGUACAUCCAUCUAUACUGACAUGUAAUUCGGUAAUUCCACAAAGUUUUAACAAUUUACAAAUAAAUACAAUCUUACAAAAUCUAAAACAAACCAUAACUACAAGUAUAAAAUUAUACAUUCAUAUACUACAAGUUUGUUUGAGAAAUAACAAUAAAACAUGUACAUCUAUUAACAAAAAUACAUAUACUAAAAAAACAAUAAAAUUUACAUUUAAAUGUUAAAAUUUAAAAAGAUAUAAUUACUUACAAAAAUUGAUAAAAUCCAUCGGUAAAUCAGAACACGGAUGUUGUGAUCAAAAAACUUUAAGAAAUACAACUUGUUGUGCUGAGAUGAGGAAGAUUUUUGUUUGGGGGUGAGGGGGGGGCUAGUUAUUUUGCAGAUGGGGAGACUUAAGAUUAGGAAGAAGAACGAGAAAUGGGGGAGGAGCGUGUCGGCAGCGUGGCCAUAUAUUCACUUUUUUCGACGGCCUCAUCGAUGGAAUAACAUCGUCGGUGCAUAUGUCGGUUACUCCAUCGGUAAUUUUGACGGGAAAUAGACACAUCACCGCACGAACACGCUUUUCAAAUCCCUCGGUGAUUCCGUCGGUAUGUUUGACGGUGCACCCAUCACAUCACCCGUAUGGAUCUGGUAUUUCAAAUCCGUCGGUGAUUUCGUCAGUAUUAUUGACGGUGAAACGGUCCGAUCACACGUACAAGUCCCUAGUUUUGAAUCCGUCAGUGAUUCUGUCGGAAAAAUCACCCGCCAAAACCUCCGCGUCAGCUGCCCGCCUUUUUUUCAUUAAUUAUGAACUUUCUGUCUGUAAUUUCGACUGAAAAAUACCGACAGCAAUAUUGUGUCGGGGAGUCCGUUGGUGUUUAGCGAAUUUAUGGUAGUGAACUAAAAACUGCGUAUAGCUCGGUCAACCUGAAAUCCCAUCUGGCGAUUUCCUUUAACCAAAGCCACCUGAGAUCCCAUCUGGCGACCUCAUUAAACCACAACCAAAAAAUAUGCGUAGCUUGGUCAACCUGAAAUCCCAUCUAGCGAUUCCCUUUAACCAAAGCUACUUGAGAUCCCAUCUGGCGACCUCAUUCAACUGAAAUAAAAGAAUGUGUAAAACGCGGUUUCAUUGUAAUGGGUGACCAACCCAGGUGGAAAGAAUGUGAAAAACAGUCUCAUUAUGAUGGGUGACUACCCAGAUGGAAAGAAUAUGAAGUGCGGUCUCAUUGUAAUGGGUGACCUACCCAAGAAAAAGAAAAGAGUGGUCUCAUUGUAAUGGGUGACCUACCCAGAAAAAAAACAUGGAGAAUUGGUCGCAUUGUAAUGGGUGACCUACCCAAAAAAAUGUUGGUCUCAUUGUAAUGGGUGACCUACCCAAGUGAAAGAAUGGUCUCAUUGUAAUGGGUGACCUACCCAGAUAAAAAACAAGGAGAAUUGGUCGCGUUGUUCUGGGUGACCUACCCAGAAAAAUUUUGGCGAGGGCUCAAAGGCGCACUCAAAAGGAGGUAGGGUUAGAAAACGCACUACCCGAGAAGUGAGGGCUCAAAAGCACACUCAAAAGGAGGUAGGGUUAAAAAAUGCACUACUUGAGAAGUGAGGGCUCAAAGGCGCACUCAAAAUAAGGUAGGGUUAGAAAACGCACUACCCAAGAAGUGAGGGCUCAAAGGCGCUCUCAAAAUGAGGUAGGGUUAGAAAACACACUGCUUGAAUGGUGGUGGCUCAAAGGCACACUCAAAAGGAGGUAGGGUUAGAAAAUGCACUACCUGAGAAGUGAGGGCUCAAAGGCGCACUCAAAAGAAAAUAAGGGCUCAAACGGUGCACUUGAAAUGAGGUUGGGUUAGAAAACGCACUAUCCGAAUGGUGGUGGCUCAAAGGCGCACUCAAAAUGAGGUAGGGUUGGAAAACGCAGUACCCGAAUGGUGGUAGCUCAAAGACACACUCGAAAUAAGGUAGGGUUGGAAAACACACUACCUAAAAGGUGGUUGAUUAGUACUUAAAAGUGCAUGUUUAUUAAGGUUUUAUAUCAUCAUUUUGCACUUGAAGUAUCAAUAACUCCUUAACUAAAGCAUGUUUUAUAAUAACAAGUGUGAUACUAUAAAAUGCCUUAAUAUAUGGUAAAUAUUCAUCUUGAAUGCAGGCUUAUCACAUAAAUCAAAGGAUUGAUUGAUGAAUUCAACUACUGAAAUUUUGAAGAUAAAGAAGGGUGAAGCUUAGAAAAGAGAUGUUGGUGCAGUCCAAACUGGAACACUAUUUGGUAUUUGGGUCAUAUCUUGAGUUCUAGAUGUCCAAAUGAUCUCAAAGUUUUACACAGAUUUGGUGAGAUAUAAGCCUACAACUUUCAUGUGAACAGAAAAAUCUAAGAAGGCCUUUUUCAUGUCCAAAUUAUAGCAACAACGGAGAAGUCUGAAUCUGUCUUGCAGCCCAGACACUGUUCAGUGUUCAGCCCAUAUCUUGAGUUCUAAAAGUCCAAAUGACCUCAACUUUUUUUUCCUGGAAAGCUAAGAGAAUUUCCUAGAACUUUGAUGAUUUCAUAUGAUUCCAGUUCUGAUGUUAGCAAUGACGUUUUAUUCAGACAAGAAGAUAAGGAUUUUCACCAAGUCAAGAUGUGGCCACCCACUCAACAAUUAUUCAUCAAAUCAAUAGUUCCAAAUUUUGGCCUAUAAAAGGAGGCAUUUGCCAUGCAUUUAGGCAUCUUGGUUUCCAGAUCAAGAUCAUGCUCUUGCUUUCUCUCUUUGUAUUGCUUAUGUUUUGCUUUCAUUAAUAUCAAGUUUAUGCACUUCAUUUCCUUUCCUUUACUUAGUUAACUUUUUUCUCAUUUAUGUUCUUAUCUUGUUCAUUUAUGUUUCUUUCUUUCAUUAUGUUUACCUAUGUUAAUUAUGUCAAGGUGAAAAGGGUACACUAAUGGUGUAAGAAUAAGUAUAAUAUAAACUUAACAUGGACCUUAAUGUUGGAUACUAACAUGUUUUAUAUUUGUUAUCUUGUUCACUUUUAAUACUUUGCUUGUUAAAUGGUUAAUCUAGAUUUAUGUUGUAUAACACUUGGUACAACAAAUACUUGGCACUUUCAUAGCCCAUACUGUAUGGUAUAACCGACACCUGAGCUAUGAAAGGAACUUGAUUUGUUGUUAACAUAAGUUAUAAUCAUGAAUGCCUGACAAAAUUUACAAGUAUUAGCAUUAUUCGAAUAAGAUAACUAAUGUAAUCAUGUUAACAAUUUACAAUCCGAUUGGAACCUCCUUUGUGUGUGGUUUUCAAUUGAGUAAUAAAAAGAGUUUAUAUUAUACUUGUUUGAAGUACCAUUAGUAGAUCCUCUAACCUUGACAAUUAUUUUAUGCUUGUUUAAUCCUUACAUCAAUAUCACAUCCCAAAGCUCUCUUUAUCUUAUUAUUAUUGUUAUUGUUGUUGUUGUUGUUGUUGUUGUUGUUUAUAAUUUAUAUAGUUAACCUCCAUGUGGUUCGACCCUGGUCUUGCCGGGUUAUUUAUUACUUCGACACUAUUGCACUUGGAAGAAAACAUCAAUCUUUUGGGUCGUGUCAAGUUUUUGGCGCCGUUGCCGGGGAGGUAAAUUCUUGUAUAAAUUAUAAUAUUUAUUUUAUUUUGUCUUUUCAUUUUUCAUUUUAUCUAACUUUUGUUUCUUUUCCUUCUCUUUUAUUUCCUUCCUUAUAUUCUCUUCUUACACGUGCAUGAGAGUUUGGUCAUGUACAUUAAGUGGUAGACUUUGUAGGGUAUCCUCAGAAACAUUUUACCAGUGUUGGGAUAGGUAUCGAGACUUGCUUAAUACUUGCCCUCAUCAUGGUUUUGAAACAUGGAGAUUGGUUUCAUUUUUUUAUGAAGGUUUAACACCUAGAGAUAGGCAAAUGGUUGAAUUGAUGUGCAAUUGAACUUUCGAAGAUAAAGACCCUAAUGAAGAAAUGGAGUACCUAGACUUGCUAGCCGAAAAUGCUCAAAAUUGGGACACCACAUGUACUUAUAAGGCACCAAGUAAAACUCAACCUCAUACAUCUAGUGGAGGUAUGCACAACCUUAGGGAAGAUCAUGACCUCCAAGCCAAGUUUGCAUCUUUAGCUAGAAAAGUCGAAUCACUUGAAUUGAAAAAGAGUGGUCAAUUAAAAUCUUUCAAGACAUUGUGUGUCAAAUCUGUGAAACAAGAACACUCAACAAAUGAUUGUCCAACUUUGCCUUCUUUUAGGAAUGCCUCCAUGAACAAGCCCAUGCUUUAAACAGUUUCCAAAGGCCCAACAUAACCCAUACUCACAAACGUAUAACCCUGGUUGGAGAAAUCACCCAAAUUUCAGUUGGAAGAGUGAUAACAAUAAUGCAAACUUCACAGCCACCGUUUCAAGCAUACCAUAAUUUCCAAAAUUCUCAUGGAUAUGCACCUCCUUAUGCUCCACCUCCUAGAAGAAAUCUUGAGGAAACAUUGCAUGCAUUCAUUGAAAAGCAGGAGACAAUCAACACUCAACUUGCUCAAAGCAUGACUGAUUUUAAAGAUGCUCUUGCAAAAUUAACAUCUGCUCUCAGUUUUCAAGAAAAAGGUAAGUUUCCUUCUCAACCACAAUAAAAUCCAAAGGGGCAAUAUAAUGCAAAUGCAAGUAGUUCUGGAAGCCAACACAUGGAUCAAGUCAAAUCAGUCAUCACUCUUCGUAGUGGUAAGGUUAUUGAAAAACCCACUCUUGAACCUUGUGAGAAAGAUGAAGAGUCUAUCUUUGAGGGUAAGAAAAGGGUUGAACCUGAACAUUUCCUCAUGCCAUGACCAAACAAAGGAAAGUCAAUCACAAUUCUGAAAUCCUUUAAAUUUUCAAACAGGUAAGGAUCAAUAUACCUUUGUUGGAUGCUAUUAAACAUGUUCCUUCCUAUGCUAAAUUUUUGAAAGAUCUGUGCACUGUGAAGAGAAAACUGAAUGUGAAAAAGAAAGCCUUUUUAGCCGAACAAGUAAGUGCCAUUCUUCAUAACAAUAAUGCUUUGAAAUAUAAAGACCCUGGUUGUCUUACAAUUUCUUGCUUUAUUGGAGAACAAAAAAUUGAAAGAGACUUACUUGAUCUUGGAGCUAGUGUGAGUUUACUUCCAUAUUUAGUCUUUCAAAGUCUCAAUCUAGGUGAGUUAAAACCAACCUUUGUAACUCUUUUACUUGCUGAUAGAUCUGUAAAAGUGCCUAGAGGAAUAGUUGAGGAUGUGUUAGUACAAGCUGAUAAAUUCAUUUACCAUGUAGAUUUUGUUGUCUUGGAUACACAACCUGUUGAAGCAUGUAAUUCAAUUCCUGUCAUUUUAGGACGUCCAUUUCUUGCCACUUUUAAUGCAUUGAUUAAUUGUAAGAAUGGACUGAUGAAGCUAUCAUUUGGAAACAUGACAUUGGAGAUGAAUAUUUUCAACAUUUACAAGCAACCUGGAGAUGAUAAUGAUUUACAGGAAGUGGACUUUAUUGAAAAAUUAGUUCAUGAUCAAUUUCAAACCACUUCUAGUGAAACUGAGAUUGAUGAAUCUGAUGAUUUGCAAAUGGUCUAUUUUCAGGAAGAAUCAAAGGCAUGCAAUUGGAGACCACAAAUUGAAGAAUUGCCACCACGAUCAAUUGAGCCCAUACCUUCAAGUGUUCAACCACCAAAACCUGAUUUGAAGUCGUUACCAUUUAAUCUCAAAUACUCAUUUUUGGGAGAAAAUGAAACUUUUCCGGUAAUAAUCUCUUCCAAACUUAAUGCACAUCAAGAAGGUAAGUUAUUACAGACUUUGAAAAUGCACAAAAAUGCAUUAGGAUGGACCAUAGCUGACAUAAAAGGAAUUAGCCCUUUGAUUUGCACACACAGAAUUUAUUUGGAGGAAAAUGCUAAACCCUCUAGAGAAAUGCAACGAAGGCUUAAUCCUAAUAUGAAAGUAGUGAAAAAUGAAGUCAUUAAGCUUCUAGAUAAUGGAAUCAUUUAUCCUAUUUCUGACAGCAAAUGGGUAAGUCCUACCCAAGUUGUACCUAAAAAGUCUGGAGUCACUGUGAUAACAAAUGAGAAAAAUGAGUUAAUUCCAACGAUGAUUGUUACUGGUUGGCGCAUGUGCAUUGACUAUAGGAAACUUAAUUCAAUGACUAGAAGAUCAUUUCCCUUUACCUUUCAUGGAUCAAAUCCUAGAAAGAGUUGCAGGUCAUGAAUUCUAUUGUUUCCUAGAUGGCUAUUCAGGUUACAAUCAAAUUGAAAUUGCAUUGGAAGAUCAAGAGAAGACUACUUUCACAUGUCCAUUUGGUACUUUUGCAUAUCGAAGAAUGCCUUUUGGGUUAUGUAAUGCACCAGCCACGUUCAGUGUUCAGCCCAUAUCUUGAGUUCUAGAAGUCCAAAUGACCUCAAAUGUUUACACAAAUUCAGUAAGACAUAGGCCUAUAACUUGCAUUUGGACAUCAAGAUCUAAGAAGGCCGUUUUCAAGUCCAAAUUAUUCAACAACGGAGAAGUCUGAAUAUGUCCUGCAGCCCAGACACUUUUCAGUGUUCAGCCCAUAUCUUGAGUUCUAAAAGUCCAAAUGACCUCAAAUGUUUACACAAAUUCAGUAAGACAUAGGCCUAUAACUUGCAUUUGGACAUCAAGAUCUAAGAAGGCCGUUUUCAAGUCCAAAUUAUUCAACAACGGAGAAGUCUGAAUAUGUCCUGCAGCCCAGACACUGUUCAGUGUUCAGCCCAUAUCUGGAGUUCUAGAAGUCGAAAUGACCUUAUCUUUUUUUUCCUGGAAAGCUAAGAGAAUUUCCUAGGACUUUUAUUUGGACAUCUAGACCCAGUUCUGAUGCUAGCAUUUUUGUUUUAUUAAGACAAGAAGAUAAAGAUUUUCACCUAGUCAAAAGUUGGCCACCCACUCAACAAUUAGUCAUCAAAUCAAUAAUUCUGAAUUUUGUCAUAUAAAAGGAGUCAUUUGCCAUGUAUUUAGGGGCUUGGUUUUUCAGAUCAAGUUCUUGCUCUUUAUUUCUCUCUUUAUAUUUUUUUUGUAAUUCUUAAGUUUUGCUUUCAUUAAUAUCUUGUUUAUGCUUUUCAUUUCCUUUCCUUUCCUUAGUUAACUUGUAUCUUAUUUAUGUUCUUGUUUUAUUUAUUUAUGUUUCUCUUCUUCAUUAUGUUUGGCUAAGUUUAUUAUGUCAAGGUGAAAAGGUUACACUAAUGGUGUAAGAACAAGUAUGGUAUAAACUCAACAUGAACCUUAAUGUUUAAUAUUAACAUGUCUUAUCUUUUUAUCUUACUAAUUCUUAAUACCUUACUUGUUAAAUGGUUAAUCUAGAUUUGUGUUGUAUAAUACUUGGUACAACAAAUGCUUGGCACUCUCAUAGCCCAACCGUAUGGUAUUACCUACACCUAGGCUAUGAAAGGUACUUGAUUUGUUGUUAACAUCAAUUAACAUCAUGAAUUCUUGAUAAUAUUUAAAAGUUUGGUGUUAUGUAAAUGAGAUAAUUAAUAUGAUCAUGUUAAUAAUUUAUAAUGAGCUAUUAAUGACAAAUUGGCCAAUUGGAACCUCCUUUGUGUGUGGUUUCCGGUUGAAUAAUAAGAGUUUAUACUAUACUUGUUUGAAAUACCAUUGGUGGAUCCUCUAACCUUGAUAUUUAUUUUUAUCAUUGUUUAAUCCUUACAUUAAUCUUCCAGCUCAAAGUUCUCAUUAAUUUUUUCCUCCUCUUUUUAUUGUUAUUAAUAUUAUCACUAUUAAUAUUAUUAUUAUUAUUAUUAUUAUUAUUAUUAUUAUUAUUAUUUACAUUCUGUUUAUAUUAUAUAAUAUAUCUCUUUCAUCUUUUCAAAAACUCAGUAUAUAGGCUGGAAACCUGUGACCCGAUCUUUUAGAUCAUUCUCAGGUAUAACAACGCCACGUACUGAGUAUUAUUAUUAAUAUUAUUAUUAUUAUUGUUAUUAUUGUUGUUAUUGUUGUUGUUGUUGUUGUAUUAUUGUUAUUUAUAAUUUGUAUAAUUAACCUCUCUGUGGUUCGACCCCGGUCUUGCCGGGUUAUUUAUUACUUUGACACUCCUGCACUUGGGAGAAGACAUCAAUCUUUUGGUUGUGUCAAGUUUUUGGCGUCGUUGCCGGGGAGGUAAAUUCUUGUACAAAUUUUAGUAUUUAUUUUGUUUUUUUCUUUUCACUUUUCUUGUAUCUAACUUUGUUUCUUUUGUUUUGUUUCUUUUUCUUUUGUUUUCUUCUUCCUUUUAUUCUUUUUCUACACGUGCAUGAGUGUUUGGUCAUGCAUAUUAAGUGGUAGACUUUCUAGGGUAUCCUCAUCAUUUUCAGAAAAUAUGGCCGAAGAAGAUAACCAGUUACUUCAUAAUGAGAAUAAUGAGAAUAACCGUGUUAGGACACUUAGAGACCACAUGAAUCCCAUAAGAACAAGUGCACCCUCAUGCAUAGUUUUCCCUCCUGAUGCAUCUCAUUUUAAUUUUAAGCCAGGCAUUAUUCAACUUUUACCUUCUUUUCAUGGCUUAGAUCUAGAAAAUCCAUACUUGCAUUUGGAGAAUUUGAGAAGUUUGUAACACCUAUAAUGACUUAAAUUGUAGCAUGAAUACCAUUAGAUUAAAGCUUUUUCCUUUUUCAUUAAAAGAUAAAGCUAAAACAUGGCUACAAAAUUUAGGUCAGGAUCCAUUCGUGCUUGGGAUGAAAUGCAACAACAAUUUUUAAAGAAGUUUUUUCCAUCUCACAGAACAACUCUUUCAAAAGACAAAUCACCACUUUCACUCAAAAACCAGGAGAAACAUUUUACCAAUGUUGGGAUAGGUAUCGAGACUUGCUUAAUACUUGCCCUCAUCAUGGUUUUGAAACAUGGAGAUUGGUUUCACAAUUUUUAUGAAGGUUAACACCUAAGAUAGGCAAAUGGUUGAAUUGAUGUGCAAUGGAACUUUUGAAGAUAAAGACCAUAAUGAAGCAAUGGAGUACCUAGACUUGCUAGCUGAAAAUGCUCAAAAUUAGGACACUACAGGCACUUAUGAGGCACCAAGUAAAACUCAACCUCAUACAUCUAGUGGAGGUAUGUAUAACCUUAGGGAAGAUCAUGACCUCCAAGCCAAGUUUGCAUCUUUAGCUAGAAAAGUCGAGGCACUAGAAUUGAAAAAGAGUGGUCAAUUAAAAUAUGUUCAAGACAUUGUGUGUCAAAUCUGUGAAACAAAUGAACAUGCAACCAAUGAUUGUCCAACUUUGCCUUCUUUCAAGGAAUGCCUCCAUGAACAAGCCCAUGCUUUAAACAGUUUCCAAAGGCCCAAUCAUAACCCAUACUCGCAAACAUACAAUCCUGGUUGGAGAAAUCACCCAAAUUUCAGUUGGAAGAGUGACAACAAUAAUGCACAAACUUUACAGCCACCGUUUCAAGCACACCAUAAUUUCCAAAAUUCUCAUGGAUAUGCACCUCCUUAUGCUCCACCUCCUAGAAGAAAUCUGAGGAACGUUGCAUGCAUUCAUUGAAAAGCAAGAGACAAUCAACACUCAACUUGCUCAAAGCAUGACUUUUAAAGAUGCUCUUGCAAAAUUAACAUCUGCUCUCAGUUUCAAGAGAAAGGUAAGUUUCCAUCUCAACCACAGCAAAAUCCAAAGGGGCAAUACAAUGCAAAUGCAAGUAGUUCUGGAAGCCAACACAUGGAUCAAGUCAAAUCAGUCAUCACUCUUCGCAGUGGUAAGGUUAUUGAAAAACCCACUCUUGAACCUUGUGAGAAAGAUGAUGAGUCAAUCUCUGAGGGUAAGGAAGGGGUUGAACCUGAACAUUGUGAAGAAAAGACUGAUUCUCCGCCAGCACUUCCAUUUCCUCAUGCCAUGACCAAACAAAGGAAAGUCAAUCACAAUUAUGAAAUCCUUGAAAUUUUCAAACAGGUAAGGAUCAAUAUACCUUUGUUGGAUGCUAUUAAACAUGUUCCUUCCUAUGCUAAAUUUUUGAAAGAUUUGUGCACUGUGAAGAGAAAACUGAAUGUGAAAAAGAAAGCCUUUUUAGCCGAACAAGUAAGUGCCAUUCUUCAUAACAAUAAUGCUUUGAAAUAUAAAGACCCUGGUUGUCCUACAAUUUCUUGCUUUAUUGGAGAACAUAAAAUUGAAAGAGCCUUACUUGAUCUUAGAGCUAGUGUGAAUUUACUUCCAUAUUCGGUUUUUCAAAGUCUCAAUCUAGGUGAGUUAAAACCAACUUCUGUAACUCUUUUACUUGCUGAUAGAUCUGUAAAAGUGCCUAGAGGAAUAGUUGAGGAUGUGUUAGUACAAGGUGAUAAAUUCAUUUACCCUGUAGAUUUUAUUGUCUUGGAUACACAACCUGUUGAAGCAUGUAAUUCAAUUCCUGUAUUUUAGGACGUCCAUUUCUUGCACUUCUAAUGCAUUGAUUAAUUGUAGGAAUGGACUGAUGAAGCUAUCAUUUGGAAACAUGACAUUGGAGAUGAAUAUUUUCAACAUUUACAAGCAACCUGGAGAUGAUAAUGAUUUACAGGAAGUGGACUUUAUUGAAAAAUUAGUUCAUGAUCAAUUUCAAACCACUUCUAGUGAAACUGAGAUUGAUGAACCUGAUGAGUUGCAAAUGGUUAUUUUCAGGAAGAAAAGGCAUGUAAUUGGAGACCACAAAUUGAAGAAUUGCCACCACGAUCAAUUGAGUCAUACCUUCAAGUGUUCAACCACCAAAACUGAUUUGAAGCCGUUACCAUUUCAAUCUCAAAUACUCAUUUUUGGGAGAAAAUGAAACUUUUCCGGUAAUAAUCUCUUCCAAACUUAAUGCACAUCAAGAAGGUAAGUUAUUACAGACUCUGAAAAUGCACAAAAAUGCAUUAGGAUGGACCAUAGCUGACAUAAAAGGAAUUAGUCCUUUGAUUUGCACACACAGGAUUUAUUUGGAGGAAAAUGCUAAACCUCUAGAGAAAUGCAACGAAGCUUAAUCCUAAUAUGAAAGAAGUAGUGAAAAAUGAAGUCAUUAAGCUUCUAGAUAAUGGAAUCAUUUAUCCUAUUUCUGACAGCAAAUGGGUAAGUCCUACCCAAGUUGUACCCAAAAAGUCUGGAGUCACUGUGAUAACAAAUGAGAAAAAUGAGUUAAUUCCAACUAGGACUAUUACUGGUUGGCGCAUGUGCAUUGACUAUAGGAAACUUAAUUCAAUGACUAGAAAAGAUCAUUUCCCUUUACCUUUCAUGGAUCAAAUCCUAGAAAGAGUUGCAGGUCAUGAAUUUUAUUGUUUCCUAGAUGGCUAUUCAGGUUACAAUCAAAUUGAAAUUGCAUUGGAAGAUCAAGAGAAGACUACUUUCACAUGUCCAUUUGGUACUUUUGCAUAUCGAAGAUGCCUUUUGGUUAUGUAAUGCACCAGCCACGUUUCAAAGAUGCAUGCUUAGCAUAUUCAGUGAUAUGGUUGAACGUUUUCUUGAGAUUUUUAUGGAUGAUUUUUCUGUUUUUGGUGAUUCAUUUGAUGAUUGUUUAACUAACUUGGAAAAGGUUUUGAACAGGUGUGAAGAGAAGAAUCUUGUACUGAAUUGGGAAAAAUGUCACUUUAUGGUAACAAACGGCAUUGUACUUGGUCACAUUGUUUCAUCGAAAGGAAUUGAGGUUGACAAAUCUAAAAUCGAGUUAAUUGCCAACUUACCAACACCAAAAUCUGUUAAAGAUGUUAGAUCAUUCUUAGGACAUGCUGGUUUUUACAGAAGGUUCAUCAAAGAUUUUAGUGUAAUAUCUAAACCAUUGUGUAACCUUCUAACAAAGGAAAAUGUUUUUGAAUGGACUGAACAAUGUGAAAAAGCCUUUGUUAAACUUAAAGCUUGCUUACUUCUGCUCCUGUCAUUCAACCUCCUGAUUGGUCACUACCUUUUGAAAUAAUGUGUGACGCUAGUGAUUAUGCCGUGGGUGCUGUCUUGGGACAAAGAAAAGAUAAGAAACCUUAUGUGAUUUACUAUGCAAGUAAAACUUUAAAUAGUGCUCAAAUGAAUUACACUACCACUGAAAAAGAAUUACUUGCAGUAGUAUUUGCAUGUGACAAGUUCAGAUCUUAUCUUGUUGGCUCACCUGUUGUUGUUUUUAGUGAUCAUGCAGCAUUGAAAUAUCUUCUCUCUAAGAAAGAUUCUAAGGCUAGAUUGGUGCGGUGGAUUUUGUUACUUCAAGAAUUUGAUAUCACAAUCAAAGACAAGAAAGGCACCGAAAAUGUUGUCGCGGAUCAUUUGUCAAGAUUGACAACCGAUUCGAGAUCUGACAUCACACCAAUCGAUGACUACUUUCCUGAUGAAUCUUUAUUUUCUGUCUCUACGAUGCCUUGGUUUGCUAAUAUUGUUAAUUUUCUUGUUUCAGGACAAUUGCCAGCUCAUUGGAGUACCCAAGACAAAAGAAAGUUCUUGAACGAAGUGAAGAACUUUUAUUGGGAUGACCCUUAUUUAUUCAAAUAUUGUCCUGAUCAAAUAUUUCGAAGAUGCAUUCCUGACAAUGAGGUAAGUAGUGUCAUUAAAUUUUGUCAUUCUGAGGCAUGUGGGGGUCAUUUCUCAUCAAGAAAGACAACUGCAAAAAUCUUACAAAGUGGAUUUUACUGGCCCACCAUGUUCAAAGACUCACAUGCAUUCUGUAAGACUUGUGAAAAUUGUCAAAAGUUGGGAUCUAUUUCGAAACGUCACAUGAUGCCUUUAAAUCCUAUUCUUGUCAUUGAGAUCUUUGACUGUUGGGGUAUAGAUUUCAUGGGUCCAUUUCCUCCAUCAUUUGGUUUCUUGUACAUAUUGGUCGUAGUAGAUUAUGUUUCAAAAUGGAUAGAGGCAAUUCCAAGUCGAACCAAUGAUCACAAAACAGUGAUAAAGUUUUUGAAAGAAAACAUUUUAAGUCGAUUUGGAAUCCCUCGAGCCAUGAUAAGUGAUGGUGGAACACAUUUUUGCAAGUCAUUUGAGUCUUUAAUGAAGAAAUAUGGAAUCACACACAAAGUUGCCACCCCUUAUCACCCUCAGACGAGUGGACAAGUAGAACUUGCUAAUAAGUAGAUUAAACAGAUCUUAGAGAAAACAGUGAACCCUAAUCGGAAAGACUGGUCUUUAAGACUUAAUGAUGCACUUUGGGCUUAUCGAACUGCGUAUAAAACAUCAUUUGGUAUGUCACCUUAUAGACUAGUAUAUGGAAAACCUUGUCACUUGCCUGUGGAAAUUGAACAUAAAGCUUAUUGGGCUAAUAAAGCUUCCAAUUCGAACAUUGAUGAUGCUAGUCAGCUACGAAAAUUGCAAAUAAAUGAGCUUGAGGAAAUAAGAAAUGAUGCAUAUGACAAUUCAAGAAUUAAUAAAGCAAGACUCAAAGAGUUUCAUGACAAGAAAAUACUGAGAAAAACAUUCAAUGUUGGUCAAAAAGUCUUGCUUUAUAAUUCUCGACUCCAUUUAUUUCUUGGAAAACUAAGAUCAAGAUGGAGCGGUCCUUUUAUUGUGAAACAUGUGUAUCCAUAUGGGGCCUGUGAUAUAGAAAAUCCAAAGAAUGGAAAUGUUUUCAAGGUAAAUGGGCAUCGGUUGAAAGUUUAUUUUGACAAUUUUUCAGUUGAAAAUGACUAUUGAAUUGAGUGAUCCUGUAUAUAAAGAUUGAUUCUUUUUCUCACAUUGUUUUGUGUUUUGUUUUGGUGUAUCUUUUUUUUUGCUAGUUUCUCUCACCCCGGUCAAAUGGCGGAUAACGGUACUCCAUGACUCUUAAGUCGGUUCUUUUAGUUUCCCAUGAUAACUUAUAUCUGUGUAUAUAAUUGUGCAAUUCUCUGCUCUUUCUUCUUUCUUUGAAUCUCUCAUCCAAUUCUCAUUUGAAAAUGGACACCACUCUUGAAAAAUUGAAAAAUUAUUUUCCCGCUCUGCCUCAAAAUGCGAUUACAAAAAUUUACCGUGCUAGAUGUGCGAGAUUGAGGUUGUUAAUGAAUCAUGGAAUUCUUGAAGAUAUUCAUUGGCUAAUUGAAGCAAAGGUUCGGUUAUCAGGUGAGUCCUCCAAUUCUUUCAUUUCACACAUGCCUGGAACAAGUAAAAGCACUUUUGCAAAGAAACGUCGUGCAAAACGACUACAACUCUGUCACAAAUGUGCCAGAUGGACUUGUAAUGCGACAUGUCGUUCUUUAGGAAUGGUAUCUGUAAACCGUGAAGAUAAAAUACAAUUCAUUAAGGAUGGCCUGAGUAAGGGGUCUUUAGAUAAUCUUCUAUUGACUCUUGAGACGCACCCUAGUGGAGAUGUGCAUCGUGCAAUUUAUGAUUUAUGGCCCCAAUUCCAUAAAGAACAUGCUCGACUUAGUCUUGGGAAUCUGACUAAAAAAGACCCUGUUUGCCAGUUUUUAAGAAAACUGGAUGGGAAGCCUAUCCCCGACCCAGAUAGGGCGUUUAAGCUGUUCUUGGACGUAAAACCAAGGGAAGAUGUGAGCCACAAUCACAACUACCUAUACAUACAUGAUUUGUCAAGCCGUUUUUGGACAUAAAACUAAGGGAAGAUGUGAGCCAUAAUCACAACUACCUGUACAUACACAUGCCUUUUUCAAAUAAAUAAAGAGAGAGAGAGAGAGAAAGAGAGUGAGACUACGGUUGGCCUACAUAUAGGUGGUAUGAUUGCAUUUUCAAUUUCUCAUCUAUAAAUUCUUCUCUUCCUUCCCUUCAUUUCUACUCAACCCAUACUUUCAUCAAAUAUAGAAGUGUGUAGAAAUGGCAGGUUCCUCAAGUCAUAACAUAAACAAUAUUUGUGUUUUCGGUGGAUCAAGUCUUGGGAAAGAAAAAAAGUUUUUAGAAUCAGCAAAUCAUCUUGGUCAGGUAUUAGCUGAGCGAAAGAUUCAUUUAGUGUAUGGAGGAGGCAGCCUUGGGUUAAUAGGGGGAGUGUCAAUAGCUGCAUUUUUAGGAGGUACUCAAGUUUUGGGGGUAGUCCCCAAAGCUUUAGCAUAAGGGGACAUCAUUGGAAAAACAAUUGGAGAGGAAUUACAAGUCCCCAUAAUUUCUGAUCGACUGAAUGCCAUGUUUAACCAUGCUGAUUCCUUCAUUGCCUUACCAGGUGGUCUGGGCACAUUGGAAGAGAUCUUUCAUAUUUCCUCUUGGGCCCAACUGCACAUUCACCAUAAACCCAUAGGUUUGUUAAAUGUUAAUGGUUUUUAUGAUAAGUUGUUGUCUUUUCUUGUUCAUGCUAUGGAACAGGAAUUUCUAACAUCUUCAGCACGACAAAUCAUAAUCUCUACUGCUACUGCUGAACAAUUGAUUGACCAACUACAAUCUUUCAUCCCUGUAAUUAAUCCCUCCAUGAGUCGCAUAAAAUUGGUCAACUAAGAGAAAGCCGUAAAAAGCUUAGAUGUGGAUUUGAGCUUCGUUUGUAAAAACUUUGUGUCUUUUGGUUUUAUUAUUGUGUUUUGUUGUUUCUUAUAUUUGUUUAAGUGUGUUUCAGGUUUGUCAGUGUUCGUUAUUUCAGGUGAUGUCUUCUAUACUCUAUCUUUCUACCUUAAGACAUUGAGGACAAUGUUUCAUUUUGGUUGGGGGGAAAGGGUAGUAGUUGAUAAUUAAAAAAAAAAAACUAAAACGGUGGAGCAUAAGGAGGUGCAUAUCCAUGAGAAUUUUGGAAAUUAUGGUGUGCUUGAAACGGUGGCUGUGAAGUUUGUGUAUUAUUGUUAUUACUCUUCCAACUGAAAUUUGGGUGAUUUCUCCAACCAGGGUUAUACAUUUGUGAGUAUAGGUUAUGGUUGGGCCUUUGGAAACUGUUUAAAGCAUGGGCUUGUUCAUGGAGGCAUUCCUUAAAAGAAGGCAAAGUUGGACAAUCAUUUGUUGAGUGUUCCUUGGUUUCACAGAUUUGACACACAAUGUCUUGAACAGAUUUUAAUUGACCACUCUUUUUGAAUUCAAGUGCUUCGACUUUUCUAUCUAAAGAUGCAAACUUGGCUUGGAGGUCAUGAUCUUCCCUAAGGUUGUGCAUACCUCCACUAGAUGUAUGAGGCUGAGUUUUACUUGGUGCCUCAUAAGUAUCUGUGGUAUCCCAAUUUUGAGCAUUUUCGGCUAACAAGUCUAGGUACUCCAUUGCUUUAUUAGGGUCUUUAUCUUUAAAAGUUCCAUUGCACAUCAAUUCAACCAUUUGCUUAUCUCUAGGUGUUAAACCUUCAUAAAAAUGUGAAACCAAUCUCCAUGUUUCAAAACCAUGAUGAGGGCAAGUAUUAAGCAAAUCUCGAUACCUAUCCCAACAUUGGUAAAAUGUUUCUCCUGGCUUUUAAGUUAAAGUGAUGAUUUGUCUUUUGAAAGAGUUUGUUCUGUGAGACGGGAAAAACUUCUUUAAAAAUUUUUGUUGCAUUUCAUCCCAAGCACGAAUAGAUCCUGGUCUCAAAUUUUGUAGCCAUGUUUUAGCUUUAUCUUUUAAUGAAAAAGGAAAAAGCUUUAAUCUGAUAGUGUUCAUGCUACAAUUUGAGUCAUUAUAGGUAUUACAGACCUCCUCAAAUUCCCUUAAAUGCAAGUAUGGAUUUUCUAGGUCUAAACCAUGAUAAGAAGGUAAAAGUUGAAUAAUGCCUGGCUUAAAAUUAAAAUGAGAUGCAUCAGGAGGGAAAACUAUGCAUGAUGGUGCACUUGUUCUUGUGGGAUUCAUGUGGUCUCUAAGUGUUCUCAUACGAUUAUUCUCAUUAUUCUCAUUAUGAAGUGAUUGAUUAUCUUCUUCGGCCAUAUUUUCUGAAAAUGAUAAGGAUACCCUAUAAAGUUUACCACUUAAUGUACGUGACCAAACUCUUAUGCACGUGUAAGAAGAGAAUAAAAGGAAGAAAAUAAAAGAGAAGAAAAAGAAACAAAAGUUAGAUAAAAUGAAAAAUGAAAAGAGAAAAUAAAAUAAAUAUUAUAAUUUAUACAAGAAUUUACCUCCCUGGCAACGAUGCCAAAAACUUGACACGACCAAAAGAUUGAUGUCUUCUCCCAAGUGCAGGAGUGUCGAAGUAAUAAAUAACUCGGCAAGACCGGGGUCGAACCACGAAGAGGUUAAUUGUAUAAAUUAUAAAUAACAAUACAACAACAACAACAACAAUAAUAACAACAACAAUAACAAUAAUAGUAAUAAUAAUAUUAAUAGUAGUAAUAAUAAUAAUAAUACUUAGUAGUAAUACUAAUAAUAAUUAUAAUAGUAAUAAUAAUAGUAGUAAUAUUAAUAAUAAUAAUAGUAAUAAUAAAGAGAGCUUUGAGAUGUAAAAUUGAUGUAAGGAUUAAACAAUGAUAAAAACAAAUGUCAAGGUUAGAGGAUCCACUAAUGGUACUUCAAACAAGUAUAGUAUAAACUCUUAUUACUCAAUUGGAAACCACACAUAAAGGAGGAUCCAAUCAAAUUAUAAAUUGUUAACAUGAUUACAUUAGUUAUCUUAUUCGAAUAAAGCUAAUACUUGUAAAUGUUGGCAGGCAUUCAUGAUUAUAACUUAUGUUAACAACAAAUCAAGUUUCUUUCAUAGCUCAGGUGUCGGUUAUACCAUACAGUAUGGGCUAUGAAAGUGCCAAGUAUUUGUUGUACCAAGUGUUAUACAACAUAAAUCUAGAUUAACCAUUUAAUAAGCAAAGUACUAAAAGUGAACAAGAUAACAAAUAUAAAACAUGUUAGUAUCCAACGUUAAGGUCCAUGUUAAGUUUAUACUAUACUUAUUUUUACACUAUUAGAGUAUCAUUUUCACCUUGACAUAAUUAACUUAGCUAAACAUAAUGAAAGAAAGAAACAUAAAUGAACAAGAUAGGAACAUAAAUGAGAAAGAAGUUAACUAAGUAAAGGAAAGGAAAUGAAGUGUAUAAACUUGAUAUUAAUGAAAGCAAAACAUAAGAAAUACAAAGAGAGAAAGCAAGAGCAUGAUCUUGAUCUGGAAACCAAGAUGCCUCAAUACAUGGUAAGUGCCUCCUUUUAUAGGCUAAAAUUUGGAACUAUUGAUUUGUUGACUAAUUGAUGAGUGGGUGGCCACAUCUUGACUUGGUGACAAUCCUUAUCUUCUUGUCUGAACAAGACAUCAUUGCUAACAUCAUAAUUUUCCCAGAAUCCUCAGGAAUGUUCUAGGAAAUUGUCUCAGCUUUCCAACAACAAAAAAAGAUGAGGUCAUUUGGACUUCUAGAACUCAAGAUAUGGGCUGAACACUAAAUAGUGUCUGAGCUGCAAGACAGCUUCAGACUUCUUCGUUGUUUCUAUAAUUUGGACUUGAAAAAUGCCUUCUUAGAUCUUGGUGUCCAAAUGAAAGUUGUAGGCCUAUGUUUUACCUUUCCAUCCAUAUAAAAUGGACCUAAAUCCGAGAUCUAGAGCUCCAGAUAUGAUCCAAUUACCGAGCAAUGUUCCGGUUUGGAUUGCACCAGCAUCUCUUUUCUAGGUUUGGCCAUCUCUUUGUCCUUUCACUUUCAAUGCUUAAACUAAUCAAUCAAUCCUUUUAUUUAUGUGAUAGUCCUGCAUUUAAGAUGAGCAUUUACUAUAAAUUAAGGUAUCUUAUAGUAUUAAACUUGUUAUUAUAAAACAUGCUUUAGUUGAGUUAUUGAUACUUCAAGUGCAAAAUGAUGAUAUAAAACCUUGAUAAACAUGCACUUUUAAGUACUAAUCAGUCACCUUAUAGACUAGUUUAUGGAAAACCUUGUCACUUGCCUGUGGAAAUUGAAUAUAAAGCUUAUUGGGCUAUUAAAGCUUUCAAUUCAAACCUUGAUGAUGCUAGUCAGCUGCGAAAAUUACAAAUAAAUGAGCUUGAGGAAAUAAGAAAUGAUGCAUAUGACAAUUCAAGAAUUCAUAAAGCAAGAAUCAAAGACUUUCAUGACAAGAAAAUACUGAGAAAAACAUUCAAUGUUGGUCAAAAAGUCUUGCUUUAUAAUUCUCGACUCCAUUUAUUUCCUGGAAAACUAAGAUCAAGAUGGAGCGGUCCUUUCAUUGUGAAACAUGUGUAUCCAUAUGGGGCCUGUGAUAUUGAGAAUCCAAAGAAUGCAAUGUUUUCAAGGUAAAUGGGCAUCGUUUGAAAGUUUAUUUUGACAAUUUUUCAGUUGAAAAUGACUCUAUUGAAUUGAGUGAUCCUGUAUAUAAAGAUUGAUUCUUUUUCUCACAUUGUUUUGUGUUUUGUUUUGGUGUAUCUAUUGUUUUGCUAGUCUCUCUCUCACCCCGGUCAAAUGGCGGAUAACGGUACUCCGUGACAUAAGUCGGUUCUUUCAGUUUCCCAAAUAACUGAUAUCUGUAUAUAUUUGUACAAUUCUGUGCUCUUUCUCCCUUCUUUGAAUCUCGUCUCCAAUUCUCUUUUGAAAAUGGACACCACUCUUGAAAAGUUGAAAAGGUAUUUUCCGCUCUGCCUCCAAAUGCGAUUACAAAAUUUACCGUGCUAGGUGUGCAAGAUUGAGGUUGUUAAUGAAUCAUGGAAUUCCUGAAGAUAUUCGCUGGCUAAUUGAAGCAAAGGUCGAUUAUCAGGUGAGUCCUCAAAUUCUUUCAUUUCACACAUGCCUGGAACAGGUACAAGCACUUUUGCAAAGAAACGUCGUGCAAAACGACUGAAAGUCUGUCACAGAUGUGCCAGAUGGACUUGUAAUGCGACAUGUCGUUCUUUAGGAAUGGUAUCUGUAAACCGUGAAGAUAAGAUACAAUUCAUUAAGGAUGGCCUGAGUAAGGGGUCUUUAGAUAAUCUUUUGUUGACCCUUGAGACGCAUCCUAGUGGAGAUGUGCAUCGUGUAAUUCAUGAUUUAUGGCCACAAUUCCAUAAAGAACAUGAUCGACUUAGUCUUGGGAAUCUGACUAAAAAAGACCCUGUUUGCCAGUUUUUAAGAAAACUGGAUGGGAAGCCUAUCCCCGACCCAUAGAGGGCGUUUAAGCCGUUCUUGGACGUAAAACCAAGGGAAGAUGUGAGCCACAAUCACAACUACCUGUACAUACAUGAUUUGUCAAAAUAAAUAAAUAAAGGAAGAGAGAGUGUGAGACAACAGCUGGCCUACAUAUAGGUGGUAUGAUUGCAUUUUCAAAUUCUCAUCUAUAAAUUCUUCUUUUCCUUCCCUUCAUUUCUACUCAACCCAUACAUUCAUCAAAUAUAGAAGUGUGUAGAAAUGGCAGGUUCCUCAAGUCAUCACAUAAGAAAUAUUUGUGUUUUCGGUGGAUCCAGUCCUGGGAAAGAAAAAGAGUUUUUAGAAUCAGCAAAUCAUCUUGGUCGGGUACUAGCUGAGAGAAAGAUUCAUUUAGUGUAUGGGGGAGGUAGCCUUGGGUUAAUGGGAGGUGUGUCAAUGGCUGCAUUUUGGGAGGCAGUCAAGUUUUGGGGGUUGUCCCCAAAGCUUUAGCAAAUGGGGACAUCAUUGGAAAAACAAUUGGAGAGGAACUACAGGUCCCACAAUGUCUGAUCGACUAAACGCCAUGUUUAACCAUGUUGAUGCUUCAUUGCCUUACCAGGUGGUCUGGGCACAUUGGAAGAGAUCUUUCAUAUUUCCUCUUGGGCCCAACUGCACAUUCACCAUAAACCUAUAGGUUUGUUAAAUGUCAAUGGUUUUUAUGAUAAGUUACUGUCUUUCCUUGAUCAAGCUGUGGAACAGGAAUUUCUAACAUCUUCGGCACGACAAAUCAUAAUCUCUGCUGCUACUGCUGAACAAUUGAUUGACCAACUACAAUCUUUCAUCCCUGUCAUUGAUCCCUGCAUGAGUCGCCUAAAUUGGUCAACUAAGGAAAGCCGUAAAAAGCUUAGAUUAGAUUUGAGCCUUCAUUUGAAACCUUGUGUCUUUUGGUUUUAUUAAUAACAUAUUAUUUUGUUUUGUUACUUAUAUUUGUUUAAGCGUGUUUCAGGUUUGUCAUUGUUCGCUGUUUCAGGUGAUGUCUUCUAUACUCUAUCUUUCUACCUUAGGACAUUGAGGACAAUCUCUCGUUUUGGUUGGGGGGGGAGGGUAGUAGUUAAAAAAACAAAAAACCUAACUUACUAACUGUUUUUGCUAUUAUUAAAACCAUUUGACAAAAUUGUUGUUAGGAUGGCAGAGUAUGGAGUCGGUUUUAUUAACUCUUGAGAUGCAUCUUAGUAAGUAUCCUUAUUAGGAUGGCAGAGUAAGGAGGAAAUUUUAUUGACUCUAGAGACGCAUCUUAGUAAGUAUCAUUACCAAGGUCUAUCAUAAUACUUCUUGAAAUAUUCAGGUUUACAAACUCUCACAUUGUUAUCACUUGAUUCUGCUCAUAUACUCAUUUAACAAGUAUUCUUAAACCUUCAUUUUCACACACACACUUUAACAUAUGAUUGUGGGUUGCACAUUGGAUUAUUACAUUAAUUAUGUUCUUUUGUUGAAGGUAACAACUAAGGGAAAUGGAUAGUAUAUAAAUUGCAAGAAAAAAAAAUAAUACAAAAAAAAUUGAUAAUAUUGAUGAUAAUAAAAACGUAGAUAAGUUUGGUUUCGUAGCCUCCUUAACCUAAGCAAUUAAGCCUGAAAGGGUGUUUUAACACCUAAUACCCUAAAGUCAACUGACUUGGGAGCUAUUGGCCCAAAGCUUGUUACAUGGGUUAUGGAGAAAGGCUUAAGGGAAUCAAACAUUUCACUAUCUACGUAUCAGUAUCUGCAACUCGAGUUGCUAAGCUCGUAGGGUUGUCUCAACACCUAAUGCCCUAAGACCAACUGGUCUGGGAGUCAUUAGCCUAAAACUCGUUACAUGGGUUAAAGAUACAUUGUGUUUUAAGUUGUAUGUGUAUUCAAAAAAAAAAAAAAAUAAUAAUAAUAAUAAUAAUCCUAACCCAAGGAAGUUAACCUUAAACAUUCGAACAUAAUAUUGUUUUCUUCCAACAAAAGCCCCAUCGUCUAUGUUUUCAUACAUUGAGCACAUAAAAAGAAGGUUUAUUAAUAUCUUGUUUAAGAAGUAUGAAGCAGAAAUAUAAAUUUAAUGAGAGUUUGUUUAUCUGGAUAGAUUAAUGGAAGUUGAAUGAUGAAUGCCUUGCUUUAUGGAACUUGCAAAUUGUUUUUUCUAUUUUAACGCUUUGAUUAUUAGGGACUAGUAAUAAGCUGGUUGGGGGGUGAUUAAUACUUAAAAGUGCAUGUUUAUUAAGGUUUUAUAUCAUCAUUUUGCACUUGAAGUAUCAAUAACUCCUUAACUAAAGCAUGUUUUAUAAUAACAAGUGUGAUACUAUAAAAUGCCUUAAUAUAUGGUAAAUAUUCAUCUUGAAUGCAGGCUUAUCACAUAAAUCAAAGGAUUGAUUGAUGAAUUCAACUACUGAAAUUUUGAAGAUAAAGAAGGGUGAAGCUUAGAAAAGAGAUGUUGGUGCAGUCCAAACUGGAACACUAUUUGGUAUUUGGGUCAUAUCUUGAGUUCUAGAUGUCCAAAUGAUCUCAAAGUUUUACACAGAUUUGGUGAGAUAUAAGCCUACAACUUUCAUGUGAACAGAAAAAUCUAAGAAGGCCUUUUUCAUGUCCAAAUUAUAGCAACAAUUGGAGAAGUCUGAAUCUAUCUUGCAGCCCAGACACUGUUCAGUGUUCAGCCCAUAUCUUGAGUUCUAAAAGUCCAAAUGACCUCAACUUUUUUUUCCUGGAAAGCUAAGAGAAUUUCCUAGAACUUUGAUGAUUUCAUAUGGUUCCAGUUCUGAUGUUAGAAAUGACAUUUUAUUCAGACAAGAAGAUAAGGAUUUUCACUAAGUCAAGAUGUGGCCACCCACUCAACAAUUGUUCAUCAAAUCAAUAGUUCCAAAUUUUGGUCUAUAAAAGGAGGCAUUUGCCAUGCAUUUAGGCAUCUUGGUUUCCAGAUCAAGAUCAUGCUCUUGCUUUCUCUCUUUGUAUUGCUUAUGUUUUGCUUUCAUUAAUAUCAAGUUUAUGCACUUCAUUUCCUUUCCUUUACUUAGUUAACUUCUUUCUCAUUUAUGUUCUUAUCUUGUUCAUUUAUGUUUCUUUCUUUCAUUAUGUUUACCUAAGUUAAUUAUGUCAAGGUGAAAAGGGUACACUAAUGGUGUAAGAAUAAGUAUAAUAUAAACUUAACAUGGACCUUAAUGUUGGAUACUAACAUGUUUUAUAUUUGUUAUCUUGUUCACUUUUAAUACUUUGCUUGUUAAAUGGUUAAUCUAUAUUUAUGUUGUAUAACACUUGGUACAACAAAUACUUGGCACUUUCAUAGCCCAUACUAUAUGGUAUAAUCGACACCUGAGCUAUGAAAGGAACUUGAUUUGUUGUUAACAUAAGUUAUAAUCAUGAAUGCCUGACAAAAUUUACAAGUAUUAGCAUUAUUCAAAUAAGAUAACUAAUGUAAUCAUGUUAACAAUUUACAAUUCGAUUGGAACCUCCUUUGUGUGUGGUUUCCAGUUGAGUAAUAAAAAGAGUUUAUAUUAUACUUGUUUGAAGUACCAUUAGUGGAUCCUCUAACCUUGACAAUUAUUUUAUGCUUGUUUAAUCCUUACAUCAAUAUCACAUCCCAAAGCUCUCUUUAUCUUAUUAUUAUUGUUAUUGGUGUUGUUGUUGUUGUUGUUAUUGUUGUUCAUAAUUUAUAUAGUUAACCUCCUUGUGGUUUGACCCCGGUCUUGCCGGGUUAUUUAUUACUUCGACACUCUUGCACUUGGGAGAAGACAUCAAUCUUUUGGUCAUGUCAGUGGUGAUGAAACACCGAUCUAACAAUGUUGAAAAUAAUGCAUUAUGAUCAAUAUGCAUGUAUACUUACCUGAGAAAAAUAGGUCCCCAUUUCUUCAUGAUGUCUUUCUUUUCUCAAAAGUUGGAGUGUUAGCAAUGAACUUCGAUGGCUUUUUGGCUCUUGCUUACUCGAGUCAUCUAUUGUGAUCUUGACCUCUAGGAAGGACUUGUGAUCAUCAUACUUCUUUGUCCUCCACCCUUUAUCUCAAAGGUUGCCGAUUUUGCCCAGCAGUUUCUUAGAAAGGGAAUCGUGGAGCCAGCCUUACCAGAUAUAUAUAUUUUUUUUGCUCCCCAACUUGAUCAUGCCCCCAAGUGUUCAAUUCAGGUUUGGGGAUGAGGCUAUGUGAAGGAAGGUUUGACAAGGAGUUUUUUUCAUGCAAAAUUUUUGGAAUUCCAAAGCUAUUCCAGACACAGAAAUCAGUUUGACAUCGAUUCAAAGCAAACUCAUUAUGAAGAAAUUCAAGUGAUUCCUAUAGAGAGGUUAUUCGAAGUGAUGAAAACUUUUUGUUUUGCUUUUGGUGAAAAAUAUGAAGUGACAUUUGGCUGGUCGAAAUGGUUCAAUAUGAGACUUUCAAAGAACCAGUCUUGAAAGCAUUCAUUUUAUUUGCAUGAAUAAUGAUUUGGUUCACAUGAGAAAGCAUUGCCUACUGAUCCAGAUUGCUUGCCUUUGAUCAGAAAGGACUUAAUUAGGCACGUAAUGUAGGCUGGGGCUCUUGGUUAUGAAGAAAAUGAUAUUUGUAGGCUCAAAAGGUGUUUAAGGGAUUUCAAGACUAAGGAUCACCUGUGCUUGUUUCCUGACCUUUUAUCAUUUGAAUGUCUUUCCAAAACUAUCUAUUGUGCCCCCUAGUGUUGGGCUUGGACUUUUUCUCUUUGUUUUUGUUCUCUUCAUUUGGUUUUGAGCAUCAUCGUAUUGGUUUCUUUUUUUUUCUGCUCAAAAUCAUUGGAUCCUUUGGAUUUUUCUUCAUGCCCCCAAGCUUUGUUUGGGCACCUUUGAUGAUUAAGAAUUUUUGUUGAUGCCCCCUAGUGUUGCUCGGGCACUUUCAAUCAUUAAGGUUUUUUUUUUCUAUAUCAUCGCACUUGCCCCCAAUGUGGGGUGUAAUCCUAGCCAAGGUUAUUCAUCUCAAGAAAAGUAUUAGGCUCAAAAGGGGACUGCAAAUGAUAUAUUUUAGCCUCGUGAACGGAUUAUCAAAAAUGGCCUUUCCUCGUCUCAAACUUAUGCACUUAGGAUCGGUAAGCUUUGCUUUCAUGCGAGUAUGCAACGUAAUUUCUCAUUAUUCAUUCAAAUAAAACUCAACUUUUGGAGUCACAUCAUGAUGUGUGUUUGGUUUUUUUUUUUGUGUUUUGUGUUUUUUUUUUGUUUUGUUUUCUAGGUGUAUGGUUACCUUUCUAAGGAAUCACCUGAAUUUCUGGAACUCAUUUGUUUUUUGGACAAACAUCAAUAUGAUUUCUAUUUUUGUACUAAACUUUGAAUUCCUAAAAAUCCUGAUGUGCGAUCAUGCAUAAUUUUGGAUGAAAGGGGAAACAUACCCAAGGAUUCUUGGUGUAAUGGCUUCAUACUUAACAGUUACGCUCAAUAUGUUCUUUUUAUGAAACAACAAAAAAAUGAAGGUAUGUUAUGAAUACAGGAAAACACAUUAUCUUAUUAACAAGAAAGGCUCAUUUGACAGGGAAAGUUUUUUUUUUUUUAUGAAAUUUUGAGCCAAAUUACCAACUAGAACAGGUUGAAACAAAAAUCAAGAAGUUUUCUAGGCAUGAUCAAACUAAGGUUUUUCUUUUUUCAGAACAACAACAGGCUCCAUUCUGUACUGGCGGUGCAAUUCCCUUUUAGUCCGCCUUCCCACAAAAGAUUUUGUAGAAAUACAGGAUUGUGUUGAGGCUCUUGACUACGUUUGCCCUCAAUUUCUUCGAGCUGAGUCGUUGUUAGGUUUUGAACAAAGAUGAUAGGUCGAUUGAAAGGAAACUUUCCUAGAAUUAUGUUUCAGUAUUUGCUCGAGUAAGCUAGAGGCAAGUCAAACUUGUCUUCAGAAACUCCAACUCUUCUUAAAAAGGGACCUUUCAGCGAACACACUCUUCAUCUUUCGUGCUUUUUGCUCAAAGUCGGGUGUUGUAGACUCGUAGGGGACCUACUUUUCAUCCCGGUGCAUGCAUGGCAAAUGAAUGAACAUGUGAUCUAUAUGAUGAACUCGCCCUUCAAGGGGCGACAAUAUGGUCAUAACUCUUGUAUGAUGGAACAAGAAUUGUGAUUUUUGCCCAAACUCUACAAUGAAAAUUUUCGAAGUGACGGCCAAUGUGUCACCCACAAGUCUUGAGUUCAAGAUGCUUCAAGAAGGGUUUGCUCUAAUGCAAAUAACGAUAACACAUACAACCUAAGGACAAGUUCUAUUUAUUAUGUGAACAUGGGUAGGUUUUCUACCUGGUCUCAAGAGGGUCUCAUAUAUGCCCAGUGAUGUUCUUCAUAAAGACAGUAUGGGGGCGUUGCAAGGAAUAGUUAAGGCACGUAUACCCACCAUUACCAAGCAGGCACUCAGAUAUGAGUUGGGUGUUUCACGCAUCUGAACCCCGACCAAUAGUCUUAGGGCAGAUUGCUAGUUCCCCACCUAUCCUAAAAGCUUGUGUGUGCUUUCAAAAUUAAAACAAUGUGAUGCAUGAGACAAUUCUAUAAAAUGCAUGGAAAAAAAAUAUUAACAAAAAGAUAAAAAUGCAAAAACUUAAACACAUCAAAUACACAAAGCUUAGUCCAAUAAUGUCAGAAACAGUACCUUCCCUAGUGGAGUCGCCAUUCUGUCGCACGUCAGAAAAUCUGUGCGGCAUCGGCUUGGCCAUUUUUUCAUUGUGCAUUGUGCAUUGCUUUGCUUUGAUUCGUUGGAGUCGCCACCUAGUAAUUUAUUAAAGACUACUAGGAAACCGAAUGUACUGGUCUUGUCAGAGAUUCGCGGGUAAGGGACUAGUUGUGGUUAGGGAAGGUAUUAGCACCCCUAACGCACCCUACCUGAGGUAAGUUGCUUCGUGGCUUUGACAUGUUAAAGAAGUUUUAAAAUUUUGUUUUUUCAUCGGAUAUUAGAAAUACAACUUACGUAUAAGUUAAUAAUUCUGGACCGUGAGUCAAUCAAAAUAUUAAAUUCUUCUUUAAUCUUUGCAAUUUUAUCAUAAAUAAUAAAAAUAAUAAAAACAUCCAUAAAACAAAUACCAACACACACAUACACUUUCACUAUAUUUAUUUCUGUUCUUUUCUUUUUUUGGUUACAUCCACAUUUACAACAUAUAAAUAAAAAUUAAUACUAAACAAAAACAUUACAUCAACCAAUUUAAAAUUACAAAACAUCCCCUAAAACAUCCUAGGGAUUCUGGAACAAUGCACGGGAAUAGUGGUGCGCGUCUUCCCACGCGCCCCGGCCACUAGCGGCGUGUGGGUUCACGCGCCGCCGCGAACAAGGCCGGAAAACGGGUGGAUCUGGCUCAGCUUCCUUUCCUUUUCCCUUCUCUGCUGGUGGUGACACCCACCGUCACCUGCAAACGAAGAAAAGAACACAGGCAGUCGAUUUUAUAUUUUUUGUUUUUGUUUUGCAGAUCUGCUUCUCUGGUUUGGUUUUUUUUCUGCAGCCAGUGUCUUUUCGUAUCCCCUUGUUCUCCGUUUCAAAUGGCCGGCAGUGUCACCAUAGGGCUUGUCGCACCUCAAAAAAAAUCCCGCGCGGCGUUCGAUGGCGAUUUUUUCGUUUGUUGUUGCUUGAUUUGGUUCUUUGGAGUCGCCACCUAGUAUUUUGGUCACUAGGAACCCUAACUGGUCUUUCAGAGAUUCUAAGGCAAGGGACUGGUUGCGUAAAGGGAAGGUAUUAGCACCCCUAGUACGCCCUACCAAAGGUAAGCUGUUUGGUGUUUGGUUUUCUCUAUAAUUGCUAUGGUGUUGGUGUUUUCUAAUCCCAUCAAUUUUCCCAAGUUUGAUUCAAAUAAAAUUUGUUUAGAUAGAAAUCCAAGGAGAUUUCAUGUGUUUUGAAAGCUCAUUUUUCCCUUAGUAUUUCAAGAGUUUGCAACUCGUAAAUCGCAAGGAGGGACAAAAAAUUUAGAAAUCUAAGGAAAUUCAAAGCGCUUUAAAAGCCUCAUUUUGCCUUAGUAUUUCAUACUUUCACGGCUUGUAAACCGUGGAGUCAAAAAUUUGAAAUUUUGAAAUGUCCUCGAUUAUAAUCAAGGCUUCUUUCAAGGAUGUGUGCGGAUUUAUUACUCCCAAUAAUAUUUUGGAUAUUCGUCCUUUACGGAUUUCUUUAUCCAAACAUUAGCGGUGAAUAAUAGAUGAAUUCCCCCUACCCAAAAUAAGAUUUUUAUAGUUUUUAGAAUACUGGCCAAUACCCUUUGGAGUUUUACAAACAUGUUGUAAAAUCCAGAAAUGCAAGAAAAUAAUUUGUGUUUAAGAAAUCUAUGCGAAAACACAUUUUCAAAACUUCCAAUAUUUUUUUUUAUAUAAAAAGAACAUUCAAAACAUGUUAGAGUAUUGGACGUAUGCAUGAAAACAAAAACAUUUUUUUUAAUAAAUAUUUUUUUGUUGACGAAAACCGGGUAUUUUAAUACCGGAUUUGUAUCUUUGUAGUAUAAAAAUACAAACCGAUAUUAAUCAAAAUACGGUAAUAAAAUUGCAGAAAAAUCACAAAUUCUUUAAAAUAAUUUUUUAAGAAUUUUUAUUUUUUUAAUAAACAAUUUUUAGGUUUGGCCUCGUUUGGCCCAUAUGGCUGGGCUAGACCUAGCAGGCCUAACCGGGUCACUGGCCUGAGCCAGUGUCCUGGGUGGAAGCUCACGUGUGCAUGCUUAGUACCAUAUACAAAUGGUACUGUUUAAGUGAAUUAUAAUUCGCUAUGAACAGUCAAAAUGCAAAAGGAAACCACGCAUAGUAACAUGCAAAAGAAAACCACGCAUAGUAAUAUAUGGUACUGUUCAAGUGAAUUAUAAUUCACUUGAACAGUAACAUUUGCACUUCACUGUUCAACUGAAUUAUAAUUCACUUGCACAGUGAAAAUGCUAAAGGAAAUCACAUGCACAGAGAUGCAAAACGCUUACCUGGACGUGGAACCGAAAGGAACGAAGACGAUGUCGAACACUCACAGUGAUGCUGGUGGCGGUGGAGAGGAAGCCGACGAGGGCUCACGGUGGUGCUGACUGUGGUAGUGGCUGGUUUGGCAGUGGCGUUGCUGUGGCUCCUCUUCCUCUUCCUUACUGUUUUGGCGCUGCUUCUUCUCUUUAUUUCCUUUGCUCCCUCUGUCAACAAGGUUCUUCUCUUUCUUCAACAGCUUCGCGGAGAUGCUGGUGGUGGCAGCCUGGGAAGUGGCCUGGAUGGUGGCCAGCCCUUCUUCCUCUUCUUCUGUGCGUUUUUCUCUUCAGCUCUGUUCUCCUCUGUUUUCGUUUCUUCCUUCCGCUUUUCACAGGGCUGUUGUUGACUGAGAUGGCAAUGGCAGCUGGUGGUUGGCCUUCCUCUUCUCUGCUGCUUCUGCGUUAUUUCUUCUGUUUGUCUAGUCACCUUGCUUCUCUGCUUCUUCUUCCAAGCAGCGGUUCUAAGAGCAAGGUGGGCGGUGGCAGUAUUAUUUCAAAUGGUGGGAAUAGAGAGAAAGAGAGAGGUUAUAGUUCUUCUCUUCCCCUCUGUUUUCCUCCUCUCUUUUGUUCCCGGUGUUCUCCCUCUCUCGUCUCUCGUUCCAAAAAAGCCCCCCCUCCUGUUGCUGGUGUCAAGAGCAGUAUUUAUAGGCUAGAAGGGAGCGGGCUGUUGAUGCGCGUGGGGAGCAGGGGAGCGGCCAGUGUCUUCUGUCGGUGGCCCAACGGCGUGGGGCCUCGGUUGGUUGGUGGGCUAGAGGGACCGGCAAAAAUUAAAAAAAAACUUCUUUUUCCUUCUUCCCCGCUGCAUGUUCGGGGGGAAGAAGAAAGGGGAAUAGUGCCGUUCAAAACGGCAUCGUUCGGCCCUUCUCUCUCUUUGAGUUUUUUUUUAAAUGUAUGAAACGGCGCCGUUUUGGAGAAAACGCGUCGUUUCAUUUAAAUGUGGCACCAGAACGCGCCAAAUUUCAAAUCAGCCCUUAAUCAUCUUUUUUCCUUUCAAUUGCAUCCCUGCCAAUUUCUGUCCCCGUCCCUAUAGUUGGCCACGUUUUCCACCUUGGUCCUUGGCCUCUAAUUUAUGCAAUUUAGCCCUCAAUUGAUCAAAAAACUUCCAAUUUCUUCAAUUAGGCCCCUGGAUCAAUUCAAUACAGCCCCCCUAUUUACGCGCCUUUUCCAAAUUGGUCCCUGGUUUCGGAUUUUCUCAAUUAAGCCCCUAAUUGGCCAUUAAACUUCAAUAUUUAUGCAAUUAAGCCCCUGAUUUGACCCAAUAAAAUCCUAAAAAAUAUAUUUUGGCCCUAGAACUUAAAUUUCUUCUAAUUAAAGCCCAAAUUGACUUAAAAAUCAAUUUUCCUCGAAAUCAAAUCCUCUAUAAAUCCAAUUAAAAAUCCAAUUAAGUCUAUAAACAUCCAAAUUUGGGCUUUUCUCCUCAAAAUUUAAAUUUUCCUUCUAAAUAGGGCCCUCAUCCUUCAAGAAUAUACUGUCAAAAAUCCAAUCUUUGUAUUUUUAUACUCCUUGACCAAUUUUCUGACCAUCUUCUGAGUGCUUCUGCCUUCCGUUAUUUUUCUAACCUCCUUUGGCUAUUUAUUUUAUUUAUUUUUGUGGGGACUCGAAAAUGGGUUACAACAGGGCUGCUGGCCUUUGGGUUUUGUCUGAUCUGCAACUAUCGGUGGCCGGUGAAUCUGUGGACGGUGCUGCUAUGGCUGACAGAAGAAAGCGGACCAAUUUGGGAUCUGUGGGUGCCGCUGUCGGGCUGCUAUCGGGCGGUUGAAGGGGAGAAGGCCGGGUCGGCUGAGAGAGAUACGAACUCAUGGGGGAGAUGGAGGCAGGUUCAGGAGCUGCUAUGGGUGAAGAAGAGUUAGUGUGGGUUUGUGAGGGAGAGGGGGCUGUGAGCCGGGAAGAUUUGGUGCGGUGAGGGGCUGAGAAUUUGUGUAUCUGGUAAGGAGGACCGACUGAGAGGAGAAUGAGGUGACUGGUCUCUGGUAAUUUGUGUUCUUUUUUUGUAUUUUCCUGAUGUUUCAAAAUUGCCUCCAUUUUGUGUGAGUUGAAAACCAGUAUUUAUAGGCAAAAAUAUUGCUAGGUUUUCAAACUUGGUCCCUCAACUUCUUUCUUUUUGUAAAUUUGAUUUUUCUUGUAUUUUUUGAAAACGAGCAAUAUCAACGUCAACUCGAUGAGGAAAAUCAAUGAUUUAAAACAUAACACGUGAAAAGUCGAACGCGUUCGAACGACCCUUAAAAAUUUUAAUUCUUUUUAGACAACGCUAAAAAUGCUAAAAAUGACACAAAUAUAUUAAAAAGGUAUUUUUUUGGAUUUUCGAUGUUUUUCUUUAUUUUUGGAUUUUUCUGAAAAUUUAUCAAAACAUAGGUCAAAAAUUGGGUAGCAACAAGCAUCAUGCAAGUAAUUUCAAUAUUGAUUAAUAAGAAUAUCCUUGUUGAUUUAAAGGACUAUUUUCAUCAUUCAUAUCGAAAAUAAUUAUGUUUUGCACAUAAUAUUUAACAAAAAUGAUUGAAGGAAUGAUAUAUUAUUGAAUAUGAGCAAAUUUAAGGUUACAAUCUAUUAGUAUUCUUACAACGGAAGGAUUACCACUCAAACUUUACAAAGGGACGAACGACAUCCUUUGCGUUAGGAUGCUCCCACUCCACUACUGUCUCCCACAAUUCUUUUGGAUACACUAUGAUUUCUUUAAGAGAAGGGGAAGGAGAUGGCUGGCCAUUUUCAAGCAACGGAAGACAAAUUGGCAUCCUCUUCGGCUUCUAACAACGGAUUACAGUAAUUUCUUUAAGAGAAUUGCAAAUCAGUUUUGCACUGCAAAUGUGUAACAACCCUAAUUUUUUUAUUAGUUUAUUCGUUAAUCUCCCCCCUAUAAAGGGUAGAUGAAGCAAACUUUUUAUUUUUUUUUUACUCGCCGAAAUGUCUAACGAAAUUUCAGAAGGGUCCCCUCUAUACCGGGAGAUCCCAAGUUAUCGACAAUGUACCUGCACACAUUUUGAAUCACAUCACAUCCAUGUUUAGUACAAUCAACUGCAUAACUCAUUCUAGAUUAUGCUCAGGACCAUAUUCGUUCCCAAACUCCAUCUUACAUCACACAUAAGUUAAUAAUUAAAAGAGCCAAUUUCAGCAUGAAAUUUCAUAUAUAUAUAUAUAUAUAUAUAUAUAUAUAUAUAUAUAUAUAUAUAUACACAACACAGUUUAAUAUUCUAACAUAGUCUAGUACAUUCUAAUAUCCCAAGCAUAGGUUGAUACAUUUAAUAUUUCAGAAACAAAAUAUUACGAAUAGAAUAUUCCAUAUAGGUUACAUGUUUACUACAUGACAAAAUUAUACCACAAAUCCCUAAGUUCCUAACUUAUACAAAAAAGGAUCAAAGAACUUUAAAUCUAUUCCUGACGUGAAUGGGAGGGACCUGCAAAAAUAUAAAUUUUUCAUAUAAUUAAAAACAAAUGAUUAAAAUACAAGCAAUUUACAGAAUAAAAUUAAACAGCAUAUAUAUCUACUUAAAUCAUAUGAGAUUCUAAAUACAACCACAAACCUCUUUUAAUGGUUAUAUAAGAAUUCUUUAUUCUUCUUUCUUUCUUUUUUUUCUGUUGACUACUUCUCCCCCCCCCCUCCUCAUCAGAAAGACUAUUGCCGACUCCAAUGACCUCCAUUAGUGUCUUUAGUUGCCCGUCCAGGAACAACUAAUUAGUUUCAUGAAAAUAUGAGAUUCUAAACGUUUGUGUCAUUAACUAUUUUUAAAACUAAAAUAGUUAAUCAUUGUUUCAUAUUACCUUGGGUGAUUCUCAGGUAUGCCGAUGUCAAGAUUCUUGACAUCAUUAGCUUUCACCUCAGAAAGCUAAUCAAGUAUAUAAAUUUUGCCGAUAUCGACGUCACCCGCCGAUAUCAUUAACUAUUCUGAAACCGAAUAGUUAAUCAAGUUUGUAAAUUUUGCCGAUAUCGACAUCACGUGCCGAUAUCAUUAACUAUUCUGAAACUGAAUAGUUAAUCAAGUUUAUAAAUUUUGCCGAUAUCGACGUCACCCACCGAUAUCAUUAACUAUUCUGAAACCGAAUAGUUAAUCAAGUUUAUAUUUCUCCUCUCAUGUACCAGUAAUGCCGAUGUUAUCCAGCUUGGUUAACAUCAUUAGCCUCCCAUAUCAAGGACAAACAAAUCAAAUUCGAGAAACAAUCUUUACCAAAAUUCGUUGUUACGAUCUAUUUCCUCCAAAAGAACCCAUAAAUUAAAUCUAGUCCUCCGUUUCAUUUUAUUUCAUUUUUUUUCCUCGUCAAUAAGCAUCAAAUUUUUAUAGUUCAAAAGUUAGUUAAAAUGAUUAUUAACUAGAGGAGAUAUAGAUACCAAGUACCUACUUGUUGUGGACGCUCGACUUGCGUUCCCUUGUGGUUGAUGUACUCCUCCUGCGGUUCCUCCUGAAACCAAAAACACCCAUCAUUAUUCCAUAUUAGUCCACAUAUCACACGCAAUAGCAACAUUGGAAAUAAUAUUGAUUUCUCUUUUACCAAAUCUUUUCUUUCUCACUUACAUUUCCUCAUUAUUAUCCUUUAACUUUUCAGCUCAUUAGUAGUCCAAGUGGAUAUCAUAAAUUCAAUUUUGAUCACAGUUUAUUCUUUUUGAAGAUCAAGACACACUUUAUGAAGGGCAAGAAAACAAAUUCUACCCUUAAUAUGGCUAAAUUUUGCCAUUUCAUCAACUUGGCCGAAUCUGCCAAUAGGGGUGGCAGCUUGACCUCUCCUCAAUUUUUUAUUUGUAUCUGGAGUUCUAGAACUCCAAAUUAGGCGGGGUCAGAUUCGUUGGAAAGCUAACAUACAACUUCUAUGAGGGGACCCUCCCUGAAUUCUGUAGUUUUCAGGUGCAAAAUCCCCCCAGGAAACAGGGCAACGAACCUGCCCUGUUUUGUUAAUGGAGAAAGUAUCUCCAAUUCAUCUUAAAUCCCUGCUUCCUCAUCAGUCACAGCCAUGCCUUCCUUUUAUUCAUGGCAUUCCCGUCUCAUUUUAUGUCCUCUUAAGGUCACUUGUACCAAAUUAAUUAAUUAAGCACAUCAUAAGUUCUCAUUCCCUCUCUACAGUAUCCAGCAGAGAACGUGGCCAAGGGAACCAAGAGUUCCCUUCCUCUCUUUUAUGCACUCAUUUCUUCUUUUUCUUUAAGGCACUUAGAUUAUUCUAAUCCAUUUAACCUCACUCAUUUCUACAUUUUCCCAAUAUUUUAUGUUAAAGAACCCUAAUUCCCAAUUCAAGAAAGGCAUAAACUUCUAAUCAAAUUGAAGUUGAUUUCAUAGAAAUUGGAAUUGCAACUCCUUACUUGGAUGGAAAUCUAAACUUUACUUCACAAAUUUUAGAAGAAUCUUAGCCUUCUUCUCCUUGUAUGUAGUCAACCACUCUUCCCCCUCUUUUCUUCACCAAUUCUUCACUUUUCUUCUUGUUAAUUCUUCCACCCGAUUGUGUUCCUCCACUUAAUAAUUCCAAGGCUUAUUUGGGUUUACUAAUUUUAGGUGUUUACUCCAAGUUUUGAUGAAAGAAAAAUCUGAAAUUCUCCCCUCCUCCUUAUUCUUAUUAUCAUCCGGCCAUGGAUGAGAGAAGGGAUGGGUAUUUAUAGUCCCAUCUCUUCUUAAUUCCAUUUUGGCCCCAUCUUUCACCCCUUUUUUUAUUUCUUUAUUUUGUAUUUUUUUUUUUUUGCUUUAUUUUAUAUUAUAACAUUUUGAAUUAUUAUAAACCUCUCCCUCUUUAUAUACUUUAUUCUCGGGCUUCAUAAAAUGCUUUUCAAUUCUGGUAAACCAAACUAUUCCAAAGUUCUUAACUUUGGGAGAAUGAAUUCCGUGAUGGAAUUGGAGAUGCUGCUUUCUACAUCUGUGUUCCUAUUAUCUCCUCCAUUUUCUCACAAUCACUAACAAUAAUCACUUCCAGGUUUAUGAAGUUUGGCAGCAACACAAGUGGGAACAACUUCUUCAUACUGUUACAUCCACCACAAUAAAGCUUUUUAAGACCAGAAAACAUACCAUUAUAUGAUGGCAAUGGUGGUGGAGCAGAGCAGAACCAAGAAGAUGAAACCCUGCUCUCCAUGCUAUUGCAAUCCCAAAUGUUGAUUUCCUCCAGUUCAGUUGCAUUCUCUAAUGACAAAACAUCGCAUAAACUUCUUGCAUCGAUGCAUCCACAAACCAGUCCUUGAAUGCCAUUUAAGAACUUGACCUGAAAAUCUCUAUCUUUGUUGAUAAUCAAACUACCCAACCCAACUGUUUUACUUGGAAAAUCAUUAAAGUCUCCCCAAAAAUCUUUAUCCACCAUUCCUACAAAAAAUUUGUAUGCGCUUAAUGAUUGGAUCCCAUCCCGAGAUCUGAGAUACUCCAUGAAGUCAAAGAGACGUUUGAAAUGGCAUUCCAAAGUUUCCAAAUUUCUCAAGGAUCCUACUUCCUUGAGAAAUAGAGUGGAUAGAUUUGGACACAUUGGUGAAUGGCUGGAAGAAAUUUCUACGAUCUCGUUUUGCAUUAGUGAAACUCUCGUCAGAUUCUCAGUCCACUCCUCUGCAUCUGGCAACUUUUUUAAUUGUGCACCAGCUUUAACCAUGCCUGUAGAGUUCUCUAGCAGUAUUUGGAUGACCAUGUCCCUAAUCAAGUCAUGCAUCUUGACACAUCUACUAUCAUCUUCCAUGGAGGUAGCACCUUCCAAUAAGCAGACAUUUUCAAGCCUAUUAAGCAUCGUGUGGCCCUCACCAAAUGUAUCUCCCCUGCUCCUCUUUCCUUUAAUUAUUCCCUCAUCGAUCAAAUAACCUAUCAACUCCUCCCUUUCAAUCAUAUCAUCUUCAAGAAAUAAUGCACAGUACAAGAGACAUUGUUGAAGUGCUAAAUCACCUAACCGAUCAUAACUAAACCUCAAUAACUUGAAUACUUCUGUGUCCCUAAAUUCUAUUUCUUUCAAUUUAUUCAAUGUAUUCCUCCACUGAUGGAGGUCAUCCACUCCCCUCAAGCUUCUUGCCACUGUAAUAAUUCCCAAUAGCAAACCAGCACAUUCCCUAGCAAUAGCUUUAGCAAUUCCUUCCACUUCUGAAACUGUCAUGUCAUGUCCAAGAUUCUCCUUCAACAAAGUCCAAGCUUCUCCCUCAAAAAGUCGCUUCACUUGGAUUUUGUGAUUGCAAGCAAUUCCAUGACAAACUGUUUCUGAUCGAGUUGUCAAAAUCAGCUUGCAUCCUUUCAAUGAGACAGGAAUUCCCACUUCGUGUAGCUCAAAAUUAUUCCACAAAUCAUCUAAAAUGAGAAUCCAUUUUUGUUUCUUCCUUAGUUCUUCUGACAAUUUGGCAGGUCUGAGCUGAACAUCAUCUUCGCUUGAAAGGUCUCGAUGAAGAUGUUUAGCAAUAAGAUUCUGCAAUCUAUUAAUGCUGAAAUCUUGAGACAGAGUCACCCACCAAACAUGAUCACAAAUAUCUGGUCUUUGUAGAAGCUCAUUAUGGAUAUGUUGCAGUAUUGUUGUUUUACAAACUCCCCCCAUCCCAUAAAUGCCAAUGGUUGGGACUUCAUCAUCCAUUAACAAAGAACAUAUCACCUUCUUAUUCUCUUCAAAUGCUUGACCCACAUUUAUAGAGCUAGUAGGUAAUGGAACUCCUCUAGUCUUGUUGUUUUUCAGACUUUCAGAAGAUCUAGUAGGUAAUUGAUCUUCCAUUUCUGCCCUUCCCCUUGCAGUAACUCCUACUAUUGUUGUAAUUCCACAGUCAUUAACAUUGACUGCAGUUGCUGUGAUUUUUUGUCUUUUGUUGCCACCACACAGAGCUAGAAAGGCUGCUUCUUGAACUUCUUUAGCCACCCCACGACAAAUGGCAACACCACGCCUUUCUUCUCCUGCUAAAUGCCAUUUGAUCCUUGAAAUGGAGGUUUUAUUGGCAAAUGUAUGUGGACAAAACUUACACUUCAUGCUACCAUCAGUCGUAUAGUCAAUAUAAUUCCAAAAUGGAUCCUUUGAUCUAACCAUUUCAACCUAUAUAAAAAAAAGGUAGGUCAAAAUAAAGAAUAAAAAUUGAUGCAAGUUACACCAUAUCCAGAUGGAUGAGAAACUACUUCUUCAGUGUUGUUACCCUUAUUUUGCUAUUAAAAUUGAUAGUUAGUUUAUUGCACAAUCAUAGGAGGGAAAUAGACGAGGAUAAUUCAGUUAGACUUCUUACUUGUUGAGUAUUUAAACCCCUAUUUUGACUUUGCAGGGAAGUGCCAAGGCCAGUAUUUGAGGCAUUUGGCCUAGCUGUUUGAUUUUGCAAUCCUCGGACUUGGAGGUUAUCCAUCUGUGACCUAUAUACAAAUGAAGUGAACAUAUUAUAAAACCUUUCCAUAAUUGGUAGUGUCUCUUAAGCAGUAAAAGUUAAUGGUGUUAAAACACAACAGCUAGAAGUUCUCUUGUUGCACAUUGUCUAUAUUAGGAAUUACAGCAGCUUGAUCGACUUGUCCUUGAUUAGAAAAAUAUUGACUCCUGAGUCCAAAAUCAUUUGCAAACAAUAUGUUUAGCUUGUUGGGUUCAUGUUCAAGCUAUGAUGUUUCUUUCCUGAUUGAAAAACUAAUUUUUUUUUUUUAUAUAUAGAAAAUACUAAACAUGAAAAAUUGGAUACCGGGGAGCAGUAAAAGGAGGUCCAGGUUGAAUGAAGCCACCAUGUUCUGAAGUGGUUGCGUUCGGUGUCAUAUAGCCAUGUCCCGGCUGUGGUUGAUGAGUAUUGGAGUACUGAUGCCUGAAUAAUAUUCAAAUAGUUAAACUUAGUCCAGUUAGUAUCGCAGGCACUUGAUUGCUCAUAAUUGGUAACUGAUAAUUAGUCCCUUGUUGGUCCCUAAAUUAGCAACAUUUGUUAGUAAUUUCUUUAUACAUAUACGCAUAAUUCUUUGCUAUUAAUCCACUAAGCAUUUGAUAUCAUUUUAGCUUACCUCAAAGGCAUUGAUGGUCCAGGUAGCAUGGGAUUGGCACAUCGAGGAUCAGAUAAAUUAGGAUGAGGCAGAUACCUAUAUUCAAAUAUAAUGAAUUCAUUUAGUGUAAUAAAUUGGCAUCACUGAUAAGAAUAUUAGGCAGAUAAGUAGAACAACAAGAAGAAGAAGUUAAAUAAUGAUGAAUAUUAUGUACAGGAAGAAUUUAAAUAAUGAUUAUUCUCAAUUAGUUGAUUUUCUAGUUUCAUUAUGUGAUGCAAAUCACGAGACAGGGGAAACAUGGGGAAGGCAAGGACUCUUGAAAGCUGAUUAAAGCUUAUUAGCUGUAGUUAUUAUUUCCUAUUUAGCUGAUAGUUUCCUAGUCAGAUUAGUAUUAGAUUUCAAUUACAUAUUAGAUCGUAACUCCUUAGCUGUAGGGUAUUUAAGAGGAGAACAGAACAAAAUAUGGGACAUUAUUUGUAUUCUUGGCAAUUGCUUUCUUUAAAUACAAAUUGAAGUGAUUCCUCUACAUAGAGAUCAUGUAUUAAAUUAUUUAUUGUUCUUACUGGGAGCAACGAGAGGUUGUACCGGAGGGCAUUUACAUUAAUAUGUGCACAAAAAAAAAGAGAGAUAGGGAGAUAGAGAGAUAGAGAAAGAGAGAUAGAGAGCUCAAAAGAAGUUAAAUAAUGAUGAAUACCUUGAUGGAGGUUGAGGCCAAUUUGGUUCAUUUUGGUUGAUCCGUGAUGAUAAGGAGCUUUGGUUGUCUGGAACCUCCGGUGGCAGCCUGCUUCCAUGGACAGUGACAUUAUUAGGAUAAACGGAAGAAUAACUAAAUUGCAAGCAAUCAUCUUCUGAUAAAAUAUGCUUAAGAAUGACGUACGAGAGAAGCUCAAGGUCGGGAAAUAGUGAUCCUCGUCAAUUUUGGUCAAGUUUAUUGUUUUCAUGAUUAAAAAAGUGUAUAUGUAUUCGAGAUUAAUACCAUUGAUUCAUUGGAGGUUGAGGUCCAGGCACUUGAUUGCUCAUUGGUAACUGAUAAUUAGUCAAUUGUUGGUCCCUAAAUUAGCAACACUUGUUAGUAAUUUCUUUAUACAUAUGCAUAAUUAUUUGCUAUUAAUCCACUAAGUAUUUGAUAUCAUUUUAGCUUACCUCACAGGAUUGGCACAUUGAGGAUCAAAUAAAUUAGGAUUAGGCUGAUACCUAUAUUCAAACAUAAUGAAUUCACUGAUAAGUACAACAACAAGAGGAAGAAGAACAAGAAGUUAAAUAAUGAUUGAAAAACUUUUUUUUUUUCAGAAAAUACUAAACAUGAAAAAUUGGAUACCAGGGAGAAGGAGAAGAAGGUCCAGAUUGAUUGAAUUCACCAUGUUGUGAUGUGGUUGCGUUCGGUGUCAUAUAACCAUGUCCCGUCUGAGGCUGAUGAAUAAUGGAAUAAUGAUGCCUAAUUCAAUGGACAUUCAGGAAAUGAAGUUGGAAAUUGGAGUAAGCAUGAGUACUCACCAUGGUUUCAGGAAAUGAAGUUGGAAACUGAGUUGUUUGUUGAAUACUAUCGUUGAUCACAUUGUUAUGCCCACCUUGAUCAUUGCAUAAUAUGGAGCCUUGGUUGACUGGAACCUCCGAUGCCGGCCUGCUUCCAUGGAAUAAUACAUAGGAUAAACUGAAGAAUAACUAAAUUGCAAGCAAUCAUCUACUGAUAAAAUAUGCUUAAGAAUGACGUACGAGAGAAGUAGUGAUUCAGGAUCGAACUCUGUCAAGUCAUCCAUAGAAGAUGGGAGGAACCUUUCCAUCUGACCACAAGUAAAAGAUGAUUAGUACAUACUGAGGUGAAAAAAGAACAGAAAGCACAUAGCAAAUUAUAUAUAUAUAUAUGAGUGGAUUACUGGAUACACACGUUACGUAAGUCAGAAUAAAAGAAAAACAAAUAAAUGGUGAAAAGCAUAUUUUAAUGGCAGUCCCAUUAAUUGGAAAAGAAAAGAGUGAAUCUAAGAAAAGAACAUAUAUUUUUUUUAAUAUUAAUAUAUCAAAAUAUAUUAAUUUAAUUAUUUUUUUUCAAAAUAAACAGACUUUCAAAUGCCCUCAAACAUAAUUCUGAGUACGAAAACAAAUUAUGUUUUCAUUGCGGGCAUAAGAAUCUUGACAGUACUGUUGCCGUUUUUUAGUUUAAAUUGGUGUUUUAGUGUUUUUUUUAUUGUUUUGAUGUGUUGAUGUCAAAAAUAAAAAAUAAAUUUUAAAAAAUAUCAGUCUCAAGUCAAUGGUUUUAAAACUAUGAUAAUAAUUAUUUUUAUUUUUAAGUUGACUCGGUCAAUGAUCGACCUGACCUGUGACCUAGGUCUUCCCCGUAUCAACCUCGAGUCAGAUUUUAAAACUAUGAUAAUAAUUAUUUUUAUCUUUGCAUUGACUCAAGUCAAUGGUCAACCCGAUCCAUAGCCCGGGCUUUACUCCAAAUCAAUCCCUUAAUCGGGUUUUAAAAUUAUAAUAAUAUUCAUUUUUAGUUUUGUAUUGACUCGAGUCAAUGGUCAACUUGAUCCAUGACCCAGGCUUUACUCCAAAUCAAUCCCUUAAUCGGGUUUAAAAAUUAUAAUAAUAUUUAUUUUUAUCAUUAUGCUAACCUGAAUCAACUCAGAUUAACUUUUGUGCAAAGAAUUAAAUGAGCUUAUCCUACCUCUUUUAAUGGGACAGAGAAUUCUUAACUAGAAUAGCAUCAGAUAGGACAUAAAUUAAUUUUUGUAUUGUCUAAAGAUACAUCAAACAAUUCAUAAAAAAAUUAUCAUGUAUAUAUACAGAAUCCAUCAUUGUACUAUAUAUCAAAUACUACCUAAAUAUUGUUGUUAAUGAUUUAGCCAUUUUAUCCUUCCAGAAUUAGAACAACAUUAUUUUAAAACAUUGAACAAUUGAGGAAGUCCUACAAACAGUUUAAAAAUCAAACUCAAAUUCUUUUAAUGAGACAAGAUCCUAAAACUCUAGAAUUGAAAAAAGGAGAAUGAAUUGAGGAAGUCCUACAAACAGUUUAAAAAUCAAACUCAAAUUCUUUUAAUGAGACAAGAUCCUAAAACUCUAGAAUUGAAAAAAGGAGAAUGAAUUGAGGAAGUCCUACAAACAGUUUAAAAAUCAAACUCAAAUUCUUUUAAUGAGACAAGAUCCUAAAACUCUAGAAUUGAAAAAAGGAGAAUGAAUUGAGGAAGUCCUACAAACAGUUUAAAAAUCAAACUCAAAUUCUUUUAAUGAGACAAGAUCCUAAAACUCUAGAAUUGAAAAAAGGAGAAUGAAUUGAGGAAGUCCUACAAACAGUUUAAAAAUCAAACUCAAAUUCUUUUAAUGAGACAAGAUCCUUAAACUCUAGAAUUGAAAAAAGGAGAAUGAAUGUAGAAGAGUUGAUAGGGUGAACAACCCUUUUUCAACUCCUAACUAUACAUAAUUUGGGGGAUCAAAACGAAUGAAAAAUUAAUUCCCUUGAUUUUAACCCUUAGUUACUUAUCAUAAAACAUAAACAAAAAAUUUGAUAUUUUGCCUUUGGCCCUAGUUUCAAAACAAGAGUUUCCCUAGUGCUAUAAAAUUCUUUGGCUAUGCAAUUGAUCUCGAACUAGGUGUGCAGCGAGUGCAGCCUAGUGCACACUCUUUCCUCCUUAAUAUUGAGAUAAGACUUGUCAUUCACUCUCAGCGCUACUAAUCAAGGUGUAACAUUGCCUAAACACCUUGAGUGUAGGUUAUUCCUCCAGCAUUCUGAAGAAUUUAUCGAAUGCUGAUUGAAUAGUCCAUCCAUUGGAGUGAAGCUGAGCCAGACUCUGAUUGUAAUAUCUAAGCAUGUCCUUCACAAAACGUUGUAUAAUAAACGAGUAUUCAAACUCAUUCAUGCAUAUGGAGAUGUAAUUAAAAACUUACCCCCAUUGCAUUUAUUGGUGACCCUUGAGCCACGGACACCAAGUUCUUGCAACACAACCAGGUAAUCUUCUAGUUAUUAGAGAUUGGUCUCAUUUACUUUGCCAAGAGUAAUUGUGCUCAUGACAUUUGUAGAGGUCUAGGCACUCUUUCUUUCCCUUUGGGAUUUGAAACCUCUUAGGGACUCCUAUCUUCCCUGAUGGGGUCACCGAAUCGGAAAUAUUAUUUACGCAUACGAAUGAUCAUAGACGAUGGAGGAUAGCCCAGACAAUUGAGAGAUCGGGCUUUAACUUAUAUUUUGGGUUUAAUUUAUAUGAACUUUUAGAUGAGUUAUAUUAAUUUGUCUUUAUUUGUUGGGCUUGAUUUAAUUAUUGUUAAGUAUUUUAUUUAGUGGGCUAUAAGCCCAAUUGCUUAUUGUAGUUAGGGUUUUAGUAUAAAUACCCUACUUUUCUAAAUGUUAAGGGACUUUUGAUGAUUAAUGAAAAUUUACAAGUUUUGCAUAUUUCCAAUCCCCUCUCUUCCUCUUCUUUAGCUUCUUUCUUUCUCCAAAGCUUCUUUCUUUUCUUGCUUUAAUUCUUUUUAUUUGUUGUCCUGUGUCAAAUUUAGUAUCAGAGCACGACUUUUAAUUCUUCUUCUUCUUCUUUUCCAUAUGUAAAAAACAUCAAUAUCCAUUUCUUUCUCUUCUCUUCUCUCCUCAAUUCCUUCUUUUCUCCUCCAUGCUCAUGUAUGUAUUCUUCUCCUUUCUUCUUUUUUCUUCUCAUCUUUUUUAAUUAAUAUACUUAAUGAAAUUUUUUCUCUCUUCUUAGCUUCACUUGCAACCACAUUAAGGUAAGCUUCUAUUUUUUUUUUCAUGUUUUGUUUCACUAUAUUUGUUUUUUUAUUUUAUUUUUAAUUGUUUUUGUUCUUAAUAAUUGUAUGGAUAUUGUUGUGGGAUGUUUUUUUUCAUAUGAUUUUCUUCUUAUUUUUUCCAAGCGUUUUGAAUAUUAUAGAGUGUUGAUUUAUAUUAAUUUAAUUAUUUUAUAGUUUUGUAAAAUGGUUUUUUUUAUAAAAAAAAUUUAAAUAAUUACCGACGGAAUUGCAUAGGUAUGUUCUAAGGGAAAUAUUGACGGAAUGAAGCGGAUAAUUUUUUUUUUGCAUACCUUUUCCGUUAGUAAAUCCAUCGACAAUAAUAUUUUUUAUUAUCAACGGACUUACUGAUGGACAAAAAAGUAUCGACAAAAGAUUCACCGACGGAGCAUUUUCAUCGGUGAUUUUGUUGGUAAAUUAAUUACCAAAGGAAUGAUAGUAUAAAUACCAACAGAAAAUUCCAUCGGUAAAUCUAAAGAUAGUGUGGAUUUGUGCAAAUUUCAUGUCUAAAGAGCUUUAACUUGAUGAGGUGUAGAAGACAUACUUUUCCUAUUAAAUAUUCUAACAUGAAUUUCACUUCAUCGUGCAACAAUGACCGUUCUCAGUUAGAUUGUCAUCGAAGAUGACACUUCAUAAAAACCUAAAAUUAAAAGUGAUUUCUCAAAUAAUUCCUUACAGCCAUGAAAUAUUCAUACAUUCUCAUAGCAUUUCAAGUUCCCAUUCCAAAGGACCAUUAGCAUUUAUACUUUCUCAACAAACCUUCCAUUCAACAGAAAACAAAUACUUAAAAACUAAAUCAAAAUCGAAUUGUCAUGGCGCCAUCUUCAUUAAUUUGAAAUUACCUCAAAAUAUAUAUAUAAAAAAAAUUAAUUAAAUUUAGUACCUGUGUUUGCUUGAUCUUAAUGAGAAGUUCCUUUUGCAUGUUAAGAGCUUGUUCUAGAAUCUUCGUGACUUCUAAAGCUUGUUCUAGAAUCUUCGUGACUUCUAAAACUUGUCCUCCAAUCUUCUCUCCAGCGCUCGAAACCCUACCGAAGUAUGCCCCCAUGAAAUCUUCGAACGCUACAAUCGACGGAUCCGUCGCUGAAGCAUCAUCCCCGCCACUCCCCGCCACACUUCCCCCUCUCAACGAACGUGCUUCUAAUCGCGCCGCCGCCGAUUCUAGCCUAGCCAUUAGCCUCUCCUCCAUUAGCCUAAAGAUUCAAACAAUAGUUAAAUAUAAAAAACAAAAAUUAACACCAACAAGAUGAAGUACAAAUAAUUUACCUGGAUUCAAGAUGUUCUUCAAGUGCUGGUUUGCUUAAGCAGUAAUCAGAGAAAAAAAAAAGAGAGAGAAAUCACAGAUCAGAGAAGAAUAUAUGGUUUAGAAAAAUAAUAAAUUUGCAGUAUACAUAAAUCUAGUUCGUAUUGAUCAUGGGAUGUGGAAAGGAAAAUAGGGAAUUCUAUUGUGAGAUGAGAUGUGAUGUGGAAGAGAAUAACGUAUUGUUUGACAGGAAGCAACCCACCGCUUCCCUACCAAACAUUAUAUUAUAAGAUAUAGAAAGUUAAGUGUGGACCCACCCCAAUGUUUUGUUUUUUUUAUUAACAUGUAUGUCCGGGUUAGCUUGCACGUACCUCGACUAACUCCACGAGCCCUGAAGUUAACGAUCAUUUAAGCUUCCAGUAACUAUCAUAUUAGCCGUAAUGCUCGAACCUGAGACUAUAAAAAAAGUAAAUUUUUUAAUCUGAGGCUAUUAUCAUUAGAUCACAUACUAGAUAAUUAACCCACCCAAUGUUCAAACUUUGAAGGAACUGCCAUGAAAAUGUAAACAGAUGAAUAUGAGAAAGAACAACAUAGCAUACUCCUGCAUGUGUGAAGUUGUUUAUGAUAUUAUUUUUUAUUUAAAAAUAUAUUAAAAUAUUAUUUUAAUUUUUUUUAAUAUCAACAUAUUCAAAUAAUUAAAAAAAAUUAAAAAAAAUUAAAAAAUUAAAAAAAAAAUUACUGCGACUGUAAAGACAAACCAGCUGUGACAAUGCUAAUAAGUGUGAGAUUGAUAGCAAAGACGAAAGCAUACCAAUGCAACAACCACAUUCUCAAAUAUUCAGAUUUUAAAAACCACAUCGAAAUAUAGUUUUAAAGUUGUGUCAAAUGCAGAAUGCUUUAAUUAAUACGAGGAAACUCUUGUUAAUAAUAUAGUUAUAUACAGGCACCGCUAUAAAUAAUUUGGUAUUACAGUAAUAAUUAUUUUUUAAAGUAUUUUUUAUUUAAAAAUAUAUUAAAAUAAUAUUUUUUUUAUAUUUUAAAAUUUAUUUUUGAUAUUAACAUAUUAAAACAAUAUAAAAAUAUCUAAAAAAUUAACUGGUUCAAAGUGAAAUUACCCGACUGCUGUGCCUUGACUUGUCUGUUUAAUUUCUAUUAUUGUUUUUCACAUUUUAGCAUUUUAUUCCAAUGAUAGAAUGCACUUUCAUAGACUCAUCAAAACCACAGGAACGCAAUCAAGCUUUAGCUUCAAACAACCAGAGGGAGAUUCAGUGCAGUGGAAAACUUCAACAUCUACUAUGAAGCUUGAUUUGCUAUCCAAUCUUCACAUCAGUUUUCCAUUGAUACAAAGAUACUGUAUGUGUUUUUGUUGCCAGAAAGUUGUUCGAUCAAUAACUUUUUAUCUUUUUCCAAGUUUUUGUUGUGUGAUUUGUUUUUCCUUUCAUCUCAAACUCAUGAACUAAAAGUUAAACAAAAUAAAAAUUAAAAAAUAUAAGAUGCAAAAAAUUAUAAGGUAAACAAUAAACUAAAUUUUAGAAUAUGUCUCUUAGCUAUUCGUAAGCUUCCUAUUCCUUUUUAGUUUUUCUUGAAGUUAUUCUAUUUGAUGUCAUGAGUGUUCCAUUGAGAAAUAAAAAAGAAGACAAAUUGCCAUCCUCUUCACCUUCUUACAAUGCAUUACAGUAAUAUCUCUAAGAGAAUUGUAAAUCAAUUUUUCCACUGCAAAUACUUUUCAGUUCCGGUAAAUCAAACAAUUUCAGAAUUUUCCAAGAUAAACAGAUUUUUAAAUACACUCAAACAUAAUUUUAAAUAUAAAAACAAAUUAUGUUGUUUUGAUUGCGGCAUAACAGUGUUGGCAGUACCGUUGUUGUUUGGACUUUGAGCAGCAGUAGAUAUCUCCAGCGUACUGUUACCUGCCGGCUAGUGGAACCACUGCUGGGUUAGAAAAGGUAUGUUGCCGUUCUUAAGUUUACUAGAGAGAGGGCAGAAAGCCUUAAGAAAAUAAUUUCACAUUCUGUGUGGUAGAAACCUGAUUCCACCCAAAAAAAAAAAAAUUAACACGGUAAUUGAAGCAAAUUAAAAGAAUAAAAGAAAAUAUAAAAUGAUUUAAUAGAGAACAAAAAUUAAUUUUCAAUGCAGAUUAAAAUAGAGCAAAGUGACUAAUGAAAAAGGUACUUAAAUCCUACAAGCAGCAGAUAGAUAGUCGGAAUCCCUUGCGCACACAUUUGAUAUAUAGAUAAUUAAAUCAACAUUAAACCAAAUUAAUAAAACCCUUUUGAAAAAUCAUUCACUACUUUAAAAUAAUUAACCCUAUUAAGAAAAUCCAAUGACGACAAUGUGUUUAAGGAGCAAUAUUAAAGCAAAGAAAUUAAAUCAAUACAGGUAAAUAAAUGAUCCAAAGAUUAAUCCAUUCAAUAGAAAAAAACAUGACUGAAUCCAUAAACUGCAUAAAUUCGGAGAAGAAUACUUCUCAACAACAAAUUGAGAAUGAUAAAACAAAAGAGUUAGAAUAAUUAGAAAUCUGAACAAUUUAGUUACCCAUCACUGUAUUAGUCAUUCCUUUCCUCAUCUGUGCUCUUUUUUUUCCCCUCUCUCUAGUGCAAUUCCCUCACGUCUUCUUUAUGCCAAAUAGCCCUCUUUACAGAGGAGGCAACCCCCUUUCUCAAAAGCAGGCAGCCCUCCUUUUUCAUCAGAGACUAACUUGUAGCCCUUUACAAUACCUUUCCAACGCAUCAAGAAUCACAGCAAUCCAAUAUGUGAGUGAAAAGUUAUGAUUAAAAUACUUUAAGUGUAUCUAGGCUGUUUCUAAGAAAAAGAACAGUACUUUAAGUUUAUCCAGGCUGCUGUUUAAAAAGUCAAGAAAAUAAAGUUUUAGAUUAAAAUAAAAUAAAAUAAAAACUUUAAGGAAAAAAAAAAAGCACGCCUAUGAAGCUUGAUAGUAUAUCAAAUUAAAUAGAAGCUCGAUUAAAAAAUGCCCUUUAAUUUCUAUUAUUUCUAUUCACAUUUUAGCAUUUUAUUCCAAUGACAGAGCAUUUGGAAUGCACUUUCAUAGACUCAUCAAAACCCCAGGAACGCCAGAUCGGGAGCUUCAGUGCAGUAGAAAACUUUAACAUCUACUAUGAAGCUUGAUUUGCUAUCCAAUCCACACAUCAGUUUUCCAUUGAUACAAAGAUACUGUAUUUUUAACCAUCUAAUAAUAAGAGUUUGUGAUCAAGGGGUUUGCUCCCCAUAUGGUUUUAGGUUCGAGCCCUAUGGUUGUCAAUAUUGAUGGUCAUUAACUUUAAGAUCUGUGAGAACUGAAGGCUUACUUGAUUAUUAACUUCAAAAUCCGUGAGAAUUAGUUAAGGUGCGUUCAAGUUGGUCCGGAUACCCCCAAUUAAUAAAAAAAAAAAUGCUGUGUUUUUGUUGCCGGAAAAUUAUCCACCAAUAACUUUUUAUCUUUUUCCAAGUUUUCUAGGUGACUUUUUUCUUUCAUCUCAAAAUCAUGGAUUAAAAGUGAAUAAAAUAAAAAUUUGAAUCAAAACUAAAUAUAAAAAAAUAAAACAUGCAAAAAAUAUAGGGAGAUUUUAAAAAUCACGCCUAUUCUACUUUCUAGUUUAAAAUAUUCAAAACAAGGCUCCAUUAUCAUAUAUUCAUAGAGACAUACCAAUGUAGCUUUUGAUGUUAACCGGUUUGGGUAUGUCCAUAUGCUUUUAAAUAUUUUUUAAAAUUUAUAUUUGUUUUAAAAAAAUAUUAAAUUAAUAAUUUUUUAGUUAUUUUUAAUGAUUUUGAUGUAUUGAUAUUAAAAAAAAUCUAAAAAUAUAUUUUUAAAAAAUACUUUAUAUAACAGUAUCAAACACAUGAUAACCUUGUCCAAAAGCUUUCCUCAUUAUAAAUAUAAAAUAAAGUUCAAGUGAUGUAGGGUCCAAUCUUAAAUGGUUCAAACAUUAUUGUUAGAACGUGAGAGUGUCCCAGCAUUAGUAGUGUAGCACGUGCCAUGUCUUAAGCUUAUGUGAUCCAAAAACAAGGCAAUUGGUGUUUGAUGAAAUUAGCUGUCACUAAAAUAAAAUAAAAUAAAAUCCUCUGUGAACUAAUUAAUUACUCAAUUAAUUCCUAAAUUAGUUUUUUUAUUGUUUUUCACAAAAUUUAUAAAAAUAAAAAUAUUUUAUUAGAUAUUUUAGAUACUCCACUAUUAUAAUAUUUUAUUUAAAUUUAGAUUUUUAUUUCAAAAUUGAAUUUUGUUUAAUAUAACAAAUAUUACGAUGUUUUAUUUUAUCUGAUAAAUUUUGAAGUAUUAUUUGAUUUUAUUAAUUUAAAAAAAUAAUAUUUUAAAAGAGUACGAAAUGUUGUAUAAAAAUUUUAUGUAUUUAUUUUCUGAUAAACGUGUUCCAAGAAUUAGCAGGGAUACGAUGUUUUUACAAUAACGCAAAACACAACAAACAUUGAUGCGAUGCUGAAUCCUUGAAGUGCGUCUAACAAAAUCUCAAUAUCCGGAAUGCCUCUUCUUCCAUGGCAUCUUGCCUAACUCUUGAUUGUCUCAGGUCCUCCAAGGCAUUCCUCCACUCCUUGGUUAACUAUCUCAUGGAGGUUAACAAACAGAGGAUCUGUAAGUUUCAGAGAACGACAUCAAUUUAAUUACGCGAAGUUCAAUCUUUUUUCCUCUACAAAUUAAAUCAUGUACGUAAACCUGUUACCUACAUUUUGUAAUAUUUCUGGAUCUGCUCUUUGAUUCAUCAAGGACAGAGUUUUUUAACAUCCAAGCUCUUGUAAUCUCACAAACGCUUGAGACCCAAACCUUUAUUUGUCAAGGCUCCAUACACUUUCUCGACAAGAACCGGAGGAGGAGGCUGUGGGGUAUUCGAUGGUUGAAAAUGGAACGUGAAUUAUGCUGGAGAGCAUGCAGGUGGCGAUGUGUUUGGAGCUUAGCCUGUGUUCUCCAAAUCCUUACUAAAUUAUUAGAAAGUAACAUUAUAACAUUUUUAAAUCUGUUUAAAUUUUUUGGUUUAAGAUAAUUUUUUAAUAUUAUAAGUCAUUUAUUAUGUUUAUUCAAAUUAAUUAUUUUUAUUAAAAUAAUAUCAUUUCAUUAUUUUAAUUAAUCUGGUUAGAUAUAAACUAGGUUUGAUUGAAUCGAUCAAAUUUUACUAAAUCAAUAUCUUAUAUGGUUUAAUUAUAAACUCAAUCCAAGUUAAAUUUUAGAUUUUGUGUUUUUUAAAACAAAUCGUACGGGGUUUAACAAUUAUAUAUGCUCUUAUCUUUAACUUUACUUUGAAGUGUAUAAACUUUCACACUCGUGUGUGUGUGUGUGUGAAGCUUUGUGGUGGCUAAAGAAUACAUUUUGGAAAGUUGAAUCAAUAAUAUUGCCUGUGCUUGUCAAGGAAUUUAACAUCCCAAAUUUAAUGAACGAAUAUAACAUCCCAAAUUUUACCACUAAUAUUGCCUGUGCUUGUCAAGGAAAAAGAUUGACUGUAGAGAAAAAUUUAAUGAACGUCAUCCUCGUGGAUGCUAUAAUCUGUAAUUAGUGGCAAGGCUUUAAUAAUCACAGCAGCAGAAGAUGAUAUAUUGUACAAAUAGAUUGAAGAAACAGGAGGCCUACGCAUUUAAUUUGGGUGGAGAUUCAGUAAUCAAAAUAUCUUUUUAUUUUUAAUAUUAAUAUAUAAGAAAAUAUUAAUUUAAUAUUUUUUUUCAAAAUAAACAGAUUUUCAAAUGCAAUCAAACAUAAUUCUGAGUACAAAAACAAAUUACGUUUUGAUUGCGAGCAUAACAAUCUUGGCAGUAAGUACCAUGAUCCUUUCCAAUUGAGUUAAUUUUAGGAUUGUUUUUGGCAGCCACGUACAUGCUUUAGAGUUCUUUUUAUUAAAUCAAUAUUAAAGUAAAAAAAUUAAAUCAAUACAGAUAAAUAAAUGAACUAAAUAUAAUCAAACAAUUAAUCCAUUUAACAGAAAAAACAUUCAUGAAUCCAUAAAACUACAUUAAUCCCUUUUCUUUUCUUGUUUUUUUUUUCUCUGGUGGAAUUCCCACACGUCUUCUUUAUAGGCAGCCCCACUUUUAAACCCUCUUUUUCAUCACGUCCCCAUGGUCCCCGUGUCCCACACGUUUUCAUCAAAAACCUAAAUUUUAGGACUUCUUUGGCAGCCAUCUAAAAAUAUAUAAAAAUAAUAUUUUUAUUUUUAAAAAAUUAUUUUUAACAUUAAUAUAUUAAAAUAAUCUAAAAAUAUAAAAAAAUAUUUAAAAAAAAUCAAAAAUUUUAAAAACACAAGCAUUCCCAAACAAUGUAACGCGUCAAGAAUCACAACAAUCUGACAUGUGAGUGGAAAGUUGUGAUUAAAAAACAUUACUACUUUUUCGUUUGUUUGCUGGAAAGUAGAUUUCUUUUGGAAAGUGAAUUCCGGGGAAAGUGAAUUCCGGGGAACUAUUUUUCGAUGUUUGGUAGUGUAAUGGAAAAUGAGUUGGAAAACAUUUUCCAGUGUUUGGUUAUGUCAUGGAAUAUGAGCUGGAAAAUAACUUAUUAAUAUUUUAUUUUUUUCAAGUUUAUUAAAAUAAUAAGGAACAAAUCUUACAAAUUAAAACGUUGAAUGAAAAUGAAAUUGAAAAAAAAUAUAAUUUCAUAAAUUAUCUCAAAUAAAAUAAAAAAUAAUCAAAAUAAUAGAGAUCAAAUCUAAAAAAAAAAAAGAUGAAGAAAUUAAAAUAAUAAUAAUUAACAUUUCAUAAAUUAUUUCAAAUAAAAUAAGUAACAAUAAAAAAAUUGAAGACCAAAUUUGAUAGAUACAAAAUUUCAAUAAAAAAAUGAUAAGGAAAAAGCAAAUAGCAAUUAUAAAAAUAAGGACCAAAGUUAAUAUAAAAAUAAAAUUUUAAGAGAUGAAAUUAAAAAAUAAAUAUUCAAAACAAAAAAUAUAUAUAUAGCAAUCAAAAGUUUGAGGAUCAAAUUUGAUAUAAUCAGCAAAUAAUUAUAUUUUUAAAUUUUUUACAACUUCCGGAAAGUAUUUUCCCCUCAAAUUUUUCAAGAAAACACUUUCCUGAAAACCAAGGCAAACUUUUCUUUUACUGGAAAGUGUUUUCCAUUGACCAACUUUCCUACUGGCAAACAAACACAAGAAAGUUUGGAAAGUGAUUUCCCGGAAACCACUUUCCGGAAAACAAACACAACUAAAGGGAAAACACUUUCCUGAAAACCAAGUCAAAUUUUUCUUUGACUGAAAUUGACUGGAAAGUGUUUUCCGUUGACCGGAAUGUAUUUUCCGUUGACUAGAAAGUGUUUUCCGUUGACUAGAAAGUGGUUUCCGUUGACCAACUUUCCUAAUGACAAACAAACACAGGAAAGUUUGGAAAAUAGUUUCCCAUAAACUGCUUUCCGGGAAACAAACAUAGCCUUAGAGUGAUUUUGACAGCAUAGAGGAAAUGUCAUUAUUGUUAUUUUUAAAAUAUUUUUUUUAUUUAUAAAUAUAUUAAAAUGAAAGUUGUUAAUUUCGUUUCGUUUUAUUUGUAAUGAUUUCAUACCAUUUCAAAAAAUGAAAUAAAACAAAAUAAUUUUCAUCUCAUUUCAAAUCUCGGUCCCUUCCAAAUUUUUUGGCUAAAUUCCGUUCAGAAUGUUCCGGUUUCAUUAAACAUGUUCUGUUCCGGUCUUAAAAAGUCAUUGAAUCAAUUAAUUAAUUAAAUCAUCAAAGUAUAAAAAGCUAUUUUUCAUUGCUAUUUUCAUUAACUAUGAUAUUAAUUUUUUAAAAUUUAAUUUAUCACUAAUAUAUAUGGUUUAUAUUCAUGUUUUUUUUUUUCAAGUUUAUACUUUGUAGGAAUUUAAGCAAAAAAAUAGAUGUUUUAGAUCUCAUUAGCCUUGAUAACAUUGACCUAGCUUUAUAUUUAAAAUAUUAGUGUUAAAUUAUUUUAAUUUAAUAAUAUUUUGAUGUUUUAUUGAAGUUGAAUUGUUUUAAGUUAAAAAAUUAUUUAAUCUUAACUAUUUAAAAAUAUUUUAAAUUUUAAAAUUAUAUUUCAUCACGUCUCCAUGAUCCCCGUUGUGUCAAAAACAAAUUGCCUAAAUUUUAGGCUUUAGCAGUUCCUUUUUUUGAAAUCCUCAUUAGUGAAAUUUUAGACUUGUCUGUUUAAUUUCUAUUAUUUUUAUUUCAUUUUGGCAUUUUAGCAUUUCAUACUCAUCAAACCACUGGAACGCAAUCAAGCUUUAGCUUCAAACAACCAGAGGGAGAUUUUAUAGGGAUAAAAUUUUAAAAAUCACGCCUAUGCUACUUUCUAGUUUUAGUAUUAAAAUUAGUAUUUAAAAAAUGUGUUUAUAAAUAUGGCAGUUUCAGGUGUAGAAACCAAAACUGCCAUAUUCAUACUCUCUUAGACAUUUUAAAAAUGCGUGUAGAAGAAUACUUUCAUUGAUGAUUUAUAAUAUUAGGUUACUUUAAUGAUAAAUCAAUACAGUAUUUUUUUUCAUUUUUUGGAUUUUCAUUUUGGAGAAAUUCAAUAGGAUGAAAAUAUAAUAUUAAUCAAACUUCAAAUUAUAAUUGUUUAUCUAUCGAGUUAAAAAAAAUAUGACAAUUCAGUAGUCUUUAAUGAAAUAAAAAAAAUGAAAAAUGUUAUUUAUGUAAUUAUAAGCAUACCAUAUUAUAUUACUUUACAAAGGGACGAAGGACAUCCUUUGCAUUAGGAUGCUCCCACUCCACUACUGUCUCCCACCAUUCUUCUGGAUAUACAAAGAUUUCUUUAAGAGAAGGGGGAGGAGAUGGCUGGCCAUUUUCAAGCAACGGAAGACAAAUUGGCAUCCUCUUCAGCUUCUCACAACGCACUACACUAAUAUGUUCUAGAGAAUUGCAAAUCAGUUUUGCACUGCAAAUGCAUUUCAGUUCUGGUAAUUCAUACAAUUCCAGAGUUAUUAACUUUGGGAGAAUGACUUCCGUGAUGCAAUUGGAGGUGCUUCUUUCUUCAUCUGUUGUUCCUAUUAUCUCCUCCAUUUUCCUACAGCACCUCACAUCAAUCUUUUCCAGGUUUACGAGGUUUGGCAGCAACACAAGCGGGAACAACUUCUUUAUACUUUUACACUUGUAACAAUAAAACUCUUUAAGACCAGAAAACAUACCAUUAUAUGGUGGCAAUCGUGGUGGAGCAGAGCAGAACCAAGAAGAUGAAACCAGCUCCAUGUUAUGGCAUUCCCGAAUGUUGAUGCGCUCCAGUUCAGUUGCAUUCUCUAAUGACAAAACAUCACAUAAACUUCUUGCAUCGAUGCAUUCACAAAUCAGUCCUUGAAUGCCAUUUAAGAACUUGACCUGAAAAUCUCUAUCUCCGUUGAUACUCAAAUUACCCAACCCUACUGUUUUACUUGGAAACAUUUCAAUGCAUUGCUCGAAAUAUCUACGCACCUCUCCUACUAAAAUCUUGCAUGUGCUUAAUGAUAGGAUCCCAUCCCGAGAUCUGAGAUACUCCAUUAAGUCAGGGAGACCUUCGAAACGGCAUUCCAAAGUUUCCAAAUUUCUCAAGGAUCCUACUUCCUUUCCUUUAACUGUCAUCGCAUCAUCUUCGCGGCAAUAAAUCUUCUAGUACAAAGACUUGCAGGUGAGAGAGUUUUGGUAAUAUCCCACUAGGAAACUCCUUUUCACCACAUCCAUUCAUUCUAAGAUACAUCAGGUUGGUUAGGCAUUCCAUUCCUUGCGGCAUCGUUUCAAGUCGAGUACGAGAGAGAUCCAACCUCUUCAGUGCCCUGAGCUUCUUUAAUGAUGGAACAUAUCUUAAGUUGUCACACUUACGAAGCAAUAACGCAGUGAGACUCACCAAAUCAGAGACAGAGUCUGGCAAGUUUUCAAUACCUGUCGAAGACAGAUCGAGGACCUUGAGCCCAUGCAAUUGCUUGAAAAAUGAAUCCGCAACAAAUCUCAACCCUUUAUUAUCACAUAGAAAUAGAGUUGAUAGAUAGCGACACCUUGGUGAAUAGCUGGAAGGAAUUUCUUCGAUCUCGUUUCUCAUUAGCGAAACCAUCGUCAAAUUCUCCGUCCACUGCUCUGCAUCUGGCAACUCUUUUAAUUGCGCACCUGCUUUAACCAUGACUUGAUAUUCGUCUUGCAGUAUAUGGAUGGCCAUGUCCCUAAUCAAGUCAUGCAUCUUGACACGUCUAAUAUCAUUAUAACCCAUUUGAGCACUUUCCAAUAGGCAGACAUAUUCAAGUCUAUUAAGCAUUGUGUGGCCCUCGUCAAAUGCAUCUCCCCUGCUCCUCUUUACUUUAAUUAUCCCCUCUAAGAUCAAAUAACCUAUCAACUCCUCCCUUUCAAUCUUAUCAUCUUCAGGAAAUAAUGCACAGUACAACAGACAUUGUUGUAGUGUUACAUCACGUAACCGAUUAUAACUAACCCUUAACACUUGGAAUACCUUCUUAUCCCUAAAUUCUGAUUCGCUCAAUUUCUUCAAUGUAUUUCUCCACUCAUGUAGGUCAUCCACUCCCCUCAAGCUUCCUGCCACUGUAAUAAUUCCCAAUGGCAAACCAGCACAUUCCUUUGCAACAGCUUUCGCAAUUCGUUCCACUUCUGUGAAAGCACAUGCCACGUCCAAGUUUCUCCAUGAACAAAGUCCAAGCUUCUCCCUCAAAAGUGGCUUACCUUGAUUUUGCGGUGGCAAGCCAUCUAUGACAAACUUUCUGAUCGAGUUGUCAUAAUCAGCUUGCAUCCUUCCAACUUCUCAGGAAUUCCCACUUCAUGUAGCUCAAAAUUAUUCCACAAAUCAUCUAGAAUGAGAAUCCAUUUUUGUUUCUUCAUUAGUUCUUCUGACAAUUUGGCAGCUCUAUGCAGAUCAUCAUCUUCGCUUGAAAGGUCUAGACGAAGACGUUUAGCAAUAAUAUUCUGCAAUCUAUUAAUGCUGAAAUCUUGAGACACAGUCACCCACCAAACAUGAUCACAAAUAUCUGGUCUUUGUAGAAGCUCAUUAUGGAUAUGUUGCAGUAUUGUUGUUUUACCAACUCCCCCCAUCCCAUAAAUGCCAAUGGUUGGGACUUCAUCAUCCAUUAACAAAGACCAUAUCACCUUCUUAUUCUCUUCAAAUGCUCGACCCACUGGCUUUAUAGAGCUAGCAGGUAAUGGAACUCCUCUAGUCUCACUUGUGUUGUAUUUAAGGCUUAUAGAAGAUCUAGCUCCAGCGUCAGGCCGCACUGAUCUUCCACUAUUCUCCAUAUCCUCCUCCACUGGUUCUGUCCUCACUCUAACCAUGUUCUGCACAUCAUUCAUAAUGACAUCAUUGUUUACUGAUGGAGCAAAUAGGUGACACAAAGGAUCUGUUGGUUGGGAUGAAUCUCCUCGAGGCUCAUCAGCUUGAUUAAUUGAUGGCCUCUCACAAGAGCUACCUCUCUCCAGAUGCUGCACUUGUUCUGUUCUCGGUAUAGUUUCAGAUCCAUCAUGCAGACGCUCCACAUCCUCAUCUUCCUGCAUUAAAUACGUAGAGAUUUCAUUCAGCUGAACCCAAGUGCCAUCAACAAAUUGAUCCACUAAAUCUGUUCCUCUAUUCUCAUAAGCAUCAACUCUGAGUCUCCAAGGAGAGACACUUCUGUCAACAUGCUGAAACGAUCCUUCACCAGUGUAUUCCAUGCCUUGAACUCCCGCUUGCAUCCUUCCAGCAUUGUCUUGUUCUUGUGGACAGGUGGAAAUGGCAUAAUCAUUAACAUUGCUUGAACUUGCUAUGCUUUUAUGUCUUUUGUUGCCACCACGCAUAGCUAGAAAGGCUGCUCCUUGAACUUCUUUAGGCACCUCACCACAAAUGCCAACACCAUGCCCUCUCUCUCCUGAUAAAUGCCAUUUUAUCCUCGAAAUGGAAGUACCAUUGGCAAAUAAAUGCCCACAAAACUUACACUUCAUGCUUCCAUCAUUCAUAUCUUCAACUUCUUUCCAAAACGGAUCAUCUGAUCUACCCAUUUUGUCCUACAGAUGAAAAGGGUCAAAAUAUUGAAUAAAAAUUAAUGGAAGUACAUUAAUUGGAAAAGGAAGGUUGAAACUAAAAUAAUAGGUUACAAACAGCGAAGAAACUAAUAAGAAAAAACAAUGAAUUCAAGGUUAACUUGGGGUCAAUUUGGUAUGAACUGCAUAAGGCGUGGAUUGCUACAACUGAGAAAGAUCAAAUUAUUUAUUUUUGGAAACUGUUGAUGAUCCUAUCUCCAAAGUUUCUCAUUGAAAUUUCUACAACUUGUGUUUUCCUUGAAAGAUUCAAACCAGAGGUACAUGUGAAAAACAAAAUGAAGAAGAUGGAUUAUAAAUAAUUUACCUGGAUUCAAGUUGUUCUUCAAGUGCUGGUUCGCUGAAGUAGUAUUCAGGAAGAAAAACAAGAACAGAGAAGAAUAUACGGUUUAAAAAUAAGAAGGAAGUUGCAAGAUGUUGAGCUCCAGAUGAUUCGAUUCAAUCAGAAAAGGAAGCACUGAUCAUCAGAAAGUUUAAGAAAUUUGAUGAGGGAAAUCGGGAAAUCAAUGGUAUAAUGAGAUGAGAUUUGGAAGAGAGCGUUACAGUAGCUAAGAUUAUUGUAUUGUUUGAGAAGAAGGAAGUUGCUAGGAAGGAAGCCACAAACUUUACCUACCAGAGAUUAUAUUAUAAGAUAUGGCAAGUGGCUGUACACCUCAAAUUUGUUUUUCUUUUGUCUAGCGCUGCAUAUAAUUAAAAACUUCAACAAAAGAAUCAGAAGCUAAUUGCUGUCUGAGUUAACGUGUGGACCCACCCCAUUGUUGAAACUUUGGAAAAAGCUGGCCUGAAAAUGUAAGAGCCUGAAGCUUAGCUUCAAGAGCUGUAAAGCAUUGACCGUCAUUAUCUGAUCCACUCCAACUUCCAUUCCCUAAAAAUUUCACACCUUAGCACAAACAAAAGGCCGUUUUAUAGAUAACUUAAGAAAUUUUGCCCACGCUUAGUUUCGAGGUGUCAGCAACGUUCUUCUGAGCAUAAAUUCUUCUUUAAAACAAAAGGCGUAUAUGGUUAUUGUAAGGCAUAAUCCCGCAAAGUGUUCCAGUUUUUUUGCCUCUAUGACAUGGAUAUGACAUCUCAUUAGUGAAAAAGCUAAAUGCUGUUUAUUGCACGCUGCUAGUUGGGAUAUACAGAACUCAGUUCAACCCAGCAAGUCGCUGCAUCAGACUUAAAACUCCAUAGCAGUCAGCACAAUCUAUGAAGAUAAAAUUGAAAAAAAACAAUCAAUGUAAACACAUGAAAAUGAGAAAGAAUAGCAUAUUUCCGCUUUUGAAAAAUCAUUCAUCACUUUUAAACACGCAAAUGAUUAUCCCUAUUAAGAAAAUUCAACGACAACAAUAUACUCAAGAGCAGGGGCGGAACUAGGGGAGAUAGGCAGGCGCCCGGCCCCUGCAAAAUAUUUUGAAGGUUUGUAUUUUUAAUGUUUAAAUAUAAUAUAAUAUAUUUUUAAUUUAAAUAGAUAAGAUUUUUAAUAAUAAAUUAUAUUUUAAGUUUUGGCCUUCCUGUUAUAUCAUUUCAGCUCCGCACCUGUCCGAGAGCAAUAUUACAGUAAGGAAAUUAAAUUAAUACAGAUAAAUAUAUGAUCCAAAAAUAAUUAAAGAAUCAAUCCAUUUAAUCGAAAAAAACAUGACUGAAUCCAUAAACUACAUGCCCUUCUUUUUCUAAAGGAGGCAGCCCCACUUUUUCAUCACGUCGCCAUGGUCCCCGUGUCCCACAUGUUUUUAAGUGCGUUCAGGCUGGUUCAAAGGGAAUUUCACGACUUGUUUGCGAGAGCUUCAACUCUACAUUGAAAUGUUUUUUCUUAAUCUGUGAGAGCUUCAUAAUAAGCUUAUUAAAAUAAAUUAUUAUAAUGAAAUUAAAAACAAAAAUGCUUAAAAAAAAACAGAGAGACGCCGUGUUUUCUCUAUUGCUACAAGGUAAAAGUCUAAGCAUAUUUAUUUUUUUUAUUUUUUUAUUUUUUAAUAAUAUUACUGUUAUAUCUACCGCCUAGAAAUCAAGAACGCUAGUUUCAUUUAAAAGAUUCUGAAGUUCAUAUUUAGAUAAAUUAGCAGAAAGGACGGAAACACAACAAAUCAUACCCAGAGAAUCAAAAGCCAGAAACAAGCUACCUCAAUUCCUGCUCCACCUGGCUAAGAAAUGCAGCAUGCCCACUUGGAAUUACACAUCAUCCAAAUUCCAUGGCAAAUAAUUGGUUGGAAUUGUUUCCUGUGGAGUCAUUUCAAAAUUUGAAAAUAAAAACAGAAAAUAGAUCCAGCAAAUGAUUCCAAAUAUCUUAUAAAAUAACAAUGAAAUAUGUUUUUUUAUUUACUGUAAGGAAAGAUAUUAAUGGAAAAAAUAAAAAAAAAAUCAAUUUAAAAAAUUAUAAUAAGUCAAAAUCUAGAUUUAAAAUCUAACUAGUAUCAGAUUCCUAGUUGAAUUGAAUAAUUGAGAGCGAAACGUGUCAAGACUGACAAGAGUUCAGAAUAGACUCGUGAACGUGUCCUCUAAACCCUCCUGUCCCUCUUCCGAUCCUUGCUAAACCCCUUGUUCUGGUCGUAAUCAUCCAUUAGCGUAAACCUAUGCUUCUCUUGACUUUGAUCCCAAUAAACCAACCCAUAGAGUUGGUGGUAAUGUAAUUUAUAUAACUUUUUAAAUUAUUUUUAUUUAAAAAAUAUCAAAUUAAUUUUAAUGUGUUGGUAUUAAAAAAAAUUAAAAAACAUUAUAUUAAUAUAUUUUUAUUUAAAAAAUAUUUUUUAAAAAACCGUAUGUAGAAUUACUAAACACCCUUAAGCCAGUGGACAAAGACAAAAACGACAAAAUACAAAGGAAAAGGGAUAAAAGCAUAUAUUUGGAGAUGAUAAAAGGGCAUGAGAUCAAAGAGGAUAAGAUUUCCAGUGAUGGGACUGGAUGGUGAUGAAGGAUUUUUUGGACAAGAGCAUAGUAAUUAAUCCUUUACUAAAAUUUUUUAUUAUUUUAAUAUAUUUUUUAAUAAAAAUUAUUUUUAAAAAAUUAUUUCAAUGAUAAUUUUCUUUAUUGAUUAGUGAAUCUGGUUAGACUUAAGCCCUACGAGGAUCAAAUGUUGCGAGGCGAGCAACUCCAUUUUAUUUUCCAGUUCAGGAUAGUUUUCUGAAAUAAUAAUAAUAAAAAAAAGAGCUAUAACAUAAAAAUCAUCUGAGCAAAAAGCCAAGAAAAGUGGCCCAUGCUGCGUAAGGUUUAAGAAAGAAAAUAGUUUUGAUUGUUGACCGAGAAGAGGAGCACACGCUUAUGCUUUUUUAUGAACAGAGAGGUGGCUGCCCCAAUAUAUUCGGCCUGCCAACUCUUAUUUGUAUGGUCGUCUGUUUCUCCAUGUCUCAAUAUUUUUUUAUAAAAAAACCACCACUUCUCCAUAUUAUAUUAUAAGAUAUGAAAAGUUAACGUGUGAAACUUCGAAAAAGCUGUCAAGAAAAUGUAAACACAUGAAAAAUAUUUUUUAAAAAAAACCCAAAAAUCAUCUGAGCAAAAAGCCAAGAAAAGUGGCCCACGCUGCGUGAGUUUUUUAUUCAAGAACCUAGCUAGAGCUUAGCUUCAAGAGCGGCGAGGACUAAGCUAGGAAUGAUGCCUCUCACUCCUCCCCCGUCAAUGCUAAGGGUUGUUGCAAAGUAAAUAGGAAACUUCAUCCAUAGACCAAUCUUUUCUGAUCCAUAGACAAUGGAUCUGUUGGUUGAGAUGAGUCUCCAUCACAACCCAACAACAUUAGCUUAUCUGCUAUCCCCUUUAUGAGAAGAAGAUUUCGAAUCAGUCCAUUCAUUCCCAUCUGUAGGCAUCUUUCUCAAACAUCAAGGAGAAUUACUUCUGGAUUCUGAGUUGCCACUAAAAAACAAAAAACCCUUAAUGAACUAGUUCGUCUCCCAGUACUUAAAUUAGUUUCCUCAUUGUUUUUCACAAAUUUUUAAGAAAAAAAGAAAAACUAAUAUACUUGAGGUAUUAUAACAAACCUGUAAAUUACAUUAAUCUUAUAAAAAAACAUAAUAAAAAUAAAUAAAUUACAAAGUUGAAUUUUAAAUCAGCCCACUAAUAAAAAAAACAAAAAAAAAACAAAACACAUUGGAUUACUUAUUAUAAUUUACAAUGAAAUAGGUGUGAAUAAAUAGUACUUCUCCCAAGCCUCUUAGCUUUUCUUUUAAUGAAAAUUAAUAACCGUAUAAUAUCUUCCUUGUGGAUGCUCUAUCGUUGCUAAAUUAAAACAUCUUUCUUUUUUAUGUGAAACUUUUUUAAAAUAAAAAUAUUUUAAAAAAACAUUGUUAUUUUAAUUUUAUUUUUAAAAUAAAUACCAUCGUUUUAGUUUUUAUAAAUAAAUAAUAUGAUGUCGUUUUUUUUUACUCAGGUUAAUCAGUUAAUAUGUGAGUCAACCAGUACGUUUCUUAGCUAUUUAUUAGCAAUCUAAAUAUUUUUUUAUUUUUAAUAUUAAUAUAUCAAAAAAUAUUAAUUUAAUAUUUUUUUAAAUAAACAGAUUUUUAAAUGCACUCAAACAUAAUUAAGAGUACAAAAACAAAUUAUGUUUUGAUUGCGAACAGAAAAAUCUUGACAGUACCGUUGUUGUUUGGACUUUGAGAAAGAUAAAACAAAAGAGUUGGAAUAAUUGGAAAUCUGAACAAUUUGGGUACCCUUCACUGUAUUAGCCAUUCCUUUCCUUGCCUGCUCUCCUUUUUUUUUUUUUUUUUUUUUCUCUGGCGCAAUUGCCAACAAAUACCCUUUUUCAUUAUGUCUCCAUGAUACCCUUGCGUCAAAAACCUAAAUUUUAGGACUUUUUAGGCAGCCACGUCCAUGCUUUAGGAGUUUUUUUUUCGAAAUCCUUAUUAGUGGCUAGCCUUUUAAGAUACCUUUCCAACACGUCAAGAAUAACAGCAAAAUAUGAUACGUGAGUGGAAAGUUAUGAUUAAAAUAUUUAACUGCAUCCAAGCUAUUUCCAAAAAAAUAAAAUAUUAUUACUUUUAGUGUAUCCAAGCUAUUUAAGAAUAUAUCAAAGUAAAUAGAAUUUCAAUUCAAAAAUACACAUUAAUUUCUAUUAUUUGUAUUCACAUUUUAGCAUUUUAUUUCAAUAAUAGAGUAUUUAAGGGUGCUUAGAAGUUUAAUAUCAAUUAUUUUUCAAAAUAUUUUUUUUAUGAAUAUAUCAAAAUAAUAUUUCAUUAUUAUUUUUUUAAAAAUAUUUUUAAUAUCAACACAAUAAAAUAAUUUAAAAACACAAAAGAGUUAAAAAGAGACAUCUACCUUGUUUUAUCUGUUGGUACAUGGUAAGAGUCUAAGCAUAUUUAUUUAUUUAUUUAUUUUUAUUUUAAUAAUAGUCCUGUUAUUUCUACCGUCAAGAAAUCAAGAACGAUUCAAAAGAUUCUGGAGUCCAUGUUUAGAUAAAUUAGCAGAAAGGACAAAAAUCCUAUAAACUAAAAUCCUCAAUUCUUGCUCCACCUGGCUAAGAAAUGCAGCAUGCCCCCUUGGAAUUACACAUCAUCCAAAUUCUAGGGCAAAUAAUUGGUUGGAAUUGUUUUUUGAGAGUCAUCUCAAAAUUGAAAAAUAAAAUCAGAAAAUAGAUUUUCAACACAAUCAUGCUUUUUAUUUAUUAUAAAUAUAAAAUAAAGUUGAAGUGAAGUUGGGUCCAAUCCUUAAAUGGUCCAAACAUUAUUGUAAGAAUGCGACAGUCCAAUCUGAAAGGUUUUGGAUGCAAAACACAGGCUGCAACGCAGAUGGAGCAAGAAAUUCCACCCCAAGAAAAAUCCAAAUAUAAGUUAUUCCAACUUUCUUUCUAUCCCAAGAAAUCGAGAAUACUAGUUUCAUUCAUCAAAAUUAUAAAUCCUAUAUUUAGAUAACAAAAAUCCUAGUGCAAAAUACCUAUAAACUAUAUUAUAAGAUAUAAAAAACUAACGUGUGGAGUCUGUGGACCGACCCAAUGUUCAAACUUUGAAGAAGCUGCCAAGAAAAUAUAAACACAUGAUUAGAGAAAGAAUAGCAUAUGGUCGUCUGUUUCUCCAUGUCUCAAUAUUUUGUUAUAAAAAAACCACCACUUCUCCAUAUUAUAUUAUAAGAUAUGAAAAGUUAACGUGUGCACCCACCCCAAUGUUGAAACUUCGAAGAAGCUGCCAAGAAAAUGUAAACACAUGAAAAAUAUUUUUUAGAAAAAACCCAAAAAUCAUCUGAGCAAAAAGCCAAGAAAAGUGGCCCACGCUGCGUAAGUUUUUUAUUCAAGAACCUAGCUAGAGCUUAGCUUCAAGAGCGGCAAGGACUAAGCUAGGAAUGAUGCCUCUCACUCCUCCCCCGUCAAUGCUAAGGGUUGUUGCAAAGUAAAUAGGAAACUUCAUCCAUAGACAAAUCUUUUCUGAUCGGGUUGUAGGAAUCACUGAAUCAGCUUGCAUCCCUUAACUUGGACAGGAACUCCCAGCUUCUGUAUGCCAAAAGUCUCGCUCAUACCAUCUAAAAGCAGAACCCAUUUGAUAAUAGAUAUUGGAGAAAAAUUAGAGUACACAAAUAGAAUGUAAAAUUUAGAAAACUGUUUUGAAUUAUGCUGGAGAGCAUGCCGGCGGCGAUGAGUUUGGAGCUUAGCCUGGUGUUCUCCGACGGUUUCAACUCAUGCAUUCAAUUCCAAGCAAUAGCUGUGAUUUCGUAAUCUGUAUUUUGAGCGACUUUUUGGAGAGGGAGGGGCAGCGCGGGAACGAAAAGGUAGCAGUCUCAAGCCUCGCCAAUAGCCCAAGAGUAAAAAUAACAUGCUCCUAGCCCAAGCCCACCAACAUCACCCCCAACAGAUUGGUAAAAUGCUCACAAGUCACAACCAUUUUGAAAAAAAAAAAAUAAAAAAUCAUAUAUAUAUUUUUUUGCUUUAGGAUCAUUUGAUGUCAAAAAUAAAAAAAAUAUUAAAAAACUUAAAAGCUAGGUAUUAUCAAAAUGUGAAAGGGGCAAAAGCUAGCUUGGAAAUUCUGAGAUUAUCUUAGAAAUUGCUAUUAAAUAUUAUGGCAGAAGGUAUACUUCGACGCCACCAUUGAAGUAACACUGAUCUAAAAACAUUAUAUGCCACACCGCAAACUAAUAACAAUGGUAUACUAGAAAGUGAAAAUAAAUCGAUAUUAAUCAUGAAAUAAAUCGUUAGCAGAAACCAAAAAUAAAUGAAUAAAUUGUUCAUACUACUCCAUCUUAUUGAUGGGAAUGAAUUCUGACCUGCAGGACUCCUGCUAAAAUUAGCUGAUAAAUUAUCAUGAAAAAACUUAAUAAAGUCAGAAAAAAAAAAGAUCAUGAAAUGCUUCUUAAAUUAAAUAAAAUGGAGAAGAAAACCCAAGUAAUAAAUGUUCAAUUCACUUUCAAGUUAAAAAUAAAGAAUGAAAGCAUUUCUAUUCAAUAAUACUUCUUGCUCACAAAUAAGCUGGCAACAAUUAUAUGAGAAUCAAAUCUCUCCAAUUACAUGGUCGUAUAACUUCAAGAUUCCUAGGUCAACUCUAUUCAACUGUGCAGGUGGACAACAAAUUUACAAUCCAAGAAAAAAAAUUAGAAAGCAUCCCUCAAACAGGUUGGAAAAGAUACUAGAGGCAAAAGAUUAUAAGCAAUAGUAGCAGAGAAUAUAAAAAGCAUUAUUGUAGCAGAAAAAUGUGAUAUAAUUACCAGAAAAGCUCAUCCUAACUUCCCUGGCUAGUGCUUACGAUGGCAGUUUCAGGUUUAGAAACCAAAACUCAUCCAACAAAAAAAUGUAUGUUCAGUUCAUACUCUCUCAGAGGCAUUUAAUAUAGAAUCUUAUCCUUCCUCAUUUGAUCUUCUCAAUGCUGUGGUGGAAGAAUACUUCUGACAUGUUUACGAUGUUUGUUGUGAUUUGAAUUGACCAGAAUUCAAGAAUGUUCGAAGAGAUGAAUUCAUUGGCGAUGAAAUACCUUACUUUUAUUGAUUUAAUUUUCUAUUUCCUGUAUUCUGCUAUGGAAAUGAAUUAAUCUUCAUUGUGAAAAUGUUCCUAAAUUCUUACAUUUUUAUUAACAAUAAGAGAUGAAGAGGAGGCGAAGGUAUAAUGCAACCAACAAAUGAUACAGAAUAAGCUCAGACCAAGAGAACAAUCGACGCAAUUGUCCCUUCCACUUUUUGUCUCUCUUCCUUGAACUCAUAACUUAAGCAUCCAUCCCUUUUACUCAGACAAAACCACCGGUCACUAGUAAAAAACUUCAUUUUGAUAUAUAUAUUUUUAAAAUUGAUAGAAAAAACCACUUUAUAUUGUUCAUAAAGACGGAAAAAACUUAAAAAUACAAAUUAAAAAAUCUUGAGGAAUUCAUUAACCAAUCCUUUUAGUUUUUUUUAUGUUUUCUAUAAAGUCAGAAAAAAGUUAAAAAUACAGAUUAAAAAAUCCUGAAGAAUAUAGAAAAAUAGGAUGAAUUUUUUGUACGAGGAAAAUAGAUAGAGGUAUGGAAUUUUAUUCUAAAUAUAUCCUUAUAAAAAUUUCAAAAUUCCAAGUCAUGUAAUUCGAUUAUCAUUCAUUUUUUAAAUUGUAUUCUCUCUUUUGUUUUUCUUGUAUAUAGAUUUUAAAAGAAUAAUUUAUUGCUAGUUAAUGAUAUAAGAUGAUUUGUACUAAUGAAUAGAUCUAUUACUUUAUUUGGUUACUUCAAUGAUAAAUCAAUAUCAAUAUAGUGUUUGUUUUUGUAUUUUUUGGAUUUUUAUCUUGGAGAAACUCAAUAGGAUGAAAAUAUAGUAUUAAUCAAACUUCAAAUUAUAAUUAUUUAUCUAUCGAGUUAAAAAAAAUAUAUGACAAUUCAAUAGUCUUAAAAAGAUAAUGAAAUAAAUAAAUAAAUGAAAAAUGUUAUUUAUGUAAUUCUAAGAACACAAUAUAAAAAAGAAAUAUUUCAUAUUAAUAAACGCUCUUUCUAUGAAUUCAUGUUAGGCUUCGAUUUUUCUUUGAAAUAUGGAAUUGGCAAUACAAUUUCAAACCGACCCAAAUCCAACCAUUGAGCAUCUUUAAUCCAAAAGCAUCAUGCAAGUAAUUUUAAUAUUAAUUAAUAAAAAUAUCCUUGUUGAUUUAAAGGACUAUUUUCAUCAUUCAUAAAAAAAAAAAUUAAAAAGAAAAAUAUUCAAUUUUUUUGAAAAACGUGUGCUUUAACAAUGUUUUUAAAUAUUAAAUAUGUGAUUAAUUAAGAGCAGGUGAUUGCUUUUGUUUUUAGUUGUUUUUCAAAAAAAGAUAAAUAGAUUUUUUUAAUGUUUUUUUAUAAUUUAAAUAUAUUGAUAUUAAAGAUAAAAUAAAUAAAUUUAAAUAAAUAAAAAACAAUUAUUGAACAUGAAGCGAAUCUGAUUACGUAACAAUUACUAAUAGGGAAAAAAUUAGGAGACAAAUUAAAGGUUUUCAAUCGUUGCCGUUACCAAUUUGUUGCUGAUUAGAGGCACACGGAGUCAAAGACUCCAUCCUUGCUUUUAAUGAACAAAACCUAGUGCUAGUUUUGGUGGCUGGUGUUUUUCCGUGCUGGAUUAAUUUUUUAAAAAUAUUAAACCAGUAAAUUAAUAUACUUGAGUUAUUAUAAUAAACCUGUAAAUUACAUUAAUUUUAUAAAAAAAUAUAAUAAAAAUAAAUAAAUUACAAAGUUGCCCACAAAUGAAAUAAACAAAAAAAAAACACAUUGAGUUACUUAUUAUAAUUUACAAUGAAAUAAGUGUGAAUAAAUAGUAGUUCUCUCAAGUUUCUUAGCUAUUCUUUUAAUGAAAAUUAAUAACCGUAUAAUAACUUCUUGUGGAUGCUCUGCUAAAUUAAAACAUUUUUUAUUUAUUUACAACUAUGUGAAAAAAUUUUAAAAUAAAAAAUUUUAAAAGAUAAUAUUUUAAAAAACAUUAUUAUUUUAGUUUUUUUUUUUUAAAAAUACCAUCGUUUUAAUUUUUAUAAAUAAAUAAUAUGAUGUGGUUUUGUUUUUUACCCAGGUUAAUCAUUUAAUAUGUGAGUCAACCAAUGCGUCUCUUAGCUAUUCGUUAGUAAUUAAAAAAUAUAUAUAUUUUUUAAUAUUAAUAUAUCAAAAAAUAUUAAAUAAAUAUUUUUUUUAAAUAAAUAGAUUUUUAAAUGUACUCAAACAUAAUUCUAAGUACAAAAAUAAAUUAUAUUUUGAUUGCAAGCAUAACAAUCUUGGCUGUGCCGUUGUUGUUUGGACUUUGAGAAUGAUAAAACAAAAGAGUUGGAAUAAUUGGAAAUCUGAACAAUUUGGGUACCCUUCACUGUAUUAGCCAUUCCUUUCCUUGCCUGCUCUCCUUCUUUUCUUUUCUUUUUUCUUUUUUUUUUCUCUUAAUUUUCAAGAGAGCCUUAACCAUUCCUUCAUGCAAGUGUACGCUUUGCCAAACAAUCCUUUAGGAAAAUGGGUCGCCCUCCCUCCGACGACUUGCCAUAACAGAGAUUAAUUAUUUUAUUAAAAUAAUAUCAUUUUGUUUUUUUAGUAAUCCAAUUAGAUAUGAACUAGGUUAGUUUAAUUGAUCGAUUAAAUUCCACCCAAUCAAUAUCUUAUUUAGUUUAAUUACAAAUCCAGUCCAAGUUAAAUUUAAAAUUUAAAAUUUAAAAUUUUUAAAAUAAACACGGUUUAACAAUUAUUUUCUUAUCUUUAACUAAACUUUAAAGUAUGUAAACUUUCACACUCGGUGUGUGUAUAUUAUUCAACCAAAUAAUUGCUUGUGUCAUAUAUGUGUAGAGCUUUCUAGUAUUAAAAAUCUUAGAUUAUCAAAUAAUUAAACUUUUUAUCCAAACCAAUAAAUUUUAUGUGUCUAUUUUAAAUUUUGGUUUUAAAAAGAAAAUCAAAAUAAUAAAUCAAACAAUACCUGUAAAUCUUUUAUAUUACAGAUUAGCUAUAACCAGUGCACCCAUUUAUCAUUCUUAAGGUCAAUAUUUGGAAAUAAAUAAAUAAAUAAAUAAAAACUACGUACCAAUAUUUAAUUUAAGUAACCUCAAAGACUGCUAAUUUAGCUUUUUGAUAUUAAAAGGGCGUAUGUUGUUACUCUCUGCCUAGUGAUGAGACAAAUAUCAGGUCUUCUAUCUACACAAUAGUUAGAUGUGGAAAGGGUUAGAGGGAAUUUUUUUUUUUAAAAAAAGAAGAAGAAGCAAAACACCUUGAAUUACGUACUAUUUUUAUAUAGUGAUUCUCCAAGUCUCUUAGCUUUUCUUGUAAUGAAAAUUAAUAACCUUAUAAUAUCUUCCUUGUGGAUGCUUUAUCGUUGCUAAAUUAAAAUAUCUUUUUUCAUUUACAACUAUGUGAAACUUUUUAUUUAAAAAUAAAAAUAUCAAAAAAGAUAAUGUUUUUAAAAAAUAUUAAUUGUUAUUUUAGUUUUUUUAAAAUAAAUACCAUCAUUUUAGUUUUUAUAAAUAAAUAAUAUGAUGUGGUUUUGUUUUUUACUUUGGAAUACGUCUCUUAACUAUCUGUAAGCUUCCUAUUCGUUUUUAGUAAUUAAAAUAUAUAUAUAUUUUUUUUAAUAUUAAUAUAUCAAAAAAUAUUUUUUUAAUAUUUUUUUAAAACAAAAAGAUUUUUAAAUGCACUCAAAUAUAAUUCUGAGUACAAAAACAAAUAUAUAUUUUGAUUGCGGGCAUAGCAAUCUUGGCAGUGAUAAAACAAAAGAGUUAGAAUAAAUGGAAAUCUGAACAAUUUGGCUACCCAUCACUGUAUUAAUCAGCCAUUCCUUUCCUUGCAUGUUCUCCUUUUUCUUUCUUUCUAUCUUUUUUUUUUUUUUUUCUUUGGAGGCAGCCCUCCUUUUUCAUCACGUCUCCAUGAUCCCACACGUUUUCAUCAAAAACCUAAAUUAUAGGACUUCUUAGGCAGCCACGUACAUGCUUUAAGAGUUCUUUUUUCAAAAUCCUCAUUAGAGGCUAAAUUAAAACAAAUUAAAAUAAUUGUGAUUAAAAUAAUUAAAAUAAUUUAAAAAUAUAAAAAAUUAUUUAAAAAAAAUUAAAAUAUUUAAAAACACAACAUUAUGAAACAAGAUAUCAUGUCAAGAAUCACAACAAUCCAACAUAUGAGUGGAAAGCUAUGAUUAAAAUAAUAGAGUGCAUCUUCACUUUUAAAAUGAUUUUGACGAUGAUUUAUAAUAGUGAAUAGAUCUAUUAUUUUAUUAGGAUACUUUAAUGAUAAAUCAAUAUAGUUUUUUUUUUUUUGGAUUUUCAUCUUGGAGAAACUCAAUAGGAUGAAAAUAUAAUAUUAAUCAAACUUCAAAUUAUAAUUAUUUAUCUAUCGAAUAAGAAUAUCCUUGUUGAUUUAAAGGACUAUUUUCAUAUAAAAAAUAAUUAUGUUUUGCACCUGAUUUUUAACAAAAAUGAUUGAAAAAAUGAUAUAUUAUUGAAUAUGAGCAAAUUUAAGAUUACAAAAAUGAUUAGUAUUUUUACAGAUGCAUAGAAUUGAUAAAUGAUGCAACAAAGAAGGAUACGUAUUAUUACAUUUAACGGAGUAAUUAACCAUUCUACAUAUUAAUUAUUUCAAGAAAAAAAGGUCCUUUGGACAAUACCUUGGAAAUUCAAUUCAAAAAUUCCCUUUAAUUUCUAUUUUUUUUUAAUCAUUUUAGCAUUUUAUCCCAAUGAUAGAACAUUUAGAAUGCGCAUGGAACGCCAUCAAGCUUUAGCUUCAAACAACCAGAGGGAGCUUCAGUGCAGUAGAAAACUUCAACAUCUACUGUGAAGCUUGAUUUGCUAUCCAAUCUGCACACCAGUUUUUAUCCCACUGCAGUAGAACUUUUUAUCUUUUUCCAAGUUUUUUUUUGGGUGACUUUUUUUCUUUCAUCUCAAAUUAACUUGUGAAUAAAAAUAAAUAAAUAAAAUAUAAAAUACAAUUUUAAACCAAAAUAAAAAAUAUAAGAUGCAAAAAAUUAUAGAGAUCGAAAUUUUAAAAAUCACGCCUAUGUUUUUUUUCUAGUUUUAGUAUUAAAUUUGUUCGUAUAAGUUUUAUUUAUUUUUAAUCAAUUAAAUUGAACAAAAUCUUGUCAAGUCAAACAUAAACUCUUUAUUGAAUCGUCUUUUCUUUUUGGAUAAUAAGAGCUUCAUAGAAAGCUUAUUAAAAUAAAUUAUUAAAUGAAAUUAAAAAUAAAAAUGCUUUUAAAAAAAAAACAAAACAAAACAGAGAGACAUCUACGUGUUUUCUCUAUUGGUACAUGAUAAAAGUCUGAAAAGAUUUAUUAUUAUUAUUAUUAUUUUAAUUUUAAUAAUAGUACUGUUAUUUCUACCGCCAAGAAAUCAAGAAAGCUAGCUAAUUUUAAUACAAUGCUGGAGUUCUUAACUUCGGGAGAAUGAAUUCCGUGAUGGAAUUGGAGGUGCUGCUUUCUAUUAUGCACUGAUCAUGAGAUGUGGAAGAGAAUGUUACAGUUGCUAUCUCUUUUACAUAAUAUUAUUUAUUAGUAAGGUCGCCUCAAUAAUAAUUAAUUAACGUAUUGUUUGAUAUAUUAUAAGAUAUAUAAAGUUAACGUGUGGACCCGCCCCAAUGUUGAAACUUGGAAGAAGCUACCAAGAAAAUGUAAACAAAUGAAAUUUUCUAAAAAGAAUAGCAUAAUUAAAAAUAUAUUUUUUAUUUAAAAAUAUAUUAAAAUUAUUUUUUUUAUCAACACAUCAAAAUAAUUUUAAAAUAUUAAAAAAUUAUUUUUUAAAAAAUCAAAUUAAAAAAAAAACACAUUAUGACUGUAAAGAUAAACCAGUCAAUAUUCUCAAGGUAGCAAUUACUAAUUGGGAUAAAAAGAAAUUAAAAGACAAAUUAAAGGUUUUGAGUCAACGCCAUUACCAAUAUUCGCUUGCAGGGUGUAUGGUAGUUCCUAUGCUUCUGCCUUUGAGCGUGUAUAUUAGAGCAGAGUGAUUUUAUUUAACCAUGAAAAUUUUGUGAGACAAAUUAUAGUGAAUGUUUUUCUAUUUUACCAAUAUACCCAAGGUGUUUAUAACAGAGUGAUGCUACAUGCUGAGGUGGAUAUUAGCAACAGAGGAAAGCAUACAAAAGUAACAAAAAAAAAACAUCAAAUGAAAGAAAAAAAACAACCUUUAGAAACACGCGUCUUUGGAUUAACCAAUUCUUUUAGUUUAUUUUUUAUGUUGUUCAUAAAGACAGAAAAAACUUUAAAAUACAAAUUAAAAAAUCUUGAGGAAUUGAUUAACCAAUCCUGUUAGUUUUUUUUCUUUUCUAUGAAGACAGAAAAAACUUAAAAACACAGAUUAAAAUAAAGAUUUAAUAGAGAAUGAAAUUUAAUUUUAAAUGCAAAUUAAAAUAAAGCAGAGUGACUAAUGGAGAAAGUACUACUGGAAUUCUACAAAGAGUACAGCGUCGGGAAUCCUUGCACACGUUUGGUAUUUUAAUUAUUCUUAUUUCGUUUAAUAACUCAAUUGGAAGUUCAAUUCCCAGAAUUUCUGCUUUUGAAAAAUCAUUCAUCACUUUUAAAUAACGCAAAUGAUUAUUAAGAAAAUUCAACGACAACAAUAUACUCAAUAGCAAUAUUACAGUAAAGAAAUCAAAUCAAUACAGAUAAAUAAAUGAUCCAAAUAUAAUCAAAGAAUUAGUCCAUUUAAUAGAAAAAACAUUACUGAAUCCAUAAACUACAUAAUUCCCUUUUCUUUUUUCUUUUUUCUUCUUCUUCUCUGGUGCAUUUCCCACACGAAAUACUCAUUUCAAAUUAGGCACCCCCUUUUUCUAAAGGAGGCCCCCAAUUUUCAACCUCGUUUUCCAUCACGUCUCCAUGAUCCCCGUUGUGUCACAAACAAAUUUUCUAAAUUUUAGGCUUUAGGAGUUCCUUUUUUGAAAUCCUCAUUAGAUGCUAAUAUCUAGCCCUUCAAGAUACCUUUCCAACGCAUCAAGAAUCACAGCAAUCUUAUAUGUGAGUGGAAAGUUAUGAUUAAAAUACUAAAGUGUGUGGAGGCUGUUUCCAAAAAAAAAAAGAACAUUACUACUACUUUAAGUGUAUCUUUUGAUGUUUCCGGUUUAUAUUGAUAUAUUAUUCAUGUGAAUAAUAUAAGAAAAUUGCACUUAAAAAAUAAUGAACAAUUUUUUUUUUUAGUAUGUUAAUUUUUUCAAUAUUUUUUUUUAAAAAACACUAGUUUAGAGUGAAUUAAAUUCACUCGCAUUGUAACAUCAAUUUUAUACCUGAUAAUAUUUUAUCUAAUUUUAUUACAUGCUCAAAAAAUUAUGAAAACUGUAGUUCUUGUCGGAUGUAUUUCGUACAUAAUGGAAUUGUAGAUAGUUUCAUAGAAUAAUAAAAAAUAUUUUAUAUAAAGUAUGAUUUAUUUCAUGAUUUAAUAGCAAUAGUUAAAUCUACAAUAUUUAAAUUAAAAAUCAUCAAUAUUAAUAUAUAUUUUUUAAAAUUAUUUUAUAACCUCAAUUUCAAAAGCAUUCUUAACCAAACACAUUAAAUUACUUUUUUUUCAACUUCAAUUUCAAUCAUAUUUUUAACCAAACACCUAUUUUUUCAAACAAAUCUCAACUAAAAAUAUUUUUUUUCAAAUCACAACCAUAAUAUGUAUCGCAAUACUAAACACACUACAGGUAAUAAACUAGCCCAACAAAUCAUACCUAGGGAAGCAAAAGCCAGAAACAAGCUACCUCGAUUCUUGCUCCACCGGGGUAAGAAAUGCAGCAUGCCCACUUGGAAUUAUAGAGCGUCCAAAUUCCAUGGCAAAUAAUUGGUUGGAAUUGUUUUCUGAGGGGUCAUUUCAAAAUCUGAAAAUAAAAACAGAAAAUAGAUCCAGCAAAUGAUUCCAAAUAUCUUCUAAAAACAACGAUGAAAUAUGUUUUUUUAUUUACCGUAAGGAAAGAUAUUAAUGAAAUUUUUUUAUAAAAAAAAUCAAUUUAAAAAAUAUAUAACAAGUCAAAAUCUAUACUUAAAAUCUUUCUCGUAUUAAAUUCUUAAUUCAAUCAAAUAAAAUAUUAAUUUAAUAAAACAUAGUUAAGUUUUUGAUAGUUGAAUAUUUAGUAUAACGGUGACGUACUACUUAUUAUUUCUAUUUUAGCAUUUUAGCAUUUCAUACUCAUCAAAACCAUUGGAACACAAUCAAGCUUUAUCUUCAAACAACCAGGGAGAUUUUAUAGGGAUAAAAUUUUAAAAAUCACGUCUAUGCUACUUUCUAGUUUUAAUAUUAAAUUUAAUAUUUAAAAAAUGUGUUUAUGAAUAUGGCAGUUUCAGGUUUAGAAACCAAAACUGCCAUAUUCAUACUCUUUUAGACAUUUUAAAAAUAUGUAUAGAAGAAUACUUUCACUGAUGAGUUAUAAUAUUAGGUUACUUUAAUGAUAAAUCAAUAUAGUAUUUUUUUUUUUUUUUUUGGAUUUUCAUCUUGGAGAAAUUCAAUAGGAUGAAAAUAUAAUAUUAAUCAAACUUUAAAUUAUAAUUGUUUAUCUAUCGAGUUAAAAAAAAUAUGACAAUUCAGUAGUCUUUAAUGAAAAAGAAAAAAAAGAGGUUAUUUAUGUAAUUGUAAGCACGCUAUAUUAUAUUACUUUACAAAGGGACCAAGGACACCCUUUGCAUUAGGAUGCUCCCACUGCACUAUUGUCUCCCACUGCACUAUGGCUGGCCAUUUUCAAGCAACGAAAGACAAAUUGGCAUCCUCUUCAGCUUCUCACAACCCAUUACAGUAAUAUCUUCAAUAGAAUUGCAAAUCAGUUUUGCACUGCAAAUGCUUUUCAGUUCUGGUAAGUCUACCAAUUCCAGAGUUAUUAACUUUGGGAGAAUGACUUCCGUGAUGGUAUUGGAGGUGCUGCUUUCUUCAUCUGUUGUUCCUAUUAUCUCCUCCAUUUUCUCACAAUCUUCAACUUCAAUCCUUUCCAGGUUUACGAGGUUUGGCAGCAACACAAGCGGGAACAGCUUCUUCAUACUUUUACAGGUAUAACAAGAAAACUCUUUAAGACCAGAAAACGUACCGUUACAUGAUGGCAAUCGUGGUGGAGCAGAGCAGAACCAAGAAGAUGAAACCAAGCUCUCCAUGCUAUUGCAAUCCCCAAUGUUGAUGUGCUCCAGUUCAGUUGCAUUCUCUAAUGACAAAACAUCACAUAAACUUCUUGCAUCGAUGCAUUGACAAAUCAGUCCUUGAAUGCCAUUUAAGAACUUGACCUGAAAAUCUCUAUCUCCGUUGAUACUCAAAUUACCCAACCCAACUGUUUUACUUGGAUAAUCUUCAAUGCAUUCCUCUAAAAAUCUACCCACCUCUCCUACUAAAAUCUUGCAUGUGCUUAAUGAUAGGAUCCCAUCCCGAGAUCUGAGAUACUCCACGAAGUCAGAAAAACCUUCGAAAUGGCACUCCAAAGUUUCCAAAUUUCUCAAGGAUACUACUUCCUCUACUUUAACUGUUAUCGGAGCAUCAUCUUGCGGCAUAAAAUCUUCUAGUACAAAGACUUGCAGGUGAGAGAGUUUUGGUAAUAUCCCACUAGGAAACUCCUUUUCACCACAUCCAUUCAUUCUAAGAUACAUCAGGUUGGUUAGGCAUUCCAUUCCUUGCGGCAUCGUUUCAAGUCGAGUACCAGAGAGAUCCAACCUCUUCAGUGCCCUGAGCUUCUUUAAUGAUGGAACAUAUCUUAACUUGUCACACUCACGCGGAGCAAUAACGCAGUGAGACUCACCAAAUCAGAGACAGAGUCUGGCAAGUUUUCAAUACCUGUCCAAGACAGAUCGAGGACCUUGAGCCCAUGCAAUUGCUUGAAAAAUGAAUCCGCAACAAAUCCCAAGAACCGAUUUUCACAUAGCAAUAGAGUUGAUAGAUAGGGACACCUAGGUGAAUGGCUGGAAGGAAUUUCUUCGAUCUUGUUUGCAUUAGUGAAACUCUCGUCAGAUUCUCCGUCCACUCCUCUGCAUCUGGCAACUUUUAAUUGGCACCUGCUUUAACCAUGCCUUGAGAGUUCUCUGCAGUAUUGGAUGGCCAUGUCCCUAAUCAAGUCAUGCAUCUUGACACGUCUAUAUCAUACUCUAACUCUUUUAGCACUUUCCAAUAGGCAGACAUUUUCAAGUCUAUUAAGCAUCGUGUGGCCCUCAUCAAAUGCAUCUCCCCUGCUCCUCUUUCCUUUAAUUAUUCCCUCAUCGAUCAAAUAACCUAUCAACUCCUCCCUUUCAAUCAUCAUCUUCAGGAAAUAAUGCACAGUACAAGAGACAUUGUUGUAGUGCUAAAUCACCUAACCGAUCAUAACUAAACCUCAAUAACUUGAAUACUUCAUUGUCCCUAAAUUCUGAUUCUCUCAAUUUGUUCAAUGUAUUUCUCCACUCAUGUAGGUCAUCCACUCCCCUCAAGCUUCCUGCCACUGUAAUAAUUCCCAAUGGCAAACCAGCACAUUCCUUGCAACAGCUUUCGCAAUUCCUUCCACUUCUGGUGAAAGUGCUACAUCACGUGAAGUUUCUCCAUGAACAAAGUCCAAGCUUCUCCAUUAGAAAGUGGCUUCACUUUGAUUUUGUGCUGGCAAGCCAUCGAUGACAAACCGUUUCUGAUCGAGUUGUCAUAAUCAGCUUGCAUCCUUCCAACUUUCAGGAAUUCCCACUUUGUGUAGCUCAAAAUUGUUCCACAAAUCAUCUAAAAUGAGAAUCCAUUUUUGUUUCUUCCUUAGUUCUUCUGACAAUUUGGCAGCUCUAUGCAGAUCAUCAUCUUCGCUUGAAAGGUCUAGAUGAAGACGUUUAGCAAUAAGAUUCUGCAAUCUAUUAAUGCUGAAAUCUUGAGACACAGUCACCCACCAAACAUGAUCACAAAUAUCUGGUCUUUGUAGAAGCUCAUUAUGGAUAUGUUGCAGUAUUGUGUUUUACCAACUCCCCCCAUCCCAUAAAUGCCAAUGGUUGAGACUUCCAUCCAUUAACAAAGACCAUAUCACCUUCGUAUUCUCUUCGAAUGCUUGACCCACUGGCUUUGUAGAGCUAGUAGGUAAUGGAACUCCUCUAGUCUUGUUGUAUUUCAGACUUUCAGAAGAUCUAGCUCCAGCACUAACCUGCACUGAUCUUCGACUAUUCUCCACAUCCUCCUCCACUGGUUCUGUCCUCACUCUAACCCGAUUAAUUCUCUCUUCCCCGGCACCUUGUUCCAGCACCCCCUGAACUCCCACUUGUAUCCUUCCAGCAGCCCCUGCCAAAUUGCCAAGUACUGCAUUGUUUUGUUCCAACGAUCGAUCCACUGGUUCUGUCCUCGGUCUGCUCUCGAGUGCCCCUUCAGAAACUCCAUCUUCUUGUGCUCUCAUUCUGGUCAUGCUUACUACGUCGUUUCCUGCUAUUGCAUGUGAAGUAAUCCUCUCUUCCCCUACUCCGGGUUCUACAACCUGAACUUCUCUUGUACCCUUCCAAUUCCUCCUCCCAUAUUUUCAAUCUCAAUGUUUUGUUCUUGUGGACAAGUUGAAAUUCUAGAAUCAUUAACAUUGAUUGAACUUUCUGUGCUUUUAAGUCUUUUGUUGCCACGACACAUAGCUUUCCAGGCUGCUUCUUGAACUUCUUUAGCCACCCCACGACAAAUGGAAACACCAUGCCCUUCUUCUCUUGAUAAAUGCCAUUUGAUCCUUGAAAUGGAAGUUAGUGGCAUAUGUAUGUGGACAAAACUUACACUUCAUGCUACCAUCAGCCCUUUCUUCAACAUAAUUCCGAAAUGAAUCAUUUGAUCCACCCAUUUCAACCUAUAGAAAAAAAGGGGUGGGGUCAAAAUAUAGAAUAAAAAUCAGUCAAAAUAAAGAAUAAAAAUCCUAUCCGGAUGGAUGAAAAACUACUUCUUUAGUGUUGUUACCCUUAUUUUGCUAUUAAAAUUGAUAGUUAGUUUAUUGCACAAUCAUAGGAGGUAAAAAGACGACGAUAAUUUAAUUAGACUUCUUACUUGUUGAGUAUUUAAACCCCUAUUUUGACUUUGCAGGGAAGUGUCAAGGCCGGGAUUUGAGGCAUUUGGCAUAGCAGUUUGAUUUUGCAAUCCUCGGACUUGGAGGUUAUCCAUCUGUGACCUAUAUAUAUACAAAUGAAUUGAUCAUAUUAUAAAACCUUUCCAUAAUUGGUAGUCUCUCUUAAACAGUAAAAGUUAAUGGUGUUAAAACACAACAGAUAGAAGUCAGUCAGUACCCAGGCACGAAGUUCUCUUGCUGGACAUUGUCUAUGUUAGGAAUUACAGCAGCUGGAUCGACUUGUCCUUGAUUAGAAAAAUAUUGACUCCUGAAUCCAAAAUCAUUUGCAAACAAUAUGUUUAGCUUAUUGGGUUCAUGUUCAAGCUAUGAUGUUUCCUUCCUGGUUGAAAAACUAUUUUUUAUAUAUAUAUAGAAAAUACUAAACGUGAAAAAUUGGAUACCGGGGAGCAGGAAAAGAAGGUCCAGGUUGAAUGAAGCCACCAUGUUCUGAAGUGGUUGCGUUCGGUGUCAUAUAGGCAUGUCCCGGCUGAGGUUGAUGAAUAUUGGAGUACUGAUGCCUGAAUAAUAUUCAAAUAGUUAAACUUAGAACUGUUAUUCUAACUUGGUUGAUUUUCUAGUUCCAUUAUGUGCACAAGACAAAAACAAAAAAUAGAGAUAGAGAGCUCAGAAAGACUCGAAAGAUCCUCGUCAAUUCUGGUCAAGUUUAUUGUUUUCAUGAUUAAAUAAGUGUAUAUUCAAAGUUAAUACCAUUGAUUCAAUGGAGGUUGAGGUCCAGGUAGCAUCGCAGGCACUUGAUUCCUCAUUGGUAACUGAUAAUUAGUCCAUUGUUGGUCCCUAAAUUAGCAACAUUUGUUAGUAAUUUCUUUAUACAUAUACGCGUAAUUCUUUACUAUUACUCCACUAAGCAUUUGAUAUCAUUUUAGCUUACCUCAAAGGCAUUGACGGUCCAGGUAGCAUGGGAUUGGCACAUCGAGGAUCAGAUAAAUUAGGAUGAGGCAGAUACCUAUAUUCAAAUAUAAUGAAUUCAUUUAGUGUAAUAAAUUGGCAUCACUGAUAAGAAAAUUAGGCAGAUAAGUAGAACAACAACAAGAAGUUAAAUAAUUAUGAAUAUUAUGUACAAGAAGAAUUUAAAUAAUGAUUAUUCUCACUUAGUUGAUUUUCUAGUUUCAUUAUGUGAUGCAAAUCAGGAGACAGGGGAAACAGGGGACUCUUGAAAGCUGAUUAUUAACUGUAGUUAUUAUUUUUCAAGUUUAUUGUUUUCAUGAUUAAAAAAGUGUGUAUUCAAAGUUAAUACCAUUGAUUUAUUGGAGGUUGAGGUCCAGGUAACAUCGCAGGCACUUGAUUGCUCAUUGGUAACGGAUAAUUAGUCCAUUGUUGGUCCCUAAAUUAGCAACAUUUGUUAGUGAUUUCUUUAUACAUAUGCAUAAUUGUUAGCUAUUAAUCCACUAAGCAUUUGAUAUCAUUUUAGCUUACCUCAAAGGCAUUGAUGGUCCAGGUAGCAUGGGAUUGACACAUUGAGCAUCAAAUAAAUUAGGAUUAAGCUGAUACGGUGAUACCUAUAUUCAAACAUAAUGAAUUCACUGAUAAGUACAACAACAAGAGGAAGAAAAGAAGAAGUUAAAUAAUGAUUGAAAAACUUUUUUUUUUAACAGAAAAUACUAAAAAUGAAAAAUUGGAUACCGGGGAGCAGGAAAAAGAAGGUCCAGGUUGAUUGAAACCACCAUGUUCUGAAGUGGUUGCGUUCGGUGUCAAAUAGCCAUUUCCCGGCUGAGGUUGAUGAAUAAAGGAAUUAUGAUGCCUUGAUGGAGUUUGAGGCCAAUUUUAUAUAAAACUUAACGAUAAAAAAAUAUCAUAAAAAAAGUCUAAAUCUCCCAAUUGUUGUCUGUUUGUUUAACAAUAAACAUUUUGAAGAUGCUCGAGAUAAAUUGAUACACGAAAACAUAAAACUUUUUGAUCCAAUGGGUGAUACAAACACUUGCUAAUUCAAUGGACAUUGUAGCAAAUUGGAGUAGGCAUGAGCACUCACCAUGGUUUGACGAAAUGAAGGUGGAAACAGAGUUGUUUGUUGAAGACUAUCGUUGAUCACAUUGUUAUCCACCACCAUGUUCUGUCCAUCUUGAUCAUUGCAUAAUAUGGAGCUUUGGUUGCCUGAAACCUCCGGUGGCGACCUGCUUAAUUUGUUAUUAGGAACAUUAUUCUUUUUGGGGAAUAAUAAGAAAAACUGUAGAAUAACUAAAUUGCAAGUAAUCAUCUUCUGAUAAAAUAUGCUUAAGAAUGACGUACGAGAGAAACUCAGAAAUAUUGAAUGAAUCUUCUGGUGAUUGAAAAUCGAACUGAUUCGAUGUCAAGUUGACAUCAUCCUCAUUACAAGACGGUGGGACUCCUUCCAUCUGAGGUUUAAAAAAGAACAGAAAGCACAGAUUAGAUAAGAAUAUAUAUAUAUAGAUUAGAUAAGAAUAUAUAUAUAUAUAUAUAUAGACACACACACAUGACUUAUUUAUUUGUUAAAGAAAUUCGGAUGAAAAAUAGGAAAUAUAAAUGUUGCUGUUAAUUAUUUAAUUCUUUGUUUUAAUGCUAAAUUAUUUGUCACUUGUUGUGAACAAGUUUAAUGAAAGGUAAUUAAUACUGAUCAAGUUAAUUCAUGAAUCAGUAAAAAACAACUUCAUUGAAUCAUUAUGUCAGAAAAAUAUUGGAUAAAAAUAAUUAAUGGCAGUCCCACAGGGCAUGGAUUACAAAAUCCCAUAUAUAAGGAGUUAAAAACAGCAAAGAAUCUUCAAAAGACAAAAACACUGAAUUCAAGGUUUAGGGUUAAUUUAAUCAGUAUGAACACCACAGGGCAUGGAUUACAAAAUCUGAGAAAAAGAUCGAUUUAUUUAUCAUGGAUUACUUUAAAGAUUCAGACAAGAUGAAGUACAAAUAAUUUACCUGGAUUCAAGAUAUUCUUCAAGUGCUCGCUUGUUUGCUUAAGCAGUGAUCAGCCAAAAGAAAAGGAAGAGAAAUCACAGAUCAGAGAAGAAUAAAUGGCUUGGAAAAAUAAUAAAGUUGCAGCAUACAUAAAUCUAGUUCGCACUGAUCAUGAGAUGGGGAAAGGAAAAUAGGGAAUUCUACAAUGAGAUGAGAUGUGACGUGGAAGAGAAUGUUACAGCAGCAAGGUCGCCUCAAUAAUAAUAAUUAAUUAACGUAUUGUUUGAUAGGAAGGAAAUUGCCAGGAAGCAACCCAAACAUAUUACAUUAUCAGUUAUAGAAAAAUAACGUGUGGACCCGCCCCAUGUUCACACUUCGAAGAAGCUGCCAAGAAAAUGUAAACACAUGAAAAUGAGAAUGAAUAGCAUAUUUGUGCAUUGAGUGAAGUUUUUUUUUUAAUUAUUUUUUAUUUAAAAAUAUAUUUAAAUUUUUUAUAAAAAUUUUUUAUAUUGCCACAUAAAAACAAUUCAAAAAUAUUAAUUACAAACAGUCACUUGAUAUAAUUUUACAGACUUUUAAUUAGCCUCACUCAUUUGAGCCAUGUCAUGGAUUAAUGGUUCACAGCAACUCUUCAUUCUGUGAUCUUUCCUGCCCUACCUAGAACAACCACCGCCCCGACAUAAAUAAUAAUAAUUUCACAGUUGAAUCAUGUUUUUUUUAAAAACUUAAUAUUUUUUUAUUUUAAAUUAAUUUUUUAAAUAUUUUUAGAUUGUUUUAACAUUUUAAUGUUAAAAAUAAAUUUUAAAAAAUAAUAAAAAUAUUAUUUUAUUAUAUUUUUUAAUAAAAAAAUAAUUUAAAAAACAAUUAUUAUCUCAAUAUCAAACAUUAUCUUAUUAUAUGAUACUAUACUUGAACUUUUCCACACCAAUGGAAAUUUGUUUUUCCCAACACCCUUCUACACAUUUAUAUUUUUAGCCCUCAGACCUAUAAAGUAUGAUUUGCUAGCCAAUCUGCACACUAGUUUCCCAUUAAUACAAAGAUGAUCGUGUUUUUUUGGUGCCAAAAUUGUCGGCCAAUAAUUUUCCAUUUUUAUCCGAGUUUUUAAUGAUUUUUUUUUAUCUCAAAUUUAUAAAUUAAAAAAUUAAUAAAAUAAAAUUUUAAAUCAAAAUUAAAAAUCAAAAUUAAAAUGCAAAAUGCAAAAACUUAGGGAACAGAAUUUUGAAAAACACGCCAGGCUACUUUUUGAUUUCAGUAUCAUAUUUGGUGUUCACAGUUUCAAUUAUUUAUAAUGAAUUAAAUUGAAUACAAUUUUAUCACAUCAAAUGCCAACUUAAAUUAAUCUUCCUUUUUUUUUUACCUUGAGAACUUUAUAAUUAAUUAAAAUAAAUUAUCAACCUCAAAUUUCCAUGAAUAUAAAAUUAAAAAUAAAAUAAUCAGCUCAAAUAAUAAUUAAUUAACGUAUUGCCUGAUAGCAAGGAAGUUGUCAGGAAGCAACCUACCGCUCACCUACCAAACAUGAGAGUGUUUGGAGAUUAUUUUGGUUUUUUUUUUUUAUGGUCAUAUAAAAAAUAUUUCUUUUAAAUUUUAAAAAAUAUAAUGUAUAUUUUAAAAAAUUAUUUUUUUAAUAAAAAAAUUAUCACAUCUCCAUACCAAACACACAUAUUAUAUUAUAAGAUAUAAAAGUUAACAUGUGGACCCCACCAAUGUUGAAACUUCGAAGAAGCUGCCAAGAAAAUGUAAACACAUGAAAUUUUCAAAAAAGAAUAGUAUAUUUAUGCAUGCUGUAAAUGUUUUUUAAAAAUAUUUUUUAUUUAGAAAUAUAUUAAAAUAAUAUUUUUAAAUUUUUUACUUUUUAUAUCAUAAUAUCAAAAUAAUUAAAAAAUAUUAAAAAUAUAUUUUUAAAAAAUACAUUAGGAUUGUAAAGAUAAACCAGUUCUAACAUUUAAAUUGUUUUAAAAGUAUUUUUAAAAUGUAAAAAUAAACAGUAUUUAAGGUGUAUUUGGUAGUUUUUAUCCUUCUGCCUUUGAGUGUGUCUAUCAGAGCAGAGUGAUUUUACUUAACCAUGAAAUUUUUGUGAGAUAAAUUAUAAUGAAUUUUUUUCUAUUUUACUAAUAUACCCAAGGUGUUUAUAACUAGAUGCUACUUGCUGAGGUGGAUAUUAGCAACAGAGGAAAGCAUACAAAAGUAACAAAAAAAAAAAUGGAUAGCAAAGACGAAAGCAUAUGAAGCUAACAAAAUCAACCCCACCAUUUCUCAAAUAUUCAGAUUUUAAAAAACACAUGGAAAUAAUAAUUUAAGAAGAAACAUGUUUUCAAGCUGUGUCAAAUGCAGAAUGCUUUAAUUAAUACGAGGAAAAUCUUGUUGAUAAUAUAGUUCGGUAUAGCGCACUGCCAGUUUAAAAUUACAAUCAUUAUUGAUUUUUAAAGUAUUUUUUAUUUAAAAAUAUAUAAUAAUUUCAGAAUCAUGUUUUUUUAAAAACUUAAUACUUUUUAUUUUAAAUUAAUUUUUUAAAUAUUUUUAGAUUAUUUUGACAUUUUAAUGUUAAAAAUAAAUUUUAAAAAAUAAAAAAUUAUUAUUUUAAUAUAUUUUAAAUAAAAAAAAUAAUUAAAAAAAAAUAUUAUCACACCAUCAAACCUUAUCUUAUUCUAUGAUAGUAUACCUGAACUUUUCCACACAAAUGGAAUUUUUUUUUUUCCAACACUCUUCUACAGAUUUUAUAUUCCUAGCCCUCGACCUAUAAAGUAUGAUUUGCUUCCAAUCUGCACACUAGUUUUCCAUUAAUACAAAGAUGAUCGUGUUUUUUUGUUGCUAAAAUUGCCGGCCAAUAAUUUAAGAGGUGCGUUUAUUUAAGAGGUACAUCAGUCAAUGAGUUUGGAGUACAAAUUUAUAUUUUCCAUUUCUAUAAAGUAUGAUUUGCUAUCCAAUCUGCACACCAGUUUUUCAUUAACACAAAGAUGAUAGUGUUUUUUUUUUUUUUCUGCCAAAAAUUAUCAACCAAUAAUUUUCCAUCAUUUUCCGAGUUUUUUCAGUGACUUUUUGUCAGUUAAAAAUAUAAAGAUUUUUGCGGUGAUUUUAGCCCAACUUUGGGGUAUCGAGUCUCCACUGAGAAAUUAAAAGAAUAGAAAAAAAUAUUACAUGGAGACAAAUUAAGAGAAUAGAAGAAAAUAUUAAAUGAUUUAAUAGAGAAAAAAAUUUAAUUUUAAAUGCAAAUUAAAAUAAAGCAAGGUGACUAAUGGAGAAAGUAGUGGAAUUCUACAAAGAGUAGAACGUCGAAAAUCCUUGCACACAUUUGAUAUUUUAAUUAUUCUUAUUUCGUUUAAUAACUCAAUUGAAAAUUCAAUUCCCAGAAUAUCCGCUUUCGAAAAAUCAUUCAUCACUUUUAAAUACGCAAAUGAUUAUUAAGAAAAUUCAACGACAACAAUAUACUCAAGAGCAAUAUUACAGUAAAGAAAUCAAAUCAAUACAGAUAAAUAUAUGAUCCAAAUAUAAUAAAGAAUUAAUCCAUUUAAUUGAAAAAAAACAUGACUGAAUCCAUAAACUACGUCGCCGUGGUCCCACAUGUUUUUAAAUACAUGCAGGCUGGUUCAAAGUGAAUUUCACGACUUUGGGCCUUGACUUGUCUGUGAGAGCUUCAACUCUACAUUGAAAUGUUUUUUCUUAAACUGUGAGAGCCUCAUAAUAAGCUUAUUGAAAUAAAUUAUUAUAAUGAAAUUAAAAACAAAAAUGCUUAAAAAAAAACAGAGAGACGCCGUGUUUUCUCUGUUGCUACAAGGUAAAAGUCUGAGCAUAUUUAUUUUUUUAUUUUUAUUUUUAUUUUAAUAAUAUUACUGUUAUAUCUACCGCCUAGAAAUCAAGAACGCUAGUUUCAUUUAAAAGAUUCUAAAGUUCAUAUUUAGAUAAAUUAGCAGAAAGGACGAAAACACAACAAAUCAUACCCAGAGAAGAAAUGCAGCGUGCCCACUUGGAAUUACACAUCAUCCAAAUUCCAGGGCAAAUAAUUGGUUGGAAUUGUUUUUUGAGGAGUCAUCUCAAAUUUGAAAAUAAAAACAGAAAAUAGAUCCAGCAAAUGAUUCCAAAUAUCUUCUAAAAAGAACAAUGAAAUAUGUUUUUUAUUUACUGUAAGGAAAUAUAUUAAUGGAAAAAAUAAAAAAAAUCAAUUUAAAAAAUAUAUAAUAAGUCAAAAUCUAGACUUAAAAUCUAACUCGUAUCAGGUUCCUAGUUGAAUUGAAUAAUUGAAUAAAAAGGUGGGAAAGGGAGACAUCGAAAGGUGUCAAAUAGAAAAAAAAGAAGAAAAAAAGAUGGUGGCUGGUUCAAAGGACGAGCUUAAUCUCAUGAAUCAUUUUUUAACCUUUAUGGUAAGACUUGACACGUGUGCUCUAAACCCUCCUGUCCCUCUUCCAUUAGCGUAAACCUAUGCUUCUCUGGACUUAAUUUGAUCCCAAUAAACCAAUCCAUGGAGUUGGUGCUAAUGUAAUUGAUAUAACUUUUUAAAUUAUUUUUAUUUAAAAAAAUAUCAAACUAAUUUUAAUGUGUUGGUAUUAAAAAAAUUUAAAAAUAUUCUAAAAAUAUAUUUUUAUUUGAAAAAUAUUUUUUUAAAAAACCGUAUGUAGAAUUAUUAAACACCCUUAAGCCAGUGGACAAAGACACAAACGACAAAAUACAAAGGAAAAGGGAUAAAAGCAUAUAUUUGGAGAUGAUAAAAGGGCAUGAGAUCAAAGAGGAUAAGUUUUCCAGUGAUGGGAUUGGAUGGUGAUGAAGGAUUGUGUGGAUAAGAGCAUAGUAAUUAAUCCUUUACUAAAAAGUUCUUCAAUGACCUAAUUCUGUGGCCCAACAAAAUUAUCAUUAUCCAAUAAACUAUUUGAUUAAUUCAGUGUUGCUUAAUCCCAGUUUGCUAUUGCGUUUUAAAUGGGUAUUGGUUAAAAUCAGAACCCAUUUAUGUUUCUCCAUUAUUUCUUUUUUCAAUUCGACCACUCUAUGCAGCUCCUCAUUUUCAUUAGAAAUAUUCAGACCAAUACGUCUUUCAUUUCCACCAUGUUCUGCACAUCACACAUAAUGACAUCUUUGUUUAGCGAUGGAGCACAGAGUUGAUCAUAAUAAAUAUCUUCCAUGGUCAAGACACAAUGAAUCUCCAUCACAACCCAACAUCAUUAGCUUAUCUGCUAUCCCUUUCAAGAGAAGAAGAUUUCGAAUCAGUCCAUUCAUUCCCAUCUGUAGGCAUCUUUCUCAAACAUUAAGAAAAAAAAUGAAAAAUAAAUAAAAAAGGAAAUUUUUUUAUCUUAAGCUAUAUAUCCAACACUCACUUGAAAGAUAUUGAUAACCAUGCAAGCAGUUUACAUGUCAGUAUUUGACAAGGGGUGGGAGAUAUUGGAAACAAAUUAGAGUACACAAAUAGAAUGUACUUGGUGAAUUGCCCGCGCGGUGCCGGGGUCAACAUGAACUGAGAAAAACCUAAAAGCACUGAGAUCGAACUGAGCAACCAUGUGCAGUAAGCUAUUUGGCUGCCAGAACAAUUCAAAAAGGGCCUCCGAUUAAACAUCCCGAGGGCAAAUGUAAACACAUGAAAUUUUCAAAAAAGAAUAGUAUAUAUAUUUAUGCAUGCUGUAAAUUUUUUAAAAUAUAUUUUUUAUUUAGAAAUAUAUUAAAAUAAUAUUUUUAAAUUUUUUAUUUUUUAUAUCAUAAUAUCAAAAUAAUUAAAAAAUAUUUUUAAAAAACACGUUGUGAAUAAGUUCUAUCAUUUAAAUUUUUUUAAAAGUAUUUUUAAAAUAUAAACAUAAUUUAAAGUAUGUUUGGUAGUUCUUGUGCUUCUGCCUUUGAGUGUGUAUAUUAGAGCAGAGUGAUUUUACUUAACCACGAAAUUUUUGGGAGACAAAUUAUAGUGAAUAUUUUUCUAUUUUACCAAUAUACCCAUGGUGUUUAUAACAGAGUGAUGCUACAUGCUGAGGUGGAUAUUAGCAACAGAGUAAAGCGUACAAAAGUAACCAAAAAAAAAUAUUGUGUUUUUUAAAAUCUGAAUAUUUGAGAAUUGGUGGGGUUGAUUUUGUUAGCUUGAUAUGCUUUCCUCUUUCCUCUUUGCUUUUCAUUUUUUUUUGUUACUUUUGUAUAAAUUAGUGAAUUUUAUCUUAGUCCAUUAGAAAUUUGCCUUUCCAAUUUUUUUUAAAAACAAAGAAAAGUAAAAUUCAAGACUUAUGUCUGUUUGACAACACCAGUCUAAUGGACUCGUGUUGUUGAAAUAACUUAAUAUUCUAAUAAAGUUUGUUACUGAAUAUAUAUUCUCCAAAUCCUUACUAAAUUAUUAGAAAGUAACAUUAUAAUAUUUUUAGGUCUGCUUAAUUUAUUUGGUUUAAAAUAAUUUUUUAAUAUAGUAUCAGAUAUUUAAUAACUUAUGAGUUAUUUGUUAAGUUAAUUUAAAUUAAUUAUUUUUAUUAAAAUAAUAUUAUUUCAUUAUUUUUUAUUAAUCUAGUCAAAUAUGAACUAGAUUGGUUUUAUUAAAUUUAUCAAAUUUCAUCAAAUUAAUAUUUUAUUUGAUACAAUUACAAAUUCAAUUUUUUUAAGGUCAAUAUUUAGAAAUAAAUGAAUAAAUAAAUAAAAGCUACAUACCAAUAUUUAAUUUAAGUAACCUCAAAGACUACUAAUUUAGCUUUUGAUAUUAAAAGGGUGUAUGUCUUUAUUCUCUGUCUAGUUGAUGAGGCAAAUAUCAGGCUAAUAGCUUUUUAAGUGAGUUUAGAUAAUAACUAAUAAUAUAUCCCUAGUGAUUCCCCUAAUGAUUAUAAAAUAUUGCGUGGGAAAUGCAGGUGAAGAAUUAGAAACAAGGAAAAAUGUCGACACAAUGAAAAUUAAUUGUUAUAUAAUUGUACAUGGCAUACACUUUAAAGCUCUGAACUUCAGUAAAUGAUUUAAUAGAGAAUAAAAUUUAAUUUUAAAUGCAAAUUAAAAUAAAGCAGAGUGACUCAUGGAGAAAUUAAGCACAACUGGAAUUCUACAAACAGUAGAGCGUCGGGAAUCCUUGCACACCUUUGGUAAUUUAAUUAUUCUUAUUUCGUUUAAUAACUCAAAUAUAAUAAAGAAUGAAUCCAUUUAAUAGAGAAAACAUGACUGAAUCCAUAAACCACAUAAAUCCCUUUUUGUUAUCUGGUGCAAUUCCCACGCGUCUUCUUUAUUCCAAAUGCCCCUCUUUUCAAAUUAGGCAUCUUCAAUCUCCUUUUUCAUCACGUCUCCAUGAUCCCCGUUGUGUCACAAACAAAUUGCCUAAAGUUUAGGAUUUUUUUUUGGCAGCCACAUACAUGCUUUAGGAGUUCCUUUUUUGAAAUCCUCAUCAUAGAGUAAUUUGUAGCCCUUCAAGAUACCUUUCCAACGCGUCAAGAAUCACAGCAAUCCGAUAUGUGAGUGGAAAGUUAUGAUUAAAAUACUUUAGUUCAAAGUGAAAUUUCACGACUGCUGGCCUUGACUUGUCUGUUUAAUUUCUAUUAUUUUUAUUCACAUUUUAGCAUUUUAUUCCAAUGAUAGAACGCACUUUCAUAGACUCAUCAAAACCCCACGAACGUCAUCAAGCUUUAGCUUCAAACAACCAGAUCGGGAGAUUUAGUGCAGUGGAGAACUUCAACAUCUACUAUGAAGCUUGAUUUGCUAUCCAAUCCACACACAAGUUUUCCAUUGAUACAAAGAUACUGUAUUUUUUAUACAAAGAUACUGUAUUUUUAACCGUCUAGUAAAUAAUUUAAUGGUAAAAAUUUAAGAUCAAGAGAUUUACUAUCUACUGUGGUCUCAAGUUCGAGUCAUGUGAUUGUCAAUAUUAAUGGUUACUGGAAGCUUACUUGCUCAUUAAUUUUAAAAUUUGUAAAAAUUAGUUAAUGUGCGUGUAAGUUGAUCUAGAUACCCCCAAUUAAUAAAUAAAUAAAAAUGGUGUAUUUUUGUUGCCGGAAAAUUGUCCACCAAUAACUUUUUAUCUUUUUCCAAGUUUUCUAGGUGACUUUUUUCUUUCAUCUCAAAAUCAUGGAUCAAAAGUGAAUAAAAUAAAAUUUUGAAUCAACACUAAAAAUAAAAAAAUAAAAAAUGCAAAAAGUCUAGUGAUCAAGAUUUUUAAAAUCACGCCUAUGCUACUUUCUAGUUUUAAAUAUUCAAAACAAGGCUCAUUAUCAUAUAUUCAUAGAGACAUACCAAUGUAGCUUUUGAUGUUUACCGGUUUGGGUAUGUCCAUAUACUUUUAAAUAUUUUUUAAAAUUUAUAUUUGUUUAUAAAAAAUAUUAAAUUAAUAAUUUUUUAGUUGUUUUUAAUGAUUUUGAUGUAUUGAUAUUAAAAAUAAAAUCUAAAAAAAUUAUUUUUAAAAAAUAUUCUAUAUAACAGUAUCAAACACAUGAUAACCUGGUCCAAAAGCUUUCGACCGAGCAUAAAAUGGUUUUCAACCCAAUCAUACUUUUUCCUCAUUAUAAAUAUAAAAUAAAGUUCAACUAUUCAAGUUAAGUAGGGUCCAAUCAAGGUUGUUAAAAUCACGAUUUUAACAUGAAACAGAAAGUCUUUCACAAAUUCGGAUCGUAAAAUCAUAAAAAAAUCGUAAGGAAUUUUAAAAUAUAUUAAAAAAAAUUCAUAUUUCAAAAUAAUAAUAAAAUAUUAAUUAAAUUUUAAAAAAAAUAAAAAGAACAGGAGAAUUGCAAUGCCAAAAGAUGUCGUCGAAAGGGAUUGGAGAACAUUUUAUUGUUAUUUUUUUAGGUUUUAAAUGAUAACAAUCAGUAUUAUGGAAAUUCCAUCCUGUCACAGUAAUUGAUAACAAGCAGCACUAUUUUGUGGCCCACACUUUUGCCAUUUGUCCAGGAGACUUCAAGCCUUCAAGGCCGAAGCAGAGAAGCGAAGACUGUGCCAUUUGUCCAGGAGACUUCAAGCCUUCAAGGCCGAAGCAGAGAAGCGAAGACCGAAGAUGAAGAAUUGAAGACCAAAGACAGGUGGACAUGGGGCGGGGGACUUUCAGUGCAGGUUUUAGAAAUUAUAUUGAAAUCGUAAAAUCGGUCCUGAUAUCGCGAUUUUGCAUGAUAUCAUCUAAUUUUUGCGAUUUUACCUGAUUUCAACCCGAUUUUACUCAUUUUCAAUUUUUUCAACCGAUUCAACCCGUAAUGCAUGUUUUGACUCGUAAAAUCAUACGAUUUUACAAGUCAAAACGCGAUUUUGACAACCUUAAGUCCAAUCUUAAAUGGUUCAAACAUUAUUGUUAGAACGUGACAGUGUCCCAGCAUUAGUAGUGUAGCACGUGCCAUGUCUUAAGCUUAUGUGAUCCGAAAACAAGGCAAUUGAUAAAAAACUGAUGUAUAUUACUCUUUCACACAGGAUGCUUAGAAUAAUACAAUGAAUUGAUCAAAUGAGACUAAGGCUUAAAUAGCCAGAACAAGAAACAACAGAAACAGCUAAAAAUAAGUUCACGUCUUCAACACCCUGAAGAUGUGGAUCCUUGCUUAAAAAUAGGUAAAACUAAAACAGAAUAUCAAAUGCUAACAACACUGUCCUAAUAGCUAGGACACUUAUUAAAAUUAUUAAGACUAAGUCUAACAAUUGCUCCCCUAAACUGAACAUGCUUGAAGCAGUUUAGUUUAUUUCUUCAGCUGAAUUCACCCCAAGUGCAGCUCUGAAUUUCUCGAACAGUUCCAGCCUUAGAGGCUUGGUCAUAAUAUCAGCCAGCUGCUCAUUUGUACCACAAUGCUCUAUGUCAAUUACUUCAUCCUUUGUAAGAUUCCUCAGAAAAUGGAAUCUUACGUCAAUAUGCUUACUCCUACCAUGAAGAACUGGAUUCUUGGCAAGUUUUAUUGUAGAAGAAUUAUCACACAGAACUUUGACACACUUCCUUUCAGUACCUCCAAUUUGUUUAAGUAUCUGUUGCAACCAAAUACAUUGACAUGCACAAGACGCAGCUGCCACAAACUCUGCUUCUGUAGUUGAGAGUGUCACCACCGGCUGUUUCUUUGAUGACCAAGCCACUGCUCCUCCACUUAGCAUGAAAACAUAUCUAGAAGUGCUUUUUCGAUCAUCCAAGUCCCCUGCAUAGUCACUAUCUGUAUAAGCUAGCAUCUCAUCUUACAUCCCUUUCUGUAGAAUACACCAAGAUCAGUAGUGGCUCUAAUAUAUCUGAGAAUUCUUUUGGCUGCCAUCAUGUGAGAUUCCAUAGGAUUGGCCAUGAAACGGCUUAUCAGACACACACUAUAAGCCAAGUCAGGCCUUAUGACUGUUAUAUACAUUAAACUCCCCACUAUUUGUUUGAACAAGGUUGCAUCUGCCUUCUUGCCAUCUUCUUGUUUUGUCAGUCUAUUGCUUCCUGGAACCAUGGGAUUCUUAACACCAUUACAAUUUUCCAGCCCAAAUCUUUUCAAGAUUUCUUCUGCAUACUUUUUCUGACCAAUAUGAAUGCCUUUGGAACUUUGCCGAAUUUCAACUCCCAGAAAAUACUUCAUUUCACCGAGAUCAGUCAUUUCGAAUUCCUUUUUCAUUGACUCUUUGAACUUGCUCACCAUAAUUGAAUCAUUGCUAGUAAAAAUGAGAUCAUCGACAUAUAAACUUACAAUUAGAAUUCUGUUCUUCUCUUCCUUCUUUAUGAACAAUGUGUGUUCAUAGCUACUUCUCUCAAAUCCCUCCUUAGCAAAAUAACCUUCAAUUCUGUUAAACCAUGCUCUUGGUGCCUGUUUUAAGCCAUAAAGUGCUUUCUUCAAUUUAUAAACUUUCUUCUCUUCCCCGUUAAUCUCAUAGCCUGGAGGUUGUGCAAUGUAUACAUCUUCAUUCAACUCGCCAUAAAGAAAAGCACUUUUGACAUCAAGUUGAAAAAGUGUCCAUCCAUUCCUUGCUGCCAAAGCUAUCACUGUGCGAAUUGUGUCCCACCUAGCAACUGGGGCAAAAACUUCAUUGUAGUCUACCCCCUUCUCUUGUGCAUAUCCUUUUGCCACAAGCCGAGCCUUGCAUUUGUCCACCUCUCCAUUUUCAUUUAACUUGGUUUUAUAAACCCACUUUACUCCAAUUAUUUUUGCUUGCUUUGGUGCAUCAACAAGCUCCCAGGUCUCAUUCUUUAAGAUUGCACCAAUCUCCAUAUCCAUUGCAUCCCUCCAUUGUUUCAUUUUUGCAGCUUCUUCAUAAUAAAUAGGAUCAGCAGAAACCAUAAACAAUGAAAAACUUUGUACCUCUUCUUCUGCUUCAAAGUUUCCCCUCUUAUGUAGUCUUGAAGAUAGGCUGGAGCUCGAGUGACUCUUCUCUCGGGCAGAGCAGGUGCUGCAGCAUUACUGGGGAUGCUACCGUGAGAUAUUGCAGCAUCAUUGGAUUGACUGGAUUCUCCUUCUUCUAGUGAUUCUUCAGUUUCAUUUUCUUCAUCACUGGAGGCAUAUAUGUCUGCAUCAACUUCUCCCCAAUCAAGCAUAUCAUUCUUGUCUUCUUCUGUUCUUCUCCAAUCCCAGCUUUGCUCUUCUUCGAACACAACAUCUUUACUAACUAUCACUUUUUUUGUUAUGGGAUCAACCAUCUUGUAUCCUUUGGACUCUUCACUAUACCCCAGCAUCACACACUUUUGACUCCUGGCAUCCAAUUUCAGCUUCUGUGGAUUUGAUACAUGCACAUUUCCUAUGCAUCCGAACACUCGGAAAUAAUCAACAUUAGGCUUGACUCCACUCCAGCAUUCUUCUGGUGUUUUAUUCUUUACAGCAGAGGUUGGGCUUCGGUUGAGGAUAUGGCAUGUCCAUUUCACAGCAUCUGGCCAAAAACGAGCAGGCAUCUGUUUCUCUUCUAGCAGACAUCGUACCAUGUUUAGAAUGGUACGAUUUUUGCGCUCCGCAACUCCGUUUUGUUGAGGAGUGUAAGUUGUUGUCAACUGUCUUUUAAUGCCUUCAAUUCUGCAAAAUUCUGUGAAUUCUUUGGAGGUGAACUCCCCUCCUCUAUCUGUUCUUAACCCAGCAAUAGAUAGACCAGAUUCUUUUUCCACAGCAUUUUUAAAACUUUUGAAUGUCAUGAAAGUUUCACUUUUCUCAUGCAGGAAAUACACCCAAAGUUUUCUACUCAUGUCAUCAAUGAAGGUCAACACAUACCUUUUGUUGCCAUGUGAUUCCGGAGUGAUAGGUCCGCAAAGGUCUGAGUGUAUGAGCUGCAGCUGCUGUGUUGCUCUCCAAUUGCUUUUCUUUGGAAUAAUUUCUCGGUGCUGUUUUCCUUUCAUGCAGCUUGUACACACAGAGGUUGGCACUUGAAACUUUGGAAGUCCUUGGACAAGUUCCUUUUGUUGCAGUAAAUUCAGACUUGUGAAGCUUAGGUGGCCAUAUCUUUUAUGCCAUAAAUCACCGAGAUGAUUGCUGCUCACAUUUAAACAAGUAGAUGAUGCAUGCAGCACAAUAUUUGCCAAUACUACGAACAUCCUAUUUGAUGUCAUCUGUGUAUGCAUAAUUAAACCCCUUCUAGGAUGAUAAACUCUACACUCUCCAUUUUGCAUCAAAAUAGCCAAAUUUUUCUCUUGCAACUGGCCAAUGCUCAACAGAUUAUUUUUUAAUUCAGGAACAUAGUAAACUUCUGAUAUUACUUGAGUUAUACCUUCUAUUUCAAGUCUGAUGUUGCCCUUCCCUUCCACUGGCAUUCUGAGGUUGUUUCCAAGUUUCACCGAGUGACUGAAUUCUUCAUCUAGUUCCACAAACCAUUGUUUGUUUCCUGUCAUAUGGUUAGAGCAACCAGAAUCAAGAAACCAUACGACCUCUCUCUUCGAAUUGUGAAGUUCAACGUAAGACAUCAAAAGGAGUUCUUCUUCUUCAUCCAACUCAGCGUAAUUAGCCCUUUUUUCCCAAUCAGGACACUCAUAUUGAAAGUGUCCCAAUUUAUGGCAUUUGAAACAUUCAACCAGAGCCUUGUUGGAUGUUUGUCUGCCUCGUCCUCUACCUCGUCCUCCUCUAUACAUGCUUCUGCCUCUUCCUCUGGUUGAUCUCUCAUCAUAUGCGACUUUCAACACCUGUUCCUCUAUUUGUUGUCCUUGCAUCCUUUGUUCAUGGACAAGCAGGCUUCCAUGUAAUUCAUCAAUACUCAGGACACUUAGAUCAUUUGACUCCUCUAUUGAACAAACAACAUAGUUAAAUUUUGGAGUCAAUGAUCUAAGUAUCUUACCCACCACUGUGCUUUGUUCCAUCGCCUCACCAUUUGUUUUCAUUUUGUUAACCAAGGCUAGAGUUCGACCCAAGAAGCUGUCAAUUUUCUCUCCUUCUUUCAUGGCUAGUAACUCGAAUUCCUUCCUCAAAGCUUGAAGUUGUGCUCUUCUAACCUUUGUGGACCCUUGAUAUUUCUGCUUCAUUGAGUCCCAAAUAGCUUUUGAUGUUCUCUUGUCGAGAAUUGUCUCCAAAAAUCUCCCUUGUCAAUUGCUUGAAACAAGAAAUUUUUAACUUUCAAGUCUUUGAGUUUGAUCUCCUCUACACUCUUCCUCUGUGCCUCACUUGCUGCUGCAUUUCCAACAGCCAGUGUUGGAAUCCCUUCGUCCACAAGAUUCCACAUCUCCUUGCUCCUAAGGAAAUUCUCCAUUGUCAUUGCCCAGAAAUCGUAAUGGCCAUCAAAUCUCGGAAUGGAAGGCUGCACGAAUUUGUCUGCGGUUGACAUCUCGAUUUUCUCCUCCUUUUUUUUUUUUUUUCUCACACACUCUGUGUUGAUUUUCACUCUCACCCUUUUGUUUUGUCUCACACACUGUGUUUGAUUUUCACUCUCACACACUUUCACUCACACUCGUGUUUGCUCUUACUGUCACACACUCUAUACUUGCUCACACCCCCACACAAUCAGGUCCCCUUUUAGGCUCUGAUACCAAAUGAUAAAAAACUGAUGUAUAUUACUCUUUCACACAGGAUGCUUAGAAUAAUACAAUGAAUUGAUCAAAUGAGACUAAGGCUUAAAUAGCCAGAACAAGAAACAACAGAAACAGCUAAAAAUAAGUUCACGUCUUCAACACCCUGAAGAUGUGGAUCCUUGCUUAAGAAUAGGUAAAACUAAAACAGAAUAUCAAAUGCUAACAACACUGUCCUAAUAGCUAGGACACUUAUUAAAAUUAUUAAGACUAAGUCUAACAGCAAUUGGUGUUUGAUGGAAUUAGCUGUCACUAAAAAUAAAAUAAAUAAAAUCCUCUGUGAACUAAUUAAUUCCUAAAUUAUUUUUUUUAUUGUUUUUCACAAAAUUUAUAAAAAUAAAAAUAUUUUAUUAGAUAUUUUAGAUACUCCACUAUUAUAAUAUUUUAUUUAAGUUUAGAUUUUUAUUUCAAAAUUGAAUUUUAUUUAAGUUUAGAUUUUUAUUUCAAAAUUGAAUUUUAUUUAAUAUAACAAAUAUUACGAUGUUUUAUUUUAUCUGAAAUUUUUUGAAAUGUUAUUUGAUUUUAUUAAUUUAACUCUUGAUUGUCUCAGGUCCUCCAAGGCAUUCCUCCACUCCUUGGUUAACUAUCUCAUGGAGGUUAACUCCCUCCACCUCUCUUACGGAUAAAGUAAAGAAGCCAUUUACACUUCAUAAGAAACCGUAAUAUAACAAACAGAGGAUCUGUAAGUUUCAGAGAACGACAUCAAUUUAAUUAUGCGAAGUUCAAUCUUUUUUCCUCUACAAAUUAAAUCAUGUACGUAAACCUGUUACCUACAUUUUGUAAUAUUUCUGGAUCUGCUCUUUGAUUCAUCAAGGACAGAGUUGAUUGCAGCUUCGUCAUAGAAAAGUUCGUCUUCUUCAUCUUCUUGGUUGGCGAGGAAAUAUAAGUGGACUCUUCUCCAGUUUAAGGAUUCCAACCUAGCACAUGAAUGAUAAAGGACAGAGUCAUCAUUUAAAUAAUAAAGGGACGAAGGACAUCCUUAGCAUUAGGAUGCUCCCAUUCCACCACUGACUCUCACCAUUCUUUUGGAUGUACUCCAUCACUCUAAGAGAAGGGGGAUGAGAUAGCUGGCCAUUUUCAAGCAACGGAAGAUGAAUUGCCAGCCUUUUCAGCAUCUGACAAUUUGAUAUCCCAAUUUGUUGGAGAGAAUCGCAGAUCAAACUCUUUAAAAAUAGAAAUAUACCAUGAUAAGAUGGAGAUGAUGGUGGAGCGGAGCGGAGCAGAGCCAAGAAGACGAAACCAAGCUCUCCAUGUUAUAGCGCUUCCAAAUGUUGGUACUGGCAUUUUAUUGAAAUGAAACUUAGAAUCAACUGUUUUGAAAGCCAUUUGAUAGCUAAGAACUCAGAAUCCAUGAGAUUAAGUAUUUGGCAAAGCCUUCCCCGUGAUUGGAGCAAUCUCACUAAUUUAUCGACGGAAUGGCUAGAAUUGUCUUCCUCUUAACUAAUCUUUAGCAAACCAAGCUUCAAACAAUAAGAGGGAGCUUCAGUUCAGUAGGAAACUUCAACAUCUAUUAUAAAAAUCGUGUUUGGUUACGCUGUGUAAAUUAUGUAUUUAUAAAUUUUAAUUUUUUUUUAUUAAAAAUUAUUAUUAUUAUAUUUUCAGAUUAUUUUGACGUGUUAUAUCAAUAAAAAAUUAAAAAAUAUUAUUUUGAUGUAUUUCUAAAUAAAAAAUACUUUGAACAAUAAUCACUACCACAAUCUCAAACAAACUCUUGUGAUUUGCUAUCCAUUAAUACAAAGAUCGUGUUUUUUUGUUGUUGAAAAAUUAUCAACCAGCAACUUUUUAUCUUUUUCCAAGCUUUUUGGUGAUUUUUAGGUAGCAGCGUGAAGCCUCGCCAAAAGCCCAAGAUUAAAAAUAACCAUGCUCCUAGCCCAAGCCCACCAACAUCACCCCCAGCAGAUUGGAAAAAUGCUCAUAAGUCAUAACCAUUCCGGAAAAAACACACCUAGGCUAGUAUGGUAUACUAGAAAGUGGAAAUAAAUCGAUAUUAAUCAUCAAAUAAAUCGUUAGCAGAAACCAAAAAUAAAUAAAUAAAUUGUUCAUGCUACUCCAUCUUAUUGAUGGGAAUGACUUUUGACCAACAUACAUACGACUUUGCUAAAAUUAUCUGACAAAUUAUUAGGCUUAUAAAAACACUUAAUAAAAUCAGAAAAAAAAAAUCAUUUUUAUUCAAUAAAAUAAAAAAGAAAACUCAGGUAAUAAAUAUUCAAUUCACUUUCCAGCCGCCAAUAAAAAAUAAAAGUAUUUUUAUUCAAUAAUACUUCUUGGUAACAAAUAAGCUGCCAAGAAUUAUAUGAGAAUCAAAUCUCUCCGAUCACAUGGUCGUUUAAAAUGCUCAACACUCAGAAAACAAAUUUACAGAAUAAUAAGUCUAGUAAACUUCUUGAUAUAUAUAUAUAUUAUUCAACCAAAUAAUUGCUUGUGACAUAUACAUGGAGAGCUUCCUAGUAUUAAAAAUUUAAGAUUAUCAAAUAAUUAAACUUUUUAUUCAAACCAAUAAAUUUUAUGUGUCCAUGCUACUCCAUCUUAUUGAUGGGAGUGACUUUUGACCAGCAUACAUACGACUCUGCUAAAAUUAUCUGACAAAUUAUCAGGCUUAUAAAAAAACUUAAUAAAAUCAGAAAAAAAAAUCAUUUUUAUUCAAUAAAAUGGAAAAGAAAACUCAGGUAAUAAAUGUUCAAUUCACUUUCCAGCCGACAAUAAAAAAUGAAAGUAUUUUUAUUCAAUAAUACUUCUUGGCUCAUAAAUAAACUGCCAAUAAUUAUAUGAGAAUCAAAUCUCUUCGAUCACAUAGUCGUUUAAAAUACUCAACACUCAAAAAGUAAAUUUACAGAAUAAUAAAUCUAGUAAACUUUUUGAUUUAUAUAUAUAUUAUUCAACCAAAUAAUUGCUUGUGACAUAUAUGUGGCGAGCUUUCUAGUAUUAAAAGUUUAAGAUUAUCAAAUAAGUAAAAUUUUUAUCUAAACCAAUAAAUUUUAUGUGUCUAUUUUAAAAUUUGGUUUUAGAAAGAAAAUCAAAAUGAAAUAUCAAACAUUACCUAUAAAUCUUUAUAUUACAGAUUAACUAUAUCACCCAUUUAUCAUUCUUAAGGUCAAUAUUUAGGAAUAAAUAAAUAAAAGCUACGUAUCAAUAUUUAAUUUAAAUAACCUCAAAGAUUACUAAUUUAGCUUUUGAUAUUAAAAGGGCGUAUGUCGUUACUCUCUGCCUAGUUGAUAAGGCAAAUAUCAGGUCUUCUAUCUCCACCACUCCCUGCUAACUCUUUGCCUCAUAUCUUACGUUAUAUCUAUUAAGUUUGCUUAAUUAAGAUGGAAUAUUUAUGACUUUUAUAUGUAUUAAAUCAAUUUAAUUGUUUUGACUUAUCAUGAUCAACAUGAAGUCAUCAUAUUAUAAAACCAAAAAUCAAUGGUGUAUCUAAUUAUCAAAAAGGUAUAAAUAUUGCUAUGAAGUUAACGUGUGGACCACCCCAAUUAUGAAGCUCGGAAGAUGCCUAGAAAAUGUAAACACGUGAAUAUUGAAAACAAUAACAUACUUUCCUUUUUAAAUUUUUUAUUUUAUUUUAAAUAAUAAUUUUUUAUUUUGAAAAAAAAUUUAAUAAAAAAAUUAAUAAUUUAAAAAGUAAAAAAAAAUCAAUUUUGUUGAAAAACGUGUGCUUUAACAAUGACAUAUUAAAUAUGUGAUUAAUUAAGAGCAUGUGAUUGCUUUUGUUUUUAGUUGUUUUUUCAAAAAAGAUAUAUAGAUAUUUUUAAUGUUUUUUUAUAAUUUUAAUGUAUUAAUAUUAAAAAUAAAAUAAAUAAAUAAAUAAAUCAUGUAGUCUAUUUCCAAAACAAUCUAAUAUUGGAGGUUGAAAUUAAAAAAAAAAAAAUUAAAAAAAUAUAUAUUCGAUCAGUGAAUAAAUCUAUCAAACCAGUGAAUCAGGUAACUUGAGCUAACACAUCAAACUAAUUAACAAGGUUAUGGACUCCAGUAGGAUUAUUUUUUUUUAAUUUUUUUAUUUAACAAUAUGAUAAUAAAAAUGGAUAAUUAUGAAACUAAAUUUUAAACCAACUCAAAUAUGAAAUAGAAAAAAAAAAUUAAAAAAAUUGAUAACCAAAAAAAGAAAAGGGAAAGAAAAAAGAAGAAGCAAAACAAUAUAGAUUAUUAUUGUAAUUCAUAAUGAAAUGGGUGUGAGUGAAUAUUGGUUCUCCCACACCUUUUAGCUUUUUUUUUAAUUAAUAAACAAAAAAAUACUUCAUUAAACCAAUAAACUAGUAUAAAUCACGUUAACUUUAUAAAAAGAUAGAAUAAAAAUAAAUAAAUUAUAAAGUUGAAUUUUAAACCACCCAAUAUGAAAUAAACAAAAACAAAUUUUAAAAAAUAAUAAUAAAAAAAAAAACACAUUAGAUUACUUAUAAUAAUUUAUAAUGAAAUAGGUGUGAAUACGUCUCUUAACUAUUCGUGAGCUUCUUAUUCAUUCUUAGUUUUUCUUGAAGUUAUUCUAUUGAGGAAAAAGAGAAGAAGAAACCCUACCUUUUUUUCCCUCUUCAUAAUGCAUGGAUUUAAGUUGGGUGGAGAUUCAGUAAUCAAAAUAUUUUUUUAUUUUUAAUAUUAAUAUAUAAAAAAUAUUAAAAAUAUUAAUUUAAUAUUUUUUGCAAAAUAAACAGAUUUUUAAAUACAAUCAAACAUAAUUCUGAGUACAAAAACAAAUUACGUUUUGAUUACGAGCAUAACAAUCUUGGCAGUAAGUACCAUGAUCCUUUCCAAUUAAGUUAAUUUUAGGAUUUUUUUUUGGCAACCACAUACAUGUUUUAGGAGUUCUUUUAAUUUAUUAAAUCAAUAUUAAAGUAAAAAAAUUAAAUCAAUAUAGAUAAAUAAAUGAACUAAAUGUAAUCAAACAAUUAAUCCAUUUAAUAGAAAAAACCUUACUGAAUCCAUAAACUACAUUAAUCCCUUUUCUUUUCUUGUUUUUUUUUUUUUCUCUGGUGGAAUUCCCACUAGUCUUCUUUAUGGGCAGCCCCACUUUUAAACCCUCUUUUUCAUCACGUCCCCAUGGUCCCCGUGUCCCACACGUUUUCAUCAAAAACCUAAAUUUUAGGACUUCUUUGGCAGCCAUCUAACAAUAUAUAAAAAUAAUAUUUUUAUUUUUAAAAAAUUAUUUUUAACAUCAAUAUAUUAAAAUAAUCUAAAAAUAUAAAAACAUUAUUUAAAAAAAUCAAAAUUUUUAAAAACACAAGCAUUCCCAAAGAAGGUAACGCGUCAAGAAUCAUAGCAAUCAGACAUGUGAGUGGAAAGUUGUGAUUAAAAAACAUUACUAUUUUUAGAGUGAUUUUGACAGCAUAGCAGGAAACGUCAUUAUUGUUAUUUUUAAAAAAAAAAUUUAUUUAUAAAUAUAUUAAAAUGAAAGUUGUCAAUUUCGUUUCGUUUUAUUUGUAAUGAUUUCAUACCAAUUCAAAAAAUAAAAUAAAACAAAAUAAUUUUCAUCUUAUUUCAAAUCUCAGUCCCUUCCAAAUGUUUCAGCUAAAUUCCAUUCAGAAUGUUCCGGUUUCAUUCUACAUGUUCUGUUCUGGUCUUAAAAAGCCAUUGUAUCAAAUUGAACCUGGUUCAAUUAAUUAAUUAAACCAUCAAAGUAUAAAAAGCUCUUUUUCAUUACUAUUUUCAUUAACUAUGAUAUUAAUUUUUUAAAAUUUGAUUUAUCACUAAUAUAUAUGAUUUAUUUUCAUGUACUUUGUAGGAGUUUAAGCAAAAAAAUAGAUGUUUUAGAUCUCAUUAGCCUUAAUAACAUUGACCUAGCUUUAUAUUUAAAAUAUUAGUGUUAAAAUAUUUUAAUUUCAUAAUAUUUUGAUAUUUUAUUAAAGUUGAAUUGUUUUAAGUUAAAAAUUAUUUAAUUUAAACUAUUUAAAAAUAUUUUAAAUUUUAAAAUUAUAUUUCAUCACGUCUCUAUGAUCCCCGUUGUGUCAAAAACAAAUUGCCUAAAUUUUAGGCUUUAGCAGUUCCUUUUUUAAAAUCCUCAUUAGUGAAAUUUCACGACUCAUUAUUUCUAUUAUUUUUAUUCCAUUUAAGCAUUUCAUACUCAUCAAAACCACUGGAACACAAUCAAGCUUUAGCUUCAAACAACCAGAGGGAGAUUUUAUAGGGAUAAAAUUUUAAAAAUCACGCUUAUGCUACUUUCUAGUUUUAGUAUUAAAUUUAGUAUUUAAAAAAUAUGUUUAUGAAUAUGGCAGUUUCAGGUUUAGAAACCAAAACUGCCAUAUUCAUUCUCUUAGACAUUUUAAAAAUGUGUGUAGAAGAAUACUUUCAAUGUUGAUUUAUAAUAUUAGGUUACUUUAAUGAUAAAUCAAUAUAGUAUUUUUUUUUUUUUUUGGAUUUUCAUCUUGGAGAAAUUCAAUAGGAUGAAAAUAUAAUAUUAAUCAAACUUCAAAUUAUAAUUGUUUAUCUAUCGAGUUAAAAAAAAUAUGACAAUUCAAUAGUCUUUAAAGAAAUAAAAAAAAUGAAAAAUGUUAUUUAUGUAAUUGUAAGCAUACUAUAUUAUAUUACUUUACAAAGGGACGAAGAACAUCCUUUGCAUUAGGAUGCUCCCACUCCACUACUGUCUCCCACCAUUCUUCUGGACGUGCUUGGAUAUUUUGAAGAGAAGGGGGAGGAGAUGGCUGGCCAUUUUCAAGCAAUGGAAGACAAAUUGGCAACCUCUUCAGCUCCUCACAAUAUAUUACAUUAAUAUCUUCAAGAGAAUUGCAAAUCAGUUUUGCACUACAAAUGCUUUUCAAUUUUGGUAAAUCAAACAAUUCCAGAAUUCUUAACUUUGGGAGAAUGACUUCCGUGAUGGAAUUGGAGGUGCUGCUUUCUUCAUCUGCUGUUCCUAUUAUCUCCUCCAUUUUCUCACAAUCAUGAACAAUCCUUUCCAGGUUUACGAGGUUUGGUAGCAACACAAGCGGGAACAGCUUCUUCAUACUUUCACAAUGAUAACAAAAAAACUCUUUAAGACCAGAAAACGUACCGUUACAUGAUGGCAAUCGUGGUGGAGCAGAGCAGAACCAAGAAGAUGAAACCAAGCUCUCCAUGUUAUAGCAUUCCCGAAUGCUGAUGCGCUCCAGUUCAGUUGCAUUCUCUAAUGACAAAACAUCACAUAAACUUCUUGCAUCGAUGCAUUCACAAAUCAGUCCUUGAAUGCCAUUUAAGAACUUGACCUGAAAAUCUCUAUCUCCGUUGAUACUCAAAUUACCCAACCCAACUGUUUUACUUGGAAAAUAUUCAAUGCAUUGCUCUAAAUAUCUACCCACCUCUCCUACUAAAAUCUUGCAUGUGCUUAAUGAUUGGAUCCCAUCCCGAGAUCUGAGAUACUCCACAAAGUCAGAAAAACCUUUGAAAUGGCACUUCAAAGUUUCCAAAUUUCUCAAGGAUCCUACUUCCUUUCCUUUAACUGAUAUCGGAGCACUCGUAAACUUUUGUAGUACAAAGACUUGCAGGUGAGAGAGUUUUGGUAAUAUCCCACUAGGAAACUCCUUUUCACCACAUCCAUUCAUUAUAAGAUACCUCAGGUUGUUUAGGCAUUCCAUUCCUUGCGGCAUCUUUUCAAGCGCAGUACAAGAGAGGGCCAACCUCUUCAGUUCCCUUAGCUUCUUUAAUGAUGGAACACGUCUUAAUUUCUUACAAUAAUUGAGCAAUAAUGCUGUAAGACUCACCAAAUCAGAGACAGAGUCUGGCAAGUUUUCAAUACCUGUGCAAGACAGAUCGAGGACCUUGAGCCUAUGCAAUUGCUUGAAAAAUGAAUCCGCAACAAAUCUCAACCCUUUAUUAUCACAUAGAAAUAGAGUUGAUAGAUAGGGACACCUUGGUGAAUAGCUGGAAGGAAUUUCUUCUAUCUCGUUUCUCAUUAGUGAAACCAUCGUCAGAUUCUCCGUCCACUCCUCUGCAUCUGGCAACUCUUUUAAUUGCGCACCUGCUUUAACCAUGACUUCAUAUUUGUCUUGCAGUAUUUUGAUGGCCAUGUCCCUAAUCAAGUCAUGCAUCUUGACACAUAUAGUAUCAUGGUACUCCAUUUUAGCAUUUUCCAAUAGGCAGACAUUUACAAGUCUAUUAAGCAUCGUGUGGCCCUCAUCAAAUGCAUCUCCCCUGCUCCUCUUUCCUUUAAUUAUUCCCUCAUCGAUCAAAUAACCUAUCAACUCCUGCCUUGCAAUCAUAUCAUCUUCAGCAAAUAAUGCACAGUACAAGAGACAUCGUUGUAGUGCAAAAUCACCUAACUGAUUAUAACUAAACCUCAAUAACCUGAAUACUUUCUUAUCUAUGUCCCUAAAUUCUGAUUCUCUCAAUUUGUUCAAUGUAUUUCUCCACUCAUGUGGGUCAUCCACUCCCCUCAAGCUUCCUGCCACUGCAAUAAUUCCCAAUGGCAAACCAGCACAUUCCCCAGCAAUAUCUUUGGCAAUUCCUUCCACUUCUGGUAAAAGUGCUAUGUCACGUCCAAGUUUUUCCAUGAACAAAGUCCAAGCUUCUCCCUCCGAAAGUAGCUUCACUUUGAUUUUGUGGUGGCAAGCCAUCCGAAGACAAACCGUUUCUGAUCUAGUUGUCAUAAUCAGCUUGCAUCCUUUCAACAGCACAGGAAUUCCCACUUCAUCAAGCUCAAAAUUGUGCCACAAAUCAUCUAAAAUGAGAAUCCAUUUUUGUUUCGUCCUUAAUUCUUCUGACAAUUUGACAGCUCUAUGCACAUCAUCAUCUUCGUUUGCAAGGUUUAGAUCAAGACAUUUAGCAAUAAGAUUCUGCAAUCUAUUAAUGCUGAAAUCUUGAGAUACAAUCACCCACCAAACAUGAUUACAAAUAUCUUUUCUUUGUAGAAGCUCAUUAUGGACAUGUUUUAGUAUUGUUGUUUUACCAACUCCUUCCCAUUCCAUAAAUGCCAAUGGUUGAGACUUCAUCAUCCAUUAACAAAGACCAUAUCACCUUCUUAUUCUCUUCAAAUGCUCGACCCACUGGCUUUAUAGAGCUAGUAGGUAAUGGAACUCCUCUAGUCUCACUUGUGUUGUAUUUAAGGCUUAUAGAAGAUCUAGCUCCAGCGUCAGGCCGCACUGAUCUUCCACUAUUCUCCAUAUCCUCCUCCACUGGUUCUGUCCUCACUCUAACCAUGUUCUGCACAUCAUACAUAACGACAUCAUUGUUUACUGAUGGAGCAAAUAGUUGGUCAUAAUAUCUUCCAUGAUCAAGACACAAUGGAUCUGUUGGUUGGGAUGAAUCUCCUCGAGGCUCAUCAGCUUGAUUAAUUGAUGGCCUCUCACAAGAGCUACCUCUCUCCAGAUGCUGCACUUGUUCUGUUCUCGCUACAGUUUCAAAUCCAUCAUGCAUUAAAUAUUGAUCCACUACAUCCUCAUCUUCCUGCAUUAAAUAGGUAGAGAUUUCAUUCAGCUGCUGCUCCUUUGAAAGGGCAGAGUGUAUCUGAACCCAAGUACCAUCAGCAAAUUGAUCCACUAAAUCUGUUCCUGGUGUUGCUUCUCCUCUAUUCUCAUGAGCAUCAACUCUGAGUCUCCAAGGAGAGAGACUUCUGUCAACAUGCUGAAACGAUCCUUCACCAGUGUAUUCCAUGCCACUUGCCGCUUCUAAACGCCAAUGAAUUCUCUCAGGCCCAACACCUUGUGCCAAAUUAAUAAGUACUGCAUUGUCUUGUUCUUGUGGACAGGUGGAAAUGUCAACAUUGCUUGAACUUGCUAUGCUUUUAUGUCUUUUGUUGCCAACAUGCAUAGCUAGAAAGGCUGCUUCUUGAACUUCUUGAGGCACCUGACCACAAAUGCCAACACCACGCCCUCUCUCUCCUGAUAAAUGCCAUUUGAUCCUCGAAAUGGAAGUACCAUUGGCAAAUAAAUGACCACAAAACUUACACUUCAUGCUUCCAUCAUUCAUAUCUUCAACUUCCUUCCAAAACGGAUCAUCUGAUCUAACCAUUUUGUCCUAUAGAUAAAAAGGGUCAAAAUAUUGAAUAAAAAUUAAUGGAAGUACAUUAAUUGGAAAAGGAAGGUUGAAACUAAAAUAAUAAGUUACAAACAGCAAAGAAACUAAGAAGAAAAAACAAUGAAUUCAAGGUUAACUUGGGGUCAAUUUAUUAUGAACUCCUUAAGGCAUGGAUUGUUACAACUGAGAAAGAUCAAAUUAUUUAUUUUUGGAAACUGUUGAUGAUCCUAACUCCAAAGUUUCUCAUUAGAAUUUCUACAACUUGUGUUUUCCUUGAAAGAUUCAAACCAGAGUUACAUGUGAAAAACAAAAUGAAGAAGAUGGAUUAUAAAUAAUUUACCUGGAUUCAAGUUGUCUUCAAGUGCUGGUUUGCUUAAGUAGUAUUCAGGAAAAAAACAAGAACAGAGAAGAAUAUAUGGUUAAAAAUAACAAGGAAGUUGCAAGAUGUUUAGCUCCGGAUGAUUCGAUUCAAUCGGAAAAGGAAGCACUGAUCAUCAGAAAGGUUUAAGAAAUUUGAUGAGGGAAAUUGGGAAAUCAAUGGUAUAAUGAGAUGAGAUUUGGAAGAGAAUGUUACAGUAGCAAAGAUUAUUGUAUUGUUUGAGAAGAAGGAAGUUGCUAGAAAGAAAGCCACAAACUUUAUCUAAUUUGCUUUUCUUUUGUCUAGCGCUGCAUAUAAUAAAAAUCUUCAACAUAAGAAUUAGAAGCUAAUUGCUGACUGAGUUAACGUGUGGCCCACCCCAUUGUUGAAACUUUGAAAAAGCUAUGCCUCUCACUUCAUUAUCUGAUCCACUCCAACUUCCAUUCCCUACAGAUUCAAUAUUUUUUUAAGGUCAGUAUUUAAAAAUAAAUGAACAAAUAAAUAAAAGCUACGCACCAAUAUUUAAUUUAAGUAACCUCAAAGACUACUAAUUUAUAUUUUUAUAUUUUGAUAUUAAAAGGGUCUCUAUCUCCACUCGCUGGCAACUCUUCUUUAAAACAAAAGGCGGAUGACAUGGAUAUGGCUUAGAAAUUAUAGAGAAUCUGUGAGUUCCAGUUUUGUAUAUAUCUUGGUGUGCUUCUCAUUAGUGAAAAAGGCUAAAUGCUGUUUAUUGCUUUUCUUUUGUCUAGCGCUGCAUAUAAUUAAAAACUUCAACAAAAGAAUCAGAAGCUAAUUGCUGGCUGAGUCAACGUGUCGACCCACCCCAUUGUUGAAACUUAGCUUCAAGAGCUGUAAGUACUAUGCUAUGAAUGAUGCCUCUCAUCAAUUUUAUCUAAAUGUUGUUUAUUGCAUUAGUGAAAAAGCUAAAUGCUGUUUAUUGCACGCUGCUAAUUGAGAAAUACAGAACUCAGUUCAACCCAGCAAGUUGCUGCAUCAGAGUUAAAACUCCAUAGCAGUCAGCACAAUCUAUGAAGAUAAAAUUGAAAACAAAACAAUCAAUGACUAAAAUUAAAAAAAUGCAUCUAAGGCUUAGAAAAAACUGAGAUAAAACACUAUUUUUCUCUCUUGAUACAUGGUAGAAGCCUGAGCAUAUUUAUUUAUUUUUAAUUUUAAUUUUAAUAAUAUUUGUGUUCUUUCUACCCCGAGAAAUCAAGAACGCUAAUUUCAUUAAACAAGAUUCUAAAGCCCGUAUUUAGAUAAAUUAGAAGAAAGGACUCCAACCCUAGCGCAAAAGACCUAUAAACUAGCCUAACAAAUCAUACCCAGAGAAGCAAUAUGUUUAUUGACAUAAAUAAUUCUAAAUUUAAUAAGUCUAUUUAAUAAAAAAAAAAAUUUGAGCUAGCUUGUUUCUGGCUUUUGCUUCUCUGGGUAUGAUUUGUUAGGCUAGUUUAUACUUUAUAGGUCUUUUGCGCUAGGGUACGUGGUUAAAAUCAAGGUUGUCAAUUUCGUUCCGUUUUGUUCUACUCGGAAAGGCCGAAACAUUCCAUACCAAUUCAAAAAACAGAACAAAACGGAACAAAUUUCACAUCAUUUUAAAUCUCGAUCCAUUCCGGAUUUUUUGGCUAAAUUCCACCCGAAACGUUCCGGUUUCAUUCCACAUGUUCCGUUCCGCUCUUGAAAAGUCAUUGAAUGAAAUUGAACCUUACUCAAUUUUAUUAAUUAAACCACCCAAUUAUAAAAAGCUCUUUUUCAUUAUUAUUUUCAAUAGCAAUGAUAUUAAUAAUAAUAUUGAAAUUUAUUAUUACUAUUUUCAUUAACAAUGAUAUUAAUUUUUUAAAAUUAGAUUUAUCACUAAUAUAUAUGGUUUAUAUUCAUGUUUUUUUUUUUUUUUAUGUUUAUACUUUGUAGGAAUUUGAGUAAAACAAUGGAUGUUUUAGAUUCCAUUAGCUACUUGAUAACAUUGACCUAACUUUACAUUUAAAAUAUUUUUGUUAAAACAUUUUACUUUCAUAAUAUUUUGAUAUUUUGUUUAAGUUGAAUUACUUUAAGUUAAAGAUCUAUUUAAUCUUGACUAUUUAGAAAUAUUUUAAAUUUUAAAAUUAUAUUUGUUUGGCAUUGUAUUUGUAUUGCAUAAUUUAUAAUUAAUUUAUCUUGAAUUUGAAUUAUGUUUGUUGAAUAUAUAUAUAUAUAUAUAUAUGAACAGUACAACCCCGAAACGGCACGCCGAAACACUCUGAAACUGAAACAUUUCAUUCCAAUUGAAAAAACAAGAUACCUACCGAAACAGAAUUGACAACCUUGGUUAAAAUAACUAAACACAUUGACUUUUAGCUACCCAACUAGCUUUUGUGAGAUUUAUUUAUUUUUUUAAAAAAAUAUAAAAUAUAAAAUAUAAAAUUUUUUUAUUUAAAAUUAAUAUUUUUUUUAUAUUUUCAGAUCAUUUUAAUGUACUGAUAUCAAAAAUAAUUUUUAAAAAUUCAAAAAAUAUUUUUUUAAUAUUUUUUCAAAUAAAAAAUACUUUAAAAAACAAUCAUAACUACACUUCCAAACAACUCUUUUUAACCCAAAAGGUCAAGUACAUGUCCCAAAUGCCAACAACCGAGCAUAGAAAGGUUUCAAACCCAUGGUGCCUUUUCCUUAUUAUAAAUAUAGAAUAAAAAUUAAGUCAAGGAGGUCUAGUCUUAAAUGCUCCAAACAUUAUCCAUGUCUCAAGCUUAUGUAUGAUCCAAGAAUUCAUAUUUAUUACAAAAUUAUAAUUUUAUAUGAGUUUUUAUCUUUAUGAUCCAAGAAGUUUAUAUUGUAAAUUCAAGAGUUUUAAGUUAGUAGUCAAUUUUAUAAUUCAUAAAAAUAUUUGAUCCCUGAAUUAGUUUUCUAAUUGUGUUCUUAAUCCCUGAAUUAAUUAGUUUUCUAAUUGUUUUGCAUAAAUUCUUAAGAAUAAAAAUAUUUUAACAAUAGUUUUAGUGCUAAAAAUGCUACUCUAUUCGACUUUUAAUUCAAAUUGUAUUUAUAUAGUUAAAUGUUUUUCUCUUUAAUAAAUCCAUUAUUGGAUAUGAAAUUUAUAACUUAUUUUAUAAUUCAAAAUGGAGAUUUGGUUUGUGUUUUAAGUUUUUUAUUUUUGUAAAACUGAUUGAAAAAAUAAAAAUUUACAUCAAGCCAUGUUGGCUUAACUCGAAUAGGCAAGAUCAAAGACACAAGUGAAUAAUAAAUUUUAAUAUUCAUAGUUGAUGACUGGUGGAGCAAAAUCCAACUCGGAGCUAUAGCGUUGCACUGCAUUCUUUUAAAAUUUGAUAUUGUUUUUGCUAAAAUUAAUUUUUUUAUAUAUUUUUAAAUAAUUUGAUGUUUUAAUAUCAAAAAUAAUUUUAAAAAAAUAAAAAAAAUAUUAUUUUAAUAUAUUUUUAAACAAAAAUUAUUUUAAACUAUAACUGUUAUUAUAUUACCAAAGACACCCUCAUCCCGUUACUUUGUAUAGACCUCGUAAUUUCCAAGAGAACCUUAGCCAUUCCUUUAUGCAUGUGCACGCUUUGCCAAACAAUCCUUUAGGACUAAUUUCGACUCUUCGUUGGCGAUAGCAGUGAUGGGAAUGAUGACACUUCUCUCCAUCCUUGACCAUUUCAAUUCCGAGAAACUCCCCCACCAUCCCAUAAAAAAGUAGUCCUCUUUCUUUGAAGAAUUUUCCUAAUUAGUCCUUAUAUUUUAGAUAUGGUCUUCAACAUAUUACUCUUAAAUUGCCCUUAAGACAUUUUCUAAUCUAUCCUUUUAAUAAGUAUCUUUCUUUAAGCUAAUAAAGAUAAAAUUAUUAAUUACUUUAAAAAACUCAAUCCUACCUAAUUUAUUAAAAUUAAUAAUAAUUAAAAUUUGUUUUUAUGUUAAUUUUUUCUCAUGGUUUUCUGUAAAGAAGAAACUGUAUCUAACUAUUAACAUUUUAUUUAAUAAUUAAUUAAAUUUCAAAUCUUUUGUUUUAUUAAUUUUGACUUAAACUAAUAAAAUCAACCCAUGACACUAUCAAUUUUAUUAUUAAUUAAUUUUUCCUAAAUAAUAUUAUUUUAAUUUUAAAAAAAUUAAUUCAAAAUUCUUGAAAGGAAACUAUAUUGAAUUGAUUUAUAUCAACUUGGAUUAAUUCAAACUCAAACUCAUAAUGUCAGUCAUUAUUUUUAUAAAUUUAAUCCAUGUAAAUAAAGUUUAAUAAAUCUAGAGACACUAUUGAGUAAUUUGGGACCAAAGUCUAGGACUUCGAUAAUACUUAAAUAAUAGUAAUGUUCCUACAAUAACAAUGACGUUACAUAACUUAAAGAAUUGUUUUUUUUUUUGGGAUGUACAAAGCACAAAUAAUAAUAAUUCUGGAUGCAAAACACAGGCUGCAACGCAGAUGGAGCAAGAAAUUUCGCCCCAAGAAAAAUCCAAAUCAAUGAGAGGCGAAGAGUUCUUGGUGUUUCUGCCAUUAUCAAUUUUAUUUUUAUUUUUUACUCUCUUCAUGUGAGUAUAUAAACUAUCUUAACAUUUACAAUUCAAGCCAAAAUUGAUAAUGGCAGAAACACCAAGAACUCUCUUCGCCUCUCAUUGAAGACCAGGUUCCUCCUCGCCGCCCACUCCUUUGGGAUUCGCGCCGCCAGCCGUUCCGACCACACCGUAAACCGCAGCGUAUUGAACAUCUUCGACCCCAAGGCCGCUGCUUCCGCCAAACCAAUCAAUGGGGUCUCCUCUUUCGACAACACUAUUGACCCUACCCGCAACCUGUGGUUCCGCUCUACGCCCCCACAUCCACCGCCACUACCGAUGCUCUGCCUGUGAUCAUAUUCUUUCAUGGUGGGGGCUUCGCAUUCAUGGCGGCUAACUCAAAAUCUUUUGACGUACUCUGCCGGCGACUUGCCCGUGAAAUUAAUGCAGUUGUUAUCUCUAUAAACUAUCGGCUUGCUCCUGAGUACAAGUACCCAUGCCAGUACGAAGAUGGCUUUGAUGCAUUGAAUUACAUCGAUGAAAUGACCUUUGAGAAUUUCCCAGCAAAUUUGGAUCUUGGAAGGUGUUUUAUUGCCGGUGAUAGUGCAGGAGGUAACGUGGCUCAUCAUGUCGUGCUCAAAGCUUGUGAACACACAUUUUCUAACAUAAAGAUCAAGGGACUCAUAGCAAUGCAGCCAUUUUUCGGAGGGGAAGAAAGAACAGAAUCAGAAAUCAAGCUUGUUGGGGUUCCUUUAAUAUCAGUGGAAGGUACAGACUGGAUGUGGAAGGCGUUUCUGCCUGAGGGAUCGGACCGAAACCACUCGGUGGUUAAUGUUUUCGGACCAAAUGCGGUGGAUAUUUCAGGCGUGAAGUUCCCUGCGACGUUACUCUUUGUCGGAGGGUUCGAUCCCUUGCAAGAUUGGCAGAAGAGGUACCAUGAGGGGCUGAAGAAAUCUGGGAAAGAAGUACAUUUGGUAGAGUAUCCAAAUGCUUUUCAUGGGUUUUAUUGCCUGCCUGAAUCGCCUGAAUGUUCUUUGUUGAUCGGUGAGGUGAAGAGUUUUGUGCAAAAGCAGUCAUCUCUUACAUAGGGUGAGGAGACGACGAUCUCUAUUUUAUUAUUAUAUCUUAUUUUAUUCACAUUCAAUAAUUAAAUCGUAUUUAAAUUGCAAUGAUUUUAUUUACUAUUGAAGAUAGAUUAUUAUAUGUGUAUUGAAUUGUUCAAUUAUUUGAUGUAUUAGAUUUAACAUUAAAAAAAAUAUUUUGCUUUCUAUUACCAAUCACACUAAAAUAAUGCUGCGUCCUUUGAGCCAUUUGGUGAGGAAUGGUGAUGGUGGUUUUUUUUUUUUUUUAUACUAAUUCAUAAGUUGUGGGGUUGGCAUGUUAAAUUUUUAUUUUUAAUUGAAUAAUAUUAUUUUAAAGAAAAAACUUACACAACAUUCUUUUAAAUAAAUAAAAACUCUUUGGACUUCAUACUAGUAGAUUUCACAAUAGUUUACUUGGAUUAAUCGAGUCAUAAAUUAAUCUGUUAAGUUUUUUGAGUGCUAAUUGAUUUGUUAAGUUAUUUAAAUUAAAUUAAAUUAAUUUUUUAUUUAGAUAAAAAGCAAACUCAGUUUGAAUCAGAUUUCAAAUCAGUAACUGGGUUGAUCCUUCUAAAUAAUGUAUAAUGAAAUGUGCAUGACAACUGGGUUGAUGGUUGAUAGUUUGACACAGUUCAUUUUUCAUUGUAUGUGGGAGAAAGCAAUGAAGAAGAGAAGAGGAAAAGAUGCCAAGAAAUAAAACGAAGACUUAUUGGAUGUUUGGUCUUAUUAGCAUAGCCAGUUGGAAGUGUACUGUUUCAUGGGGCUUAUUUUCACCUAUCAAAACUUUGGGUUUGUUUGGAAUUAUAGUAAUUAUAGUAGUUUAAAGUGUUUUUUUAGAAAUACAUCAAAAUGAUAUAUUUUUUAUUUUUUUAAAUUGUUUUUUAAAUCAACACAUCAAAACAAUUUAAAAUAUAAAAAAAUAAUUUUUAACAAAAAUAAAAUUAAAAUUUAAAAAAUACGAUUUCAACCACGUUUUCAAAAACUAUUUUUCUCUCUUGAUUUCUACCCCAAGAAAUCAAGAACGCUGAUUUCAUUAAACCAGAUUCCAAAGGCCAUAUUUAGAUAAAUUAGAAGAAAGGCCUAUAAACUAGCCUAACAGAUCAUACCCAGAGAAGCAAAAGCCAGAAACAAUCUAGCUCAAUUUUUUUUAUUAAAUAGACUUGUUAACAUUUUUUUAUUUAUUAGCAUAAAUAAUUUUAAAUUUAUUUAAUUAAAUAUAUAUAAGACAAGUUUAAAAAAACUAAACACACUGAUUUUUGGCUACCAAACUAGGUUUUGAUAUUAGAGCGUGUUUGAAAAUGUAGUAAUAAUUAUUUUUAAAAAUACUUUUCAUUCCAAGACACAUUAAUUUAAUAUUUUAUUAUGUUUUAAAAAUUAUUUUUGAUAUCAAUACAUCAAAAUAAUAAAAAAAACAUCUUCAUUUAAAACAAAAAAAAAAUAAUUUUAAAUUUUUUAAAAAAUACUUUCCAAAACAUAAAUGACUAACACACCUUAAGUGGCUUGACCCAUAACCUAGUCGCAAAUGCCAUCAUUUGAGCAUAAAAAGGUUUCAAUCCCAUGGUGCCUUUUCCUUAUUAUAAAUAUAAAAUAAAAUAAAAUUUAAGUCAAGGAGGUCCAGUCUUAAAUGCUCCAAACAUUAUCCAUGUCUCAAGCUUAUGUGAUCCAAGAAUUCAUAUUUAUUAUAAAAUUAUAAUUUUAUAUGAGUUUUUAUCUUAUGAUUCAAGAAGUUUAUAUUGUAUAUUCAAGAAUUUUAAGUUUAUAGUCAAUUUUAUAAUUCAUAAAAAUAUUUGAUCCCUGAAUUAGUUUUCUAAUUGUUUUGCAUAAAUUCUUAGAAAAAAAAAAUAUUUUAACAAUAGUUUUCGUGCUAAAAAUGCUAUUCUAUUCGACUUUUAAUUCAAAUUGUAUUUAUAUAGUUAAUUUUUUUUCUCUUUAAUAAAUCCAUUAUUGGAUUUGAAAUUUAUAACUUAUUUUAUAAUUCAAAUUAGAGAUUUGGUUUAUUUAUUAAGUUUUUUUAUUUUUGUAAGAUUGAUUGAAAAACAAUAGAUCGGGUCACGUCGGUUUAACUCGAAUCAGCAAAAUAAAAGACAUAAGUGAAUAAUAAAUUUCAAUAUUCAAAGUUCAAGACCGGUGGAGCAAAAUCCAACUCUGACCUAGACUUGUUUGGGAUUGUGGUAGUGGUUGCGGUUCAAAGUGUUUUUCGCUUAGAAAUGCAUCAAAAUAAUAUUUUUUUUAAUUUUUUAAAAAUUAUCUUUGAUAUCAGCAUAUCAAAACAAUCUAAAAUUAUAUAAAAAAUAAUAAAAAUAAAAUAAAAUUUUAAAAAAAUAUAAUUUACACGGAGUUACCGCACACUUGUCCAAUCAACACACAUCCAAUCUCGUUACUUUUUAUACACCUCUUAAUUUUCAAUAGAGCCUUAACCAUUCCUUUAUGCAAGUGCACGCAUUGCCAAACAAUCCUUUAGGAAAAUGAGUUGCCCUCCGACGACUUUCCAUAACUGGCCAGGAUUAAUUUGGACUCUUCGCUGGCGAUAACAGCGAUGGGAAUGAAGACACUUCUCUGCAUCCUUGACCAUUUCAAUUCCGAGAACUCCCCCACCAUCCCAUAAAAAAGUAGUCCUUCUUCUUUGAAGACUUUUCCCAAUUAGUCCUUAUAUUGUUUUUAGGUUUUUUUAAUAUAUUAAUAUAAAAAUAUAAAAAAUAUAUUAUUUUAAUUAAAUAAAAACAUUAAAAAUAUAUAUUUUGCUUUCCAUUACCAAUCACACUAAAAUAAUGUUGUGUCCUUUGAGCCAUUUGGUGAGGAAUGGUGAUGGUGGUUUUUUGUUUUUUUUGUUUAUCCUAUUUGUCUGUCUAAAGAUAAGUUGCCAUGGUGAUGGGUUGCCAUGUUAAAUUUCUAUUUUUAAUUGAAUAAUGUUGUUUGAAAGAAAAACUUAGAUAAAAAAUAAAUAAAAAAUCCUUCGAGUUGGUAUUAUAUUUUAUAAUAAUUUAUUUUUUAAAGUGUUUUUUAUUUGAAAAUAUAUCAAAAUAAUAUAUUUUUUAUUUUUUAAAAAUUAUUUUUGACAUUUACACGUCAAAAUAAUCUAAAAAUAUCAAAAAACAAUUAAUUUAAAAUAAAAAAUUAAAUCUUUUUAAAAAUACUUUUAAAACCCAAAAACAAAUAUAUCUUAACAAAUCACUAAUUAAUUUGUUAAAUUACUUGAGUACCGAUUAAUCUAUCGGAUUAUUUAAAUUUGAACGGAUCAAUCUUUUACUUGGAUGAAAAGCAAACUCGGUUUGAAUCACAUUUCAAAUCAGUAACGUCACCAGGUGACCCAGCUAGCUGGUUUUUGCUGGCUGUGUUUUUGUACAUGUCUAGGGGCAGGGAAAUGUAUAAUGAAAUGUCCAUUUUUCAUUGUAUGUGGGAGAGAAGCAAUGAAGAAGAGAAAGAGGACAAGAUGCCAAGAAAUAAAACGAAGACUUAUUGGAUGUUUGGGGGCAUAUCAAAAUUUCAGGCCUAUUUGGAUUUAUAUUACUAUAGUUUGAAGUAUUUUUUAUUUAAAAAUGUAUUAAAAUGAUAUUGUAUUAUUUUUUAAAAAUUAUUUUUUAGAUCAAAAUAUUAAAACCAUCUGAAAACAUUAAAAAAAAAUUAGCAAAAAAAAUUGAAAUUUGAGGGAACGCUAUUUCAACCGCGUUCCCAAACGCUUUCUUCAUGUUUUUUCAAUCAUAAAGUUACUAUAAAAACACAUGUGUGUUUGGUAUUAUCGUAUAAGAUAUUUUUCGUUUAAAAAUAUAUUAUUUUUUUUAACAUCAACGUAUCAAAAUCAUUGAAAAAUAUGAAAAACCCAUCAAUUUAAUGUUAUUUCGAAUCAAACACAUUUUUAAAACAUACUUAAAUGCAUUUUCAAACCCAAAAAUAAAUGAUAUCUUUAUAAUUAUAGUUCAGAAAACAAUCUCCUACAUCUAAGCACAAAAAGGUUUCGAAGUUAAAAAUAAUCUUAUAGAAGCAUGUGUAUCGUCUUAACUCUAGAUGUAGGGAUCAAGAUUUUAUAAAUCACGUCUAUGCUACUCUCUAGUUUUAAAUAUUCAAAACAAGGCUCCAUUAUCAUAUAUUCAUAGAGACAUACCAAUGUAGCUUUUGAUGUUUACCGGUUUGGGUAUGUCCAUAUGCUUUUAAAUAUAUUUUAAAAUUUAUAUUUUUCUUAAAAAAAUAUUAAAUUAAUAAUUUUUUAGUUGUUUUUAAUAAUUUUGAUGUUUUGAUAUUAAAAACAAAAUCUAAAAAACUUAUUUUUAAAAAAUUCUCUAUAUAACAGUAUCAAACACAUGAUAACCUGGUCCAAAAGCUUUCCACCGAGCAUAAAAUGGUUUUCAACCCAAUCAUACUUUUUCCUCAUUAUAAAUAUAAAAUAAAGUUCAUGUGAAGUAGGGUCCAAUCUUAAAUGGUUCAAACAUUUUUUUUUUUUUAUUAACGUGGGUGUCCGGGCCAGCUUGCACGCACCUCGACUAAUCCCACGGGCCCUAAAGUUAACGACCAUAUAAGCCUCCAGUUGCCAUCAUAUGAGCAAUCUAAGGAUUGAACCUGAGAUCAUAGAGGAAGCAAAGCUUUUGGUCCCAAGCUUUUACCGUUGGGCCACCACCUAGAUAGUUAAUGGUUCAAACAUUAUUGUUAGAACGUGACAGUGUCCCAGCAUUAGUAGUGUAGCACGUGCCAUCUCUUAAGCUUAUGUGAUCCGAAAACAAGGCAAUUGGUGUUUGAUGAAAUUAGUUGUCACUAAAAAUAAAAUAAAAUAAAAUCCUCUUUGAACUAAUUAAUUACUCAAUUAAUUCCUAAAUUAGUUUUUUAUUGUUUCUCACAAAAUUUAUAAGAAUAAAAAUAUUUUAUUAGAUGUUUUAGAUACUCUACUAUUAUAAUAUUUUAUUUAAGUUUAGAUUUUUAUUUCAAAAUUGAAUUUUAUUUAAUAUAACAAAUAUUACAUGUUUUAUUUUAUCUGAUAAAUUUUGAAGUAUUAUUGGAUUUUAUUAAUUUUUUAAAAAUAAUAUUUUAAAAGAGUACGAAAUGUUGGAUACGAUGUUUUUACAAUAACGCAAAACACAACAAACAUUGAUGCUAUGCUGAAUCCUUGAAACCGUAAUAUACACUUCAUAAGAAACUGUAAUAUAACAAACAGAGGAUCUGUAAGUUUCAGAGAACGACAUCAAUUUAAUUACGCGAAGUUCAAUCCUUUUUCCUCUACAAAUUAAAUCAUGUACGUAAACCUGUUACCUACAUUUUGUAAUAUUUCUGGAUCUGCUCUUUGAUUCAUCAAGGACAGAGUUGAUUGCAGCUUCGUCAUAGAAAAGUUCGUCUUCUUCAUCUUCUUGGUUGGCGAGGAAAUAUAAGUGGAAGUAUUUGAUAGCUAAGAACUCAGAAUCCAUGAGAUGAAGUAUUUGGCAAAGCCUUCCCCGUGAUUGGAGCAAUCUCACUAAGUUAUCGACGUAAUGGCUAGAAUUGUCUUCCUCUUAACUAAUCUUUAGCAAAUUAUCUUAAUAUGGUUUUACCAAAAAGAAAAUAAUAAAUUUCAGGAACGUCAUCCUCGUGGAUGCUAUAAUCUGUAAUUAUUGGCAAGGCUUUAAUAUAUUGUACAAAUAGAUUGAAGAAACAGGAGGCCUACGCAUUUAAUUUGGACUUCCUCGUGGAUGCUAUUCCUUCAAAUAUGGACUAAAAUUGUUUUAUAUCACAGAAAGCCUUAAUUAGAAAAUAACUUCAUAUUCUGGCGGUAGAAACCCCACGAACGCAAUCAAGUAUUUGCUUCAAACAAUAAGAGGGAGCUUCAGUGCAGCAGGAAACUUCAACAUCUAUUAUUAAAAUUGUGUUUGGUAAACGCUAGGUAAAUUAUGUGUUUAUAAAUUUUAAUUUUUUUUAUAAAAAAUUAUUAUUAUUAUUAUGUUUUCAGAUCAUUUUGAUGUGUUAUAUCAAUAAAAAAAAUAAAAAAAUAUUAAAAAAAUUAUUUUGAUGUAUUAUUAAAUAAAAAACACUAGUUUAUCUUUUGAUGUUUUUCGGUUUAUAAAAUGAACAGUGAACAGUUUACAUUGAUAUACUAUUCUUGUGAGCAAGAGAAUUGUACUGUUCACUUAAAAAAUAAUGAACAGUGCAAUUCACUUGUACUAUUCACGGAUGAAUUGCACUGCGAGUACUUUUUUUUUUUAGUGUUAAUUUUUUCAAUAUAUUUUUCUAAAAAAACACUAGUUUAGAGUGAAUUAAAUUCACUUGCAAUGUGAUGUGAAUAAUAUUUGUUUUCCCUGAAAAAGUAGUCUAGAUUGAAUUAAAUUCACCCGCAUUGUAAUAUCAAUUUUAUACCCGAUAAUAUUUUAUUUAAUUUGAUUAUAUGCUCAAAACAUUAUAGAAAUUGUAGUUCUUGUCGGAUGUAUUUUGUACAUAAUGGAAUUGUAGAUGGUUUCAUGGAAUAAUAAAAAAUAUUUUAUAUAAAGUAUGAUUUAUUUCAUGAUGUAAUAGCAAUAGUUAAAUCUACAAUAUUUAAAUUAAAAAUCAUCAAUAUUAAUAUAUAUUUUUUAAAAUUAUUUUAUAACCUCAAUUUCAAAAGCAUUCUUACCCAAACAUAUUAAAUUACUUUUUUUUUCAACUUCAAUUUCAACUAUAUUUUUAACCAAACACCUAUUUUUUCAAACCAAUCUCAACUAAAAAUAUUUUUUAUAAAAAUAAUUUUUUUCAAAUCACAACCACAACAUCUAUCGCAAUACUAAACACACUGAAAGACCUAUAUACCAGCCCAACAAAUCAUACCCAGGGAAGCAAAAGCCAGAAACAAGCUACCUCGAUUCUUGCUCCACCUGGGUAAGAAAUGCAGCAUGCCCACUUGGAAUUAUACAGCGUCCAAAUUCCAUGGCAAAUAAUUGGUUGGAAUUGUUUUCUGAGGGGUCAUUUCAAAAUCUGAAAAUAAAAACAGAAAAUAGAUCCAGCAAAUGAUUCCAAAUAUCUUCUAAAAAAACGAUGAAAUAUGUUUUUUUAUUUACCGUAAGGAAAGAUAUUAACGAAAUUUUUUUUAAAAAAAAUCAAUUUAAAAAAUAUAUAACAAGUCAAAAUCUAUACUUAAAAUCUUUCUCGUUUUAAAUUUAUAAUUGAAUCAAAUAAAAUAUUAAUUUAAUAAAACAUAGUUAAGUUUUUGAUAGUUGAAUAUUUAGUAUAACGGUGACGUACUAAACUAUUAAAUCUUAACAUAAAAAGGAAUUUUUAUUAUAUACCCACGAAUCGGUACAAAAUCUAUAGGUUUUUAUAAAAUGAAUUCCUGAACCUAGUCGAAGAACUGUGGCAAAAACAGUUUCAGGAUUCCAACCUAACACAUGAAUGGGGUGGUUAUAUUUUGUGUUGUACACUUGAGAUUAUUUUUUCUCGGUAUCAUUUUUACAAAAAACUAUUAUUAUUAUAUGAAAUCAACAAAAAUUCACUCACCAAUCAUUCAUGGAAAAUUCAACUUUUUUAUAUAUAAAAAGGAUUUUUAUCAAAGAGGUUGAAUUUUUAAGUUGGUGGUGGAUUGACUUCUAAUAAUUCCAGGGUAAAUAAUAAUUCCAGCAUUAGAUUGAUUAAUUAAUUACACUUUAUUAGUUAUUUUUUAGAUCUUAUUAGCUUUGAUAACAUUGAACUAGUUUUAUAUUUAAAAUAUUAGUGUUAAAAUAUUUUAAUUUUAUAAUAUUUUGAUAUUUUAUUGAAAUUGAAUUGUUUUAAGUUAAAAAAUUAUUUAAUCUUAACUAUUUAAAAAUAUUUUAAAUUUUAAAAUUAUAUUUCAUCACGUCUCCAUGAUCCCCGUUGUGUCAAAAACAAAUUGCCUAGAUUUUAGGCUUUAGCAGUUCCUUUUUUGAAAUCCUUAUUAGUAAUAUUUCACGACUCAUUAUUUCUAUUAUUUUUAUUCCAUUUUAGCAUUUCAUACUCAUCAAAACCACUAGAACACAAUCAAGCUCUAUCUUCAAACAACCAGGGAGAUUUUAUAGGGAUAAAAUUUUAAAAAUCACGCCUAUACUACUUUCUAGUUUUAGUAUUAAAUUUAGUAUUUAAAAAAUAUGUUUAUGAAUAUGGCAGUUUCAGGUUUAGAAACCAAAACUGCCAUAUUCAUACUCUCUUAGACAUUUUAAAAAUGUGUGUAGAAGAAUAUUUUCACUGAUGAUUUAUAAUAUUAGGUUACUUUAAUGAUAAAUCAAUAUAGUAUUUUUUUUAUUUUUUGGAUUUUCAUCUUGGAGAAAUUCAAUAGGAUGAAAAUAUAAUAUUAAUCAAACUUCAAAUUAUAAUUGUUUAUCUAUCGAGUUAAAAAAAUAUAUGACAAUUCAGUAGUCUUUAAUGAAAUAAAAAAAAUGAAAAAUGUUAUUUAUGUAAUUGUAAGCAUACUAUAUUAUAUUACUUUACAAAGGAACGAAGGACAUCCUUUGCGUUAGGAUGCUAGGAUUUCUUUAAGAGAAGGGGGAGGAGAUGGCUGGCCAUUUUCAAGCAACGGAAGACAAAUUGGCAUCCUCUUCAGCUUCUCACAAAACUCUACAUAAAUAUCUUCAAGAGAAUUGCAAAUCAGUUUUGCACUGCAAAUGCUUUUCAGUUCUGGUAAUUUAUACAAUCGCAGAGUUGUUAACUUUGGGAGAAUGACUUCCGUGAUGGAAUUGGAGGUGCUGCUUUCUUCAUCUGUUGUUCCUAUUAUCUCCUCCAUUUUCUCACAAUCAUUAACUUCAAUCCUUUCCAGGUUUACGAGGUUUGGCAGCAACACAAGUGGGAACAGCUUCUUCAUAUUGUUACAUCCAUAACAAAAAAACCUUUUAAGACUAGAAAAGAUACCAUUAUAUGGUGGCAAUGGUGGUGGAGCAGAGCAGAACCAAGAAGAUGAAACCAAGCUCUCCAUGUUAUUGCAAUACCGAAUGCUGAUGCGCUCCAGUUCAGUUGCAUUCUCUAAUGACAAAACAUCACAUAAACUUCUUGCAUCGAUAAAUUGACAAAUCAGUCCUUGAAUGCAAUUUAAGAACUUGACCUGAAAAUCUCUAUCUCCGUUGAUACUCAAAUUACCCAACCCAACUGUUUUACUUGGAAAAUCUUCAAGGUAUUGCUGUAAAUAUCUACCCACCUCUCCUACUAAAAUCUUGCAUGUGCUUAAUGAUAGGAUCCCAUCCCGAGAUCUGAGAUACUCCACGAAGUCAGAAAAACCUUCGAAAUGGCAUUCCAAAGUUUCCAAAUUUCUCAAGGAUCCUACUUCCUUUCCUUUAACUGUUAUAGGAGCAUCAUCUUGCAUCAUAAACUUUUCUAGUACAAAGACUUGCAGGUGGGAGAGUUUUGGUAAUAUACCACUAGGAAACUCCUUUUCACCACAUUCAUUCAUUAUAAGAUACCUCAGGUUGGUUAGGCAUUCCAUUCCUUGCGGUAUCUUUUCAAGUGCAGUAUGAGAGAGUCUUAAUUUCUCACAAUUAUUGAGCAAUAAUGUUGUGAGGCUCACCAAAUCAGAGACAGAGUCUGGCAAUUGCUUGAAAAAUGAAUCCGCAAUAAAUCCCAACAACCGAUUUUCACAUAGCAAUAGAGUUGAUAGAUAGGGACACCUAGGUGAAUGGUUGGAAGGAAUUUCUUCGAUCAUGUUUUCCAUUAGUGAAACUCUCGUCAGAUUCUCCGUCCACUCCUCUGCAUCUGGCAACUCUUUUAAUUGUGCACCUGCUUUGACCAUGCCUUGAGAGUUCUCUAGCAGUAUUCGGAUGGCCAUGUCCCUAAUCAAGUCAUGCAUCUUGACACGUCUAAUAUCAUCAUACUUUAUUUUAGCACUUUCCAAUAGGCAGACAUUUUCAAGUCGAUUAAGCAUCGUGUGGCCCUCAUCAAAUGCAUCUCCCCUGCUCCUCUUUCCUUUAAUUAUUCCCUCAUCGAUCAAAUAACCUAUCAACUCCUCCCUUUCAAUCUCAUCAUCUUCAGGAAAUAAUGCACAGUACAAGAGACAUUGUUGUAGUGCUAAAUCACCUAACCGAUCAUAACUAAACCUCAAUAACUUGAAUACUUAAUUGUCCCUAAAUUCUGAUUCUCUCAAUUUGUUCAAUGCAUUUCUCCACUCAUAUAGGUCAUCCACUCCCCUCAAGCUUCCUGCCACUGUAAUAAUUCCUAAUGGCAAACCAGCACAUUCCCUUGCAACAGCUUUCGCAAUUCCUUCCACUUCUGGUGAAAGUGCUACAUCACGUUGAAGCUUCUCCAUAAACAAAGUCCAAGCUUCUCCAUUAGAAAGUGGCUUCACUUUGAUUUUGUGUUGGCAAGCCAUCCGAUGACAAACCGUUUCUGAUCGAGUUGUCAUAAUCAGCUUGCAUCCUUCCAACUUUUCAGGAAUUCCCACUUUGUGUAGCUCAAAAUUGUUCCACAAAUCAUCUAAAAUGAGAAUCCAUUUUUGUUUCUUCCUUAGUUCUUCUGACAAUUUGGCAGCUCUAUGCAGUUCAUCAUUUUUUCUUGAAAGAUCUAGAUCAAGAUGUUCAGCAAUAAGAUUCUGCAAUCUAUUAAUGCUGAAAUCUUGAGACACAGUCACCCACCAAACAUUAUCACAAAUAUCUGGUCUUUGUAGAAGCUCAUUAUGGAUAUGUUGCAGUAUUGUGGAUUUACCAACUCCCCCCAUCCCAUAAAUGCCAAUGGUUGAGACAUCCCCAUCCAUUAACAAAUACCAUAUCAUCUCCGUAUUCUCUUCGAAUGCUUGACCCACUGGCUUUGUAGAGCUAGUAGGUAAUGGAACUCCUCUAGUCUUGUUGUAUUUCAGACUUUCAGAAGAUCUAGCUCCAGCACCAACUGAUCUUCGACUAUUCUCCACAUCCUCCUCCACUGGUUCUGUCCUCACUCUAACCCGAUUAAUUCUCUCUUCCCCGACACCUUGUUCCAGCACCCCCUGCCUGAUGCGAACCUCGUGAUCACGUGUUCACGCAACCCACAAUCAAGAUUGAGACCUGAUCCCGGAAAGCCAAAAUAGGUCUGAUAUGAGUGCGGCACAAUGGAAACCUGCCCUAAGGCACCAACACUAUUGGAAUAAGUAGAAUGACGCCACGAAGCCAGUUAAUCUUCGAUAAGUCAGAUUCAGUUCGUUCAAGAACUGAAGAAUGCAAGAAUCACUCUCACACGUUAAAACUGAAAAAUUCAGAAUAAUAAUCAUCAAAGCUGCCGAAACAUGAGUUUAAAUAGUUCUUAGAAAAGUUAACCCUAAUGGACCCUUUAUGUGGACUUAUAUGAGGUCCACUCAAAACUGGCUCAAAACCCUAAAAUGAAAAGCCCAUAACUUAAUCCAAACAAGCCUUGGAUCCUAGCUUAAAACAAAGUAUGAAUUAAGCCCAAACAAGCCUUGGGCUGUAGCUAACAAAAUAAAAUAAAGCCCUUAUCUCAUGGCCCAAAUAAGGUUGUAUUGGACCCCUCUUGCACAUGGAUAAGAUGUACUAGGAUCUCCUCUUGAUACUCCAAUGGACCUUCCAAUUCUGACUUGGUGGAAACCUUCAAAACCAAUGCAUUCAAUGUGUCUUUCAAUGUCUUUGUCUUGGACCGAGUCAUUGGUCCAUUUGGAACAUGUAAUGGGUCCUUGCUGGUGUUUCUGGGCUGGUCCGCAUCAUCCCCUCUCCCUUCGAAAGGAUUCGACCUCGAAUCAAAAUCUGUGUCAAACAAAGUAAGAUCAGCAACAUUAAAGGUAGCACUAACACUAUACUCACCUGGAAGGUCAAUUUUGUACGCGUUGUCAUUGAUUCUCUCUAAAACCUGAAAAGGACCAUCACCACGAGGCUGUAAUUUUGAUUUCCUUCGGUUAGGAAAUCGUUCCUUACGCAUGUGCACCCAUACCCAAUCACCGGGUUGGAAAACAACCAGUUUACGUCCCUUAUUUGCUUUAGAAGCGUAAAGUCUGUUCUUUUUCUCUAUUUGUAGUCGAACUCCCUCAUGGAGUUCUCUCACCAUCUUUGCCUUCUUUUCACCAUCUAAACUUACCCUUUCUUCAAAAGGUAAAGGAAUUAAGUCCAUAGGAGUUAGUGGAUUAAAACCAUAAACAAUUUCAAAAGGAGAAAAAGUAGUAGUUGAAUGCACAGUUCUAUUAUAAGCAAACUCAACAAAAGGCAAACAUUCUUCCCAACUUUUCAAAUUCUUUUGAAUUACAGCACGUAAAAGUUGGGAUAAUGUUCUAUUCACUACCUCAGUUUGUCCAUCUGUUUGAGGAUGGCAUGUUGUCGAAAAUAAGAGUUUAGUUCCCAACUUUCCCCAUAAGGUCUUCCAAAAGUAACUAAGGAACUUAACAUCACGAUCUGACACUAUACUCUUAGGAAUGCCAUGCAAACGUACAAUUCUCUAAAGAACAAGUCUGCGAUAUGAGAUGCAUCAUCUGUUUUAUGGCAUGCAAUGAAAUGCGCCAUUUUAGAAAACCUAUCAACCACAACAAAGAUAGAGUCUCUACCUUUCUUUGACCUAGGUAAACCUAAAACAAAGUCCAUAGAGAUAUCUACCCAAGGUUCAGUAGGCACAGGUAGUGGUGUAUAUAGUCCAUGCGGUUGUACUCUAGAUUUUGCCUUUCUACAAGCAAUGCACUGUUCACAAAUUCGUUGCACAUCUCUUUUCAUCUUUGGCCAAUAGAAAUGCUCAUGCAAUACAUCCAAGGUUUUCGCAACCCCAAAGUGACCCAUUAAACCACCCCCAUGUGCUUCACGAACAAGCAAUUCACGCAAAGAACUAGCAGGAACACACAAUCUAUUCUCUUUGAACAAAUAACCAUCCAUCAAAUAAAACUUACCGAAAGCCGAAUGUCCACAUGCAUUAUAAAUCUCAGCAAAGUCAGAAUCAUUAUCAUACAAUUCCUUCACAUAUUCAAAACCUAACAAUCUAGUAUUCAUGGUGUGUAAAAGAACAUACCUGCGCGAGAGUGCAUCAGCUACGAUGUUCUCUUUCCCUUGCUUAUACUUGAUUACGUAAGGAAAGUUUCAAUGAAUUCAACCCAUUUUGCAUGCCUCCUAUUCAACUUACCUUGUCCUUUCAGAUGUUUCAAGGACUCAUGAUCCGAAUGGAUUACGAACUCUUUUGGCCACAAGUAAUGCUGCCAUGUCUCAAGUGCUCUUACCAAUGCAUAGAGUUCUUUGUCGUAAGUUGGAUAGUUCAAGGUCGCUCCACUUAACUUCUCACUGAAAUACGCAAUAGGUCUCCGAUCCUGCAUCAAAACAGCACCUAUUCCUAUUCCAGACGCAUCACAUUCUAUUUCAAAUGCUUUCGUAAAGUCAGGUAAACCCAAAACAGGUGCAGAACAUAAUUUCUCUUUCAAAAGAACAAAUGCCAAUUCUUGUUCCUCCCCCCAUUUAAACCCAACUGAUUUUUAACAACUUCAUUUAAAGGGCAGCUAUUGUACUGAAAUCUUUCACAAAACGCCUGUAAAAACUAGCUAACCCAUGAAAACUCCUUACCUCACUUACCGAUUUGGGUGUAGGCCAAUCCCGGAUGGCCUUAACUUUCUCCUCAUCCAUCUCGAUACCCUGUGCAGUUACAACAUAGCCAAGAAACACAAUUUUUCCAUGCAAAAGGCACACUUUUAAAAUUAGCAUACAAUUUCUCACUACGCAACACACUAAGUACAUUACGCAAAUGAUCAAGAUGCUCAGUUAAGUUCUUGCUAUAUAUCAAAAUGUCAUCAAAAUACACAACCACAAACUUACCUAUGAAUGCACGCAACACAUGAUUCAUUAAACGCAUAAACGUACUAGGUGCAUUUGUAAGUCCAAACGGCAUUACUAACCAUUCAUACAAACCAUGCUUAGUCUUAAAUGUUUUUCCACUCAUCACCUUCUUUCAUCCUAAUUUGAUGGUACCCACUUUUCAAGUCAAUUUUAGAGAAAAUACAGGAUCCAUGUAACUCAUCUAACAUGUCAUCAAGCCUAGGAAUGGGAUGUCUAUACUUUACCGUUAUGUUGUUGAUGGCCCGACAAUCAACACACAUCCUCCAUGUUCCAUCCUUCUUUGGCACAAGUAGCACGGGUACAGCACACGGGCUCAUACUCUCACGAAUGUAGCCCUUUUCCAUCAGCUCAUCAACUUGCCUUUGAAGCUCCUUCGUCUCCUCGGGAUUGCUUCUAUAAGCUGGUCGGUUAGGAAUUGAAGCUCCGGGUACGAAAUCAAUCUGAUGCUCUAUCCCCCUCAAUGGUGGUAAUCCGCUAGGAGUAUCGUCGGGGAACACAUCAUCAAAUCCCUGCAACAAAGAAAUAGCAACACUAGGCACAAUAUGAUCAAGAUCAUUAGUAUUAAAGUAAGCCUCUUUGUACACAAGUAAGAUCAUUGGCUUGUUAGUGAAAAAUGCAGAUCUGACCUCACCCUCUCUAGCAUAAAAAUUGGGUUGUUUCUUUAGUUUUUCCACACAAUUCUCAUCACACUUGCUGACUUUCUUCACUCCUCUUGUCUUACCUCCACUCUCGGCCAGAUUUGGGUGUUUUUGAGUUGUGGUCGAAUGGUUUGAUUUGUUUGGAGUGUUGGCCGAAUAUUUGCUUGUGUUUGGAUGGGUGGCCGAAUGGGUUGUAGUGGUUUGGGUUCUAGCCGAAUCUGAUGGUCUUCUCUCCCCUUGUUCCUCACCUUGAUUUUCUCUCCCCAUCGCCUCAUGCUCACUUUUUAGCUUUAUUUGAUCAUCAUACACCUGUUUGGGUGUAAGAGGUACAAGAGUGAUGGUUUUACCAUCUUUUACAAUGGUAUACCUAUUUUUAACCCCAUCAUGAAUUGCCUUCCUAUCAUAUUGCCAUGGUCUCCCCAACAAGAUGUGACUUGCUUGCAUUGGUACCACGUCGCACAGAACUUCAUCAACAUAUUUCCCAAUCGAAAAUGGAACCACAACCUGUUUAGUCACUUUCACUUCACCACUAUUCAGCCAUUGCAAUCUAUAUGGUUUAGCAUGCUUAGCAGUACACAAAUUCAGUUUACUAACAAGGGUGGCACUACAAACAUUAACACAGCUUCCACUAUCUAUAAUUAAACCACACACCUUUCUUUGUACGUAACAACGCGUAUGGAAGAUGUUCUCCCUUUGUUCAUUAGUAUCAUCUUCUUUGACCUGAACCUGAAGUGUUCGCCUUAUAACCAAGGACUCCUCAACCGGUAAUGCUAACUCAUCCCCAUCACUAUCCUCCAAUGGUGGCAUGCCUUCACAAUCAGAACUGUCACUUUCAGAUUCCACAUCACCAUUAUCUCUAAUCAUCAUGAUUCUCUUGUUUGGACACUCUGAAGCAUAAUGUCCAUGUCCCUGACACCUGAAACAUUUAACAUCACGAGUACGUUUAGGUUGAGUUUCAGAUUUACCUUUGGCAUCAGUAGGGACAUCAACUUUAGCCUUUGGUGGUUCAGUUCUAGAAGACCAAAGGAUCUUGGCGGACAACCCUCUCUCUUUAGAUUCGGCUUCCAAGAUGAUGACGAACCCGAAUUAAACGCUGGCCGAGCAUGCCCUUCCUAAGUUGUCUCUCCACCUUCGUCGCCAUGUGAACCAUGUCCUCUAGCUCCACAUAGUGUUGUAGCUCAACCACAUUAGCAAUGUCCCGAUUCAACCCAUUAAGAAUCUAGCCAUGGUGGCUUCUCUAUCCUCAACAACAUUAGCCCGAAUCAUUGCUAUCUCCAUCUCUUUGUGAUAUUCAUCUACUGUCUUAUAACCUUGAUUCAGAUAUAAGUCUCUGUAAUAGUGGUUUGGCACAAAUCGUCUCCUCAUUAAGACUUUCAUCUCCCCCCAAGUCUGAACGGGUCGCUCGCCAUUCCUCCUCCUACUGAUCACAAUCUGAUCCCACCAAAUCAAUGCAUACUCCGUAAACUCAAUUAUCACCAAUUUCACCUUUUUUUGUUCAGAAUAGCUAUGGCAAUCAAAAAUCCAAUCCACCUUUUUCUCCCACUCCAAAUAAGCCUCGGAUCGUUUUUACCUUGAAAGCUAGGAAUUUUCAGUUUAAUGGUGUCCAAGUCCCCAUCCAUAUCUUCAUAAGUGCUCAUGCCACGAAAAUUCACAUUCCUCCUAGCCCUGUUCGGUCCAGACCUGAUUCCUUGGCCAGCUGAUGCAAAAUCAUAGUCAUCUUCACCCCAUCUGCGUUUUCAUCAACAAACUCUUCAAAAUCAGAUCUACAUUCCGUGCGCCAUACGGACCGUAUUUCCCCGGCGAUCAGCCCCACUAUUCUGUUGCUUUAUCGAAUUCACCUCAUCUUUCAGAUCCUUGUAUGUCCUAGACAACAGCUCAAGUUGCUGGCCUAUGGAUCGCAAUUGGAAAGCUACGUCAACGUUUUGUGUCGCUGAUUCGUUGUUUUCAGACAUUCUUUGAAUCUGCAAAAUUUGGUCAGUAGCACAAAUAUAUCCUCACACCUCUCGUGUAUCACACAAAAUAAAAUCAAGGCUUUUCACUCUAUUAAGCUCUCUACGCCUUUUACCUCACAACUUGCUUUCUUUUGGUUCUUUAGGAACUGAAAUCAACAAAUCAAAGUCAGUAGCUUUCGCGCGCACUCUAAUUAUAAUUUUCAGACUCAAGAAGAAAAAAAUAUACUGAAAACAAAGCAAAACAAACUAGAUUACGAUUUUGCGAGUAGCAAUGCAAAUUCGUGCGAAUUGUGGACGAAACGAAGACACGAAAUAAAACAAAAGCGAAUAUUAGCGAAAACAAUUACUUGACUCCUAGAUAACCCAAAUAUAAUAGAAAUAAAAAGAUUAACAAAACUAAACAGUAUAGAUCAUGUUCUCAAACUUGACGCAAAUCUAUCCUAUUACGCAAUUUUACGUAACAGAAUUGAAACCCAGACCAAACGAUCUCGAAAUGACCUCAAAUUCAAUAUUUGUAAUACAAUACUAUGAAAACACUAAUACUCAAUUUAUAGGUCGUUCUCUUAUGUCUAGGUACCCAAACCCCUUGUAUGAUCAGUUUGCGGCAGAAUUGAACCUCCAAUUAAAACCUCCAGAAACCGAUAUCAAAAUAAUCCCAAAUUUAAUAUGUGGUGCAAUCGCAUACCCAAUACUCAGAAUAUGAAGUUUCAAUAGAUUCCAAGGUGUUUUACCUAGGGUUCACUAAGAGUAGUGUUUUGCGGCAGAAUUGAAACUCGAAUUAAAACCUCAAGCAAAUAAUAUCAGAAUAAGCCCAACUUUGAUAUAUCAUGCGAUCCCACCCCCAAUAGACUGAAUAUGAAGUUUAAAUUGAUUCCGAGGUGGUUUGCUUAUGGUUCACCAAGAUUUGUGUUUCUGCGGCAAAAAUUGAAUGAUCCUUCAAAUUUCAACUAAUCACUCUUUUCUCUAUUUCUUUCUGAUUUUUUUUUCUUUUUAACAAACUGAUAUGAUUAGAGACAGUAACAAGAUGAAAUAUAAACUUUUUUUUUUUUUUGCUUAGAUGACACAGACACGAAGAACAAGAAGAUGGAUGCAAACACUGAAAAACUUAAGGGACACUAAAAAAAAAACGAAAAUAACAAUGAUAUGACCUUGUUUCGGAGCCUAGCUCUGAUACCAACUGAUGCGAACCUCGUGAUCACGUGGUCACGCAACCCACAAUCAAGAUUGAGAUCUGAUCCCGGAAAGCCGAAAUAGGUCUGAUAGAGUGCGACACAAUGGAAACCUGCCCCAAGGCACCAACACUAUUGGAAUGAGUAGAAUGACGCCACGAAGCCAGUUAAUCUUCGAUAAGUCAGAUUAAGUUCGUUCAAGAACUAAAGAAUGCAAGAAUCACUCUCGCACGUUAAAACUGAAAAAUUCAGAAUAAUAAUCAUCAAAGCUGCCGAAACAUGAGUUUAAAUAGAUCUUAGAAAAGUUAACCCUAAUGGACCCUUUAUGUGGACUUAUAUGAGGUCCACUCAAAACUGGCCCAAAAUCCUAAAAUGAAAAGCCCAUAACUUAAUCCAAACAAGCCUUGGAUCCUAGCUUAAAACAAAGUAUGAAUUAAGCCCAAACAAGCCUUGGGUUGUAGCUAACAAAAUAAAAUAAAGCCCUUAUCUCAUGGCCCAAAUAAGAUUGUAUUGGACCCCUCUUGCACAUGGAUAAGAUGUACUAGGAUCUCCUCUUGAUACUCCAAUGGACCUUCCAAUUCUGACUUGGUGAAAACCUUCAAAACCAAUGCAUUCAAUGCGUCUUUCAAUGUCUUUGUCUUGGACCGAGUCAUUGGUCCAUUUGGAACAUGUAAUGGGUCCUUGCUGGUGUUUCUGGGCUGAUCUGCAUCAUCCAAUUGUCAAGCACUGCAUUGCUUUGUUCCAACGAUCGAUCCACUGGUUCUGUUCUCGGUCUGCAAUGCCCCUUCAGAAACUCCAUCUUCUUGUGCUCUCAUUCUGGUCAUGCUUACUACGUCGUUUCCUGCUAUUGCAUGUGAAGUAAUCCUCUCUUCCCCUACUCCGGGUUCUACAACCUGAACUUCUCUUUGUACCCUUCCAAUUCCUCCUCCCAUAUUUUCAAUCUCAAUGUUUUGUUCUUGUGGACAACUUGAAAUUCCAGAAUCAUUAACAUUGAUUGAACUUUCCGUGCUUUUAAGUCUUUUGUUGCCACGACACAUAGCUUUCCAGGCUGCUUCUUGAACUUCUUUAGCCACCCCACGACAAAUGGAAACACCAUGCCCUUCUUCUCUUGAUAAAUGCCAUUUGAUCCUUGAAAUGGAAGUUUUGGUGGCAUAUGUAUGUGGACAAAACUUACACUUCAUGCUACCAUCAGCCCUUUCUUCAACAUAAUUCCGAAAUGAAUCAUUUGAUCCACCCAUUUCAACCUAUAGAAAAAAAACGGGGGGAGGGGGGGGUCAAAAUAUAGAAUAAAAAUCAAUCAAAAUAAAGAAUAAAAAUCCUAUAUGGAUGGAUGAGAAACUACUUCUUUAGUGUUGUUACCCUUAUUUUUCUAUUAAAAUUGAUAGUUAGUUUAUUUUGCUCUUAAUUUAAUAUUUUUUUCAAAAUAAACAGAUUUUUAAAUGCAAUCAAACAUAAUUUUGAAUACAAAAACAAAUUAUGUUUUGAUUGCGGAUUGCGAGCAUAACAAUCUUGGCAGUAAGUACUAAAGAAAAUCUGAAGACGUGAGUAGAACAAUUUGUUCUAAUGGUUUGUUUACUGAAACGUGAACAUACAAUCUUGAUUGAUUCAUUACACUGCCAUUAGCAGAGUAUUUAAAGUUUACUGAAGAUGACAUAUACAAGGAUUCAAAUAGCUAACCAACUAAGGAUUAUCUUGAGUGUUUAUCUUGAUAAGCAUGAACAAGGACAUGAGGCAGCUUCCAUGCAUUGUCAAUUCUGACUUGGAAUCACAGAGUCCCUUUUACUUUCGGAUGAAUCACAGCAGUCUCCUUAUCUUGUUAGACUACCAUUCUAACUUGAAUUUGUUACCCUUGAAGACAUCUUUAUCUCCUGACUUUUCUCCAUUAAACUCGGAAGUUUUGUAGAACAAUGUGGGCAGCAUCGUAGGGAGCUUUGUGAGAGAAUUCUGCCUUAUUACUCCAGUAGCAUAAACACCCUUAUCUCUCCACUGAACUCUCACAAAGCUUGUUGUCAGAUUGUGUUGUGCUAACACCCUCCCGCAAACUUGGCCGGGGCUGGAGGCAAAGUUUGGUUUGGAAGUAAAUGAGGGCAGCUUUUGACACUGGUUUGGUAAAUAUGUCAGCAAUCUGAUUACUGGAGUUUAUAUGUCGGGUGAUAAGAUGUCCAAGUGCAACUCGUUCUCGUACAAAAUGAUAGUCCAACUCAAUAUGUUUACUGCGGGCAUGGAAUACUGGAUUAAUUGUCAAGUGAAGUGCACUGAGAUUGUCACAGUAGAGUACUGGAGUAGAUUUGAGUGGGAUGUUCAGAUCUUUGAGAAGAAAGGUCAGCCAAGUAAUUUCGGCUGUAGUGUUAGCCAUGGACCGAUACUCAGCUUCAGUGCUGGAGCGGGAGAUUGUAUGUUGUUUCUUCGAACACCAAGAGAUUAUAUUUUUCCCGAGAAAGAUGCAGUAGCUAGUAGUAGAGCGUCUUGUAAUAGGACAUCCUGCCCAAUCUGCAUCUGAAAAAGCAGAGAGAUCAAGUGUAGUUUGUGAAGUGAAAAAUAACCUGGUAUGGAGAGUUCCUUUCACAAAACGUAGGAUACGAUUGACCAUUUUUAAAUGUGUAGUAUUUGGGGCAUGCAUGAAUUGGGACACAAAAUUAACACUAUACGAAAGGUCAGGACGUGUGAGAGUAAGGUAUUGUAAAGAGCCAACAAGACCCCGAAAAUAACUCAGGUCAUCCAAAGGGGUGUCAGCGGAGGAGGUCUUUGUCUUUGCUUCAAGUGGUGUACUCAUGGGUUUGCAAUCUAUCAUGUUCGCACGUUCAAGGAUGGUGAGGGCAUAAUGAGAUUGAGAGAGGUGUAGACCAUCUGAUGUGUGAGAUAUUUCAAUCCCAAGAAAGUGAUGAACAUGGCCGAGGUCUUUCAUUGCAAAUUCACCACUGAGCAGUUGUAUAAAUUCUGUAACAAGGGUUGCAUUUGAACCUGUGAGUAGUAUGUCAUCAACAUAGAGAAGAAGAAUUAAUGUGCCAUGAUCUGUAUGAGAAAUAAAUAAUGAAGGAUCUGCUAAACUACAAAAGAAACCAUAUUUAAGUAAAAAGGUGCUGAACCGAUCAAACCAUGCACGGGGUGCUUGUUUAAGGCCAUAUAGAGCUCGUUGGAGCUUGCAGACAUGCAUUGGAUACUGGGAAUCUGACAUUCCAGGCGGUUGUUCCAUAAAUAUAUCUUCGGAGAGGAAGCCAUAUAGGAAUGCAUUUUUGACAUCGAGUUGUCGAAUGGACCACUGUUGAACAAGUGCAACUGUUAUAACCAUGCGAAUGGUGCUUGGUUUUACCACAGGGGAGAAGGUUUCGGUGAAGUCAAUGCCAUCAAUUUGAUGAAAUCCUUUGGCAACAACCCUGGCUUUUAAACGAUCUAGGGAACCAUCAGGUUUAAGCUUUGUCUUAAGUACCCAUUUGGACCCGAUAACAUGCAUAUCAGAGGUGCGGGGAACCAGUAUCCAGGUUUGGUUUUGAUGCAGGGCAGUUAAUUCUUCAUUCAUUGCUGCUCGCCAACCUGGAUGAGCUAGUGCUGCUUGAACACUCCUUGGCUCUCGUGGGACAGAAGAGGAGUAUGUUGUUGAUAAAGCAUACUUAGGAUUUGGCUUAACAAUCCCAUGGUGUGACCGUGUAGUCAUAGAAUGAGGGAAAAUUACCUGGGGAGACUGAUUCGAACUAGGUGGAUCAGCUGGUAGAGCUGAUUGGGGAGAAAGUAAACUAUCAGCGUCAUUUGGUUGAACCAUAUGCAGAGUUGGUGUUGAUUCAUCUGAUUCAGGCAUAAUAAGUUGGUUUUCCUCAUGAAACGCAGCAGCAGGGGCUAAAGGAGCAGAGGAUGUGGGGCCAGUUCUAGGAGAAGAACUAUCAUCUUCCCGCACACAGUGAUGGGUGAUACUAUCAGUAGGAAGCAUCAUCGAAGCAAGUGACUCUGAGUCCUUAAACAUUUGGGGGAGUGGGGCAGGAGACAAGGAUACUUCACCAAGCGGGAUUGAUGAAGGAGUGUCGGAUGUAGGCAAUGAUGAGGUUGCUGCUAUCUUAGAGGACUCUGCAAGAAUAUUAGUACAAGGUAACCAAGCAUCAUAAAUGCUAAGGGCAAGUUGUGGAGAAGGAGUAAAAGCAAGAUCGUUGACAGGUUUAUAUGGAAAGAGCAAUUCAUCAAAGACCACAUGCCGUGAAAUGAAAAUUUUUUUGCUUUUUGGAUGGAAACAUUUAUAUCCUUUAUGAGUACUGCUAUAUCCUACAAAGAUGCAGGGGACAGUUUUGGGAUCAAAUUUGUUAAUUCGUGUGUCCCAAGUGUAAGGAAAGCAUUUUGAGCCAAAAAUAUGCAAUGAAGAGUAAUCCGGAUGAGUAUGAUGUAGCUUAAAGUAUGGAGUUUCAAAAUUAAUGGAUGAUGAGGGCAAGCGAUUGAUGAGAUAGACAGCAGUAGUGAAUGCUUCUGCCCAUAGAAAUAAUGGUGCACAACUAUGAAAUAACAUGGUCAUACCUAGCUCUCGUAUGACACGAUGGCGUCGUUCAACCAUACCUGUUUGUUCUGGAGUAUAUGGACAUGAUAUCUGAUGAAUAAUUCCUGUGGAAAGAAAAUGACUGGAGAGUUUUGAGUUGACGAACUCACCACCUCCAUCAGAAUGGAAAAUUUUGAUUUGUUUGUUGAAUUGUCUUUUGGCAUAUUGUUCAAAGGCAAAAUAUGUAUUCGUAAAAUCAGAUUUAUAUUUGAGUGGGAUUAUCCAAGUAUAUUUAGAUAAGUCAUCAACAAAACAAGCAUAGUAUCUGAAUUUUCCAAUAGAUAAAGUUGGGGCAGGUCCCCACAAAUCACAAUGAAUUUUUUCAAAAAUAUCAGUACUUGAGUGUUCAGAGCUAGAGAAAGGAAGUCUACUGAGUUUUCCUAACUGACAGCUAUCACAUAUAUGUUCAGUUUUUAUUGCUCCUAUGACAUCAAUCAAUCCUUUAUUUUUUAAUAAUUGCAAAGCUGAAACUUGAGGGUGUCCUAAACGUUGAUGCCAAAUAUCUGCUGAUCCGGAUUUAAAACGAUGAGAAAAAUAAAGUUCUGGUGAGUUGUGAAGAACAUAAAGAUCACCCUUGCGUCGUCCUGUGAUCACUGGUUGUCCAGUUGCUCGUUCCUUAACACAAAAAUCAACAUCAGAAAAUUCACAAUUAACUGGAAAUUGAGUAGUUAGUUGACUUACUGAGAGUAGAUUCUUUUUCAAUUCAGGGACAAACAGAACAUUCUUGAGGGGUAAAGCAGUAUUCUUUUGUUUAACAAGAGUAUCACCAAUACCAAGAAUUGGUAGGGAAGAUCCGUUGCCUAUAAUAACACAAUCUGUACCAUAAUAUUCACGAAUAUUCACAAAGCUUGUUGUCAGAUUGUGUUGUGCUAACAAGUACCAUGAUCCUUUCCAAUUGAGUUAAUUUUAGGAUUUUUUUUGGCAGCCACGUACAUCCUUUAGGAGUUCUUUUUAUUAAAUCAAUAUUAAAGUAAAAAAAAUUAAAUCAAUACAGAUAAAUACAUGAACUAAAUAUAAUCAAACAAUUAAUCCAUUUAAAAACAUUACUAAAUCCAUAAACUACAUUAAUCCCUUUUCUUUUCUUGUUUUUUUUUUCUCUCUGGUGGAAUUCCCUCACGUUUUCUUUAUGGGUAGCCCCACUUUUAAACCCUCUUUUUCAUCACGUCCCCAUGGUCCCCGUGUCCCACACGUUUUCAUCAAAAACCUAAAUUUUAGGACUUCUUUGGCAGCCAUCUAAAAAUAUAUAAAAAUAAUAUUUUUAUUUUUAAAAUUUUAUUUUUAACAUCAAUAUAUUAAAAUAAUCUAAAAAUAUAAAAAAAUUAUUUAAAAAAAAUUAAAAUUUUUAAAAACACAAGCAUUCACAAACAAGGUAACGCGUCAAGAAUCACAACAAUAUGACAUGUGACUGGAAAGUUGUGAUUAAAAAACAUUACUACUUUUAGAGUGAUUUUGACAGCGUAGCAGGAAAGGUCAUUAUUGUUAUUUUUAAAAUAUUUUUUUUAUUUAUAAAUAUAUUAAAAUCAAAGUUGUUAAUUUCGUUUCGUUUUAUUUGUAAUGAUUUCAUACCAAUUCAAAAAAUGAAAUAAAACAAAAUAAUUUUCAUCUCAUUUCAAAUCUCGGUCCCUUCUAAAUUUUUCGGUUAAAUUCCGUUCAGAAUGUUCUGGUUUCAUUCCACAUGUUUUGGUCUGGUCUUAAAAAGUCAUUGAAUCAAAUUGAACCUGAUUCAAUUAAUUAAUUAAACCAUCAAAGUAUAAAAAUCUCUUUUUCAUUACUAUUUUCAUUAACUAUGAUAUUAAUUUUUUAAAAUUUGAUUUAUCACUAAUAUAUAUGGUUUAUAUUCAUGUUGUUUUUUUUCAAGUUUAUACUUUGUAGGAAUUUAAACAAAAAAAUAGAUGUUUUAGAUCUUAUUAGCCUUGAUAACAUUGACCUCGUUUUAUAUUUAAAAUAUUAAUGUUAAAAUAUUUUAAUUUUAUAAUGUUUUGAUAUUUUAUUGAAGUUGAAUUAUUUUAAAUUAAAAAAUUAUUUAAUCUUAAUUAUUUAAAAAUAUUUUAAAUUUUAAAGUUAUAUUUUAUCACGUCUCUUUGAUCCCCGUUGUGUCAAAAACAAAUGGCCUAAAUUUUAGGCUCUAGCAGUUCCUUUUUUGAAAUCCUCAUUAGUGAAAUUUCACGACUCCAACUGGGCCUUGACUUGUCUGUUUAAUUUCUAUUAUUUUUAUUCCAUUUUAGCAUUUUAGCAUUUCAUACUCAUCAAAACCACUGGAACGCAAUCAAGCUUUAGCUUCAAACAACCAGAGGGAGAUUUUCUAGGGAAAAAAUUUUAAAAAUCACGCCUAUGCUACUUUCUAAUUUUAGUAUUAAUUUAGUAUUUAAAAAAUGUGUUUAGAAACCAAAACUGCCACAUUCAUACUCUCUCUUAGACAUUUUAAAAAUGGUGUAGAAGAAUAUUUUCACUGAUGAUUUAUAAUAGUGAAUAGAUUUAUUAUUUUAUUAGGUUACUUUAAUUUAUUUUAUUAGGUUACUUUAAUGAUAAAUCAAUAUAGUAUUUUUUUUAUUUUUUGGAUUUUCAUCUUGGGGAAACUCAAUAGGAUGAAAAUAAAAUAUUAAUCAAACUUAAAAUUAUAAUUGUUUAUCUAUAGAAUUAAAAAAAAAUAUGACAAUUCAGUGGCCUUUAAUGAAAUAAAAAAAAAUGAAAAAUGUUAGUUAUGUAAUUGUAAGCACACUAUAUUAUAUUACUUUACAAAGGGACGAAGGAGGAUGCUCCCACUGCACUACUGUCUCCCACCAUUCAUCUGGAUAUACCUUGAUUUCUUUAAGAGAAGGGGAGAUGGCUGGCGAUUUUCAAGCAACGGAAGACAAAUUGGCAUCCUCUUCAGCUUCUCACAAUACAUUACACUAAUAUCUUCAAGAGAAUUGCAAAUCUGUUUUGCACUGCAAAUGCUUUUCAGUUCUGGUAAGCAAUCCAAUUCCAGAGUUAUUAACUUUGGGAGAAUGACUUCCAUGAUGGAAUUGGAGGUGCUGCUUUCUUCAUCUGUUGUUCCUAUUAUCUCCUCCAUUUUGUAACAGAAACUCACUCUAAUCAAUUCCAGGUUUACGAGGUUUGGCAGCAACACAAGCGGGAACAGCUUCUUCAUACUUUUACAGUGAUCACAAAAAAACUCUUUUAAGACCAGAAAACGUACCGUUAAGUGGCAAUCGUGGUGGAGCAGAGCAGAACCAAGAAGAUGAAACCAAGCUCUCCAUGUUACGGCAUCCCUGAAUGCUGAUGCGCUCCAGUUCAGUUGCAUUCUCUAACGAUAAAACAUCACAUAAACUUCUUGCAUCGAUGCAUUGACAAAUCAGUCCUUGAAUGCCAUUUAAGAACUUGACCUGAAAAUCUCUGUCUCCGUUGAUACUCAAUUUACCCAACCCAACUGUUUUACUUGGAAAAUCUUCAAUGCAUUGCUCUGAAUAUCUAACCACCUCUCCUACUAAAAUCUUGCAUGUGCUUAAUGAUAGGAUCCCAUCCCGAGAUCUGAGAUACUCCACGAAGUCAGAGAAACCUUCAAAAUGGCAUUCCAAAGUUUCCAAAUUUCUCAAGGAUCCUACUUCCUUUCCUUUAACUGUUUUGAAAGCCAUUUGAUAGCUAAGAACUCAGAAUCCAUGAGAUUAAGUAUUUGGCAAAGCCUUCCCCGUGAUUGGAGCAAUCUCACUAAUUUAUCGACGGAAUGGCUAGAAUUGUCUUCCUCUUAACUAAUCUCUAGCAAAUUAUCUUAAUAUGGUUUUACCAAAAAGAAAAUAAUAAAUUUGUUCUAUUACUAUCAACUGCCAGAACUCCUGACAAGUAAUUACGACCAGUUUUUUAACAUCCAAGCUCUUGUAAUCUCACAAACGCUUGAGACCCAAACCCAAUCAACAGAUCAGAGAACCUUUAUUUGUCAAGGCUCCAUACACUUUCUCGACAAGAACCGGAGGAGGAGGCUGUGGGGUAUUCGAUGGUUGAAAAAGGAACGUGAAUUAUGCUGGAGAGCAUGCAGGUGGCCAUGUGUUUGGAGCUUAGCCUGGUGUUCUCCAAAUCCUUACUAAAUUAUUAGAAAGUAACAUUAUAACAUUUUUAAAUCUGUUUAAAUUUUUUGGUUUAAGAUAAUUUUUUAAUAUUAUAAAGUCAUUUAUUAUGUUUAUUCAAAUUAAUUAUUUUUAUUAAAAUAAUAUCAUUUCAUUAUUUAAUUAAUCUGGUCAGAUAUAAACUAGGUUUGAUUGAAUCGGUCAAAUUUUACCAAUUCAAUAUCUUAUAUGGAAAAAGAUUGACUGUAGAGAAAAAUUUAAUGAACGUCAUCCUCGUGGGUGCUAUAAUCUGUAAUUAUUGGCAAGGCUUUAAUAAUCACAGCAGCAGAAGAUGAUAUAUUGUACAAAUAGAUUGAAGAAACAGGAGGCCUACGCAUUUAAUAUGGACUUCCUCGUGGAUGCUAUUCCUUCAAAUAUGGACUAAGAUAUUGUAUUUUUGUUACCGGAAAAUUAUAAACCAAUAACUUUUUAUCUUUUUCCAAGCUUUUUGGUGAUUUUUUUAAUCUCAAAUUCAUGAACUAAAAAGGUAGCAGCGUGAAGCCUCGCCAAAAGCCCAAGAUUAAAAAUAACCAUGCUCCUAGCCCAAGCCCACCAACAUCACCCCCAGCAGAUUGGAAAAAUGCUCAUAACCAUUCCGGAAAAAACACACCUAGGCUACUAUGGUAUACUAGAUAGUGGAAAUAAAUCGAUAUUAAUCAUCAAAUAAAUCGUUAGCAGAAACCAAAAAUAAAUAAAUAAAUUGUUCAUGCUACUCCAUCUUAUUGAUGGGAAUGGCUUUUGACCAGUAUACAUACGACUCUGCUAAAAUUAUCUGAUAAAUUAUCAGGCUUAUAAAAGGCUUAAUAAAAUAAAAUAAAAAAUCAUUUUUAUUCAAUAAAAUAGAGAAAAAAACUCAAGUAAUAAAUGUUCAAUUCACUUUCCAGCCGACAAUAAAAAAUGAAAGUAUUUUUAUUCAAUAAUAAGCUACCAAUAAUUAUACAAGAAUCAAAUCUCUCCGAUCACAUGGUCGUUUAAAAUGCUCAACACUCAUAAAGCAAAUUUACAGAAUAAUAAGUUUAGUAAACUUCUUGAUUUAUAUAUAUAUAUUAUUCAACCAAAUAAUUGCUUGUGACAUAUAUGUGGCGAGCUUCCUAGUAUUAAAAAUUUAAGAUUAUCAAAUAAUUAAACUUUUUAUCCAAACCAAUAAAUUUUAUGUGUCUAUUUUAAAAUUUGGUUUUAGAAAGAAAAUCAAAAUGACAUAUCAAACAAUACCUAUAAAUCUUUUAUAUUACAAAUUAACUAUAACACCCAUUUAUCAUUUUUAAGGUCAAUAUUUAGGAAUAAAUGAAUAAAAGCUACGUACCAAUAUUUAAAUUAAGUAACCUCAAAGACUACUAAUUUAGCUUUUGAUAUUAAAAGGGUGUAUGUCGUUAGUUUCUGCCUAGUUGAUGAGGCAAAUAUCAGGUCUUCUAUAACCACUCCCUGCUAACUCUUUGCCUCAUAUCUUACGUUAUAUCUAUCAAGUUUGCUUAAUUAAGAUGGAAUAUUUAUGAUUUUUAUAUGUAUUAAAUCAAUAUAAUUGUUUUGACAUAAACAUGAAGUCAUCAUAUUAUAAAACUAAAAAUCAAUGGUGUAUCUAAUUAUCAAAAAGGUAUAAAUAUUGCUAGGAAGUUAACGUGUGGACCACCCCAAUUAUGAAGCUCGGAAGAAGAUGCCUAGAAAAUGUAAACACAUGAAUAUUGAAAACAAUAACAUACUUUCCUUUUUAAAAUGUUUUUUAUUUUAAAUAAUAAUUUUUUAUUUUGAAAUUUUUUUUUAAUAAAAAAAUAAUAAUUUAAAAAGUAAAAAAAAUUCAAUUUUGUUGAAAAACGUGUGCUUUAACAAUGACAUAUUAAAUAUGUGAUUAAUUAAGAGCAUGUGAUUGCUUUUGUUUUUAGUUGUUUUUUCAAAAAAAGAUAUAUAGAUUUUUUUAAUGUUUUUUUAUAUAAUUUUAAUGUAUUAAUAUUAAAAAUAAAAUAAACAAAUAAAUAAAUCAUGUAGUCUAUUUCCAAACCAAUCUAAUAUUGGAGGUCGAAAUUGAAAAAAAACUAAUUAAAAAAAUUAAAAGAUAAAAUUAAAAAAAAACAUAUUCGAUCAGUGAGUAAAUCUAUCAAACCUGUGAAUCAGGUAACUUGAGCUAACACAUCAAAUUCAUUAACAAGGUUAUGGACUCUAGUAGGAUUAUAUAUUUUUUAAAUUUUUUUAUUUAACAAUAUGAUAAUAAAAAUGGAUAAUUAUAAAAUUAAACACUAGCCCAAUACUAAUAUAUAUUUUUUUAUACCGUGAUAACAUCAUCCAAAGAAAAAUAAACUAAUUAUGAAACUAAAUUUUAAACCAACUCAAAUAUGAAAUAGAAAAAAAAUUAAAAAAAAUUGAUAACCAAAAAAAGGAAAGGGAAAGAAAAAAAAGAAGCAAAACACUAUAGAUUAUUAUUGUAAUUCAUAAUGAAAUGGGUGUGACGUGUGAGUGAAUAUUGGUUCUCCCACACCGUUUAGCUUUUUGUUUUUUAAAUAAUAAAAAAAAAAUACUUCAUUAAACCAGUAAACUAAUAUAAAUCACGUUAACUUUAUAAAAAUAUAGAAUACAAAUAUAAAUUAUAAAAUUGAAUUUUAAACCACCCAAUAUGAAAUAUACAAAAACAAAUUUUAAAAAAUAAUAAUAAUAAUAAACACAUUGGAUUGCUUAUUAUAAUUUAUAAUGAAAUAGGUGUGAAUACGUCUCUUAACUAUUCGUGAGCUUCUUAUUCGUUCUUAGUUUUUCUUGAAGUUAUUCUAUUGAGGAAAAAGAGAAGAAAAAACCCUACUUUUUUUUUCCUCUUCAUAAUGCAUGGAUUUAAGUUGGGUGGCGAUUCAGUAAUCAAAAUAUUUUUUUUAGUUUUAAUAUUAAUAUAUAAAAGAAUAUUAAAAAUAUUAAUUUAAUUUUUUAAAAAAAAAUAAUUAAAAAAACAGAUUUUUAAAUGCAAUCAAACAUAAUUCUGAGUAUAAAAACAAAUUACGUUUUGAUUGCGAGCAUAAUAAUCUUGGCAGUAAGUACCAUCAUCCUUUCCAAUUGAGUUAAUUUUUAGGAUUUUUUUUUUUUGUAGCCACGUACAUGCUUUAGGAGUUCUUUUUAUUAAAUCAAUAUUAAAGUAAAAAAAUUAAAUCAAUACAAAUAAAUAAAUGAACUAAAUAUAAUCAAACAAUUAAUCUAUUUAACGGAAAAAAAACAUUACGGAAUCCAUAACCUACAUUAAUCCCUUUUCUUUUCUUUUCUUGUUUUUUUUUCUUUGGUGGAAUUUCCACGCGUCUUCUUUAUGGGCAGCCCCACUUUUAAAGUCUCUUUUUCAUCACGUCCCCAUGGUCCCCAUGUCCCACACGUUUUCAUCAAAAACUUAAAUUUUAGGACUUCUUUGGCAGCCAUCUAAAAAUAUAUAAAAAUAAUAUUUUUAUUUUUAAAAAAUUAUUUUUAAUAUCAAUACAUUAAAAUAUCUAAAAAUAUAAAAAAUUUAUUUAAAAAAAAUCAAAAAUUUUACAAACACAAGCAUUCCCAAAUAAGGUAACGCGUCAAGAAUCACAACAAUUUGAUAUGUGAGUGGAAAGUUGUGAUUAGAAAACAUUAUAACUUUUAGAGUGAUUUUGAUAGCGUAGCAGGAAAUGUCAUUAUUUUUAUUUUUAAAAUAUUUUAUUUAUUUAUAAAUAUAUUAAAAUGAAAUUUGUUGUUAAUUUUGUUUCAUUUUAUUUGUAAUGAUUUCAUACCAAUUUAAAAAAUAAAAUAAAACAAAAUAAUUUUCAUCUCAUUUCAAAUCUCGGUCCGUACCAAAUUUUUCGGCUAAAUUCCGUUCAGAGUGUUCUGGUUUCAUUCCACAUGUUUUGUUCCGGUCUUAAAAAGCUAUUGAAUCAAAUUGAACCUGGUUCAAUUAAUUAAUUAAAUCAUCAAAGUAUAAAAAGCUUUUUUUCAUUACUAUUUUCAUUAACUAUGAUAUUAAUUUUUUAAAUUUUAAUUUAUCACUAAUAUAUGGUUUAUAUUCAUGUUGUUUUUUUUUUCAAGUUUAUACUUUGUAGGAAUUUAAGCAAAAAAAUAGAUGGUUUAGAUCUCAUUAGCCUUGAUAACAUUGACCUAGCUUUAUAUUUAAAAUAUUAGUGUUAAAAUAUUUUAAUUUCAUAAUAUUUUGAUAUUUUAUUGAAGUUGAAUUGUUUUAAAUAAAAAAAUUAUUUAAUCUUAUCUAUUUAAAAAUAUUUUAAAUUUUAAAAUUAUAUUUCAUCACGUCUCCAUGAUCCCCGUUGUGUCAAAAACAAAUUGCCUAAAUUUUAGGCUUUAGCAGUUCCUUUUUUGAAAUCCUCAUUAGUGAGAUUUCACGACUCAUUAUUUCUAUUAUUUUUAUUUCAUUUUAGCAUUUUAGCAUUUCAUACUCAUCAAAACCACUGGAACACAAUUAAGCUUUAGCUUCAAACAACCAGAGGGAGAUUUUAUAGGGCUAAAAUUUUAAAAAUCACGCCUAUGCUACUUUCUAGUUUUAGUAUUAAAUUUAGUAUUUAAAAAAUGUGUUUAUAAAUAUGUCAGUUUCAGGUUUAGAAACCAAAACUGCCAUAUUCAUACUCUCUCUUAGACAUUUUAAAAAUAUGUGUAGAAGAAUACUUUCACUGAUGAUUUAUAAUAUUAGGUUACUUUAAUGAUAAAUCAAUAUAGUAUUUUUUUAUUUUUUGGAUUUUCAUCUUGGAGAAAUUCAAUAGGAUGAAAAUAUAAUAUUAAUCAAACUUCAAAUUAUAAUUGUUUAUCUAUCGAGUUAAAAAACAAAUAUGACAAUUCAGUAGUCUUUAAUGAAAUAAAAAAAUGAAAAAUGUUAUUUAUGUAAUUGUAAGCAUACUAUAUUAUAUUAAUUUACAAAGGGACGAAGGACAUCCUUUGCAUUAGGAUGCUCCCACUUCACUACUGUCUCCCACCAUUCUUUUGGCCAUGCUCGGAUUUGUUUAAGAGAAGGGGGAGGAGAUGGCUGGCCAUUUUCAAGCAACGGAAGACAAAUUGGCAUCCUCUUCAGCUUCUCACAAUACAUUACACUAAUAUCUUCAAGAGAAUUGCAAAUCUGUUUUGCACUGCAAAUGCUUUUCAGUUCUGGUAAGCAACCCAAUUCCAGAGUUAUUAACUUUGGGAGAAUGACUUCCAUGAUGGAAUUGGAGGUGCUGCUUUCUUCAUCUGUUGUUCCUAUUAUCUCCUCCAUUUUCUCACAGAAUAUCACUCUAAUCCUUUCCAGGUUUACGAGGUUUGGCAGCAACACAAGCGGGAACAGCUUCUUCAUACUUUUACAGUAUUAACAAAAAAACUCUUUAAGACCAGAAAACGUACCGUUACAUGAUGGCAAUCGUGGUGGAGCAGAGCAGAACCAAGAAGAUGAAACCAAGCUCUCCAUGUUAUGGCAUUCCCAAAUGUUGAUGCGCUCCAGUUCAGUUGCAUUCUCUAAUGACAAAACAUCACAUAAACUUCUUGCAUCGAUGCAUUCACAAAUCAGUCCUUGAAUGCCAUUUAAGAACUUGACCUGAAAAUCUCUAUCUCCGUUGAUACUCAAAUUACCCAACCCAACUGUUUUACUUGGAAAAUCUUCAAUGCGUUGCUCUAAAUGUCUACACCUCUCCUACUAAAAUCUUGCAUGUGCUUAAUGAUAGGAUCCCAUCCCGAGAUCUGAGAUACUCCACGAAGUCAGAGAAACCUUCAAAAUGGCAUUCCAAAGUUUCCAAAUUUCUCAAGGAUCCUACUUCCUUUCCUUUAACUGUUAUGGGAGCAUAUCUUCCAUAAAUUAACCUUUCCUCUAGUACAAAGAUUUGCAGGUGAGAGAGUUUUUGUAAUAUCCCACUAGGAAACUCCUUUUCACCACAUCCAUUCAUUAUAAGAUACCUCAGGUUGGUUAGGCAUUCCAUUCCUUGCAGCAUCUUUUCAAGCCUAGUAUAAGAGAGAUCCAACCUCUUCAGUGCCGUGAGCUUUUUUAAUGAUGGAACAUGUUUUAAUUGACCACACUUACUGAGCAAUAAGGCAGUCAGAUUCACCAAAUCAGAAACAGAAUCUGGCAAAUUUUUAAUACCUGUGCGAGACAGAUCAAGGACCAUGAGCCUAUGCAAUUGCUUGAAAAAUGAAUCUGCAACAAAUAUCCCAACCCUUUAUUAUCACAUAGAAAUAGAGUUGACAGAUUUGGACACACUGGUGAAUGGUCGAAAGGAACUUCUUCAUCUCGUUUUGCAUUAGUGAAACUAUUGUCAGAUUCUCGUCCACUCCUCUGCAUUGGCAACUCUUUUAACUGCGCACCUGCUUUAACCAUGCCUUGAGAGUUCUCUAGCAGUAUUUGGAUGGCCAUGUCCCUAAUCAAGUCAUGCAUCUUGACACAUCUAAUAUCAUCAUAAUCCAUUUGAGCACUUUCCAAUAGGCAGACAUAUUCAAGUCUAUUAAGCAUCGUGUGGCCCUCGUCAAAUGCAUCUUUCCUGCUCCUCAUUCCUUUAAUUAUUCCCUCAUCGAUCAAAUAACCUAUCAGCUGCCUCCCUCUUAAUCCAUGAUCUUCAGGAAAUAAUGCACAGUACAAGAGACAUUUUGGAGUGCUGAAUCACCUAGCCGUUCAUAACUAAACUCAAUAACUUGAAUAAUUUCUUGUCCCUAAAUUCUGAUGCACUCAAUUUCUUCAAUGUAUUCUCCACUCAUGUAGAUCAUCCACUCCCAUCAAGCUUCCUGCCAUGUAAUAAUUCCCAAUGGCAAACCAGCACAUUCCCUUGCAAUAUCUUUCGCAAUUCCUUCCACUUCUGAUGAAAGUGCUAUGUCACGUCCAAGUUUCUCAUGAACAAAGUCCAAGCUCUCCCUCAAAAGUGGCUUCACCUUGAUUUUGUGGUGGCAAGCCAUCCGAUGACAAACCGUUUCUGAUCGAGUUGUCAUAAUCAGCUUGCAUCCUUUCAACGGGACAGGAAUUCCCACUUCGUCAAGCUCAAAAUUGUUCCACAAAUCAUCUAAAAUGAGAAUCCAUUUUUGUUUCUUUAUUAGUUCUUCUGACAAUUUGGCAGCUCUAUGCAGAUCAUCAUCUUCGCUUGAAAGGUCUAGAUGAAGACGUUUAGCAAUAAUAUUCUGCAAUCUAUUAAUGCUGAAAUCUUGAGACACAGUCACCCACCAAACAUGAUCACAAAUCUGGUCUUUGUAGAAGCUCAUUAUGGAUAUGUUUAGUAUUGUUGUUUUACCAACUCCCCCCAUCCCAUAAAUGCCAAUGGUUGGGACUUCAUCAUCCAUUAACAAAGACCAUAUCACCUUCUAUUCUCUUCAAAUGCUUGACCCACUGGCUUUGUAGAGCUAGUAGGUAAUGGAACUCCUCUAGUCUCACUUGUGUUGUAUUUAAGGCUUAUAGAAGAUCUAGCUCCAGCGUCAGGCUGCACUGAAUCUUCCACUAUUCUCCACACCCUCCUCCACUGGUUCUGUCCUCACUCUAACCAUGUUCUGCACAUCAUACAUAACGACAUCAUUGUUUACUGAUGGAGCAAAUAGUUGAUCAUAAUAUCUUCCAUGAUCAAGACACAAUGGAUCUGUUGGUUGGGAUGAAUCUCCUCGAGGCUCAUCAGCUUGAUUAAUUGAUGGCCUCUCACAAGAGCUACCUCUCUCCAGAUGCUGCACUUGUUCUGUUCUCGCUACAGUUUCAAAUCCAUCAUGCAGACGCUCCACAUCCUCAUCUUCCUGCAUUAAAUAGUAGAGAUUUCAUUCAGCUUCUGCUCCUUUGAAAGGGCAGAGUGUAUCUGAACCCAAGUGCCAUCAAAAAAUUGAUCCACUAAAUCUGUUCCUGGUGUUGCUUCUCCUCUAUUCUCAUGAGCAUCAACUCUGAGUCUCCAAGGAGAGACACUUCUGUCAACAUGCUGAAAAGAUCCUUCACCAGUGUACUCCAUGCCUUGAACUCCCGCUUGCAUCCUUCCAGCAUCCCCUGCCAAAUUAACAAGUACUGCAUUGUCUUGUUCUUGUGGACAGGUGGAAAUGGCAUAAUCAUUAACAUUGCUUGAACUUGCUAUGCUUUUAUGUCUUUUGUUGCCACCAUUCAUAGCUAGGAAGGCUGCUUCUUGAACUUCUUUAGGCACCUGACCACAAAUGCCAACACCAUGCCCUCUCUCUCCCGAAAAAUGCCAUUUGAUCCUCGAAAUGGACGUACCAUUGGCAAAUAAAUGCCCACAAAACUUACACUUCAUGCUUCCAUUAUUCAUAUCUUCAACUUCCUUCCAAAACGGAUCAUCUGAUCUACCCAUUUUGUCCUAUAGAUAAAAAGGGUCAAAAUAUUGAAUAAAAAUUAAUGGAAGUACAUUAAUUGGAAAAGGAAGGUGAAACUAAAAUAAGUUACAAACAGCAAAGAAAUUAAGAAGAAAAAACAAUGAAUUCAAGGUUAACUUGGGGUCAAUUUAAUUAGUAUGAACUCCAUAAGGCAUGGAUUGUUAAAACUGAGAAAGAUCAAAUUAUUUUUAUUUUUGGAAACUGUUGAUGAUCCUAACUCCAAAGUUUCUCAUUAGAAUUUCUACAACUUGUGGUUUCCUUGAAAGAUUCAAAUCAGAGUUACAUGUGAAAAACAAAAUGAAGAAGAUGGAGUAUAAAUAAUGUACCUGGAUUCAAGUUGUUCUUCAAGUGCUGGUUUGCUUAAGCAGUAUUCAGCAAAAAAGACAAGAACAGAGUAGAAUAUAUAGUUUAAAAAUAACAAGGAAGUUCCAAGAUGUUGAACUCCAGAUGAUUUGAUUCAAUCAGAAAAGGAAGCACUGAUCAUCAGAAAGUUUAAGAAAUUGGGAAUUUGAUGAGGGAAAUUGGGAAGUCAAUGGUAUAUGAGAUGAGAUGCGGAAGAUAAUGUUACAGUAGCAAAGAUAUUAUUCUAAUAAAUCUAUAAAUCAUGUUAAUUUUAUAAAAAAAUAAAUAAAAAUAAAUAUAUUAUCAAACCAGCCAAAUAUUAAAAUAAAUAAAAAUAAAUUUUAAAAAAACCAAAAAAAAAAAGUUGAAUUAUUUUGUAAUUUACAAUGAAAUAGGUGUGGAUAGAUAAUGAUUCUUCCACGUCUUUUAACUUUUCUUUUAAUAGAAAUUAAUAACCCUAUAAUAUUUUCCUCGAUGAUGUUGAAUGAUGCCAAAUUAAAACAUCUUUUUUAUUGCAAUAAAGUGAAACUUUUUAAAAAAUAUAAUAUUAAAAUAAACAUUGUUAUUUUAGUUUUUUUUAAUUAAAUAUCAUCGUUGUAUGUUCUUGGUUGACCUAGCAGUACCGUUUGUUUGGACUUUGAGCAGCAGUAGAUAUCUCCAGCGUACUGUUACCUGCAGGCUAGAAAAUGUAUGUUGCCGUUUUUUAGUUCACUAGAGAGAGGGCAGAAAGCCUUAAGAAAAUAAUUUCACAUUCUGUGUGGCAGAAACCUGAUUCCACCCAAAAACAAUAACACAGUAAUUGAAGCAAAUUAAAAGAAUAAAAGAAAAUAUAAAAUGAUUUAAUAGAGAACAAAUAUUAAUUUUCAAUGCAGAUUAAAAUAAAGCAAAGUGAAUAUUGAAAAAAGUACUUCAAUUCUACGAACAGCAGAUAUAUAGUUCAAUUCGAAGUUGAAUUCCCAAAAUUCCCACUUAAAGGGUAUAGAUAAUUAAAUCAACACUAAACCAAAUAUAACCCUUUUGAAAAACCAUUCAUUCAAUAGAAAAUAAUUAUCCCUAUUAAGAAAAUCCAAUGACGACAAUAUACUUAAGGAGCAAUAUUACAGCAAAGAAAUUAAAUCAAUACAGGUAAAUAAAUGAUCCAAAGAUUAAUUCAUUCAAUAGAAAAAACAUGACUGACUCCAUAAACGGCAUAAAUCUGAACAAAAGAGUUAGAAUAAUUGGAAAUCUGAACAAUUUGUGUACCCAUCACUGUAUUGGACAUUAAAAUUUCCCGAGAAGAUUUUUGCACCAAGCAUUCAUAGCCAUUCCUUUCCUUGCAUGUUCUCCUUCUUUCUUUUUCUUUCUCUGGUGUAAUUCCCACACGUCUUCUUUAUGCCAAAUACCCCUCUUUUCAAAGGAGGCAGCCCCACUUUUCAACCUCCUUUUUCAUCACGUCUCCGUGCUAUAUUUUAGGACUUCUUUGGCAGCCACGUACAUGCCCUAGGAGAUCUUUUUUCUUUUUUUUUUUAGAAGUUUAGGAGAUCUUUUUUCUGAAAUCCUCAUUAGAGGCUAAUUUGUAGUCUUUAAGAAACCUCGUCAACGCAAGAAUCACAACAAUCUGAUACGUGGGUAGAAAGUUAUGAUUGAAAUAGUAUCACUUGGGUAAAUUUGAAAGUAUAAUUGUGGUUGUUUUUUAAAAUAUUUUUUAUUUAGAAAUAUAAUAAGAUAAUACUUUUUUAUUUUUAAAAAAAUAUUUUUAACAUCAAUGCAUUAAAAUAAUUUUAAAACACUAAAAACAUAUUAAUUUAAAGCAAAAAUAAAAUUAAUUUUAAUUUUUUAAAAAAAUGUUUUUGAAACACAAAAACAAACAGGGUUUUAUCUUUUGAUGCUUACUGGUUUUCAAAAUGCGCUUAAGCUUUUAAAUGUAUUUUUACAUUUGUCUUUAGAAAUUAUCAAUUUGAUAAUUAUUUUUAGUGUUUUUUAAUAAUUUUAAUAUAUUAAUAUUAAAAAUUAAUAAAAUUUACAAAAAUUAUUUUUUUAAAAAAAAUUUUAAUAUACAUUUUAUACCACAAUAUCAAGUGAAAACAUAAUCCCAAUACCUUCACCAAUCAUAAAAAGGUUUUCAACCCAAUCAUGUUUUUUCCUCAUUUUAAAUACAAAAUAAAGUUCGAGUGAAGUAGGGUACAAUCUUAAAUGGUCCAAACAUUAUUGUUAUUUUUUUUUUUGGAUUUAAGUGGGUGUCCGGACCAGCUUGCGCGCACCACGACUAAUCUCACGGCCCACUGAACAUCCUGCAAACUCAGUGAGCAUGUAAGGCAUCGCGGGGGUGACAGACGUGCACGAUGAGGUUUGAACCCUGAUGGGGUGGAAAGGAACAAGCCUCUUCCACUACUAGGCCAAAACCUCAAUUGCAAACAUUAUUGUUAUUGUUAGAAUGUGACAGUGGUCCCAACAUUAGUAGUGUAGCAUGUGCCAUGUAUAUAUCAAUCUCUUGUGGUCCAAAAAUCAGGUUAUUGGUGUUUGAUGAAAUUAGUUGUCCCUAAAAAUAAAAUAAAAUCCUUUGUGAAUUAAUUAAUUACUCAAUUAAUCCCUAAAUUAGUUUUCUUGUUUUCCACAAAUUUUUUAAAAAUAAAAAUAUUUUAUUUGAUGUUUAGACCAUAGUUAUUAAAACCGGACAGGCCCGGUGGGUCGACCCGGGACCUGGUCGACCAGGUGGCUAGAUUGGUCCGAGUUUGUCAAAAGACAGGCCUGUGCAACGACCCAGUCAAACCUGGAUGAGACUCGGUUUUUUUUUUCAAAUGUGGGAUUUAAAACCCAUUAGUAUAUAUAUUUUAUGUUUCUAAAAAAAAGUUAUGUUUUUUUAAUGUGGAAUAAAAAACUUUUUGGAUUAAAUACUUUAACUUAAAAAGAUAACAUAAUAUCUUUUCAAUGUGGGAUUUGAAGUUCUUUGAAUAUAUACUUCAUGUUCCCAAGAAAAAAUUUAUGUUUUUUCAAUAUGAAAUUUGAAACCCAUUAAUAUAUAAUAUAUUCUUUGUUUCCAAGAAAAAAAUUAUUUUUUUAAUGUGGAAUAAAAUUUUUUUUUGAUUUAAAUACUUCAGCUUAAAAGCUUAACAUAAUAUUUUUUUUAAUGAGGGAUAAAAAACUUUUUAAAAUAUUCAUUUAAACUUUCAUUAUUUACAAUAUAUAUAGCCUAUAUUUACAUGGAUUUUUUUCUUACUUUUUUUCAUAUGAAAUAUUAAAACUUUAAAUAUAUUUUUUUAAAUUUUCUGGAUUGAUCCGGGUUGACCCAUAAAACCCAGGACAAACUUGUUGCAAUGCUGAAUCAAGUGCGUAUAACAGAAAAUAUUAAGUUAAAUAAUUGGUUGGAAUUGUUUUUUUGAGGAGUCAUCUCAAAAUUGAAAAAUAAAAACAGGAAAUAGAUCUUCAACACAAUCAUGCUUUUUAUUUAUUAUAAAUAUAAAAUAAAGUUAAAGUGAAGUUGGGUCCAAUCUUAAAUGAUCCAAACAUUAUUGUUAGAAUGCGACAGUCCAAUCUUAAAGGUUUUCAACACAAUCAUGCUUUUUUCCUUGUAGCAUGUGCCCUGUCUCAAGCUUCUGUGAUCCAAGAAUCAGGCUAUUGGGGUUUGAUGAAAUUAGCUGUUACUAGAAAUAAAAUAAAAGAAAAUCCUCUGUAAGGUAAUUAAUUACUCAAUUAAUCCCUAAUUAAUUAAAUUAGUUUUCUGAUUGUUCUUCACAAAAUUUCUAAGAAUAAAAAUAUUUUAUUAGAUGUCUUAGCUGAAUUCCAAACCAGCCUAUAAUAAAAUAAACAAAAAUAAUUUUUUUUUUUUUAAAAAGAGGCAAAACAUCUUUUAUACAGUGAUUCUCUCCCAAGUCUCUUAGCUUUUCUUUUAAUGAAAAUUAAUAACCUUAUAAUAUGUUCAUUGUGGAUGCUCUAUCAUUGCUAAAUUAAAGCAUGUUUUUUUUAUCUACAACUAUGUGAAACUUUUUUAAAAUAAAAAUAUUAAAAAAGAUAAUGUUAAAAAAAUUAUUAUUUUGGUUUUUAUAAAUAAAUGAUAUAAAAUAAUUAAUCAGUUAAUCUGUGAGUUGUGAGUCAACCAGUAAACUAAACUUUGAAAUACGUGUCUUAACUAUUCGUAAGCUACCUAUGAUUUGAUGUCAUGAGUAUUUUUCUUGAAGUUAUUCUAUUUUAUGUCAUGAAUGUUCUAUUGAGGAAAAAAAUAAAAAAAAAUCUACUUUUUUUUUCCUCUUCAUAAAACAUGGAUUUAAGGUAGGAAUCAAAAUAUAUUUUUUUAUUUUUAAUAUUAAUAUAUUAAAUUAAUAUUUUUAAAAAAAUAAACAGAUUUUUAAAUACACUCAAACGUAAUUCUAAGUACAAAAACAAAUUAUAUUUUGAUUGCGGGCAUAACAAUCAUGGCAGUAAGUACCAUGAUCCUUUCCAAUUGAGUAAAUUAUAGGACUUUUUUGGCAGCCACGUACAUGCUAUAGGAGUUCUUUUUAUUAAAUCAAUAUCAUAGUAAAACAAUUAAAUCAAUACAGAUAAAUAAAUGAUCUAAAUAUAAUCAAACAAUUAAUCCAUUUAAUAGAAAAAACAUUACUGAAUCCAUAAACUACAUUAAUCCCUUUUCUUUUCUUGUUUUUUCUUCUUCUUAUCUGGUGUAAUUCCCACACGUCUUCUUACUUGUUGAGUAUUUAAACCCCUAUUUUGACUUUGCAGGAUUUGAGGCAUUUGGCCUAGCAGUUUGAUUUUGCAAUCCUCGGACUUGGAGGUUAUCCAUCUGUGACCUAUAUAUAUACGAAUGAAGUGAUCAUAUUAUAAAACCUUUCUAUAAUUGGUAGUCUCUCUUAAGCAGUAAAUGUUAAUGGUAUUAAAACACAACAGCUGGAAGUCAAUCAGUACCUAGGCACGAAAUUCUCUUGUUGCACAUUGUCUAUGUUAGGAAUUACAGCAGCUUGAUCGACUUGCCCUUGAUUAGAAAGAAAUUGAAUCCUGAAUCCAAAAUCAGCAAAUACUAAAUAAGAAAAAUUGGAUAUCGGGGAGCAGGAAAAGAAGGUCCAGAUUGAUUGAAACCACCAUGUUGUGAAGUGGUUGCAUUCGGUGUCAUAUAGCCAGGUCCCGGCUGAGGUUGAUGAAUAAAGGAGUUCUGAUGCCUGAAUAAUAUUCAAAUAGUUAAACAUAGAACUGUUAUUCUCACAAAAAAGAGAGAUAGAGAGCUCAAAAAGACUUGAAAGAUCCUCGACCUCGCCAAUUUUGGUCAAGUUUAUUGUUUUCAUGAUUAAAAAAGUGUAUAUUCGAGGUUAAUACCAUUGAUUCAUUGGAGGUUGAGGUCCAGGUAGCAUCGCAGGUACUUGAUUGCUCAUAAUUGGUAACUGAUAAUUAGUCCAUUGUUGGUCCCUAAAUUAGCAACAUUUGUUAAUAAUAUCUUUAUACAUAUGCAUAAUCGUUAGCUAUUAAUCCACUAAGCAUUUGAUAUCAUUUUAGCUUACCUAUAUUCAAACAUGAUGAAUUUCAAUAUAUUUUUAAAAUAAUGAUGUUAAAUAAUGAACAUUUGAACAAGAAGAAGUUAAAUAAUGAUGAAUAUUAUGUACCUUGAUGGAGUUUGAGGCCAAUUUGGUUCAUUUUGGUUGAUCCAUGAUGAUGAUGUUCCAUGUAAAUCUCCCAUUGUUGUCUGUUUGUUUAACAAUAAACAUUUUGAAGAUGCUCGAGAUAAAUUGAUACACGAAAACAUAUAACUUUUUGAUCCAAUGGGUGAUACAAACACUUGCUAAUUCAGGGGACAUUGCAGCAAAUUGGAGUAGGCAUGAGCACUCACCAUGGUUUGAGGAAAUGAUGGUGGAAACAGAGUUGUUUGUUGAAUACUAUCGUUGAUCACAUUGUUAUCCACCACCAUGUUCUGUCCAUCUUGAUCAUUGCAUAAUAUGGAGCUUUGGUUGCCUGAAAACUCCGGUGGCGACCUGCUUAAUUUGUUAUUAGGAACAUUAUUCUUUUUUGGGAAUAAUAAGAAAAACUGUAGAAUAACUGAAUUGCAAGUAAUCAUCUUCUGACAAAAUAUGCUUAAGAAUGACGCACAAGAGAAGCUCAGAUAUAUUGAAUGAAUCUUCUUGUGAUUGAAAAUCGAACUGAUUCGAUGUCAAGUUGACAUCAUCCUCAUUACAAGACGGUGGGACUCCUUCCAUCUGAGGUUUAAAAAAGAACAGAAAGCACAGAUUAGAUGUGUGUGUGUCUAUAUAUAUAUAUAUAUAUAUAUGACUUAUUUAUUUGUUAAAGAGAUUCAGAUGAAAAAUAGGAAAUAUAAACGUUGCUGUUAAUGAUUUAAUUCUUUGUUUUAAUGCUAAAUUAUUUGUCACUUGUUGUAAACAAGUUUAAUGAAAGGUAAUUAAUUAAUACUGAUCAAGUUAAUUCAUGAAUCAGUAAAAAAACAAUUUCAUUGAAUCAUUAUGUCAGAAAAAUAUUGGAUAAAAAUUAAUGGCAGUCCCACUAAUUGGAAAAGAAAAGGGUGAAACUAAAAUAAAAAGUUUGUCGCACGUGUGCAGCGUUGCGGCAAAAACAUCCACUCUCAAAUCGUUAUUUAAUGUGGCAAAUGUGAGGAGACAAGGAAUUCUUGUUUUUUAUUAGUGAAAAAAUAAAAUGGGAGUCACCACCUAGUAUUUUUGUAAUUAGGAACUCUAACUGGUCUCAGAGAUCAAGUAUGGGGACUGUUUGCGUAAAUGGAAGGUUUUAGCACCCAAAAUACGCCCUACCUAAAGUAAGCUGCAUUGUUUAAUUGUUUGAUAAAAUCUAAGGUCUUGUCGUGUUUUUUAGUUGUUGGUUCGUCUAUAGAUUUUAAAAAAAAAUCAUCUUCAGUAAAGAGAUCCUUAUCUUAUUGGGUAUGACCUAACUGUUUUAACGUCAACAAAAGAAUUUUAAUAUCCGGAAUACAUCUUACAUAUAAGAUCAUAACCCUAGAUAUUAAAGGAAAACAAAAUAAGUUUUUUUGAAAUUUUUGAAAUAUUGGCCUAGUUCUCGUGACUUUAAUAAACUGGUUAUUAAAGCCAAAAUGCAUGUUAAUAUAAAUUUUUGAAUCUUUGUUGUAUGAAAAUAUGAUAUGAUUUUUUUUUUUUUUGAAAGAGUAGACCAUAUGCAUGAAAACAAAAAAUAUAUUUUUUAUGUUUUUAUCAAAAACCGGGUAUUUUAAUAUCAAAUUUAUAUCUUUACAGUAUAAAAAUACAAACCAAUAUUUAUUAAAAUACAAUAGAAAAAUUUGCAAAAAUCACUAAUUUUUGAAAAUAUUUAUUCUAUUUUAUUAUAAUUAUUUUUUUUAAACUGGGCCCAUCUCAGCACAUGUGGCUGGGCUGAACCCAACUGAUUUCUACCCGCAAGCGUGCGUUAACAAUUCACGCACGCCUGCUAUGGUGUAAUUAAUCUUCAAGUGCACAGUGUUUGUGCAUUGUCUGAAAAAUUGGAGAAGCUUACCUGGAAGCAACGAAGGCAACAACAAGCGACCUCUAUCUUCUUCUUUUCGUUUGUAAAUUCUGGUUCAACUGGUUUCCCUGUUUUCCUUUCCUAUUCUUCUUUCUCCUCUCUCGUUCUCCCCACUGUCUCGUUCUUUUUUCUUCUUUUUUUUUGCUGUGUUUCUGCCUUGUUCUUUUUUCUUUCCCUCUCUAUGUCGUCUUUGUCUCCCUCCUUCAACGUUCUCCCCUCUCUGCACUGACUUCGUGGUGGUGCUGCUGCGCUCGUUGGUUCACAGUGGCGGCUUCGCGGUUGCAGAUGAAGAUGACAGUGUGGAAGGGCUGAUCCACCAACACCUCUCCUCUCUCCUUUCUUCCUCUUCUGUCCGUUCUCCCCCCUGUCUUUCCCCUCUCUCGCUGUCUUUUUUUCUCUGUCAUUCUUUGCUGUCUAGUUCCCUCUGUCCCCCCUCUGGUUUUUCUUCUCUCCCUCUCUGGUUCUCUCAAACGUCCCCUGGAGCUGCUGCCUGAAGAUGAAGACGAAGUUGAGGGUGAUCAGUGCUGUGAUCGAGCGACGUUUUUUUCUUUCCUUCUGCUACUGUUUUCAUUCCUGCACUCUUCUUCUUUGUUUCUGAUUUUCUGAAAUGACGAAGACAAUGGAAACGCUGGUUCUGAUCUCAAUGAUUUCCUCUGUUUACAUUAUUUCCUUCUGCUUUUCUGAUCCUCUUUCUUCCCGGCUCCUCCCUCCUUUUCCUUCUCUCGUUCUCCCCUUUUAUAGCCAAAACUGCAUACGUUCAGGACCAUUAUUGCAGUGGUAACGGUAGAUAAAUAAUAGCUGUGAAACGUUACCAUAAUCUGUGGCAUUUGUUGCUGAAAACGGUUCCUGUUUGCUGAAACGGCUGCUUUGAAGAGGGUGAUGAACAGUGUCUAAGGAAACGGCGCCGUUUCACAAUUCAAAUGAAUAUUUUGGAUUCGGUCCCUGGUUGUUUUGACAAUUUUGUAGUCAAGCCCCCCGGAUGAAUUGUAAUUGGAUCCCUUUAUUUUAGCCCCUUUUUCCGGUUUGGUCCUUGGUUUCUGAUUGUUUUAAUUAAAUCCCUAAUUGACCAUCAAACUUCAAUAAUUAUGCAAUUAAACCCCUGAUUUGACCAAAUCAACUCUUUAAAAUUAUAAUUGGACCCUAUAACUUUAAUUACUUUCAAUAAAAAUCUAAAUUGACUUAAAAAAUCAAUUUUCUUGCAAUUAAACCCUUCAUAAAUUCAAUUAAACCUUGAAUAAAAUUUAAUUGAGUACAUAAACAUUUUAUUUUGGACUUUUCUUUUUCAACUUAAAUUUUCUUUGUCAAGAGACUCUUAUCAGUAGAAAAUAUAAAAUAUAACAUCAAAUUUCAAUUCUUAUAUUUCUGAACCUCCUCAACUAAUUUUUAGGUAUUUUGUGAGCGUUCAGCGUCAUUUUCUUACUCUUGUUAUUAUUAUUAUUUUUUAUUUUUUAUGAAUUUUUUUUUUAUUAUUAUUUUUUAUAUGGAACCCAAAAAUGAGGAACAAUAAAGUUAAAAACAACAAAGAAUUUUGAAAAGAUUAAAACAAUGAGUUCAAGGGUUUAGGGUUAUAUAAUUUAGUACGAACACCACAGGGCAUGGAUUUUAAAAUCCGAGAAAAAGAUCGAUUUAUUUAUCAUGGAUUUCUUUAAAGAUUUAGAUAUAGAAAAAUAAAAACACCAACAAGAUGAAGUACAAAUAAUUUACCUGGAUUCAAGAUGUUCUUCAAGUGCUAGCUGGUUUGCUUCAGCAGUGAUCAGCCAAAAGAAAAGGAAGAGAAAUCACAGAUCAGAGAAGAAUAUAUGGCUUAGAAAAAUAAUAAAGUUGCAGUUAACAUAAAUCUAGUUCGUACUGAUCAUGGGAUGUGGAAAGGAAAAAAGGGAACUCUAUUAUGAAAUGAGAUGUGACGUGGAAGAGAAUGUUAGGUCAGCUAAAUAAUAAUUAAUUAACGUAUUGUUUGACAGGAAGGAAAUUGCCAGGAAGCAACCCCCGCCUACCUACCAAACAUUAUAUUAUAAGAUAUAGAGAGUUAACGUGUGGACCCACCCCAAUGUUCAAACUUUAAAUGAGCUGCCAUGAAUAUGUAAACACACGAAUAUGAGAAAGAACAGCAUAUUUCUGCAUGUGUGAAGUUGUUUCUGAUAAUAUGUUUUAUUUAAAAAUAUAUUAAAAUAUUAUUUUAAUUUUUUUUAAUAUCAACAUAUUCAAAUAAUUCAAAAAAAAUAAAAAUUUUAAAAAAAGAUCACUGCGACUGUAAAGACAAACCAGCUGUGACUAUACUAGCAAGUGUUAGAUUGAUAGCAAAGACGAAAGCAUACCAAUGCAACAAUCACAUUCUCAAAUAUUCAGAUUUUAAAAAAGCAUAUCCAAAUAUAGUUUUAAAGUUGUGUCAAAUGCAGAAUGCUUUAAUUAAUACGAGGAAACUCUUGUUUAUAAUAUAGUUUUACACAGGGACCCGUUAUAAAUAAUUUGGUGUUAUAAUAACAAUUAUUUUUUUAAGUAUUUUUUAUUUAAAAAUAUAUUAAAAUAAUAAUUUUUUAUAUUUUAAAAUUUAUUUCUGAUAUUAACAUAUUAAAAUAAUAUAAAAAUAUCUAAACACUAAUUUAAAAAAUAAUAAUUUAUUUGCCUGGUACUGGGCUUCCUCGGGACACAACGCUGCACUUCCUUAAAUGAAAAUAUUAAAGUCGGUGUGUGCAUCAGACCUCAUCCUCAAUUGACUCCGAUUGUUGAAAUAACUUAAUCUUCUAAUAAAGUUUGUUUUUGAAUAUAUAUUCUAUCCUUACUAAAUUAUUAGGAAGUAACAUUAUAACAUUUUUAAGUCUGCUUAAUUUAUUUGGUUUAAGAUACUAUUUUAAUAUAGUAUUAGAUAUUUAAUAACUUACGAGUUAAUUACUUAUUAAGAUAAUUCAAGAUUAAUUAUUUUUAUUAAAAUAAUAUUAUUUCAUUUAUUUCUAUUAACAUUGCUAAAUAUGAAGUAGUUUGGUUUGAUUAGAUGAUUCAAUUACAAAUCCAAUCUAAAUUAAGGUUAAAAUUUUGAGUUUUUUAAAAUAAAUCAUCAAACUAGACAGGUUUAACAACUAAUAUAUAUAUAUAGAUAUAUAUAUAUAUAUAUAUAUAUAUAUUAUUCAACCAAAUAAUUGCUUGUGACAUAUAUGUGGCGAGCUUCCUAGCACUACAAGAUUUCACAGUUUUACCGACGGUCAUAUUCCGUCGGUGUAUGAUUGAGAGUUCGUCUGUAAAUUAUUUAUCGACUCAAUUACCGACGGAAUACGCCCGUCGGAUUACCUUUUGUCGGUGAUUCCACAUUCCAUCGCUAUAUCAGUCGGAAAAAAAAAAUGUACAUGUCGCACGUGUGCGGCGGCGCGGCGAUCGUCCACCCCCAACCCUUCAUGAGGGUGUGGUAUGUUGUCUAUUUGGCAUGGAAAAUAUGGUGAGACAAGGAGUUCUUUGUCUCUAAGCUAAAAAUGGACAGCGAGUCGCCACCUAGUAUUCUGGUUACUAGGAACCUUAACUGGUCUUUAGAGAUCGGGUACGGAGACUGGUUGCGUAAAGGGAAGGUAUUCACCCAACUACGCCCUACCUAAGGUAAGCUGCAUUGUUUUAAUGUCUGAUAAAAUCCAAGGUCGCGUUGUGGUUUUUUAUUGUUCGGAAUACGCAUUACAUGUAAUGUCAUACCCCAGGUUCUAUUGUCCAAAAAAAAAGAGGAAUUAAAUAUCUGGAAUAUGCAUUACAUGUAAAGUCAUACCCCGGGUACUAAGAGACAAACAAAAUAAAAUUUUUGUUGUUUUUGAAAUAUUGGCCAAUAUUCUCUUGACUUUGAUAAACUGGUUAUUAAAGUCAAAAUGCAUGCUAAAAUAUUUUUUUUUGGUGUAUGAAAAAAAUACAAUAUGAAUUUUUAGCUUUGAGACACUUGGCCGUAUGCACAAAAACAUUUUUUUUCUCUUUUUUUAAUUUUUUUGUAUUUUAUGGAAGUUUUUUUUUUUGACGAAAACCGGGUAUUUAAAAAUCAGAUUUUUGUAUUUUUAACAACAUAAAAAAAAAACAACCAAAUAUUAAUCAAAAUGACAUAAAAAUUACGCGGAAAAAUUAUAAAAUGCUGAAACAAAUAUUUUUGAUUUUUUUCUUUGAAAUGGGCCGGAUCAGGCCUAAAUAUAUGGGCUGGGCCGAACAUGGCCCAAAGAAAUGGGUUGGUUACUGUGCACAUAGUAACCGGGUUACUGUGUGUACAGUACAGAGAAUUAAUCUACGGGCAGUAACUCGCUAAUUAAUCUUCAUCUGCUGCACGUAAACGUUCUGCAUGCAGAUGAAGCCGAACCAAAAAAAAACGACGGGAAAGGCUACCUGGAGCGGUGGUGAUGUUGGCAGCAACUGAUGUGGCAGGGGUGGCGGCGGCGGAACUGGCUGUUCACGGUGGCCGGCGGUGCUGUUUUCCUCUCUCUCUCUCCUCUGUUUUACAAUCUUCUCUUCUUCUUCUUCUUCUUCGCUCUCUCUCCCUUCUCUUCUCCUUUCUUUCUCCCCCCUUCUUUUUUCCUUCUGUUCUUCCUCCAUUUAUAGCCUGUGAGCAUGUGUUUUUUUUUUUCAUCGUGGGGUCAUGCGGCGGCUGGUCGGGAGUGGCUGUCCAGGCGGUUCUCCUCAGUUUCGGCGGUGCGGUAGGCGGUCGGCCAAUGUUCUUCGUCGGUGGGCUAGGGACUGGCGGUCGGUGGGCUGGAGGGACCAACGCCAUUAAAUAUACAUCUUUUUCCUUCUUUACUGCUGUAUGUUAGGCGGGGAAGAAAGGGGAACAGUGCCGUUCAAAACGGCACCGUUUAGCCCUUUUCUGUUUUUUUUUUUUUUUUUUUUUUUAUUAUUUUUUUAUGGGGACCCAAAAAUGGGUUACAACAGUACCGACGGUUUUACAGAUGGAAAAUGCGCGCUAAAAAAAAAAUUUCUUCUUGGAAUAUACCGACGGAAAAUACUCUGUCAGUGAAAUUCUAAUUACCGACGAAAAAAAUCCGUCAGUACAUUGGUCGGUGUGUGUUUGAGAUACCGACCUAGGUAUGCAGACCUUGUAGUCAAGCCCACGCCCUUUAGCGUGGUUUUGCUUUUUAAAAUUUUAGACCGAUGCAUCAUUGGUUGUUUGUAGAAUCUAGCGAUGGAGGGUUCCUGGAAAAACAAGACUAUGGUUUUGUUUUUUGCUAAAAAUCUGUUUUUCAACCCAAAACAUCUAGAAAAUAUAAUAAACACCUUGAUGAAUCUAUUUAUGGUCUUAAACAACCUAAAAAAAGCUCAAAAAUCUAAAAUCAACUCAAACCUGAAAAUCUUCUUGUUGAGAGGUCUCCUUCAUCAAGUACGGAAAAAAAUAAGAAAAAAACACCUAGGUAAAACUUCCUUGAUCAAAUGAAAUCCAUUAACACCAAGAUUGACCAUUUUGGUAGUCGAAAUAGAAGUCAAUAAUAACAUUUUCUCUUUACAUCGGAAUCCAGCAAAUCUCUCUCUUCUUUUUAUAAACAAAGGACUAAAAAAAAAGUUUGGUACCUAAAUUGAAUUUCUAACAACUAAAGAGAUAAAUCACCUCUUAAUUAAAACAAUUGGGGACCAAACUAAGCUUUUCAUAUGAAAUUUGAAGUUGCCACCUAUUUUCCCCAUGUUUUUCACUUUGAUCAUCUUUCUUUUAAUUCAACCAUUUCUUCAUAAAAAAGAAGCAACUUGCUAUUAAUUUGGGCUCAAAAGGGUGCAAUAGUGCAUGCUAAAAAAAUUGAGGAUCAAAUUGAGAAUUUUAAAAAAAUUAAUUGUUUUAAUCCAUAAUAAUUUGUGAAAGAAUGCACAGUAAAGAGAAAAAACAUCACACAGCUUUGAAACACUUUAAUGUGUUGACUGAAAUUGACAAGUGAGUUUACUCACAUAUUGUUAUAUUGGUUUUGAGUUCAAAUAGACGUUUAAAAAGGGAGUUUUUCAUGAAUACAACCCUUCAUGUAUUCAAUAUGAAUGAUGGGAGAUUUUAAUGUCUUGUGAAUGCAUUCAUUUAUAUAUGGAUGAUUUUGCUAAUAAUUGAUUGGUAAAAUACUUAAUUUCGUUAUAUAAAAACCAAAGAGAGAAUAAUAAAUAGCUAAGAAUUGAAAUGCAAAAACAUAAUUUGCAUAUAACACUAAGUUCUGCAACCAUUUCUCUACUUUCUAUGCUCUUGGCUUGCUAAAAACUAAAAAAAAGACAUUGCUCUAGUUGCCUGCCUUCACUCUUCAGAUUGCUCAACAAAUCCCUUGAGACCUUCUCCAUAGUUAACACAUCACAUAAUGGCUAUUCUAAAAAAAUUAGCCAUAAGCAUUGAACACCUUGAGCAAUCAACGUGCCUUCCUUCACAAUAUCCAUCACCCAUAAAUCUUUCUUUUGGGAUGUCGUCGGGAGUUUAAUCUUCGAGUGUAACAAUUAUGUAUAAAUUUCCAUUCUUUCCUUCCAUCCAUUACUUGUCCUCUAUGAAGAUUCUAUUUAUGAAGUCUCGGAAUCUUUUCGAGUAUAACUUGGGAUCAACAGCUGAGAUAGACAUGAGAUCCACUUGUAAGGACUUGUAUGCAUGCUCUAGCUGUUUGCUGAUAUCAUAAUCCUGGAGGAUGUCAAUGAUACCAAAGUGAAGAACUACAUUGAAGAUCUCAUUACCAUUAUGUGAAGGUGUUGAAUUAUUACUUCCACCCCCCCAUGCACUUAUCCAUUUUAGUAGUCCUCAUUACACGCUCGGCUCUUGCAGGCACAUUUGCCCCCAGCCAGAUGAGUGGCCCCCUGGAAUAGAUUUCAUAUGAGUACUACAAGCAUGCAACGCCAGAUAAAAUCUUGACAUUGCAUCACACAAUCACCAAAAUUCAAAGUAACAAAACGAAGAACAAAAUUUGAUAACAAUGACAAUGAUCACUCAACCACAACCGAAUCUUAUGCUUUAAAGACACUUUUCAUCAUUAAUUUUCCUUUUCACAUUGAUUUUCAAUGUUCCAGACAGAUAAAAUAGCAUUAAUUUACAACCAUGGUUUUAAGGCAUCAUUAUUGGCAAAAACAUUGUAGGACAGAGCAAACUUAAAGAUCAAUACUUCAGUUGUCAAUCACAUUAAUAAUUUAUAUUUGAUCGUCUGAAAGGGCCUAGAAUAGGACCAGGUAAAAGUUUGUUUCUAUCUAAGAAAGCAAGAAAGUCUCCACAAACUACCCCCAAUUUCGCCACUACAGCUCAAGUAGCUUUGAGUCAUUCCAACAAAUUGGAAUUGAAUUCAAAGGAAUAAAUCAUUAAAUGCAGGGCUCCUACGUGGGAAAGGGAAAAUGAUUCACUAUUAAAAAAAGAAAGCUCAAACACAAAUUAUAGCUUCACUUUUUGUGAAUUAUAUCUCAUAUUUCUUUGACUAUAUGUGGAUGAUUUAUUGAUAUUUUAAGAAAGAAGCAAUCUUCAUUGCUUUUCAAAACCAUACUAUGGGUCCAUAGGCAACUAAAGUUAAACAUGUGGCACAUGUGAUUAGUACUUAAAAGUGCAUAUUUAUCAAGGUUUUGUAUCAUCAUUUUGCACUUAAAGUAUCAAUAACUCCUUAACUAAAGCAUGUUUUAUAAUAAUAAGUCUAAUACUAUAAAAUGCCCUAAUAUAUGGUAAAUGUUUAUCUUAAAUAUAGGCAUAACACAUAAAUUAAAGGAUUGAUUGAUGAAUUCAACUACUGAAAUUUUGAAGAUAAAGAGAAGGUGAAACUUAGAAAAGAGAUGUUGGUGCAGUCCAAACUGGAACACUGUUUGGUGUUUGGGUCAUAUUUCGAGUUCUAGAUGUCCAAAUGACCUCAAAGUUUUACACAAACUUGGUGAGACAUAGGCCUACAACUUUCAUGUGAACAUAAAAAUCCAACAAGGCCAUUUUCAAGUCCAAAUCAUAGCAACAACGGAGAAGUCCGAAUCUGUCCUGCAGCCCGAACACUGUUCAGUGUUUGGCCCAUAUCUGGAGUUCUAGAAGUCCAAAUCACCUCUAUUUUUUUUUCCUGGAAAGCUGAGUCAAUUUCCUACAACUUUCAUGUUUUCCAGAGGACCCAGUUCGGAUGGUAGCAUUUUUGUUUUAUUCAGACAAGAAGAUAAGGAUUUUCACCAAGUCAAAAGUUGGCCACCCACUCAACAAUUAGUCAUCAAAUCAAUAAUUCCGAAUUUUGGCCUAUAAAAGGAGGCAUUUGCCAUGUAUUAUGGGGCUUGGUUGUUCAGAUCAAGCUCAUGCUCUUUAUUUCUCUCUUUAUAUUUUUUGUAAUUUUUAAGUUUUGCUUUCAUUAAUAUCUUGUUUAUGCUUUUCAUUUCCUUUCCUUUACUUAGUUAACUUGUAUUUUCUUUAUGUUCUUGUUUUGUUUAUUUAUGUUUCUCUUCUUCAUUAUGUUUAGCUAAGUUUAUUAUGUUAAUGUGAAAAGGUUACACUAAUGGUGUAAGAAUAAAUAUAGUGUAAACUCAACAUGGAUCUUAAUGUUUAAUAUUAACAUGUCUUAUCUUUUUAUCUUACUAAUUCUUAAUACCUUGCUUGUUAAAUGGUUAAUCUAGAUUUGUGUUGUAUAAUAUUUGGUACAACAAAUGCUUGACACUCUCAUAGCCUAACAAUAUGGUAUUACAUACACCUGGGCUAUGAAAGGAACUUGAUUUGUUGUUAACAUCAAUUAACAUCAUGAAUUCAUGACAAUAUUUAAAAGUUUGGUGUUAUGUAAAUAAGAUAAUUAAUAUGAUCAUGUUAAUAAUUUAUAAUGAGUUAUUAAUGACAAAUCAUCUGAUUGGAACCUCCCUCGUGUGUGGUUUCCAAAUUGAAUAAUAAAAGUUUAUACUAUACUUGUUAAAAUACCAUUGGUGAAUUGGUGAAUCCUCUAACCUUGACAUUUAUUUUAUCAUUGUUUAAUCCUUACAUUAAUCUUUUUAUCUCAAAGUUCUCAUUAAUUUCUUUAUCUUCUUCUUUUAUUAUUAUUAUUAUUAUUAUUUAUAUUCUAUUUAUAUUAUAUAAUAUAUCUCUUUGAUCUUCUCAUAAACUCAGUAUAUAGGCUGGAAACCUGUGACCUGAUCUUUUAGAUCAUUCUCAAGUGUAACAACGCCACAUACUGAGUAUUAUUAUUAUUAUUACUAUUAUUGCUAUUAUUGUUAUUAUUAUUGUUAUUGUUGUUAUUAUUAUUGUUGUUGUUAUCUUGUUAUUUAUAAUUUAUACAAUUAACCUCUCUGUGGUUCGACCCCGGUCUUGCCGGGUUAUUUAUUACUUCGACACUCCUGCACUUGGAAGAAGAUAUCAAUCUUUUGGUCGUGUCAACAUGCCUUGUAGAAAAGAAGAUGCCACACAACUUCAGGGCCCCAACAUUUAGACUUUUGAUGGAACCAAAGCUAAAUUUAAAAACAGGACCAUCUGAGAAGCCGGCAGACAACAACAAGUCAAAGAUCCAAUUUCCAAAAAUAGACUAUGUAUCAUGUAGUUUAACAUCUCUAAGCAUAAUCUUUGCGAUAAUCAUCUAUCCUUGACGAUUCAUAUGUUUCAUCACAGUUCUCUGUCACCACUUCACAUGCACAUAUUCCCAAAAAAGAGAUAGCAUGGAAAAAUGUCUUUGCUUGUCGUAAAAAAUACAAAGGCUAAAACCUAACAUAGGGAAAAUAGAUUUGGAAAAAGGAAAGCAGAAACAAAGCAAGGCACUAACAAUUAGGAGGGGCAAAAACAUGAAUUCAGAAAAGGAAAAUACAUAUUGGCCUUCCAUGACCCAAUCCAUAUUGGGCAGCAAAUGAUAACCCCGCAUCGAUGUUUCCUCGUGUUGUGAAUUUCUUUUUUUAUGAUACAGAAACACAACCAAAUUAGCUCAAGGUCGAUUAUUGUAAAUUUUUAAGGUAGCGGAAUUACAGGAUAAAACAAACUUACCAAAAUGCUUGUCAUUUGGCGACAUCAUCUCCUCACUAGAGUAAUCAUCACGGAUGUGAAGACCAAUUAGAAGACUAUAAUCCAUAAUUCUCUUUGCUUCUAAGAAUUCACAGUCCCUAUAAAUUUGACUGAGAAAGAAAGAACAUAAAACAAACACAUGUUUACCUCUCAAGAUUAGUGCCUUACCAAAGAACAAGAUAAAGGAUGCAAAACUUGGAACAAAAUGAAAAAAAGUGCAAUGAUGUGGAAUCUAUCUAAUGAGUUCAUUAAACCAUGACCAUUCCAGGUCCUUAAGUGUGGUUGUUUCAUGAAUUUCACCCUCAAGCUUGUCAGUUUGGCGUCCAUGAGAAGGACCUUUCAUUAAGCAGACUUAAAGAUUAAUGCUUUAGUUUUCAAUCACAUUAAUAAUGUAUAUUUCAUUGUCUAAAACGGACUGGAAUAGAACAGGAAAAAGUUUGUAUCUGAUGAGAAUUAUAUAAAGUAUAUUUUGAAUUUUAUUUAUAAAUUGAAGUUUUUGAGUGAAAUAAUUUUUUUAUAUAUUAUCAAAGUUUUAUUAAUUAAGUGAUUAUAAAUUUAAAUUUUACAAUUUUUAUACUUAUACUAUGUAAUAAAAAUUAAACAUAAAACAUUAAAGUUACGUGAAAACCAAAAGCGGCAUGGGUUUUGACUAGUUUCUUUCAAGUACCAGGAAUAUUAUUUAUGAGAAAAAACAAAACCUAACGGAUCAUACCAAUAAACAGGCAUUCUAUCAUUGGUGGCGCAACAAAACUGAAAGGAAACCACACACUCAAUUUUAUCGCCUAACAAAUAAAUAAGAUCAACACCACAAUGUUGAUGAUAUAAAGAGACCAUCUGACACAAAAGAAAAAUCCAAAAACUUACAGAGAAUUCAAUCAUGGAUAUAAUAAGCUUGCUCAAAAGUAGUGUUUUUUGACAAAUGAAUCCCCCCUCCCAGGGCCCACCCAUUCCCAACCCACCAAAUGUAAUUGAAAAUUAAAAAAACUUAAUUCAAGGUUGAUUUCCGAGAUAAAAUAUUUAUUUAUUUUCCAUGGAUCCCUCAUUUUGUUUCAGUUUUCAGUUUUCAAUUUGUAUCCGUAUCUAAAACAUUUCUUCCCCAACCAACCACACAGACAUGCACAGAAAGAGGAACCAAAAAAUAUAUUGAAACAAAAUCUACACUCGUUCAACUCUGCCCGGACCCCCUCCCAAACCUGGCAUGCUUGUUAAGGUAAGUAUGACAUCCUAACCACACCCCCUAUGCUCUAAUUCCACAGCAGCAACCUUCUGCCCUUUCAUGCAUAAGUGCAAUCAAAAUAACAUGAAUGUUCGACACUUUGGCAUUUGUAUUCAUGUAAAUGUCUGCAUGAAUACCAUGUGUUCAAACUUCAACACAAAACUUCAUAUAAUAACAUAACUUAAAAACUCUUAGAUGCGAUCUUCGAGAACCCAAACCAAGUUCCUUAUGUUCUUCCUUAUUUAACUACGAGAUCAUCAGUAUGCUGAUGAAUUCAUGACACAACCUUGAGCAUUUGAGAUUCAAACCGAGUUGUAAAUUUGACAAGACAAACACGGACAACACUUUGACUUGCAUGGGUAUUUAAUUGUAUGUCUAGAACUUAGUCAUACAUCUUUCAGCUUCAAAGAAAUUGACCAAAGAGAUAAACUGACAUGCAGCUGUAAAAUGGUGAACUGCCACACAACCUCGCAUGUCCUUUUUUCCACAGCCUCGUACAAUAGAAAGAAUUGCAUUCACAUAGUAUUUAGGCUUUACUUAAUUAGCAAAACAGCAGUACACCUGGUAAGGAUAUGCAGAUAGGGAUUGUUCUGCCAUGGUAGAAAAAAAUGAGCCAAGAUACUUCCAAGAAAUAUACAAGGAAAUGGGCAACAGUGUGCACUCUGCAGAUAGGUAUUUUUCCAAGGAAAUAUAUUAUCCAGCACAUAAAGAUUAUAACUCAUAUCAUGAAAUCCAGAUAUAUGGGAAGAAAGAGCAAAGUAUAUGGUAAAAGAAAAAAACUUUAUAGUUGAGAUAUGACAGGAACAUACCUUCCAGAACUAUGAUAUCUGAGGAUCAGUUUCCUUGUAGCCAUUGUACUCAGUGUGUGCCUUCCAAUCUUCCACACAGAUAGCAUUUUCACUUCCAUAUAGCAUCCAAUCGAGAUCCUCAAGCUCUAAACUCUGGAAGAACAGCUUCUGUAGCCCAGAGUUUAAAAGAAUAUCAGCAAAACCACGUGCAAAUCUAGAUACUGGUUCAGAGAUAGAUGUGACAAAGCGAUGCUGAAUGAGAAGAUCAACAUAUUUCUCCCGAUUCUUGCUAUUUACAACAAUACUCUUCCCACCAGGGCAAAGUUCCACAACUUUCCUGGAUCCUAGUUCCUCAACUUCUCUAACGAAUGUCAGACUCAAAGCAUCUGAAUCAAUGAACUCAGGAUCCAUCUGCAGAAUCUGUUUGCAAUUGCUAUACAAGCAUGGAUCUGCAUCCCGUAUGUCUUCCAAAGUAAUAUGCAUCCCAGCCAAUUGCAAGAAAAAUGCCCGAUCAAAUACAAUGCCGACUUGCACUUUAUACAUCAAAGCUAAAGCCAUCACUCGACCAGAGAAUGUGAAAUACUCAGGGUGCCUGGGAUCCACCUUGGAUGCUGCACAUAAAAUGAAUACAAUGAAGUCCAUAUAUAUACUUUUGUUUGUUAGUGGUUAUCCAUGCCAACAAUUGAAUCCAAGCAAGAUGAUGCAACUUAAUUCAAGUCCAGAAACAGAAGACAAUAACAAACCUCAAUUAUGAUUCUUUGAAGAGGUAUUUCAGAAAUAACCAAUUGCAAUUUUAAUGCAGUGGAAGAAUUAGACAUGUUAAUCCCCAAAGGAACCAAUAACAUAUUAGUGAAACACGGAAUUCAGGUAACAGAGUUGGAGAAACAUGGGAAAUAUUCCUGUAUAAUAACCCUAGGGACUCAGGUACUUCACAAUAAAAUAUUUGUGACACACAAGGUUCAGGAAUUUUCCCUUAACAAACCUUUGCUAGUGAGCCUAUUGUACAGGAUGUAAUGCCCUUAUCCCACAUCCAUCAGGAACUCACAUGGUAAACAACUUUUCUACAUAUAAAUGUUAGAGAAAGAACACUAAGAGAAUGCAGUGAAUGAUCUCUCGUACAGUUAAAAUCCAAGCAAUAUUAGUGAAAUAUCUUUGAUUAAGGUCACUGAGAAGGUUCACCGCGUUAAGCCACCCAGUAUUACAUCAAGUGUAGGAAAACUGUCGAACUUCUAAAAAAUGUUAAUUCAAUCCUGACUAUGCCUAAAAUUGAAUAUUAAAUGUCACAUUCUCCAGAUUUAGGUGUAACACUUCCAGAUGUCCUCCCACUAACAUAUAUCAAAAUAAUGAAGAAUAAUAGUCCAAUGGUUGUAAGUGAUUGAGACAGCAUCGACACAUAUUAAUGUCAACUCAUAUAAACUGUUGGAGCUCUCCACCACCAUUUAGUGAAUGUUUACUUUCCAGUGUAAAUUAAAACAAAUACUCAGCCCACAAUCUGAAACAUUAGACACACGGCAAUGAAAACGUAUUGUUUACAUAGUCAGUAUUACCUGGGAAUAAAAAUUCAGUUGAGAAAAGAGAAAAUCCAACUUACAGAAUAAAACAUUCACGAACCUAAUUGCAACUGUUGUUCAAAAAAAAAAAAAUCCUACUCUCAGAAAAACAUGAACGGUUAAUUACAUGAAGUUUCACCCCAACCAAAAAUCAUUACUUCAAUCCUAAUUUCGACUUCCAAAAUUAAUUUGGGUGAAACAAUUCCAGAUGAGCUCAUCUCACCCACUAGCAACAUAAACUAAAUGACGUACAGGUGCUUCUUGAAUGGUUGUAGGUGAUGGAUACAGCAUCAUUACACAUUAAAUGUAAGUUCCUAUAGAUUACAGGAACUGCACAUUUUGUUCAUCUGAGUAAAUUUUUAUUAUCCAGUGAGAAUAUAAGCAACAAUGUUCCAAACUCUAUGCUAGAGUGACACAUUAGACACAAGGCAAUCCAAUAUAUUGUUUAACCAUUCGUAUCAUCAAAAACUAUAUUCAAUUGAGAAAAGAGAGAACCCUGUAGCAUUGUUCAUGUAAGGCAUUCAUGAUUAGGGUUUUCUCGUUUUGUUACCAGGAUUGGUAACCCUAUAUCCAAUCAAGAAAAGAGAAAACCCAAUAGCAUUCAGGCAGCAGAAACUUACCAGGAUUAGGAUAGAACCUUCUGCGAUCACUUGGGCAUGCCACAAAAAGAGCUUUUUGAGGAUCAAAUAGAGCUUGUGUAACCAAGAAAAACCACUCCCGCAAUACACCAGGACCAGUAGCUUCCUCAUUUUUAAAUUCCAGAAAUAGACCACCAUGCAGUGCAUCUGAGUCGGCAUGCACUAUGUACUCAAAUGACUCUGACAACAAUUGUGACCGAUCAAUGAGCAUCUCGUGAAGCUCCUCGUAAUCUUCUUUCACCUCAGGGAACAUCAUCAUAGCCAAAUGCCUCCUAGACUCAAAAUCAGUCACAUCCUUGUUCCGAAGAAGCCAUUGAUGAUCUUCAGUUCUUUUUGCAUAUCUAACAAUCAGCGCACACAAGGAAGCCUUUCUAAGUCUCAAAACUGUCCAAAACUUUUCCUCAGCACCCUUAUAGAGUUUAGCAAUGUUAUUCAACUCCUUCAAAAUAGCCAAAUAUUGAGACCACCUGUAUGAUUCAACUCACCCUCUCCAUUCAUUUUCAAAUUUGAAGAAUUCUGCAUUUUCCAAGACAUUUCUCCAUAAUAUUCAGCAAAUCCAAAAAUAUCACGUGAAGAUGCUCAAUCUCCUUCGCAUACAAUGGAUAAUUUAAUGCCCUCUUGUUCAACGGCAUCGAAAGCAGACCCCUACAUGCCCCUUGCUCUGAAAUCAUACUACACAACGGUGCCAAAAACGCUGAAAAAUCCUUCACAUCAGCUACUGAUGGCCCCACACUCCCCGCCACAAUCCCCAUGAAAUCUUUAAACAACUUACUCCCCAGCUCACUAACAAACGGAAAAAUCUCCUGCAUAACAACAACUCCCUUCCCCUCCUCCCCUCCUCGAUACCUCCACCCACACGCACCCCAAACAUUCUCCAACAAUGAACCAAGAUUAGUCCUACACACAAUAUACAAUGGAUCAUCACUCCCAACCUUCCUCAACAAAUUACAAAACUCAUCAAUCGGAACACACUGCAAAUGCAAAUUUUUGGCAACGAAAUCCUACAUGAAUUCAAAAAAUGCCUGAUCGCACCCUCCGCGCACUCCUUAUUCCCUUUAACACUCGAAACAUAGAGUGUAACCAACGCAGCUGGCGCACUAUUCGAUAAAAACACAUUCAAAUGUCCUAAAGCAUCCUCAUUAUCAUCCUUCGGUGUCAAGCUAAAGAACUCAUUCAUCAACUUUUUAUAUGCUUUGAAACACAUGGAUGAAAACCACACGGCAGAAUAGACUUACAAAUUCGACAAAUGUAGGAAACCAUAUCAUUGAUCAAUUGACAAGUACGGGGAUGCCUAGUGCUCCGCAUUCGGCCAACUAAAUGAAGAAUCGAAUCCUUCUCGAUAGAGUAAUCGGAGAGUUUGUUUUCGUAUUGCAAUUGCUUACCUUUGUAGAUUAGUCGUUGCUCGAUCACCGGAAUCCCGGUCAUCACGCGAAUCCGUUCAUGGAGUGAUUUGACGGAAUCAGUCAAAUUCGCGGUGAUCACAAUGUGAGUACCGUCGGAGAUCAUUCUGAUGAAGAAUUGGAGCCUCGAUUGAGACCGACGGGGAGGGGAGGGAGUGGAGGGAAAAUCGGUGGUUGAUGAUGAGGCGGAGGCGGAGGCGUCGGAGACACGUGUGGGGAGCUGAUUGGUGGAGGAGAUGGAGGGAGGUUGCUGCAGGUUAUGGCCGGUGGAUGACUCGGUGUCGUCUUCACGCAUCCUGAAGGAGAUUAAGUCAGAGAAAACGGCGUCGUGGUCAUCGACAUCGUCUAGUUUGCGUUUGGAGGAGCCGCGGUGAUCAACGGUGGAGGAGCGCUGUUGAGGGAGGGAAUCAACGGCGGGAGAUUGGGGAAGUGACAUUUGAUGAACGGUGGUGACUGUGUUCUCCCCGACCUGUAAGUUUUUAAGGUAGGGGAGAAGGCAUGAGAUCGUUGUCUUAGAGGAUGAGACGGUGUGGUUUUGAUAUACGGAGAGAGUAAACGGCGAGGGAAGGAUUGAACGGAAAUUGUGUCGUCUCAACUCGGUGGGGCUUUUUCUGUGUUUUUUUUUUAACAGCCGUCAUCAACGAAGAGACUGGUAAUCUUACGCUAGUAUUAUUAUCAUCAUCUAUAUUAUUGUGUGCGACGUUCUUGUGUGGCUAAUUACCACAGUAGCCUCGAGAGCGAUGGCUAGCUGUGGUUUAGCUCAUGGCGUUUCUGUUAGGUUAUAAUAUCAUUACUUGUUAAACCCGAUCUAAUAUAAUCUAAUUAAUAAGCUGAUUUAAAAUUUAACAAGAUAAUUUAUGAACCGGUCGGGUUAAUCUAAAAUUAAAUGAUUCUGGAAAGAUGCACACCUAGCUGCCUGUGUUUGGCAAGAAAAAUCAUCAUGUGCCCCUAGAAAAAAAAAAAAAGUAUAUAUAUAUAUAUAUAAAGAAAGUGAAGCUUUAUUUUUCUUGGAGAAAUAAAGUAAGUGGAACUUUUUGACCUACGUUUAGGUGCCUCGUCUGCUAUAUAAUUUGUGUUUUACACAAAGCGUCCACCUAAGCAAAUAUUGCUUUGCAUGGGAGUAAAGAGCAAUGGCGUCAAUCUCUCUUCCACGACAUAUUUCUCAAGAAUUAUAAAAGAUUAAAUAAAACAAAAUUAUGAUUAAUAAUCCGUGUAUAUAAUUGUUGUCGCACGUGUGCGGCGGCGCGACGAUCGUCCACCCUCAAAGAAAAACACGGAAUAUUUAUUCCUGGCAAAUAGGGAGAGAUAAGGAAUUCUUGUCUCUAUAUGUGAAAAUAUGGACUGGGAGUCGCCACCUAUUAUUCUGGUUACUAAGAACCUUAACUGGUCUUUAGAGAUCGGGUACGGAGACUGGUUGCGUAAAGGAAAGGUAUUAGCACCCCAACUACGCCCUACCUAAGGUAGGUUGCAUUGUUUUAAUGUCUGAUAAAAUCUAAAAUCAUGUUGUGGUUUUUGAAUUGUUGGUUCGUUUAGGGUUUAAGAAAAAUCCUCCUCCGUAAGGAGAUCCUUAUCUUUAUCGGGUAAAAAAACUAACUAUUCAAAGUCAUCAAAAGAAAAUAUCUUUUUAAUAUCAGGAAUACGAUUUACGUAUAAAUUCAUAAUCCUUGAUACUAAAAUCAAACAAAAUAAAAUAUUUUGUUGUUUUUGAGAUUUUGGCCAAUGUUCUCUUGACUUUAAUAAACUGGUUAUUAAAGCCAAAAUGCAUGCUAAAAUAUUGUUUUUUGACAUAUGAAAAAUACGAUAUGAUAUUUUAGAUUUGAGACACUUGGUCGUAUGCACAAAAAUAUUUUUUUAUUUUUUUUCAAUUUUUUUUAUUUUUGGAAGUUUUUGUCGAAAACCGGGUAUUUUAAUACCGGAUUUAUAUUUUUACGAUGUAAAAAUACUGCCCAAUAUUAAUCAAAAUGACAUAAAAACUACACGGAAAAAUUAUAAAAUGUUGAAGCAAAUAUUUUUUAUUUUUUUCUUUUUGAAUGUGUGAACAGUACCGUACGAAAAACCGGGUAUUUUAAUACCGAAUUUAUAUUUUUACGAUGUAAAAUACAGACCGAUAUUAAGCAAAAUUGAUAAUAUAUAUAUAUAUAUAUAUAUAUAUAUAUAUGCUGGGAAGUUGUAAAAAUAAUUCUGACAAAUUUUUUUUUUUUAAAACAUUUGAAAUGGGCCGGACCCGGCCCAUAUCAUUGGGCUGGGCCAAACCGGCCCAUUACCAAAUGGGCUGGUUAAUGUGCCUAAGCACAGUAACCAGCCUCCUUCAGCUGCAGAACGUGAAUUAAUUCACGUUCUGCAUGCAGACGAAAACAGGAGGAUAGCAAGCGGAGAAGGAGAUGGGGCGGUGAGAGAUUACCUGCGGUGGCGUUGCCGGUGGUGCUGCUGGCGGUGGAGGCACGGUGGCCGGCGUUGCUCUGUUUCUCUCUCUCUCUCUCCUCUGUUAUUUUUGCUCUUUUCUGCUUCUUCUUCUUUUUGGUUUUUCUUUCUUUCUUUUCCUUUCCUCUUCUCCUCUUUUCUGCUCUGUCCUCUCUCCUCUUCUCCCUCUCUUUUCUCUCCUUCUGUUCUUGGUUUUUUUCAAUCCCCAUCCCCUGUUUUUAUAGGCAAAAACAGGGGGGGGUGUCGGGUGUCGUGGUGGGGCGGCCACUGUCGGCCGCCCCCUCCACUACCGUUUCAAUGGAUAACAAUGUUAGGCAAUGGUGGGCGUCUUUUUGCGCCAAAAACGGGAAAGAAAGUAGGCGAAAAGGGAGAAGAAAAAUCUUCUUCUUCCCCUGCCUCGCGCGUCCAGGGGAAGAAGAAGAGCUACAGUGUCGUCAAAACGGCACCGUUUUGGGCUUCUGUUUUUUUUUUUUUUUCAACAGUGAAUGAAACGGCGCCGUUUUGGUCAAAACACGUCGUUUCAUUUAAAAGAAAAAGGCGCCAAAACGCGUCAGAUUUCAAAGAAGGCCCUCCAUUUGUGCGCGUUUUACAAUUUCGUCCUUGGUCUCGGAUUGCUUCAAUUUAGUCCCUAAUUGGCCAUUAAACUUCAAUAUUUUAUGCAAUUAAGCCCCUGAUUUGACCAAAUGAACUUCAAAAAUUAUAAUUUGACCCCAGAAAAUUAAUUUCUCUUAAUUAAAGCCCAAAUUAACUCCAAAAUCAAUUUUUUUGCAAUUAAAAUCUUCAUAAAUGCAAUUAAACCUUUAAUAAAAUUUAAUUGAGUCCAUAAACUUCUGAUUUUGCAUUUUUCUUCCUCAAAUUGAAUUUUCUUUAUCAUCGGGGCUCUCAUCAGUCAAUGAUAUACUGUCAAAAAUUAAUUUUUGAUAUUUAAACAUCCUCAAUCAAUUUUUGAACAUUUUUAGGGCGCUUUGGCAUUUUUUCACUGUUUUAUUUUUUGAUAAUAUAUUUUUUUUGAUUUUUUUGAAUUUUAUUAUUUUUAUGUGGGGAACCAGAAAUGGAUUACAACAAUUGUUAUAAGGGACAUGUUCACAAACAAAAAUAUGACUAUGUCAUGGGCUGGCGGGUCGAGUUAAAAAAAAAUUAAGAUGAAAGUUAAUUUAGUUAAAUUUGAGGCACCCAAAUAAAUUUAUAACUUAAAAUCUAGUUUGAUUUUUUUAAAAGUUUAUCUUUUUAAAAUAAUAUUAUCUUAGAUUUUUUUUAAAUUAAAUUAAAACAAUAUCAGAUUAACCCAUAUAUCUUAUAACCAUCAGAAAUAAAACAUGUUUAAUAACUUUAUUUAUAGAAACAGUAAAUCAUUGAAUUAUGAUACACUAACACUUUAAAUCUGUAAAUUUCAUUAUAUAUAGUUGAGAGGUAUAAAAAAAACCCAUUAAAAUUAACAGAAUUGGCUUGUUGCAAACCAUCUCCAAAGUAUAAGAGUUUAUCAUUGCUUUCUUAAAAUAUAAAUAAAUAAAUUAACUUAUGAAUGUGAGUUUAUCAUUGUGGUACUAAAAUUUAUAGUAGUAAUUAAAAGAUAAUAAGAAUAAGUAAAAAAUAUUUGUAUUUUUAGCCCUUAUAUUUCAAACUAAACCGGUAACCAUCCUAUUCUGCAGGCCAAUAAAAUUUUGAACAAAAAAAAAGAACUCGAUAUUGAGACCAUUAACUUAACUAUAUCUAAUAAGUUAGGUUAAUCUAAUAAUCUGAUUUAAAUUGAAGGCAACAAUAAAAAAGAAUGAUUAAAAGAAAAGGCAACCCCUACCAAAAGUCUUUAAAUUAAGUUAAUUUUUCAAACUAGAAUAUGUGAAAUUUCAAACUGAGGUUAAACAAUAAGCUUAAAUCCAAAUCAAUUAAAUGAUGAAGGAUGAAAUUGAAUAUUAAAAAAAAACUAAAAACUUUAGCGAAGCGAAAAACACAAGGACAAAAUCUAACAAGGAAAAAAAAUGAUCAAAAGUGAAAUCAUAAAAAAAGUUAAAAGUUACAUUAUAAAAAUGAUCAUAGAUGACAUAAAUAACAAUUAAGAAAUGAGACUAAAUAAGAUAAAUUUAAAAAAUUAAAUGAUGAUGAAAUUGAAAAAAAAAUACUUUUCAUGUGUUAUUUCAAAUAAAAACAAAUAUCAACCAAAAUAUCAGGAACUAAAUAACAAAUAAACAAAAGUAAAAAAAAUCAAAUGAUGAUAAAAUUGAAACAAAUCUUGAUUUUCAUAAGUUAUUUGAAAUAAAAUAAAUAUUAAUAAAACAAUUAGGGAUAAAAUAAAAAAAUAAAGAGAAGCCAAGAGGCUAAUUUGAAAUUUGCGGGGCAUGAUGCAAUAAUAGAUGAACGGAGAGGGAAAAAAGAAGAAGAAAAAAUAGCCACUGAAGUCAAACCGAAGCUCUAUUUUCUACACGCGUCGUUUCUACAUAAGAAAGACACCAAGACAAAUCUAAUGACGCUUAGAAUGGUAUUUUUGGUUGCUAAAAUCAUCUGCACGCACCAUCCGAAGAUAGUGGAGCGUCUGGCGUUUACCCAUCACACACCAUCUUUUUUAAAAAAAAAAUCCUUUUAAUUUUUCAAAAGACAAAAAUAACCUUCACUUUACCUGAUAACAACAAAAAAGCCAAUAUGAUAAUAACCAAAAUACCCUCAAAUACAAGGUAUGAAAAAUUAAAACCCAAGGGUAAGGAGGUAUUCUACAAAAACAAAUUUUCUAGUCGGCCAAAAUAUUUUUAUAUAUAAAGUUAAAUUGAUUAUUUUAUUAUACACUUUAAAAAUAAGAAUACAAAUUUACCUCUCAAUGACACAAAACAAGGAAUUAAUUUUAAGGAUAUUUAUAAUAAUUUAUUGUGUAAUUUUAAAAUAAAUACCUUUUUUACCCUAAUCAAUUUACAAAUAUCAAAAUGAUCUAUUAAAAAGACAACCAUUCUCUAGCUAAAAAGAUUUUUAUAAAGAUAAAAUAGUAAAUUUAAUUUUCCUAUCCACAAUAAAAAAAAAAUGAAUAGGAAACAAUGAAUCCACAGUAUUUUUAUUUUUUUUUGUUUUAUAAUGUGCGAAAGGAAAUGGUUCUUCAUGGAAUUUGCUAAGCUACUUCCAAGUUGCUUCCUCUUUCCAUUAAAAUCCAUGAUAUAAUAUAAAAGAUUCUCUUGUCAUUCUUUGCUUCCUAACUUUUCCCCCACCAGUAAUCACACAAGUCAUAAAAAGCUUGAAAAGUACAGGCUAGGGCUACUAAUCUAUGCAGUUAUCUCAACAUUUUCCCUCCCUAUAUUUGAUAUUCUCAAAUCCAUGAUAGAACAUAAAAGAUUAUGCCAAUGCAUGCACAUGCUAAUUACUUAGCUUAAUUAUGCAAAAUGCUCAUUAAUGUACUUUUUGUCGUAAACAUCAAAAUAGUAUUAUAGUCUUCAAACACUAAUCUUAACCUCAAUCCUCCUGUAAAUGCCAAUCUUAGACACCAUUUGAUUCUGCGUUUGGUUAAAUUUUUUAAAAAAAAAAAUUUAAAAUUGAGUACGGUUUGUAUUUUUUGGAUCGUUUUGAUGUGCUGAUGUCAAAAAUAAUUUUUAAAAAAUAAAAAAACAUCAUUGACAGGUAUUUUGACAUGAAAAACUAUUUGAAAAGCAACCAAUAUCACACUGAUAAACACGCUUUUAGUCAAAGUGAACUUUAAGUGUUUUGCUGUAAUCGAGGAAGUUUUCGUGAAUUGGUCCCUACAUCUAUCCGUAUACACACUUAGCCCUAGCCCAUAAAAUAGAGAUAUACACUGGCCCAUGAAAUAACAUAACAUGCUUGCGUCCAAACAGUCAAACUCCCUUUUCCUUUCUUCUUUCCUUGUCACACAAGGAUUGGGUAUAUAUUGUUACCACGAGGUUCUUUAAUCAAUCCAAGAAGUAGCCGGCUGGGGGAUUUUUAGUCCUUCACGAGUUGCUUUAGGGUUUCUUGAUUGUUGAAGCGUUUUGUGGUCAGUGUUGUUGCAUUUAGUUAGAGAUUUACACAGAAAUAGAUGGUUGGCUUUGUUUUCAGGGUUUUGUCCAAAUGGGGUCUAAACUACCACCACUAAGUUUUUUAAUCAAUCCAAGAAGUCGCCAUUCGAGGAAUCUUUAGUUCUUCAAGAGUUCCUUCAGGAUUUUUAUUAUUUUUUAAGCACUUAGUGGUAAGUCUUACAGCAUUUUUCUUGUAGUAACAGUUUGGUUCUUAUAGUGGGCCAUGGAAAGGUACAGGUUAAUUAAAGAAUUUGGGGGAGGGAACCUAGUGUCCUGAAGGCGAUUAAUAAGAAGUUGUUGCCAUUAAGCAGAUAUGGCGCCGUUUGGUAACUUAGGUUCACCCGCAGCCACACAUAAUUCUGUUUGGUAAGUAAAAUAUUCUGCUUUUUAUUGGUAGGGCCCACGAAAAGUUGAAUUAAAACCGGAGAAGCAACAUUAUGCUGCUUCUCCUGAUUUUAGAAAGCUGGAACAGUGGAGCCAUGCUCCUCUGUACAGUGCGAGUGCAUCAGUUUAGGUUUUUUUUUUUUUUUUUUUUUUCCUGAAAAACCAGAUAAAAUUACAUGAUUUCACUCGUAUUAUUCAUGUGAACGUGAACAAUAUUUUUUUUCAUUUUUUUUUAAAUCAUGAAAACUGUAGUUUUUGUCGAAUGAAUUUUGUACGUAAUGAAAUUGUAAAUUUUUUUUUUAAAAAAUGAGUUUUAGUUGAAAAAAUAGUAUUUAAUAUUAUUUAAUAACACUACAUAAAUUAGAAGGAUAUAGCAUGAUGACGUAGCAUUUGUGAAAUUUGAUCACAAUUCCAAUUAUGUUCUUGCCGUGUCCGACCCAAUUAAAAAAAAUUAAUUUUUAUUUGUAUUUUAAUUGUGUUUUAUUCAAAAAAUUAGAAGGAUAUCACUUGAUGACGUAACAAAAAAUUUAGUUUUUGUUGUUGCGUGUUUAAGAAACCAUGAAAAAUAUAGUUAUUGUUGGAUAGAUUUCGUAUUCAAUGACAUUGCAUAUAGUUUAAUAGAAUAAUAAAAAAUAUUUAAUAUCAAUAUUAUUUAUUUCAUGAUGUAAUAAUAGUAGUUAAAUCUACAAUAUUUAAAUUAAAAGUAUUUUUUAAUUAUUUUAUAACCUCAAUUUGAAAAGCAUUUUUUUAACCAAACACAUUAAACUACUUUUUGUUCAACCUCAAUUUCAACCACAGUUUUAACCAAACAUAUAUUUUUUCAAAUUAACCUCAACUAAAAGUACUUUUUAUAAAAUAACUUUUUUAAAACCACAACCACAACAGCAACCGCAAUACCAAACACACCCGAAGAAACGAUAUGAUUCGUGGGAAGAAUGUUUGAGUUUGAGAGAAUUGAAGUCCUUGCAGAAUUUGCAUCAUCCAAACAUUGUGAUGCUUAAGGAGCUUGUCGCCAAAACAGCACUACAAGAUUUCACAGUUUUACCGACGGCCAUAUUCCAUUGGUGUUUGAUUGAGAGUUCGUCGGUAAAUUAUUUAUCGACUAAAUUCCCGACGGAAUACGCCCGUCGGAUUACCUUUUGUUGGUGAUUCCACAUUCCAUCACUAUAUCGGUCGGAAAAAAAACAAAAACACGUACCGACGGUUUUACAAACGGAAAGUGCGCGCCAAAAAAAAAUUUCCCGUUUGAAACAUACAGACGGAAAAUACUCCGUCGGUGAUAUUGUUAUUACCGACGGAAAAAAUCCAUCGGUACAUUGGUCGGUGUGUGUUUGAGAUACCGACUGAAUAUAUCCGUCUGUAAAUUCGUCGGUGCGUUUCAAAUUCCGACGGAUUAAAUCCGUCGGUAACUCUGUCGGUGAGUGUAUGGAAUACCAACCGAAUUUAUCCGUCUGAAUAUUCGUCGGUGAUGUCCAAUGCCGACGGAGUUAUUCCGUCAGUAAAUCCCUAUGUAAUUGUUUUUUUUUAAAUUAUUUAAAAUACAUAAUAUAAAAUGAUAUAAAUUAAUGGUAAUACAAACCAAUUAUGCAAAUAAAAUUCAUAUUAAGCAUCAAAAAUAAAAAAUCAAAGUUAAAUAAUAUUCAUUACAAAAUGAAUGUGUUUCAAAAACACAUUAAACGAAAUUUUAAAUGUAAAUAAUGUUUAUUAAAAAUUAAUAUAAAGGUGGUGGAGGAGGAGGAGGAGGCUGGGGGUUAGACGGCCAAAAAGGAUUAGGUGCACAUGUUCCACCUUGUGCCAUGUUCAUGACCAUUUGACGAAGCUCUUCAUAGGCCGCUCUUUGUUGUUCAGACUCUGCUAUGUGUUGUUCUUUGAGUUGUUCGUACGCCACUCUUUGCUGUUCUUUGAGUUGUGUGUACGCCUCUGAUAGGUGGUCGCACUUUUGCUGCAAGGCCACGAACUCCUUAGAUUGGGAGCUCGAUACUGAUUGGGAGCUCCCGACGGUUGAAGCAGUAUCGGCCAACCGCAAGUUGGCGGCCGUAGUGUUGGAGAGCCCGUAAACCCGAUUUUUAUCGGGUCCACCUGACGAUCCAGCCUCCAUCCACAAAUCCGGAUCGAAUUCCGGAUGGGUCGAAGGAUCGUCCCCGUAUCUCUCCCUCAACCGAUUAUUAUAGGUCUCCUGAAAAAAAAAAAGUAAUCAUCAUAUUCAAUUCAAUAAACAUAAUAAUAACUUACAAAAUAAAAUGGUUGAACAAACAUACCACAAACUGUUGAGCACGGUUGUCAACGAACUGUUGCGUCCCCUUUUGGCGGUCUUGACUCCGCACGUGCGUCUCCACAAACAGCUCCAUAGGGCUCAGCUCACGUCCAAGAGACGUAGCCUAUAAUGAAAAAAAAUUUAUUAACAACAAAUUAAUUGAACGAUAUAUUUCAUUUAAAUUAAUCUUACCAUCUGUUUCGCAUGUGCAGCAAACGGAACGGAGCCGCCGGUGUGCGUUGUGACCGAGCCAUGAAUUGGCCGAUUCCGGUUGCCAGCACCGGACUGUGAGCAUCGUGUGAACCGCUCAGACGUCAUGCUGAAGAUAGUGCGGCCAUAUAUCUUCCGGGAUGUAUAUCGGUUUGAAAUCCCUCCAAACCGCAACAUCGUUCCAGCCUUGGAACCCCUUAUCCCUCGCUUUUUUUUUGCCUUUUUUUGGGUUUCGUACCAAAAAUCACGCAACCUAAUUCACACAAGCAAAAAUUACAUUUCGAAACAUAAAUUUUUAUGUAAAAAAAAAGUUGUAUUGUUUUCGAUGUUACCUAAUUGCCGCGUGAUUUUCCCACACCCUCCUCACAACAGUGUUAUGUUCAUCGUCCCAGCAGAAUCGAUGCUGUGUAUAAAAAAUUAUUUUUUAAAAUGUUAAUAAUUUAUUUACAAUUAUAUGUAGAAUUUAUUAGAAAUAAGCUGAAAAUUAUAUAUUAACACGAACCUCAAAUCUGCGAAACCAUGCAUUGAUUUGAGGCAUCCAUUCAGGAUGCCUGGAUAUCUGACUCCAUUGAAACAAUGGAAUCUCCUCGACGCUUUAAACGCCGAUGAUAUUACUCGGGCGGCCUCAAUGUUUGUGAACCUGAAAAGAAAUGAAAUUAAUGAAAUAGUGAUUACUUCAUAAAUUAUGUUUUAAAUUUAUUUUUUUAAAAAAAAAAAAAAAACUAAAACCUUAACAAACUUACAUUGAAAGAUCUUCCUUCCACUGUGCCUCGUACUUGCGGGUAAAUUGAUUCCGCUGCGAAGGCACGCAGCUUCUGCGAUGUGAAACAUCACUGGAAGAGGCAACAUCGGUUGACGACCCAAGUGGUGUAGGUGCCUCUUCUUGAGAGGCACCUAAGGAAAUAUCAGCAUCGCUGCUAGACGAACUUGAUUCGACUGGACGUGUAGCUUUGGUUUUCAUUAUGCGCAUCUAAACAAUUUUAUAUAAAUAAUUAUAUAAUAAAUUCAAAAGUUAAAAAAAAUCGGCAGCACCUCCCCUAUACUGGAUACUACCCAAAUCCACAAACCUGCAAAUAUUAACAAUAGCCACAACCAAUUGACCCAAUCUAUACUAAUUAUUCCAACAUAUUCAAUUACUAAUCCUAAGAUAAAUUCAACAUUAACAAUUACAAUUCAACAAAUUAUUCAAUAAUUAUGUCAAUACAACAAAACUAUAAAUUCAAAAUAAAUAGAAACAAUUAAACACAAAUCAUCAAGUUAGAGUAAAAUUAAUAAUUCUUCCAACAUAUUCAAUUACUAAAUCUAAGAUAAAUUCAACAUUAACAAUAUUAAUUCAACAAAUUAUUAAAUAAUUAUGGCAAUACAACAAUAAAAUAUAUUCAAUAAAUUAAAUAUAAACUAACAAUUAAACAUAUGCAAUUACUAAUCAACAAAUGCAAUUACUAAUUUAAGGUAAAUUCAACAUUAACAAUAUUAAUUCAACAAAUUAAUCAAUAAUUAUAUUGGCAAUACAACAAAUUAAAAAAAUAUAUAGACUAACAAUUAAAAUCAAUGGAAAUAAUUAAACACAAAUCAUGAAAUAAUAGAGUAAAAUUACUAAUUAUUCUAACAUAGUCAAUUACUAAUUCUAAGUUAAAUUCAACUUUAACAAAAAAUAUUCAACAAAUUAACUAUUAACAAUUAUGACAACACAUCAAUGAAAAAAAUUCAAAAAAUUCAAAAAAAAAAACCUACAUCAAGAAAAGGAACGAAAUAUACGUACCUUAAUAAUGUGUCAAUUCAAAACUUUAUCUACAUUAUAAAAAAAUACACCAAAACAACAAAAUAACAAAAAUAAAAACAACUAAAAAUAAAAUAAAAUAAAAUAGAAAAAACCACAUACCUUUAUUCAAAUCUUGCAAGAGAUUCAAGGUGAAAGCCUUGAAGGAUUGAGAGCAAAAAACUGAAAAUUAUAGGGCAACGAAGGAGAAGAAAAACAGAGGAGAAAAAAAAAUGAGGCGAAGCGGCGGGCGCUGAAAGUUAUAGGUUAUAUGGCAGAUUUACCGACGGAUUUACCAACGGAUAUUAAAAAAAUAUUAUUAAUUUUUUAAAUCCGUCGGAAACAGGUCAAAAGUCUGUCAGUGAUUCCGUCGGUAAUAUGACACGGUCAGCGGUGCAUUCAAUUCACACACUUUGGAAAUCGCACGGGCCGUCGGUAUUUCUAUCGGUAAUAUUUGAGACCGACAAAUUACCGACGGACGUAUUCUGUCGGUAUUGGCGUCGAAAACUCUGUCGGUGUGUCCGUCAGUGAUUGUGGUAUUUUGUUGUAAUUAUUUUCGAACUCUCUGUGAGAUACCGACGGAUGGAGGUCCAUCAGUGUUGCUGUCGGUGAUUGUGGUAUUUUGUUGUAAUUAUUUUCGAACUCUCUCUGUGAGAUACCGACGGAUGGAGGUCCGUCGGUGUUGCUGUUGGUGAUUGUGGCAUUUUGUUGUAAUUAUUUUCGAACUCUCUGUGAGAUGCCGACUUAAUAUAAUCUGUCGGUGUAAGUGUCGGUGAAUCCGUCAGUGAUGGCGUCGGUGAUUGUGGCAUUUCGCAUAAUUAAUUUUGAACUCUCUAUGAGAUGCCGACGGAUGUUUAUCCGUCGGUAUGGACAUCGGUAAGUUUGCAUUUUGCAGGAAAGGUUGUAUUUGUAUUGCCUAUUUACUUUCCUGCAAAAACUUAACUGAUAAACUGUCCAUCGCAUAAAACAAUAACAACAUUGCUUAAACAACAAAUAUUUUGUUUUACAAAAUACAUCAUCCAUCAUCUAAAUUACAUGAGAAAAAUGGUUUUACAUAGGGCUUCAUUUUGAUAGUUAGUCGGAAUUUUCUUCUUCUUCCUCAUCAAUUGAAUUGUCAUCAUCUUCAUCGCAAUCUUCAAUAUGGAUAUCAUCUUCUUCAUCGACAUUUGCUUGUUCGCUAGAGCUCAGAACAACAUUCAACUCCUCUCCGUCAUUAUCAACAAGACUAUCAUUGAGAACUCAAAAAUUUGAAUUUUCUUCCAAUUCAAUCGAAUGAGCAACUCGAUAUGGUUCAACCAACUCACGAACUUGAAAGACUUCAUCUCGCACACUUGUGUCUUCGUUCUCAUCCUGAACAACCUCGACACGACCCCGUGGUUUCGUUUUUAAAACGGACAACCAAUCAACUCUUGACGAUCCUUUCUAAAUGAAGGGGUGUAUGUGUAAUAAACUUGUUGACAUUGCUUUGCGAAAACAAAGACAUCAUUUAUGUUGCGGAGUCUAGCUUUUGAGUUGAUUUUGACCAGACCAUGGUGCGGAUCAACUCUGAUUCCUCUAUCCGUUGUGUCAUACCAAUAGCAUUUGAAUAAAAACACUUUAUUCUGCUCGCUAUGAUAUUGCAGUUCGACGACCUCUUCUAAUCUACCAUAGUAGUCAACUUCUAACUGGCUACUUGUGGAUCCCUUAACACAAACACCGCAGUUGUAUGUCUUUCUUCCUUGCCCGUAUUCUUCAGUAUGGAAAACAUAUCCAUUGACAAAAUACCCGUUGUAGCACUUAACUUUUCUUUCAGGGCCGAGGCUUAGUGAAGACAAUGACUUGGGCGCACUCCUUCCCAUUUGAUAAACCUUGUAAAUAUAUGUAAUUAAAUGUACAAUAAACACGGUAAAUGAACGAGAAUCUCGUAAUGACAUGCAUACGCAUACGUUAGAAUGAGUUUGUGAUAGUGCUUACAUGUGUUCUGAACCAUGUGGCAAAUUGUUCAUCUUGUAAUUGAAAGAUCUGGGAUUCGGUCAGCUGCGAGUUAUUGGAGAGCAAAUAUUGUCGAUGUUGCCUGCAAGUGAUAAUGAGUGUAUGAUAUUACAAUAUAUAAUUAACAGUAUAUUACUGACAAAGUUUAAUUAGUAUUACACAUAUAUAGACUUACUGAAUAAAUGGUCUCAGCUCAUCACAGUUAAAUAGAACAUAGUUGUGUGCUUGUUUGAAUUCUAUUUCCGACAAAUAUCUUCCUCUUACGGCAUUUUUAGGUGUGGGUCGUCCAGUAUUGGAGAAUAUUGACAAGUUCCCACUGGAAGGCACUUCACCGCCAUCGUCAUGCCGUGGAACGCGAUUGAUUCUUGUUCUCAGAUGAGGUUCGAAAUAGUACGAGAUAAAUGUUGAUAUCUCUUCAACAAUAUAGGCCUCAGAUAUCGAAGCCUCAACAUGCGCCUUGUUCUUAACCUUUUUUUUUAGAUUAAACAAGUACCUGCAUUGAAGUACAAUUCAAGUAUUUUCAAUUAAGAAAAACAUAGAAAAUACUUUAAGAUAUGAAUUCCAUUGCAACUGUAAUAUCUCACCGUUCGAAUGGGUACAUCCAUCUAUACUGGACCGGUCCUCCAGCUUUUGCCUCGAACGGUAGAUGUAUAGGGAGAUGCUCCAUUGAGUCAAAAAAUGAAGGAGGGAAUAUCAUCUCAAGUUUGCAUAGUGUCUCGAUGAUAUUCGUUUGAAGCAUCUCAAUGUGCUCAACAUUCACUUGCUGGAGCAUAUAUCUCUGAAGAAAUGACUGAUCUCCGUUAGUGCAUCCCAUAUUCCCUUUGGCAACAAAUCACGAAAAGCUAAUGGGAUGAGUGUUUGCAUAAACACGUGGCAGUCAUGACUCUUCAUUCCAUACAAUCUGCAGUCCUCUAUGUUAACAAGCCUUGAUAUGUUCGAUGCAUGUCCAUCCGGGAAACGCAGACUCUUAAGCCAUUUGUAGACUAGCAGUUGUGCGUUUUUCUCUAACACGAAGCUUGCCCUUGGUUUUGCAACCCGUGACUCUCAUAAACCAACUCCAUAUUUUUACGGUUACAGUAUAAAGCUAUAUCCAAUCUAGCCUUCAUGUUGUCCUUUGUCUUCCCCUUCACAUCCAUGACGGUGUUGAAAAUAUUCUCAAACACGUUCUUUUCGAUGUGCAUGACGUCAAGGUUAUGGCGGAGAAGAUUAGUCUUCCAAUACGGAAGCUCCCAAAAGAUACUUCGCUUUACCCAAUUAUGGGUCAAACCAAAACCAGGAAACUUUUGCUUACCUGAUUGAAGGCCAAACACAAUGUCACCGUACUCUGAUACAACAUGAUGCAAUUCUUCACUAGAAAGACGCGGGGAUGCAACAUCUUUUUCAACUCUACAAAGAAAUCUUUUAUGUUCUUUCUGAACCUGUGAUUAAGUGGCAAGAAGCGACGGUGACAGUCAAAAAAAGAAGUUUUACCUUCGUUUGCUAGCGUGAAUGCCUUGUUGUUUUCCAUGCAGUAUGGACAUGCGAGUUUCUCAUGCGUGCUCCAACCAGAAAGCAUUCCAUAAGCUGGAAAAUCACUGAUAGUCCACAUCAAAGCCGCCCUCAUAAGGAAAUUUUGUUUCCUCGAUAUAUCAUAAGUCAGAGAUCCGGAGGACCACAACUGCGCCAGCUCAUCUAUCAACGGUCGAAGACAAACAUCUAUAUUCCGCCCCGGGCUGCUUGGACCGGGUAUGAUAGUAGAUAGAAACAUGAACUCCGGCCUCAUACACAUUCCCGGUGGCAAGUUAUAAACUGUGAGAAUGACCGGCCAACAAGAAUAGGGAGCAGCAAAUGACCCAAAUGGGUUGAACCCGUCUGUACACAACCCAAGUCGAACAUUCCUUGAUUCAGCAGAAAAGUCAGGAUGAACACUGUUAAAGCGUUUCCACGCUUCGCCGUCAGAAGGAUGCACCAUCACACCAUCAACGCAUCGUGUGUUUGGUGCCAUGUCAUGUGCUCAGCAGUCCUUGGUGACAUAAAUAACCUCUGCAGUCUAGGUGUGAUCGGGAAAUAUCUAAGUUUUUUAUAUGCCACUAGAGUCUUCCCCUGCCAGUUCUGGGUUUGUAACGGGAAUGCCCGCAUGUCAUGCACUCGGUCAUCUCAGCAUUUUCAAGGUAGUAUAACAUAGAAGUUAGGGCACAUGUCAAUUUUCUGGUAUCCUAAACCGAGGGGUUUCAUCAUGGACUUCGCAGCAUAGAAGUUCUCUUUGAGCCUGUUCCCUUCAGGUAAAAUGCUUCUUGCCCAAUCAAUAAUUUUGUCAUACCCGGCCUCACUCAACCCGUGAUCUGACUUGAUGGUGAACACCUGUGCCACCGAUAAUUUACUGUGGUUUGUGCAGCCAUCCCAUAAUGGUUCGUCAGAAUCUUUCAACAAAUCAAAAAACCUAGCUGCAUUUGCAUUAGGUUCUUCUUCUAUGAUUGGACAUUGAUUGACAUUACCUUGAUUCAUUCUCAUUGCAACCAUAACCAUGUUUCUGUAAGGAUUAGUGUUGUCAUUUACCGCUUCAUGCACGUUGCUAGCACUAGAAGUUGACCCAACCACCGUUUCUCCCAUUCUCCUAUUACUAACAAAUACCUCUCCAUGUGCAUACCAACACUCGUAAUCCUCCACAAACCCUUUGUGUAGAAGAUGCAUCAUUACAACAUCUGGAUGCAGAUACUUUUUAUUUUGACAAUUCUUGCAUGGACACCUAAUACCGCCUCCAGUAAAAUUUCUAGGAAUAGAUGUUGAGAAAUUAAUAAAACCCUGAACCCCGUUACAAUAAUCCAUCCUCCGCAAUCCUUGGGGUGAAUCUAGAUACAUCCAUGAACGAUCAUCCAUGACUUCUAUCGAACCUCUAUAAAAUUAUGAUGACAUCAUGUAUAUAUUAAUUAACUAAGUUAGGUAAAUAAACUUGUAACAACUUCUCAUAAAUAUUAAUAUUCAUUAUCAUUUAUCAACGUUCAUACAAAAUAAUAUAUAUAUAUAUAUAUAAAUUAACAGAAAUUACCACUCUGCAAUACCAUAUAUAAAACUUUAAAAGGACCCAUUAAGCAAGCUAUUAAUUAUUUCAAAACAUAAUAUAUAAUUCGGUAAUUCCACAAAGUUUUAACAAUUUACAAACAAAUACAAUCUUACAAAAUCUAAAACAAACCACAACAGGUAUAAAAUUAUACAUUCAUAUACUAGCUACAAGUUUGUUUGAGAAAUAACAAUAAAACAUGUACAUCUACUAAUAAAAAUACAUAUACUAAAAAAACAAUAAAAUUGACAUUUAAAUGUUAAAAUUUUAAAAAGAUAGAAUUACUUACAAAAAUUGAUAAAAUCCGUCGGUAAAUUAGAACACGGAUGCUGUGACCACAAAACUUCAAGAAAUACAACUUGUUGUGCUGAGAUGAGGAAGAUUUUUGUUUAGGGGCGAGGAAGGGGCUGGUUAUUUACAGAUGGGGAGACUUAGGAUUAGGAAUAAGAAGGAGAAAUGAGGGAGGAGAGUGUCGGUAGAGUGACCAUAUAUUCACUUUUACCGAUGGAAUCAUCGAUGGCAUAACAUCGUCGGUGACUCCGUCGGUAAUUCUAACGGUAAAUAGGCACGUCACCGUACGAACCUGCUUUUCAAAUCCCUCGGUGAUUCCGUCGGUAUUUUUUACGGUGCACCAGUCACGUCACCCGUACAGAUCUGGCAUUUCAAAUCCGUCGGUGAUUCCAUCGGUAUUGUUGACGGUGAAUCGGUCCGAUCACACGUACGGGUCCCCAGUUUUGAAUCCGUCGGUGAUUCUGUCGGAAAAAUCAUCCGCGCCAGCUACCCGCCCUUUUUUCAUUAAUUCUGAACUUUCCGUCCGUCGGUGAUUUCGACCGCAAAAUAUCGACAGAAAUAUUCCAUCGGUGAUUCCAUUGGUAUUUAGCGAAUUUCUAGUAAUGUAGUAUUAAAAAUUUAAGAUUAUCAAAUAAUUAAACUUUUUAUCCAAACCAAUAAAUUUUAUGUGUCUAUUUUAAAAUUUGGUUUUAAAAAGAAAAUCGAAAUGACAUAACAAACAAUACCUAUAAAUCUUUUAUAUUACAGAUUAACAUAACCAGUGCACCCAUUUAUCAUUCUUAAGGUCAAUAUUUAGAAAUAAAUAAAUAAAAGUUACGUAACAAUAUUUAAUUUAAGUAACCUCAAAGACUACUAAUUUAGCUUUUGAUAUUAAAAGGGCGUAUGUCUUUACUCUCUGUCUAAUUGAUGAGGCAAAUAUCAGGUCUUCUAUCACCGCUACUCCCUGCUAACUCUUUGCCUCAUAUCUUAAGUUAUAUCUAUCAAGUUUGCUUAACUUAAGAUGGAAUAUUUAUGACUUUAUAUGUAUUAAAUCCAUAUAAUUGUUUUGACCUAUCAUGAUAAACAUGACGUCAUCAUAUUAUAAAACCAAAAUUCAAUGGUGUAUCUAAUUAUCAAAAAGGUAUAAAUAUUGCUAGGAAGUUAAACGUGUGGACCACCCCAAUUAUGAAGCUUGGAAGAAGAUGCCUAGAAAAUGUAAACACGUGAAUAUUGGAAACAAUUACAUCCUUUCCUUUUUAAUUUUUUUUUAAUUUUUUUAAAUUUUUUUAAUAAAAAAAUAAUAAUAAAUAUGUGAUUAAUUAAGAGCAGGUGAUUGCUUUUGUUUUUAGUUGUUUUUUCAAAAAAGAUAAAUAGAUUUUUUUAAUGUUUUUUUUAAUUUUAAUGUAUUAGUAUUAAAAAUAAAAUAAAUAAAUAAAUCAUGUAGUCUAUUUCUAAAUCAAUAUGAUUUUGAAGGUAAAGAAAAAAAAUCAAUUAAAAAAAAAAACAUAUUCGAUCAGUGGGUAAACCUGUCAAACCUGUGAAUCAAGUAACUUGAGCUAACACAUCAAACUCAUAAACAAGGUUAUGGAUUCCAAUAGGAUUAUAUUUUUUUUUUAAAAAAUUUAUUAUUUAACAAUAUGAUAAUAAAAAUAGAUAAUUAUAAAAUUAAACACCAGCCCAAUAAUAAUAUAUAUAUUUUUAGACCGCGAUAACAUCAUACAAAGAAAAAUAAAACCAAUUAUGAAACUAAAUUCUAAACCAACCCAAAUAUGAAAUAGAAAAAAUUUUAAAAAAUUGAUAACCAAAAAAAGGAAAGGAAAAGAAAAAAAAAGAGAAGAAAAAGCAAAACACUAUAAAUUAUUACUGUAAUCUAUAAUAAAAUGGGUGUGGGUGAAUAGCUAUUCUCCAACACCGUUUAGCUUUUUUAAAAAAAUUAAUAAGCAAAAAAAAUACUUCAUUAAACCAAUAAACUAGUAUAAAACAUGUUAACUUUAUAAAAAAAUAAAAUAAAAAUAAAUAAAUUAUAAAGUUAAAUUUUAAAUCAUCCAAUGUGAAAUAAACAAAAACAAAUUUUAAAAAAUAAAAUAAAUAAAAUAAAACACAUUGGAUUACUUAUUAUAAUUUACAAUGAAAUGGGUGUGAAUACGUCUCUUAACUAUUUGUGAGCUUCUUAUUCGUUCUUAGUUUUUCUUGUUUUUUUUUUCUCUGGUGGAAUUCCCACACGUCUUCUUUAUGGGCAGCCCCAUUUUUAAACCCGCUUUUUCAUCACGUUCCCGUGUCCCACACGUUUUCAUCAAAAACCUAAAUUUUAGGACUUCUUUGGCAGCCAUCUAAAAAUAUAUAAAAAUAAUAUUUUUAUCUUUUAAAAAUUAUUUUUACCAUCACUACAUUAAAAUAAUUUAAAAAUAUAAAAAAAUUUAUUUAAAAAAAAUCAAAAUUUUUAAAAACACAAGCAUUCCCAAACAAGGUAACGCGUCAAGAAUCACAACAAUAUGACAUGUUAGUGGAAAGUUGUGAUUAGAAAACAUGACUACUUUUAGAGUGAUUUUGACCGCGUAGCACGAAAUGUGCAUGCUUUAGUUUUUUUUGUCAAAAAAAUCAUCAUCAGAGACUAUUUUAUAUACCGGGGAGCUUGUUUUGAACGCGAUAGUAAUGAUAUUUUAAAGUAUGUUUUAUCUAAAAAUAUAUAAAAUAAUAUUUUUAUUUUUAAAAAAUUAUUUUUAACAUUAACAUAUUAAAAUAAUCUACAAAUAUAAAAAAAUUAUUUAUAAAAAUCAAAAAUUUUAAAAACACAAGCAGUCCCAAACAAGAUAACGCAUCAAGAAUCACAACAAUCUGACAUGUGAGUGGAAAGUUGUGAUUAAAAUACUUAAAGUACAUCCAGGCUAUUUCCAAGGAAAAAAAAAAACAUUACUACUUUUAGAGUGAUUUUGACAGGGAAGCAAGAAAUGUAAUUAUUAUUAUUUUUAAAAUAUUUUUUUAUUUAUAAGUAUAUUAAAAUAAAAAUUGUUAAUUUCGUUUCGUUUUAUUUGUAAUGGUUUCAUAUCAAUUCAAAAAAUAAAAUAAAACAAAAUAACUUUUAUCUUAUUUCAAAUCUCGGUCUCUUCCAGAUUUUUUGGCUAAAUUUCGUUCAGAAUGUUCCGGUUUCAUUCCACAAGUUCUAUUCCGGUCUUAAAAAGCCAUUGAAUCAAAUUGAACCUAGUUCAAUUAAUUAAUUAAACCAUUAAAGUAUAAAAAACUCUUUUUCAUUAGUAUUUUCAUUAACUAUGAUAUUAAUUUUUUAAAAUUAGAUUUAUCAUUAAUAUAUAUGGUUAUAUUCAUGUUAUUUUUUUUCAAGUUUAUACUUUGUAGGAAUUUAGGCCAAAAAAUGGAUGUUUUAGAUCUCAUUAGUCUUGAUAACAUUGAUCUAUCUUUAUAUUUAAAAUAUUAGUGUUAAAAUAUUUUAAUUUCAUGAUAUUUUGAUAUUUUAUUGAAGUUGAAUUGUUUUAAAUUAAAAAUUAUUUAAUCUUAAUUAUUUAAAAAUAUUUGAAAUUUUAAAAUUAUAUUUCAUCACGUCUCAUGAACCCCGUUGUGUCAAAAACAAAUUGCCUAAAAUUUAGGCUUUAGCAGUUCCUUUUUUGAAAUCCUCAUUAGUGAAAUUUCACGACUGCUUUAGCGGUUCCUUUUUUGUGUGCUUUCAUCUUAAAUUCAUGACCAAAAGGUAAAAUAUUCUACUUUCUAGUUUAGUAUUAAAUUUAGUAUUUAAAAAAUAUGUUUAUGAAUAUGGCAGUUUCAGGUUUAGAAACCAAAACUGCCAUAUUCAUACUCUCUCUUGGACAUUUUAAAAAUGUGUAGAAUACUUUUUAGUGAUGAUUUAUAAUAGUGAAUAGAUUUAUUAUUUUAUUAGGUUACUUUAAUGAUAAAUCAAUAUAGUAUUUUUUUUAUUUUUUGGAUUUUCAUCUUAGGGAAACUCAAUAGGAUGAAAAUAAAAUAUUAAUCAAACUUAAAAUUAUAAUUGUUUAUCUAUCCAAUUAAAAAAAAUAUGACAAUUCAGUGGUCUUUAAUGAAAUAAAAAAAAAUGAAAAAUGUUAUUUAUGUAAUUGUAAGCACACUAUAUUAUAUUACUUUACAAAGGGACGACGGACAUCCUUUCCAUUAGGAUUUCUUUAAGAGAUGGGGGACGAGAUGGCUGGUCAUUUUCAAGCAACGGAAGACAAAUUGGCAUCCUCUUUAGCUUCUCACAAGAUAUAAUUACCUUAAUAUCUUUAAGAGAAUUACAAAUCAGUUUUGCAUUGCAAAUGCUUUUUAGUUCCGGUAAGCCACAAAAUUUCACCUACCAGAGAAUUACAAAUCACAAGAAGGAAGUUGCUAGGAAGGAAGCCACAAAAUUUCACCUACCAGAGAUUAUAUUAUAAGAUAUGGCAAGUUGCUGUACACCUCAAAUUUGCUUUUCUUUUGUCUAGCGCUGCAUAUAAUUAAAAACUUCAACAAAAGAAUCAGAAGCUAAUUGCUGUCUGAGUUAACGUGUGGACCCACCCCAUUGUUGAAACUUUGGAAAAAGCUGGCCUGAAAAUGUAAGAGCCUGAAGCUUAGCUUCAAGAGCUGUAGCAAAGCAUUGACCGUCAUUAUCUGAUCCACUCCAACUUCCAUUCCCUACAAAUUUAACGAAGAACAGCAUUAGCAAUAAAAAGAGUUUUAUAUAUAACUUAAAGAAAUUCUAGUUAUGAAUUAGCAAAAAAAAAAAAAUCGUGCUUAGGGGUACUGAAACUACCGUUUUAUAGAUAACUUAAGAAAUUUUACUUAUGAUUACCUACUUAGUUCACAUCUUGAGCUUGAGAGCUCAGGCAGAAACACAAGUUUGAUCGCUCCCAGAAAGGUUCAAAAACUGCUUUUCCUAGUUAGCAUUUCCAUGAGCAGUAAGCGUCCUAUUCGUUUCGUUGCCCACGCUUAGUUUCGAGGUGUCAGCAACGUUCUUCUGAGCAUAAAUUCUUCUUUAAAACAAAAGGCGUAUAUGGUGAUUGUAAGGCAUAAUCCCGCAAAGUGUUCCAGUUUUUUUGCCUCUAUGACAUGGAUAUGGCUUCUCAUUAGUGAAAAAGCUAAAUGCUGUUUAUUGCACGCUGCUAGUUGGGAUAUACAGAACUCAGUUAAACCCAGCAAGUCGCUGCAUCAGACUUAAAACUCCAUAGCAGUCAGCACAAUCUAUGAAGAUAAAAUUGAAAACAAAACAAUCAAUGUAAACACAUGAAAAUGAGAAAGAAUAGCAUAUUUCCGCUUUUGAAAAAUCAUUCAUCACUUUUAAAUACGCAAAUGAUUAUCCCUAUUAAGAAAAUUCAACGACAACAAUAUACUCAAGAGCAGGGGCGGAACUAGGGGAGGUAGGCAGGGGUCCGGGCCAAAAUAUUUUGAAGGUUUGUAUUUUUAAUGUUUAAAUAUAAUAUAAUAUAAUAUAAUAUAUUUUUAAUUUAAAUAGAUAAGAUUUUUAAUAAUAAAUUAUAUUUUGAGUUUUGGCCCUUCCUAUUAUAUCAUUUCAGCUCCGCACCUGUCAAAAGCAAUAUUACAGUAAAGAAAUUAAAUCAAUACAGAUAAAUAUAUGAUCCAAAAAUAAUUAAAGAAUCAAUCCAUUUAAUCGAAAAAAACAUGACUGAAUCCAUAAACUAUAUGCCAUUCUUUUUCUAAAGGAGGCAGCCCCACUUUUUCAUUAGGUCGCCAUGGUCCCCGUGUCCCACACGUUUUUAAGUGCGUCCAGGCUGGUUCAAAGGGAAUUUCACGACUUGUCUGCGAGAGCUUCAACUCUACAUUGAAAUGUUUUUUCUUAAUCUGUGAGAGCUUCAUAAUAAGCUUAUUGAAAUAAAUUAUUAUAAUGAAAUUAAAAACAAAAAUGCUUAAAAAAAAACAGAGAGACGCCGUGUUUUCUCUAUUGCUACAAGGUAAAAGUCUGAGCAUAUUUUUUUAUUUAUUUUUUUAUUUUUUAAUAAUAUUACUGUUGUAUCUACCGCCUAGAAAUCAAGAACGCUAGUUUCAUUUAAAAGAUUCUGAAGUUCAUAUUUAGAUAAAUUAGCAGAAAGGACGGAAACACAACAAAUCAUACCCAGAGAAUCAAAAGCCAGAAACAAGCUACCUCAAUUCCUGCUCCACCUGGCUAAGAAAUGCAGCAUGCCCACUUGGAAUUACACAUCAUCCAAAUUCCAUGGCAAAUAAUUGGUUGGAAUUGUUUCCUGUGGAGUCUUUCAAAAUUUGAAAAUAAAAACAGAAAAUAGAUCCAGCAAAUGAUUCCAAAUAUCUUAUAAAAAUAACAAUGAAAUAUGUUUUUUAUUUACUGUAAGGAAAUAUAUUAAUGGAAAAAAUAAAAAAUAAAUCAAUUUAAAAAAUAUAUAAUAAGUCAAAAUCUAGACUUAAAAUCUAACUCGUAUCAGGUUCCUAGUUGAAUUGAAUAAUUGAAUAAGAAGGUGGGAAAGGGAGAGAGCGAAAGGUAUCAAACAGGAAAAAAGAAAAAAAAAGAAAAAAAAAAAGGAAAGAUCCAUAUUGUAGUAGUAUUCCGGAGGAGAGGGUCAAAGAUGGCGGCUGGUUCAAAGGACGAGCUUAAUCUCAUGAAUCAUUUUUUAACCUUUAUCGUAGGACUUGACACGUGUCCUCUAAACCCUCCUGUCCCUCUUCCGAUCCUUGCUAAACCCUUGUUCUGGUCGUAAUCAUCCAUUAGCGUAAACCUACGCUUCUCUUGACUUUGAUCCCAAUAAACCAACCUAUAGAGUUGGUGGUAAUGUAAUUGAUAUUAUUUUUUAAAUUAUUUUUAUUUUAAAAAAUAUAAAACUAAUUUUAAUGUGUUGGCAAUAAAAAAAAUUAAAAAUAUUUUAUUAAUGUAUUUUUAUUUGAAAAAUAUUUUUUUAAAAAUCGUAUGUAGAAUUACUAAACACCCUUAAGCCGGUGGACAAACACACAAACGAGAAAAUACAAAGGAAAAGGGAUAAAAGCAUAUAUUUGGAGAUGAUAAAAGGGCAUUGAGAUCAAAGAGGAUAAGUUUUCCAGUGAUGGGAUUGGAUGUUGAUGAAAGAUUGUGUGGAUAAGAGCAUAGUAAUUAAUUAUUUACUAAAAAGUUCUUCAGUGACCUAAUUCCGUGGCCCACAAAAUUAUCAUUAUCCAAUAAACUAUUUGAUUAAUUCAGUGUUGCUUAAUCCCAGUUUGCUAUUGCGUUUUAAAUGGGUAUUGGUUAAAUUUUAUUUUUUUAUAUUAUUUUGAUGGGUUGAUAUAAAAAUAAUUUUAAAAAAAUAAAAAUAAUUUUAAAAAAUAUUAUUAUAACACCAACUUAUGAUAAUUUUCUUUAUUGAUUAGUGAAUUUGAUUAGACUAAGAAUCUCCAUCACAGCCCAACAUCAUUAGCUUAUCUGCCAUCCCUUUCAAGAGAAGAAGAUUUCGAAUCAGUCCAUUCAUUCCCAUCUGUAGCAUCUUUCUCAAGCGUCAAUGGAGAAUUACUUCUGGAUUCUGAGUUGCCAAUAAAAAACAAAAAACCCUUAUAAACUAGUUCGUCUCCCAGUUCUUAAAUUAGUUUCCACAUUGUUUUUCACAAUUUUUAAAGAAAAAAAAAAUAAAAAUAUGAUCAUAAGCUAUAUAUCUAACACUCACUUGAAAGAAACUGAUAACCAUGCAAGCAUUUUACAUGGCAGUAUUUGAUAUGGGGUAAGAUUUUGGAGACAAAUUAGAGUACUCAAAUUGAAUGUACUAGGUGAAUUGCCUGCGCGGUGCUGCGGGUUAUAACAUGAACUGAGCAAAAUCUAAAGGCACUGAGAUCAAACUGAGCAACCACACAGAGUAAAUCUGAAAACAUUGUAACCAUUGAGAUCGAACUGAGCAACCAUUUUGGAAAAAAUAAAAUUUAAAUUAUUUUUUUAAAUGUUUUUUAAUCAUUUUAAUAUUAUGAUAUUAAAAAUAUUAUUUUAAUAUAUUUUUAAAUAAAAAAUAUUUUGCAACGCAACUUUUACCUCACUCUUAAAUAAAUCCUUAUUCUAUUGCACAUAAACAUAUGUUUUCAUGUAUAGUGGAUUAACCAAUCUUUUUAGUUUUCUUAUAUUGUUCAUAAAGACCGGAAACGCUUAAAAAUAAAAUUUUAAUAAUCAAGAGAAAAAAAAAUAGUUGAAUUUUUGUACCUCUCACAAGAAAAAUAGAUAGAUGUAUGAAAUUUUAUUCUAAAUAUAUUCUUAUAAAAAUUUCAAAAUUCCAAUUCAUGUAACUCGAUUAUUAUUCUUUUUUUAAGUUUCUUCUCUCUCUCCCUCUCUCUUUUUUCUUUUUAAUCUGUAUUAUGCAUUUUUAAAAUAUAAUUUAUUGCUAGUUAAUGAUAUAAGAUGAUUUGUACUAGUGAAUAGAUCUAUUAUUUUAUUAGGUUAUUUUAAUGAUAAAUCAAUAUAGUAUUUGUUUUUGGGAUUUUCAUCUUGGAAAUACUCAAUAGGAUGAAAAUAUAAUAUUAAUUAAACUUUAAAUUAUAAUUAUUUAUCUAUCCAGUUAAAACAAAUAUGACAGUUUAAUAGUCUUAAAAGAUAACGAAAUAUAAAAAAAAAUGAAAAAUGUUAUUUAUGUUAAUUGUAAGCACACGAUAUAAAUAAGAAAUAUUUCAUAUUAAUAAACGCUUUACGAGUCCAAUCAAUCAGAUGUUAAUUAACAUAAAGAAAUUAACAUGGUGUUUGCAGAGAAUGAAUUGUAGAAAGAGAGAUUGAGAGUGUGAGCAAUAAAAGAUGAUGCUUACCCUUUAUUCUAUAUUAUAUUAUAUUAUAAUAUAGAUUGAGAAGAUAACCUUACAAAGGGAAAAAAGACAUCCUUUGCGUGAGGAUGCUCCCCCUCCAUUACUGUCUCCCACCAUUCUUUUAGACUUACAUAUAUGUUUUUAAGAGAAGGGGGAGGAAAUGGUUGGCCAUUUUCAAGCAACGGAAGACAAAUUGGCAUUCUCUUCAGCUUCUCACAAUACAUUACAAUAAUAUCUGUGAGCCUGACUGCAACACCAGACCCAAGAAUAAUGGAUGUGGGUCUGGCUAUAAGAUCGUGUCAUAAAAGUAUGAUAAUUAAUAGAUUAAUUAAAAAAACAAAGAAAAAAAUCAACAGUAUUUAGGAUGGGUGGAGGCUGUGGUCGGGUUGUUGUUUGGAGUGGCAAAGCGGAGUGUUGUGGGCUGUUUGGGUGGCUAGUGAAAGUGGGUGGCGGUAGGUGGUUUAGCAAAUUUGGGAGGGUGACAGUAGUGGGUGGGGUGGGGGUUGUGGUGGAGACCUUUGCAAUCUGUUCAGAAUUAUCAAAUGGAAACACAUGUUCAUGAAAGCGAACAUGACGAGAAAUAUAAAUACGGUGAGAUGCAAUGUCAAAACAUCGAUAACCAAUAUGCGAGGAACUAUAUCCAAAAAACACACAUGGAGAGGAACGAAAAUCCAAUUUAUGAUUAUUAUAUGGACGCAAAAAAGGAAAACAGAGACAGCCAAAGGUACGCAAAAAAUGAUAAUCAGGAGACCGUUGAAAUAAACAAUCAAAUGGAGAGCGAUGGGCAAGAAUAGGAGUAGGCAUGCGAUUUAUAAGAUAAACAGAGGUUUCAAAAGCAUAAUUCCAUAAUCGAAAAGGUGCUUUACAUUGCCCUAAAAGAGUAAGAUCUGUUUCCACAAUAUGCCUAUGACGAUGCUCUACUGUUCCAUUUUGUUCAUGAGUGUGGGGACAAAUUAGACGAUGAUGAAUACCAAUGGUCUGAAAAAAUGUGGAUAGUUUUCGGUAUUCACCGCCCCAAUCAGUUUGAACAGAUUUUAUUUUUAAUAAAAAUUGACAUUCGACAAGAGUCUGAAAUUGAUGAAAAACAGAGUAAACAUCAGACUUGGCAACGAAAGGAUAAUACCAUACAUAUUUAGUAUAAGCAUCAAUAAAGAUAACAAAAUAACGAUAGCCAUCUGAAGAAAAAAGAGGAGUAGGGCCCCAUACAUCACUAAAAAUUAAUUCAAAUGGAGCAGAAGUUUUGUGACCCGUAGGUCCUAAAGACAAACGCGAUGAUUUUCCUAAAGGACAACUUUGACAUUGAAAAUUAAGACGUUUGUUGUUACAAAUGAUCUUAUUUUUCGAGAUUAACAAUUGAAAAAUACGUGAAGUAGGAUGACCUAGUCGAUGAUGCCAUAAAUCGACAAAGGCAGAAGUGUAGGGAGACCAAUAGGCUUGAGGAACUGACGUGAUGAAAGACUUGGUCAGGGCAUAGAGACCAUCUUUACUCUGACCUGAGAGAAGGACUUCAUGGGUGUUGAAAUCCUUGACAUAAAACACACGAGGGUGAAAUUUAAAAUAAACAUUAUUAUCAAGACAAAAUUUCUGAACAGAGAGCAGAGGUUUCGUGAUUGCAGGAACAGGAAGAACAUUAGAUAAGGUGAAAGAACGAUGUGGUGUAUAUAUUUUUGUAUGACCUAGAUGAGAUAUAGGAAGGCCCUUACCAUCACCAACAUGCAAAUUAUCAUUACCAAGAUACGGUUCUGAAGCGGUCAAGGUGGCAAGAUCAGGUGUGACAUGUUGAUUGGCACCGGUAUCCGGAAACCAAUCAACAGAACCAGUUGAGGAGAGAUUGCGUUGCACCAGGUUGGCAGUAGGUUGUUGGCCAUAACCUCACUGCUGGAAUUGAGGGCAAUGGGGAGCUGUAUGGCUAAAAUUCUAACACAGUUGGCAGCGUGGAUUAUGCCCCAUAUUGCGCUGCCAAGAGCCCUGCCUAUUGUCACCAAAGGAGGAGUUUUGGAAGCUACGGUGAUCAGGUCUGGAGCCAGCAAAUCGGUUGCCUCUGCUGCUGGACUGGUUGGGAAGCCAGCCACCGUUGAAGCGACCCCUACUGCGGCCAGAAUUGCCAAAAGUCUGGUGCUGCGCAACAAGAGCAGAAGAUGGAAUGCUGGGUGUGGGCAGAAGAGGAGCAUGUAUGGCAGCAGAAGAUUUGUGAAGAAAUUCAUGUGUGAGGAGAUGGCUGUGAAGAUCUGCGUAUGAUAAAGGUUCAGCCUUGGUAAUAAGAAUGGUAACUAAGUUUUUAAACUCUCCCCGAAGACCACGAAACACAUAUAAAUUGAAAUCUUCAAGCGAAACUGGCCGACCAGCAGCGACCAAUUCAUCAAAUAAGGCCUUCGCUUUUUGCAUAAAUUGAGUUACUGAUUCAUCACCCUGUCGAAGAUCCUGAAGAGAGCCGUGAAGUUGCAUAAUACGAGAGUUAGAGGUGGAAGCGAGAGCUCGCUCAAGAGUGCCCCAAGAUGAACAAGAACUUUGACAGCCAACAACAAGAUGCAAAACUUCCAUAGAUAGGGAGGAAAGAAGAGCACUUAGAAUGAAUUGGUCUUGUUGUUUCCAGGUUUGAAAAAGCAGAUUUACCUGAAGAGAGAUAGCAUCAUGGGCAAGAACAUGUGUUGAUGGAGAUGUGUUGGAGCCAUAAAAAAAAACCAAAAACUUCUUGGCCUAGGAGAUAAGGCAGCAUCUGCAUACGCCAAUAUAAAUAACUGGUGUUUGUUAAUUUGAGGGAGAUGACUUGAUGAGUGUGAGAAAGGGAGAUAAUGCUUGCGGCAGCAGAGGCAGCAGACGUGGGCUGCAAGAGGAGGCGUUCACCAGCCAUGGAAGAGGAGAAUCCAGGCGGUGAUGCAGCAGAGGAAAGCAGAGGAGGCGUUAUAAGAGAAGAGGGUUGCACUGUCGGAGAAGAAGAAAGCUGGACUGCUGGUGCUGUAGAAUUUGAAGAUGUAUGUGGCGACUGUUCCAUUGAAGAAGGAAGGCUGUGAGAAAAGUAGGUUUAAUUUAUUUUAAAGUUUUGUGGCUCUGAUACCAAGUUGAGAAUAAUGGAAUGUGUUGGGUUGUGCCUUAACCAACCUUCCUAUUUAUAUAAAGGCAGCAGAACACUACAAUAACUAUAAUGAUUACAACAUCCUAUAUUAGAAUCCUAUUCUGAUAGAUACAUGAGUAACUGUAAUGAUUACAACAUCCUAUAUUAGAAUCCUAUUCUAUAAUAAACAUGAAGAAAAAAACUAAUGAAGAAAAAGAAAAAAAAUUGAAUUAAUUGGGUUAACUCUUUAAACCAGGUUAUCCCAUAAAAUAUGGGAUUCACAUCAUAAAAGAUUGAUAACUAAAUAGAAAAAAAAAUAACGGGUUUACCCAUAAUUAACUGGGUUAACCCAUCAAACGAAGUUAAUCUGUCAAGCCCAAGAUACGUGUCAUGAAAGUCUAAUAAUUAAAUAGAAAGAAAAUUAACUUUAACAAACUAAACUAAAUGAAAAAAAUAAUUAAAAAAAAUCUAGGUUAACUCGUCAAAUCAGGUUAACCCAUCAAACCUGGGAUUCGUAUCAUAAAAAUCUGAUAACUAAAUAAAAAAAAUUAACAUUAAAAAAAAACAAAAAAAAAUUAAAAAAAAAGAAGAAAAAAAAACAGUUAUAUAAUAUAAUAUAAUAUAAUAUAACAUAAUAUAAUUAUAAUUAUAAUUAUAAUAUAAUAUAUUAAUAUAUUAAUAUAUUAAUAAGUAAAUAUAUUAAUAAAAGUUGUGGGAAAGCUACAGUAGUUUUCCACACCUUUUAGAGUAUUAGAUUUAUCAAGUUUGCUUAAUUAAGAUGGAAUAUUUAUGACUUUUUUAAUCUAUAGUGUUUUUCUCCUGGUACAUGGUAAAAGCCUGGGCAGUUUUUUUUUUUUUUAAUUUUAAUAAUAAUUCUAUUCUUUCUAUCCCAAGAAAUCGAGAAUGCUAGUUUCAUUCAUCAAGAUUCUAAAUCCUAUAUACAGAUAAACUCAAGAAUGUGUCUUCUCUCUCUUUUUUUAUUUUUAAUCUGUAUUAUAUAUAUAUUUUUUAAAUAAUUUACUGCUACUUAAUGAUAUAAGAUGAUUUAUAAUAGUGAAUAGAUUUAUUAUUUUAUUAGGUUACUUUAAUGAUAAAUCAAUAUAAUAUUUUUUUUAUUUUUUGGAUUUUCAUCUUGAAAACUCAAUAGGAUAAAAAUAUAAUAUUAAUCAAACUUCAAAUUAUAAUUAUUUAUCUAUCGAGUUAAAAAAAAAAGGUACAAAGGGAUGAAGGAUUAUUUCAAUAUUAAUUAAUAAGAAUAUCCUUGUUGAUUUAAAGGACUAUUUUCAUCAUUCAUAUCGAAAAUAAUUAUGUUUUGCACCUGAUUUUUAACAAAAAUGAUUGAAAAAAUGAUAUAUUAUUGAAUGUGAGCAAAUUUAAGAUUACAAAAAUGAUUAAACUUUUUACAGAUGGAUAGAAUUGAUAAAUGAUGCAACAAAGAAGGAUACGUAUUAUUACAUUUAACAGAGUAAUUAACCAUUAUACAUAUUAAUUAUUUUAAGAAAAAAAAUGUCCUUUGGACAAUAUUCUUUGCAUUAGGAUAGAAUUGAUAAAUGAUGCAACAAAGAAGUAUUCUUACGUGUUAGGAUAGACGACGAAAGGAUUAACAAUACGAAAGGUACAAUUUGAUUGAGAGAGAUGAUGCUUACCCACUCCACUACUGUCUCCCACUAUUUUUUUGGAUAUAUUCUGAUUUUUUUAAGAGAAGAGGGAGGAGAUGGCUGGCUAUUUUCAAGCAACGGAAGACAAAUUGGCAUCCUCUUCAGCUUAUCACAAUACAUUACACUAAUAUCUUCAAGAGAAUUGCAAAUCUGUUUUGCACUGCAAAUGCUUUUCAGUUCUGGUAAAUCAUACAAUUCCAGAGUUCUUAACUUUGGGAGAAUGACUUCCGUGAUGGAAUUGGAGGUGCUGCUUUCUUUAUCUGUUGUUUCUAUUAUCUCCUCUAUUUUCUCACAUCCACUAACAUCAAUCAGUUCCAGGUUUACAAGGAUUGGAAGUAGCACAAGCGGGAACAACUUCUUCAUACUGUUACAGUUCUCACAAUAAAACCUUUUAAGACUAGAAAACAUACCAUUACAUGAUGGCAAUGGAGUCCCAUCUCCGUUGAUACUCAAGAAGAUGAAACCAAGCUCUCCAUGCUAUUGCAAUCCCAAAUGUCGAUGAGCUCAAGUUCAGUUGCAUUCUCUAAUGACAAAACAUCACAUAAACUUCUUGCAUUUAUACAUUCACAAACCAAUCCUUGAAUGCCAUUUAAGAACUUAACAUGAAAAUCUCAUCUCCGUUGAUACUCAAAUUACCUAACCUAACUGUUUUACUUGGAAAAUCACCUCUGUUUGCCCAAUAAUCUUCACCCACCAUUCCUACUAAAAUUUUAUAUGUGCUUAAUGAUUGAAUCCCCUCUCGAGAACUGAGAUACUCCACGAAGUCAGGGAGACCUAUGAAAUGGCAUUGCAAAGUUUCUAAAUUUCUCAAGAAUCCUACUUCCUUUCCUUUAACUGUUAUCGGAGCAUAACAUUCAUCAAUUAACGUUUCCUCUAGUACAAAGACUUGCAGGUGAGAGAGUUUUGGUAAUAUACCACUAGGAAACUCCUUUUCACCACAUCCAUUCAUUCUAAGAUACCUCAGGUUGGUUAGGCAUUCCAUUCCUUGCGGUAUCUUUUCAAGCACUGUAAAAGAGAGAUCCAACCUCUUCAGUGCUCUGAGCUUUUCUAAUGAUGGAACAUGUCUUAAGUACUCACAAUUAUUGAGCAAUAAGGCAGUGAGACUCACCAAAUCAAAGACAGAGUCUGACAAUUUUUCAAUACCUGUCCAAGACAGAUCGAGGACCUUGAGCCCAUGCAAUUGCUUGAAAAAUGAAUCCGCAAUCAAUCCCAGCCCUUCAUUAUCACAUAGAAAUAAAGUUGACAGAUUUAGACACAUUGGUGAAUGGCUGGAAGGAAUUUCUUGAAUCUCGUUUUGCAUUAGUGAAACAAUCGUCAAGUUCUCCAUCCACUCCUUUGUAUCUGGCAGCUCUUUUAAUUAGUGACUUGCAUUAGUAUUUGGAUGGUCAUGUCCCUAAUCAAGUCAUGCAUCUUGACACAUCUUUUACCAUCAUAAUACAUUUUAGCACUUUCCAAUAAGCAGACAUUUUCAAGUCUAUUAAGCAUCGUGUGACCCUCAUCAAAUGCAUCUCCCCUACUCCUCUUUACUUUAAUUAUCCCCUCAUCGAUCAAAUAACUUAUCAACCUCUCCCUCCAAAUCCAAUCAUCUUCGGGAAAUAAUGCACAGUACAAGAGACAUUGUUGUAGUGCUAAAUCACCUAACCGAUCAUAACUAAACCUCAACAACUUUAAUACUUCCUUGUCCUUAAAUUCUGAUUCUCUCAAUUUCUUCAAUGUAUUUCUCCACUCAUGUAGGUUAUCCACUCCCCUCAAGCUUCUUGGUACUGUAAUAAUUCCCAACGGCAAACCAGCACAUUCCUUUGCAACAGCUUUUGCAAUCCCUUCCACUUCUCGCGAAAGUGCUAUGUCACGUCCAAGUUUCUCCAUGAACAAAGUCCAAGCUUCUCCAUCAGAAAGUGGCUUCACUUUGAUUUUACAGUGGCAAGCCAUCUGAUGACAAACCAUUUCUAAUCGAGUUGUCAUAAUCAGCUUGCAUUCUUUCAACUUCUCAGGAAUUCCCACUCUGUCAAGUUCAAAAUUGUUCCACAAAUCAUCUAAAAUGAGAAUCCAUUUUUGUUUCCUCCUUAGUUCUAUUGACAAUUUGGCAGCUCUGUGCAGAUCAUCAUCUUCACUUGAAAGAUCUACAUAAAGACAUUUAGCAAUACGAUUUUGCAAUCUGUUAAUGCUGAAAUCUUGAGACACAGUCACCCACCAAACAUGAUCACAAAUAUCUGGUUUUUGUAGAAGCUCAUUAUGGAUAUGCUGUAGUAUUGUGGAUUUACCAACUCCCCCCAUCCCAUAAAUGCCAAUGGUUGAGACUUCCCCAUCCAUUAACAAAGACCAUAUCACCUUCGUAUUCUCUUUGAAUGCUCGACCCACUAGCUUUGUUGAGCUAGUAGGUAAUGGAACUCCUCUAGUCUUGUUGUAUUUCAGACUUUCAGAAGAUCUAGCUCCAGCACCAACCUGCACUGAUCUUCGACUAUUCUCCACAUCCUCCUCCACUGGUCUGCUCUCGAGUGCCCCUUCAGAAACUCCAUCUUCUUGUGCUCUCAUUCCGGUCUUGCUUACUACGUCGUUUCCUGCUAUUGCAUGUGAAGAAAUCCUUUGUUCCCCUGCUCUGAGUUCUACAACCUGAACUUCUCUUUGUAACCUUCCAGUACCUCCUACCGUUGUUGAAAUUCCACAAUCAUUAACAUUGAUUGAACUUGCUGUGAUUUUAUGUCUUUUGUUGCCACCAAACAUAGCUUUCCAAGCUGCUUCUUGAACUUCUUUAGGCACCCCACGACAAAUGGCAACACCACGCCCUUCUUCUCCUGAUAAAUGACAUUUGAUCCUUGAAAUGGAAGUUUUAAUGGCAUAUGUAUGUCGACAAAACUUACACUUCAUGCUACCAUCAGCCUUUUCUUCAACAUAAUUCCGAAAUGAAUCAUUUGAUCCACCCAUUUCAACCUAUAGAAAAAAAAAGGGGGGGGGGGUUCAAAAUACAGAAUAAAAAUCAGUCAAAAUAUAGAAUAAAAAUUGAUGCAAGUUACACCAUAUCCGGAUGGAUGAGAAACUACUUCAGUGUUGUUACCCUUAUUUUGCUAUUAAAAUUGAUAGUUAGUUUAUUGCACAAUCAUCGGAGGGAAAAAGACGACGAUAAUUCAGUUAGACUUCUUACUUGUUGAGCAUUUAAACCCCUAUUUUGACUUUGGAGGGAAGUGCCAAGGCCAGGAUUUGAGGCAUUUGGCAUAGCAGUUUGAUUUUGCAAUCCUCGGACUUGGAGGUUAUCCAUCUGUGACCUAUAUAUAUACAAAUGAAUUGAUCAUAUUAUAAAACCUUUCCAUAAUUGGUAGUCUCUCUUAAGCAGUAAAAGUUAAUGGUGUUAAAACACAACAGCUAGAAGUCAAUCAGUACCUAGUUACGAAUAAGUUCUCUUGUUGGACAUUGUCUAUGUUAGGAAUUACAACAGCUCGAUCGACUUGUCCUUGAUUAGAAAAAUAUUGACUCCUGAAUCCAAAAUCAUUUGCAAACAAUAUGUUUAGCUUGUUGGGUUCAUGUUCAAGCUAUGAUGUUUCUUUCCCGAUUGAAAAACUAAUUUUUUUUAUAUAGAAAAUACAAAACAUGAAAAAUUGGAUACCGGGGAGCAGGAAAAGAAGGUCCAGGUUGAAUGAAGCCACCAUGUUCUGAAGUGGUUGCGUUCGGUGUCAUAUAGCCAUGUCCCGGCUGUGGUUGAUGAAUAUUGGAGUACUGAUGCCUGAAUAAUAUUCAAAUAGUUAAACUUAGAACUGUUAUUCUAACUUGGUUGAUUUUCUAGUUCCAUUAUGUGCACAAAAAAAGAGAGAUAGAGAGCUCAAAAAGACUCGAAAGAUCCUCGUCAAUUCUGGUCAAGUUUAUUGUUUUCAUGAUUAAAAAAGUGUAUAUUCGAAGUUAAUACCAUUGAUUCAAUGGAGGUUGAGGUCCAGGUAGCAUCGCAGGCACUUGAUUCCUCAUUGGUAACUGAUAAUUAGUCCAUUGUUGGUCCCUAAAUUAGCAACAUUUUGUUAGUAAUUUCUUUAUACAUAUACGCAUAAUUCUUUACUAUUAAUCCACUAAGCAUUUAUUAUCAUUUUAGCUUACCUCAAAGGCAUUGAUGGUCCAGGUAGCAUGGGAUUGGCACAUCGAGGAUCAGAUAAAUUAGGAUGAGGCAGAUACCUAUAUUCAAAUAUAAUGAAUUCAUUUAGUGUAAUAAAUUGGCAUCACUGAUAAGAAUAUUAGGCAGAUAAGUAGAACAACAACAAGAAGUUAAAUAAUUAUGAAUAUUAUGUACAAGAAGAAUUUAAAUAAUGAUUAUUCUCACUUAGUUGAUUUUCUAGUUUCAUUAUGUGAUGCAAAUCAGGAGACAGGGGAAACAUGGGGAAGGCAAGGACUCUUGAAAGUUGAUUAAAGCUUAUUAGCUGUAGUUAUUAUUUCCUAUUUAGCUGAUAGUUUCCUAGUCAGAUUAGUAUUAGAUUUCAAUUACGUAUUAGAUCGUAAUUCCUUAGCUGUAGGGUAUUUAAGAGGGGAACAGAACAAAAGAUGGGACAUUAUUUGUAUUCUUGGCAAUUACUUUCUUUAAAUACAAAUUGGAGUGAUUCCUCUACAUAGAUAUUCUGUAUUAAAUUAUUUAUUGUUCUUACUGGGAGCAACGAGAGGUUGUACCGGAGGGCAUUUACAUUAAUAUGUGCACAAAGAGAGAGAGAGAGAGAGAGAGAGAGAGAGAUAGAGAGCUCAAAAGAAGUAAAAUAAUGAUGAAUACCUUGAUGGAGUUUGAGGCCAAUUUGGUUCAUUUUGGUUGAUCCGUGAUGAUAUGGAGCUUUGGUUGUCUGGAACCUCCGGUGGCAGCCUGCUUCCAUUGACAGUGACAUUAUUAGGAUAAACGGAAGAACAACUAAAUUGCAAGCAAUCAUCUUCUGAUAAAAUAUGCUUAAGAAUGACGUACGAGAGAAACUCAGAAAUAUUGAAUGUAUCUUCAAUGGUGUAUCUAAUUAUAAAAAUGAAGUGAUCAUAUUAUAAAACUUUUCAAUAUUUGGUAGCCUCUCUUAAGCAGUAAAUAUCAAUGGUGUAUCUAAUUAUCAAAAAGGUGUUAAUACCGUGUUAAAACACAACGGCUAGAAGUCAAUAAGUACCUUGUAGAGUUGCUAGAGUUUCGAGGCACGAAGUUCUCUUGUUGCAUAUUGUCUAUGUCUGGAAUUACAGUAGCUUGAUCGUCUUGUCCUUGAUUAGAAAGAAAUUGAAUCCUGAAUCCAAAAUCAUUCGCAAGCAUUAUGAAGCAUUACAAACUUAUGAUUAUCUAGCUGGGUUCAUGUUCAAGCUAUGAUGUUACUUUCCUCUUUGAAAAACUAUUUCUUUUUUUUUUUACAGCAAAUACUAAAUAUGAAAAAUUGGAUACCGGGGAGCAGGAAAAGAAGGUCCAGAUUGAUUGAAGCCACCAUGUUGUGAAGUGGUUGCAUUCGGUGUCAUAUAGCCUUGUCCCGGAUGAGGUUCAGGAAUAUUGGAGUUCUGAUGCCUGAAUAAUAUUCAAAUAGUUAAACUUAGAACUGUUAUGCUCACUUGGUUGAUUUUCUAGUUCCAUUAUGUGCACAAAAAAGAAGAGAGAUAGAGAGCUCAAAAAUACUUGAAAGAUCCUCGUCAAUUUUGGUCAAGUUUAUUGUUUUCAUGAUUAAAAAAGUGUAUAUAUAUUCGAGGUUAAUACCAUUGAUUUAUUGGAGGUUGAGGUCCAAGUAACAUCGCAGGCACUUGAUUGCUCAUUGGUAACGGAUAAUUAGUCCAUUGCUGGUCCCUAAAUUAGCAACAUUUGUUAGUGAUUUCUUUAUACAUAUGCAUAAUUGUUAGCUAUUAAUCCACUAAGCAUUUGAUAUCAUUUUAGCUUACCUCAAAGGCAUUGAUGGUCCAGGUAGCAUGGGAUUGACACAUUGAGCAUCAAAUAAAUUAGGAUUAAGCUCAUACAGUGAUACCUAUAUUCAAACAUAAUGAAUUCACUGAUAAGUACAACAACAAGAGGAAGAAAAGAAGAAGGUCCAGGUUGAUUGAAACCACCAUGUUGUGAAGUGGUUGCGUUCGGUGUCAUAUAGCCAUUUCCCGGCUGAGGUUGAUGAAUAAAGGAAUUAUGAUGCCUUGAUGGAGUUUGAGGCCAAUUUUAUAUAAAACUUAACGAUAAAAAAAUAUCAUAAAAAAAGUCUAAAUCUCCCAAUUGUUGUCUGUUUGUUUAACAAUAAACAUUUUGAAGAUGCUCGAGAUAAAUUGAUACACGAAAACAUAAAACUUUUUGAUCCAAUGGGUGAUACAAACACUUGCUAAUUCAAUGGACAUUGUAGCAAAUUGGAGUAGGCAUGAGCACUCACCAUGGUUUGAGGAAAUGAAGCUGGAAACUGAGUUGUUUGUUGAAUACUGUCGUUGAUCACAUUGUUAUCCACCACCAUGUUCUGUCCAUCUUGAUCAUUGCAUAAUAUGGAGCUUUGGUUGCCUGAAACCUCCGGUGGCGACCUGCUUAAUUUGUUAUUAGGAACAUUAUUCUUUUUUGGGAAUAAUAAGAAAAACUGUAGAAUAACUAAAUUGCAAGUAAUCAUCUUCUGAUAAAAUAUGCUUAAGAAUGACGUACAUGAGAAGCUCAGAUAUAUUGAAUGAAUCUUCUUGUGAUUGAAAAUCGAACUGAUUCGAUGUCAAGUUGACAUCAUCCCCAUUACAAGACGGUGGGACUCCUUCCAUCUGAGGUUUAAAAAAGAACAGAAAGCACAGAUUAGAUGUGUGUGUGUGUCUAUAUAUAUAUAUAUAUGACUUAUUUAUUUGUUAAAGAGAUUCAGAUGAAAAAUAGGAAAUAUAAAUGUUGCUGUUAAUGAUUUAAUUCUUUGUUUUAAUGCUAAAUUAUUUGUCACUUGUUGUAAACAAGUUUAAUGAAAGGUAAUUAACUAAUACUGAUCAAGUUAAUUCAUGAAUCAGUAAAAAACAAUUUCAUUGAAUCAUUAUGUCAGAAAAAUAUUGGAUAAAAAUUAAUGGCAGUCCCACUAAUUGGAAAAGAAAAGGGUGAAACUAAAAUAAGAAGUUUGUCGCACGUAUGCGGCGUCGAGGCGAAAACAUCCACUCUCAAAUCGUUAUCUAAUGUGACAAAUGUGAGGAGACAAGGAAUUCUUGUCUUUUAUUAGUGGAAAAAUAGAAUGGGAGUCGCCACCUAAUAUUUUGGUAACUAGGAACCCUAACUGGUCUCAGAGAUCAGGUACGGGGACUAGUUGCGUAAAGGGAAGGUUUUAGCACCCCAAAUACGCUCUACCUAAAGUAAGCUGCAUUGUUUAAUUGUUUGAUAAAAUCUAAGGUCUUGUCGUGUAUUUUAGUUGUUGGUCCGUCUAUGGUUUAAGAAAAAAAUCAUCUUCAGUAAAGAGAUCCUUAUCUUAUUGGGUAUGACCUAAUUGUUUUAACAUCAACAAAAAAAUUUUAAUAUCCGGAAUAUGUCUUACAUAUAAGAUCAUAACCCUAGAUAUUAAAGGAAAACAAAAUAAGUUUUUUUGGAAUUUUUGAAAUAUUGUCUAGUUCUCGUGACUUUAAUAAACUGGUUAUUAAAGCUAAAAUGCAUGUUAAUACAAAUUUUUGAAUCUUUGUUAUAUGAAAAUAUGAUAUGAUUUUUUUUUUUGAAAGACUAGGGCGUAUGCAUGAAAACAAAAAAUAUAUUUUUUAUGUUUUUGUAGAAAACCGGGUAUUUUAAUACCAAAUUUGUAUCUUUACAAUAUAAAAAUACAAACCAAUGUUGAUUAAAAUACAAUAGAAAAAUUUGCAAAAAUCACUAAUUUUUGAAAAUAUUUGUUUUAUUUUAUUAUAAUUAAUUUUAUCAUGGAUUUCUUUAAAGAUUCAAACCAUAUAUAGUUACAUAUAGAAAAACAAAAACACCAACAAGAUGAAGUACAAAUAAUUUACCUGGAUUCAAGAUGUUCUUCAAGUGCUAGCUGGUUUGCUUGAGCAGUGAUCAGCCAAAAGAAAAGGAAGAGAAAUCACAGAUCAGAGAAGAAUAUAUGGCUUAGAAAAAUAAUAAAGUUGCAGUUAACAUAAAUCUAGUUCGUACUGAUCAUGGGAUGUGGAAAGGAAAAUAGGGAAUUCUAUUGUGAGAUGAGAUGUGACGUGGAAGAGAAUGGUAGGUCAGCUAAAUAAUAAUUAAUUAACGUAUUGUUUGACAGGAAGGAAAUUGCCAGGAAGCAACCCCCCGCAUACCUACCAAACAUUAUAUUAUAAGAUAUAGAGAGUUAACAUGUGGACCCACCCCAAUGUUCAAACUUUGAAGGAGCUGCCAUGAACAUGUGAAAGAACAGCAUAUUUCUGCAUGUGUGAAGUUGUUUCUGAUAAUAUUUUUUAUUUGAAAAUAUAUUAAAAUGUUAUUUUAAUUUUUUUUAAUAUCAACAUAUUCAAAUAAUUUAAAAAAAUAAAAAAAAUAAAAAUUUAAAAAAAGAUCACUGCGACUGUAAAGACAAACCAGCUGUGACUAUACUAGUAAGUGUGAGAUUGAUAGCAAAGACGAAAGCAUACCAAUGCAACAAUCACAUUCUCAAAUAUUCAGAUUUUAAAAAAACAUAUCCAAAUAUAGUUUUAAAGUUGUGUCAAAUGCAGAAUGCUUUAAUUAAUACGAGGAAACUCUUGUUUAUAAUAUAGUUUUACACAGGGACCGUUAUAAAUAAUUUGGUAUUAUAAUAACAAUUAUUUUUUUAAGUAUUUUUUAUUUAAAAAUAUAUUAAGAUAAUAAUUUUUUAUAUUUUAAAAUUUAUUUCUGAUAUUAACAUAUUAAAAUAAUAUAAAAUAUCUAAAAACUAAUUUUAAAAAAAUUAAAAUUUAAUUUUAAAAAAAAUAUUUAUUUGCCUGGUACUGGGCUUCCUCGGGACACAACGCUGCACUUCCUUAAAUGAAAAUAUUAAAGUCGGUGUGUGCAUCAGACCUCAUCCUCAAUUGACUCCGAUUGUUGAAAUAACUUGAUCUUCUAAUAAAGUUUGUUUUUGAAUAUAUAUUCUAUCCUUACUAAAUUAUUAGGAAGUAACAUUAUAACAUUUUUAAGUCUGCUUAAUUUAUUUGGUUUAAGAUACUAUUUUAAUAUAGUAUUAGAUAUUUAAUAACUUACGAGUUAAUUACUUAUUAAGAUAAUUCAGAUUAAUUAUUUUUAUUAAAAUAAUAUUAUUUCAUUUAUUUCUAUUAACAUUGCUAGAUAUGAAGUAGUUUGGUUUGACUAGAUGAUUCAAUUACAAAUCCAAUCUAAAUUAAGGUUAAAAUUUUGAGUUUUUUAAAAAUAAAUCAUCAAACUAGACAGGUUUAACAACUAAUAUAUAUAUAUAUAUAUAUAUAUAUAUAUAUUAUUCAACCAAAUAAUUGCUUGUUACAUAUAUAUGGCGAGCUUCCUAGCACUACAAGAUUUCACAGUUUUACCGAUGGCCAUAUUCCGUCGGUGUGUGAUUGAGAGUUCGUCAGUAAAUUAUUUACCGACUAAAUUACCGACGGAAUACGCCCGUCGGAUUACCUUUUGUCGGUGAUUCCACAUUCCGUCGCUAUAUCAGUCGGGAAAAAAAAAAAACACGUACCGACGGUUUUACAGACGGAAAGUGCGCGCCAAAAAAAAAAAUUUCCCGCUUGGAAUAUACCGAUGGAAAAUACUCCGUCGGUGAAAUUCUAAUUACCGACGGAAAAAAUCCAUCGGUACAUUGGUCGGUCUGUGUUUGAAAUACCGACUGAAUAUAUCCGUCUGUAAAUUCGUCGGUACGUUUGGCAGCUACUGUCACAUGCCGACGGACUAAAUCCGUCGGUAACUCUAUCGGUGAGUGUAUGGAAUACCGACCGAAUUUAUCCGUCUGAAUAUUCGUCGGUGAUUUCCAAUGCUGACAGAGUUAUUCUGUUGGUAAAUACCUGUGUAAUUGUUUUUUUUUUAAUUUGUUUUUUUUUAAAUUAUUUAAAAUACAUAAUAUAAAAUGAUAUAAAUUAAUGGUAAUACAAACCAAUUAUGUAAAUAAAAUUCAUAUUAAGCAUCAAAAAUAAAAAAAAUCAAACUUAAAUAAUAUUCAUUACAAAUGAAUGUGUUUCAAAAACACAUUAAACGAAAUUUUAAAUGUAAAUAAUGUUUAUUAAAAAUUAAUAUAAAGGUGGAGGAGGAGGAGGAGGAGGAGGCUGGGGGUUAGACGGCCAAAAAGGAUUAGGCGCACAUGAUCCACCUUGUGCCAUCUUCAUGAUCAUUUGACGAAGCUCUUCAUAGGCCGCUCUUUGUUGUUCAGACUCUGCUCUGUGUUGUUCUUUGAGUUGUUCGUAUGCCACUCUUUACUGUUCUUUGCUGUUCAGAUUUCACAGUUGUUCAGACGCUGUUCUUUGCAGAUGAUGAAUUGGAACUACACAUUUCUUCAGAGCCAACAGAGUAUGCACUGCACAUGGGUCUUGCAUGGAAACGAAGGGUUAAAGAAUGUGGGGUCCAUGUGAUCGCAGGGAAGUCAGAAUCAUUUGAAGAGUCGGCAGUGGGAAGAGAUACAGUGAUGCCUUCACCACCGCCAUAUCAUUUGCUUCCUCAUCCUUAUCGUGGCUCAAUUACAGCGUCUACACCUAAACAGUGGAGUGAAUUUUUAUUUGCGGAGCUGCAAAACUAUAACCUCAAUUUAUGGCUUUUUGGUAAGAAUACAUAUUUCCUUUAGUUAUUUCUAUUUUAUUCUAUUUAAUUUAAGAGAUUAAUUUAAUUGUUACAUUUUUCUUAUUUAAUCUAAAAAAUUAAAUAUUAUCUUUAAAAAUAUUUUUAUUAAAUAUUUAGAGUCUGAUUGGUUUUAUUUUUAAUUCUUGAUUUUAUGAUAAAAUGUUUCUUAUUUAAUUUAAAAAAUAAAUAUUAUAUUUAAUAAUUAGAUCUAUCGAAUAUCACUUAACUAUAUCAUUAUUUUAUUGGUAGGAACUUAUGAGUCUUUUAAGCCAAAAGAAUAGUAGGAAGAGCUAAAAUUAGCAAGGAAUAUUUAGAGUCUGUUUGAUUUUAUUCUUUGAUUUCUUGAUAAAAAAUUUAAAAUUCUUUAAAACAAAAACUAAAUACUUAUAAGUGUUGAUUUUGAUUUUAUUUAAAAAAAAAAACAAAAAGUCAACAAUCACUAACAUAAUUUGUUAAAAUCACUUUAGUUUAUUUAUAAAAUAUUGAAAACUGAUUUUUUAUUUUUACAUUAAAAUAAAAAAAUUAAAUAAUGUUUUUAUAUUUUAUUUCAAAUUCAAUAUUUCAAAACAAAAACGAAAAUGAUGUGAUAUUAACCUCUUUGAUUAUAAAGUAAGUUUCUUAAUUAAAAGUAAAGUAAUAACAAAAUGCAUAUACAAUCACGUACAUCUAACUUUCUUUUCAAACUUGGAAGUUCUACUGAAUUUUGUUGGUUUCUUAGGGAGAAGAAGAGCUUUAAAAGAUAAAUGACUGAUAUGAAUUUUGUUGGUUUUUUAGGGAGAGACGUUUAAAGCCACUCCAAAUUAGUAGGAUACAUCUCUUUUUGCCGAAUUGAUAUGAAUUCGUUGGCUUGAUGAAAACUACAGAAAGUUCUGAAAGCAUCCUUAAUUAGUAUAAUUAGUAAACUCUUGUUAGUUUUGGUUAUAAGAUUUUGCUAUGUAUUUUUGCAUAGUUUUUACUAUUUUUUGGCCCUUAUUGUUUUUGUAAAUACAACUUUUAUUUUUAUUGUCGAUUUGUCAUUAGCUUUAUGGCACUAACACCAAUUAAUAAUAAAUCUUGGACUAUUAUUAAAUAAAAAAAAAAUAAAAACAUUGUUAAAACACCAAACUUGCAUAGUUCAAACCUAGAGAAACCCGAUGACAAUAAUCCAAUUUAGAAAAUAAUUAAUUUGUCCUUGUAGUCUUAGAAAAUAGUAUUUAAUCCUUAUGUUUUCAUAUUCAUCUAUGAUUUAAUCUCUUACAUCCAUUUCAUUUUCGUAUUAUUUUAAUCUAAAAAAAAUCACAUAUCAUGAAUAUCAAUUCAAAAUAAAUAAAAUGUUUAAAAAAUCUUUUAGUAUUGCACCUUUUGUUUUAAAAGAAAAUAAAACUACAAUAUAUUUGAUCAACUUAAAUUUCAUGGCCUUACCACACUAUGACAAUCAUGUAAAAAUUAAAUUUCAAAAUAUUAACCUCAUAGAAAAAAAAUACAUUGCGAAGACAAAUAUAAAAUAAACCAAAUGAUUAAAAAAAGUUCAAUCAAACAUAUCUUGUAAAAAUAUAUCCAGACAAUCAAAUAUUGGAUUGACAAAGGCAUUAUGGAAUAAUCUAUCAAAUCUACCGCUCAAGUUAUGAACUCAAGUAAGUUUAAUGAUUUUUUAUUAAAUUUAAUUUUUAUCUAAAUAUAAAAUAAUAAAAUUUUAAAAAAAGAAGAAGCAAAAAGGAGUCUAAAAGAGUGGGUUUGGUGGCCCAGCAUUCUUGAGCCUUCUUUUAAAAAAAGAAAACCUAGGUGUGCAGACCUUGUAGUCUAGCCCACGCCCUUGAGCGUGGUUUUGCUUUUUUAAAUUUUAGACCGAUGCAUCAUUGGUUGUUUGUAGAAUCUAGCGAUGGAAGGUUUCUGGAAAAACAAGACUAUGGUUUUGUUUUUUGCUAAAAAUAUGUUUUUCAACCCAAAACAUCUAGAAAAUAUAAUAAACACCUUGAUGAAUCUAUUUAUGGUCUUAACAACCUAAAAAAAGCUCAAAAAUCUAAAAUCAACUCAAACCUGAAAAUCUUCUUGUUGAGAGGUCUCCUUCAUCAAGUAAGGAAAAAAACAAAAAAAAAACACCUAGGUAAGACUUUCCUGAUCAAAUAAAAUCCAUUAACACCAAGAUUGACCAUUUUGGUAGUUGGAAUAGAAGUCAAUAAUAACAUUUUCUCUUUACAUCGGAAUCCAGCAAAUCUCUCUCUUCUUUUUAUAAACAAAGGACUAAAAAAAAAGUUUGGUACCUAAAUUGAAUUUCUAACAACUAAAGAGAUAAAUCACCUCUUAAUGAAACAAUUGGGACCAAACUAAGCUUUUCAUAUGAAAUUUGAAGUUGCCACCUAUUUUCCCCAUGUUUUUCACUUUGAUCAUCAUCUUUUAAUUCAACCAUUUCUUCAUAAAAAAGAAGCAACUUGCUAUUAAUUUGGGCUCAAAAGGGUGCGCAAUAGUGCAUGCUAAAAAAAUUGAGGAUCAAAUUGAAAAUUUUAAAAAAAUUAAUUGUUUUAAUCCAUAAUAAUUUGUGAAAGAAUGCACAGUAAAGAGAGAAAACAUCACACAGCUUUGAACACUUUAUGUGUUGACUGAAAUUGACAAGUGAGUUUACUCACAUAUUGUUAUAUUGGUUUUGAGUUCAAAUAGACGUUUAAAAAGGGAGUUUUUCAUGAAUACUGUCGCACGUCAAAAAAUCCACGCGCGCGGCAUCAGCUAGCAAUUUAUGUCUCGUUGUUUGUAUUUACUUGAAUACUUGAAUUUGUUUGUAUUUACUUGAAUUGAUUCGUUAGGAACGCCACCUAGUAUUUAAUUGAGGUUACUAGGAAACCCUGAUUUACUGGUCAUGAUCAGAGAUUCCCGGGUAGAAGACUGAUUGUGGUUAAAAAAGAUAUUAGCACCCCUAACACACCCUACCUGAGAUAAGCUGCUCCGCGGACUUGGUGUGUUAAAGAAAUUUUAAAAAAUUUAUCUUUUCAUUGGAUUUUAGAAAUACAACUUCCGUACAAGUUUGUACUUCUACACCGUGAUUCAAUCAAAAUAUUUAAAUCCUUCUUCAUUCCUGCCAACUUUAUCAUGAAAAAUUCACAAAAUAACACACACACCACAUUCAAACUUCGUGAGCUUGAUGUAAUUUAAAAAAUAAAAUUUUAGCCCACUUCUAAGGCUUCGAUACAUCAGUUAUUAAUUCCCAAAAUAUAUGUAGAAACAUGUUCUUAUAUUUUCAUGGAAAAUACAACAUGAUUUUAUCUAUUCUUAGAAUUUGUGCAUGUUCAAAUUAAACAAUUAAUUCUUUUUUAUCCUUUUUUAUUUUUAUAAUUCAACAACAUAAAAUAAAAAAAAACACCAACACACACACUCUUUUUAUUAUUAUUUUCUUUUCUUUUCUUUUCUUUUACAUUCACAUACUACAAAUUUAAAAUAAAUAAACAAAAAUUACAUUAAAACUUUAAAAUUUACAAAAUGGUCCCCCAAAACUCCGGGAAUUGCAGAGGAACACUUCUGGAAUCGCAGCAACAGUGCUGGAACAGUGGCGGCGCGUCUUCCCACGCGUCACUGCCACUGGCGGCGCGUGGGUUCACGCGCCGUCGCUGGAAAACCUGACAAACAGGGGUGCGUGGAACGGCUUCCUCCCCUCUUCAAUUUUCUGCCGGCGGUGAGCGUUCGGUCACCUGCAAACACAUAAAAAAACGCAAACAAAGCAGUUGAUUUUAGUUUUUUUUGUUUCAGAUCUGUUUUUAAAUUUUUUCUUCUGCCCGUUUCGGAGGCCCUGUACUUUGGUGGCGAGAAGGGGUGACGGCGCUGCUGUGGCCGCUGUCGGGUGGUCUGUGACCGACAGUGAGGGAACAGACGAGGUCUGUGCUGCUGGGUCUCCAGUGAUGGCUGGUCGCAGAGGAUGAAAAAGAGAGUGUCGGUCGCCGGAGAAGGUGCUGGAAGUCAGAUCGUCCGGGGAGAGAGGAGCUGUUGUUGGUGCUGAAAAGGGGAGGCUUCUGGCGAGAAGAUCUUGGCCGAGUGAGAGUCGGGUCUGUGAGGAGGAACUGCUGAGAGGGAGAUCGGAUGAGGUGGCUGUCGGUUCUGGUUCGUUUUUAGAGAAGAUGGAAAUGGGGCUCUGGUUCUGUGAGCUGGAGGAUGGCAGAUCGGUGAGGGAGAAAAAUAAGAGGUGAAGUCUUUGGUUCUCCGUUUUUUUCCUUUCCAAAAGGGAGUAGGGGGCUGCGGCUAUAGUGUUGGAAAAAUGGGGAGAAAGAUAGGGCCGGCCGCUGGAAAUGGUUCUGAGGAAGAGAAUCAGGGGUUGUCUUGUGUUAGAGGGUGAGAUUUUUGGCAAGGAAAAAAAAUGAUGAUGGCUUCGGGUAGUUUUUGAAAGAAGGGUGGUGGCCGGGGAGAAGAGAAAAUAAAUCAAAAGGGGAGCUGGCAGCUGUGAUCGGAGAAGAAGGAAAAAAUUUCCCAAAAGGGGGGGGGGACUCCCUGGCGGCUGCUUUCAGUAGGGAAGAAGAAAAGUUUAGUUUUUUAGGGUUCUCUCUUUCCUCCCCAAAAUUACAAAAUGAACCCCUCCACUAAUUUUUGUAGGCUGCUAUUUAUAGGCAUAGCAUUUUUUCGGGUCUCAAAAUUGGUCCCUCAAUUUUUCAAUCAAUUCACUUGGUAAAAAUUAAAUUUGGUCUUAAAAUUUCAAUCUUUUCAAUUAAGUCCAAAUUAGGCUCCCAAACUUAAUUUUUCACCAAUUAAGCCCCCAAAUUAAUUUGACCCAUUUAAAGUAUAAUUAAGUCCUUGCACUUAAUUAAAUCCUUCAAUUGGACCUAAAUUAAUUCUUAAACAUAAUUAAAAUUUAAUUUGGCCCAUGAUUAAAUCAAAUUGGCCAUUAAAAAUUUCAUUAUGUCAUUGAACUUAAUUUUUAUGCAAAUUCAUCCAAUAAUCAUUUAAUUUGACCUUCGAAUUUGCAUUUAAUUUGACCUUCGAUUUUUGCCUAUUUUUGCAGUCUUUUUUCAUUGGCUUCCUCCACAGUGCCAGCCUUUAUUCUAUUUUUUUAUUUUUAUUUUGAAAAUUUGGGGAAUGACCCAGAAUUGGGUUAUGACAAAUACAACCCUUCAUGUAUUCAAUAUGAAUGAUGGGAGAUUUUAAUGUCUUGUGAAUGCAUUCAUUUAUAUAUGGAUGAUUUUGCUAAGAAUUGAUUGGUAAAAUACUUAAUUUCGUUAUAUAAAAACCGAAGAGAGAACAAUAAAUAGCUAAGAAUUGAAAUGCAAAAAACUAAUUUGCAUAUAACACUAAGUUUUGCAACCAUUUCUCUACUUUCUAUGCUAUUGGCUUGCUAAAAACUAAAGAAAAGACAUUGCUCUAGUUGUCUGCCUUCACUCUUCAGAUUGCUCAACAAAUCCCUUGAGACCUCCUCCAUAGUUAACACAUCACAUAAUGGCUACUCUAAAAAAUUUAGCCACGGUCCCCAGCCCCUUUGGGAUUUUCUUCUUCUCCCCUGCACCCGAAGGAGAGGGGGUGAUUUUCCAUUUUCUUCUUCCUCAGCUGCUGGACCCAACAACAGACCUUCUCAGCCGGUUCACUUCCACUUUCUCAGCCGGCUCCCCCUUUUCCUUUCCUUUCCUUCUUCUCCUUCAACCAGAAACAACAACGCCUCCCUCUCUCACCCCUCACCGGCCAAACACAGCUCCCCCCUUCAGCCGGUUCUCCCUCUCCCGAGGUCGCCUCCUCUUUCCCUCACCAGACUGACCCGUCUUCUCCCCUCAGCCGCAAGCCUCCCCUUCAGCUACACGACAGCCACCCCAUUUCCCCCGAUCUGUCCUUCCUUCUCUCUUGAACCAGCCAGCCACCGAGCCUUCCCCUCAGCAGCGUCUUACUUCUCUAGUCUCCUCAACACUCUCCUCUCGCCGACUAGCCUAACAGGCGACAACAGCAAGACCCGCGGACAACGACAGUCAGCGAUCUUCUCAAUCAAGCACCGGGCGAGCCAUCGCCCUCCUCCGUUCGCCUCAACAGUAGCCCGAAGCUACAUAACCGCCGGAUCUGUUACCUGUAGAAUAAAAAUCAACAAACCAUGAGAAGGAGAGAAGCCAUGAAAGAGCAGAUCGGAGAGGGGGAAAACGAAAUAAAAACCAUUGCUCGUUGCGUUUUCUUGGCUUUGUAGGUGAUGUUACUCCCCACCGCCGGUGCUGAAGGGGACAGGAGGAGAAAACGGCUAAGAUCCAUCCAUUUCCAGUUGCUGGCGGUGGCGCGUGAACCCAAGCUCCGCCAGUGGCGGUGGCGCGUUGGCGACGCGCCGCCAUUGUUCCUGCGGGUGGCAGAAGGGCAAUGCUGCAAUUUCUGGAGUUUAGGGACUAUUUUGUAAAUUUUGUAAAUUAUGUAAUGUAAUUUUUAUUUAGUUUGAAUUGUUUUUAUAAUUUGUAAUGUGAUGUAUAAAAAGAACAAAAAAAGAAAAGAAAAGAAAAGAUUGAGAAAAUAAUAAUAGAAAAGGAGUUGUGUGUGUGUUUGGUAUUUUUUCUAUGUAUGUUAUUGAAUCAAAAGAAAAAAAUGAAUUUAAUAUUUUAAUUUAUAUGCACAAAUAUCUAAAGGACAGAUAAAAAUCAUGUUGUAUUUUCCAUAAAAAUGUAGAACAUGUAUCUACGUAUAUUUUGGAAAUUAAUAACUGAUUUAUCAAAGCCUUAGAAUUGAGCUAAAAUUUUAUUUUUAAAUUCAUAUCAAGUCUAUAAAGCUUGAAAGUGAAUGUGUGGUGUUUAUUUUGUUUAUGAAUGUUUUUCUUUUAUGAUAAAAUUACAAGAAUAAAGAAGAAUUUAAUAUUCUGAUUUGCUCACGGAUAAAGAAUUAUGAACUUACACGUAAGUUGUAUUUUCUAAAAUUCGAUGAAAGAACAGAAUUUUUAAGACUUCUUUAACACAUCAAGUCCACAAAGCAGCUUACCUCAGGUAGGGUGCGUUAAGGGUGCUAAUACCUUCCCUAACCACAACCAGUCCCUUACCCGCGAUCUCUGACAAUACCAGUACAUCAGGUUUCCUAGUAGGCCUCAAUGAAUUACUAGGUGGUGACUCUAAAGAACCAAAUCAGCAAAACAGAACGAGAAAUCGCCAGCCGAUGCCGCGCGGAUUUUUUUCGACGUGCGACAUCAGUAGUCCUCAUUACACGCUCGACUCUUGCAGGCACAUUUGCCCCCAGUCAGAUGAAUGGCCUCCUGGAACAGAUUUCAUAUGAGUACUACAAGCAUGCAGCGCCAGAUAAAAUCUUGACAUUGCAUCACACAAUCACCAAAAUUCAAAGUAACAAAACGAAGAACAAAAUGUGAUAACAAUGACAAUGAUCACUCAACCACAGCCGAAUCUUAUGCUUUGAAGACACUUUUCAUCAUUAAUUUUCCUUUUCACAUUGAUUUUCAAUGUUCCAGACAUAUAAAAUAGCAUUGAUUUACAACCAUGGUUUUAAGGCAUCAUUAUUGGCAAAAACAUUGUAGGACAGAGCAAACUUAAAGAUCAAUGCUUCAGUUGUCAAUCAUAUUAAUAAUUUAUAUUUGAUCGCCUGAAAGGGCCUAGAAUAGGACCAGGUAAAAGUUUGUUUCUAUCUAAGAAAGCAAGGUCUCCACAAACUACCCCCAAUUUCGCCACUACAGCUCAAGUAGCUUUGAGUCAUUCCAACAAAUUGAAAUUGAAUUCAAAGGAAUAAAUCAUUAAAUGCAGGGCUCCUAUGUGGGAAAGGGAAAAUGAUUCACUAUUAAAAUAAGAAAAGCUCAAACACAAAUUAUAGCUUCACUUUUUGUGAAUUAUAUCUCAUAUUUCUUUGACUAUAUGUGUGUUGUAACCCAUUUUUAGAUCCCCAUAAAAAAUAAAAUAAAUAGCCAAAAGAGGUUAGAAAAAUAACAGGAGGCAGAAGCGCUCAGAAAACAGUCAGAAAAAUUGGUCAAGGAAUUUAAAAAUACAAGGAUUAAAUUUUUGACAGUAUAUUCUUGAAGGAUGAAAUCCCUAUUGAGAAGGAAAAUUUGAAUUUUGAGGAGAAAAGCCAAAAUUUGGAUGUUUAUGGACUUAAUUGGAUUUUUAUUUGAAUUUAUAGAGGAUUUGAUUGCAAGAAAAAUUGAUUUUUAAGUCAAUUUGGGCUUUAAUUAGAAGAAAUUUAAGUUCUGGGGCCAAAAUAUAUUUUUUAGGAAUUUAUUAGGUCAAAUCAGGGGCUUAAUUGCAUAAAUAUUGAAGUUUAAUGGCCAAUUAGGGACUUAAUUGUGAAAAUCCGAAACCAGGGACCAAUUUGGAAAAGGCGCAAAGAUAGAGGGGGCUAUUUGGAAUUGAUUCAGGGGCUUAAUUGAAGAAAUUGGAAGUUUAUUGAUCAAUUAGGGGGUUAAUUGUGAAAAUCAGAGGCCAAGGACAAAAGUGAAAAACGCGGCCAACUAUAGGGGCAGGGACCGAAUUUGGCAGGGACGCAAUUGAAUUUUAUUCUUAAAAUCAGGACUCGAUUGAAGGACUUAAUAGAACAAAUGAUAAAUUAAGGACUGAUUCAAAAACAAAUGUUCUGGCGCCUUUUUUUAAAUGAAACGACGCAGUUUCAUACAUAAAAAAAAAAAAAAAGAAGAGAGAGAAGACCGAACGGUGCCGUUUUGAACAGACAGCGGGGAAGAAGGAAAAGAUUGCAUUGUUUAAUUCGUUUUGAACCAACCAAGGCCCCACGCCGGUGGGCCACCGACAGAAGACACUGGCCGACCACCCGCCGCGCUCCCGAAACCGAGGGAGGCCCGCUUGGACAGCCGCUCCUCGACACGCUCCUUGGCUCCACGGUGAAGCCACGCUCACUGGCUCUAUAAAUAGAGAACCGAAAGAGAGAACAGGGGAUGAAAAAAGAAAAAGAAAAGGAAUCCGAAGAAAACUAAAAAAUGAAGAGAGAGAGGAAGAGAGAGAAACAACCCAACUGAGGAGAGAGAGCAACCGAAAACCCAAAAAAACCAAGAGAAGAGUGAAAGUUUGACGCUGGGAGGGAAUUUAGAAAACAAAAACCAAGAAAUAGAACCGAGAGGGCGUCGCCGGAUUGUUUGGAAAUCACCGUGAGGAGUCGCCGUCCGUGAUCUAGGACGCUGCAACCGCCUCCACCGCAGCACCGCCAGCAAGUCGUCGUCUCCGCUGUGCCAGGUACGCUUCCUCCCCCCGCAUUUUUUUUCUUCUGAAACUUGCAUGAGUUGGCCUCUUGCAUGCAGAAUCGUUCUGCAUGCAGGAGGCGGGGGGGAAAAUAAUUCCCCCCCGUGCUGUAGUUUUCUUUAUUCUCUAGGCCAGAUGAUUUCUGGCCCAGAAAUAUAUGGGAUGGGCCAGAAGGAUUCUGGCCCAACCCGGCGGUCUGGGCCGGUUCCGGCCCAGACCCAGGUAGGAUAGUUGUUGGGCCGAGAUCGGCCCAGUCCCUUUUGGCCCGAGUCUGGCCCAACGAUUUUUGGGGCUGAGUCCCGCCCAUUUAGUUGGGCCGGCCCAGCCCACUUAAUAUAUUAAUAUAUUUAUUAAAUUAAAUUAUAUUAUUAUAUUAUAUUAUUAUAUUAUUAUAUUAUAUUAUGCAUGUAUAUAUAUAUUUUUUUAAAAAAAUAAAAAAAAAUCCGAAAAGUCUAAAAAAUAUUGUUGUUUUCUUUUCAUAUAUAUAUAUAUAUAUAUAUAUAUAUAUUUAUAUACAUUAGUUUGUAUUUUUAUACUGUGGAGAUACAAACUCAGUGUUUAAAAUACCCAGUUUUCGUCAAGACAUUCAAGAUUUUCAAAGACAAAAAAAAAACAUGUCUGUUUGCUUUCAAAAAUUCUAAAAAAUUCCUUAAAAAUAUUAUUGAUUUUUCCUGCACAUUGUUUUUUGUUUUUUUAUAUUGGUUUGUAUUUUUAUACUGUGGAGAUACAAAUUCAGUAUUAAAAUACCCGAUUUCGUCAAAAAAAAAUGUUUACAAAAAAAAAAAUGUGUUUUCUUGCGUGUUGCAUACGGCCAAUACUCUAACAUGUUUUGAAUGUUCUUUUUAUAAAAAACAAAUAUUGGAAGCUUUGAAAAUGUGUUUUCGCAUAGAUUUCUUAAACACAAACUACUUUCUUGCAUUUCUGGAUUUUACAACAUGUUUGUAAAACUCCAAAGGGUAUUGGCCAAUAUUCCAAAAACUAUAAAAAAUUUUAUUCACCGCUAAUGUUUGGAUAAAGAAAUUCUUAAAGGACGAAUAUCCAAAAUAUUAGUGGGAGUAAUAAAUCUGCACACAUCUUUGAAAGAAGCCUUGAUUAUAAUCGAGGACAUUUCAAAAUUUCAAAAAAAAAAUUUCCCUUCACGGUUUACGAGCCGUGAAUGUAUGAAAUACUAAGGCAAGAUGUUUUUUUUAAGCAUUGUGAAUUUUCUUAGAUUUCUAAUUUGUUCCUCCUCCUUGCGAUUUACGAGUCGCAAACUCUUGAAAUACUAAGGGAAAAAUGAGCUUUCAAAGCACAUGGAAUCUCCUUAGAUUUCUACCCAAAAUAAAUUGACGGGACUAGAAAACACCAACACCAUAGAUUAUAGAGCAAACCAAACACCAAGCAGCUUACCUUAGGUAUGGCGUACUAGGGGUGCUAAUACCUUCCCUUUACGCAACCAGUCCCUUACCUUAGAAUCUCUGAAAGACCAGUUAGGGUUCCUAGUGACCAAAAUACUAGGUGGCGACUCCAAAACACCAAAUCAGUAAAAUAAUGAAAAAUCGCCAGUCGAACCCGCAAUUGGAUUGGAUUUUUUUUGGGGUGCGACAGAAUGGCGACUCCACUAGGGACCCUUGGACUAAGCUUGAUUUGUUUGUUCGUUUAUGCUAUGUGUGAUUGGUUUUUAUUUUCUUAUGAUGCUUUGUUUAAAAGCUUUAGCAUAUUUCUUUACAUUCUAUCAUACAUGGCAUAGUCAUGCAUUACUUUAUUAUUAUUAUUAUGUUUUGGAGGGCACACACAUGUAACUUUAAGAUUAAGUGGGGGACUAGCAGCUUGCCUUAUGACUUGAGUCAAGGUUUAAGUUUGUGUAAACCCCAACUCUUUGCUGAGUGUUUAGACUAUUGUGAUUGGUACAUGUACCAUCCCACUAUCUGCUAGACCUCCAUAUCGCCUUUACGAGGUUGAUCACUGGAACAACAAGAGACCCUCUUUUAGAGACCCAGUAGUAAACCUACCCUAUGUCUCACGUAGAGGAACUAGAACCUAUCCUUAGGGUGUAUGUUCCAAUAUAUCUUUUGCAUCAAAACAAGUCUAAACCCCAAUGCAUUUUGAAUUGCAGGACUUGUGAACGAAAUGACCAUCAUCACUAAAUCUUCCAUCUUAGAGUAUGGAAACAAUUCUGAACUGUCACAAUUGACUGAAGGAGACUACCUUAGAAGCGAUGCUAAGAAGAUGUCACCAAUCAAGAACCUGAAUUGCAUAUUGAAUGAGGUGAACAAAUUAACGACUCAUUUUCAGAAUGUGGAUAAAGAUGCAUUUUUUAGGAAAUACGGACGUUUGAUGGAAAUUGCAAAGGUAGAAGUUUUAAGCCCAGCUGUGCGAGCUUUAGUUCAUUUUUGGGAUCCAGACUACCGAUGUUUUUCCUUUGGAAGCAUAGACUUGUGCCCAACGGUUGAGGAAUAUGGAUUGUUGACCGAGUUUCCCAACGACCUGUAUCAGAUUUAUUCUCCUUUAAGAUCCGACAAGAUCAUCCCUGAACUGUCAAAAUUGCUCAGAAUCUCCAACUUGGAAAAGUUUAUGGAAAAGAAUGGUACCGGUUUGAAAUGGAGGAUGCUAGAAUUGGAAAAGAAGUCGGGAGUAGAAAAAGAGAGAUUGAUUGCCCUAGGUAUAUUUGGCCUUGUGUUGUUCCCAAGUCAGAUUGGUUUAGUGAGUUUGGAGGCCGCUGCUGCUUAGGUGGAAUAUGAGAAUACACAAAUCAAUCUAGUGGCUGCUUUUUUAGCCGAAACAAUUUUGACACUUAAUCAUUAUAGGAGGGCCGGAAAAGGAGCAAUGAGAUGUUGCACGCAACUGUUGUAUAUUUGGAUGGUUAGCCAUAUCGAAACAAAGAAACCUGUCUUCAAUAAUUUUUGGUGGUUCACCUAAAAACCCCUAAAGUUAGUAGAAGAAGAAGAAUGGGGAGAUCUAGACAACCAGGGUUGGGUUGAUAAAUUAGAAGGUUUACCUAAUAGAGAUUUUAAGUGGAGAGCCCCAUGGGUAACGACAGUGAAGGUCCUAAUGAGUUGUGGACAAAGGCGUUGGGUACCAUUGGUGGGGAUUACGGGUUAUGUGAGUUAUGCUCCUGCCUUAGUGGUAAGACAACUUGGGGUCAUGCAGUUCGUUCCCAGGACUAUGGGAAUCGCUUAAUUCUCUGGUUUGUUCAAAGAUCCCAUGGCAGAUGAGGUUUUGGAGAUCAUCAAACAAGAUUGGAAGCAUCUAGUGUUGGUGGAGAUAGAAGGGUUGAGAGAUCCAAGUGUGAGCGAAGGAUAUGUAAAAUGGAGAGACUCAGCUACUUCAGCCACGCCUUGCGUAGAAGCUAAAUCUCCUCAAGCUGUAGCGGAGCCUAUUAAGAGAAAAAGGGUGAACAUUGAAGAUGAUUCAGCUGCUUCAGCCAUGCCUUGUGUAGAAGUCAAAUCUCCUCAAACUGUAGAGGAGCCUAUUAAGAGAAAGAGGGUUAGCAGUGAAGAAGAAUUGAGAAGGCAAGUGGAAAAACUGAGAAUAGAGUUGAGCAAGAGCAGAAAAGACAAGGCAAUGUUGGAAGAAAUGAUGCUAGAAGAGGAUAAAAGAAGAACAUUUCUAGAUGAGCAAAUACAGUCUAGAGAUGCGAAAAUAACAAAGCUGGAGUUAAAGUUGGUUGAGGAGAAGAUUGCUAGGGAAGGAAGUGAGAAGGAGCUUAAAGGGUUGAGUUUGGAUUGGAUGCAAAGUUGCUCUGAACUUGAAGCAAUGGAGAUGGACUUUAGCGAUUGCCAAGAAAGUGCAGAAUAUUACCAAGAAAAAUUUGCGCAAGUGCAAUUCGAACUAAUGGAUAGGAUUAGGAAGUAUGAGGAUUUGAAUAAGAAAUAUAUGGAGUUGGAAAGCGAAAGGGGAGGAUGCGAGGAUGUUAAAGCAGAGUUAGCGGUCAAGAAAAAUGAGAUAAAAGUUAUGAGGAUAAAGCUUGACAAAGAACGCGAAAAGUCGAAGCAUUUAGACGAGAAGCUAGUAGCAAUGGAAAAGCAUAAAGAUCAAAUUGACGCCAACAACACUGCUUUGAACAGAACCAACAUGUUGCUAAUAGAAAAAAUGACCAAAACAGAUGAGCAAAUGGACGAAGCUGCUGCACAUGCUCGAAUUGUUAGAAUCAAUGCGCGGAAUGUAGGAGGAGACAUCAUUCGCUAUCGCCGAAGCCUAGCUGAAACUGAUGCCUUUCUAGGGAAGAUUGAGAACCGCGGCUUUGCUUUCUUACCUUUGGCUAAAGAGUUUAGGGAGGAAAGGGAUUAGCAUGUUGUAUUUCUUUUAUUUCUAAAUGUAUUUUUAUCCAAGCGUUAAUGAAAAGGGCGUUGACCCAUCUUCUUAUGCAAAAAUCUGUCUCUUGGUGAACAUGAUUCAAGCAAACGACUCGAAAGGCAGAACUCCUAUCAAAGCAAUGUGACAAGAGAAUGCUUAUAAUGUGAUGGUUGUUAUUCGUUCACAAAAAAAGGCUGCAUCCAUACCCAAUGAAACAUGCAUUUUUCAAUCAUGCAUCCAUCACAAUCAUACAUUUUUCUCAUACAUCUAUGCAUGCAUCUGCAGAUUAAGAAACAUAGGUCCCCCUUCUAGAAUCCACAACACUCGACAAAGAACAAGAAUGGAAAACGAAGAAAGGUCACAACCAGAAGCUCAGUACCAAAGAGAACUUGAAGGAGUUCGGAAUGAUGUGGCGCACCUAACCAGUAUGUUAGAGCAGAUAUUGAGAGCCAGAGAUGGAGAGGGAACGUCUACUCAACCUAAUGAAGCACCAGCAGCAGCUCAAAUUCCUGUCGCACCUAUAAACAUAGGGGCAAAUACACCAACUAAGCAGAGUCCUAGUCCUGCUCGGCCCAUCCAAAUCCCUAUUACAAUGGAUUUAACAAACGAAGAUCCACAUGACUUUAAAUUCUUUAAUCAUGAAGGAGAUGAUAAGUGGACUGCACUAGAAGAGAGGCUAAGGGCAAUUGAAGGAAAUGAUUUGUUUGACCCCAUUAGGGUCGCUGAAGUAUGUUUAGUGCCUAACAUUGUUAUUCCAAAGAAGUUCAGAGUGCCAGAGUUUGUUAAGUAUACUAGGAUGGAAUGCCCAAAGACCCAUCUCCGCUCCUACUAUAACAAAAUGGCAGAGGUUAUCCACGACGAUAAAAUGUUAAUUUACUUCUUCCAGGAUAGCCUGACCGGAUCGACCCUCAGUUGGUAUAUGAGGUUAGACAACAUUAGGAUCAAGAAGUGGACGGACCUGGCAGAUGCUUUCUUAAAGCAAUACAAGUUUAAUCUUGAGAUUGCUCCUGAUAGGACCAGUCUGAUUACCAUGGAGAAAGGAACUCAAGAGUCAAUGUACAACCUCCGCUAAUAGAAACAGAAAUGGUGACGUUGUUUGCUAAUACUUUUAAGGCUCCAUACUAUGAACACCUUAUGGGUAGUUCAGCACAACAUUUCUACGAUGUUGUGCAGAUUGCUGAGAGGAUUGAACAAGGAAUCCGAAGUGGGAGAAUUGCACCUAUAGAGAAGAGAGGUUUCAUUGGAAAGAAGAAAGAAAAUGAGGUGAAUAACCUAGAAAGGAGAAGCAAAAACUACCAAAUACCUACCACCUGAGUCACUAGUAUUAACUUUUCCAAACCCCCCAUUCCAAACCAACCCAAUCAAAUAAAAUUCCCAGCAAAUAACCACAUCAAUUACCAAAGAAAGGAUAACCAACCAUCAGAAGAACAACUACCUCCUUUACCAAUAACCUUAAAAGAAUUGUAUGCCAAGCUGUUGAGUAUUGGACAGAUAGCUCCCCUACCCAUACCACCUAUGCAACCACCUUUCCCUACCUGGUACAACCCCGAGGUGACUUGUGAAUACCAUGCUGGUCACGCGGGCCAUAACAUUGAGUCUUGCUUUGCUUUUAAAAGAAAGGUGUUGUAACUGAUCAAAGUGGGAUGGGUCACUUUCGAGGAUUCGCCUUUUGAAAAUGAUGUGUAAAUGCAUAGUAAGACAUCAAGAUGAAUUUUGAAAAUGCAUGAUCUCAUUAAAAACAAAAGAUUGGCUCACAAACAAAAUAAAAUCCAAUUGACAUCUUGAGCCUCGAUUGUCAAUGAAUAAAAACAAAACAGAAAAAAGGCAAACAACAUAGUUAAAAAUAUAAUCCAACAAUCAUUGUUGAUUACAUUUUAAAAACCAAUGGAGCUUCUUGGGUCUCCCAAUUCUAGAACUUCUCCCCUUCGGCUAGCUUCCGAACAAAAGUCUUGACGGUGACUUCUUCCAAAGUGUGGAUGGUUAAUUGUGGCAGCUCUUCAUCCCUCCUUUCGGAUUCAAUUUUCUCAGCAAUGUCCUUGACUUGAUUUUCCUCCAGAAUGUUUAUGCCCUUUGGGACGCUGGUUUUUUGGAAGUAGUGAAGUAUCCACAAUGGGUGUCAAAACAUAGUGGUGGUACCCAAAAAGGAAGGUAAAAUCAGAGUUUGCGUGGACUUUAGGGACUUAAAUCGGGCUAGCCCUAAAGAUAAUUUCCCUUUACCACACAUAGAUAUGUUAGUUGAUAAUGCAGCACACAGCUCCACAUAUUCCUUCAUGGAUGGGUUUUCAGGCUACAAUCAGAUAAGAAUGGCGCCAGAGGAUAGGGAGAAGACAACCUUUGUAACACCAUGGGGAACCUUUUGCUACAAAGUCAUGCCAUUUGGUUUAAAGAAUGCUGGGGCCACUUACCAAAGGGCUAUGGUGACUUUGUUUCACGACAUGAUGCACAAAGAGAUUGAAGUAUACGUGGAUGACAUGGUUGCUAAAUCUAAAGAGGGAGAGAAUCAUGUCCAAAUAUUGAAGAAAUUAUUUGAAAGAUUAAGGAAAUAUAAGUUCAGGCUUAGCCCAACAAAGUGUUCAUUCGGGGUGUAAUCCGGUAAGCUGUUGGGGUUUAUGGUGAGUGAUAAAGGGAUAGAAGUGGAUCUUGAAAAAGUAAAAGCUAUUCAAUCUAUGCCACCCCCCAAGACUGAGAAGGAGGUGAGAGGUUUCUUAGGAAGGUUGAAUUACAUCGCUCGGUUUAUAUCCCAUUUAACCGCGACUUGUGACCCGAUCUUUCGUUUGUUGAGGAAGAAGAACCCUGGAAUAUGGAAUGAAGAGUGUGAUAAAGCUUUUGAGAAAAUCAAGCAGUACUUGCUAAAUCCACCUCUGCUUGUUCCUCCCGUACCAGAAAGGCCAUUGAUUUUAUACCUAACAGUAACCGAAACAGCAAUGGGAUGUGUGCUUGGGCAACAUGAUGAAACCGGAAGGAAGGAAAGGGCCAUUUAUUACCUAAGCAAGAAGUUCACGGAAUAUGAGUCUAGGUAUACUGUGAUUGAGAAGCUGUGUUGCGCACUAGCAUGGGCUACAAAGAGAUUACAUCAGUAUAUGUUGUAUCACACUACAUGGUUAAUUUCCAAGUUAGACCUAUUAAGGUACAUUUGUGAAAAACCUUAUCUAUCUAGCCGAAUUGCAAGAUGGCAAGUUCUUUUGGCUGAGUAUGACAUAGUAUAUAUGACAAGGAAAGCCGUGAAAGGGAGUGUUAUUGCCGAUCACCUGGCUGACCAUGCUAUGGAAGAUUAUGAGCCGUUAAACUUUGACUUUCUCGAUGAAGAUGUGUUUGCAAUCGAGGAAGAGAAAUCAGAUUGGUGGGUUAUGUACUUUGAUGGUGCUGUAAAUGUAUGUGGUAACGGAGCAGGUGCAAUAAUAAUCUCUCCUGAUAAGAAGUAGUAUCCGGUUUCAGUUAAGCUGCAGUUUGGGUGCACCAAUAACACGGCUGAGUAUGAAGCUUGCAUUCUUGGUUUAGAGGCUGCCUUAGAGAUGAACAUAAAAAAGAUAGAUGUGUAUGGAGACUCAAUGCUGAUCAUUUGCCAAGUAAAAGGAGAAUGGCAAACCAAAGAAGAGAAGUUAAGGCCUUACCAAGAAUACCUAUCUAAGCUAGCUAAAGAAUUUGAGGAAAUAGAGUUCACCCAUCUAGGAAGGGAAGGGAACCAGUUUGCAGAUGCUUUGGCCACACUAGCAUCUAUGGCCAAGAUAGACUUUGGGCACAAGGUACAACCAGUACACAUCAAUAUCAGAAAUAACCCCGCUCAUUGCUGCUCAGUCGAAAGAGAAGUGGAUGGAAACCCGUGGUACUAUGAUAUCAAGAAUUUCAUCCAAAACCAGGCAUAUCCCAUGGGGGCAUCCAAAAUCGACAAGAAGACCUUGAGAAGGUUGGCAAUGGAUUUUUAUCUUGAUGGGGAGAUUUUGUAUAAGAAAUCAUCUGACGGGACUUUGUUGAGAUGUUUGGAUGAAUUUGAGGCAAAAAGCACGGUACGGGAAGUCCAUGAAGGGAUUUGCUCAACUCAUGCUAGUGGACAUGUGAUGGCCAGGAAGAUACAAAGAGCCGGGUACUUCUGGAUGACAUUAGAGAAGGAUUGUAUCGAUUAUGUCCGGAAAUGUCAUAAGUGCCAAGUAUACAGUGAAAAUCAAUGCUCCUCCGGCUCCUCUGUUUAAUUUAACAUCUCCAUGGCCUUCGCGAUGUGGGGAAUUGAUGUGAUUGGACCGGUAAACCCAAAAGCCAGCAAUGGUCAUAGGUUUAUUCUCGUGGCUAUCGACUACUUCACAAAAUGGGUAGAAGCUGGGUCAUUUGCUCAUGUGACGCAAAAAGUGGUGAAAAAUUUAUUGAGAGAGAUUUGAUAUGUCGGUAUGGUCCACCAGAAAAGAUUAUAACUGAUAAUGCCCAAAUUUCAACGGCAAGAUGAUAAUAGAGCUCUGCACUAAAUGGAAAAUCAAGCAUUCCAAUUCUUCGCCAUAUAGACCAAAGAUGAAUGGUGCGGUAGAAGCUGCUAACAAAAUGUCAAAAAGAUUAUUCAGAAGAUGGUAGUCACCUAUAAGGAUUGGCAUGAGAUGUUGCCAUUUGCCCUUCAUGCAUAUCGCACCGCAGUUCGAACCUCAACAGGAGCCACCCCGUACAUGUUGGUAUAUGGAAUGGAGGCGGUGAUGCCUUUAGAAGUGGAAAUCCCAUCAUUGAGAGUGUUGUUAGACUCUGAGCUGGAAGAGGUAGAAUGGGCAAAGGUUAGAUAUGAACAGUUGAAUCUGAUCAGUGAAAAGAGGAUAGCCGCGAUCUGUCAUCAUCAACUCUACCAAAGAAGGAUGGCUAAAUCAUAUGACAAGAAGGUUCGACCUCGAGGAUUCCACGAAGGAGAUCUUGUACUAAAGAAAAUAUUACCUUUACCUGGAGAAGAUCAGAGUAAAUGGGCACCUAACUACGAGGGGCCUUACGUGGUGAGGAAAGCAUUCUCAGGAGGAGCUUUGUUACUGUCUAGAAUGGAUGGAGAAGAUCUAGCUAGGCCUGUGAAUUCCGACUCUGUAAAGAAAUACUACGCUUGAUGUAUUUCGUAAUUUCCCAGUCAAUAAAAUAAAUUUCGGCCAUGAAUUCUCUUUGUAAAGAGUCCUUUUUAUAUAUAUAUAUAAAACAUAUGAUCUCAUAGCAUUUGAAAUCUUUUACUUAAAAGAAUUUUUUUGCAUGACUAAGAAGAUGACUCCAUCAAUUGGAGAGAACCAAAUCAAAUCUGCUUGACAUAUAGUUGCACAUCACACUAGGGGGCAAAAGGUGCACGAAGUGCACAUAAGGGUCCAUAGUGAACCCAAGCCAAAAAGGGGUAUCAUAAUAAAAACUUCUGAAAAAGGCAUCUUUUAUAAGAUUUGCUAAUUGCAUUAAAAGUUUCAGUUUUCAUGAACAAAACCAAUUUUUCCUUUUAAAAUAAUAAAGCACAGAAAUCAAUGGAGCAAGAAAGGGCCCCAUAAGGAACCAGAGAUCUCUUCACUAAAAGGAUAUGAAGUAUAUUUCGGUUCAUGAGAAAAGCUUGAAACAAGAGCUCGAAGAGGUUUACGACGAAAGGGGGACCUAUGUUUUCAAGAUAGGUAACAAAAACAUACAUCCAUAUUGACCAUAAUACAUUUCUUUCAACAUUUGUCAGAUCGGGGUUUCAUCACCACUUCUCGGGUUGUGCGUUUGUUUUUAAACCCUACCUCAUUUCGAGUGCGCAUUUGAGCCCUCACUUCUUGGGUAGUGCGUUUUCUAACCCUACUUCUUUUUUAGUGAGCUGUGUUGUAACCCAUUUUUGGGUCCCCACAUAAAAAAAAUAAAAAUUCAAAAAAUAUAUUAUCAAAAAAUAUAACAGUGAAAAAAUGCUAGAGCGCCCUAAAAAUGCUCAAAAUUUGAUUGAGGAUGUUCAAAAAUCAAAAAUUAAUUUUUGACAGUAUAUCAUUGACUGAUGAGAGCCCCGAUGAUAAAGAAAAUUCAAUUUGUGGAAGAAAAAUGCAAAAUCAGAAGUUUAUGGACUCAAUGAAAUUUUAUUAAAGGUUUAAUUGCAUUUAUGAAGAUUUUAAUUGCAAGAAAAAUUGAUUUUGGAGUUAAUUUGGGCUUUAAUUAGGAGAAAUUAAUUUUCUAGGGUCAAAUUAUAAUUUUUGGAAGUUAAUUUGGUCAAAUCAGGGGCUUAAUUGCAUAACUAUUGAAGUUUAAUGGCCAAUUAGAGACUUAAUCGAAGAAAUCCGAGACCAAGGACUAAAAUGCAAAACGCGCGCAAAUUGAGGGACUUCUUUGAAUCUGACGCGUUUUGGCGCCUUUUUCUUUUAAAUGAAACGGCGCGUUUUGACCAAAACAGCGCCGUUUCAUUCACUGUUGCAAAAAAAAAAAAAAAAAAAAAAAAACAGAAGCCCAAAACGGUGCCGUUUUGACGACACUGUAGGUCUUCUUCUUCCCCUGGACGCGCGAGGCAGGGGAAGAAGAAGAUUUUUCUUCUCCCUUUUCGCGUACUUUCUUUCCUUCUUUUGCUCAAAAAGACGCCGAAACAAGGACACCACUUGCCCAAGGAUUUCCACAUGUUGGACGAACAUUGGAGGGGCGGCAGCAUAGUGGCCGCCCCAGCCACGUCUCCCCUGUUUUUCGCCUAUAAAAACAGGGGAGGAAGAAGGAGGAAGAGGGGAAGAAAAGAGAAGGGAGAGGGAAGAGAGAAGAGAAGAGAAGAGAAGAGAAGAGAAGAGAAAGAAGAGAGGAAAAGAAAAGAAAAGAAAAACAGAAACAGAAGAAGAAAGAAAGAAGCAGGGGAGAAGAGAGAAGAAAUCGUCGCCUCUGCCACCCUUCGAUCACCAGCAGCACCGCCGGCCACCGCUCCAGUUGGAAGCUCCACCGCGUCAGGUAACCUCCUGCUCCCUCGCCAUCAUUUUUUUUCUUCUCGCCCUCGCUGUCCCUGCCUGCACUUGCAUGCAGAACGUGAAUAAUUCACGUUCUGCUGCAAAAUGCAGCGUGGGCUGGGCUGGGCCGUCAGCCCAGCCCAUGUAAAAUGGGCUUGGCUGGCCCAGCCCACGCAUUUGGGCCGGGUCCGACCCAUUUUAAUUUUUUAAUUUUUUUUUAAAAAGAAUUUUUACAAUUUUUCCAGCACAUGUUUUUAUCAAUUUUGCUUAAUAUCAGUCUGUAUUUUACAUCGUAAAAAUAUAAAUUCGGUAUUAAAAUACCCGGUUUUCGUCCCGCGGUACUGUUCACACGGCACUAUUCACAAUUCAAAAAAAAAAAAACAAAAUCAAAAAUAUUUGUUUCAGAAUUUUAUAUUUUUUCCGCGUAGUUUUUAUGUCAUUUUGAUUAAUAUCGGGCAGUAUUUUUACAUCGUAAAAAUAUAAAUCCGGUAUUAAAAUACCCGGUUUUCGACAAAAACUUCCAAAAAUUAAAAAAAUUAAAAAAAACAACAAUUAAAAAAAAAAUGUUUUUUGUGCAUACGCCCAAGUUUCUCAAAUCUAAAAAAUCAUAUCGUAUUUUUCAUAUGUCAAAAAACAAUAUUUUAGCAUGCAUUUUGGCUUUAAUAACCAGUUUAUUAAAGUCAAGAGAACAUUGGCCAAAAUCUCAAAAACAACAAAAUAUUUUAUUUUGUUUGAUUUUAGUAUCAGAGAUUAUGAAUUUAUACGUAAAUCGUAUUCCUGAUAUUAAAAAGAUAUUUUCUUUUGACGACUUCGAAUAGUUAGUUUUUUUUUUUUUUUUUUUUUUUUUUUACCCGAUAAAGAUAAGGAUCUCCUUACGGAGGAGGACUUUUCUUAAACCGUAAACGAACCAACAAUUCAAAAACCACAACACGAGUUUAGAUUUUUUCAGACAUUAAAACAAUGCAGCCUACCUUAGGUAGGACGUAGUUGGGGUGCUAAUACCUUCCCUUUAUGCAACCAGUCUCCGUACCCGAUCUCUAAAGACCAGUUAAGGUUCCUAGUAACCAGAAUACUAGGUGGCGACUCCCAUUCCAAUUUUUUUUCACUUGUAGAGACAAGAAUUCCUUGUCUCUCCUUAUUUUUCAGGAAUAAAUUAUUCCGAUUUUCCCUUGAGGGUGGACGAUCGCCGCGCCGCCGCACACGUGCGACAGAAUGGCGACUCCACUGGGGACCUUGUGGACUAAGCUUUGUUUUUGUCUGAUUAUUGUGUUUUUUGUUGUGGUUUGCGUGUUUUUAUUUUUAAAUAUACAUUUCCUUUAUUUUUUCUUACACGCUUUAAUUUCUGUAUAUAUUUUUCAAACCAUACACAAGCCUUUAAGUUAAGUGGGGAAUUAACGAUCUGCCCUAUGACUAUUGGUCGGGUUCAGAUGCGUGAAACACCCAACUCAUAUCUGAGAGCCUGCUUGGUAAUGGUGGGCAUACGUGUCUUAACUGUUCUUUGCAACGCCCCCAUACUGCCUUUACGAAGGACGUCACUGGGCAGAUAUGAGACCCUUUUGAGACCAGGUAGAAAACCUAUUCAUGAAUAGACCCUGUCUUUAGUUUGUAUGCGCUAUCUUUCUUUACAGAAUAUGUCAUACAAAAAAAAAAAAAAAAAUCAUGUCACCCCUUUGAGGGGCAAGUGCAUCAUAUAAAUUACAUGUUCAAACAUUUAACAUGCAUACAUGCCAGAUCGAAAUAUAGGUCCCCAAAAAGUCUACAACACCCGACUUCGAGCAAGAAACAUGGAAGAUGAAGAGCGUGCUCAACGUGAGGCCUAUUUGCACAACGAGUUGGAGUCUCUGAAAAUAAGUGUGGCUCACCUCACUAGCUUACUCAAGCAAACACUAAGAAAUACCUCUGAUGAAGGUAUUUCUAAUCGACCGAUUACCUUUGAUCCGACUCCUACUACAGUUCAGCCUGAGGAAAGAAUGAGCGAACAUGGUCAAGAACCUCAGCAAAAUCCAACAUUUGUGCAGUCAACGACACCUGCACCAUCCCCAACAGUCGUGAAGGCAUCUGCUAAUGAGUCCUACAAGGCUAAGUCAUCUGAUAGCAUUGAUCAAGCUAAGAUAGAGGCGUUGGAGGCCAGACUCAAAGCCAUUGAAGGGAUAGACUUAUAUGACCCGGUACGGGCAGCAGAGAUGUGUUUGGUCCCAAAUGUGGUUAUCCCAAAGAAAUUUCGUGUUCCUGAAUUCAUCAAAUACAGUGGAACACAAUGCCCCAUGACCCAUCUCAGGUCCUACUGCAAUAAAAUGGCUGAGGUAGUACAUGAUGAAAAACUACUAAUGCACUUUUUCCAAUACAGUUUAAGUGGGGCAACUUUGAGUUGGUACAUGAGAUUGGAUAACACAAAAAUUCGCAACUGGAAAAAUCUUGUGGAUGCUUUCGUCAAGCAAUACAAGUACAACAUGGACAUUGCGCCCGACAGAACCAGUUUGUCCAAUACAGAGAAAAAGGAUAAAGAAAGCAUAAGGGAAUAUGCUCAAAGAUGGCGAGAAUUAGCUGCUCAAGUACAUCCCCCACUUCUGGACAAAGAGAUGGUCUCUUUAUUUGCCAACACACUUAAAGCACCAUAUUACGAACAUAUGAUGGGUAGUUCAGCCCAACAAUUCACUGAUGCUGUGAUAGUGUGUGAACGCAUAGAGCAAGGUGUCAAGAGUGGUAGAAUUGCUGCACCAACCGAGAAAAGAGGCGUCGAAAGAAAAGAGGUUCACCAUGUUGAAGAUGACUACAUGGGUAAAACAAAUACAUCCCGAAAUUACCAUACUAUUCAUACGGUACUGUUCACACAUGCAUAAAAAAAAAAACAAAAUCAAAAAUAUUUGUUUCAGCAUUUUAUAUUUUUUCCGCGUAGUUUUAUGUCAUUUUGAUUAAUAUCGGGCAGUAUUUUUACAUCGUAAAAAUAUAAAUCCGGUAUUAAAAUACCCGGUUUUCGACAAAAACUUCCAAAAAUUAAAAAAUUAAAAAAAACAACAAUUAAAAAAAAAAUGUUUUUUGUGCAUACGCCCAAGUUUCUCAAAUCUAAAAAAUCAUAUCGUAUUUUUCAUAUGUCAAAAAACAAUAUUUUAGCAUGCAUUUUGGCUUUAAUAACCAGUUUAUUAAAGUCAAGAGAACAUUGGCCAAAAUCUCAAAAACAACAAAAUAUUUUAUUUUGUUUGAUUUUAGUAUCAGAGAUUAUGAAUUUAUACGUAAAUCGUAUUCCUGAUAUUAAAAAGAUAUUUUCUUUUGACGACUUCGAAUAGUUAGUUUUUUUUUUUUUUUUUUUUUUUUUUACCCGAUAAAGAUAAGGAUCUCCUUACGGAGGAGGACUUUUCUUAAACCGUAAACGAACCAACAAUUCAAAAACCACAACACGAUUUUAGAUUUUUUCAGACAUUAAAACAAUGCAGCCUACCUUAGGUAGGACGUAGUUGGGGUGCUAAUACCUUCCCUUUAGCAACCAGUCUCCGUACCCGAUCUCUAAAGACCAGUUAAGGUUCCUAGUAACCAGAAUACUAGGUGGCGACUCCCAUUCCAAUUUUUUUUCACUUGUAGAGACAAGAAUUCCUUGUCUCUCCUUAUUUUCCAGGAAUAAAUUAUUCCGAUUUUCCCUUGAGGGUGGACGAUCGUCGCGCCGCCGCACACGUGCGACAAGCUGUUUGAGCCCUCACUUCUUGGGUAGUGCGUUUUCUAACCCUACCUCUUUUCGAGUGCACCGUUUGAGCCCUCACUUCUCGGGUAGUGCGUUUUCUAAACCUUACCUCAUUUCGAGUGCGCCUUUGAGCCCUCACUUCUUGGGUAGUGCGUUUUCUAACCCUACCUCUUUUCGAGUGCAUCGUUGAGCCCUCACUUUUCGGGUAAUGCGUUUGUUUUUAACCCUACCUCAUUUCGAGUGCGCCUUUGAGCCCUCACUUCUUGGGUAGUGCGUUUUCUAACCCUACCUCUUUUCGAGUGCGCCGUUUGAGCCCUCACCUCUCGAGUAGUGCGUUUUCUAACCCUACCUCAUUUCAAGGGCGCCUUUGAGCCCUCACCAACAUUUUUCUGGGUAGGUCACUCAUUACAACGCGACCACUUCUCCAUUUUUUUUUUUUACUUUGGUAGGUCACCCAUUACAAUAAGGCCAUUCUUCCACCUGGGUAGGUCACCCAUUACAAUGAGACCACUCUUUCCUUUUUCUUUGAGUAGGUCACCCAUUACAAAUGAGACCGCACUCCACAUUUUUUUCUAUUUGGGUAAGUCACCCAUCACAACGAGACCGUUUUUUCAUAUUCUUGCCACUUGGGUAGGUCACCCAUCACAAUGAGACCAUUAUUAUUAUUAUUAUUUUCUGGGUAGGUCACCCAUAAGAAUGAGACCAUUCUCCAUUUUUUUUUUACCUGGGUAGGUCACCCAUAAUAAUGAGGCCAUUCUUCCCCCUAGGUAGGUCACCCAAAGAAUGAGACCACUCUUCCUUUUUUCUUGGGUAGGUCACCCAUCACAAUGAGACCAUUAUUUCUUUCUGGGUAGGUCACCCAUAAGAAUGAGACCAUUCUCCAUUUUGUUUUUACCUGGGUAGGUCACCUAUAAGAAUGAGGCCAUUCCUCCCCCUGGGUAGGUCACCCAAAGAAUGAGACCACUCUUCCUUUUUCCUUGGGUAGGUCACCCAUCACAAUGAGACCAUAUUUUUUCUAGGUAGGUCACUCAUAAGAAUGAGACCAUUCUCCAUCUUUUUUUUUACCUGGGUAGGUCACCCAUAAGAAUGAGGCCAUUCCUCCCCCUGGGUAGGUCACCCAAAGAAUGAGACCACUCUUCCUUCUUCCUUGGGUAGGUCACCCAUCACAAUGAGACCAUAUUUUUUCUGGGUAGGUCACCCAUAAGAAUGAGGUCAUUCCUCCCCCUGGGUAGGUCACCCAAAGAAUGAGACCACUCUUCCUUUUUCCUUGGGUAGAUCACCCAUCACAAUGAGACCAUUAUUUUUUCUGGGUAGGUCACCCAUAAGAAUGAGACCAUUCUCCAUUUUUUUUUACCUGGGUAGGUCACCCAUAAUAAUAAGGCCAUUCUUUCCCCUGGGUAGGUCACCCAUAAGAAUGAGACCUCUCUUUCCCUUUUCCACUCGGGCAGGUCACCCGUCAUAAUAAGACCACACACAUUUUUUUGUAUUGGUUAUGGGUAACGGAAUCGCCAGAUGGGAUUCCAAAUUCAAAGGAGAUCACCAGAUGGGAUCUCGAAUGGAUUUCCAUGUUGAUCAAACUGAAGUAAGAAUUCAGAGGAUCGCCGGAUAAGGAUCUCGAGAUGACUAAGUUUUGAUCAUAGUUUUUGGGCUACGGAGGAUUGUUGUAAAACACAAAGUUUCAGAUCAAUUAAGCUUCGACCAGAACAGUUUCGGGAGUUCCGUUUUGGGUUUAUCUUUAUAACACUUACUGUGCAAAACCCAUGCUCCAUAAGUAUUAUAAAGAGGGGGCAUCUGUUGUAACCCAUUUUUGGGUCCCCAUAAAAAAUAUAAUAAAUAGCCAAAAGAGGUUAGAAAAAUAACAGGAGGCAGAAGCGCUCAGAAAACAGUCAGAAAAAUUGGUCAAGGAAUUUAAAAAAACAAGGAUUAAAUUUUUGACAGUAUAUUCUUGAAGGAUGAAAUCCCUAUUGAGAAGGAAAAUUUGAAUUUUGAGGAGAAAAGCCAAAAUUUGGAUGUUUAUGGACUUAAUUGGAUUUUUAUUUGAAUUUAUAGAGGAUUUGAUUGCAAGAAAAAUUGAUUUUUAAGUCAAUUGGGCUUUAAUUAGAAGAAAUUUAAGUUCUGGGGCCAAAAUAUAUUUUUUAGGAAUUUAUUAGGUCAAAUCAGGGGCUUAAUUGCAUAAAUAUUGAAGUUUAAUGGCCAAUUAGGGACAUAAUUGUGAAAAUCCGAAACCAGGGACCAAUUUGGAAAAGGCGCAAAGAUAGAGGGGGCUGUUUGGAAUUGAUUCAAGGGCUUAAUUGAAGAAAUUGGAAGUUUAUUGAUCAAUUAGGGGGUUAAUUGUGAAAAUCAGAGGCCAAGGACCAAAGUGAAAAACACGGCCAACUAUAGGGGCAGGGACGCAAUUGAAUUUUAUUCUUAAAAUCAGGACUCGAUUGAAGGACUUAAUAGAACAAAUGAUAAAUUAAGGACUGAUUCAAAAACAAAUGUUCUGGCGCCUUUUUUUAAAUGAAACGGCGCGUUUUCCCCAAAACAACGCCGUUUCAUACAUAAAAUAAAAAAAAAAAAGAGAGAAGACCGAACGGUGCCGUUUUGAACGGCACUGUUCACCUUUCUUCUUCCCCCGAACAUACAGCGGGGAAGAAGGAAAAGAUUGCUUUGUUUAAUUCUUUUUGCAGGUACCUCUAGCCCACCGACCAACCAAGGCCCCACGCCGGUGGGCCACCGACAGAAGACAUUGGCCGACUACCCGCCGCGCUGCCGAAACCGAGGGAGGCCCGCCUGGACAGCGGCUCCCCGACCAGCCGCUCCUCGACUUGCUCCUUGGCUCCACGGUGAAGCCACGCUCACUGGCUCUAUAAAUAGAGAACCGAAAGAGAGAACAGGGGAUGAAAAAAGAAAAAGAAAAAGAAGAGGAAUCCGAAGAAAACUAAAAAACGAAGAGAGAGAGGAAGAGAGAGAAACAACCCAACCGAGGAGAGAGAGCCACCAAAAACCCAAAAAGACCAAGAGAAGAGUGAAAGUUUGACGCUGGGAGGGAAUUUAGAAAACAAAAACCAAGAAAACGAACCGAGAGGGCGUCGCUGGAUUGUUUGGAAAUCACCGUGAGGAGUCGCCGUCUGUGAUCUAGGACGCUGCCACCGCCUCCACCACAGCACCGCCAGCAAGCCAUCGUCUCCGCUGCGCCAGGUACGCUUCCUCCCCCCGCUAUUUUUUUCUUCUGAAACUUGCAUGAGUUGGCCUCCUGCAUGCAGAAUCGUUAUGCAUGCAGGAGGCGGGGGGGAAAUAAUUCCCCCCCCCGUGCUGUAGUUUUCUUUAUUCUCUGGGCCAGAUUAUUUCUGGCCCAGAAAUAUGUGGGAUGGGCCAGAAGGAUUCUGGCCCCACCCGGCGGUUUGGGCCGGUUCCGACCGAAUUACCGACCGAAUUACCGACCGAAAAUUCAGAAUCAAUGAAAAAAGGGCGGGCAGUGGCGCGGAGGUUUUGGCGGGUGAUUUUUCCGACGGAAUUAAAAACUGGGGCCCGUACGCGUGAUGGGACCUAUUCACCAACAAAAAAUACCGACGGAAUCACCGACGGAUUUGAAAUGCCAGAUCCGUACCGGUGACGUGACGGGUGCACCGUUAAAACUACCGACGGAAUCACCGAGGGAUUUGAAUAGCAGGUCCGUGCGGUGACGUGUCGAUUGCCCGUCAUAAUUACCGACGGUUUCGCCGACGGAUUCACCGACGGAAUAAAACCCGUCGGUAAGUCCGUCGGUAAAAGUGAAUAUAUGGCCCCUCUGCCGACACUCUCCUCCCCCAUUUCUCCUUCUUCUUCCUAAUCCUAACCCUCCCCAUCUGCAAAAUAACCAGCCCCCCCUCGCCCCAAAACAAAAUCUUUCUCAUCUCAGCACAACAAGUUGUAUUUGUUUUGUGGUCACAGCAUCCGUGUUUUGAUUUACCGACGGAUUUUAUCAUUUUUUGUAAGUAAUUCUAUCUUUUAAAAUUUUAACAUUUAAAUGUUAAUUUUAUUGUUUUUUUAGUAUAUGUAUUAAUUUUUUUAGUAGAUGUACAUGUUUUAUUGUUAUUUCUCAAACAAACUUGUAGUAUAUGAAUGUAUAAUUUUAUACUUGUUAUGGUUUGUUUUAGAUUUUGUAAGAUUGUAUUUGUUUGAAAAUUGUUAAAACUUAAUUUGUAGAAUUACCGAAUUACAUGUUGUGUUUUGAAAUAAUUAAGAGCUUGCUUAAUUAAUGGGUCCUUUUUAUAGAGGUUCGAUAGAAGUCAUGGAUGAUCGUUCAUGGAUGUAUCUAGAUUCACCCCAAGGAUUGCGGAGGAUGGAUUAUUGUAACGGGGUUCAGGGUUUUAUUAAUUUCGCAACAUCUAUUCCCAGAAAUUUUACUGGAGGCGGUAUUAGGUGUCCAUGCAGGAAGUGUCAAAAUAAAAAGUAUCUGCAUCCAGAUGUUGUAAUGAUGCAUCUUCUACACAAAGGGUUUGUGGAGAAUUACGAGUGUUGGUAUGCACAUGGAGAGGUAUUUGUUAGUAAUAGGAGAAUGGAAGAAACGGUGGUUGGGUCAACUUCUAGUGCUAGCAACGUGCAUGAAGCGGCAAAUGACAACACUAAUCCUUACAGAAACAUGGUUAUGGAUGCAAUGAGAAUGAAUCAAGAUAAUGUCAAUCAAUGUCCAAUCGUAGAAGAAGAACCUAAUGCAGAGGCAGCUAGGUUUUUUGAUUUGUUGAAAGAUUCUGACGAACCAUUAUGGGAUGGCUGCACAAACCACAGUAAAUUAUCGGCUGUGGCACAGGUGUUCACCAUCAAGUCAGAUCACGGGUUGAGUGAGGCCGGGUAUGACAAAAUUAUUGAUUGGGCAAGAAGCAUUUUACCAGAAGGGAACAGGCUCAAAGAGAACUUCUAUGCUGCGAAGUCCAUGAUGAAACCCCUCGGUUUAGGAUACCAGAAAAUUGACAUGUGCCCUAACUUCUGCAUUUGGUUGAACCAUAUCGAGUUGCUCCUUCGAUUGAAUUGGAAGAAAAUUCAAAUUUUCGAGUUCUCGAUGAUAGUCUUGUUGAUAUUGACGGAGAGGAGUUGAAUGUUGUUCUCAGCUCUAGCGGACAACCAAAUGUCGAUGAAGAAGAUGAUAUCCAUAUUGAAGAUUGCGAUGAAGAUGAUGACAAUUCAAUUGAUGAGGAAGAAGAAGAAAAUUCCGACUAAUUAUAAAAAUGAAGCCCUAUGUAAAAACAUUUGUCUCAUGUAAUUUAGAUUAUUGAUGAUGUAUUUUGUAAAACAAAAUAUUUAUUGUUUAAGCAAUGUGGUUAUUGUUUUAUGUGAUAGACAGUUUAUCAGUUAAGUUAUUGCAGGAAGGUAAACAGGCAAUACAAAGACAACCUUUCCUGCAUAAUGCCACAAUCACCGAAGUCCAUACCGACGGAUCAACAUCCGUCGGUAUCUCACAGAGAGUUCGUAAAUAUUUACGCGAAAUGCCACCAACACCAACGAAAUUACCGACGGCUUCACCGACAACUAUACCGACGGAAUGCAAUCCGUCGGCAUAUCACAGUGAGCUCGAAAAAUAUGCCACCACCAUCGACGGGAUUACCGACAGACAAUAGUCCGUCGGCAUCUCACAGUAAGCUCGAAAAACAUCCACCACCAUCGACGGGAUUACCGACGGAACAUAGUCCGUCGGCAUCUCACAGUAAGCUCGAAAAACAUCCACCACCAUCGACGGGAUGACCGACGGAAUAUAGUCCGUCGGCAUCUCACAGUAAGCUCGAAAACAUAACACCACCAUCGACGGGAUUACCGACGGCGUAGGUCCGUCGGUAAUUUGUCGGUUACACAUAUUACCGACAGAAUUACCGACGGACCGCGCAUUUUCCAAAGUGCGUUAAUUAAUGCGCCUCUGAACUUGUCAGAUUACCGACGGAAUCACGGACGGACUGCGAAAAUUUUGGAGGGCUUUUAAAAAUUCGGGGCGAAAUUCGAAAAAUACCGACGGAAUUUUGAUCUGUUACCGACGGAAUUUUGACCUUUUACCGACGGAUGUAAAUUCCGUCGGUUAUGCCGUCGGUAAAAUUGACCUAUAAGUUCCAGCCCCGCCGCUUCGCCUCAUUUUUUCUUCUUCUCCCCGCCGCUUCUUCGCUUCUCCUCCGUUUUUCACCUUAGAUUUUUCAUUUUUUCCCCCUCAAUCCUUAAACACUUUCACCUUUAAUCUCUAGCAAGAUUUGGUGUUGUAAAUCUUCAUUAUAUCAAAAGGUAUGUGUUUUUUUUCUAAUUUAUUUUAUUUUAUUUUAUUUUUAGUUGUUUUUAUUUUUGUUGUGUUGGUGUUUUUUGUUGCAAUGUAGAUAAAGUUUUGAAUUUGACACAUUAUUAAGGUAUGUAUAUUUCGUUCCUUUUUUUUUAAUUUUUGAAUAUUUUUUGAAUUUGUUGAAUAUUUGUUAAUUUAAUUGUUGAAUAAUUGAAUUUAAUUGUUGAAUUAUUGAAUAUUUUUUGUUGUUGUUGUUAGAAUUGUUAUUAGUUAAUUUAACUUAGAAUUAGUUAAAGUUGAAUAUUUGAAUAUUUUUUGAAUUUGUUGAAUAUUUGUUAAUUUAAUUGUUGAAUAAUUGAAUUUAAUUGUUGAAUUUAUUGAAUAUUUUUUGUUGUUGUGUUGUUAGAAUUGUUAUUAGUUAAUUUAACUUAGAAUUAGUUAAAGUUGAAUAUUUGAAUUUUUUUGAAUUUUUUGAAUUUGUUGAAUUAUAAUUGUUAAUGUUGAAUUGUAAUUGUUAAUGUUGAAGUAUAAUUUGUUGAAUUUAUUGAAUUUAUUUUUUGUUAUAUUUUUUAUUGUUUUGAAUAUAAUUAUUGAUUAAUUUGUGAAUUGUAAUUGUUAACGUUGAAUUUAUCUUAGGAUUAAUAGUUGAAUAUGUUGGAAUAAUUAGUAUAGAUUGGUUCGAUUGGUUGUGGCUAUUGUUAAUAUUUGCAGGUUUGUGGAUUUGGGUAGUAUCCAGUAUAGGGGAGGUGCUGCCGAUUUUUUUUUAACUUUUGAAUUUUAUUUUACAAUUAUUAAUAUAAAAUUGUUUAGAUGCGCAAAAUGAAAACCAGAGCUGGUCGUCCAGUCGAAUCAAGUUCGUCUAGCAGCGAUGAUGAUGUUUCCUUAGGUGCCUCUCAAGAAGAGGCACCUACACCACCUGCGCCGUCAACCGAUGCUGCCUCUUCCAGCGAUGUUUCACAUCGCAGACGCGGCAUGCCUUCGAAGCGGAAUCAAUUUACCCGCCAGUUCGAGGCACAGUGGAAGGACGAUCUUUCAAUGUAAGUUUGUUAAGUUUUAGUUUUUUUUAUAUAUAAAAAACAAAUUUAAAACGUAAUUUAUGAAGUAAUCACAAAUUAAUUUCAUUUCUUUUCAGGUUCACAAACAUUGAGGCCGCCCGAUUAAUAUCAUCGGCGUUUAAAGCGUCGAUGGAGAUUCCAUUGUUUCAAUGGAGUCAGAUAUCCAGACAUCCUGAAUGGAUGCCUCAAAUCAAUGCAUGGUUUCGUAGAUUUGAGGUUCGUGUUAAUAUAUAAUUUUCAGCUUAUUUCUAAUAAAUUCAAGUUAUAAUUGUAAAUAAAUUAUUAACAUUUUAAAAAAUUAUUUUUUUAUAUACAGCAUCGAUUCUGCUGGGACGAUGAACAUGACAGUGUUGUGAGGAGGGUGUGGGAAAAUCACGCGGCAAUUAGGUAACAUCGAAAACAAUACGACUUUUUUUUACAUAAUUAUUUAUGUUUUGAAAUGUAAUUUUUUCGUGCGUGAAUUAGGUUGCGUGAUUUUUGGUAUGACGCCCAGAAAAAAGCAAAAAAAACAGCGAGGGAUAAGGGGUUACAAGGCUGGAACGAUGUUGCGGUUUGGAGGGAUUUCAAACCAAUAUACAUCCCGGAAGAUAUAUGGCCGCACUAUCUUCAGCACGUGACGUCUGAGCGGUUCACUCGACGCUCACAGUCCGGUGCCGGCAACCGGAAUCGGCAAAUUCAUGGCUCGGUUACAACGCACACCGCGGCUCCGUUCCGUUUGCUGCACAUGCGAAACGGAUGGUAAGAUUAAUUUAAAUGAAAUAUAUCGUUCAAUUAAUUUGUUGUUAAUAAUUUUUUUCAUUAUAUAUAGGCUACGUCUCUUGGACGUGAGCCGAGCCCUAUGGAGCUGUUUGUGGAGACGCACGUGCGGAGUCAUGACCGCCAAAAGGGGACGCAACAGUUCGUUGACAACCGUGCUCAACAGUUUGUGGUGUGUUUGUUCAACCAUUUUAUUUUGUAAGUUAUUAUUAUGUUUAUUGAAUUGAAUAUGAUUUUUUUUUUCAGGAGACCUAUAAUAAUCGGUUGAGGGAGAGAUACGGGGAUGAUCCUUCGACCCAUCCGGAAUUCGAUCCGGAUUUGUGGAUGGAGGCUGGAUCGUCAGGUGGACCCGAUAAAAAUCGGGUUUACGGGCUCUCCAACACUACCGCUGCCAAGUUGCGGUCGACCGGUACUGCUUCAACCGGUGGGAGCUCCCAAUCUGUAUCGAGCUCCCAAUCUAAGGAGUUUGUGGCCUUGCAGCAAAGGUGCGACCACCUAUCAGAGGCGUACACACAACUCAAAGAAGAGCAAAGAUUGGCGAACGAACAACACAGAUUGGCGGACGAACAACGCAGAGCAGAGUCUGAACAACAAAGAGCGGCCUAUGAAGAGCUUCGUCAAAUGGUCAUGAACAUGACACAAGGCGGAACAUGUGCGCCUAAUCCUUUUUGGCCGCCUAACCCCCACCCUCCUCCUCCACCUUUAUAUUAAUUGUUUUUUUUUUAAACACAUUCAUUUUGUAAUGAAUAUUAUUUAACUUUGAGUUUUUGUUGCUUAAUAUAAAUUUUAUUUACAUAAUUGGUUUGUAUUACUAUUAAUUUAUAUUAUUUUUUCUAAAUAAUUAAAAAAAUAAAAUUACACAGGGAUUUACCGACGGAAUAAAUCCGUCGGCAUUAGACAGUGUCUGAGGUAUGCCAUCCCAUCACCGACAUACUCACCGACGGAAAUAAUCCGUCGGUAUAAAAAUACCGACGAAUUUAUAGACGGAUUUAUUCGGUCGGUAUGAAAUAUCACCGACACUUUUGCCGACGGAGGUAGUCCGUCGGUAUUUAUAUAAAACCGACGGAAUAUAUUCCGUCGGUAUAUUCCCAGCGGGAAACUUUUUUUUUUUGGCGCGCAUGGGCCGUCGGUAAACAUGUUUUUUUUAUUACCGACCGAUAUAGCGACGGAAUGUGGAAUCACCGACAAAAGGUAUUCCGACGGGAGUAUUCCGUCGGUAAUAUAGUCGGUAAAUACUUUACCGACGAACGUUCUGUCACACACCGACGGAAAUAUUCCGUCGGUAAAACUGUGAAAUCUUGUAGUGUCAUGUAAAUGUCUGCAUGAAUACCAAGUGUUCAAACUUCAACACAAAACUUCGUAUAAUAACAUAACUUAAAAACUCUUAGAUGCGAUCUUCGAGAACCCAAACCAAGUUCCUUAUGUUCUUCCUUAUUUAACUACGAGAUCAUCAGUAUGCUGAGGAAUUCAUGACACAACCUUGAGCAUUGGAGAUUCAAACCGAGUUGUAAAUUUGACAAGACAAACACGGACAGCACUUUGACUUGCAUUGGUAUUUAUUUUAUGUCUAGAACUUAGUCAUACAUCUUUCAGCUUCAAAGAAAUUGACCAAAGAGAUAAACUGACAUGCAGCUGUAAAAUGGUGAACUGCCACACAACCUCGCAUGUCCUCUUUUUCCACAGCCUCGUACAAUAGAAAGAAUUGCAUUCACAUAGUAUUUAGGCUUUACUUAAUUAGCAAAACAGCAGUACACCUGGUAAGGAUAUGCAGAUAGGGAUUGUUCUGCCAUGGUAGAAAAAAAUGAACCAAGAUACUUCCAAGAAAUAUACAAGGAAAUGAGCAACAGUGUGCACUCUGCAGAUAGGUAUUUUUCCAAGGAAAUAUAUUAUCCAGCACAUAAAGAUUAUAACUCAUAUCAUGAAAUCCAGAUAUAUGGGAAGAAAGAGCAAAGUAUAUGGUAAAAGAAAGCAACUUUAUAGUUGAGAUAUGACAGGAACAUAAGAAUGCAAGAACAUACCUUCCAGAACUAGGAUAUCUGAGGAUCAGUUUCCUUGUAGCCAUUGUACUCAGUGUGUGCCUUCCAAUCUUCCAGACAGAUAGCAUUUUCACUUCCAUAUAGCAUCUAAUCGUCGAGAUCCUCAAGCUCUAAACUCUGGAAGAACAGCUUCUGUAGCCCAGAGUUUAAAAGAAUAUCAGCAAAACCACGUGCAAAUCUAGAUACUGGUUCAGAGAUAGAUGUGACAAAGCGAUGCUGAAUGAGAAGAUCAACAUAUUUCUCCCGAUUCUUGCUAUUUACAACAAUACUCUUCCCACCAGGGCAAAGUUCCACAACUUUCCUGGAUCCUAGUUCCUCAACUUCUCUAACGAAUGUCAGACUCAAAGCAUCUGAAUCAAUGAACUCAGGAUCCAUCUGCAGAAUCUGUUUGCAACUGCUAUACAAGCAUGGAUCUGCAUCCCGUAUGUCUUCCAAAGUAAUAUGCAUCCCAGCCAAUUGCAAGAAAAAUGCCCGAUCAAAUACAAUGCCGACUUGCACUUUAUGCAUCAAAGCUAAAGCCAUCACUCGACCAGAGAAUGUGAAAUACUCAGGGUGCCUGGGAUCCACCUUGGAUGCUGCACAUAAAAUUAAUACAACGAAGUCCAUAUAUAUACUUUUGUUUGUUAGUGGUUAUCCAUGCCAACAAUUGAAUCCAAGCAAGAUGAUGCAACUUAAUUCAAGUCCAGAAACAGAAGACAAUAACAAACCUCAAUUAUGAUUCUUUGAAGAGGUAUUUCAGAAAUAACCAAUUGCAAUUUUAAUGCAGUGGAAGAAUUAGACAUGUUAAUCCCCAAAGGAACCAAUAACAUAUUAGUGAAACACGGAAUUCAGGUAACAGAGUUGGAGAAACAUGGGAAAUAUUCCUGUAUAAUAACCCUAGGGACUCAAGUACUUCACAAUAAAAUAUUUGUGACACACAAGGUUCGGGAAUUUUUCCCUUAACAAACCUUUGCUAGUGAACCUAUUUACAGGAUGUAAUGCCCUUAUCCCACAUCCAUCAGGAACUCACAUGGUAAACAACUUUUCUACAUAUAAAUGUUAGAGAAAGAACACUAAGAGAAUGCAGUGAAUGAUCUCUCGUACAGUUAAAAUCCAAGCAAUAUUAGUGAAAUAUCUUUGAUUAAGGUCACUGAGAAGGUUCACCGCGUUAAGCCACCCAGUAUUACAUCAAGUGUAGGAAAACUGUCGAACUUCUAAAAAAUGUUAAUUCAAUCCUGACUAUGCCUAAAAUUGAAUAUUAAAUGUCACAUUCUCCAGAUUUAGGUGUAACAUUUCCAGAUGUCCUCCCACUAACAUAUAUCAAAAUAAUGAAGAAUAAUAGUCCAAUGGUUGUAAGUGAUUGAGACAGCAUAGACACAUUAAUGUCAACUCAUAUAAACUGUUGGAGCUCUCCACCACCAUUUAGUGAAUGUUUACUUUCCAGUGUAAAUUAAAACAAAUACUCAGCCCACAAUCUGAAACAUUAGACACACGGCAAUGAAAACGUAUUGUUUACAUAGUCAGUAUUACCUGGGAAUAAAAAUUCAGUUGAGAAAGGAGAAAAUCCAACUUACAGAAUAAAACAUUCACGAACCUAAUUGCAACUGUUGUUCAGAAAAAAAAAUCCUACUCUCAGAAAAACAUGAACGGUUAAUUACAUGAAGUUUCACCCCAACCAAAAAUCAUUACUUCAAUCCUAAUUUCGACUUCCAAAAUUAAUUUGGGUGAAACAAUUCCAGAUGAGCUCAUCUCACCCACUAGCAACAUAAACUAAAUGACGUACAGGUGCUUCUUGAAUGGUUGUAGGUGAUGGAUACAGCAUCAUUACACAUUAAAUGUAAGUUCCUAUAGAUUACAGGAACUGCACAUUUUGUUCAUCUGAGUAAAUUUUUAUUAUCCAGUGAGAAUAUAAGCAACAAUGUUCCAAACUCUAUGCUAGAGUGACACAUUAGACACAAGGCAAUCCAAUAUAUUGUUUAACCAUUCGUAUCAUCAAAAACUAUAUUCAAUUGAGAAAAGAGAGAACCCUGUAGCAUUGUUCAUGUAAGGCAUUCAUGAUUAGGGUUUUCUCGUUUUGUUACCAGGAUUGGUAACCCUAUAUCCAAUCAAGAAAAGAGAAAACCCAAUAGCAUUCAGGCAGCAGAAACUUACCAGGAUUAGGAUAGAACCUUCUGCGAUCACUUGGGCAUGCCACAAAAAGAGCUUUUGAGGAUCAAAUAGAGCUUGUGUAACCAAGAAAAACCACUCCCGCAAUACACCAGGACCAGUAGCUUCCUCAUUUUUAAAUUCCAGAAAUAGACCACCAUGCAGUGCAUCUGAGUCGGCAUGCACUAUGUACUCAAAUGACUCUGACAACAAUUGUUACCGAUCAAUGAGCAUCUCGUGAAGCUCCUCGUAAUCUUCUCACCUCAGGGAACAUCAUCAUAGCCAAAUGCCUCCUAGACUCAAAAUCAAUCACAUCCUUGUUCCGAAGAAGCCAUUGAUGAUCUUCAGUUCUUUUUGCAUAUCUAACAAUCAGCGCACACAAGGAAGCCUUUCUAAGUCUCAAAAGUGUCCAAAACUUUUCCUCAGCACCCUUAUAGAGUUUAGCAAUGUUAUUCAACUCCUUCAAAAUAGCCAAAUAUUGAGACCAACCUGUAUGAUUCAACUCACCCUCUCCAUUCAUUUUCAAAUUUGAAGAAUUCUGCAUUUUCCCAAGACAUUUCUCCAUAAUAUUCAGCAAAUCAAAAAAUAUCACGUGAAGAUGCUCAAUCUCCUUCGCAUACAAUGGAUAAUUAAAUGCCCUGUUGUUCAACGGCAUCGAAACCAGACCCCUACAUGCCCCUUGCUCUGAAAUCAUACUAUACAACGGUACCAAAAAUGCUGAAAAAUCCUUCACAUCAGCUACUGAUGGCCCCACACUCCCCGCCGCACUCCCCAUGAAAUCUUUAAACAAUGUAUCAAACGAAUGUGAAGUAGAGGAAAAACAGAAUUGUAAAGAGAAGUUUUCUCUUGUGUAUUGAAUAAUACCGCUCGUCGAAAUAUAUACAGCAAGCAAAAAAUAUUCUAACUAACUUAUCUCAUGCAAUAUCAAUACUACCCUUUAUGUACAGUGCUUUACAGAAGCAGUUAAAAAAUAAAUAACAGAGUAACAGAAUUCAGGUAACCAUGCCAUCCUUCUCUGUAGUGACGUGGUGUAUUGAUGAGUCAUCCUCUAAUAUCCCCCCGCAAGAUGGAGAGUAAAAAUUUACGAUGCCCAUCUUGGAUAAAUGAAAAUUGAGAACAGAGGAUGAUAGAGCCUUUGUCAUGAUAUCAGCAAGUUGAUUAGAGCUGGAGACAUAACGAGUGCAGACGUGGCCAGCCUGAAUCUGGUCUCGAAUAAGAUGGCAGUCGAGUUCAAUGUGUUUAGUCCUCUCAUGGAAUACUGGAUUUGCCGCAAUAUGGAUAGCAGCUUGGUUGUCACAGUGUAAGAAAACUGGUUGUAGAUGUUGGACAUGGAGUGCAGACAGAAUGUAUUUCAGCCAGGAUAAUCCAGUGCAGGUUACAGCCAUGGAAUGGUAUUCGGCCUCUGCCGAAGACUUAGAGACCACAGAUUGUUUCUUAGAUUUCCAUGAGAUCAAGGAAGAGCCAAGAAAAAUACAGUAGCCACUAAUAGAACGUCUGGUAUCAGGGCAAGAAGCCCAAUCAGAAUCGCAAUAAGCCUCAAGAUGUAAAGAGGAAGAACUGGAAAAUAAAAGCCCCUGACCUGGUGCUCUCUUAAGGUAACAAAGAACUUUGUGAGCUGCAUGUAAAUGUGCAUCAGUAGGAUUAGCCAUGAAUUGGCUCAAAUUGUUGACACUAUAACAAAUAUCAGGCCGAGAGACUGUAAGAUAAAGGAGCCUGCCAAUAAGACGUCGGUAAAUACUGGGAUCAGAUAAGGGAGUGCCCGUGGUCUGAGUAAGGUUAAGAUUUUGUUGCAUUGGAACUUUAGCAGGGGUGCUGCCUAAGGUGCCAGAAUCUGCAAGAAUAUCCAAUGUAUAUUUCCGUUGGCAAAUAUAAAUGCCUUUGGAGGAUCUUGCAACCUCUAUGCCGAGAAAGUAGCGUAAAGGGCCAAGGUCCUUGAUCUGAAAAUGCUUGUGAAAAAUGGAUUUCAAUUCUUGCACAAUAGUAAUGUCACUACUUGCAACCAGUAUAUCGUCGACAUAAACAAGAAUAACAACAAAAGUGCCAUUAAUGUCACGGGUGAAAAAGCUAUAAUCAGCCUUGGAUUGAGAGAAACCUGCAGCAAAAAGAACAUUAGAAAAUUUGGAAUACCAUUGCCUUGAAGCUUGUUUGAGACCAUACAAGCUUUUGAGCAAUUUACAGACUUGAGUAGGGGAUCCUUUGGUGUAGCCAGGAGGUUUAUUCAUGUAGAUAUCUUCAUGCAAGUCCCCAUGCAAAAAUGCAUUAUUUACAUCGAAUUGAUGUAAAUGCCAACCUUUAACUGAGGCAGUAGCUAAGAGACACCUCACGGUAACCAACUUAGCCACAGGAGAAAAAGUAUCUUGAUAAUCCACUCCCUCAAGUUGGGUGAAACCGCGAGCCACAAGUAUUGCUUUAAGACGUUCAACACUCCCAUCAGAAUGAUACUUAAUUUUAUAAACAUAUUUGCAAUCAAUGGGAACUUUGCCAGGAGGUAAAUCCGUAAUCUGCCAAGUGUGAUUGGCCUCCAAGGCUGCUAAUUCAGUGUCCAUGGCUUUACACCAUCCAGGGUCUUUAAGAGCUUGCUUAUAUGUUCUUGGUUCAAUAUGAGUGGAAAUAGUAGUUGAAAAAGCUUUAUAAGAAGGAGAAAAAUACUAGUAAAGAAAUAGUAUUAUGAAGGGGGGAAGCAGUACCUGAAGGGGAACAUAACAGCUGGUCCAACGGUGGGAUAGGAGGAGUUAGAGCAGUCUGAUGACAAUGGUAAUCCUGCAGGUACUCAGGAGCGCGCCGAGUUCUGGUUGGCCUGCGAGAAGGUGAAACUAAAGAAGAAGGAGAAGGUAAGGGAGUAUGAGGUAAUUCAGGUGAAGGAUGUAAAGACUGUGGUGGGGAAGGAGGAGAACUCGGAGCUAAAAAAUAUGGAGAGGAAGACUGGGAAUUAGUAAUGACAGGUGAGGGAGUAAUGGUGGGGAGUAAUGGAGGAGAUGAUGGUGGAGUAGGAAUAGAGAGGGAAGGUGAAACAGAAGGUGAAAAAUGAGGAUGGAAGGGAAAAAUAGAUUCAUGAAAAUGAACAUCACGGGAUAAAAAAAAUGUGAUCAGUUUGUAUAUCAAGUAAUUUAUAUGCUUUAACCCCAAAAGGAUAGCCUAAAAACACACAUGCUCUGCCUCUAGGAUCAAACUUCUUACGCCCUUGUGACAAGGUAGAGGCAUAGGCAAGGCAACCAAAAACUCUCAAGUGUUUGUAUUGAGGAGGAGUGUGGAAGAGAUAUUCAUAGGGUGUUUUGUUAUGAAGAAGAGGGGUAGGAGUUCGAUUAAUUAGGUACAUCCAGGCUAUUUCCAAGGACAAAAAAAACAUUACUACUUUUAGAGUGAUUUUGACAGCGAAGUAGGAAAUGUAAUUAUUGUUAUUUUUAAAAUAUUUUUUUAUUUAUAAGUAUAUUAAAAUAAAAAUUGUUAAUUUCGUUUCAUUUUAUUUGUAAUGGUUUCAUAUCAAUUAAAAAAAUAAAAUAAAACAAAAUAACUUUUAUCUUAUUUCAAAUCUCGGUCUCUUCUAGAUUUUUUGGCUAAAUUUCAUUCGAAAUGUUCCAGUUUCAUUCCACAUGUUCUGUUCCGGUCUUAAAAAAUCAUUGAAUCAAAUUGAACCUAGUUCAAUUAAUUAAUUAAACCAUUAAAGUAUAAAAAGCUCUUUUUCAUUACUAUUUUCAUUAACUAUGAUAUUAAUUUUUUAAAAUUAGAUUUAUCAUUAAUAUAUAUGGUUUAUAUUCAUGUUAUUUUUUUUCAAGUUUAUACUUUGUAGGAAUUUAAGAGAAAAAAUGGAUGUUUUAGAUCUCAUUAGUCUUGAUAACAUUGAUCUAUCUUUAUAUUUAAAAUAUUAGUGUAAAAUAUUUUAAUUUCAUAAUAUUUUGAUAUUUUAUUGAAGUUGAAUUGUUUUAAGUUAAAACAUUAUUUAAUCUUAACUAUUUAAAAAUAUUUUAAAUUUUAAAAUUAUAUUUCAUCACGUCUCCAUGAUCCCCGUUGUGUCAAAAACAAAUUGCCUAAAUUUUAGGCUUUAGCAGUUCCUUUUUUGAAAUCCUCAUUAGUGAAAUUUCACGACUCCAGCUGGGCGUUGACUUGUCUGUUUAAUUUCUAUUAUUUUUAUUCCAUUUUAGCAUUUUAGCAUUUCAUACUCAUCAAAACCACUGGAACGCAAUCAAGCUUUAGCUUCAAACAACCAGAGGGAGAUUUUAUAGGGAUAAAAUUUUAAAAAUCACGCCUAUGCUACUUUGUAGUUUUAGUAUUAAAUUUAGUAUCUAAAAAAUGUGUUUAUGAAUAUGGCAGUUUCAGGUUUAGAAACCAAAUCUGCCAUAUUCAUACUCUCUCUUAGACAUUUUAAAAAUGUGUGUAGAAGAAUACUUUCACUGAUGAUUUAUAAUAUUAGGUUACUUUAAUGAUAAAUCAAUAUAGUAUUUUUAUUUUUAUUUUUUGGAUUUUCAUCUUGGAGAAAUUCAAUAGGAUGAAAAUAUAAUAUUAAUCAAACUUCAAAUUAUAAUUGUUUAUCUAUGGAGUUUAAAAAAAUAUGACAAUUUAGUAGUCUUUAAUGAAAUAAAAAAAAGAAAAAUGUUAUUUAUGUAAUUGUAAGCAUACAAUAUUAUAUUACUUUACAAAGGGACGAAGGACAUCCUUUGCGUUAGGAUGCUCCCACUCCACUACUGACUCCCACCAUUCUUUUGGAUAUGCGUCGAUUUCUCUAAGAGAAGGGGGAGGGGAUGGCUGGCCAUUUUCAAGCAACGGAAGACAAAUUUAUUGUAUCCAUGUAUUUAUGUAUCCUUUCUCUAUCUCUAAAUAAAAUGAGAGAUGGGAGUUGAGUGGAUGUGAUCCUCCUCCAUGUAUUUAUUGUAUCCUUUCUUUAUCUCUAAAUAAAAUGAACCUCUCCCAUGGAUGUAGGCGGUUUUGUCGAACCACGUAAAAUAUUGUGUCAAUGUGCUUGCACUCCGUUGAGCAAUUAUCAGUACAUCACCGGUCGGAUUUUCCCAACAAUUGGUAUUAGAGCUGAUGGUUUAAGUGGUGUUUGAUUUUUGCUAAAAAAUGAAAGUUGUCAAAAUUGUGUUUUGACCAUAUCACUGUGUAGAGGAGGAAGAGACGAAGCCACUGUUGAAAACCGCGUCGAAAUCGAACGUCGGACAUGGCCGCACGCGCCGGAAUGGUGGUUGGCCACGCGCGCCACGCGUCUUCUUCGCCCGGAUGGGCCGACCCGACCCGACCCGAAUACCAUACGACCCAACCUACGUGGCUGACCCGGAUAAGGAUGAUGUCAGCAUGACAUCAUAAUUAUGUCAGCAUGAACAAUAGCAUAGCCCAGGAUGACAUCAGCAUGAUGUGAUGGUGACGUCAACAUGCACAGUCAGCACCUGUCAGAGACCACCACUAGAAAUUCGCUAAAUACCAACGGACAUACCGACGGAAAUUUUUCUGUCAGUAUUUUUCGGCCGAAAUCACAGACGGACAAUAUUCGUCGGUAAUUCGGUCGGUAAUUACCGACCGAAAAUUCAGAAUUAAUGAAAAAAGGGCGGGUAGGUGGCACGGAGGUUUUGGCGGGUGAUUUUUCCGACGGAAUCACAGACGGAAUUAAAACCUGGGGCCCGACGCGUGAUGGAACCAGUGCACCGUUAAAAAUACCGACGGAAUCACCGAGGGAUUUGAAAUGCCAGAUCCGUGCCGGUGACGUGUCGAUUGCCCGUCAGAAUUACCGACGAUGUCGCCGACGGAAUCAAAACCGUCGGUAAGUCCGUCAGCAAAAGUGAAUAUAUGGCCACUCUACCGACACUCUCCUCCCCCAUUUCUCCUUCUUCUUCCUAAUCCUAACCCUCCCCAUUUGCAAAAUAAUCAGCCCCCCCUCGCCCCAAAACAAAAAUCUUCCUCAUCUCAGCACAACAAGUUGUAUUUCUUGAAGUUUUGUGGUCACAACAUCCGUGUUCUGAUUUACCGACGGAUUUUAUCAUUUUUUGUAAGUAAUUCUAUCUUUUAAAAUUUUAACAUUUAAAUGUCAAUUUUAUUGUUUUUUUAGUAUAUGUAUUUUGUUUUAGUAGAUGUACAUGUUUUAUUGUUAUUUCUCAAACAAACUUGUAGUAUAUGAAUGUAUAAUUUUAUACUUGUUAUGGUUUGUUUUAGAUUUUUUUAAGAUUGUAUUUGUUUGAAAAUUGUUAAAACUUAAUUUGUAGAAUUAUCGAAUUACAUGUUAUGUUUUGAAAUAAUUAAGAGCUUGCUUAAUGCGUACUUUUUAUAGAGGUUCGAUAGAAGUCAUGGAUGAUCGUUCAUGGAUGUAUCUAGAUUCACCCCAAGGAUUGCGGAGGAUGGAUUAUUGUAACGGGGUUCAGGGUUUUAUUAAUUUCGCAACAUCUAUUCCCAGAAAUUUUACUGGAGGCGGUAUUAGGUGUCCAUGCAGGAAGUGUCAAAAUAAAAAGUAUCUGCAUCCAGAUGUUGUAAUGAUGCAUCUUCUACACAAAGGGUUUGUGGAGGAUUACGAGUGUUGGUAUGCACAUGGAGAGGUAUUUGUUAGUAAUAGGAGAAUGGGAGAAACGGUGGUUGGGUCAACUUCUAGUGCUAGCAACGUGCAUGAAGCGACAAAUGACAACACUAAUCCUUACAGAAACAUGGUUAUGGAUGCAAUGAGAAUGAAUCAAGAUAAUGUCAAUCAAUGUCCAAUCGUAGAAGAAGAACCUAAUGCAGAGGCAGCUAGGUUUUUUGAUUUGUUGAAAGAUUCUGACGAACCAUUAUGGGAUGGCUGCACAAACCACAGUAAAUUAUCGGUUGUGGCACAGGUGUUCACCAUCAAGUCAGAUCACGGGUUGAGUGAGGCCGGGUAUGACAAAAUUAUUGAUUGGGCAAGAAGCAUUUUACCAGAAGGGAACAGGCUCAAAGAGAACUUCUAUGCUGCGAAGUCCAGUGAGAUCGGAAGAGCUUCGUGUAGGAAAGAGUGUAGAUCUCGGUGGUCGCCCGUAUCAUUCUGAAGACUGCCAAGGCACACAGGGGAUACCGAGUGCAUGACAUGCGGGCAUUCCCGUUACAAACCCAGAACUGGCAGGGGGAAGACUCUAGUGGCAUAUAAAAAACUUAGAUAUUUCCCGAUCACACCUAGACUGCAGAGGUUAUUUAUGUCACCAAGGACUGCUGAGCACAUGACAUGGCACCAAACACACGAUGCGUUGAUGGUGUGAUGGUGCAUCCUUCUGACGGCGAAGCGUGGAAACGCUUUAACAGUGUUCAUCCUGACUUUUCUGCUGAAUCAAGGAAUGUUCGACUUGGGUUGUGUACAGACGGGUUCAACCCAUUUGGGUCAUUUGCUGCUCCCUAUUCUUGUUGGCCGGUCAUUCUCACAGUUUAUAACUUGCCACCGGGAAUGUGUAUGAGGCCGGAGUUCAUGUUUCUAUCUACUGUCAUACCCGGUCCAAGCAGCCCGGGGCGGAAUAUAGAUGUUUGUCUUCGACCGUUGAUAGAUGAGCUGGCGCAGUUGUGGUCCUCCGGAUCUCUGACUUAUGAUAUAUCGAGGAAACAAAAUUUCCUUAUGAGGGCGGCUUUGAUGUGGACUAUCAGUGAUUUUCCAGCUUAUGGAAUGCUUUCUGGUUGGAGCACGCAUGGGAAACUCGCAUGUCCAUACUGCAUGGAAAACAACAAGGCAUUCACGCUAGCAAACGGAGGUAAAGCUUCUUUUUUUGACUGUCACCGUCGCUUCUUGCCACUUAAUCACAGGUUCAGAAAGAACAGAAAAGAUUUCUUUGUUGGUAGAGUUGAAAAAGAUGUUGCAUCCCCGCGUCUUUCUGGUGAAGAAUUGCAUCAUGUUGUAUCAGAGUACGGUGACAUUGUGUUUGGCCUUCAAUCAGGUAAGCAAAAGUUUCCUGGUUUUGGUUUGACCCAUAAUUGGGUAAAGCGAAGUAUCUUUUGGGAGCUUCCGUAUUGGAAGACUAAUCUUCUCCGCCAUAACCUUGACGUCAUGCACAUCGAAAAGAACGUGUUUGAGAAUAUUUUCAACACCGUCAUGGAUGUGAAGGGGAAGACAAAGGACAACAUGAAGGCUAGAUUGGAUAUAGCUUUAUACUGUAACCGUAAAAAUAUGGAGUUGGUUUAUGACGAGUCACGGGUUGCAAAACCAAGGGCAAGCUUCGUGUUAGAGAAAAACGCACAACUGCUAGUCUACAAAUGGCUUAAGAGUCUGCGUUUCCCGGAUGGACAUGCAUCGAACAUAUCAAGGCUUGUUAACAUAGAGGACUGCAGAUUGUAUGGAAUGAAGAGCCAUGACUGCCACGUGUUUAUGCAAACACUCAUCCCAUUAGCUUUUCGUGAUUUGUUGCCAAAGGGAAUAUGGGAUGCACUAACGGAGAUCAGUCAUUUCUUCAGAGAUAUAUGCUCCAGCAAGAUGAAUGUUGAGCACAUUGAGAUGCUUCAAACGAAUAUCAUCGAGACACUAUGCAAACUUGAGAUGAUAUUCCCUCCUUCAUUUUUUGACUCAAUGGAGCAUCUCCCUAUACAUCUACCGUUCGAGGCAAAAGCUGGAGGACCGGUCCAGUAUAGAUGGAUGUACCCAUUCGAACGGUGAGAUAUUACAGUUGCAAUGGAAUUCAUAUCUUAAAGUAUUUUCUAUGUUUUUCUUAUUUGAAAAUACUUGAAUUGUACUUCAAUGCAGGUACUUGUUUAAUCUAAAAAAAAAGGUUAAGAACAAGGCGCAUGUUGAGGCUUCGAUAUCUGAGGCCUAUAUUGUUGAAGAGAUAUCAACAUUUAUCUCGUACUAUUUCGAACCUCAUCUGAGAACAAGAAUCAAUCGCGUUCCACGGCAUGACGAUGGCGGUGAAGUGCCUUCCAGUGGGAACUUGUCAAUAUUCUCCAAUACUGGACGACCCACACCUAAAAAUGCCGUAAGAGGAAGAUAUUUGUCGGAAAUAGAAUUCAAACAAGCACACAACUAUGUUCUAUUUAACUGUGAUGAGCUGAGACCAUUUAUUCAGUAAGUCUAUAUAUGUGUAAUAAUUAAACUUUGUCAGUAAUAUACUGUUAAUUAUAUAUUGUAAUAUCAUACACUCAUUAUCACUUGCAGGCAACAUCGACAAUAUUUGCUCUCCAAUAACUCGCAGCUGACCGAAUCCCAGAUCUUUCAAUUACAAGAUGAACAAUUUGCCACAUGGUUCAGAACACAUGUAAGCACUAUCACAAACUCAUUCUAACGUAUGCAUGUCAUUACGAGAUUCUCGUUCAUUUACCGUGUAUUGAUGUACAUUUAAUUACAUAUAUUUACAAGGUUUAUCAAAUGGGAAGGAGUGCGCCCAAGUCAUUGUCUUCACUAAGCCUCGGCCCUGAAAGAAAAGUUAAGUGCUACAACGGGUAUUUUGUCAAUGGAUAUGUUUUCCAUACUGAAGAAUACGGGCAAGGAAGAAAGACAUACAACUGCGGUGUUUGUGUUAAGGGAUCCACAAGUAGCCAGUUAGAAGUUGACUACUAUGGUAGAUUAGAAGAGGUCGUCGAACUGCAAUAUCAUAGCGAGCAGAAUAAAGUGUUUUUAUUCAAAUGCUAUUGGUAUGACACGACGGACAGAGGAAUCAGAGUUGAUCCGCACCAUGGUCUGGUCGAAAUCAACUCAAAAGCUAGACUCCGCAACAUAAACGAUGUCUUUGUUUUCGCAAAGCAAUGUCAACAAGUUUAUUACACAUACACCCCUUCAUUUAGAAAGGAUCGAUCAAGAGUUGAUUGGUUGUCCGUUUUAAAAACGAAACCACGGGGUCGUGUCGAGGUUGUUCAGGAUGAGAACGAAGACACAAGUGUGCGAGAUGAAGUCUUUCAAGUUCGUGAGUUGGUUGAACCAUAUCGAGUUGCUCCUUCGAUUGAAUUGGAAGAAAAUUCAAAUUUUCGAGUUCUCGAUGAUAGUCUUGUUGAUAUUGACGGAGAGGAGUUGAAUGUUGUUCUCAGCUCUAGCGGACAAGCAAAUGUCGAUGAAGAAGAUGAUAUCAAAUGUCGACAAGCAAAGUGUGCACCUCGAGCUGCCAAAUUUGGCAGCUACAGGCUGUGAACUGCCCGAGGUGGCCACUUUGAGCCACUCAACGGAGCCGUUUCUAAAUUUUCCGACCCGACCGGACCAUUCUCCGGGAUAAAGGGUUUCAUAUGGACAUGUUGGUGCAGUUUUGUCGGAUUUGGAGGCCACACGAGCCGGAAAAUGCGCCUGGAAAGCAGCCACUAAGGCAGUUUUUUUAGGAAGAAAGUGAACAAUAACAAGCGCUGUUGUUUUUAAAUUAGUCCUCCAGUUUUCAAUUUCUUCAAUUUUGACCCCGGAUCAAUCCAAUACAGCCCCCUCUAUCUUCGCGCCUUUUCCAAAUUGGUCCCUGGUUUUCGGAUUUUCACAAUUAAGCCCCUAAUUGAUCAAUAAACUUCCAAUUUCUUCAAUUAAGCCCCUGAAUCAAUUCCAAACAGCCCCCUCUAUCUUUGCGCCUUCUCCAAAUUGGUCCCUGGUUUCGAUUUUCACAAUUAAGUCCCUAAUUGGCCAUUAAACUUCAAUAUUUAUGCAAUUAAGCCCCUGAUUUGACCUAAUAAAUUCCUAAAAAAUAUAUUUUGGCCCCAGAACUUAAAUUUCUUCUAAUUAAAGCCCAAAUUGACUUAAAAAUCAAUUUUUCUUGCAAUCAAAUCUUCUAUAAAUUCAAAUAAAAAUCCAAUUAAGUCCAUAAACAUCCAAAUUUGGGCUUUUCUCCUCAAAAUUCAAAUGUUCUUAUCCACCAGGGCUCUUAUCAUUCAAGAAUAUAUUGUCAAAAAUCCAUCUUUGUAUUUUAACCUCCUUGACCGAUUUUUCUGACCAUUUUCUGAGUGCUUUUACCUUCCGUUAUUUUUCUAACCUCCUUUGGCUAUUUAUUUAUUUUAUUUUUAUUUUUUGUGGGGACCCGAAAAUGGUUACAACAGAUGCCCCCUCUUUAUAAAGCUUACGGAGCAGGUUUUUGCGCAGUAAGAUUUAUAAAGAUAAACCAAAACUGAACUCCCAAACUGAUCUGGUCGAAGCUUGAUCGAUCUGAAACUCUUUCUUUACAGCAAUCCUCUUAGGCCCAAAAAACUAUGAUCAAAAUUUAGUUAUCUCGAGAUCUCUUCUGGCGAUCUCCUUUAACCAAAAACUUGGAAUCCCAUCUGGCGAUUCCUUUUAACAAAGGCUGAAAUAUGAGGUCCCUUCAGGCGACCUCCUUUGACCAAUAUCAAAAUGCGAAAUCCUUAUGGCGAUCUCAAAACUUGGAAUCUCAUUUGGCGAUUCCACAACCAAAACAAAAAUGCAUGUGUGGUCUCAUUAUGAUGGGUGACCUGCCCGAGUGGAAAAGGGAAAGAAUGGUCUCAUUCUUUGGGUGACCUACCCAGGGGGAGGUAUGACCUCAUUCUUAUGGUGACCUACCCAGGUAACAAAAAGAUGGAGAAUGGUCUCCUUCUUAUGGGUGACCUACCCAAAUGGAAAAAGGAAGAGUGGUCUCAUUCUUUGGGUGACCUACCCAAGGGGAAGAAUGGCCUCAUUAUUAUGGGUGACCUACCCAGGUAAAAAAAAAAGAUGGAGAAUGGUCUCAUUCUUAUGGGUGACCUACCCAAAUGGAAAAAGGAAAAGUGGUCUCAUUCUUUGGGUGACCUACCCAGGGGAAGAAUGGCCUCAUUAUUAUGGGUGACCUACCCAUGUAAAAAAAAAAGAUGGAGAAUGGUCUCAUUCUUAUGGUGACCUACCAGAAAAAUAAUGGUCUCAUUGUAUGGGUGACCUACCCAAGUGGAAAAAGGAAGAGUGGUCUCAUUCUUUGGGUGACCUACCCAAGGGAGGAAUGACCUCAUUCUUAUGGGUGACCUACCCAGGUAAAAAAAAGAUGGAGAAUGGUCUCAUUCUUAUGGGUGACCUACCUAGAAAAAAUAAUGGUCUCAUUGUGAUGGGUGACCUCCCUAAGUGGAAAAAGGAGAAGAGUGGUCUCAUUCUUUGGGUGGCCUACCCAGGGGGAGGAAUGGCCUCAUUCUUAUGGGUGACCUACCCAGGUAAAAAAAAAAGAUGGAGAAUGGUCUCAUUCUAAUGGGUGACCUACCCAGAAAGAAAUGAUGGUCUCAUUGUGAUGGGUGACCUACCCAAGUGGAAAGAAUAUGAAAAAGUGGUCUCGUUGUGAUGGGUGACCUACCCAAAAUAGAAAAAAUAUGGAGUGCGGUCUCAUUGUAAUGGGUGACCUACCCAAAUGGAAGAAUGGCCUCAUUGUAAUGGGUGACCUACCCAAGUAAAAAAAACAUGGAGAAGUGGUCGCGUUGUAAUGGGUGACCUACCCAAAUAAAAACAUGGAGAAUUGGUCGCGUUAUAAUGGGUGACCUACCCAGAAAAAUAUUGGUGAGGGCUCAAAGGCGCCCUUGAAAUGAGGUAGGGUUAGAAAAUGCACUACCCGAGAGGUGAGGGCUCAAACAGCGCACUCGAAAUGAGGUAGGGUUAAAAAAAAGCACUACCCGAGAAGUGAGGGCUCAACGGCGCACUCGAAAAGAGGUAGGGUUAGAAAACGCACUACCCAAGAACUGAGGGCUCAAAGGCGCACUCGAAAUGCGGUAGGGUUAAACAAAACGCACUACCUGAGAAGUGAGGGCUCAAUAGCGCACUCGAAAAGAGGUAGGGUUAGAAAACGCAUUACCCAAGAAGUGAGGGCUCAAAGGCGCACUCAAAAUGAGGUAGGGUUAGAAAACGCACUACCCGAGAAGUGAGGGCUCAACAGCGCACUCGAAAAGAGGUAGGGUUAGAAAACGCACUACCCAAGAAGUGAGGGCUCAACGGCGCACUCGAAAAGAGGUAGGGUUAGAAAACGCACUACCCAAGAAGUGAGGGCUCAAACGCGCACUCGAAAUGAGGUAGGGUUAAAAAAAAUGCACUACCUGAGAAGUGAGGGCUCAACAGCGCACUCGAAAGAGGUAGGGUUAGAAAACGCAUACCCAAGAAGUGAGGGCUCAAAGGCGCACUCAAAAUGAGGUAGGGUUAGAAAAUGCACUACCCGAGAAGUGAGGGCUCAACGGCGCACUCGAAAAGAGGUAGGGUUAGAAAACGCACUACCCAAGAAGUGAGGGCUCAAAGGCGCACUCAAAAUGAGGUAGGGUUAGAAAACGCACUACCCAAGAAGUGAGGCUCAAAGGCGCACUCUAAAUGAGGUAGGGUUAAAAACGCACUACCCGAGAAGUGAGGGCUCAACAGCGCACUCGAAAAGAGGUAGGGUUAGAAAACGCACUACCCAAGAAGUGAGGGCUCAAAGGCGCACUCAAAAUGAGGUAGGGUUAGAAAACGCACUACCCGAGAAGUGAGGGCUCAACGGCGCACUCGAAAAGAGGUAGGGUUAGAAAACGCACUACCCAAGAAGUGAGGGCUCAAAGGCGCACUCAAAAUGAGGUAGGGUUAGAAAACGCACUACCCAAAAGAUGAUGAAGAAACACCGAUACAACAAAUGUUGAAAGCAAUGCAUUAUGAUCAAUAUGCAUGUAUACUUACCUGAGAAAAAUAGGUCCCCCUUUCAUUGUAAACUUCUUCAAGCUCUUGUUUCCACCUUUUCUCAUGAACCGAAAAUAUACUUCAUAUCCUCUUAGUGAAGAGAUCUCUGGUUCCUUAUGGGGCCCUUUCUUGCUCCUGAGUAUUGUGCUUUAUUAUUAUUUCAAAAGGAAAACUCAAAAGAUUUGGUUUUGUUCAUGAAAACUGAAACUUUCAAUGCAAUUAGCAAUUCUCAUAAAAGAUGCUUUUUUAGAAGUUUUUAAUAUGAUACCCUUUGGGCUUUGGUUCACUAUGGACCCCUAUGUGCACUUUGUGCACCUUUUCCCCCUAGUGUGGCGUGCAAAAAUAUGUCAAGUUCGGAGUCAUCUCCUUAGUCAUGCCAUAAAAGUUCUUUUAAGUAAAAGAUUUCAAAUGCUAGGAGAUCGUAUGUUUUAUGAAAAAAAGGUUCUUUACAAAGAGAAUUCAUGGCCGAACUUUAAUUUUAUUGAUUGGGAAAUUACGAAAUGCAUCAAGCGUAAUAUUUUUUACAGAGUCAGAAUUCACGGGCCUAACUAGAUCUUCUCCAUCCAUUCUAGAUAACAAUAAAGCUUCUCCCAAAAAUGCUUUCUUUACCACUAAAGGGCCCUCAUUGUUUGUCGUCCAUUUACUCUGAUCUUCUCCUGGUAAAAGACAACAUUUUCUUCAAUAUAAGAUCUCCUUCGUGGAAUCCUCAAGGUCGAAUCCUCUUGUUGUAUGAUUUGGCCAUCCUUCUUUGAUAAAGUUGAUGAUGACAGAUUGUGGCUAUCCUCUUUUCACUUAUCAGAUUCAACUGUUCACAUUUAACCUUCUCCCAUUCUAACUCUUCUAGCUCAAAGUCUAUCAAUACUCUUAAUGAGGGGAUUUCCACUUUUAAAAGCAUCACCGCCUCCAUUCCAUAUACCAACAUUUACGAGGUGGCUCCUAUUAAGGUUCGAACUGCAGUGCGAUAUGCAUGAAGGGCAAAUGACAACAUCUCAUGCCAAUCCUUAUAGGUGACUACCAUCUUCUGAAUAAUCUUUUUGACAUUCUUAUUAGCAGCUUCUACCGCACCAUUCAUCUUUGGUCUAUAUGGCGAAGAAUUGGAAUGCUUGAUUUUCCAUUUAGUGCAGAGCUCCAUUAUCAUCUUGCCGUUGAAAUUCUAGGCAUUAUUAAUUUUUCUAGUGGACCAUAUCGAUAGAUCAAAUAUCUUUCCAUAAAUUUCUUCACCACUUUUUUUCACGUCAUCGAAACAUCUCAACAAAGUUUCGUCAGAUGAUUUCUUAUACAAAGUUUACCCAUCAAGAUAGAAAUCCAUUGCCAACCUCCUCAACGUCUUCUUGUUGAUUUUUGGAUGCCCCCAUGGGAUAUGUCUAGUUUUGGAUGAAAUUCUUGAUAUCAUAGUGCCAAGGGUUUCCAUCUAUUUCUCUUUCAAACUGAGCAAUAAUGAGCUAAGUUAUUUCUUAUAUCAAUGUGUAUUGGUUGUAACUUGUGCCCAAAGUCUAUUCUAGCCAUAGAAGCUGGCGUGACCAAAACAUCAAAAUGGUUUCCUUCCCUUCCUAGAUGGGUGAACUUUAUUUCCUCAAAUUCUCUAGCCCAUUUAGACAAGUAUUCUUUGGCAAGGUCUCAACUUCUCGUCCUUGGUUUGCCCUUUUCCUUUCACUUGACAAAUAAUCAAAAUUGAGUCUCCAAUACACAUCUAUCUUUCUGAUGUUUAGCUCUAAUGCAACCUCUAAAAUCGAGAAUGCAAGCUUCAAACUCAGUUGUGUUGUUAGUGUACCCAAAUUGCGACUUAACUAAAACCGGAUACUGUUUCUUAUUAGGAAAGAUUAGCACUGCCCCCACUCUAUUACCACAACACCCUCAAAGUACAUAAUCCAACAAUCUGAUUUCCCUUCCUCGAUUGAAAGCAUAUCUUUAUCCGAAAAAUUAAAUUUUAACAGCCCAUAAACUUUCACAACAUGGUCAGCUAGGUGAUCGACGAUGACAUUCAUGGCUUUCCUUGUCAUAUAUACUAUGUUGUACUCAGCUAGUAGAACUUGCCAUUUUUCAAUUCAACUCGAUAGAUAGGGGUGGAUUCAGUAGGUAUUGCUUGAUUUUCGUGAAAGCUUCUUCACAUUCUUAUUCCAAAUUCCAAGAUUCUUCUUCCUUAACAAUUGAAGAUGAGGUCAUAAGUCGUGGUUAAUUGGGAUAUAAAUUGAGCAAUGUAAUUCAACCUUCCCAAGAACCUCCUUACAUCCUUCUUAGUCUUGGGAGUUGGCAUAGGUUGAAUAACCUUUACUUAAUCAGGGUCCACUUCUAUCCCUUUGUCACUCAUCAUAAAUUCCAACAACUUCCUAGAUUUCACCCCGAAUGAACACCUUGCAUGGUUAAACCUCAACUUGUACUUUCUUAGUCUUUCAACUAAUUCCUUCAAUAUUUGGACAUGAUUCUCUCCCUCUCUAGGUCAUGUCAUCCACGUAUACUUUAAUCUCUUUAUGCAUCAUGUCGUGAAAUAGAGUCAACAUAGCCCUUUGGUAGGUGCCCCCAACGUUCUUUAACCCAAACGGCAUGACCUUGUAGCGGGUUUCCAAGCUUGUUCAUGUUGUUCGUUUUUGUGAAUCCCCUAAUGUUAUUUUCCUACCAUUCUUCCUCUUCUACAACUAAUAUGGAUUCUUUAAAGUCCGGCCAUUCAUUCUCAGUGUAAAGCGCAGGUGUAGUUAUGGAAGAUUCGUUUUGAAAAGAAAAAUGAUGUGUAAAAACACCAAGAUGAACUUUUGAAAAGGCAUUUGGAACCUCGAUUUAAAAAGUUGAAAAAGGAAAACAACACAAUAUCACGAUCAAACAAGCAUUGUUGAUUAAAUUUUGAACACCAAUGGAGCUUCUUGGGUCUCCCAAUUCUAGAACAUCUCUCCCUUGGCUAGCUUUUGAAUAAAGGUCUUGAGAUUCAAGAUGCUUUGAGCUUAGGCUUGUUUGGAUGCAAAAAGAUAUUAUGGAGCAUACAUCCUAAGGAUAGGCUCUAGUUCCUUUAUGUGAGACAUUGGGUAGGUUUACUACUAGGUCUCUAAAAGAGGGUCUCUUGCUGUUCCAGUGGGAUGGUACGUGUACCAAUCACAAUCAGUCUAAACACUCAGCAAAGAGUUGGGGUUUACACAAACUUAAACCUUGACUCAAGUCAUAAGGCAAGCUGCUAGUCCCCCACUUAAUCUUAAAGUUACAUGUGUGUGCCCUCCAAAACAUAAUAACAAUAAUAAUAAAGUGAUGCAUGACUAUGCCAUGUAUGAUAGAAUGUAAAGAUGUAUGCUAAAGCUUUUAAACAAAGCAAACCAUUCAUAGUAAAAAAAGAAAAACAACAACACAUAGCAUAAUAAAAAAACAAUUACCAAGCUUAGUCCAAGGGUCCCCAGUGGAGUCACCAUUCUGUCGCACGUCAAAAAAUCCGCGCAGGCGUUCGAUGGCGAUUUUUCUUUUGUUUUUGCUUGAUUUGGUUCUUUGGAGUCGCCACCUAGUAUUUUGGUCACUAGGAACCCUAACUGGUCUUUCAGAGAUUCUAAGGCAAGGGACUGGUUGCGUAAAGGGAAGGUAUUAGCACCCCUAGUACGCCCUACCUAAGGUAAGCUGCUUGGUGUUUGGUUUGCUCUAUAAUUGCUAUGGUGUUGGUGUUUUCUAGUCCCGUCAAUUUUCCUAGGUUUGAUUCAAAUAAAAUUUAUUUGGAUAGAAAUCCAAGGAGAUUCCAUGUGCUUUGAAAGCUCAUUUUUCCCUUAGUAUUUCAAGAGUUUGCGACUCGUAAAAUCGCAAGAAGGAGGGACAAAAAAUUUAGAAAUCUAAGGACAUUCAAAGAGCUUUUAAGAGCCUCCUUUUGCCUUAGUAUUUCAUACUUUCACGGCUCGUAAACCGUGGAGUAAAAAAUUUGAAGUUUUGAAAUGUCCUCGAUUAUAAUCAAGGCUUCUUUCAAGGAUGUGUGCGGAUUUAUUACUCCCAAUAAUAUUUUGGAUAUUCAUCCUUUAAGGAUUUCUUUAUCCAACAUUAGCGGUGAAUAAUAGAUGAAUUCCCCUCCCAAAAUAAGAUUUUUAUAGUUUUUGGAAUAUUGGCCAAUACCCUUUGAAGUUUUACAAACAUGUUGUAAAAUCCAGAAAUGCAAGAAAAAUAAUUUGUGUUUAAGAAAUCUAUGCGAAAACACAUUUUCAAAACUUCCAAUAUUUUUUUUUAUAUAAAAAGAACAUUCAAAACAUGUUAGAGUAUUGGCCGUAUGCAUGAAAACAAAACAUUUUUUUCAAUAAAUAUUUUUUUUUGUUGACGAAAACCGGGUAUUUUAAUACCGGAUUUGUAUCUUUACAAUAUAAAAAUACAAACUGAUAUUGACCAAAAUACAGUAAUAAAAUUACAGAAAAAUCACAAAUUCUUUGAAAUAAUUUUCGAAGAAUUUUUAUUUUUUAUAUUUUUUUUAGGGCUGGACCUAGCGGGGCCCACGUGGCUGGGCUAAACCCAGCAGGCCUCAUGUGAACAGUGAAAUAUGCCCCACUAUUCACGUGAAUUAUAUUUGUUAUGAACAGUGAAUUAGCAUUUCACUGUUUGCGCGAAUUAUAUUUCACUUGAACAGUGAAAUGCAAGGAAAUGCAUGCACAGCGACGAAGGGGGUGCAAACCUGGUGGCAGAAACGAUGUUGAAGACGAUGGCGAACACUCCCAGUGAUGCUGGUGGCGGUGGAGAGGCAGUCGACGAGGUCUGCCGGUGGUGCUGACGGUGGAGUUGGAGGAAGACGGCGUCGGUUUCCUGUUGCAGAGGAAGAAAGAAGAAGAAGAAGAAAAAUCUGCAGAAAUUGGGCUAAAAUGCUGGUUUUUGGCUGACUUUGGACCUGAAUUUUUCCUCUCUCAGAUCAUCAAAUCCGACUCUAUUUAUAGGCUGUGAAAGAGGGCAAUCUUGUCUACAUUGGGGAAACAUUUCAGCCCUUGAUUCAGUUGGGAAGCAUCUCAACCAUUGGCUCAAAGUGUGCACCUCGAGCUGCCAAAUUUAGCAGCUCCAGGUUGUGAACUGCCCGAGGUGGCCACUUUGAGCCACUAAACGGAGCCGUUUCUAAAUUUUUCGACCCGACCGGACCAUUCUCCGGGAUAAAGGGGUUUCAUGUGGACAUGUUAGUGCAAUUUUUGUCGGAUUUGGAGGCCACACGAGCCGGAAAAUACGCCUGGAAAGCAGCCACUCAGGCAGCUUUUUUAGGAAGAAAGUGAACAGUAACAGGCGCUGUUGUUUUUAAAUUAGUCCUCCAGUUUUCAAUUUCUUCAAUUUGACCCCGGAUCAAUCCAAUACAGCCCCCUCUAUCUUCGCGCCUUUUCCACAUUGGUCCCUGGUUUCGGAUUUUCACAAUUAAGCCCCUAAUUGAUCAAUAAACUUCCAAUUUCUUCAAUUAAGCCUCUGAAUCAAUUCCAAACAGCCCCCUCUAUCUUUGCGCCUUCUCCAAAUUGGUCCCUGGUUUCGGAUUUUCACAAUUAAGUCCCUAAUUGGCCAUUAAACUUCAAUAUUUAUGCAAUUAAGCCCCUGAUUUGACCUAAUAAAUUCCUAAAAAAUAUAUUUUGGCCCCAGAACUUAAAUUUCUUCUAAUUAAAGCCCAAAUUGACUUAAAAAUCAAUUUUUCUUGCAAUCAAAUCUUCUAUAAAUUCAAAUAAAAAUCCAAUUAAGUCCAUAAACAUCCAAAUUUGGGCUUUUCUCCUCAAAAUUCAAAUGUUCUUAUCCACCAGGGCUCUUAUCAUUCAAGAAUAUAUUGUCAAAAAUUCAUCUUUGUAUUUUUAACCUCCUUGACCGAUUUUUCUGACCAUUUUCUGAGUGCUUCUGCCUUCCGUUAUUUUUCUAACCUCCUUUGGCUAUUUAUUUUAUUUUAUUUUUAUUUUUUUGUGGGGACCCGAAAAUGGGUUACAACAACCAAUAUUCGUUUGCAGGUGUGUUUGGUAGUUCUUAUGCUUCUGCCUUUGAGUGUGUACAUUAGAGCAGAGUGAUUUUACUUAACCAUGAAUUUUUUGUGAGACAAAUUAUAGUGAAUGUUUUUCUAUUUUACCAAUAUACCCAAGGUGUUUAUAACAGAGUGAUGCUACAUGCUGAGGUGGAUAUUAGCAACAGAGGAAAGCAUACAAAAGUAACCAAAAAAAAAAAAUAUUUGAUAGCAAGGACGAAAGCAUAUCCUGGUGGCCUCCCUCGGAACACAACGUUUUUAUUUUGUAGAUUAUUAGUUUUUAUUUUUCAAUCCAAGUACAGUAAUUGAUUGCCAACAAUCACUUUGUACAGUAAACAGACUUUGUACGCAAAUGAUUAUCCCUAUUAAGAAAAUUCAACGACAACAAUAUACUAAAGAGCAAUAUUACAGUAAAGAAAUCAAAUCAAUACAGAUAAAUAAUUGAUCUUAUAAUCAAAGAAUUAGUCCAUUUAAUAGAAAAAAAACAUUACUAAAUCCAUAAACUAUAUAAUUCCCUUUUCUUUUUUCUUUUUUGGUUCUUCUCUGGUGCAUUUCCCACAGGAAAUACUCUUUUCAAAUUAGGCAUUAAUUUGAGUACCCAUCACUGUAUUCAUGGCCAUUCCUUUCCUUGCGUGUCUCCUUCUUCCUUUUUCUUUCUCUGGUGCAAUUCCCACACGUCUUCUUUAUGCCAAAUACCCCUCUUUUCAAAGGAGGCAGCCCCACUUUUCAACCUCUUUUUUCAUCACGUCUCCAUGAUCCCGUUGUGUCAAAAACAAAUUGCCUCAAUUUUAGGCUUUAGGAGUUUCUUUUUCGAAAUCCUCAUCAGAGACUAAUUUGUAGCCCUUCAAGAUACCUUUCCAACGCGUCAAGAAUCACAGCAAUCCGAUAUGUGAGUGGAAAGUUAUGAUUAAAAUACUAAAGUGUGUGUAGGCUGUUUCCAAGAAAAAAGAACAUUACUACUACUUUAAGUAUAUCUUUUGAUGUUUUCCGGUUUUGAAAAUAAACAGUGAACAUUGUAUAUUAAUAUACUUUUCAUCUGAACAAUACAAGAAAAUUAACUGUUUAUUUAAAAAAUAAUGAACAGUACAAUUCACUUGCACUGUUAAUGGGUGUAUUGCAACUUUUUUUUAGUGUGUUAAUUUUUUUAACAUUUUUUUUAAAAGAACACUAGUUUAGAGUGAAUUAAAUUCACUUGCAAUGUGAUAUAUGAAUAAUAUUUUUUUUUUCGAAAAAAUAGUAUAGAGUGAAUUAAAUUCACCCGCAUUGUAAUAUCAAUUUUAUACCUGAUAAUAUUUUAUCUAAUUUUAUUAUAUACUCAAAAAGUUAUGAAAACUAUAGUUCUUGUUGGAAGUAAUUCGUACAUAAUGGAAUUGUAGAUGGUUUCAUGGAAUAAUAAAAAAUAUUUUAUAUAAAAUAUGAUUUAUUUCAUGAUAUAAUAACAAUAGUUAAAUCCACAAUAUUUAAAUUAAAAAUCAUCAAUAUUAAUAUAUAUUUUUUAAAAUUAUUUUAUAACCUUAAUUUCAAAAUCAUUCUUAACCAAACACAUUAAACUAUUUUUUUUUCAACCUCAAUUUCAACUACAGUUUUAACCAAACAUCUAUUUUUUCGAACCAAUCUCAACUAAAAAUACUUUUUAUAAAAUAAUUUUUUUCAAACCACAACUACAAUAUCAAUGGCAAUACCAAACACACUAAAAGGCACAUAAAGUAGCCCAACAAAUCAUACCCAGAGAAGCAAAAGCCAGAAACAAGCUACCUCGAUUCUUGCUCCACCGGGGUAAGAAAUGCAGCAUGCCCACUUGGAAUUAUACAGCGUCCAAAUUCCAUGGCAAAUAAUUGGUUGGAAUUGUUUUCUGAGGGGUCAUUUCAAAAUCUGAAAAAAAAAAACAGAAAAUAGAUCCAGCAAAUGAUUCCAAAUAUCUUCUAAAAAGAACAAUGAAAUAUGUUUUUUUAUUUACCGUAAGGAAAGAUAUUAAUUAAAUUUUUUUAAAAAAAUAUAUAUAACAAGUCAAAAUCUAUACUUAAAAUCUUUCUCGUAUUAAAUUCUUAAUUCAAUCAAAUAAAAUAUUAAUUUAAUAAAACGUAGUUAAGUUUUUGAUACUCUAGUUGAAUAUUUAGUAUAACGGUGACGUACUAAACUAUUAAAUCUUAACAUAAAAAGGAAUUUUUAUUAUAUACCCACGAAUCGAUACAAAAUCUAUAGGUUUUUAUAAAAUGAAUUCCUGAACCUAGUCGAAGAACUGUGGCAAAAACAGUUUAAGGAUUCCAACCUAACACAUGAAUGGGGUGGUUAUAUUUUGUCUUGUACACUGCUGGGCUAGAAAAUGAAUGUUGCCGUUUUUCAGUUUAUUAGAGAGAGGGCAGAAAGCCUUAAGUAGAAAAUAACUUCAUAUUCUGGGGGUAGAAACCCCACGAACGCAAUCAAGCAGUGGCUUCAAACAACAAAAGGGAGCAUCAGUGCAGGAGGAAACUUCAACAUCUAUUAUAAAAGUUGUGUUUGGUAAUGCUGUGUAAAUUAUGGAUUUAUAAAUUUUGAUUUAUUUUAUUAAAAAUUAUUAUUAUUAUGUUUUCAAAUUAUUUUGAUGUGUUAUAUUAAUAAAAAAUUAAUAAAUAUUAAAAAAUAUUAUUUUGAUGUAUUUCUAAAUAAAAAACACUUUGAACUACCAUCGUUAUCACAAUCUCAAACACACAUUUAUGAUUUGCUAUCCAAGAUUUUUCCAUUAAUACAAAAGAUGGUGUUUUUUUGUUGUUGAAAAAUUAUCUACCAAUAACUUUUUAUCUUUUUCCAAGCUUUUUGGUGAUUUUUUUAAUGUUAAAUUCAUGAACUAAAAAGGUAGCAGCGUGAAGCCUCGCCAAAAGCCCAAGAUUAAAAAUAACCAUGCUCCUAGCCCAAGCCCACCAACAUCACCCCCAGCAGAUUGGAAAAAUGCUCAUUACCAUUCCGGAAAAAACACACCUAGGCUACUAUGGUAUACUAGAAAGUGGAAAUAAAUCGAUAUUAAUCAUGAAAUAAAUUGUUAGCAGAAACCAAAAAUAAAUAAAUAAAUUGUUCAUACUACUCCAUCUUAUUGAUGGGAAUGACUUCUGACCUGCAUACAUAUGUAAUGACUCCUGCUAAAAUUAUUUGAUAAUAAAUUAUCAUGAAAAAACUUAAUAAAGUCAGAAAAAACAACCACGAAAUUCUUCUUAAAUUAAAUAAAAUGAAGAAGAAAACUCGAGUAAUAAAUGUUUAAUUCACUUUCAAGCUGAAAAUAAAGAAUGAAAGCAUUUCUAUUCAAUAAUACUUCUUGCUCACAAAUAAUCUGCCAACAAUUAUAUGAGAAUCAAAUCUCUCCGAUCACAUGGUUGUUUAAAAUGCUCAGCACUAAGCACUAGGAAAGCAAAUUUACAGAAUAGUAAUUCUAGUAAACUUCUUGAUUUAGUGCAACUAGAUAAUAUAAGCAAAAUGUAACGGUUGAACUCACUUUUUCUUAAAAAAGGAUCCAGAUUCUCUAUUACCAAUAACUUUUGGAUUCCUAGGUCAACUCUAUUCAACAAGCAUCCCUCAAACGGGUUGGAAAAGAUACCAGAGGCAAGAAGAUUUGUAACACCCUCAAAUUAUUAUGUCAUUAAAUCUCAAACAUUUCUUUACUAAUAUCAAGUAUUGAAUAAUAUGUCUAAGAUUAUGAGAUUUUUUUCUUUUUUUUUUUUAAAAAUUUCGGCAGAAUUUCCUUUGUUUUCUGAUGUUACCAAGUUAUCGACUAGUCUUUAUUCAAUCACAAUACUCAAAUCUUCCACUUUGAUCCAACCAUCCCGAAUCAUAUCCCAUCUCAUCAUACAAUAUUCCACAUAACUAUACUUCAUUGUAUUUUGUCAACCUUAUAUCAUCAACAAAUAAAACAUUAAUUACAAACAAUUAUAAACUCAAAGAUUCAUAUUAAACUAAUUAUUACAUUAAAAUGCAUCCAUCUUUUAAACAUGCAUGAUUAUAAUUACUAAAUAUUCUUUUUGAAUAGUUUAAUAAUAUUAGUUCCUUACUCAUACUUUUUAAUGUAUAAGUACCAAAAGCAAACAUUUUCAUGAUACAAAUAUUACAAUCUACGUAUAAUACAAAUUACAUAUAAAACAAAUAUAUUACAUCCCACAAAAUAAAUAGAUUAAAACACAAAGUCUAUAUAUAUAACGCUCCGCAUCACCUCAUGAAUAACUUGUAUACAUAACAUUAAUAAGAAAUAAGUAAGAUAACAUAUUAAAAAAAAAUAAUAAAGCUAUUAUAUUCACAAGUCUUCAAAAUAUAUCAACACUAAUAACCCUUUCAUAAUUUAUUAAUCCUGUACUUAUAAGACCUAUGUAACCAACACUCAUUGCUUAAUUUUUAAUUUGGUAAUUCAUAAUUUUACCUCAAACCUGGCUAACCCUCUUAAAUGGCCAACAAUCAAACCGGUAAUUCCAUACAAAUUACCCAACAUCCGGCUAUUCUCUAUCAAUAACCAAUAGAACCUGCAAUUCCAUACGAAUUACCCAACAUCCGGCUAUUCUCUAUAAUAGCCAAAAUAGCCAAUAUAAUUGGUAAUUCCAUACGAAUUACCCAACAUCCGACUAUUCUCUAUCAAUAGUCAAUCUAACCGGUAACACCAUACGAAUCGGUAAUUCCAUACUAACAGGUAAUUCUUUACUAACCAGUAAUUCAUGCUAACCAACCGAUAAUUCUAUACUAACUGGUAAUUUUACACUAACAUGUAAUUCUAUACCAACCAACCGGUAAUUCCAUACUAACCAGUAAUUCAUGUCAAUCAACCAGUAAUUCUAUACCAACCGGUAAUUCUAUACUAACCAGUGAUUCUAUACCAACCAACCGGUAAUUCCAUACUAAUCGGUAAUUCAUACUAAUCAACGAGUAAUUCCAUACCAACCACCCGACAUCCCCAUUAUAAUACCAACAGUUUCUUCUACUUCUUCCAUAUCAACAUGUCAUAAACAACUCAUAACUAAUAAUACAACUUUGAAUUUUAAAGAAAGGGAUGAAUCACCUACCAUCUGCUCGUGAUGACUCAGCUCCUCCUGCCUGAUGCCCUGCUCCCGAAACAAAUCCUGAAUAAAUCAAAUUGUACUACAUUAUUAAUCCAUUAUUAUUUCUCUUAUGUGCCUAAAUUUGAAGAACGUAAUAUUUUUUUUUAUUUAAUUGGGGUUUACAUCAAAAUUUUCUUUCAUUUAUCACUUCAUUUUCAACAUAUAGUUUUAAUCAAUUUUCUUCUUUUAAUUCACUUAAAGAAUUCUCCCAUGAAUUAUUCCACCAUUUAUUUAUUCAUUCUUUUUACAUUCUCAUGAUAUUUCUUUGCUUGUUCAUAUUUUGAAUACUUCAAAUAAGAUAAAGUAUUAAAUUCUCCCAUGAACUAUUCCACCAUUCUAGUUUUAGUAUUAAAUUUGUUCGUAGAAGUUUCAUUUAUUUUUAAUCAAUUAAAUUGAAUAAAAUCUUGUCAAGUCAGACAUCAACUCUUUAUUGAAUCGUCUUUUCUUUUUGGAUAAUAAGAGCUUCUUAAAAAGCUUAUUAAAAUAAAUUAUUAAUUAAUGAAAUUAAAAAUAAAAAUGCUUUUUUUAUUUAAAAAAAAAAAGUAAAACAGAGAGACAUCUACCGUGUUUUCUCUAUUGGUACAUGAUAAAAGUCUGAACAGAUUUUUUUAUUAUUAUUUUAAUUUUAAUAAUAGUACUGUUAUUUCUACCGCCAAGAAAUCAAGAAAGCUAGCUAAUUUUAAUACAAUGCUAGAGUUCUUGACUUUGGGAGAAUGAAUUCCGUGAUGGAAUUGGAGGUGCUGCUUUCUUCAUCUGUUGUUCCUAUUAUGCACUGAUCAUGAGAUGUGGAAGAGAAUGUUACAGUCGCUAUCUCUUUUACAUAAUAUUAUUUAUUAGUAAGGUCGCCUCAAUAAUAAUUAAUUAACGUAUUGUUUGAUAUAUUAUAAGAUAUAUAAAGUUAACGUGUGGACCCGCCCCAAUGUUGAAACCUGGAAGAAGCUGCCAAGAAAAUGUAUACACAUGAAAUUUUCUAAAAAAAAAUAGUAUAAUUAAAAAAAUAUUUUUAUUUAAAAAUACAUUAAAAUUAUUUUUUUUAUCAACACAUCAAAAUAAUUGAAAAAUAUUAAAAAUUAUUUUUUAAAAAAUCAAAUUUUUUAAAAAACACAUUAUGACUGUAAAGAUAAACCAGUCAAUAUUCUCAAGGUAGCAAUUACUAAUUGGGAUACAAAGAAAUUAAAAGACAAAUUAAAGGUUUUGAGUCAACGCCAUUACCAAUAUUCGCUUGCAGGAGUGUUUGGUAGUUCUUAAUAUUCUUAUGCUUCUGCCUUUGAGUGUGUCUAUUAGAGCAUAGUGAUUUUACUUAACCAUGAAAUUUUUGUGAGACAAAUUAUAGUGAAUGUUUUUCUAUUUUACCAAUAUACCCAAGGUGUUCAUAACAGAGUGAUGCUACAUGCUGAGGUGGAUAUUAGCAACAGAGGAAAGCAUACAAAAGUAACAAAAAAAAAACAUCAAAUGAAAAAAAAAAAAAAAAAAACAACCUUUAGAAACACGCGUCUUUGGAUUAACCAAUUCUUUUAGUUUAUUUUUUAUGUCUCAUAAAGACAGAAAAAACUUUAAAAUACAAAUUAAAAAAUCUUGAGGAAUUGAUUAACCAAGCCUUUUAGUUUUUUUUUUUUUUAAUGAAGACAGAAAAAACUUAAAAACACAGAUUAAAAAUAAAGAUUUAAUAGAGAAUGAAAUUUAAUUUUAAAUGCAAAUUAAAAUAAAGCAGAGUGCCUAAUGGAGAAAGUACUACUGGAAUUCUACAAAGAGUAGAGCGUCGGGAAUCCUUGCACACAUUUGGUAUUUUAAUUAUUCUUAUUUCGUUUAAUAACUCAAUUGGAAGUUCAAUUCCCAGAAUUUCCGCUUUUGAAAAAUCAUUCAUCACUUUUAAAUAACGCAAAUGAUUAUUAAGAAAAUUCAACGACAACAAUAUACUCGAGCAAUAUUACAGUAAAGAAAUCAAAUCAAUAUAGAUAAAUAAAUGAUCCAAAUAUAAUCAAAGAAUUAGUCCAUUUAAUAGAAAAAACAUUACUGAAUCCAUAAAGUACAUAAUUCCCUUUUCUUUUUUCUUUUUUUCUUCUUCUCUGGUGCAUUUCCCACACGAAAUACUCUUUUCAAAUUAGGCAGCCCCACUUUUCAACCUCCUUUUUCAUCACGUCUCCAUGAUCCCCGUUGUGUCAAAAACAAAUUGCCUUAAUUUUAGGCUUUAGGAGUUCGUUUUAUGAAAUCCUCAUUAGAGGCUAAUUUGUAGCCCUUCAAGAUACCUAUCCAACGCGUCAAGAAUCAAAGUAAUCCGAUAUGUGAGUGGAAAGUUGUGAUUAAAAUACUUAAAGUGUACCAGGCUGUUUCCAAGAAAAAAAACAUUACUAUAUUAAGAGCGUCCAGGCUGGUUCAAAGUGAAUUUCACGACUCCUCGGCCUUGACUUGUCUGUGAGAGCUUCUACUCUUUGAAAUGUUUUUUCUUAAACUGUGAGAGCAAGUUUGUCAAAAAUAUUUUUUUAACACGAUACAAAAUAUAUAAUAUAAACUUGGAUAGUAAAUUUGAAUUAUAAAAUAAAAAGAAAAAUAUUUUAACUAAUUAUAUAUUGACAAUUUCAGUCAAGUAGUAAACAAUAAUAUAACACAAUUAAAAUAAAAGUGAAAUAAACAAUAUAAAUGUCCAAACACCUUAAAAUACAUAAUUCAAAUAAAAAUUCAUACAUAGUUUAACUAACUUAAAAGUACGAAAAGAAAAAAAAAAUUAGAUUGAACAACUAUGUUUUAUUGAUCGAGUUUCAGAACAUUUUCUAGAGGACAAGUCUUGAAACACACUGUAGGCAACUAGUGAGAUGAUACAAGGUAUAUUACCAACUUUUAAAAAAUUUAACAGAGACAAAUACAGUGAACCCGUGACAACGAGAACAAAAACUUAUAAAAUAACAUCAAUUUAAUCUCAUGCCACCUCACCUUGCACCUUUUUUUUAUGUUAGUAGCAAGUCCGAGAAAUAAUGUUCAAAUAUCCCACAAAGCAAGACAUGUAUUUCAAGUUCUCUCUGAGUCUUUGUCGUCUUUCUUUAUAGUUAAUAAAUGGUUAGUCUAAAACACAUUAUUUCUCCCUAUAUAGGUAUUCAUAUCUCUUAUUUUACUCCUUUGAUUCCUCACCAUCUACCUUUGUCUUCUUAUGGUUUCGAUCCUCCGAUCAUGCUUUCCUGGCCUAAAAUACAGUAUAUGGCUUCCUCAUAUCCAAGAUCCUCUAAUGCUGGUGUUAGUCUGCUAAGAUUGAAAAUUUGAGAUUUGGGCAACGGGAAAAGGGGAGACUGGGAAGUGGGGACUAUGUAGUGGAGUGUCAGGGGACUCGGACAAGGAGGCAGUAAAUUUUUUAACUUUUGCGGGUUAAAACUCGAAAUCGGUCAAACUCGUAAAAUCGGUCCGAUUUUAACCGAGUUUGACCGAGUUUUACCGAUUUUGAAUUUUAACCCGAUUUAACAUGUUAUAUACAUGUUGAGUUGUAAAAUUUUAAGAGUCAAUUUGCGAUUUUAACAAUACUGUACGAGAGCUUCAUAAUAAGCAUGCUAAGCUUAUUGAAAUAAAUUAUUAUAAUGAAAUUAAAAACAAAAAUGCUUAAAAAAAAACAGAGAGACGCCGUGUUUUCUCUAUUGCUACAUGGUAAAAGUCUGAGCAUAUUUAUUUAUUUAUUUUUAUUUUUAUUUUAAUAAUAUUACUGUUCUCUUUACCGCCUAGAAAUCAAGAACGCUAGUUUCAUUUAAGAGAUUCUAAAGUUCAUAUUUAGAUAAAUUAGCAGACAGGACGAAAACACAACAAAUCAUACCCAGAGAAGCAAAAGCCAGAAACAAGCUACCUCAAUUCCUGCUCCACCUGGCUAAGAAAUGCAGCAUGCCCACUUGGAAUAUACAUCAUCCAAAUUCCAUGGCAAAUAAUUGGUUGGAAUUGUUUCCUGAGGAGUCAUUUCAAAAUUUGAAAAUAAAAACAGAAAAUAGAUCCAGCAAAUGAUUCCAAAUAUCUUCUAAAAAGAACAAUGAAAUAUGUUUUUUUAUUUACUGUAAGGAAAGAUAUUAAUGGAAAAAAUAAAAAAAAUCAAUUUAAAAAAUAUAUAAUAAAUCAAAAUCUAGAUUUAAAAUCUAACUCGUAUCAGGUUCCUAGUUGAAUUGAAUAAUUGAGAGCGUAACGUGUCAAGACUGACACGAGUUCAGAAUAGACUCCACAACAGUAAAAAAAAGAGAAAAAAAACGAUCCAUAUAGUGGCCCGUAGUAGUAUUCCGGAGGAGAGGGUCAAAGAUGGCGGCUGGUUCAAAGGACGAGCUUAAUGUCAUGAAUCAUUUUUUAACCUUUAUAGUAGGACUUGACACGUGUCCUCUAAACCCUCCUGUCCCUCUUCCGAUCCUUGCUAAACCCUUGUUCUGGUCGUAAUCAUCCAUUAGCGUAAACCUACGCUUCUCUUGACCUUGAUCCCAAUAAACCAACCCCAUAGAGUUGGUGGUAAUGUAAUUUAUAUUACUUUUAAAAUUAUUUUUAUUUAAAAAAUAUCAAAUUAAUUUUAAUGUGUUGGUAUUAACAAAAAAUUAAAAAACAUUAUAUUAAUAUAUUUUUAUUUGAAAAAUAUUUUUUAAAAAACCAUAUGUAAAAUUACUAAAAAACCCUUAUAAACUAGUUCGUCUCCCAGUCCUUAAAUUAGUUUCCUCAUUGUUUUUCACAAUUUUUUAAGAAAAAAAAAUAAAAAAGGAAAAUAAAAAUAUGAUCAUAAGCUAUAUAUCUAACACUCAUUUUAAAGAAAUUGAUAACCAUGCAAGCUGUCAUUUUAAAGAAAUCAAUAAUAUAUCAUUCUUUCAAUCAUUUUUGUCAAAAAUCAUGUGCAAAACAUAAUUAAUUAUUUUUGAUAUGAAGGAUGGAAAUAGUCCUUUAAAACAAGGAUAUUCUUAUUAAUUAUAAUUUGAAAUUUGAUUAAAAUUAUAUUUUCAUCCUAUUGAGGUUCUCCAAGAUGAAAAUCCAAAAAAAAAAAAAAUACUAUAUUAAUUUAUCAUUAAAGUAACAUAAUAAAUUAUUUUUUUAAUUUUUAAUUUGAUUAUUUUUUUUAUGUUUUCAAAUUAUUUUGACAUGUUGAUAUUAAAAAUAUAUUUUUAAAAAUAAUAAUAAAAUAUUAUUUUAGUGCAUUACCAAACACAAAAGAUUUUAAAAAAUAAUUAAUAUUACAUUCUCAAACACCCCUAAAUGCUCUAUUAUUGACGGAUUGUUUUGGCUAAAUUUCAUCCAGAAUAUUCCGAUUUCAUUCCAUAUGUUUUGUUCCGGUCUUGAAAAGUUAUUGAAUCCAAUUGAACCUGGUUCAAUUAAUUAAUUAAACUACCCAAGUAUAAAAAGCUAUUUUUCAUUACUAUUUUCAAUAACAAUGAUAUUAAUAAUAAUAUUGAAAAUUAUUAUUAUUAUUUUCAUUAACAAUGAUAUUAAUUUUUUAAAAUUAGAUUUAUCACUAAUAUAUAUAGUUUAUAUUUAUGUUUUGUUUUUCAAGUUUACACUUUAUAAGAAUUUGAGCAAAAUAAUGGAUGUUUUAGAUCUCAUUAGCCUUGAUAACAUUAACCUAGCUUUAUAUUUAAAAUAUUUGUGUUAAAACAUUUUAAUUUUAUAAUAUUUUGAUAUUUUAUUUAAGUUGAAUUGUUUUAAGUAAAAAUCUAUUUAAUCUUUACUAUUUUUAAAUAUUUUAAAUUGUACAAUUAUAUUUCAUCACGUCUCCAUUGUGUCAAAAACAAAUUGCGUAAAUUUUAGGCUUUAGCAGUUCCUUUUUUGAAAUCCUCAUUAGUGAAAUUUCACUAUUGAGCUUACCAAAAAAAAGAAAUUUCACGAUUGCUGGGCCUUGACUUGUCUGUUUAAUUUCUAUUAUUCUUAUUCACAUUUUAGCAUUUUAUUCCAAUGAAAGAAUGCACUUUCAUAGACUCAUCAAAACCCCAGGAACGCUAUCAAGCUUUAGCUUCAAACAACCUGAGGGAGAUUUAGUGCAGUGGAGAACUUCAACAUCUACUAUGAAGCUUGAUUUGCUAUCCAAUCUUCACGUCAGUUUUCCAUUGAUACAAAGAUACUGUAUGUGUUUUUGUUGCCGGAAAGUUGUUCGAUCAAUAACUUUUUAUCUUUUUCCAAGUUUUUGUUGUGUGAUUUUUUUUUCUUUUCAUCUCAAACUCAUGAACUAAAAGGUAAACAAAGUAAAAUUUUAGAUCAAAAUAAAAAAUAAAAAAUAUAAGAUGCAAAAAAUUAUAAGGUAAACGAUAAACUAAAUUUUAGAAUAUGUCUCUUAACUAUUCGUAAGCUUCCUAUUCCUUUUUAGUUUUUCUUGAAGUUGUUCUAUUUGAUGUCAUGAGUGUUCCAUUGAGAAAUAAAAAAGAAGACUAAUUGCCAUCCUCUUCACCUUCUUACAAUGCAUUACAGUAAUAUCUCUAAGAGAAUUGUAAAUCAAUUUUUGCACUGCAAAUACUUUUCAGUUCCGGUAAAUCAAACAAUUUCAGAAUUUUCCAAGAUAAACAGAUUUUUAAAUACACUCAAACAUAAUUUUAAAUAUAAAAACAAAUUAUGUUUUUUGAUUGCGGCAUAACAAUGUUGGCAGUACCGUUGUUGUUUGGACUUUGAGCAGCAGUAGAUAUCUCCAGCGUACUGUUACCUGCCGGCUAGAAAAGGUAUGUUGCCGUUUUUUAGUUUACUAGAGAGAGGGCAGAAAGCCUUAAGAAAAUAAUUUCACAUUCUGUGUGGUAGAAACCUGAUUCCACCCAAAAAUAAAAUAACACGGUAAUUGAAGCAAAUUAAAAGAAUAAAAGAAAAUAUAAAAUGAUUUAAUACAGAACAAAAAUUAGUUUUCAAUGCAGAUUAAAAUAAAGCAAAGUGACUAAUGAAAAAAGUACAUAAAUCCUACAAACAGCAGAUAGAUAGUCGGAAUCCCUUGCGCACACAUUUGAUAUAUAGAUAAUUAAAUCAACAUUAAACCAAAUUAAUAUAACCCUUUUGAAAAAUCAUUCACUACUUUUAAAUAAUUAAUUAUCCCUAUUAAGAAAAUCCAAUGACGACAAUGUAUUUAAGGAGCAAUAUUAAAGCAAAGACAUUAAAUCAAUACAGGUAAAUAAAUGAUCCAAAGAUUAAUCCAUUCAAUAGAAAAAAACAUGACUGAAUCCAUAAACUGCAUAAAUUCGGAGAAGAAUACUUCUCAACAACAAAUUGAGAAUGAUAAAACAAAAGAGUUAGAAUAAUUAGAAAUCUGAACAAUUUAGUUACCCAUCACUGUAUUAGUCAUUCCUUUCCUCAUCUGUGCUCUCUUUUUUCCCCUCUCUCUAGUGCAAUUCCCUCACGUCUUCUUUAUGCCAAAUAGCCCUCUUUACAGAGGAGGCAGCACCCUUUUUCAUCAGAGGCUAAACUUGUAGCCCUUUACGAUACCUUUCCAACGCAUCAAGAAUCACAGCAAUCCGAUAUGUGUGUGGAAGGUUAUGAUUAAAAUACUUUAAGUUUAUUAAAAAGUCAAGAAAAUAAAGUUUUAGAUUAAAAUAAAAUAAACUAAAAACUUUAAGGAAAAAAAAAAGGCCUAUGAAGCUUGAUAGUAUAUCCAUUAGCAAGUCAACUGUCAAUCUUUAUUUUCUAUAUUUAACAUCCUUGGUUUACUGCUUAAUUGAUUUGUAUUGAUUUAUAUUCUAUUUUAGUUUCUUUGAUUUAAGAUAGUUUCCUUGAUUUAAGAGCUAAUUGAAGCUCCUUUUUGUAUAUAAGAAUAUCAUUCAUUAGUAAUGAAAUACAGAGUUGAGUAUCUCUCAUUUUAUAAUUUCUCAUAGUAUCAGAGCAGUUAAAAUCCUAAAUUGUAGCCCUUUACGAUACCUUUCCAACGCAUCAAGAAUCACAGCAAUUCGAUAUUUGUGUGGAAAGUUAUGAUUAAAAUAUUUUAAGUGUAUGCUGUUUUUAAGAAAAAGAACAUUACUUUAAGUUUGUCGCACCCCUAAAAAAAUAAUAAUAAAAAAAAAGUUUUGUUUAUUUUAAAAUUUGUUUUGCGACAUUCGACUGGCAACUUUCGUUUUGUUCUGUUUUGUUGAUUUUGUUCUUUGGGAGUCGCCACCUAGUAUUUUGGUCACUAGGAACCCUAACUGGUCUUUUAGAGAUUCUAAGGCAAGGGACUGGUUGCGUAAAGGGAAGGUAUUAGCACCCCUAGUACGCCCUACCUAAGGUAAGCUGCUUGGUGUUUGGUUUGCUCUAUAACUGCUAUGGUGUAGGUAUUUUCUAGGCUCGUCAAUUGAUUUUGGAUAGAAAUCUAAGGAGAUUCCAUGUGCUUUGAAAGCUCAUUUUUCCCUUAGUAUUUCAAAAGUUUGUGACUCAUAAAUCGUGGAGAAAAACAAAAUUAAAUUAAUUUUGAAAUGUCCUCGAUUAUAAUCAAGGCUUCUUUCAAGAAUUGUGUGCGGAUUUAUUAUUCCCGAUAAUAUUUUGGAUAUUCAUCCUUUUAAGGAUUUCUUUAUCCAAACAUUAGCGGUAAAUAAUAAAUAAAUUCCUUUUUCCAAAAUAAGAUUUUUAUAGUUUUUUUGAAUAUUGGCCAAUACCCUUUGGAAUUUUACAAACACGUUGUAAAAUCCAGAAAUGCAAGAAAAUAAUUUGUGUUUAAGAAAUCUAUACGAAAACACACUUUCGAAGCUUCCAAUGUAUUUGUUUUUAAAAAAAGAAUAUUCAAAACAUGUUAGAGUAUUGGCCGUAUGCAACACGCAAGAAAAAUAUUUUUUUUUUAAAACAAUAUUUUUUUUUUUGACGAAAUCAGGUAUUUUUAAAACUGAAUUUGUAUCUCCACAAAAGAAAAAUACAAACUAAUAUUAAGUCAUAAAAAAAAAAUAUGCGGAAAAAUCCACAAUAUUUUUUAGGAAUUUUAGAAAUUUUUGAAAGCAAAAAAAAAAAUUAUCUUUGGAAAAUUUCGGGUGCUACGACGAAAAUCAGAUAUUUUAAAUACUGAAUUUAUACCUUCACAGUAUAUAAAAAAAAAAAAACCCCCUUAAAAAUAUAUAUACAUGAAAGAAAAAUAACAAUAUUUUUUUUAGAUUUUUUACAAAUAUUUUAUAUAUAUAUAACAUAUACACAUAUAUAUAUAUAAUAUAAUAAUAUAAUAUAAUUAUAUAUUAAUUAUUAAGGGGCUGGGCCGGCCCAACUGACUGGGCCGGGCUCAGCCCACAGUGACUGGGCCGACCUCGGCCCAGGAAAGGUUACUGGGCCGACCUCGGCCCAUAAGGUACUGGGCCGAACUCGGCCCAAAGGUACUGGGCCGAACUCGGCCCAGAAACUAAUUAACCUCGGUCUGGGCCGGACCCGGCCCAGACCGCCGGACUGGGCCAGAUCCCUCUGGCCCGUCCACAUAACUCUGGGCCAGACACAAUCUGGCCCAGAGAAAAAAAAAAAAGAAAACGGGGGGGGGGAAUUAAUUUCCCCCCCGCCUCCUGCAUGCAGAACGAUUCUGCAUGCAGGAGGCAAAACAUAUAUAUAUAUUAACAGAAAAAAUGCAGGGGGAGGAGAGGAAGCGUACCUGGUGCUGGCGGAGCUGCGGUGGUGGUGGCAGUGUCCUCGCUUCACGGACGGCGGCUUCUCUCUCCUCUGUUACAGGGUUUCUCUCUCUUCCUCUCUCUCUUCGUUUUUUUUUUUGUUUCGGGGUUCCUCUCUCUCUCUUUUUUUUUCGUUUUAUUCUUUUCUCUUCCCCUCUAUCUCGCUGGUUCUAUCUCUCUCUUCGGCCUCGUCUCUCUCUUCGGUCUUCCUCUCUCUCCUCUCGGCCUCUCUCUAUUUAUAAGCAAAAAGGAAACGGCGUGCCUUCGUUAGUGCGCCUUCAAUCACGCAACGGCUGGUCGGCCAUUCUUGCUUUCGGUGGUGGUGGUGGGGACGAGGAGAGAGAGGCGGGAAGUUUUGAAAUUUUUCCUUUUUUUCUUUCGUUUCUGUUCUGUUGAAACGGGGGAGGAGGAAGAUGAACAGUGUCGUUCAAAACGACACCGUUCUGAUCUUCCUCUUUUUUUUUUUUUUAUAUAUAUAUAUGAAACGGCGUCGUUUUGGGUAAAACGCGCCGUUUCAUUUAAACGGCUAAACUUCAAAUCGGUCCUCCAAAUUCGGUCCCCGUCCCUCUUGUUGGCCGCCUUUUUCACUUUGGUCCUUGGCCUCUGAUUUAUGCAAUUGAGCCCCUAAUUGAUCAAUAAACUUCCAAUUUCUUCAAUUAAGCCCCUGAAACAAAAAUUAGCAGCCCCUCCAUUUACGCGCCUCUUCCAAUUUGGUCCCUGGUUUCGGAUUUUCUUAAUUAAAGUCCCUAAUUGGCCCUUAAACUUCAAUUUUUAUGCAAUUGAGCCCCUGAUUUGACCCAAUAAAUUCCUAAAAAAUAUAUUUUGGCCCCAGAACUUAAAUUUCUUCAAAUUAAAGCCCAAAUUGACUUAAAAAUCAAUUUUUCUUGGAAUCAAAUCUUCUAUAAAUUCAAAUAAAAAUCCAAUUAAGUCCAUAAAAAUCCAAUUAAGCCCAUAAAAAUCCAAAUUUGGGCUUUUCUCCCUAAAAUUCAAAUUUUUCUUCUCAAUAGGGCUUUCAUCCUUCAAGAAUAUACUGUCAAAAAUUCAAUCCUUGUAUUUUUAAAUUCCUUGACCAAUUUUCUGACUGUUUUCCGGGCGCUUCUGCCUCCGGUUAUUUUUCUAACCUCUUUUGGCUAUUUAUUUUAUUUUUCAGGGGGACCCAAAAAUAAGUUACAACAAAGUUUAUGCAGGCUGCUGUUUAAAAAGUCAAGAAAAUAAAGUUUUGGAUUAAAAUAAAAUAAAAUAAAAACUUUAAGGAAAAAAAAAAGCACGCCUAUGAAGCUUGAUAGUAUAUCAAAUUAAAUAGAAGCUCGAUUAAAAAAUGCCCUUUAAUUUCUAUUAUUUCUAUUCACAUUUUAGCAUUUUAUUCCAAUGACAGAGCAUUUGGAAUGCACUUUCAUAGACUCAUCAAAACCCCAGGAACGCCAGAUCGGGAGCUUCAGUGCAGUAGAAAACUUUAACAUCUACUAUGAAGCCUGAUUUGCUAUCCAAUCCACACAUCAGUUUUCCAUUGAUACAAAGAUACCGUAUUUUUAACCAUCUAAUAGUAAGAGUUUGUGAUCAAGGAGUUUGCUUCCCCUGUGGUCUCAGGUUCGAGUCAUGUGGUUAUUAAUAUUGAUAAUCAUUGAAGACUUACCUGGUCGUUAAUUUCAAGAUCCGUAAAAAUUAAUCGAGGUAUGCACAAACUGACUUAGACACUCAAGUGAAUAAAAAAAAGAUAAUGUAUUUUUGUUACUGGAAAAUUGUCAACCAAUAACUUUUUAUCCUUUUCCAAGUUUUUUAAGUGACUUUUUCUUUCAUCUCAAAAUCAUGGAUCAAAAGUGAAUAAAAUAAAAUUUUAAAUCAAAACUAAAAAUAAAAAAAUAAAAAAUGCAAAAAGUUUAGGGAUCAAGAUUUUAAAAAUCACGCCUAUGCUACUUUCUAGUUUUAAAUAUUCAAAACAAGGCUCCAUUAUCAUAUAUUUACAGAGACAUACCAAUGUAGCUUUUAAUGUUUACUGGUUUGGGUAUGUCCAUAUGCUUUUAAAUAUUUUUUAAAAUUUAUAUUUGUUUUUAAAAAAUAUUAAAUUAAUAAUUUUUUUGUUGUUUUUAAUGAUUUUGAUGUAUUGAUAUUAAAAUAAAUCUAAAAAAUUAUUUUUUAAAAAUACUUUAUAUAACAGUAUCAAACACAUGAUAACCUGGUCCAAAAGCUUUCGACCCAGCAUAAAAUGGUUUUCAACCCAAUCAUACUUUUUCCUCAUUAUAAAUAUAAAAUAAAGUUCAAGUGAAGUAGGUCCAAUCUUAAAUGGUUCAAACAUUAUUGUUAGAAUGUGACAGUGUCCCAACAUUAGUAGUGUAGCACGUGCCAUGUCUCAAGCUUAUGUGAUCCAAAAACAAGGCAAUUGGUGUUUGAUGAAAUUAGCUGUCACUAAAAAUAAAAUAAAAUAAAAUCCUCUGUGAACUAAUAAUUACUCAAUUAAUCCCUAAAUUAGUAUUUUUUUAUUGUUUUUCACAAAAUUUAUAAGAAUAAAAAUAUUUUAUUAGAUAUUUUAGAUACUCUACUAUUAUAAUAUUUUAUUUAAAUUUAGAUUUUUAGUUCAAAAUUGAAUUUUAUUUAAUGUAACAAGUAUUAUGAUGUUUUAUUUUAUCUGAAAAUUUUUGAAAUAUUAUUUGAUUUUAUUAAUUUUAAAAAAAUAAUAUUUUAAAAGAGUACGAAAUGUUGUAUAAAAUUUAUAUGUAUUUAUUUUCUGAUAUACGUGUUCCAAGAAUUAGCAGGGAUACGAUGUUUUUACAACAACGCAAAACACAACAAACAUUGAUGCUAUGCUGAAUCCUUGAAGUGCGUCUAACAAAAUCUCAAUAUCCGGAAUGCCUCUUCUUCCAUGGCAUCUUGCCUAACUCUUGAUUGUCUCAGGUCCUCCAAGGCAUUCCUCCACUCCUCUUAAUUGGCAUCUUGCCAUUUAUUGACAAUACCCCACCACCAAGCAAGUGGUAGCACCAUUAGUGCCACUAAUGGUGGCAUGUUUUAAGGGAGUUUUGGCCCCUCCAUGUUGACCAUGAAAUGCCUAUAAAAGAGGCAUAAUUAUUUGAGAGCAAUGAGAAAACGUGAGAAUGAAGUGAAGAGAAGAAGAGAGAAAGAGGAGUUGCUGCCAUUGCAGCAAUGAGAGAUGGGAGUUGAGUGGAUGUGAUCCUCCUCCAUGUAUUUAUUGUAUCCUUUCUCUAUCUCUAAAUAAAAUGAACCUCUCCCGUGGAUGUAGGCGGUUUUGCCGAACCAUGUAAAAUAUUGUGUCAGUGUGCUUGCCAUCCGUUGAGCAAUUAUCAGUACAUCACCGGUCGGAUUUUCUUUUGUUUAAAAUAAAAUAUUUUAUCUUUAAUUAAGAGCAUGUGAUUGCUUUUGUUUUUAGUUGUUUUUUCAAAAAAGAUAUAUAGAUUUUUUUUAAUGUUUUUUUUUAUAAUUUUAAUGUAUUAAUAUUAAAAAUAAAAUAAAUAAAUAAAUCAUGUAGUCUAUUUCCAAACCAAUCUAAUAUUGGAGGUCGAAAUUCAAAGAUAAAAUUAAAAAAAAAAAAAACAUAUUCGAUCAGUGAGUAAAUCUAUCAAACCUGUGAAUCAGGUAACUUGAGCUAACACAUCAAACUUAUUAACAAGGUUGUUGCUAUCCAUUUUUUGACCCAUGUUUUUGAUAUAUUUUCAAAAAAAUUCAAAAAUAGAGAAAAACAAAGAAAAUCCAAAAAAUAUGUUUUUUUAAUAUAUUUUCGUCAUUUUAGUAGUUUCAACGUCGUCUAAAAAAAAAUUUAAAUUUUUAAAAGAUUUUCAAACGCGUUCAACUUUUCACGCGUCAUUUUUAAAAUCAUUGAUUUUCCUCGUUGAGUCGACGUUGAUAUUUCUCUUUUUCAAAAAAUACAAAAAAAUAAGAAAAAUCAAAAUUUACAAAAAAGAAAGAAGUUGAGGGACCAAGUUGAAAAACUUGGCAACAUUUUUUGCCUAUAAAUACUGGUUUCCAACACUUGCAAUAAGGGGGGGGGGCAAUUUUGAAACAUCACAAAAAAAUCUGAACCCUAAAAAUCCAAACACAGCCGCCCCACCUUUGGCCUUGGAUUUUUUCGAGACCAGCCCUCUCGGCCAACAGAACAAACAAAACCGCCCCCCACUGAUUUUUGAUUUUUCUCACCAGCCGUCGGCCAAAGCUUCAUCUCCUUCACCCAUCUCCUGAACCCAGACGCCCGACCAUUUUCCCUCUCCUCGCUCACAACCCCUUUUCCUCACAAAACCGAACCACUCCCCUCCUCCAGCUCGCCGAAUCCCGGCACCAUAACAGCCACGAAUCAAACCCCCCUCUACAGAUCCUCCAAAAUCUUCCUCAUCCCUCUCUCGGCUGAAAAUCAGAGGACCCGUGCCUCUCCUCCUUUCCCCCACAACAAACCCACAGCCCCCUCUCUUUCAAAACCAAACCGGAGCAGCCACUCCAUUCCCCCUCUCUUUUUCUCUUCCCCGGCCAAAAGAGAGCAGCCCACCAGCCGACCACCACACCGACACCCAUCGAUCUGUCCGCCACCGCCAUCAUAGGCCGCUACCACCGACAGGGGUGAAGACCGUUCAACAGCGACGGCCUCCACAGAAGCAAGCCACCGUUCCCAUCUCCUCAGACCAUCGGUUUCCUUCUUCGGCCAGCAGGUCUUUCCUUCCUCAGCUGCCGGGGACACCGGCAGAUGACAACUUUCUUCCUCCAGCGCCGCCCGCAGAUCCCCCCAUUUCCAACUGAUAAUCAACGGGCGGAUCCGCAACCAGCAGAGCAUAACGAAACCGAGAAGAAGAUCUGACAAAAAGAAAACAAAAAAACUGAAUCAGAUUUUAAAAGCAAAGAAAAUAAAAACUAAAAUCGACUGUUGUUGUGAUUUUGUUUGUGAUUGCAGGUUAUUGUGUUCCUCACAACCAGUAGAGAAGAGAAAGGGAGAAGAAACAGAGCCAGGCAACCCAUUUUUCCGGCGAUUCUCACGGCGGCGCGUGAACCCACGCGCCGCCAGGGGCGGUGGCGCAUGGACGAGACGCGCCGCCGCUGUUUUCUGCUCCAGAAGCCUUCCAGCACUGUUACGUGCACUGUUCCUGCAUGUUUUAGAAGACUUAGGAUGUUUUAGGGUUUGUUUUGUAAUUUUGAAUUGUUUUAAUGUAAUUGUUUUUGUUGAUUUUUGAACCAUUUGUAUUUUGUAAACAUGUGUAAAAGAAAAGAAAAGAAACAAAAAUAAAAUAGUGAAAGUGUAUGUGUGUGCUUGUAUUUUGUUUUAUUUAUUUGUAUAUAUUUUUUAAUGAUAAAAUUGCAAAUAUAUUAAAGAAGAAUUUAAUAUUUUGAUCGGAUCACGGUUAAGAAUUAUUAACUUAUACGUAAGUGAUAUUUCUAAUUUCCGAUGAAAAGACAAUUAUUAAAACUUCUUUAACACAUCAAAUUCGCGAAGCAGCUUACCUCAAGUAGGGUGUGUUAGGGGUGCUAAUACCUUCCCUAACCACAACCAGUCCCUUACCCGCGAAUCUCUGACGAGACUAGUACAUCCAGUUUCCUAGUAGCCCGCAAUCAAUUACUAGGUGGCGACUCCAACGAACCAAAUUCAAGCAAACAACAACAACGAGACGAUAAAAAUUGCCAACCGAUGUCGCGCGCCGGAUUUUUUUGGGGUGCGACAAAGGUUAUGGACUCUUGUAGGAUUAUAUAUUUUUAUAAUUUUUAUAUUUAACUAUAUGAUAAUAAAAAUGGAUAAUUAUAAAAUUAAACACCAGCCCAAUACUAAUAUAUUUGUUUUAGACCAUGAUAACAUCAUCCAAAGAAAAAUAAACUAAUUAUGAAACUAAAUUUUAAACCAACUCAAAUAUGAAAUAGAAAAAAAAUUAAAAAAAAUUGAUAACCAAAAAAAGGAAAGGGAAAGAAAAAAAAGAAGCAAAACACUAUAGAUUAUUAUUGUAAUUCAUAAUGAAAUGGGUGUGACGCGUGAGUGAAUAUUGGUUCUCCCACACCGUUUAGCUUCUUUUUUUUAAUUAAUAAACAAAACAAUACUUCAUUAAACCAGUAAACUAGUAUAAAUCACGUUAACUUUAUAAAAAGAUAGAAUAAAAAUAAAUAAAUUAUAAAAUUAAAUAUUAAACCACCCAAUAUGAAAUAAACAAAAACAAAUUUAAAAAAAAAAAAAAAAACACAUAGGAUUACUUAUUAUAAUUUAUAAUGAAAUAGGUGUGAAUACGUCUCUUAACUAUUCGUGAGCUUCUUAUUCGUUCUUAGUUUUUCUUGAAGUUAUUCUAUUGAGGAAAAAGAGAAGAAAAAACCCUACUUUUUUUUUCCUCUUCAUAAUGCAUGGAUUUAAGUUGGGUGGAGAUUCAGUAAUCAAAAUAUUUUUUUUAUUUUUAAUAUUAAUUUAAUAUUUUUUUCAAAAUAAUCAAAUUUUUAAAUACAAUUAAACAUAAUUUUGAGUACAAAAACAAACUACGUUUUGAUUGCGAGCAUAACAAUCUUGGUAGUAAGUACCAUGAUCCUUUCCAAUUGAGUUAAUUUUAGGAUUUUUUUUGCAGCCACGUACAUGCUUUAGGAGUUCUUUUUAUUAAAUCAAUAUUAAAGUAAAAAAAUUAAAUCAAUACAGAUAAAUAAAUGAACUAAAUAUAAUCAAACAAUUAAUCCAUUUAAUAGAAAAAACAUUACUGAAUCCAUAAACUACAUUAAUCCCUUUUCUUUUCUUUUCUUGUUUUUUUUUUUCUGAUGGAAUUCCCACACGUCUUCUUUAUGGGCAGCCCCAGUUUUAAACCCUCUUUUUCAUCACGUCCCCAUGUUCCCCGUGUCCCACACGUUUUCAUCAAAAACCUAAAUUUUAGGACUUCUUUGGCAGCCAUUUAAAAAUAUAUAAAAAUAAUAUUUUUAUUUUUAAAAAAUUAUUUUUAACAUUAAUACAUUAAAAUAAUAUAAAAAUAUAAAAAAUUUAUUUUAAAAAAAUUAAAAUUUUUAAAAACACAAGCAUUCCCAAACAAGGUAACGUGUCAAGAAUCAUAGCAAUCUGACAUGUGAGUGGAAAGUUGUGAUUAGAAAACAUUACUACUUUUAGAGUGAUUUUGACAGAGUAGCAGGAAAUGUCAUUAUUGUUAUUUUUAAAAUAUUUUAUUUAUUUAUAAAUAUAUUAAAAUGAAAUUUGUUGUUAAUUUUGUUUCGUUUUAUUUGUAAUGAUUUCAUACCAAUUUAAAAAAUAAAAAUAAAACAAAAUAAUUUUCAUCUCAUUUCAAAUCUCGAUCCCUUCCAAAAUUUUUGGCUAAAUUCCGUUCAGAGUGUUCCAGUUUCAUUCCACAUGUUUUGUUCCAGUCUUAAAAUCCUAUUGAAUCAAAUUGAACCUGGUUCAAUUAAUUAAUUAAACCAUCAAAGUAUAAAAGCUCUUUUUCAUUACUAUUUUCAUUAACUAUGAUAUUAAUUUUUUAAAUUUUGAUUUAUCACUAAUAUAUAUGGUUUAUAUUCAUGUUGUUUUUUUUUUUCAAGUUUAUACUUUGUAGGAGUUUAAGCAAAAAAAUAGAUGUUUUAGAUCUCAUUAGCCUUAACAUUGACCUAGCUUUAUAUUUAAAAUAUUAGUGUUAAAAUACUUUAAUUUCAUAAUAUUUUGAUAUUUUAUUGAAGUUGAAUUGUUUUAAAUUAAAAAAAUUAUUUAGUCUUAACUAUUUAAAAAUAUUUUAAAUUUUAAAAUUAUAUUUCAUCACGUCUCCAUGAUCCCCGUUGUGUCAAAAACAAAUUGCCUAAAUUUUAGGCUUUAGCAGUUCCUUUUUUGAAAUCCUUAUUAGUGAAAUUUCACGACUCCAGCUGGGCCUUGACUUGUCUGUUUAAUUUCUGUUGUAACCAAAUUUUGACCCACUUAUUGUUAAAUUAAUUUUAAGGAGGGUAAAUCUUGAAAAUUAAAAGACCAGGGGUUCGAAUGCAAGGAUUUAGAAACUUCAAGGACUAGAUUGGAAAUGACCAUUCUCAGCCCAAAACAGCACCGUUUCAAUCAGGUGUUGUCCGUCAUCUUCGUCUCACCGAACGUCCGCCUGCAAAGAAGGAAACAAAAGCGUGAAACACCAGUAUCCUAACCCAUUCAAAAUACAGAAAAGCAAUAAUUAUCUUCAUGAUAAUUACAACCCGACGAGAUAAAGAUUGCACUUUGAAUUCAAGUCCUAGCAGGAACCGUCUCCCUCAGUCGUGCUUAUCAAGAGGAGAGACGUGAGGCUGAGGGGGAGGAAAAUUGAUCCCUAUAAAUACCCAACAAUUAACAACGCCAAAAAAGAGGAAAAAACCCAGAAUUUACCCAGAAAAACAGAGAUAAGAACAGGAAACCGAGCAAAAAAAAAAACCAAAAACAGAGCAAUUAACAAAAAAAAAACAGAGAAAACAAAACACAAAAAAAAGAGACAGAGAAGAACAGUAUCACCAGCCAGAUUUCAUCCCUUCUAGAAAUCAGUUUUCAUCCGAACUGUUUUCACCCCUACAGAAACCCAAUUGAUCACCGAACCGUAGAUCAUUGACAUAAAGCAGUCGAGCCACACCGUCGCCUCAACCUGCCUCAGCAUCGCCAGAAACAGAAAGCAGUCGACUCAAAGGAACCAGACCCGCGUUGCAAUCUUCUUCAAUCUCCAAAAACAGGUUCGCUUCCUUUUUCAUUUUUUCUCUGCUCUUCGUGUUCAAAUAAUUGUUUGAACAGUGCGAAGGUAAUUUAAUUACCUUCGCACUGUUGAUGCACGCGUGAUCUGUUUCACGCGUGCAUCUUGUGUAGCCGGGUCACUGGCUUGGGCCAGUGACCCGGGCCGGGCUGGCUGGGUUCAGCCCAGCCACCAAUAUAUAUACUUGCUGGGUUGGAUUUAGCCCAGCCCAGCCCAAAGAUAAAAAAAAAAGUAAAAAAUAUAAAAAUUUUAAAAAUAUAUAAUAAAAAUUGUGUAUGUAAAAAAUAUAUACAUAAAUGAAUUUUUUUUUAUUUCAUUGACAAAAAAAAAACACAUAAAAUAAAAUAGGAUAAAUUUAUUUAGUAUAUUCACCGACGCCAGAGUCGGGAAUAAAAAAAUACUAGGGUAAAUUUAUUUUAUUUUAUUUUGUUUCGCAUGCAUAAAAAAUAAUUUGAUAAAGAAAUGAAUUGAUUUUUAUUUGUUUAUUCACAUAAGAUAAAAUAGGAUAAAUUUAUUUAGUAUAUUCACCGACGCCAGAGUCGGGAAUAAAAAAUACUAGGAUAAAGUUAUUUUAUUUUGUUUCGCAUGCAUAAAAAAAUAAUUUGAUAAAAAAAUAAAUUGAUUUCUACUUGUUUAUUCACUGACGCCAGAGUCAGGAAUAUAAUAAAAUGAUGAUAUGAGUUUAUUUAUUUUGAUACCUACGUAAUAUUUACCAACGCCAGAGUUGGAAAUAUACGUAGUUGAAUAUUCACUGGCGCCAGAGUCAGGAAUAUCGUACACAAGAAAUUAUAGUAUAAACCAAUAAAGAUGUUAGCAAUUAAUAACAAAGACCAACAAUGCAGCCUACCUUAGGUAGGACGUUUAAGGGGUGAUAAUAUCUUCCCUUUUACGUAACCAGUCUCGGAUCAUAGAAUCUCUGUUGACCAGUUAGGGUUCCUAGUGACCAUAAUACUAGGUGGCGACUCCUUAAACAAAGACCUUUUCCCCCAAAAGAACACGAUGCCUGAAAUCGGUUCUUUUUCCAUAAUUCAAGAAUUAAUUUUUAAGGCGGCCGCGAUGUCGGGUGCGACAUUCUAUUAUUUUUAUUCCAUUUUAGCAUUUUAACAUUUCAUACUCAUCAAAACAACUGGAACGCAAUCAAGCUUUAGCUUCAAACAACCAGAGGGAGAUUUUAUAGGGAUAAAAUUUUAAAAAUCACGCCUAUGCUACUUUGUAGUUUUAGUAUUAAAUUUAGUAUCUAAAAAAUGUGUUUAUGAAUAUGGCAGUUUCAGGUUUAGAAACCAAAUCUGCCAUAUUCAUACUCUCUCUUAGACAUUUUAAAAAUGUGUGUAGAAAAAUACUUUCACUGAUGAUUUAUAAUAUUAGGUUACUUUAAUGAUAAAUCAAUAUAGUAUUUUUUUUAUUUUUUGGAUUUUCAUCUUGGAGAAAUUCAAUAGGAUGAAAAUAUAAUAUUAAUCAAACUUCAAAUUAUAAUUGUUUAUCUAUGGAGUUUAAAAAAAACAUGGCAAUUUAGUAGUCUUUAAUGAAAUAAAAAAAAUGAAAAAUGUUAUUUAUGUAAUUGUAAGCAUACAAUAUUAUAUUACUUUACAAAGGGACGAAGGACAUCCUUUGCGUUAGGAUGCUCCCACUCCACUACUGACUCCCACCAUUCUUUUGGACAUGCCUCGAUUUCUCUAAGAGAAGGGGGAGGGGAUGGCUGGCCAUUUUCAAGCAACGAAAGACAAAUUGGCAUCCUCUUCAGCUUCUCACAAUACAUUACCUUAAUAUCUUCAAGAGAAUUGCAAAUCAGUUUUGCACUGCAAAUGCUUUUCAGUUCUGGUAACACAUACAAUUUCAGAGUUAUUAACUUUGGGAGAAUGACUUCCGUGAUGCUUUCUUCAUCUGUUGUUCCUAUUAUCUCCUCCAUUUUCUCACAAUCAUUAACUUCAAUCCUUUCCAGGUUUACGAGGUUUGGUAGCAACACAAGCGGGAACAGCUUUUUCAUACUUUUACAGUCAUUACAAAGAAACUCUUUAAGACCAGAAAAUGUACCGUUACAUGAUGGCAAUCGUGGUGGAGCAGAGCAGAACCAAGAAGAUGAAACCAAGCUCUCCAUGUUAUGGCAUUCCCGAAUGCUGAUGCGCUCCAGUUCAGUUGCAUUCUCUAAUGACAAAACAUCACAUAAACUUCUUGCAUCGAUGCAUUCACAAAUCAGUCCUUGAAUGCCAUUUAAGAACUUGACCUGAAAAUCUCUAUCUCCCGUUGAUACUCAAAUUACCCAACCCAACUGUUUUACUUGGAAAAUCUUCAAUGCAUUGCUCUAAAUAUCCACCCACCUCUCCUACUAAAAUCUUGCAUGUGCUUAAUGAUAGGAUCCUAUCCCGAGAUCUGAGAUACUCCACGAAGUCAGAAAAACCUUCGAAAUGGCACUCCAAAGUUUCCAAAUUUCCCAAGGAUCCUACUUCCUUUCCUUUAACUGUUAUCGGAGCAUUCGUAAAAUUUUCUAGUACAAAGACUUGCAGGUGAGAGAGUUUUGAUAAUAUCCCACUAGGAAACUUCUUUUCACCACAUCCAUUCAUUAUAAGAUACCUCAGGUUGGUUAGGCAUUCCAUUCCUUGCGGCAUCUUUGCAAGUGCCCGAGUGCCAGAGAGAUCCAACUUCUUUAGUGCCCUGAGCUUCUUUAAUGAUGGAACAUAUCUUAAAUUGUCACACUUACGGAGCAAUAACGCAGUGAGACUCACCAAAUCAGAGACAGAGUCUGGCAAAUUUUCAAUACCUGUGAAAGACAGACUGAGGACCUUGAGCCCAUGCAAUUGCUUGAAAAAUGAAUUCGCAAUCAAUUGCAGCUCUUCAUUCUCAUGUAGAUAUAGAGAUGACAAAUUUGGACACAUUGGUGAAUGACUGGAAGGAAUUUCUUCGAUCUUGUUUUUCAUUAGUGAAACAAUCGUCAGGUUCUCCGUCCACUCCUCUGUAUUUGGCAGCUCUUUUAAUUGCGCACCUGCUUUAACCAUGACUUGAGAGUUGUCUUGUAGUAUUUGGAUGGCCAUGUCCCUAAUCAAGUCAUGCAUCUUGACAGCUCUACUAUCAUCAUCAUCCAUUUUAGCACUUUCCAAUAGGCAGACAUUUUCAAGUGUAUUAAGCAUCGUGUGGCCCUCAUCAAAUGCCCUGCUCCUCAUUCCUUUAAUUAUUCCCUCAUCGAUCAAAUAACCUAUCAACUCCUCCCUUUCAAUCUUACCAUCUUCAGGAAAUAAUGCACAGUACAAGAGACAUCGUUGUAGUGCUAAAUCACCUAACCGAUCAUAACUAAACCUCAAUAACUUGAAUUCGUUGUCCCUAAAUUCUGAUUCUCUCAAUUUGUUCAAUGUAUUUCUCCACUCAUGUAGGUCAUCCACUCCCCUCAAGCUUCUUGCUACUGUAUUAAUUCCCAACGGCAAACCAGCACAUUCCUUUGCAACAGCUUUUGCAAUCCUUUCCACUUCUCGUGAAAGUGCCAUGUCACGUCCAAGUUUCUCCAUGAACAAAGUCCAAGCUUCUCCCUCAAAAAGUGGCUUAACCUUGAUUAUGCGGUGGCAAGCCAUCCGAUGACAAACCGUUUCUGAUCGAGUUGUCAUAAUUAGCUUGCAUCCUUUCAACGGGACAGGAAUUCCCACUUCGUCAAGCUCAAAAUUGUUCCACAAAUCAUCUAAAAUGAGAAUCCAUUUUUGUUUCUUCUUUAGUUCUUCUGACAAUUUGGCAGUUCUGAGCUGAACAUCAUCUUCCCUUGAAAGGUCUAGAUGAAGAUGUUUAGCAAUAAGAUUCUGCAAUUUAUUAAUGCUGAAAUCUUGAGACACAGUCACCCACCAAACAUGAUCACAAAUAUCUGGUCUUUGUAGAAGCUCAUUAUGGAUAUGUUUCAGUAUUGUUGUUUUACCAACUCCCCCCAUGCCAUAAAUGCCAAUGGUUGGGACUUCAUCAUCCAUUAACAAAGACCAUAUCACCUUCUUAUUCUCUUCAAAUGCUCGACCCACUGGCUUUAUAGAGCUAGUAGGUAAUGGAACUCCUCUAGUCUCACUUGUGUUGUAUUUAAGGCUUAUAGAAGAUCUAGCUCCAGCGUCAGGCCGCACUGAUCUUCCACUGUUCUCCAUAUCCUCCUCCACUGGUUCUGUCCUCACUCUAACCAUGUUCUGCACAUCAUUGUUUACUGAUGGAGCAAAUAGGUGGGCAUAAAAUCUUCCAUGAUCUGUUGGUUGGGAUGAAUCUCCUCGAUGCUGCACUUGUUCUGUUCUCGGUAUAGUUUCAGAUCCAUCAUGCAGACGCUCCACAUCCUCAUCUUCCUGCAUUAAAUAGGUAGAGAUUUCAUUCAGCUGCUGCUCCUUUGAAAGGGCAGAGUGCAUAUGAACCCAAGUACCAUCAGCAAAUUGAUCCACUAAAUCUGUUCCUUGUGUUGCUUCUCCUUUAUGUCUUUUGUUGCCACCACUCAUAGCUAGAAAGGCUGCUUCUUGAACUUCUUGAGGCACCUGACCACAAAUGGCAACACCAUUCCCUCUCUCUCCUGAUAAAUGCCAUUUGAUCC
This 454416-nucleotide long non-coding RNA is filed under the name Populus tremula. RNAcentral describes it as "long non-coding RNA (PTRE_LNC001692)". The stretch from base 130955 to 131044 matches the Rfam family "MIR478 microRNA precursor family". The record is from RNAcentral. Lineage: Eukaryota; Viridiplantae; Streptophyta; Magnoliopsida; Malpighiales; Salicaceae.